RNAcentral lists this long non-coding RNA (419412 nucleotides) under Theobroma cacao (cacao). RNAcentral's name for it is "long non-coding RNA (TCAC_LNC001409)". Lineage: Eukaryota; Viridiplantae; Streptophyta; Magnoliopsida; Malvales; Malvaceae. The record is from RNAcentral.
AUCUCUGUACUUUUAUCAGUGUACUUUGCUCACCACCUAUCCACAGUGUACAAUACAUAAUUCACCACAUUAAUACUUGACCAUUAUAAAAUCAAUUUAGGCUCGGUAUAUAUGCAUGAUAUGAUAUACAACUUAUCCGACUACCGCUUAAAUGCGGUGUUGACCUAAUUCGGCCUAUUAUCUCCAAUUUAACUCCAAAUCAUUUCUUCUCACUUUUUACACUCCAAUUAUAACUAAAUUACCUCCAUGAUUGUGAAUGAGAUUCAAUUUAUCAGUCUCGGUAGUAAAUUACAAAAAUACCCCUAGUGGGUAAAAAUCGUAUUUUUGCUCCUAAAAUUUCCAUUAUUUUUUUAGGCUCAUAAUUCAUCAUUUCUUAACCAAUUCUCCUAAAAUGAAAAUCAAAUCUAUCCUCACUCAACACAUGAUAAAUUCGGCCAUUAAUGAUUGUGGAAGAAAAUAAAUUCUUUUCUUGUUGUUUUGUUUCUAAAUAUGCUAAACUAACUUAAAACACUAACAUAACUUAAAAUCAAAUUAAUUUAACANUGUUCUAGGAGUCGAUGUACUCCUAAUCCUAGUCUCCAAGCACAAUCUCUGUACUUUUACUAGUGUACUUUGCUCACCACCUAUCCACAAUGUACAAUACAUAAUUCACCACAUCAAUACUUGACCAUUAUAAAAUCAAUUCAGGCUCGGUAUAUAUGCAUGAUAUGAUAUACAACUUAUCCGACUACCACUUAAAUGCGGUGUUGACCUAAUUCGGCCUAUUAUCUCUAAUUUAACUCCAAAUCAAUUCUACUCACUUUCUACACUCCAAUUAUAACUAAAUUACCUCCAUGACUGUGAAUGAGAUUCAAUUUAUCAGUCUCGAUAGCAAAUUACGAAAAUACCCCUAGUGGGUAAAAAUUCAUAUUUUUGCUUUGAAAAUUUUCAUUAUUUUUCUAGGCUCAUAAUUCAUCAUUUCUUAACCAAUUCUUCUAAAAUGAAAAUCAAAUUUAUCCUUACUCAACACAUGAUAAAUUCGGCCAUUAAUGAUUGUGGGAGAAAAUAAAUUCUUUUCUUGUUGUUUUGUUUCUAAAUAUGCUAAACUAACUUAAAACAUUAACAUAACUUAAAAUCAAAUUAAUCUAACAACUUUCUCUCUCCUAACCCAUUUUUCAGAAUUGAAUUCAUCAUAAUAACUCAAUAUUCAACCAUGAAAAUCAAGAACAAAAGCAUGGGUAAGCUAGGUAUCAAGGAGAACUAAAGAAAUUCUAACUUACCUAGCUUGUUUCCUUGAUUUUUUCACUUUUUCUUUGAAUUUUCCACCUAGGUUUUCUUGUUUUUUCCUUUGUUCUUCCUCUCUUUCUCUCUCUUCCUUGCUUGGCCGGCCAUAUGAAGAAAAUGAGCUGAUUUUAUGCCUUUUUAAUAAGAAACAAUAAAAUAAUAAAGGUAUGACACAUGUCAUUUUCUUAUUGGUCCAUUUUUAAAAUUUUAAAAUUUUAAUCCUUUUUAUCUCCACCACACAAUUAGUCAAUGGUCAAAAUGAGGAUAAAGGAAGACCAUGUGCUGGAAAAAUGUCCUGGUGGUGAAAAAUUACAAUUUUACCCCUGGGGUGGCAAAAUUACCAUUUUACCCUUUUACUCCAAAUUAUACCGAAAUUAAAAUUUUUCACUUCUAAACCUCAAAUCUUACUCCAACAAGUCAAAUUAUACUCCAAUAAGUCAAAUGGGGCCAAAAAAAUCUUUUCUAAAAUUUUCAUUUUGUCCUCAGGUGGCAAAUGACCAUUUUACCCCUGGAUAGCGAAAAUUCUGGUUUGACUCCAAAUUGAUCCUCAAACUCCGAAUCACCAUAUUAAACCAUUCUAGGACUUUAAACUUCUUAAUUUCAUCAUAAAUUCUCUAUUUGAUCUAGUUUGAGGGUUAAAUCAACUUUAUUGUACCUCUAGGUACAAUACCGAUUUUUAUAAAUUUUUCGGGACUCUACUAGCAUGCAAACAUGCUAUCCAUCACUUGUAUGUCAUGAUAAAUAUUUUUAUAGAGUUGGGCUUGUCAUCUUCUCCCCCACUUGGAUCAACCAUAUGAUCCUUCUUCUUGAUUGACUUCGACAUCCGGCUAAAUAUUAUUAUUUUAAUAUUAUUUUAUUAAUAAAAUAUUAUUUUAUUCUAAGAAUUUUAUCUUGUCUCCUUGGUACCUGAAAUACCUUAUUAUGCCUCACUUGACUUCUGAAUCGCCUUUUAUCUCACAAAUUCUUCUCUGAUAAAAUUAUUAUUAUUUUAUUAUUAUUUUCUCACUUGCAAAAUAUUUUAUUCUAAACUACUCCUUUCGUCUUUUAUCACUUCUAAACAUUUUAAUUGACCUCAAUUUGUAUUCGAUCAACUUUAUUUAUCAACAUAUCAAAGUAUGGGGUAUUUCAAAAACAGUUGGUUUAGCAUGUAGAGCAAACUUGUCAUAUGGCUUGCUAUUUAUAUGCCCAUAACAAAGACAUCCAAAGCUUCUCAAAUGAUCACAUGUGGGACUUUUUCAAGUAAAACCUCAUAUGGAGUUUUAUUUUGUAAAAUAGUGAAUGGCAUGCAGUUGAUCAAGUAUGCGGCAGUAAGAACACAUUCACCCUAAAACGAAAUAAGAAGAUGAGCUUGAAAUCAUAAUGCUCGUGCAACUUCUAAAAAAUGCCUAUACUUUUGCUCAAUAACUUUAUUCUGUUGCGAUAUGUCUGUAUAGCUAGAUUGACGUUUCAUGCCAUGAUCAAAAUAAUGAGUCAUUAAAUCAUCAUGAGUAAAUUCUAAAUCAUUGUCUAUCCAUAGAAUUUUAACUCGUAAGUUAAAUUGUGUGUAAACCCAAUUAAAAAAUUACAAUAGAUACGUUUUGGUUUCAUACUUGUAUUUCAAGAAGAAGGCCCAUGUUGCUUGACUAAGAUCAUCCACUAUGGUUAGAAAAUAGUGAGAUCCAGAAAAUGAUUUUGUUUUUUAUGGGCCCCAAAUAUCACAAUGUACUAAGUCAAAGGUAUGCAUAAUCUUAUUUUUAUUGAUAAGAAAAGAUAAUCCUGCUUGUUUUGCUUUACAACAAGCAUCACAAAAUAAAGUAUUCUUGCAAUCCAAAGAAAUGGAUAAAUUAAGAACCAAAGGAAUGCGAUUAUUGGUAGAUGCCCCAAGCAUCGAUGCCAUAAAGUUGCAUGAAUCGAAUUGCUGGCUAUCAAUGCCCUCUCCUUUCUUAUCGGCUCCAAGUAAUGAAAGCCAUUAUGCUCUCUACCCAUUCCAAUAUGCGUCAUCGAGGGUAAGUCUUAAAUCACAGAAAAAUUCGACCAAAAAGUUACUAUAUAAUGUAAAUCAUGUGUCAAUUUACUUACAGACAAUAAAUUGAAACAAGAAUUAGGGGCCCCAGAGCUCACUCAAGGAUUAAUCUUUUUCCAAAAGCAACUUCGCCCAAAGCAUGAACCUCUAUUGUUUCACUGUUAUUAAUUUGUACUGGUGGUAUAUUGGGUCGAGAUACCAUAUUUGAUAAAGAGUCUAUGUUGUGGGUUAUAUGAUUUGUGGCUCUUGUUUCUACAACCCAUUCAUUGUUUCUUUUACCGAAAAAAUUAGAGGUUGCCAUGUUUGUAGAUGGGUUACUUAUUGGUGCUCCAUGACUAUUUAGUAAAGUUAAUAGUUAUUGAUGCUGGGCAUAAGUCAAACAUGGGAUAGGCAAUCCAACUGCAUCCAUGGUGGCGGCACAAGUAGCUCCUGAAGACAUGCUUGUCACUACAUUGCUAUCCCAUUAAUUUCCUCGAGAAUACGAUUGAUCACUAUUUAUUUUUUUGCUACUCCACUUUCUAGAUUUACGCUAAUCUGGAUAACCAAUCACCUUGAAACAAUAUUCUUUGCUAUGGUUUGUCUUCCCACAAUGGAUACAGGAUGGAAAUCAGCUAUGACUCCCAUCAUCAUUUUUCUUUUGUCGUAAAUUAUUUUCUAUAGUGAAUAGGGUAGUAACUUCAAUGAUGGGUGCAUGAGUUGUAGUGACCAAACGUUACUUCUCUUUCUAUGUUGCAAUGGCGUAUGCUCUUCCAAGAUUUGGCAAUGGGUCAACACUUAAUAUUUGUGACCGCACAGUUGAAUAUACUUCAUCAAGUCCCAUAAAAAAAAAAAUCAAAAACCUUUUCUUCCUUACACAUAGAUUGCAUCCUUUUCGUCGCACCAUAGGUAUAUCCACAUUUGCAUGACGGGAUUGGAUUGAGACCCUAUGACUCACCCCAAAUGGUUUUUAAUUUGCCAUAAUAGCACGAGAUCAAGGAUUUUUCUUGUUGUAAAAAGGCUAUGGUGUGUUUCAACUUGUAGACUUUCGAUGCAAUUUUUUAAGUAAAUCUUUCUUUUAAAUCUACCCGUAUUUCUCUUGUAGUUUCAACAUGAGCAGCACUACCUUGAAGCUCCUUAGCAAGUGCAUUUGUAAGUCAUGAAAGAACCACUGCAUUGCAUUGUAUCCAUGGCUGUAAAUCUAGAGAAUCAACAUGUGGUUUUUUUAUCGUUCCAUCCACAAAACCUGUUUUGUUUUUAGAAUAGUGCGCAUCCAUAAAGCUAUACCUCCACGUGAAAUAGUUAUCUCCAUUUCCAUUGAGAAGGUGCAUCACAAAAAUCAAGCUUGGAUGAUUGACGAAUGCAAGUAGUAUGGAGAAGUGGCAUCAAUAACCUUGCUUUGAUUAGCACUCGCAGUCACCACAAAUUCUUUUAUACUCUUACCUUUGUCAUUAUUUGCAUAUUCUCUUGCCAUUUAAAAAAAAAAAGAAUCAGGGUUUCAUAACCUGCUGUAAUAUCAUGAAAAUUGAAAUGACUCAAAAUAAUAGAGUCAGAAAAACCCUUGCCCUUCAUUAACAAGAUGAAGACACACACACACACACACAUAUACAUAUAUAUAUAUAUAUAUACAUGGCUUGCUUAGAGUACAAGUAAAGUAAAUAAUAUAAAAUGAAGUUUUUUAAUCUUAGACUUCUUUGGAGUGCAAGUAAAGAAAAGGCUUAAUAAGAAAAAAUUAUAUAAAAGAAUAAAUCUCAUAAAUAAAAGAUCCUCCAAUAAGUAUUAUGAUAGUUGUUACAGAAGUGAGUUAGUAAGGAAUGGAGAUAAGGUGCCAAUGAUAAAGAUUGGGCAAUUAUUAGGAGGAUUUUUCUUUUCUUGAAAGAGGUUUAUGAUAUGAUUGUGAAUGUUUCAAGUACAUCUUAUGUCAUUGUCAAUUCUUUCCUUGAUUCUAUUUUUGAUGUGUAUGACACUUUGAUUGAAUGGGAACAAAAUGAUGAUGUUGAUUUGAGGUCUAUGGCAAUGAGAAUGAAAGCUAAAUUUGAUAAGUAUUCAGGGAAUAUGGAAAAAAUGAAUUUGGUGAUGUACAUUGCCUUGAUUCUUGAUCCUAAGAAAAGCUUGCUUAAGUUGAAUUUACUAUGCAAGAUAUGUAUUCUACUGAGCAAGUUAUAUUAAUGUUUUCUUUGAUGAAAAGAACAAUGGAUAAAUUGUUUCAAUAUUAUAAAACUAUGUUGCAACCUCAACCUCAAUCUCAUGUUGGUGAAAGUGGUCAAGAGUCUCAAAUGUCAAUGAGACAAGCCAUCGGUGGUGAAGGUGGGCAUGGUAGUGUUGUUGUUUCAAGUGGUAAGAAGCCAUUAACUACUAAGAAAAGAUUAGGUGCUUUUAAGAGGCAUCAGUUAAACAGUGGCAUAGAGGAGUAGAAAUCGAAAUUAGAUAAAUAUUUAUUUAAGCCAGUGGAUGAUGAUGAGGAUAUUGACUUUGAUGUUCUCAUGUGGUGGAAACUCAAUCAACAUAGGUUUCCUAUACUUGCUGUUAUUGCUCAUGAUGUAUUGGCGGUUCCUUUAUCAACAAUUGUUUUCGAAUCCGCUUUUAGUACCAGUGGAUGUGUGCUUGAUGCAUUUAGGAGUUUUUUUUACUUUUAAAGUAGUGCAAACAGUUAUUUGUGCUUAAGAUUGGUUAAAUGGAAAAACACGUGGUAAUCCGAAGCAGAUUAAGGAUGAUUUGGACGAGAUCGAUAAACUUGAUUUUAGUAAUUAUUUCUUUGUUUCUUUAGUUCUUUGUUUAAUUUACCAUAAUAUAGUAUCUUUUUUUUUAAAUUGUUUCUUUGUUUCUUUAGUUCUUUGAUUAAAGAUUCUACCAUAUUUAUUAUUUUAUUUUUUAAAUUUGUCAAAGAUUACAUUAAAGCUCAUACGUGAAAUUAAGGCUGAGUCCGAGUCUGACUCUGAGUAAUGUGUUAUUCCUAUCGGCUAUUUUAAUUCUUCAAGUAAUAUUAUCAUUAAAUGUUAUGUAUAUUUAUAUUUAUAAUUUAUUUUUAUUAUCUUAACAGAAUCAUUUAUACUUAUUAUUUUAUAUUUUAACAUUUUUAGGAACAUGUUUUGAAAAAUUAUUAAAUUGGAGUUGGAGGUCCAAGGUCUAUCAAAUCUAUGUUUUGAAGUUUAGUAAUUUAUGUUGUGUAACUUUUAACUUUUAUGGAUUUGUAAUAUGUACAAUUUAUUAAUUUAUGUUGUACUUCUCACAUUUUUUUUAUACUGGAAAUUCACACAGGGCUUAGCUACCUUGUUAAAUUUUAUUAAUUAUGAAAUAAAAAGUACAAAAGAGGGGGACCUAAACUGUACCUUUAAGUUACAUGAUCAUGAGAAAAUUUCGGAUAAGCACCUAGAGUAAGGAAAAUCAUUUUACGUGUAUAACUUUUGAUGGUACAGUAAAACAGAUAUUCCCUACUAUUACAUUGAGUCAAUAAACUAAAUAAAAUUAAAAACAGAAAAUGUAAAUAAGAAAAGCACCUAGAAUCGAGUGUUUCAUUUUAUGACCAUAAUUUUUACUAUCGUCAUAAAAUUGAAACACAUCCAUAUUACAAAAUUCUAUGUGAAUAGCAAAAUAAGAAAAGUAAACUAGGAGUAUUACUCCUUUACAUUCAUUUAAAGCGAACAUAAGGUAAACUAACUUUAUCUAAUCUAAGAAUACCUCUAAGUUGACCUUCUGCUUGUAAAAAUACUUGCAGGUUCUGGUGCGUAUGCCCCUGAUUUGAGAGAUGGUCUGCUACCUGGUUCCCUUUUGAUGGAUGUGCGAAAUCCUAAAAGAAAUACCACUCAAGGAUUUGUGAAUGGAAGCAAGCAAAUACCGAGUCCUAGAGGAUCCCUGAUGACCCUUAUUUAUCAUGUGAACCACUAUUUUUGCAUCCAUUUCUAUCCAGAGUCUAGUAAUAUUGUACUCAAUACACAAAAGUAAACCCUUGUGUAGUGCCAUUAACUCUGCUUGUAAUGAAUCAUACGGGUCGAAAUUUUCAAAAAAUUAAAAAAUCAUGGUACCUAUAUGGUCUUGAAGGAGUCCUCCUCCAACAGCAUUCUGAAAAUUAUGCUUGGAACUGCCAUCAACAUUCAACUUAAACUUACCUACUGAUGGUUUAUGCCAAGAGAAUUUUUUGGACGAUGUGGGAUUGCCUGCUGAAAUGUUAGACCGCAUGCCUGAGCAAUCUAUAAGUCUCCCCUCCAUUGCCACCAGUGGAAUUGCCUUCCAUGAAAUAAUUGGUGGAUGAAAUUAAUAAUAAAAUGAAAAAGAAAAUAUAUAAAAUAUAUUAAAUUGGCUAAAAAAAUUAAAUAAAAUGAAAAAGAUAAGGGAAGAAACAAUUUCAUAAAUUGUACAUAAUAUGAAAUCCAAUUUAGUUAGUUAUGGGAUGCAAUUAAUCUAAAUGUAAGAAGUACAACAUAUGAGCUUAGCACAAUUUUAAGUCUAAACCCAAUGCAAUUUUUUCAAUUUUUAUCAGUUUUGUACCAUUUUAGUCCAAGCCCAUCUCAACUUUCAACUGACCAAAACCGGCCAAUGCUCUGUCCUAAACAUAUCAGUAUAAUUAUUUUUACUAAGAUAUUAUAUUUUUUAAUUUAAUAUAAAAUAGUUAAGAUUAAUUAAAAAUAUUUUAUAUAAAAUAAGAAAUAAGUUUUUCACACAUGAAAUCCUUUCUUUAAUUUUAAUUUCUAAUUUAUGAUUUAUUGACAUAAUAAACAAAUCAAUAUAAUAAUAUGAUGAGAAAUAAAUAAAUAAAUAAAAAUAAUUAAACAUUAUUUUAUAUAUAAUGUUUUUAACGUUGAAACAAAUGUUUUAAAUGUAUUGCAUAAUUGAGUAAAGUUAAAAUUUUUACUGUAUUAUAAAAGAAAAUAUUUUUUAUAAGAUGAUUCAACUAAUUGAAAAUAUUUUUAGUAAUUUAACUAAAUAAUAAAAAAUAUUAAAUUUUUCAGUAAAAUAUUUUACAUAAUCUUUUUAGUUAUUGAACGGAUGCGAAGUCGAAGAAUGGAAAAACCUUGAGAGGCGAAUCGAUUAAAGCUGUAGUGGGCCAUGGCGCUUUUAGCUGUCCUUCAGCCUCCGUCCAUAGAUUCAACCUGUGGGACCUACAAAGAGCCCAAGCCCAAAUCCUUAAAACAGAUGUUUGGUGACUAUUCGGCUCUUUCGAAUGACUUGACCCUCUUUCCAUUGAACAUUUACCAGAUAUCCAAGGAUUUCAUUUUAUGUGAGGCCAAAACCUUGGGAGGGCAAACAAGGAGCAAAUUGCAAAUCCAAGUAAUAUUCUACCCUAAAUAAUUUUGGAGAAUUUUCCCGGACGCAUACUCCGAAUGCCCAGAUCGAUCGGCGUUGCAUAGUUUUGAAGAUAUAUACACAAACUAUUCACGUUUUAGAUCCGUCCCAAAUGUCCAUUCUUCUUUAUACAAAUCAGCAGACUUUUCGUUUGAUGCUAAAAGCAAAUUUUAGUUAGCCUUGUAGAAAUGUAGGCGGCAGAGAGUUGGAAAUAAUAUUGGAACUAGAAUGUCAAAGAUGAGUGUUUACUGUGUUUCUAAAUUGGCUGCUGUUGCAUUUGUUCGGCUAUGACUUUCUCUUGAAAAUUAGCAUUAAACAAAAGAAAACAGAGUCCAUUCUUCAAUAGUAGAUUAAUUAUAUGCAUAGAAAAGCAUUUCCCACUACCCUUUUUUCUGGUCUAAUACAAACGGCAUUUAAAUCCGACCGCUGUCUCUUGCUCUGUUUCAUUGUAUAUAUCAAUCCCCUCUGUCGCACAAAUUCUGUUAAGGCAGUUGAAACAACCAAAAGGAAGUAACGAUGCGAUCUUCGGAGAAAUGUUUCGAGUGUUUGAGGCUUGUCAUCGUCCUUUUUCUUCUGUUACUGGCCAAGGCUUCUAUGGGAGGAUGCAUCCGGCCAAUAAACAAAGGUACUAAAAGUUUUGGACAUUUGUUCGACACUCAGCUUCCUCGAGGGCCAGUGCCUCCGUCAGGGCCUUCUCCAUGCCAUAACAAGCUGGAUCCUUACGAUUACCGCAAGGUCUCCUACUCCAAUGGUUAUAUCAUUUGCCCAUGAUGAUCAUAGAGUAUUUUUGUUCAUUUCUCUUGUGUCUUUUUUUUUUCGCAGCAUGCAUGGGAAAAGAAAUCAGCAGUCAGUAUUUUAAAGUAGUUAUCAAUUGUAGCAUUCUUUAUUGGAAAGUUGUUUGUUUAUUAUUUCAAAGAUUGCCCAAAUUAAAUUAAUCCAAUCAAAUGCAGAUGCAUCGAGAUAUAAAUCUGUUGCUUAUAUCUGGCCUUUACAUAUGUCCUUGCAAUAUUAGAACUUACAAAAAAAUGUUAAUGUCAUCAGUUCUACUUCCACGAAUUAACAAACUGAAAUAUGAUGAUUGAGAUGAUUAGGAUGCCUAUCUAGGAAAUUAUCGAAUUCUUGUUUUCUUAUCACGUAUAAUUUAAAAAAAAAAAAGGAAACUCUAAUUCAGCUUUAUAAGCAAAGAUAUAUAUAUAUNAUAUAUAUAUAUAUAUAUAUAUAUAUAUAUAUAUAUAUAUAUAUAUAUAUAAUUGAAUGAAAUAUUUAUAUAAAAAAUUACUUAAGUUUUGAACAUUUAAUCACUUACAGAAGAAAUUUGCUAUUUGAUGCCAUGGCAAGUGAAGGUGAGCAUCGGUUGAUUUCGAUUUUGAGAGAAAUCAAAACCUAUCAAAUCGAUUUUCCUUAAUAAUUGACCGAGGAUGAUUCCUAAAACUGAUCAAAACUAGGAAGGGCAUACCUUAAAUGUGCAGACUCCUAAAACUAAUAUCUUCAAUCAAAUAGUUGCUGUUGAUCGAGCUAGAUUAAGUUGUUCUUCUAAUAUAGCUUCCAAUCCUUUAUAUGUUGAAUUAUGUAGAAAAUGGGGAAUUAGCUUAUUAGAGGCUAUGCACACAUGAUAGUAGCCUGAUCAGUUAAAUAGAAGCUUGAUUAGUUAGGGUUAUUCAGUAAUUAAUUAUUAUUUUUAAAUUAAAGAGAAUAUUAUUGCAAAAUUGGAAUUAUCUAGGAGGAUAAAUCCCAAAUCAAAGAAGUACAUCAAAAAACAAAACCCUGAGAACCAUAAAACAGAAAUAACAAAACCCAAAAGGAAACAGAAGAAAACAAAAAACCGAACAAUUCUUGAACAAACAAAAAAAUAAAGAAAAAAUAGAGGCAACAGAGUAGAAUCAAAAGCAACAAGAAGCAAAGACUAGAUAAAAAACAAAUAGAGCUAAAAAAAGGUCAAGCUCGUGACAAUAGAGCAUCAAUUGUAGGCUAUCAAUAAAUCCACCACCCUUUGCGAGACGAUCGGCUAAAUGAUUGGCAGAUCUUGGAGCAUGAAUAAUAGACCAUGUAGCCACUUCUUUCUUAAAACUAGAGAUUAUGUUCAUAAUUCUAAUCAUUUUCCAAGGAGCCUUAUCAGAACAUUACAUUUAAGAAACAACAUUGAUAGAAUCUGAUUUUCAUGAGUAGUAAUCUAUUGAGAUGCAGUAAACAAAACAAAAGCUUCUUUAAUCACAAGAAUCUCAGCCCAUUUCGAGUUACCCACACCAAUAGAUUUUGAAAAUAAAAUUUUAGCAUGACCACCAUCUCUCAAAGUACACCUCCAACACUAGAUUCACCCGAAAAUCCUCUCGUAGCUCAAUCAACAUUAAAUUUUAAGAUAUCUUUUAAAUGAGGUUUCCAUGUCAUCUUUUUCCUACUAGUACCGCAAUAAAUAGAAGUAAAAAGCAUUAGACAGAGCCCUCAUCAUAUACAGAAUUAAGGAAUUAUCCUUUGACCAUUUCGCCAUCGUCUAUUGCCUAACUCUCAACUUAGACAUAUCAAAAACUUGCUAACUAUCCAAAACCUUACCAUUAAAGACAAUUUCAUUCUUGUGGAGUCAAAUGAACCAAAUAAUGAAAAAGAAAGCCAUGUGCCAAAUCAAAACAUUGCUCCUUGACAACAAAAAAUCAUUCCAAAUAACAAAGAAAGAAACAAUAUCCCUAAGACCCACCUAAUUAAUACCCCAUUCUUUAUACCACGAAGACUAUAAAAGCCAACUCUCUCUACAAUUAAUAAAUAAAUGAUCAAUCAUUUCCACCUCAUCAUUACAUAUGGCACACAAAGCCGAAUUUCCAUAAAUCAAUCCUCUCUUUAGUAAUUCGCCUUUAACGGCCACCCUCCGUUUCAACAACUGCUAACAAAAAAUUUAAAUUUUAGGUGGAGCAAGAUUAGCUCAAACCAGCUUCCAUAUACUAUCUCUAAAAUCAUGACCACUAUUAAGCGCAUUACAAGAAGAUUUAGGCGAAUAGAACCACUAGUGUUGUCCUUUUAAAUAAGCUUAUCUCGCACGCCCUAAAUGAGAGGAUUAUCAUUAAGAAGAUUAUAAAAUGAAAACCUUUUUCUUAACUUAACAUCCCAUAACCAAAUCUCAUCAAUCCACUUUCCGAAAUCAACCAACUUUUCUUCUCUAAGCAAAGCAAGUGCAUAAAUCCUUUAAAAGUCAUUACUUAUCCACUUAUCUUAGUAGAAACUAAUAUUAAGACCAUUUCCCACAACAAAAUUAAUCUUUCAAAUUAUUAGCAUAAGUACCAUUAGAAGAAAGAGCAUUAAUUAUGUUUUUCAAGACUAAGGAAGAAUUCUUGUUACUUGAAUUUUUUAGAAGCAAGCUCAUCAAGUCACCAUCAUUCCUUUCCACGAUCACUCGCUUCUAUCAACUAUCAAAUUCAUCCCCGAAUCUCCAUCACCAUUUAUUAAGAAAAGUGUAAUUUUCAAGCGAAAUUACUAGUUGGUUACUGACUUUACAUGUAAAAAUUCCUUUCGGCAAGUAUAUAUACUACAUUUCGUAAUUGGCUAUAAAGUGAUGAAAAUAAUCACAAUUUCCUUAAGAUUAAUUGUCUUCUUUUUCGACAAAGCUUACAUGGUAUUGAGCGGGUUUUAAGGUUUCUUGGCUAUGAUUUUUUUCACAAAUUCAAUGCUCCUCAAUUUACAAAAUCAAUACUUACAAUUUUAAUCUUUCUCUAAUGGCAACUCCAUCUGAUUUCUUAUCUUGAAUGUCCUCAUUUGCCAUAUUUUUUACAUCAAUUCGAUUACCGAAGCAAAUAUGUGUCAUAGAACUGAUCCUUUAUGCUAUCGUCAUCAAUCAAAAAUAAAUUAAGUUUUGUCAAGUUUUCAACCCAAAAGACAUAAUAGGUGAAAAAAAGUCCAUGUUUAUAUAUCUAAGACCCAUUCCAUCUUUUAUUGAUGUGGGAUCUAUGACAUACCCCAUCUAAUUGUGCAACGCCUUUAUUGCACUGACUCUUUACCCGUAAAUGAAAAGGAACCUUUACCCGUAAAUGAAAGGGAACCUUACAUUGGUCUGCGUCUACCUCAACCUUUGUAACUCUCAUAGAGAUCUCACAUCAGUGAAGAUCUAGAUUUGCUAUGAUACUAUUUGUCACAAGCCCAUGUUUUCAACCUAUAAGACAUGCUUGAUAGAUGGAGGAAGGUCUAUGUUUAUAUACUCAAUACCCACCACAUCUUUUAUUGAUGUGGGAUCUGUGACAUUCUACCCAAUCUAAUUGUGCAACGUCCUCAUUGCACUAGCUUUUUACCCAUAUAAGUGAGGGAUCUUUACACUAGUUUGAGUCUAUCUCGACCAUUAUAUCUUUCGUGAGGGCCUAACAUCAGUGAAGAUUUGAAUUUGCUCUAAAACCCUUUGUCACGGGCCCAUGUUUUCAAUACAAAAGACAUGCUUGAUAGGUGGAGGAUGAUUCAUGUUUAUAUACCUAAGACCCACACUAUCUCUUACUGAUGUGAGAUUUGUGACAUUUUACCCCAUCUAAUUAUGUAAUACCCUCAUUGCACUAACUCUUUGCCUUUAGAAGAAUGGGAUCUGUACAUUGAUAGGUCAACCUUGACCCUUGUAUCUGUUAUAGGGUCCCACAUUAGUGAAGAUCUAGAUUUGCUUUGAUACUAUUUGUUAUGGGUUAAAGUUUCCAACCUAAAAGACAUGCUUGAUAAGUGGAAGAAUGUCCAUGUUUAUAUACCUAAGACCCACCCCAUCUUUUAUUGAUGUGGAAUCUAUGACAUUUUACCCAACCAAUUGUUUGUCAUGAGCUUAUUUUUCCAACCUCAAAGACAUGCCUUAUAUAUGAAGGAAGGCCUAUGUUUAUAUACUCAAGACCUACCUUAUAUCUUACUCAUGUCAACAUUCUAUCCUACCCAAUUUUGUAAUGCCUUAGUUGUGUUAGCUCUUUACUUGUGGAGGAAAAGAACCCUUAUAGUAGUUUGGGUCUACUUUGACUCUUUUAUCUUUUAUGAGGAUCUCACAUCAAUGAAGAUCUAGGUUUGUUCUGAUACCAUGAAGAAAAACUCAACAAAGAAAAAGAAUAGUAAGAAGUGAAAAUAAAGGAUUUGUUAUUUUCUCUCAUGUGUUUUGAUGCAGAAAGUUCUCUGCUUUUAUAGAAUACAUGAUCUGUUUAUAUGAAAAGUUUUCCUAAUGGUACAAAGGUAAUUUUGUGUUGAUUUUUAGCACAUAUGAGUUAUGAUUUUGGGAUACUUGUUGUAUCUCUGUAGAGUUGAUUUUGUGUUGAUUUUUAGCACAUGUAAGCUAUGAUUCUAGGUUGUUGUUUAUACAUUUGUAAAUGUGAUUUUGUAUUGAUUUUUAGCACAUGUGAACUAUGGUUAUAAUGUUGUUACUAUUUUCUUCAUGAUGGUGCAGUGGGCUACCUUGUAAUGAGUAAUCUACUUCUAUAGAUGGAACAAUACAAAAACUUAGUGCACGUUUGGGACAGGCAAUAGCUAAGCUAUUCCUUGUCUAUUCCCAUGUUUUUGCUCUACCUCCAUUUGGUACAGCAAUGGCACAAAGAAUAGCUAUUAUCUAGUAAUAGCUAUUCUUUAAAAUGGGGUAAAAUUCAGGCAUAACUACACUGAGCUUCCCCAUAGGUUUUGCUAUUCCAUGACUGAGGAAAUAGCUCUAAAAUGUGAUAAGACUAAAGUACCCCUUAUAACUUAAAAAUAUUACAACCCCAAACCUAUAAAUAAUUUUUUUCUUCUCAUUUUUCUUUCUUUUUUCUCUCUCUUUUCAUGUUCUUUCCUUUCUCAUUCUCUCUCUAACUGGCACUCAACACCGGAGAUGACGUUGGCGGUAGUGGCGAUGGCGACGGUAGCGACGACGACGAUGAUUUCAUGAUCGAAUAUGGUCAAAAAGUGUCGAUCUAGUACUUUUAAAAAAGAUUCAACCGAGAUCCAACCAGAUCUGACACUCAACAGCCAGAUCUAACCUCGGGGAAGCGCUGAUCUAGAGCCGUAGUGGCCAGAUUCGACCAUAUGGUGCGCCAAAUCGACGUUUUAUUACACCGGUUGCCUUUCCAGCGAUUGGCCCAUGAAGAAGAAAAAAGGAAAAAGGGAAAAAAUAGAAUACAAAAGAAAAAAAUUAUUUGUAAAAUUUAAAAUAUUAAUAUUUUAUAUAUAAUUUAAACAUUAUUAUAUUAAUAUUUUAAAAUAUAUUAAAAUUAAUAAUAUAUUAAAAUUUUAAUGAGUAUAAAGAAAAAAUAAAAAAUUAUUAAUAUUUUAAUCAUAAUAAUACUAAAUUAUAAAUAAAAUAUUAAUAAUUAAAUUAUACUAAAAUAUUAAUAUUUAAAUUAUAAAUUAUAAAUAUUUUAAUUAAAUUAUAAAUUAUUAAUAUUUUAAUUAAAUUAUAAAUUAUUAAUAUUUAAAAAAUAAAAUAAAAAUAAAUAGUCAUAUAUAUAAUAAAGGGUGUUUUUAUUUUUUUUAUUUUCUAUUCCUUUCUUAUUCCAAAGUUAUUGUUGCCAACCAAACACUGCAAUAAGUCAUAACAAUACUUAUUCUAUCAUAUUCUCACCUCAUUGUAUUCCCACGUAAUAGCUAUUCUAUUCUAUUCUUGUCUAUUCCACGAAUCAAACGUGCCGUUAAGGUUACAGAUAAUGAUUAUGUUUCUUGGACAAGAUACAACAUCUUUAUUAUAACAUGACUACUAGAAUCAAUUUCACCCCAAUUGCAUUAAUCGUAUUCUAUAUGAACUUUGUUUUUUAUAUUUGAAACACUUUGAAGAGAAGAUUUUCUCAACUAGAUGAUGCCAUAAUUUGAAGAAAAGAUAAAACGUUAGUUAAUGCUUACUUUACUAAAUUAAAUGGGUUGUGGGAAAAAUUGAGAAUUUUUAGACCUUUACCUCACUGCAAUUAUGGCAAAUACAAUUAAUCAAGUGUCAAGAAUACAUUGAUCAGUGUCAAAAAGAUAAUGUUUUUAGAUUUUUGAAUGCAUUGAAUGAGACUUAUGCUAGUUUAAGGUCUCAGAUCCUAAAUGAGGCUUACAAUUUGGUGCCAAAAGAGGAAUCAGAAAGAUCAUUGCACUUGCAAUCGCUUUUCGUGGAGGCUUUUACCAUUGUCAUAUUCACUGAUGGUAAAAAGAGAACUAAAGUGAGUUGAUUUGCACUCAUUGUGAAAAAACUGGUCAUAUUAAGGAAAAAUGUUAUUAGCUCAUAAUAUUUCAUGAUGAUUUUAAAUUCACUAAAGGAAAGAAUAAUCCAAAAAGAGUGAUUUUAUUAUUAAACAACAUCUAUGCUAUUUCUCAAACUAAGCAAAAUAGAGAAACCACUGUGAAUGGCCUGUCAAAAUUAUCCCUAUAAGGAAUCAGGCUUAGAUGCUUAUGGCACUCAUCAAUGAGCAUGUAAUUAACAUUGGUGAUGAUCCUUUUUCAACAAACAAUCAGUGAAAGCUUCCUUAGUUAAUUAAACUUUAACUGGUAUGAUCAUUAAGCUCAUUUGUCUAAAUACAUAGAAGUUAUUACUUGAUGAAUUAGUAAACUUAAAUGCUUCUAUGUUUGAUCGUAAUUCUUGGAUAAUUGAUAUUAGUGCAUCAUACCAUAUAGCUUGUUCUUUAAAUUCCUUUAUUUCUUUAGAACCAGUUCAUAACAUUUUUGUUCAAAUGACAAAUAGUGCUAGGGCUCUUGUCACACGUAUAGGAUCAGUCAAGUUAUCCUCCUUAACUUUGCAUAAUGUGCUUUGUGUUCCAUUAUUCACAUUUAAUUUUGUGUCUGUUAGCAAACUUACAAAAACCAAAAGGCAUUGUCUUAUGUUCACUUAUUCAUAUUACGUUAUCCAAGACCUUACCUCAUGGACAGGGAUUGGGUUUAAUAAAGUUACAAUUGGAUUGUACUUAUUGCAAAACAAAUUGGAUGCUAAUUCCCAUUACCAAUUUUCCCUUGAGUAAUCUGUUCCUUUUCAUCCUAUUAUUUUUACAAAAUUUAUAAUUUUGUAUCAAAGAUUUUUGAUCUUUGUCAUUUAGGUUAGGACAUAUUCAUAUUCCAUCAGCCAAAAUAAAGUUGAUUCGUUAGAAUCAUCCAAGUGUAUCAUGCUUAGACAAUUUAACAUAUGAAAUUUGUCUUUUAGCAAAAUAAAAGAGAUUGCCAUUUCAUAUUCACAUUGUCACGACCCGGAACUCUCCCCCAUCGGGCCGGUGACAACCGUCGCGAGGCCUCGAAAGACAUUCUUCACCCCGAAUGUCGAUCGGAACCUCGCAAGGCUCUCGUAUCAGCUUCGCACUUCCCCGGUGAGCAAAAGUUAUCAAAUAAUCAAAAUACGAAGGAUUAAAAAUCGUUUCCAAAUCAUAAUAUAACAUGUUUUUUUUUGGCUCACAGGGACAUUUUCGUCAUUUUUAUCGAAAACCUCCAAACUUGCUAAAAAUGUAGUAGCUAAGUCGAAAAUAUAUAUUUAAUGAUAAAAAAAAUUAAGUAUCUAAAACGUUCAUUUGAAGUGAAUUUGACCAUUUGAAUAUAAUAAGAAUAUUCAAUAAAAUAAAUAUUUUCUUGUAAAAUAAUUUUCAUAAAACUAUCGGAACAUAAUUCUUAUAGCGUAAAAGAUAAUUAUAUUCAUAUAUACUAUAAAGCAAGUAACCAAAGCAUAAAAUUUCUUUUACAGUGACACGUGGGCCCAUAUCUAUCCAAAAUGCAUCGGAAGCUGGAAACCUACAGCUUUUACCGAUUCGAGUCCAAAUGAAGGUCCUUGUUCAAGUCAGCUAACUACGAAAUUCCCUGAGCCUGAAAUGUGAGGAAAUGAGGGUGGUGAGAUUAUAAAAUCCCAGUGAGUAAACAAACAUCAUCAUAAACAUCUAGAGUUGAGUACAUGGAGACAAUAAAGUAAAUCAUCAUAAACUGGGUUAUAGCAUUAGAACACAUUUUGUUCAAAACACGUAAAGAGGCUUAUGAAUCUCAUAAAAAUCUAGGCUUGUGCCAUAAAUCCAUUCUCGGGGACACCUUGGCCGAGGCAUCCUACCGAGACCGCCAAGGCUAUUAAAAUUCACAUUUCACAUAAAUCAUGUUUUUGUUUUGAAAACAUAGCCGUUCCUUGGCGUUGGCUGAGUUCCCCCUCACGUGGUGGUUUAGCGUGAAGUGAACCCUAAACUUUACCCCAGGAGAUACCCUACGCGCCUCUCCGUUCGAGGUAAGAAUAUAAUGGGGUUUACCGUGCCCCUCUAAAAGGCUGGUCCACAGAAACCCCCUACUGCAGUGAUUAAUUAAUAUAUAAUCCACCAUAUAAUAAAACUCAAUAACAUGAUAUGGCAAUUUUGUAAUUCGUAGUUUUUCAAGGUAACCAAACAAUUCGCAUUUCAAUACAAUUGCCAACUAGCCAAUCAUGCUCGAUUUAUCAUAAGCCAGUUAAUUUAAACAAUCAAAUUGCCACAAUUAACAGUCUCCGUGUACUCUAUUUUUCAAAAUCACUAUUAAUUUCAAAACAAUUUAUAAUUUAAUUUCAUUGAAACUCAUUUAUUCAUAAAACAUGAAAAUUUAUCUUUUUAAAUUCCUUUUUCCAUAGAAUUCAUGAAAGCAUCUAAAAACCACCCUAGAUAAUUAAAAUGACAGUAAGUUUACUCACAAUGUCUAGAAUGCAGACUUUCGAAGCACUCUGUCUACUGGUCCUCGGAUGCAAUUUCCUUGCCUUUAUUGGAGGACUCACCACCUUGACACAGUACAAAAUCGAGAAUUUCACUAAGUUGGUACUAAAUCAAAAUUAAACUAAUUUAGACUACCAAUGCAUGAUAUGGAAUGCAAAAAUGCACUGGUAACUAUCUAAACCCGGUAUUGGCCUAAUUCGUCUUAUCACCCGAUUAAAUUCCUAACGGGUCCGUUUAAACUCCAAUUUAAUUCUUUUCAGUUUCUAUACCUCAAUUGCACCCAAAUUAACUUAAUGUCCCUCAGUGUGGUGCAAAUUAUCAGUCCCAACAGCAAAUUACGAAAAUACCCCUAGUGGGUAAAAAUUCGUAUUUUUGCUCCGAAAAUUCCCAUUAUUUUUCUAGGCUCAUAAUUCAUUAUUCCUUAACCAAUUCUCCUAGAAUAAAAUCAAACUCAUCCUCACUCACUACAUGGUAAAUUCAGCCAUUAAUGGUUGGGGGAGAAAAUAAAUUCUUUUCUUGUUGUUUUGUUUCUAAAUAUGCUAAACUAACUAAAAACACUAACAUAAAUUAAAAUCAAAUAAAUCCAACAACUUUCUCUCUCCUAACCCAUUUUUUCAGAAUUGAAUUCAUCAUGAAAACAUGUAAUUUAAUCAUGGAAAAUAAAGAGAAAUGCUUGGGAAUAAGAAAACUCAAGCUUAAUAGAAAAAAUCUCACCUUUUUCACUUAAUUUCCUUGAAAAUUCACACUUUUUCUUUGAUUUUCUCUCUCUAGGGUUUUGUUUUCUCCUUUCUCUCUCUUGUUUCUUGCUUGGCCGAAUGUUGAAGAAGAAGAAUGGGUGGGCUGAUUUUUUUUAUGCCUUUUUAUUGUUUAAUGAAAUAAUAUUAUUUUAUUCAUAUUUUAAAUAUUUUAUUAAUUCAUUUUUUUUUCUAGCCAUCCAUUUGUCCUAUUUUUUUCACCAUGCAUUCCCUUUGACUUAUCCAAGUCUUAAGUGAAAUUUCCAGAUUUUUCCAAAGUUUUGGUGGAGCAAAUUUUUCAAAAUUACACUUUUGCCCCCGAACUUUUCAAAAAUUACAUUUUUACCCCAAAAAUUGAAAAUUUUCCAUAAUGCAUAAUUUUCACUCCUCAUACUCAUUUCACACUCCAAAUAAUUAAAUUUGAUCAAAAUCCUUUCAAAAAAUUAAAUUUUCGAUUUCGGGUGGUAAAAUUACCAUUUUACCCUUUUACUCCAAAUUAUACCGAAAUUAAAAUUUUUCACUUCUAAACCUCAAAUCUUACUCCAAUAAGUCAAAUGGGGCCAAAAAUCUUUUCUAAAAAUUUCCAUUUUGUCCCCAGGUGGCAAAUGACCAUUUUGCCCCUAGAUAGCGAAAAUUCCAGUUUGACUCCAAAUUGAUCCUCGAACUCCGAAUCACCAUAUUAACCCAUUCUGGGACUUUAAAAUUCUUAAUUUCAUUGUAAAUUCUCUAUUUGAUCUAGUUCGAGGCUUAAAUCAACUUUAUUGUACCUCUAGGUACAAUACCGACUUUUGUAAAUUUUUCAAGACUCUCUUAGCAUGUAAACAUGCUAUCCACCACAUGUAUGUCAUCACAAAUAUUUCUGUAGAGUCGGGCUUGUCAUCUUCUCCCCCACUUGGAUCAACCAUAUGAUCCUCCUUCUUGAUUGACUUCGACAUCCGGCUAAAUAUUAAUAUUUUAAUAUUAUUUUAUUAAUAAAAUAUUAUUUUAUUCUAAAAAUUUUAUCUUGUCUCCUUGGUACCAAAAAUACCUUAUUAUGCCUCACUUGACUUCCAAAUCGUCUUUUAUCUCACAAAUUCUCCUCUGAUAAAAUUAUUAUUAUUUUAUUAUUAUUUUCUCACUUGCGAAACAUUUUAUCCUAAACUACUCUUUUCGUCUUUUAUCACUUCUAAACAUUUUAAUUGACCUCAAUUUGCAUUUGAUCAACUUUAUUUAUCACCAUAUCAAAGUAUGGGGUAUUUCACACAUUCAAUCCACUACUUUACCUUUUGAAUUGUUACAUAGAGACGUAUGGGGACCCAACCCAUUUUCUUAAUGAUUAGCUUUACUUUCUUACUCUUGUGGAUGACUAUUAUCUUUCACUUAGAUUUUUACUAAUGAGAUCAAAAUUAGAUGUUGUAUCUAUAGUGCCUUCAUUUUAUAAAGUGAUUCAUAAUCAAUUUGAUGCUACUACCAAAAAAGUUAGAUCAAAUAAUGGUCUUGAGUUUAACCUCAUUGACUUUUACUCUUCAACAGACAUUGUUCAUCAAUUGUCUUAUGUAGGCACACCCAAUAAAAUAUGGUUGUUGAGAGAAAACAUCAACACUUAUUAGUGGCCAUUUGGUCAUUAAUGUUUUAGUCUUCAUUACUUUUUUAAUUUUGGGAGGAUUUUGUCCUUGUAGCUACACAUCAUAAAAAGAAUCCCUACCCCUAUUCUUAAAAGCAAAACCCCAUAUAGGAUACUGUUUCACAAACCCCUUUACAUACUUUCACUUUAGAAUGAUUGGUUCUUUAUAUUUUGCAUCCACACUUUCUCAUAAUAGGAAAAAAAUUGAUCCUAAAGCUAGGAAAUGUUCUUUAUUAGAUACCAUAUUGGAAUGAAAUAAUAUAAGUUGUAUGAUCUGAAUAGACAUCACACUUUUGUUUUUAGGGAUAUGAUCUUUCAUGAAUAUAAUCCCUUUCAGAAAUUAGUUGCCACACACAAUCCACAUGAAUAUGUUCAAUUGUUUUCUAAAAAUCAUUUUGUUUGAGAUAAUCCUAUGAUUGAUAUUUAUGAUGCUUCAUUUUCUUCCCAUUUCCUUUUUGAUGAAUUUUGUAUUGAUACAUCUCACAUGGCACCAAUCACCUCCACACAUGAUCAACAUUUUGAUAUCCUUUCACCUAAGCCUAAUGAUCAUUUUGAUCUGUCUCACAUGCUCACAACACUCCCACACAUAAUCAUCACCCUUAAAACCUUUCACCUGACCAUAAUUCCCCACUUGAAUCUACUGAUGUGUUACACACUAUUGAUUGUCAUAAUUAGGGGUGAGCAACUGGGUGGUUUGGUCUGUCUUACGUAAAAACUAAAUGGACCAACCAUUUUUAAAAAAUUGAUCAAAACUGAUCAAACAUAAAAGAGGACCAAACCGACCAAAUAUCAAAUUAGUUCAGUCUGUUUGGUUUUGGACCAAUGGAUCAAAAUUUUAUCAAUUUUUUAUUAUAAAUUACAAUAUUAAAACUUAUAAACUUCAUUCAUAAUUAUAAAAUAUAUAAAUAAUUUAAACAUAAACAAACAUAACAUUUGUUCCUUCACUCUCAUAAUUAUAUCUUUUUACAUAAAUCAUCAAAUUAACAUUUAAGAUUGAACAUAACAAAAAGUCAAAGAAAAUAAAAUUGACAGCUACAAAAUAAAACUAUUUAACACAAGACCAUUAACCAUUACAAAUUAUCAACUUGAAUCUCUUCCAUGACUUAGCUUUUCACAUUUACUCACAUAGAAAAGUAAAAAAUAAAAAAUAAAAAAUAUAAUUAGUAUAAAUUUUUUUAAUAACUAAGUAAAAGAAGAUUAAAAAUGAAAAAUUAUAAAAAAAGUCAUAAAAUUUAACAUUUACCUCAAUUGAAGUGUAAAGAAUGCAUUUCUAACCUCUUCACUCAUCAAUCAUCAACAAUGAAAAUACAAUCCACAAUCUUAAUCUUUGACAUCUCUUAAAUGCAUAAACAAAAAAAGAAAUAAAGAAAUAAAAAUUGAAAAAAUAAAAAUGAAAAAGUGAAAAUAUUAAAUGUAUAUUAUAUUUUAUAUAAAUUUAAAAAUGAUAGAAAUAUAUAUUAUAUUAUAUACAUUAAUAUAUAAAAAAUUAUUUUGGUUUUUUGGCCGAUUUGAUAUACAAAUUUUAAAAUCGAGAACUGAUCAAAAAACCAAUUAGAUUAAACAUUUUAAACUAAUUGACCCAAUAGAUCAAUUAGAUCAAACUAUUUUACUCAAAUUGCAUUUAAUUUAGGUGGAUAAUUGAUCUGGUUUGAUUUUGCUCACCCCUAGUCAUAAUACUAAACCAUUUCAUGAGCCUAUCGAAUCGCCAUCAACUAGAUGAAGUACUAAACAUAAGAGCCCUAUUAAAUACUUAGAUAUUUACCACUACUAAUCACCCUCACAUACAAACACUAUUACAACUCAACUUAUGAAAAUUACUUGUCAUCCCAUUAACUUCCUUCAUUUCAUAAGGCUUUUACCAUUUUCUUAACUUACAUAGUUAUCAUCAAGCUGUCCAACAUGCCCAAUGGUAGAGUGCUAUGAAAUUUGAGCUUGAUGCCUUAGAGGAUAAUAGUACAUAGUUUAUAGUGCCCCUUACUACUAAUGCACAUACUAUAGAGUGCAAAUGGGUUUAUAAAGUGAAGCUUAACGCAUAUGGUAGUGUAGAAAUAUAUAAAGUUAAGCUUGUAACUAAGGAUUAUAAUCAAAGAGAAGGGUUUGAUUAUCAUGAAACCUUUAGCCUUAAAGCUUAAUAAACUCUUGUUAGAUUGUUCUUAGCAAUGACGACCAUUAAAAGAUAGAUUUUGUCAUAGUUGGAUAUCAACAACGGUUUCUUGAAUGGUGAUCUUGAGACAACAAUUUAUGUGGAGCUAUCACAAGGCUAUGAAGUGAAGAGGGAGUAUCCAUUACAUUUGAAAUUAGUGUUCAAGCUCAAGAAGUCAUUGUAUAGACUCAAACAAGUUUUUACACAAUGGAACUCAAAAUAUACAAACUUUUUAUUGUAAUUUGGAUUUCAUCAAUCAAAAUUAGAUUAUUUUUAUUCGCUAAAGUAAAAAAAAAAGAACAAUUUAUAACCUUAUUAGUAUAUGUGGAUGACAUUGUUAGUACUAGUUCCUCUAUUGAAUCUUCUGAUGAUGUGAAGGCAUAUUUGAAAUCAAAGUUUAAGCUCAAGAAUCUAAAAGAGUUUAAAUGUUUCCUAUGAUUGAAAAUUGCUAGAUCAAACAAAGGAAUUUUUAUCUGUUAAAGAAAAUAUAUACUAGAUUUAAUAGACGAAUAUUGGUUUUUGCAAAACCAGUGUCAAUGUCUAUUGAUUAUGAUCAUAAGUUGACUAGAGUCGGUUGUACUCCACUGACAAAUUGUACUACUUGUAGACAAUUGGUUUGUAAACUAUUAUAUUUUACUUUUAUUAGGCCAUACAUUACCUAUUUAGUGAAAGUUUUGUCAAAAUUUAUAGACAAACCCUAGCAACACUCACUUAUAGGGAGCAUAUAAGGUUUUGAGAUACCUUAAAAGAGCAUCAGGGUAAAGAAUUCUUUUAUCAUAAGCAUUUAUUUUGCAUUUGGAGGUGUAUAGUAACAGUGAUUGGGUUGGUUGUCAAGACAUAAGGAAGUUAGUUACUAGCUUUGGUCUGUUUCUUUGUAAUUCUAUUUUUAAUCGGAAACUAAUAAAAUAUUCUGUGAUUGUAAGAAGUUCCACAAAGGCAAAGUACAGGGUUAUAAAAACUGCUUGUUGUGAAAUCAUGUUGUUAUUGUGCUUACUAAAGGAUUUUGGUUUUAAUCAUACUACUGUUGUUGACCCAUGUUGUGACAAUCAAUCUACCUUGAAUAUUUGCAAGAAUCCCAUCUUCCAUAAAAGAACAAAAGAGAUUGAAAUGGACUACCACUUUAUAAAAAAAAAACAUCAUUGUUGGAAUUGUAUCUCUAAAAUAUAUCUCCACUACUUUGCAGUUCAUAGAUUUAUUUACAAAAUCUCUUUAACUAGCAUAAUUCCUAAACAUGUAUGACACACAUGCUCAUUUUAAAGGAGAGUAUUAGAGGCUAUGCAUGUGCACACACGUGACAGUAACUUGAUUAGUUAAGGUUAUUUUAGUAAUUAGUUGAUUAACAAUCUAUUAACAUCAUAGUUAGGUACUAACUUUGCAUGUAAAGAUUCCUUUUGGCAAGUAUAUAUAUUGCUUUUUGUAAUUUAAAUGUAAAUUGGGUUUUCAUUAUAUUAUGAUAUUUAUGGUUGUGAGGAUUAUUUGUGAUGAAAUUUUAUGGUGAUUAGUGAAAGUUAGGUAAGUUGUAAUUUUAUUAUGUGUUGAAAUUUAUGAAGAGUUUUGCUAUUAAUUGCAGUGAAUAUUAAAUGUCAGCAUUUAUGAUAUCUUAUGACAAUGUGGUGAUGAAAGAGGUUUAGAUUAAUAGAGAUUGUGAGAUUGUAAUGUACUUUGCAAUAGCUAAAUUCAUUAAUUUGUGGAUAAAUAUUGUGAAUGAAUGCAACAUGUAGUUAAUAAGUGGUGUGGUUGGUGAGUUGACAUAAGCGAUUAAAACAAGUGACAAGAAUGGAGAUUUGAAAAUUGCAGAAGACAUUCCAAGCUAUUGACUUAUCGUGGAAUGCUAUAGGAUAUGUGCUUUUUCAACAUGCCUUUCAAAAGGCAAAUCAAUAUUUUGAUUAUUUAGUAAAGCAAGGGGUGGACCAGAAUGAUCUAUUUGUAGCAUGGGAAUAGCAUGGGAAAGUAGUUGGUCAAACAUGGAUGAAUGUAAAUAGACUAAUAUGUGUCAUGUAAUCUAGUGUUUUGAUAUCUUGUAGUAUCGAGUUGGUUUGAUGGAUGAAACUAGUACUAUUUUGUUAUUGCAUAGGUGUUUGUGUUAAAACGUGAUGAACAUGUAUGAGUGUCAAAAAUACUGAAAAACAAAAUUGUAUUUACUUGUUUUCCAGUUUCCAACAAGUUUGUACCAUUUUGAUGCAUCAAUAAGAGUAUUGGCUUAACAAAAAAAAAUAUGUUGAAAGUCAUUUGUUGGAAUGGAGUUUCAAUAAAUGAAAAAGGAUUUAGAGUACCAUACUAAGUAAGCAAAACGUGAGAGAUUUGGAAUUCGUAAGAACUACAAAAUAGAAUCUUGAAGAGCGCAAGUAAUCAUUAGGCAAAAAUUUGUUUGUUCAAAGAAAGAUUUUGUGCCAAAAAAAAAUUUUGUGAGGGAAACUAGAAUUCUAACACCAUCUAAAGAGCUAAGAGUGGGAUGCAAAGCCAUGAUGUAUUGUCCAAAAAAGCUUAAGAUAAUUGGUUGAUUUCAAAAUUCAUAAGAGAUCAUACCUAUGAGCUUGCUAUUCCAAAAAGUGUUCAAUUUUAUGUGUUCAUAAAAAAAGCAAGAACUUAAUGAAAUUUAAUUGAUGUACUUGUUGAUUUUGGAAUUUGUUCUAGUAAAGCCAUGUUUGUUUUAACUAAUGAAUAAGGUGACAAUAAUAUGGUUUGUUUAACUAAGUGUGAUAUUCAAAAUUAUUUAAGUAAUAAAAGAUAGAAGCAAUUUGAAAACGAAGAUGCACAUUUAAUGCUUCAAGGAAUGUAAGUCCAAGAAUCCAUAAUUUUUUAUGUAAUACAAAUAGAUGCGGAAAGUCAACUAACAAAUUAUUUUUAGGGUGAUUUUCAAUCGAGAACGGCUUAUAAGUAUUUCAGGAAUUUUGUGAUUUUUGAUCUAACCUUUUUGACAAACACGUAUAACUUAUCUUUUGUUCUUUUUAUUGGAGUUAAUCACCACCAUCAAUUCAUUUUAUUUAGUUGUGCUCUAUUAUGGGAUGUGAUAUAAGAAACAUUGUUUAAUUAUUAAACACUUGGUUGGACACAAUAUUUGAAUUUAAUCCAAAAACAAUUAUUACAGAUCAAUAUGCAGCCAUAACUAAUGCAAUUAUAAAAGUUUUGCAAAAUGCUAUACACAAUUAUUGUAUGUUACAUAUUGAAAAAAAUAUUCGGAGAACUACAGCCAUAUUUACCACUAAUUUGAUGAUUUCAAGAAUCAAAUUUUUUUUAGUGUAUCUAUUAUGAAUUAGUUUUAGAUGAGUUGGAAUUAGAAUGGACAAAGAUAAUUGAGAUGUAUGAUUUGCAUAAAAAGUUGGUUGAAGAAGUUGUAUUUUAUUUGAAAAAAUGGGUUCACACUUUUGUGCGGAGUAGUUUUUGUGCUAGAAGGUCUACUGUUUAGAGAAUUGAAAGUUUGAACAAGUAUUUCAAAAAUUAUGUCAAUUUCAACAUAAUGAUAAAUAAGUAUCUGAUCCAAUAUAAAAAGGCUAUAUACAAUAAAGAAAAUGGAAAAAUUUUCAAAAUAAUGAAUUCAAAGUCAAAUUUGAGAACAUUAUAUCCAAUGAAAAAAAAAAAGCUUUAAAGGUGUACACAAGAAAUAUGUUUAGAAAAUUUUAAGGUGAGUUAAUUCAUUUUCAACAAUAUAUUGAAGAAAUUAUUGUUGCAAAUGAGCAUGUGUAUUCUAUUUGAGAAAAAUGGGUUCACACUUAUGUGCAGAGCAACUUUUGUGCUAAAAUCUCUACUAUUUAGAGAAACGAAAGUUUGAACAAGUAUUUCAAAAUUUAUGUCAAUUUGAGCACAAAGAUGAAUAAGUUUUUAAUUCAAUAUUAGAAAGCCCUCGAUGCAAGAUACAAUAAAAAAAAGAAGAAAAUUUUCAAAACACUAUAUUCAAAGUCGAUUUUAAAAACAUUGUAUCCAAUGAAAAAAAAAAAGCUUCAAAGGUGUACACAAAAAAUAUAUUUAGAAACUUUCAACAUAAGUUAAUUCAUUCUCAACAAUACGUGGAAGAAAAUAUUGUUGCAAAUGAGCAUGUAUAUUAUAUUCGAGAAAAAUAGAUUCACGCUUAUGUACAGUGUUAUAAUAUGUUGAAGAAAGAAUUAUUGCAAAUGAGCUUGUAUAUUCUAUUUGAGAAAUAUAAGUGCACGCUUAUGUGCAAAGCAACUUUUAUGCUAGAUUGUCCAUUACUUAGAAAAUUGAAAGUUUAAACAAGUAUUUCCAAGAAUAUGUCAAUUCAAGCACACCCAUGAGUAAGUUUUUGAUUCAAUAUGAUAAGGUUCUUGAUGCAAGAUAUGAUAAAGAAAAGAAGAAAAUUUUCAAAACAAUGAAUUCAAAGCCAAUUUUGAAGACAUUGUAUCUAAUGAAAAAAAAAAAGCUUCAAAGGAUACACAAGAAAAAUGUUCAAAAAAUUUCAAAAUGAGUUAAUACAUUCUCAACAGUAUGUUGAAGAAAAGAUCAUUGUAAAUGAGCAUGUGUAUCCUAUUCGAGAAAAGUGGGUUCACGUUUAUGUGCGGAGCAGCUUUUGUGCUAGAAUGUCUACUAUUUGAAAAAAUGAAAGUUUGAACUAGUAUUUAAAAGAUUAUGCCAAUUCGAGCAUAUUGAUGAGUAAGUUUUUGAUUCAAUAUGAAAAAACCCUCGAUGCAAGAUAAAAUAAAGAAAAAGAGAAAGAUUUCAAAAUAAUGAAUUCAAAACCAAUUUUAAAGAUAUUGUAUUCAAUGAAAAAAAAAAGCUUUGAAAGUAUAUAAGAGAAAGAUGUUUAGAAAAUUUCAAAAUGAGUUAAUUCAUUCUCAAUAAUAUGUUGAAGAACAUAUUGUUGCAAAUGAGUAUGUGUACAAAAUAGAGUGCUAGACUUUGACUAAGAGAAUUUAGAAUAUAUUAAUACAUUUGUUGACUCAUCAAUAGCUAUAAUUUGUUUAUGUCACAUGUUUGAAUUUAUAGGCAUUAGUUGACCAUUCUUAUUAAGAAAAAUGUUUACUCAUUACCUAAUCAUUACAUUUUAAAUUGAUAGAUAAAAGAAACUAAAAAAAGAAAAGUUGAAAGCAUGUUAGACAAACAGCUUGAAUAUAACGCUCUAUAGAUUGUAAUGGAUCUUACAUUAGUAAGAGAUAAGAUAAAUCUUAAGAUUAUAAAUAAAGGCGUUAUAAGUAUAGUCUUUCAUCCACAUGAUAGAUAUGUCUUUUAAGUUGAAAAUAUAAAUUUAUGACAAGUGGUAUCAGAGCUUAUCUUACUCUUCACUAAUGUGAGACUCUUUAUAAAAGAUAUCAAGGUCGAAGUAAGUUUGGAUCAAGGUGGAUUAUUCUCCUUUACGAGUAAAAAAAUCAAUACAAUGAGUGCACUUGAUAGAUAUAUCUUCUGGAUUGAAAAUAUGAAUUUAUGACAAAUGGUAUCACAACUUGCCCAACUCUUUACUAAUAUAAAAUCUCUCAUAAGAAAAAUCAAAGUCGACGUAAGUUCGGACUAAGGUGAAUUCUUUUCCUUUAUGGGUGAAAAAGUUAAUACAAUGAGACGUUGCACAAUUAGGUUGAAAAUAUAAACUUAUGACAAAUGGUAUUCGAAUCUAUCUAACUUUUUAUUGAUAUGGGACCUUCUAUGAGAGAUAUCAGAGUUGAGGUAGGCUCAAAAUAAGGUAGGUUCCUCUAUUUUAUGGGUGAAAAAGCUAAUAUAAUGAGAAUGUUGAACAAUUGGGUAUGAUACAGUGAUGACUUAAUAAUCUCAAAAGUUUCAAGUUAAAUAUUCAAAUGAGGCCUUUUUUAUUAUUGAAUGAUUAACGUAAACAACAAAUGAGACUCACUAUUUAUGAAGAUACUCACAUAAUAGGCUUUUUACGAACUCUUUGGAGAAAAUUGAAGUUAAAGAAGAAAGAGCAAUAAAGGAAAGAAGAAUUCGAAAAUGGAUAUUAUAAAUAAAAAUAAUAAUUAUUUUUGUAUAUGAGAAAAAAUUAGUUUUUGAAAAUUGUUAAAUAUAUAUUGCCAUUAGUUUAUUGAAAAUAUAAUAAAUAGUUAAGAAUUAAUAGCAUUAUGAAAAUUUAGAAAUGAUAAAAAAUUCAAAUUUAUUAGGUACAUAAUUAGAGAAGUGAGAGAAUAUAUCAUUUUAUUAAUCAUCAUGACUUUUAUAUUUUUUAAUUAUCUUUAUUUUAUAUAUUUUUAAUAUAAUUAAUUAUAUUAUUAUAAAAUUAUGAAACUUAUGAAAAAUUAAGACCUAGAGUAAGGUCUUUUGUGACUUUAUGGUAUAGCUAACCUUAAUAGGAUAGAAUAUCAUGAAUCACAUAUCUAAAAGAAAUAAAAUAAGUUUUAACGUCAUAAGUAAGAGUCUUCCUUUACUUAUUUAGUAUGUUUUUUACAUUAUAAAUGUAGACUUGUGAUAAAUGGUAUCAGAACUUAUCCAACUCUUCACUAAUUUGAGACCCAUAUGAGAGAUUAAAAUUAAGGUAGUCUUGGAUCAAAGUAGGUCUCUUUUUUUUAUGGGUAAAAGAGAUAAUGUAAUAAGAGUGUUGCAUAAUUGGAUUUAAUAAAAUAUUAUGAAUCACACAUCAAUAAAAGAUGAGAUUGAUCGUGAACUUAUAAAUAAGAAUACUCCCAUGCUUGAAAGAUAUGUUUUUGGAGUUGAAAAUAUAGACCUUUGAAAAGUGAAAUCAGAGCCCAACUCUUCAUUUAUAUGAAACUUUCUAUGAAAGACAUUAAGAUUGAGAUAAAAGACAUCAAAAUAGGCCUUGAUUCUCAAUGGGUGAAAGAAUGAGUGGAAUGAUGGUGUUGCACCAUUUGUUAGGGUAUAAUGUCACGUAUUCUACAAUAGUAAGACAUAUAAUGGAUAUUAAGUUUAUAAGUAAGAGUCUUUAUCUUUAUAUCUAUUUGUAUUAGUUAAUAUGAAAAUAUAUAUUUAAAUUGUUAAUGAAAUUUUAUAUUAUAAUUUUAUUUUAUUUCAAAAGUGAUUAAUUUUUUUUUGAAUCGAAUCAUUAACCUAAUCUGUGACCUUGUAUGAUUAUUCUUUAACUACCUCUCAUGCCAAAUCUUAGGGUCGUAGUGUCGCACCAAAAUAGCACCAUAAAAAUGUUGAGUUUUUGGCAAGAAAAAUUGGUGCACUCAAGAAUCUUGGUUUUUUUUUUGUGGAUUACAAUAAUUACUUGCAUUUUAAUGAAAUAGAAGCAUUGAAAGUUUGAGUUACUGGUGGUAUCUUUGAGUAUUUGCAAAAUAUGUAGCAUGAUGACCUUAAUUUCUUAUGCUAUACAUGUUGAUCUUGAUGAUCUCAUCACUAAUAUUUCGAGAUAGAUGGUAAGAUGAAAUUAGAUUAUAAAUCUUUUAAAGAUGUAGUAUGUUUUGAUAUAAUAUAUAGAAAAAAUAAAAAAGGUAUACUUUUUGCACUAUUCUUUGGUAUUAAUCAUCAUAAGCAAAUUUUUAUCUUUGGUGCAACAUUGUUGUAUGAUGAAACAUGUGAUACAUUAAUAUUGUUAUUUGAUUAUUUUUGAAAGCAAUGUAAAGGAAAAAGCAAAUGAUAAUUCUUAAAAUUAAGACGUUGCAAUGGAAAAAGAACUUGCUUCAUAAUGGCCCAAAUUAUAUUAUUUUUUGUAUCAAAAUACAAUGAAACACCUUAGUGAUGCAUCUAAAAGAUUUAAUAGUUUUGCUAAAGAUUUUAGUAGUUGUGUUUAUAAUUAUGAUCAAGAAGAAAAUUCUCUAACUUCAUGGGAUCAUGUGCUUGUCAAAUAUAAUUUGAGGACAAUAGUUGUUUGUGAAGACAAUUUGAGUUGAAAGAAAAUGGGCUUUGAUUUAUGGACGACAAACUUUUUUUAUGAAUAUGUCCACUACUCAAAGAAGUGAGAGUAUGAAUAACCAAUUAAAAAAUUACAUUGGUUAUAUAUUAUGAUUUAUUACAUUUUUUCCAUCACUUUUGGAGAUUAUUGGUAGAUAACCAUUACGAGGAGUUGAAAGCUGACUAUAAAGACAAUCAAAGUAAGCCAUCUUUGUCAUUUUCAGUGGAGAUAUUGAUGCAUGCAGCAUAUGUGUAUACUUUAAUAGUUUUAAAAAUGUUUUCUAUUAAACUUUAGCUUAUUUGAGAUUGUGAGUUGUACAUUACUGAAAUUGCUGGGAGUACUACUAGUUACAAAGUCAUUCUUCUAAGAAAACCUUGUCAUUAUACAAUUAAAUAUGACUCGUCAAAUUUCACAAUCACUUAUAGUUGUAAGAAACUUAAAUACGAUGGUAUUAAUUUUAUGUUCUCAUGCUUUUAAGGUGCAUUUUUUUUUCAAAAUUUUAAAAGAGUUCCAAAUUAAUACAUAUUAAAAUGAUUGACUAAAAAAGCAAAGAUUGGAGCUGUGGUAACUUAUUUUGCAUUUACUAGAUCAAUGAUCCUAAAGAAAAUGCAAGUACUUAUUACAAAGUUUGGCUUAGAUGGUAUUCUAAUUUAGCAGCAAGAGCGGCAAUGAGUGAGCAAUCAUUUGGCUAUGAGUAAUGGAGAAAAGACAUUAAGCAAAGUUAAGACAACUUUGAAGUAGUUAUCAAUUGAAGAAUCUCGAAACUCCAAUGAUGGAAAACAAGUUUUUCAAUUUGACAAAAUGGAGAGAUGAGAAAGAAGGCAAAAAAGUCAAAAGAAUCAAAUGCAAAUCGAAAAGUAAAGGAGAUUGAUCAUCUAGUUGACUAAAAAAUACUUUAGAAAAAGCUAGAAGAAAGAAAAAAUGCCAAAUUGACACAUUGGUAGAGACUCCACAAGUUUAAAAGGUAAAGGUAAUAAAUGCUUAAUAUUGUUUUAUAUUCUGUUUUGAUUUUAUUUUACCGUUAUAAUUUAUAACCAUGUAUUCAUUCUAAUAAUUACAUAGGAAUCAAGCCAAAUUGCUCAUCCUUCGUAUCAUAGUACUGCUAAUGGAUUCAAUCAAAAUGCUCAAUCAUUUCCAUUUGCCCAGAUAAUUAAAAAUAUUAUACUAGUAAAAUUAAAUUCUUAUAUUUUAUAUAUCACUAAUUUAUUUAAAUGUUUGACAAGAAACUCAUUUUGACAUCCAUUAGUCAAAUUUGGAUAUUCUAAAUUCUUGUGGUUAACAUUCAACAUCUCAAUUCACAUUGAAAUUUUUAGUUUCAUGAUCUUAUUUGAGUUUGAUAAAGAUUAUUAUCUUGUAGUUGAUUUUCUUAACUUUUUUUGAACUCAAAGAUCAAGCAACAAUGAAUUCUAAUUAUGACAAAUCUAACAUGAAUCAUUCUACUAUCACAAGUUUAGGGGAUUUACUACAACUAAUUUUUAUAUAUUUAAUAAACAAAUUUACUUUUUUUUUAUUUUUGAUUAUAAUAUUUAUUUAAUUUUUUAUUUGUAUGUAUAUAUAUAGGUUCAAAUAUCACAAGCUCCUAUUUCAAAAAGAGAAACUUCAAAAGUAAAUGAGAAGGAUAAAUGAAUUUGAUUUAUGGACGACAAAUUUUUUGUGUGGAUAUGUCCACUACUCAAAGAAGUAAGAGUAUGAAUAACCAAAUAAAAAAUUACCUUGGUUAUAUAUUAUGAUUUAUUACGUUUUUUUCAUCAUUUUUGGUGAUUAUUGGUAGAUAACCGUUACGAAGAACUGAAAGCUAACUACAAAGACAAUCAAAAUAAGUCAUCUUUGUCAUUUCUAGUGGAGAUAUUGAUGCAUGCAGCAUAUGUGUAUACUUUAAUAGUUUUAAAAAUGUUUUCUAAUAAACUUUAGCUUAUUUGGGAUUGUAAGUUGUACACUACUUAAAUUGCUGCGAGUAUUAUUAGUUACAAAGUCAUUCUUCUAAGAAAACCUUGUCAUUAUACAAUUAAAUGUGACUCAUCAAAUUCAACAAUCACUUCUAGUUGUAAGAAACUUGAAUAUGAUGGUAUUAAUUUUAUGUGCUCAUGCUUUUAAGGUGCUUUUUUUUUCCAGAAUUUUAAAGGAGUUCCAAAUUAAUACAUAUUAAAAAGAUGGACUAAAAAAGCAAAGAUUGGAGUUGUGGUAACUUUUUUUGCAUUUAUUAGAUCAAUGAUCCUAAAAAUGAUGUGUUAUAGAAUAAGAAAUGUGUAAAUAUUCUUUUAUUAAUAAACGUGAUUAUAGGAAUUAGAAAUCACCAUAAUUAUAGGGAUUAAGAAUCAUCAUAAUUAUAGGGAUUUUAUUUUCUUUAUUCUUUUCCUAUUUUAUAGAUGUUUAGGCUGUAUAUAUAGAUGAUGUAUUAUGAAUGAAAUAUGCUGAGUUUUUUCUUCCUAAAUAACAUGGUAUCAAAGCUGUUUCGGCAGAUCUGUUUCCUCUAAAAAAGACUUCUUAGUUUUUGGUUCUGUUCCACACGCCGGCCAUCUAUUGAAUAUUCACUCCGGUCUUCUCUUCUAGUCUUCAUGCCAGAAGGUUUCAACAAAUAGUUUGGUAUUCUUGUUGGGUUUCGUUACUGAGUUUUCAAGAUGGCAGAGUUUGUGCCAGAGAAAAAAUCAAUGAUAGUGGUUGAUGUGAUUCCUGUGAUGACAAAGAUCACAGAGCAUAAACUUAAUGGUUCCAAUUAUUUGGAUUGGAGCAAGACAGUUUGGGUCUAUUUAAUAAGUAUUGAUAAGGAUGAUCAUAUUACUAAUGAUCCUCCUACUGAUAAUACAAGGCAAACCUGGAUGAAGAAAGACGCACGACUGUUCCUGUAGAUUCAAAAUUCCAUUGAUAGUGAGAUUAUUAGCCUGAUUAAUCAUUGUGAGUUUGUUAAAGGGUUGAUGGAUUAUUUAGAUUUUUUAUAUUAUGGUAAAAGGAAUAUCUCUCGUAUUUAUGAGGUAUGUAAAGCUUUUUAUUAUGCAGAAAAACAAGAUAGGUCUCUCACAGCCUAUUUUAUGGAUUUUAAAAGAAUUUAUGAGGAGCUUAAUGUUUUGUUGUCUUUUAGUCCUGAUGUGAAGGUUCAAUAGGCUCAACGGGAGCAAAUGGCGGUUAUGAGUUUUCUUGCGGGUCUUCCUCCAGAGCUUGAGACUGUCAAAUCUCAGAUUCUUUUUGGUUUCGAGAUCUCCUCUCUAUAUGACACCUUUACAAGAGUACUUCGUAUAAAAAGCUCUAGCUUCACAUUGGCUCCGACUAAUAAUAGUGCUCUUGUAAGUGGCCGGAAUAAUGGAAGUGGUAAUUAAGGAAGAGGAACGGGCAAUCGUAACUGAGAUGUUGAUAGUCAUAGUCAAGAGUCAGGAGGAAUUGUGUGUUAUUAUUGUCAUGGGUCGGGCCAUACAAAGCGUUUUUGUAGGAAACUCCAAAAUAAGUCUUAGCGAGGUCAAUCAGCAAAUGUUGUAGCUUCUAAUACUUCAUCUUCUGAUAAGACUAUUCUAGUUUUUGCAGAUAAAUUUGCUCAAUUCUCUCAAUACCAGGAAUCAUUAAAAUCCACUACUUCUCUUAUCACAGUUAUCGCCGAGUCAGGUAACUCCACUACAUGUCUUAUUUCCUCAUCAUCCAAAUAGGUCCUUGAUUCUAGUGCCUCAAAUCAUAUGACAGGUAAUUUGAAUCUAUUUUCCACUUUCCAAUCACAUACAACCUUCUCUAAUGUUACUUUAGUCGAUGGAUCAACCUCUUCUGCUCUUGGUUCUAGAACUACUAAUCCAACUCCAUCAAUUUCAUUGUCUAAUGUCUUAAAUCUAUCUAAGUUUUCUUUUAAUCUAAUCUUUGUUAGUAAACUCACUCGUGCCUUAAAUUGUUGUAUCUCAUUCUUUCUCGAUUUUUAUCUAUUUCAAGAUCUUACGACGAAGCGGAUUAUUGGUAAAGGUCAUGAGUUUGGAGGUCUCUACUACCUUGACACAGAGGUGCCAAGAUCCAUUGCUUGUUCAAGUGUAUUGACCCCCUUUGAGGUGCAUUGUCGGUUGAGACAUCCUUCUCUGUCUUCCUUAAAAAAAUUAUGUCCUCAAUUUCAAUAUGUAUCUUCGUUGGAUUGUGAGUCAUGUUAGUUUGCCAAACAUCAUCAUCUCCCUUCAGUGUCUAGAGUCAAUAAACGGACUAUGUCCACUUUUGAGUUAGUCCAUUCUGAUGUUUAAGGUCCUUGUCCUAUUGUGUCUGAAUCUGGUUUUAAAUACUUUGUUACUUUUAUUGAUAACUAUUCUCGUGUCACUUGGCUAUACUUAAUGAAAAAUCGUUCUGAAUUAUUUUCUAUUUUUUGUGCCUUUUGUGCUGAAAUAAAAACACAAUUUAAUAUUCUGUGCGUACAUUGCGAAGUGAUAAUGCCAAAGAAUAUUUUUUCGAUACGUUUCAGUCUUAUAUGAUUCAGAAUGGCAUUUUUCAUUAAUCUUCUUGUAUUGAUACACCCUCUCAAAAUGGAGUUGUCGAGAGAAAAAAUAAACAUCUCUUUGAAGUAGCCCGAGCACUUCUUUUUUAGAUGAAAGUUCCUAAACAAUUUUGGGCUGAUGCUGUCUCCACAGCUUGUUUUCUGAUUAAUCGGAUGCCUUCCUCUGUCUUUCAUGGUGAUAUUCCUUAUAUUGUCCUAUUUCCUUCCAAGUCUUUGUUUCCUAUUGAACCUAGGAUAUUUGGUAGUACAUGUUUUGUUCGUGAUGUUCGUCCCCAAGUCACCAAAUUAGAUCCUAAAUCUCUCAAGUGUGUUUUCCUUGGGUAUUCUCGUCUUCAGAAAGGUUACAAAUGUUAUUCUCCUACUCUUAACCGAUAUCUUGUCUCUGCAAAUGUCACUUUCCUUGACAAUACUCCUUUCUUUUCCUCAUCUUCUAGUUAUGAUCAUUAGGGGGAGGAAGAUCAUCAUCUAUUAGUUUAUAUUGUAACCUAUUCUGUCAAUACCACAGAUAUUCUUGCACCUGAUCCUGCACUUGCUCGACCACCUAUUGUCCAAGUCUAUUCCAAACGACUAAAGGCUCAGACCACAUGCCCUUUACCAGUCCCUUCGUCGUUAGAUCCAGUCUCUAGUGAUCAUGAUCCUAGUCUUCAUCUCCCUAUUGCUCUUCACAAAGGUAAACAUUAGUGUACUUAUCCUUUUUCAUCGUUUGUUUUUUAUGAUCACUUAUCUUCUUCUUCUAGUUCAUUUGUUGCAUCCUUGGAUUUUGUUUCAAUUCCUAAAACUGUUCAUAAAGCCUUGUCCUAUUCUGGCUGGCAUGCUGCUAUGGUAAAGGAGAUGGUGGCUUUAGAUGGUAAUGGUACUUGGAAUUUGGUAGAUUUGCCUGCUAGGAAGAAAGCUAUUAGGUGUAAAUGGGUGUUUGCUGCAAAGGUAAAUCCUGAUGGAUCAGUGGCUCGCCUUAAAGCCCGUCUUGUUGCUAAAGGGUAUGCCCAGACUUAUGGUGUUGAUUAUUUUGAUACUUUCUCUCCAGUAGCUAAACUUACGUCUGUUCAUUUAUUCAUCUCUAUAGGGGCUACCUAUGAUUGGCCUUUACAUCAAUUAGAUAUCAAGAAUGCUUUUUUACAUGGCGACCUCUAGGAGGAAGUGUAUAUGGAGUAACCACCUAGGUUUGUUGCUCAGGGGGAGUAUGGAAAAGUCUGUCAUCUUCGAAAAUCCUUGUAUGGCUUAAAACAAAGCCCCCGUGCUUGGUAUGGCAAAUUCAAUGAGGCAGUUUAGGAGUUUGGGAUGAAGAAGAGUAAGUGUGAUCACUCAGUGUUUUAUAGACAGUCUGAGGCAGGCAUAAUCUUACUAGUAGUGUAUGUUAAUGAUAUUGUCAUUAUUGGGAGUGACACUGCAAGUAUUUCCAUCUCUCAAAUCCUUUCUUCAUACCUAGUUUCAGACAAAAGAUUUGGGGUUGUUUAAGUAUUUUUUGGGUGUUGAGGUGACAAGGAGUAAGAAAGGUAUAUUCUUGUCUCAAAGAAAAUAUGUUCUUGACUUGUUGAUUGAGACAAGAAAAUUGGGUGCUAAGCUGUGUAAUGCAACAAUGACUCCUAAUUUGCAACUUACAAAAGAAGAUGGUGAAUUGUUUGAAGACCUUGAAAAGUAUAGAAGGCUGGUUAGAAAAUUGAAUUUUCUUAUGGUGACUCGUCCUGAUAUUGCAUACUUUGUUAACGUUGUCAAUCAGUUUAUGUUUGCUCGAAUAAUUAACCAUUGGGCAGCUUUGGAACAAAUCCUAUGUUAUUUGAAGGGGGCUCCAAGAUGUGGUCUAUUUUAUGGAAAUCAUGGACACACUAAUAUUGAAUGUUUUUCAAAUGUAGAUUGGGCAGGUUCCAAGAGUGAUAGGAGAUCCACUACGGGGAUAUUGUGUUUUUAUUGAAAGAAAUCUAGUCUCAUGGAAAAGUAAGAAGUAGAAUGUAGUAUCUCAAUCUAGUGCAGAAUCAAAAUACAGAGCUAUGGCACAAACUGUGUGUGAGGUAGUAUGGAUGCAUCAGCUAUUAAGUGAAGUUGGUCUUAAGUUUUCUUUGCCGGCGAAGUUGUGGUGUGAUAAACAAGAUGCUCUCCAUAUUACCUUCAAUCCUGUGUUUCAUGAACGAACUAAGCAUAUUGAAAUUGAUUGUCAUUUUGCUCGUGAAAAGAUUCAGCAAAAAUUCAUCUCUAUAGGAUAUGUUAAAACUGAAUACCAACUAGCAGAUAUCUUCACAAAAGCAUUAAAUGUACCUCGAGUUAAUUAUAUUCGUAGUAAGCUGGGCAUGAUUAACAUCUAGGCUCUAGCUUGAGGGGGAGUGUUAUAGAAUAGGAAAUGUGUAAAUAUUCUUUUAUUAAUAAACGUGAUUAUAGGAAUUAGAAAUCACCAUAAUUAUAGGAAUUUUAUUUUCUUUAUUCUAGGGAUUUUAUUUUCUUUAUUCUUUUCCUAUUUUAGAGAUGUUUAGGCUGUAUAUAUAGAUGAUGUAUUAUGAAUGAAAUAUGCUAAGUUUUCUCUUCCUAAAUAACAAGAUGCAAGUACCUAUUACAAAGUUUUGCUUAGAUUGUAUUCUAAUUUAGCAGCAAGAACGACAAUGAGUGAGCAAUCAUUUGGCUAUGAGUGAUGGAGAAAAGACAUUAAGCAAAGUUGAGACAACUUUGAAGUAGUUAUCAAUUGAAGAAUCUCGAAGCUCCAAUGAUGGAAAACAAGUUUUUCAAUUUGAUAAAAUGGACAUGAUGAGAAAAAAGGCAAAAAAGUCAAAAGAAUCAAAUGUAAAUGGAAAAGUAAAGGAAAUUGAUCAUCUAGUUGACCAAAAAAUGCUUUAGAAAAAGCUAAAAGAAAGAAAAAAAGCUAAAUUGAUAAAUUGGUAGAGACUCCACAAGUUUAAAAGGUAAAGGUAAUAAAUGCUUAAUAUUGUUUUAUAUUAUGUUUUGAUUUUAUUUUACUGUUAUAAUUUAUAACCAUGUAUUCAUUCUAAUAAUUACAUAGGAAUCAAGCCAAAUUGCUCAUCCUUCAUACCAUAGUAUUGCUAAUGGAUUCAAUCAAAGUACUCAAUCAUUUCCAUUUGCCCAGACAAUUAAAAAUAUUAUACUAGUAAAAUUAAAUUUUUAUAAUUUAUAUAUCACUUAUAUAUUUAAAUGUUCGACAAGAAACUCAUUUUGACAUCCAUUAGUCAAAUUUGGAUAUUUUGAAUUCCUGUGGUUAACAUUCAACAUCUCAAUUCACAUUGGUAUUUGUAGUUUCAUGAUCCUAUUUGAGUUUGAUAAAGAUUAUUAUCUUGUAGUUGAUUUUCUUAACUUUUUGUGAACUCAAAGAUCAAGCAACAAUGAGAUACUAAUUAUGACAAUUCUAUCAUGAAUCAUUCUACUAUCACAAGUUUGGGGGAUUUACUACAACUAAUUUUUAUAUAUUUAAUAAAUAAUUUACUUUUUUUUUAUUUUUGAUUAUAAUAUUUAUUUAAUUUUUUAUUUGUAUGUAUAUAUAUAGGCUUAAAUAUCACAAGCUCCAAUUUCAAAAAGAGAAACUUCAUAAGUAAAUGAACAAGAUAAAUGAAUUUGAUUUAUGGACAACAAACUUUUUUUGUGGAUAUGUCCACUACUCAAAGAAACGAAAGUAUGAAUAACCAAACAAAAAAUUACAUUGGUUAUAUAUUAUGAUUUGUUAUGUUUUUUUCCAUCACUUUUGGAGAUUGUUGGUAGACAACCGUUACGAAGAGUUGAAAGCUAACUACAAAGACAAUCAAAGUAAGCCAUCUUUGUCAUUUCCAAUGGAGAUAUUGAUGCAUGCAGCAUAUGUGUAUACUUUAAUAGUGUUAAAAUUGUUUGCUAAUAAACCUUAGCUUAUUUGGGAUUGUGAGUUGUACACUACUGAAAUUGUUGAGAGUACUACUAGUUACAAAGUCAUUCUUCUAAGAAAACCUCGUCAUUAUACAAUUAAAUAUGACUCAUCAAAUUGAACAAUCACUUGUAGUUGUAAGAAACUUGAAUAUGAUGGUAUUAAUUUUAUGUGCUCAUGCUUUUAAGGUGCUUUUUCUUUUCAGAAUUUUAAAGGAGUUCCAAAUUAAUACAUAUUAAAAAGAUGGACUAAAAAUGUAAAGAUUGGAGUUGUGGUAAAUUCUUUUGCAUUUAUUAGAUCAAAUGAUCCUAAAGAAGAUGCAAGUACCUAUUACAAAGUUUUGCUUAGAUGGUAUUCUAAUAUAACAGCAAGAGCGGCAAUGAGUGAACAAUCAUUUGGCUACGAGUGAUGAAGGAAAAACAUUAAGCAAAGUUGAAACAACUUUGAAGUAGUUAUCAAUUGAAGAAUCUUAAAGCUCUAAUGAUGGAUAACAAGUUUGUCAAUUUGAUAAAAUGGACAUGAUGAGAAAGAAGGCAAAAAAGUCAAAAAAUCAAAUGUAAAUCUAAUAGUAAAGGAGAUUGAUCAUCUAGUUGACGAAAAAGUACUUUAGAAAAAGCUAGAAGAAAGAAAAAAUGUCAAAUUAAUACAUUGGUAGAGACUCCACAAGUUUAAAAGGUAAAGGUAAUAAAUGCUUAAUAUUGUUUUAUAUUAUGUUUUGAUUUUAUUUUAUUGUUAUAAUUUUCUUUUAGUCUAUAUAACCAUGUAUUCAUUCUGAUAAUUACAUAAGAAUCAAGCCAAAUUGCUCAUCUUUCGUACCAUAGCACUGCUAAUGGAUUCAAUCAAAGUACUCAAUCAUUUCCAUUUGCCUCGAUAAUUAAAAAUAUUAUACUAGUACAAUUAAAUUCUUAUAUUUUAUGUAUCACUUAUAUAUUUAAAUGUUCGACAAGAAACUCAUUUUGACAUUCAUUAGUCAAAUUUGGAUAUUUUGAAUUCCUGUGGUUAACAUUCAACAUCUCAAUUCACAUUGGUAUUUUAGUUUCAUGAUCCUAUUUGAGUUUGAUAAAGAUUAUUAUCUUGUAGUUGAUUUUCUUAACUUUUUGUGAACUCAAAGAUCAAGCAACAAUGAGAUUCUAAUUAUGACAAAUCUAUCAUGAAUCAUUCUACUUGUCAUAACGUGCGGGUCCGGGAACUCGUCUGCUAGACGCAGGUGAAAAUUAAAUGAGUUUAGGAGUCGCCACCAAUCUUUUUUAUCUAGGUGUGAUUGGUCACCUAUUAACCCGAUUCUAAUCGACGAAGUCCUAAAUUAAUUUUAGGUCCCUCGAAAGAACGAGAACUGAUCCACGUUUUUUUAGAGAUGGGUUCGGAAGUGAGGUUACGCACGGAGAAGGAUUAGCACCUCCGUAGCGCCCGUUCCAUGAACGAUACCAUUUAAUCUUAAGUUAUCCUAUUAUAGCCUACUUUUGAUUUAAUCCCUACUUAUUAACUAAUUUUUUUAUUAAAUUGACUAAUUGAGUUUUUUUUGGUUUUAAGUAUACACAUGAUGCAAACGUAAAAUGAUGUUAUGACUUGUUUAUUUUAAAUAAUGGAGUCAGUAAUCUUUUAUUGGAAAAUUAUUCGAAGACCAUCCCAACGCUUUGGUGAAGUCUCGAAAUUCUCCUCACCUAGAGAUAUCCCCGGAAGAACUCGUCUCUACAAGCUCAUCGGGAAAUCCCAUCAUCGAAACUCCCGCACCAUUUGCAAGAUAAAUGUGGCAUGCUAUGACAGGAUAAAAUGAUGAUAUCUACAUGCACACGUUUAUUGACUUAAGUGGUUUAUAAUUCACCCAAUUAUGUGUUUAAUAAUAAUUUUUUUUAUGGAUUAUUUAUUAUUUUUUAUAUUUUUUAUUUUUUUUGUUUUCUAUUUAAAUCCAUAUCCUUUAAUUAACGUUGUUGGUUAAUUUUUUACUUGAUUAUAUAACUUAUCAAGUAAACAAUUAAUUAAUUUUUUCAAACGAUUAAAUUAACUUUAUUUAGUAAUAUUUAUUUAAGCUAAUUAACUAAUUUAAGUUUGGAUGCAACAUUAUGUAAAUUUAUUUUUUUUUAACAAUGACUAUUUGACUUAAUGGGUAUUGGAGUUUAGAGUUCGGAUUUAUCCCAACGCUUCGGUGAAAAUCUGUCUCAAACUUCGUACCCAAAAAAAAAAUCCAUUUAAAAGAGGCAACUCUUUACCUUUCUUAGAUGAAAUUUCUCAAACAAUCAUCUCAUUUUUCUUAUAAUUUUUUAUAUUUGUAUCAUGUCGUUUUUUAUUUUUAUUUUUUAUUUAUAUAUAUAUAUAUAUAUAUAUUAUUUACAAGUAUCUAAAUAUGAAUAUUGAUCCCAAUUAUAUAUAUAUAUUUAUUUACUAUUACAACCAUUAUCAUCUUUUUAGUAUUUUUUUUUAUUUUUUUUUGGAUAUUUGUUUAUAUCCAAUUUUUAUCAAAUAUUUACGCAUAUUUUCAUCUACCACUUUAUAUUUUGUUGUUAUUUUUCUACUUUGAAAUAUCACAUAAUCUCUACAUAAUAUAUUUUUUGUCUUAAUUAUUAUCCUUAUGCUCCUAAUAAUAUGUCUUUAACAUAAAUAAUUGAGCCACUACAAUGAAUAAAAAUAAAAAAAAAUUAAAGUAAAAAGGCAUGUAAGUUAGAUCUUACCUUGUGUAGGUUUAGAUUAACCCAAAAAGGAUAAAAUUAUAUGGGCUAAGGCAAGCCACCAAAGGUACAACAACAUACAAAAAUUUCUCAAAAAAAUACGUGAGAACCCCCCACCUCCUUUCUCCUUUUUCUUUUUUUCUUUUUUCUUUCUUUCUUUCAUUUCCUUUCUCUUUCUUCUUUCUUUCAUUUUCUUUCUUUCUUUCUCUCCUAGCCGCUCCCCCCUUCUUAUCUCUUUCUUUUUCUUUUCUCUUUCUUUUUUUUUUCUUUCUUCUCAUUUCUUUCCCCCGCUGGCCUCUCCUUUCUUUUUCCUCUUUCUUUCUUCCCCCUUCUCUUUCUCUUCUUUCUCCCUGCCGGGGCGUCGCACUCUUCUCCUCUUCUUUCUCCCUCUUCUUCUUUGUUUUUUUUGUGUUUGAUUCUUUUUCGAUUUUUUGGUGGAUGGAUCUUUUUCUAUGUGGCUCAAGUAGCUUGUUGUUGGUAGAUUUUUUUGAUAUGUGGUUCUCCCCUUUUUUGGUUUUGCAGGUUCCAUUUUAACAGCUGGGUUGUCUAAAAAUUUGGACAACCCGGCAAUGAGAUUCUGGCAUCAAGGAGUUGGUGGCGAGAGCCCAAUCACGUAUGGUGGUUGGGGAAGGGAUGGCUGGGCGUACGCCCAACCAUACCUCUCUUCUUCUUUUUUUUUUUUUUAAUUUUUUAUUAUUUUCUUUAUUUAUUUUUCAUAUAUUUUAUUUUGUUUUAUUAUAAUUUAAAUUUUUUUAUUUAUUUUUUUAGGUGUCUCCAGUUGCCCCUCUUUGUACAUUCUUGAGAAUCAAGAAUAGUGCAAAGACGUAGACACCGCAUUUGACUUAUCUCGAAGCCUGUUGAUUUAAUCAAUUCGAUCUAGGCUCGAUUUAUCUCAAAAUAAGUUCGAUUUAAACAAAAAUGAAAUUUCUAGACUUGAUCUGGGCUUGACCCAUGUUAGAACAAAUUCGAUUAAAAUUCUUAGACUUAAUCUUGGCUCGACCUAUCUCACAACAGGUUUGAUUUAAACAAAAUUGAAAUUUCUAAACUGAAUCUAGGCUCGACCCAUAUUAGAACAAAUUCAAUUAAAAUUCUUAGAUUUAAUCUAGGCUCGACCUAUCUCACAACAGAUUCGAUUUAAACAAAAUUAACAUUCCUAGACUUAAUCUAGGCUCGACCUAUCUCACAACAGGUUCGAUUUAAACAAAAUUAAAAUUCCUAGACUUAAUCUAGGCUCGACCUAUCUCACAACAAGUUCGAUUUAAAAAUUAAAAUUUCUAGACUUAAUCUAGGCUCGACCUAUCUCACAAUAGGUUUGAUUUAAUUCUUUAAUGCUAACUUAAUUGGAAUAACAUGAAAUGAAAAGACUCAAAUCCUUUCAUUGAAAUUUUACAAUCUCAACAUUUUAGGUCGAGUGAAUUUCGACCCUCAAAGCUUGGGACAUGAAUUAAUUUUGAUUCUUGUCGAGUGCAUGGCUAGGCAUGUAUGCAUGAUUGACAUGAUGAAACGUUUUCAUGUUUAUGAUUCAUUAAGGUUCCAAGACCUUUCUCUUGCUUCAUCCGAUUUUUCACUGUAGCUUUCAAUGACCUUCGUCUUGUGCCUUUCUUCUGGAGGCUUUAGGUAACUCUGGAUUUUCCCUAAGCACCUUUUCUUUUGACAUUUGAUUUUGCCCUAAGUUUAAGGCUCCGCCAUUCUUUUUCUUCGUUAUUAAGUCUUUUGCUGAACAAUGAGUAUAGUUCCUUGCUUAAUUAGUUUAUUUCUUUUACCAGUCAUCAUUAAUUUCCAUGACAGCCAUUAUGUGAAAUCAAUGGGAUAGUAAAGAACAAAAGGGUUAAAAUAGAGAGGCGAAGGAGAAUUUCAUAUAUGAGAUGUCAGAUAUUUCAAGGCAAAAAAGAAUUUACAGGGCCAACAUUAGAUCUUUAAGUAAUGAACACCUAGACCACUCAGAGAAAACAAUCUGAUAUUCGACUUCAAGAAUUGUCCUUGAUUGAUGCUUUGAGCAAAUCUGUAGGUUGCAGACUCCUUAACUUCCCCUACUUUGCGAAAUUGUGGAACUCCAUAUAUGGUGUAUUUCUACCUCAAUCUUGUGUUUCUUUUAGGCUGACAUCCUCAAAUUCCAUUCUAACUUCUUGUUUUUCAGCCUCAAGCUGCCCUUUUUGGGUUUUCAGCAUGAGCCUCCUCCUUUAGGUACGAGCUGCCCUUUUCGGGUUUUCAGCAUGAACCCCUUUCGUUUUUUUUUUUAAGCAUAGUACUUUUUCACCGCAUCCGCAUUUAUCGGAUUAGGCAGAUCUCCCUCAUCCAUGUCAGCCAAAAUCAAAACUCUUCCUGAAAAAGCCUUCUUUACCACAUAUGGCCCUUCCCAAUUCGGCAUCCACUUUCCCUGAAAAUCAGUUUGAUUAGGGAGUAUUCUCUUAAGAACCAACUCUCCUUCUCGGAAUUGCCUGGGACGAACUUUUUUCUCGUAUGCUCGCAUCAUCCUUCGUUGGUACAUCUGGCCAUGACAAAGAGCCGCAAGCCUUUUCUCCUCAAUCAGAUUCAAUCACUCGUAGCGGGAGCGGACCCACUCAGCAUCUUCCAAUUCUUUUUCCAUCAACACCCUCAAUGAUGGGAUUUCUACUUCAACAGGUAGAACUACUUCUGUACCAUAUACUAAUGAGUACGGAGUUGCCCCGGUGGAGGUACGCACAGAAGUUCGAUAUGCAUGCAAGGCAAAAGGAAGUUUCUCAUGCAGUCUUUAUAAACUUCAGUCAUAUUUUCGACAAUCUUUUUGAUGUUUUUGUUGGCUGCCUCUACCAUUCUGUUCAUCUUCGGACGGUAAGUUGUCGAGUUAUGAUGCUUGAUCUUGAAUUUAGCGCAAACAUCCUUCACCAUCGCACCAUUCAAAUUGCUUACGUUAUCCGUAAUGAUCCUUUCUAGAAGCCCAUACCGACAUAUGAUCUCCUUUUGGAUGAACCUGCACACCACCUUUUGUGUCACAUUGGCAUAGGAAGCUGCUUCUACCCAUUUCGUGAAAUAAUCAAUGGCCACCAAUAUGAAUCGAUGUCCAUUAGAGGCUUUUGGCGUAAUAAGUCCAAUCACAUCCAUUCCCCACAUUGAAAAUGGCCAAGGUGCUAUGAAAACGUGCAAUGGGGCUGGUGGAGCAUGGAUUCUAUCAGCGUAUACUUGACACUUGUGUCAUUUUCGAGUAAAGUUUAUGCAGUCUGAUUCCAAUGUCAACCAAUAAUAACCAGCUCUCAUAAUUUGUCUAGCCAACAUAUGUCCAUUAGCAUAAGCUCCACAAGUUCCUUCGUGGACUUCUUUCAUUAUUUUGUUGGCUUUCGUAACAUCCACACAUCUCAAAAGUACUUGAUCUAGACUCCUUUUGUAUAGCACUUCUCCGCUAAGGAAGAAACCCAUUGCUAAUUUUUUAAGAGUUCGUUUAUCAUUGUCCGUGAUAUUCUCAAGAUAUACCUGGUGCUUGAUGUAUUGCAUGAUAUCAUGAUACCACGGCUUACCAUCAACCUCUUCCUCAACAUUCAAGCAGUGUGCGGAGACUUCACAGACUUUUAAAUCAAAAGGGCGUACAUCAGUCGCUUCUUUUAUUCUGAACAUUGCUGCGAUAGUGGCCAAAGCAUCAGUAAUCUGAUUUUCUUCUCGAGGCAAGUGGUUGAAGCUGAUUUCUUUGAACUAUUUGCUUAAUUCUGUAACCAGCUUUUUAUAUGGAACUAGUUUAGAAUCUCUAAUUUCCCAUUCACCUCUCAUUUGACAUAUCACCAAAGCCGAAUCUCUGUAAACAUCUAUUGCGUCAGCCUUCAUCUCGAUUGCUGCUUGUAAUCCCAUUACCAACGCUUCAUACUCCGCCAUAUUAUUAGUACAAUUGAAAUUCAAUCUCGUUGUGGCUGGAUAAUACUUUUCAUUUGGAGAAAUCAACACUGCCCCAAUUCCGUGCCCCAAAGCAUUGGAUGCUCCAUCAAAAUACAUCUUCCAUGGAUUAAGUUCAUUGGGACCAUCAUUUUCUAUGUGUAAGACGGUUAUCAAAUCUUCAUCUGGAAAAUCGAAACUUACAGAUUGAUAAUCCUCAUUAGCUCGAUCUGCAAGGAAAUCAGCGAUGGCGCUCUCUUUGAUUGAUUUUUGGGACACAUACACAAUAUCAUACUCAGACAAUAGCACUUGCCAUCGAGCUAUUCUUCCAGACAGGCAGGGUUUUUCAAAAAUAUACUUGAUGGGAUCUAAUUUCGCCACCAACCAUGUUGUGUGAUACAACAUAUACUGUCGAAGCCUCUGGGAGGUCCAUGCUGGCGCACAACACAUCUUUUCAAGCGCAGAAUAUUUGGACUCAUACUCCAUGAACUUCUUGCUCAAGUAAUAUACGGCCCGUUCUUUCUUCUCUGUUCCAUCAUGUUGUCCUAACACACAUCCCAUAGAAUUCUUGUUCACAGUCAAAUACAAAAUAAGAGGUUUGCCGGUCAUCGGUGGCACCAACAUCGGUGGAUUUGUGAGAUAUUCUUUGAUUUUAUCAAAGGCUAUUUGACAUUCUUCAUUCCAUUCUCCUGGGUCUCGUUUUCAAAGCAGCUUGAAGAUUAGAUCACAUUUGCAGGUGAGCUGGGAUAUAAAUCGAGCAAUAUAAUUCAACUUCCCUAAAAAUCCUCUCACUUCUUUUUGCAUUUUGGGAGGUGAUAGCGCUUGAAUAGCUCGUAUUUUAUUCGGGUCCACUUCAAUUCCUUUUUCACUUACUAUGAACCCCAACAAUUUCCCAGAAGUUACACCAAAAGUGCAUUUUGCAGGAUUCAACUUGAGCUGAAACUUUCACAAUCUCUCGAACAGUUUCUUGAGAUUAACAGUAUGAUCCCUUUCUGUAUGAGAUUUUGCAAUCAUGUCAUCCACAUAUACCUCUAUCUCUUUAUGCAUCAUAUCGUGGAACAAAACUACCAUUGCCCUUUGGUAAGUGGCACCUGCAUUCUUCAAUCCAAAUGGCAUUACUUUGUAACAAAACAUUCCCCACAUGGUUACGAAUAUUGUUUUUUCCAUAUCUUCGGGUGCCAUCUUGAUCUGAUUAUAACCAGAAAAACCAUCCAUAAAUGAGAACAAAAACAUGUUUUGCUGUGUUGUCCACAAGAGUAUCAAUAUGUGGCAAAGGGAAGUUAUCCUUUGGACUCGCUCUGUUCAAAUCCCUAUAAUCGACGCACAUUCGAACUUUUCCAUCCUUUUUAGGAACUGGAACUAUAUUAGCCACCCAUUCAGGGUACUUAGCCACCUCUAAAAAUCCAGCAUCAAAUUGCUUCUUUACUUCCUCUUUAAUUUUUAGCAACAUUUCUGGCUUCAUCCUUCUCAACUUUUGUUUAAUAGGCUUGCAAUCUGGUCUCAAAGGUAACUUAUGGACAACGAUGUCAGUGUUGAGACCUGGCAUGUCCUGAUAUGACCAAGCAAACACAUCCACAUAUUCACGGAACAAUUCUUCUAGCUUCUGCCGUUCAUUAGAUGACAGCGAGGUGCCAAUCUUAACUUCUUUCUUUUCUUCCCCAUUUUCGAGGUUAAUCAUUUCUAUGAGUUCCUGAUGAGGUAAAAUCUCUUUUUCCUCCUGUUCCAACAUUCUUGACAAAUCAGGGGGUAAGCCAUAGUCAUCCACCUCCUCUUCAUUUUUCAAUUCAUCAACGUUCGGAAUCAUCUUAAAAUCGAUAUUCAAAUCAUUAUCUAGAUUGUCUUCGUGUUCAUUAUUUAAAGACCUGCAAACAAGUAAAGUUGGAUGUGUGUAUGGGCGAGUAUUUAUUGGCUAAAAGAAUAGAUGAAAGGAAACAUGCAAAAAGGUUGAUGAAUUAUGAAACACAUUAUGCAUUGUCAUUUAUUUAANGAUCUUGAAACACAUUAUGCAUUGUCACUUAUUUAAAUGAUUAUGGUAACAGAAAGCCCUACUUAAAUAGGAAAUUAAUCUUAACACCCUUGAGCAUAGGCAUUUAGAUAAAAUUUUUCAUUACAUUUCGGAAGACUUAAGAUGAUGGACAAUUCCGUGGCUGUUUAAUUGCUUAGCUCCUCUCCUGACAGUACUGGAUACACUACAGGGAUCUUCUCGUUAGGUUCUUCAUCUCUGAUCAUAUGGAUUGAUAGCUUAUCAAAUAUCCGUAGAACCUGAUUGACCUUUGUUGGUGCUUCGAGAUGAAUGAAACCUACAGAAUGAAAAGUCUCAUAUAAGUGUGGGAUUGUCCGUUCCCCAGAUUCUUCUUCAUUUCCCUUAAGUUGAGCCAUCCUUUUAAUCUUCUUUCGAGCUGCCAGUUUCCUUCUCUCUUCUUUGGUAGGCUUGUACCCCAAACCAAACCUUUCUUCAUUCUUUAUUGGAGUCAGAGGAUGGUUAAUUCCUUGUAAAUUCCUUCCUAACCCCAAACCGGCACGGCAUCCCUUACCCACUGUCUGCUUAACCCCCAUUUUAGUUGCUACUGACAAAUGAGGAGUCGGUAUCACUUCUCUUUCCCCCACAUAUGUAGCAUUAACGAAUUCAAAAGAUUUGAAAGAGCAUUCUGGGACUUCUUCUGUUGCCUCUACAUAGGGAGCAGAUGAUGGUCGAAUAGCCAGUAUGUCUUCCUCUGCAGAUACACUUAUCAGUUGGCCUUCAGCUAUGAAUUUAACUUUUUGAUGAAGGGAAGAUGGUAUGGCUCCCCCCAUAUGAAUCCAUGGAUGCCCUAACAAGCAAUUGUAUGACGGGGCAAUGUCCAUGACUUGAAAUUGGACCUAAAAAAUGCAAGGGCCAAUUUUUAUCGGUAGUUAAUGUCCCCUACCACCUCUCUUGUGGUCCCGUCGAAGGCCUUUACAACCAUGUGACUGGUUCUCAUAUAAGACACAUCUACUGGCAACUUGGUUAAAGUAGAGCGAGGCAUGACAUUUAAUGCUGAACCAUUGUCAACCAAGACCCUAGGUACGGCAUGGUCCUUGCAUUUGAUGGUAAUGUACAGAGCUUUGUUACUUCCCCGACCACCUGAUGGGAUUUCCUCAUCAUUAAAGGCAAUGAAGUUCCCCACUGUAAUAUUCCCCACAAUGUGGUCUAACUUUUCCACUGAUAUAUCUUGUGACACAUAAGCUUGGUUCAAGACUUUAAGCAGCGCGUUCCUGUGUGCUUCCGAAUUCAAAAGCAAGGACAACAGUGAGAUACGAGCAGGCAUUUUGGUUAAUUGUUCUACCACGUUGUAUUCAUUGUGUUUAAUAAACUUGAGAAAUUCACCCACUUCUUUCUCGGUAACAGGAUUUUUGACCUCAUUGUUCAGAGCAACUACAGAUUCGACAACUUGGUCCUUGGAAAAGGUAUCUGCUUUCUUCAAGCCUCCCUCUCCCUGUGCUGGUUUCCCUUUUCCAACUCUUUUCGCUAUCUCAGGGGAAUAACAUCGCCCACUUUGCGUUAUACCCCCCACACCAGUUAGAUCUUCAGAAGAUGCUUGGGGGGCGGAUGAAGCUGUGCCCAAAAUAUUACACUCAUAAUUCCAUGGGACAGCUUUAUCGCUCUUGUAAGGGAAUGGGCUGGGGACUUCGAUGCUAAUACCACUUCUGAUCAUAGUAGGGGAUGUAUCAUUCAUCGGGCUUCUGUUUUCUUCAUAGAAGAUGGUGAGAGGUUUAGGUUUGUUCGCCCCGAAUGAACUUGAUGCCACUUCAGCUGGGGUGUCUCCAUUUAUGGUUUCGACCAAAUUCUCUUCGGUUUCUUCAUAAAACUCAAUUACCGAUAAAUCCAUCAAUUCUUGCAACUUACGACGAAACCUAUCACAAUUUUGAAUGGAAUGCCCAAUUGCCCCCAUAUGAAAUUUGCAAGAAUAAGCGAGAUCAUGCCCCAAUUCCUUUGUGUCGAUUGGUUCUGGAGUGAUGGCAUUUAUCUUGGACAACGCCUCAAACACUUUAUCCAUUGGCGUUUGAAUCUCAUCAAUACUCUUUUUCACUCUUUGAAUCAUCACUUCAUGUAUGACGUUCACUGUUGGUCUUCCAUGAUUAGGUAAAGGAUUCCCAUCAACACUUGAAUUGUCUUUUUUGGCAAAAUUUAAAAGUCCUAUCUUAAUGAGCGCUUGGACCUUAUGUUUUAAAGCAGUACAAUUCUCGGUGGAGUGCCCUUGAAUUCCAAAAUGGUAAUCACAAUGCGCAUUCGGGUCAUACCAUUUCAGGAAAAGUGGUCGGAGUGGUUCUAAAGGGGUUCGAGCAAGAAGUCGAUUUUCUAUGAGUUGUGGCAACAAUAUAGUGUAAAGGACUGGAAUAGGAUCAAACUUUGGUUUUUCUAGGGUAGUUCUAGGUCCUCUUUAACCAUGACCAGGAUUAUUGGUAAUAUGGGUUAAAGUUGUGGGCUUGUUGGCUGUCGUGAGCGACUACUUGCACAUCCCCUUCUUUAAUCUUGGGCGUAUUCCAUCUCUUUGAGCUGGCAACUUCAUGCCCUUCAAUUUUUUCACUUUUGAUAGCUCCUUCUAUUAUUUCUCCCGAUAAGACCAAAUUUGUAAAGUUUUUUGUGGCAUUGCUGAUCAAGCGCUCAUAGAAUGGAGCUCGGAGUGUGUUUAUGAACAACACAGUCAUCUCCUUAUCAGUGAGAGGUGGCUGAACUUGCGCUGCUGUAUCUCUCCACCUUUGGGCAUAUUCCUUGAAGUUCUCGCUUUGCUUCUUUUCCAUAGUCUGCAAUGACAACCGAUCAGGGGCUAAUUCAGCCACAUGCUUGUAUUGGGCUAUGAAGGCUCUUGCUAGGUCUUUCUAAGUCUUAAUACGAUUUUGAUAUAGCUGUACGUACCACCGAGCAGCUGACCCAGUCAAGCUGUUUUGAAAAAAAUGGAUCAGUAACUUAUCAUCGUGAGACUGUGCAGCCAUCUUCAGACAAUACAUGGUAAUAUGUGCCAUGGGACACUUUGUUCCGUCAUAUUUUUCAAAUUUUGGAACCUUGAACUUGGCAGGGAUCAAUACAUCCGGCACUAAGCAUAGCUCGGUUGCGUCCAUGGUACCAAACCUGUUAACUCUUUCGAUAGCACAAAGACGUUCUUCCAACAAAUCGUACUUUUUCUGAUCUUUUUCAUUUUUUCCUGUUUGUGACGAGUCCUUUCUUAGUUUCUCUUGUUUUUUUGGAUCGUCUAAAUCUGGGACGUGCAUUGGUUCAGUAGGAUUUAUCCCAGAAUAUGGCCUAAAUUGCCCAUGAGUCUGUUGAUGGCCCAUCGGAGGUGGUGCAUUGUAAUAAACAGAUGGCAUCAUUUGAGGGUGGACCCUUUGAGAGGUUUGGGCAUGUGGUGGAGUGAACCCUGAGGGAUAGGGUGGAUCCUCCCUUUGAUUUCCACUGUCUUGAGCUGGUGGGUUUUCUGACGGAGCUGGCUCUUCGAUCACUCUUUUUCCUUUACUGAAACUCAUCAUCAAUUCCAUCAUCUUUGCUAACUGUUCUCUCAUUUCUUCCUGAGCUCUUUCCAUUCUGUCCAUUCGCUCUCUUUGUUCUUCUUCCAUGACCCUUGCUCGCUGACGCAUAUUAUGAACACGUUGGUCACUUGGCUUAGGUGGUCGAGCUAUUUUGGAACCUUAUUGUAAUCAUAAACAUGAAUUAGAUACGUAUUCGAUGCAUGAAUGAACCCAUUAUCUUAUUUUUAUAUGAAAAUACUUAUUGUCAUGAAAUGAUGAUUUAUGCAUGUAUGAAUGAUUAUGUACUAAAAGUAUUCACCACAUGACACCCAACAACAAAGUCAUCCAUUGCAUAAGAUAUUUGUCUUUGAUUACAACUCAAGAGUCAUCUAGAAAUAUUCGCCAAUCUUAUUAUAAUGGCUAUACACCUUAUCUAAAUACUUAAUCAACUGUUGCUCUUGUUUUCCAAUUGGAAAGAUUUGGCUCCUUAAUAUGUCCGUCUUCCAAGCCAUGCUUCUCGCCUUGUAAGCCACCUCCCUCAUUUGCCAAAUCAAGUAAUCCAUCUGGUCGUGUUUCUCUAUAUAAGCUUGUUUGUAAGAUUCACCCCACUCUUGAAUUCUGGUGCUCUGUUGCUUGAGGCGUUCAUAUUCCUGUUGAUAAGUCAUCAUGACCCCUUCGAGCUCUUCAUACUCCUGUCUUAGUAAUUUGAUGAACUCUUGUUGGAAUCGCACUUGUCUUCUUAGUCCAUCAUUGUGCGUUUGAAGUUCAUUGCCUCGAUUUUCUCUCACCUAUAUUUCCCUUUGAAGUUCACUAGUUGUGGCAGAAAACUUAUCAUUCAGGCUCUCAUACUUCCCUUCUAUUUUUCGGACUUUCUUUCUUUGUUCAAUUACCUCUUUUUUCAUUUUCUCACACUCUUUUUGGAGGUCUUCAUACCGUUGCUUCCAACUGGCAUUUUCAGCUUCGGACUUCUUUCGAGCCAACUCACUUUCGAGCAAAGCGUCUCGUGGUUCUGGAUCAACUGGGCCACGUAGUGCAUCUUCUUUCGGAUAUACCACAUCCUUAACUCGUUGGUCAUGCCAUAUCUGAUAUCCGGUAGUCACUUCAUCGGUGUACCUCCCUUGAUCAACUCGGCUAGUUUUCUUCCAAGCUUGCGCAAUUUCCUCGAUCCUUUUCAGAAAACCCGGCUCUCCAUAAGCAAACUCUAAAGUAUUAAGUCGGUGUGUCAUCGGUACAAACUGUUCUGACCCAAAUUGUCUUCUCACCAUAAUUNNNNNNNNNNNNNNNNNNNNNNNNNNNNNNNNNNNNNNNNNNNNNNNNNNNNNNNNNNNNNNNNNNNNNNNNNNNNNNNNNNNNNNNNNNNNNNNNNNNNNNNNNNNNNNNNNNNNNNNNNNNNNNNNNNNNNNNNNNNNNNNNNNNNNNNNNNNNNNNNNNNNNNNNNNNNNNNNNNNNNNNNNNNNNNNNNNNNNNNNNNNNNNNNNNNNNNNNNNNNNNNNNNNNNNNNNNNNNNNNNNNNNNNNNNNNNNNNNNNNNNNNNNNNNNNNNNNNNNNNNNNNNNNNNNNNNNNNNNNNNNNNNNNNNNNNNNNNNNNNNNNNNNNNNNNNNNNNNNNNNNNNNNNNNNNNNNNNNNNNNNNNNNNNNNNNNNNNNNNNNNNNNNNNNNNNNNNNNNNNNNNNNNNNNNNNNNNNNNNNNNNNNNNNNNNNNNNNNNNNNNNNNNNNNNNNNNNNNNNNNNNNNNNNNNNNNNNNNNNNNNNNNNNNNNNNNNNNNNNNNNNNNNNNNNNNNNNNNNNNNNNNNNNNNNNNNNNNNNNNNNNNNNNNNNNNNNNNNNNNNNNNNNNNNNNNNNNNNNNNNNNNNNNNNNNNNNNNNNNNNNNNNNNNNNNNNNNNNNNNNNNNNNNNNNNNNNNNNNNNNNNNNNNNNNNNNNNNNNNNNNNNNNNNNNNNNNNNNNNNNNNNNNNNNNNNNNNNNNNNNNNNNNNNNNNNNNNNNNNNNNNNNNNNNNNNNNNNNNNNNNNNNNNNNNNNNNNNNNNNNNNNNNNNNNNNNNNNNNNNNNNNNNNNNNNNNNNNNNNNNNNNNNNNNNNNNNNNNNNNNNNNNNNNNNNNNNNNNNNNNNNNNNNNNNNNNNNNNNNNNNNNNNNNNNNNNNNNNNNNNNNNNNNNNNNNNNNNNNNNNNNNNNNNNNNNNNNNNNNNNNNNNNNNNNNNNNNNNNNNNNNNNNNNNNNNNNNNNNNNNNNNNNNNNNNNNNNNNNNNNNNNNNNNNNNNNNNNNNNNNNNNNNNNNNNNNNNNNNNNNNNNNNNNNNNNNNNNNNNNNNNNNNNNNNNNNNNNNNNNNNNNNNNNNNNNNNNNNNNNNNNNNNNNNNNNNNNNNNNNNNNNNNNNNNNNNNNNNNNNNNNNNNNNNNNNNNNNNNNNNNNNNNNNNNNNNNNNNNNNNNNNNNNNNNAUAAAUUCCAUCGUAACUUGAGGAUGGCCAUGAUGACUCCAUGUAUGCAACUGGAUCUACUCUGUUAAUGGUUGUCAGGUGACAAAUACUUUUCCUAUUAUGAUGCAAAUAUGUAUAUGACAAAAAAUUCAAGUUAGCACCAUAAACAAGAAUUCCAAAAGAUGAAUGAAAGUAAUUAAUAACCUAAUACCUUUAUUACUCGCAGAGAAGGAUUUAGAACAAGGGGAUUAUGAAAAUUCCUUCAUGUGUACCUAAUCAAAAGGUAUAUUCUCACGGGUGAAGCUCUACCUAAGCAAAGGUGACUCUUUGUAUUCUACAUGCUGAGUUUGGGUUGAAAAUGGAGCUAAAAGUUCCCAAAUCGUUCCUCACUGUCGUCCACAUGGACUAGUAAGGCACCCCGGUCCUCACCCAUUACAGGUUUCAAACGGACUAGGUUCGAUCUGAAUGGAAGUCUUCACUAGCCCAUGCGAAGGUUAUCACCUCACAAGAGCGUAGCUACUUAACUCUCUCCUAAUUAAGGACAAAGCCCGGGUGGAAGGCUUAUGCAUGAAUGCAAGAUGUGUAGUGUGUGAGAAGGAGUAUACUGACCUUGGACCAAUAAUUUCACACUCCCCUUAUCCUAAACUUCCCGCAAUUAUUAAAAAUAGUGAAGUAAUAAUAACAAAAUAAAUGAAUACAUUAAACAAAAAUAUGCAAAAUUGAUGUUAGGGAAAACAGCAAAUUAUUUAAGGCUUAAGAUAACUUAUGAUUAAUUAAUGGCUUGACUCUCGAUGUCCUCAGCGGAGUCACCAUCUGUCGUAACGUGCAGGUCCGGGAACCCGUCUUUCAGACGCGGGCGAAAAUUAAAUGGGUUUAGGAGUCGCCACCAAUCUUUUUUAUCUAGGUGUGAUUGGUCACCUAUUAACCCGAUUCUAAUCGACGAAGUCCUAAAUUAAUUUUAGAUCCGUCGAAAGAACAAGAACUGAUCCACGUUUUUUUAGAGAUGGGUUCGGAAGUGCGGUUACGCACGGAGAAGGAUUAGCACCUCCGUAGCGCCCGUUCCAUGAACGGUACCAUUUAAUCUUAAGUUAUCCUAUUAUAGCCUACUUUUGAUUUAAUCCCUACUUAUUAACUAAAUUUUUUAUUAAAUUGACUAAUUGAGUUUUUUUUUUAUUUUACGUAUGCACAUGAUGCAAACGUAAAAUGAUGUUAUGACUUGUUUAUUUUAAAUAAUGGAGUCGGUAAUCUUUUAUUGGAAAAUUAUUCGAAGACCAUCCCAACGCUUUGGUGAAGUCUCGAAAUUCUCCUCACCUAGAGAUAUCCCCGGAAGAACUCGUAUCUACAAGCUCUUCGGGGAAAUCCCAUCAUCGGAACUCCCGCACCAUUUGCAAGAUAAAUGUGGCAUGCUAUGACAGGAUAAAAUGAUGAUAUCUACAUGCACGGGUUUAUUGACUUAGGUGGUUUAUAAUUCACCCAAUUAUGUGUUUAAUAAUAAUUUUUUUAUGGAUUAUUUAUUAUUUUUUAUAUUUUUUUAUUUUUUUUUGUUUUCUAUUUAAAUCCAUAUCCUUUAAUUAACGUUGUUGGUUAAUUUUUUACUUGAUUAUAUAACUUAUCAAGUAAACAAUUAAUUAAUUUUUUCAAACGAUUAAAUUAACUUUAUUUAGUAAUAUUUAUUUAAGCUAAUUAACUAAUUUAAGUUUGGAUGCAACAUUAUGUAAAUUUAUUUUUUUUUAACAAUGACUAUUUGACUUAAUGGGUAUUGGAGUUUAGAGUUCGGAUUUAUCCCAACGCUUCGGUGAAAAUCUGUCUCAAACUUCGUACCCAAAAAAAAAAUCCAUUUAAAAGAGGCAACUCUUUACCUUUCUUAGAUGAAAUUUCUCAAACAAUCAUCUCAUUUUUCUUAUAAUUUUUUAUAUUUGUAUCAUGUCGUUUUUUAUUUUUAUUUUUUAUUUAUAUAUAUAUAUAUAUAUAUAUUAUUUACAAGUAUCUAAAUAUGAAUAUUGAUCCCAAUUAUAUAUAUAUAUUUAUUUACUAUUACAACCAUUAUCAUCUUUUUAGUAUUUUUUNNNNNNNNNNNNNNNNNNNNNNNNNNNNNNNNNNNNNNNNNNNNNNNNNNNNNNNNNNNNNNNNNNNNNNNNNNNNNNNNNNNNNNNNNNNNNNNNNNNNNNNNNNNNNNNNNNNNNNNNNNNNNNNNNNNNNNNNNNNNNNNNNNNNNNNNNNNNNNNNNNNNNNNNNNNNNNNNNNNNNNNNNNNNNNNNNNNNNNNNNNNNNNNNNNNNNNNNNNNNNNNNNNNNNNNNNNNNNNNNNNNNNNNNNNNNNNNNNNNNNNNNNNNNNNNNNNNNNNNNNNNNNNNNNNNNNNNNNNNNNNNNNNNNNNNNNNNNNNNNNNNNNNNNNNNNNNNNNNNNNNNNNNNNNNNNNNNNNNNNNNNNNNNNNNNNNNNNNNNNNNNNNNNNNNNNNNNNNNNNNNNNNNNNNNNNNNNNNNNNNNNNNNNNNNNNNNNNNNNNNNNNNNNNNNNNNNNNNNNNNNNNNNNNNNNNNNNNNNNNNNNNNNNNNNNNNNNNNNNNNNNNNNNNNNNNNNNNNNNNNNNNNNNNNNNNNNNNNNNNNNNNNNNNNNNNNNNNNNNNNNNNNNNNNNNNNNNNNNNNNNNNNNNNNNNNNNNNNNNNNNNNNNNNNNNNNNNNNNNNNNNNNNNNNNNNNNNNNNNNNNNNNNNNNNNNNNNNNNNNNNNNNNNNNNNNNNNNNNNNNNNNNNNNNNNNNNNNNNNNNNNNNNNNNNNNNNNNNNNNNNNNNNNNNNNNNNNNNNNNNNNNNNNNNNNNNNNNNNNNNNNNNNNNNNNNNNNNNNNNNNNNNNNNNNNNNNNNNNNNNNNNNNNNNNNNNNNNNNNNNNNNNNNNNNNNNNNNNNNNNNNNNNNNNNNNNNNNNNNNNNNNNNNNNNNNNNNNNNNNNNNNNNNNNNNNNNNNNNNNNNNNNNNNNNNNNNNNNNNNNNNNNNNNNNNNNNNNNNNNNNNNNNNNNNNNNNNNNNNNNNNNNNNNNNNNNNNNNNNNNNNNNNNNNNNNNNNNNNNNNNNNNNNNNNNNNNNNNNNNNNNNNNNNNNNNNNNNNNNNNNNNNNNNNNNNNNNNNNNNNNNNNNNNNNNNNNNNNNNNNNNNNNNNNNNNNNNNNNNNNNNNNNNNNNNNNNNNNNNNNNNNNNNNNNNNNNNNNNNNNNNNNNNNNNNNNNNNNNNNNNNNNNNNNNNNNNNNNNNNNNNNNNNNNNNNNNNNNNNNNNNNNNNNNNNNNNNNNNNNNNNNNNNNNNNNNNNNNNNNNNNNNNNNNNNNNNNNNNNNNNNNNNNNNNNNNNNNNNNNNNNNNNNNNNNNNNNNNNNNNNNNNNNNNNNNNNNNNNNNNNNNNNNNNNNNNNNNNNNNNNNNNNNNNNNNNNNNNNNNNNNNNNNNNNNNNNNNNNNNNNNNNNNNNNNNNNNNNNNNNNNNNNNNNNNNNNNNNNNNNNNNNNNNNNNNNNNNNNNNNNNNNNNNNNNNNNNNNNNNNNNNNNNNNNNNNNNNNNNNNNNNNNNNNNNNNNNNNNNNNNNNNNNNNNNNNNNNNNNNNNNNNNNNNNNNNNNNNNNNNNNNNNNNNNNNNNNNNNNNNNNNNNNNNNNNNNNNNNNNNNNNNNNNNNNNNNNNNNNNNNNNNNNNNNNNNNNNNNNNNNNNNNNNNNNNNNNNNNNNNNNNNNNNNNNNNNNNNNNNNNNNNNNNNNNNNNNNNNNNNNNNNNNNNNNNNNNNNNNNNNNNNNNNNNNNNNNNNNNNNNNNNNNNNNNNNNNNNNNNNNNNNNNNNNNNNNNNNNNNNNNNNNNNNNNNNNNNNNNNNNNNNNNNNNNNNNNNNNNNNNNNNNNNNNNNNNNNNNNNNNNNNNNNNNNNNNNNNNNNNNNNNNNNNNNNNNNNNNNNNNNNNNNNNNNNNNNNNNNNNNNNNNNNNNNNNNNNNNNNNNNNNNNNNNNNNNNNNNNNNNNNNNNNNNNNNNNNNNNNNNNNNNNNNNNNNNNNNNNNNNNNNNNNNNNNNNNNNNNNNNNNNNNNNNNNNNNNNNNNNNNNNNNNNNNNNNNNNNNNNNNNNNNNNNNNNNNNNNNNNNNNNNNNNNNNNNNNNNNNNNNNNNNNNNNNNNNNNNNNNNNNNNNNNNNNNNNNNNNNNNNNNNNNNNNNNNNNNNNNNNNNNNNNNNNNNNNNNNNNNNNNNNNNNNNNNNNNNNNNNNNNNNNNNNNNNNNNNNNNNNNNNNNNNNNNNNNNNNNNNNNNNNNNNNNNNNNNNNNNNNNNNNNNNNNNNNNNNNNNNNNNNNNNNNNNNNNNNNNNNNNNNNNNNNNNNNNNNNNNNNNNNNNNNNNNNNNNNNNNNNNNNNNNNNNNNNNNNNNNNNNNNNNNNNNNNNNNNNNNNNNNNNNNNNNNNNNNNNNNNNNNNNNNNNNNNNNNNNNNNNNNNNNNNNNNNNNNNNNNNNNNNNNNNNNNNNNNNNNNNNNNNNNNNNNNNNNNNNNNNNNNNNNNNNNNNNNNNNNNNNNNNNNNNNNNNNNNNNNNNNNNNNNNNNNNNNNNNNNNNNNNNNNNNNNNNNNNNNNNNNNNNNNNNNNNNNNNNNNNNNNNNNNNNNNNNNNNNNNNNNNNNNNNNNNNNNNNNNNNNNNNNNNNNNNNNNNNNNNNNNNNNNNNNNNNNNNNNNNNNNNNNNNNNNNNNNNNNNNNNNNNNNNNNNNNNNNNNNNNNNNNNNNNNNNNNNNNNNNNNNNNNNNNNNNNNNNNNNNNNNNNNNNNNNNNNNNNNNNNNNNNNNNNNNNNNNNNNNNNNNNNNNNNNNNNNNNNNNNNNNNNNNNNNNNNNNNNNNNNNNNNNNNNNNNNNNNNNNNNNNNNNNNNNNNNNNNNNNNNNNNNNNNNNNNNNNNNNNNNNNNNNNNNNNNNNNNNNNNNNNNNNNNNNNNNNNNNNNNNNNNNNNNNNNNNNNNNNNNNNNNNNNNNNNNNNNNNNNNNNNNNNNNNNNNNNNNNNNNNNNNNNNNNNNNNNNNNNNNNNNNNNNNNNNNNNNNNNNNNNNNNNNNNNNNNNNNNNNNNNNNNNNNNNNNNNNNNNNNNNNNNNNNNNNNNNNNNNNNNNNNNNNNNNNNNNNNNNNNNNNNNNNNNNNNNNNNNNNNNNNNNNNNNNNNNNNNNNNNNNNNNNNNNNNNNNNNNNNNNNNNNNNNNNNNNNNNNNNNNNNNNNNNNNNNNNNNNNNNNNNNNNNNNNNNNNNNNNNNNNNNNNNNNNNNNNNNNNNNNNNNNNNNNNNNNNNNNNNNNNNNNNNNNNNNNNNNNNNNNNNNNNNNNNNNNNNNNNNNNNNNNNNNNNNNNNNNNNNNNNNNNNNNNNNNNNNNNNNNNNNNNNNNNNNNNNNNNNNNNNNNNNNNNNNNNNNNNNNNNNNNNNNNNNNNNNNNNNNNNNNNNNNNNNNNNNNNNNNNNNNNNNNNNNNNNNNNNNNNNNNNNNNNNNNNNNNNNNNNNNNNNNNNNNNNNNNNNNNNNNNNNNNNNNNNNNNNNNNNNNNNNNNNNNNNNNNNNNNNNNNNNNNNNUCUUCUCAUUUAUUUCCCCCGCUGGCCUCUCCUUUCUUUUUCCUCUUUCUUUCUUCCUCCUUCUCUUUCUCUUCUUUCUCCCUGCCGGGGCGUUGCACUCUUUUCCUCUUCUCUCUCCCUCUUCUUCUUUUUUUUCUUUGCUCUGUUUUUUUUGUGUUUGAUUCUUUUUCGGUUUUUUGGUGGAUGGAUCUUUUUCUAUGUGGCUCAAGUAGCUUGUUGUUGGUAGAUUUUUUUGAUAUGUGGUUCUCCCUUUUUUUGGUUUUGCAGGUUCCAUUUUAACAGCUGGGUUGUCCAAAAAUUUGGACAACCCGGCAAUGGGGUUCUGGCACCAAAGAGUUGGUGGCCAGAGCCCCAUCACGCAUGGUGGUUGGGGAAGGGAUGGCUGGGCGUACGCCCAACCAUACCUCUCUUCUUCUUUUUUUUUUCUUUUUUUUUUAAUUUGUUAUUAUUUUCUUUAUUUAUUUUUCAUAUAUUUUAUUUUGUUUUAUUAUAAUUUAAAUUUUUUUAUUUAUUUUUUUAGGUGUCUACACUACUAUCACAAGUUUAGGGGAUUUACUACAACUAAUUUUUAUAUAUUUAAUAAACAAAUUUACUUUCUUUUUUAUUUUUGAUUAUAAUAUUUAUUUAAUUUUUUAUUUGUAUGUAUAUAUAGAGGCUCAAAUAUCACAAGAUCCUACUUCAAAAAGAGAAACUUUAGAAGUAAAUGAGAAGGAUAAAUGAAUUUGAUUUAUGAAUGACAAACUUUUUUUGUGAAUAUGUCCACUACUCAAAGAAGUGAGAGUAUGAAUAACCAAAUAAAAAAUUGCAUUGGUUAUAUAUUAUGAUUUAUUACGUUUUUUCCAUCACUUUUGGUGAUUAUUGGUAGAUAACUGUUAUGAUGAGUUGAAAGCUUACUACAAAGACAAUCAAAGUAAGCCAUCUUUAUCAUUUUUAGUGGAGAUAUUGAUGCAUGCAUCAUAUGUGUACUCUUUAAUUGUUUUAAAAAUGUUUUCUAAUAAACUUUAGCUUAUUUGGGAUUGUGAGUUGUACACUACUGAAAUUGUUGGGAGUACUACUAGUUACAAAGUCAUUCUUCUAAGAAAACCUUGUCAUUAUACAAUUAAAUAUGACUCGUCAAAUUCAACAAUCACUUGUAGUUGUAAGAAACUUGAAUAUGAUGGUAUUAAUUUUAUGUGCUCAUGCUUAUAAGGUGAGUUUUUUUUUUUAGAAUUUUAAAGGAGUUCCAAAUUAAUACAUAUUAAAAAGAUGGACUAAAAAAGCAAAGAUUGGAGCUGUGGUAAAUUCUUUUUCAUUUACUAGAUCAAAUGAUCUUAAAGAAAAUGCAUGUACCUGUUACAAAGUUUUGCUUAGAUGGUAUUCUAAUUUAGCAGCUAGAGUGACAAUGAGUGAGUAAUCAUUUGGCUACGAGUGAUGGAGAAAAGACAUUAAGCAAAGUUGAAACAACUUUAAAGUAGUUAUCAAUUGAAGAAUCUCGAAGCUCCAAUGAUGGAAAACAAACUUGUCAAUUUGACAAAAUAGACGUUAUGAGAAAGAAGGUAAAAAAGUCAAAAGAAUCAAAUGUAAAUCUAAAAGUAAAAGAGAUUGAUCAUCUAGCUGACGAAAAAGUACUUUAGAAAAAGCUAGAAGAGAGAAAAAAUGUCAAAUUGAUACAUUGGUAAAGAUUCCACAAGUUUAACAAGUAAAGGUAAUAAAUGCUUAAUAUUGUUUUGUAUUAUGUUUUGAUUUUAUUUUACCGUUAUAAUUUCCUUUUAGUCUAUAUAACCAUGUAUUCAUUCUGAUAAUUACAUAGGAAUCUAGCCAAAUUGCUCAUCCUUCGUACCGUAGUACCGCUAAUGGAUUCAAUCAAUGUACUCAAUCAUUUCAAUUUGCCAAUAUAAUUAAAAAUAUUAUACUAUUAAAAUUAAAUUCUUAUAUUUUAUAUAUCACUUAUAUAUUUAAAUGUUUGACAAGAAACUCAUUUUGACAUCCAUUAGUCAAAUUUGGAUAUUUUGAAUUCCUGUGGUUAACAUUCAACAUCUCAAUUCACAUUGGUAUUUUUAGUUUCAUGAUCCUAUUUGAGUUUGAUAAAGAUUAUUAUCUUGUAGUUAAUGUUCUUAACUCUUUGUGAACUCAAAGAUCAAGCAACAAUCAGAUUCUAAUUAUGACAAAUCUAUCAUGAAUCAUUCUACUAUCACAAGUUUAGAGGAUUUAUUACAACUAAUUUUUAUAUAUUUAAUAAACAAAUUUGCUUUCUUUUUUAUUUUUGAUUAUAAUAUUUAUUUAAAUUUUUAUUUGUACGUGUAUAAAUAUAAACUCAAAUAUCACAAGCUCUUAGUUUAAAAAGAGAAACUUCAGAAGUAAAUGAGAAGGAUAGAUGAAAGAUAUGACUUCCACAACAUGAUUUAAAUGUUAUUGUCAUUUACUUACAUGACGUAAAAGUGAUCAUUUUAAUUUUGAGAUAAAACUUUGAUUGUUGUAUUUGUUAAGAUUAUAUACAGUUGAAUUUUGUUUAGCUCUAAAUUGUAUCAUAAAUUAUUUUAUAUAAUCUCAAAUUCUUCAUGAUUUCUCGUCAUUUAUUUUUUUGACACGUCAGCAGAAAUAUACUUUUAUAUCAUCAAAUGAGUUUGUAAAAUCCUAAAGCAAAAUAAAAACCACUGAAAGAAUAAACCAAUUAAGGUUGUUCAGAGCAUCGUUGAAUAUACCCAUUUACUAUUAUUAGUACCAAUAAUUCAACAAUGAAAAUGUGUUUUGUAUACGCAUGAUGCUGAUUGAUGGUAUUAAUACGCAUGACUUAGAAAUAUUUGCAACCACAAACUUUUGUUAUCAGAUUAAAACCAAAAGGCUGUGUGCAGCAUAAGAAGUUUUAUGAGGCUGUACCAUCGUGAUAGUUAUUGACAUUUCAGUACUCCUUAUUGAAACAACCUCCACAGGAGGCACCAACUCUGUGACUGGGCCAUUAGGAGUUCGCUUUCGGCUCAAGACUCUUGAGAUGGGCAACAAACUCACUUCUUCAGAGGCCAAAAAUGGGUCAAGCAAGAGUUCAUGGGCGGGCAACCUAUUGGAAACAUUCUCCAAGCACUUCCCAACCAAUCGUCGGGCUUCCGCACCUUGAAUCAUGUAGAACGCCUCUGGGAACUUUCCCUGGAAGAGUAGAAGAAGCAAUAUAGCACAUUAAUAUAAUAGACUAAUACUGUGGUUAAUAUAUAGUAUUGAAACUAAUGAACAUGGAUGUACUCAUCGAAGUCACCUUUUUAUAAAUUUGUGCCAGAUUGGAGCACUCGCUAAUUGGAUACUCAGAAGCAAGCAUUUCUAGUACACACAUGCCAAAGGAGUAUACAUCUACUAGCUCGUUGCAAUCCUCAUAUAAUUCUGGUGCCAUAAGUUCUGAACCUAGUAUUUUAUGCAAGUUUCAAGAAGUUAACUUAUAAAGAUAUAUAUAUGGCUACCUAGAUUAGAAACACUUGCUUAGUUUAAUGAACCUUGAGGAGGUGAUGGAAAUUGAGAGAUUAACUAUAACAUAUUAUGGGCAUGUUGUGUCCCACGAAGAAUGGCAACUAAUCCAAGAUCACCACUCUAUGUAGAAUUUGGUGAGCCCAGUUCUUAAGUGCCCGAAUAUCGACGCGCGGAUACCUCUAUCUCUACCUGUAUUACAUCCUCCAACAUAUUAAAAAGGACACUAUAAUAACACUUCAUUAAUUUUCUAUUUAAUUGACAAUAAGGUCUUGUGAUUGUUCUUUUAAAGUGCCGGAGGUGAACAUUUCAGUGAUGAAGUUGAAAAGUCUACGAUCAACGGAUCUAAGAUUUGCAGAAUCGCAUAACGGAAUUAUGGUUGAGAUUCCUGAGGAGUUGGACCUUAGAGUAAAGCCGCUGCAAUUCCUCCGGUGAACAAAAGACAUCAUUAAGCUUCACCUGAUUCCAAGUCGUCUCCAUUCCAAGGACCUUAUCAAAUGCCUUAUACAUUAUCGUCAUGGCUCCUUUACCAAGAUUGCAAAGAAAUUCUUAUGUACAAUCACAGAUUUAAUCAUUUUAAAACGUAAACAAUGCAUAAUUCCUUCAUUUACAUGUCUGCUUCACGAAUUUGUAUGAUCAUGAAAUUAAUGGAUCAUAUAUGAAUACUUUUACGGAAUAAAAAAUAUAUUGAAUGUACCGGCAUCUAUCAUAUUGAUAACUGAGUUCAUCAACAUUUAUACCAGAUAAAUUUAAAAAUGAGUCCGAUUUAGUUAACAAGCAAUAAUCAUAUUAUCUUUACUCUGUUGACAGCCAAAAAAAUAUUAUUUAAAUAACAAAAACAUGAACUGAACAAAAAAAUAUUUUUUUUUAUUUUUUGAACCUAACGAAAAAAACUCUCAGACCAUUUCUUACAAAAAAAUAAAACCCAUAAAACUAUUGAAUAAAAAUUUUCCUUCCGUACUUAAAAAAUAUUCUUUUUUUUUUCAAUAAUUUUCCUUCCUUUGUUGUUCUCUUCCCGAGAUUGUCGACCUUAUAAACCUCUUCACACCAAAAUUGGGGGUCUUGNCAAUAAUUUCCUUCCUUUGUUGUUCUCUUCCCGAGAUUGUCGACCUUAUAAACCUCUUCACACCAAAAUUGGGGGUCUUGUUAAUUGAAUCUUGCUUACGUUGCUAGUUCCAGCUUGACCUGAUCCAAUGUCCAUGAUGCUGAUGCUGAUGUGGAUUUAUUUUUUUUUAUACGAGAGGAAAAAUUUUUAUUCAAUGGUAUUUGGGGGUUUUUAUAAUAAAGAAUUAAUUUUUAUUUUUGAGUGAAGUUGAGAACUUAUUUAAACGUUACAAGAUACGUAAGACAACAUCAGUCUAAGGUCUAAUCUUUUUCCUAAAUUACUAAAAUAUUGUAGCUGAAUUCUUUGAACCAAGCUAGACGAAAAGCAUAAACCGAAAGUUACCCAAUAAAGUAAGCUACCAGAAUUUCUGGUGUUGAUCUAAUUUAGUUAGCAAAUCAAAGUCAGCCAAUGACCUAACUCACCAAAAUAAAGUUAAUUUAAAACCUAAAAAUCACCUCCUUUUUAGGUGGUCCAAUAUCAGUGCCGGACAAACUUUUGCGGUUUUUUUUUUUUUUUUUGCUAAGAGCAGCUUUAAUUAAGAAGGUUUUAAUCAAAUUGAAUAUAUAUAUAUAUAUAAUUAAAAUCCGUAAGGUGAGAAGAAAAUAUAUAGGUUAGGUAAUAGAAUAUUAAAUUUCUUCCAAGCUAUAGGACUCCACAUACAAAAAGAUGUACCAAAGCUUAUAAAAUUAAUGAUGUGACAAAUACUACUAUUGGCACAGCAAUUAGCUUUGCUCUUUAUGCUGAGUUUAUGGGUGGAUAUUGCCAUAUUGGUAUUGGACGCAUUUAAUUAUUAAUUGAUAGAUGUCUUGUUUGGUAGGAAAAAUUUCGAGGAAAUUGUGAGAAAUAACUUUCUUCAUAAGCCCAAUUCAAAAAUAUUAUUUUUUAUAAUUUUAACUAUAUUUGAUCAAUUUUUGGUAUGACUUGACAAUAAUACAUUUUAAAUAAUUUCAGACAAAUUAAAAUGGUUUCAAUUUUCUCUCUCUCGCCAUCCAGAUAAAAAUUUCAAAAUUAAAUCUCGAUUUCUCUUUCUGCUCAAAUAUAUCUAUCCCGCCAUCCAAUUUAUAGUUAUGACAUCAAGCUCUUUCUUAUUUUAUUUUAUUUUUUUUGAUGGUGGAUCUUGGGGUUCUUAAGAGCGAUGAACAACAAUUUUGCUCUUUGCAGGCAGCAAUUUUGCUCAGGAAAAAAGAACAGCUAAAGCAUAUUUGAUGGGUUUUAUGACGAUUUACGGUUUUAUUGUGUCUGAAAUUGAGAUGAUUGUUAAGCAUGUUUGCUAGGGAUUUUAAUUUUUUUUAUGAGAUUUUGAGUUGAAAUUGUUUAGGGAAUAUUUUGUAAAGAAGGUAUAUUUUGUUUUUGUAUAAAGGGAGUGAGCAAGACCUCUCGAUAGGAAUAUAUUUUCUCUUGCUUUAGAGGGUUAUGGAGUUUUGUAACCUAUCUUUUAUGAAAUGCACAAUUUCAUGGCUUAGCAAAAAAAUAUAUAUAUAUUUUAGGUUCUUAAGUUUAUUGGUUUAUUCAUAGAAUCUCAAAAUUGAGUUUACUGGUUUUUAAGUAUUGCGUGACUUAAUCACCGGGUGACUAAUUUUUAAUCAUUACGUGAUUGGUUUUAGGCAUUAUGUGACUAAUUUUUAUACAUUGCGUGACUGAUUUUUAAACAAUGCCUAAGUCACACAAUACCUUACGAACUAGUCACGCAAUGCCUUACUAACAAGUCACACAAUGCCUAUCAACUAGUCAUGCAAUACCUUAUCAGAAACUAGUCACGCAAUGCCUUAUCAAAAACUAGUCACGCAAUGCCCAAGGUUAGUUACGCAAUGUCUAUCAACUAGUCACGCAAUACCUUAUCAGAAACUAGUCACGCAAUGCCUUAUCGAAAACUAGUCACGCAAUAUCCAAAGUGAGUCACGCAAUGCCUAUUAAUUAGUCACGCAAUGCUUUAUCAGAAACUAUUCACGAAAUGUCUUAUCAAAAAUUAGUCACGUAAUGCCUAAAGUCAGUCACGCAAUAUCCAAAGUCAUUUACGCAGUGCCUAAAAACUAGUCACAUAAUUCUCAAAAAUCACCAAAACUACUGAAUUCCAUUUAACUAGAUUAACAACUUCAAACGAUACACCAUAUUCCAUUUAACAACAUAAUUAACAAAUAUGAAUGCUCAAAAUGUUCGAAAGUUUUUCUUCAUAUAUCAAAAAUUACUCUAAAAUGUUUAAAAAUGCUCAAAACGCUCACAGGUUUUCUUCGUAUAUCAAAAACUACUCCAAAAUGCUCAAAAUACUUAAACGUUUUUCUUUCUGGUAAGGAAUACUUCAGAGAUGAAUAGUCUUGUGAGAAAAGCUCAAAAAAUAUGAGUCAGUUUAAGGCACAAACGUAAACAUACUUGACCCGUUAAUAGGUUUCGGGUUGAGGCACAGAGUCUAGUGAAUGGAUCGAUUUCAUUAAAGACAAUUUUGUCCAAUUUUUUUUCUCUUGACUUAAAAACAAAUAAAAUUAUAAAAAGGAUCAUUCUUAAAAACGCUUUAUGCCUCAAACCCAUUUAUGAAAAGUACUCAAAAUUUCCACUAAUAUAUCCAAUAAUCGAACAUUGCAUCAUUUACGGCAUUACCCUUCUCGAUCCCCUUCAGCUUGGUGCUCUCUCCUAGUCCGGGAUGAUAUGGUCUGCCUUAGAUUUUUGGAACAUGAUAAGCCAUCUUUCCAUUUCUCUUUAAUCAUUUUCCCAUACUUUUCCAAUUGUGAAAACGACAGGUGUGUUUGCAGCUGGGGAUCUGGAUUCCCAAGAAGCUCACCAAACUCUUAUGUAUUGGUACACGGUAUUAUCAUAUUAACUACAUCUCAAAAAAACCAUCAAUGAAAGAUUUCAAGUGGCUUAUUUGCAGAACCAGUAAGAUUUUGGUUGCGCUUCCUAUUCCAAACCAGAAAAUGAGUGACAAAAAUAGUUUGCGUGGAAUGCUUCAAGACGCCACUUGCAACCUUUAACUUAAGUUUUCAAGGUUUAGAUGAUGGAACUGUUUUCGAGGAGAGGUUGGUUCAAUGAGUUAGCUUGUUUGCCUCGAGAACAAGAGGUGUAGCUUUCAAGCAUCAUCAUGCUCUUAAAUGGGUACACAGCCCAAAAUGUAAGAUAGAUACAUGUUGAGUUUUAGGUUGACUAGAAUUCUAGAUCUUAUUUGAUUAGGAUUUUUGUUUGUAUACAAUAUUAAGUAGUUGUAUGGUUUUAAACUUCUUAUUCCACAUCGAAUCCUAAUCACAUUCUACUUUGGACUUUUAUACUAUAAAAGUGAAUUUCUAAGCUUUAGAAUUGCAAGUAGUGCUUUGAGAGCUCUAGAGAGGGAACAUCUUGUAACUCUAUCUUUUGCUCUAGGUGGAGCUAGAGUGGUUUGAGUGAAUGUUCUUGGGAGGUUAUUGAGGAAGAGUGUGCAAGGGAUCUUGGGUUAUUUUGGGGAACCAUAAAGGUCAAUUUAUUGUACUUUAAAUUCUCAAUAAUAGAAGAACAGUUUCACUCUGUGGACGUAGGCAAGAGGCCGAACCACGUAAAUUCUUGUGUUUUUCUGUUUGCUUAUUUUCUCUGAAUUUUAUCUUUGUUGAUUCUUGGGUAAUUUUCACAACAAACUGGUAUCAGAGCUUCGGGUUCGGUAAAUUCAAGAUUCAACAAGGAUGUCAAAAGUUACUAGUUCUAUGAAUUUUUCAAUUGAGAAGUUUGAUGGGAAGACUAGUUUCACGCAGUGGUAGAGAAUGAUGAAAAAUCUCCUUGUGCAGCAAGGUUUAAUGCGCCCCUUGCUAGGAAAGGAGGAAGGGCAACCAGAUAACAUGAAAGAUGUUGAAUGGACAGAGUUGGAGCAAAGGUGUGUGAGCACUAUUCGGCUUUGCAUUGGAGAUAAUGUGUUUAAUCAUGUUAUUGAUGAGGAUUCUGCUCUAAGAUUAUGGGCAAAGUUAGAGAAAAUUUACUUGGCGAAAAGUUUUUCUAACAAGUUGCAGCUUAGGCGAAAGUUGUAUCGCUUAAAGAUGGAGGAGAAUGGAGACCUCAUGAAGCAUAUGAAUGAAUUCGAUGGAAUCAUUGAUCAGUUGAAGAAGGUUGAUGUCAAGGUGGAGGAAGAGGAAAAGGCACUAUUGUUCCUGGCUUCGUUUCCAGACUCCUAUGAGGUAUUUGUGGAAUCUCUUAUAUGUGGGAUGGAUACAAUAACGUUAGAACAAGCACAAGCAACGUUAAUGUCUCGUGAAGCCCGAAAGAAAAGUAAAGAAGGGGAUAGAGAUCCAAAUGGCUUGGCAUUAGUAAUUGAGGCUAAUAGGAGGAAGUCAACUGGUAAGGGAUCUAAGGGUGACAAGUCUAGAUCCAACAAUAUUCAAUGCUUUAAAUGCAAAGGGUAUGGGCAUAUUAAAAGGGAUUGUCCUACAAAAGGGGAUGAAAGUAACGAGAACAAAGGUGAGUGUGCUUUCGUUGCUGAAGGUGAUGAUUGUGAUGUCCUUACAAUUUCAGAAAAUAUGGAUGCAAAUUCUGAUUGGUAUUUAGAUUCUACUUCUGCUACUCACAUAUGUUAUCAAAAAGAUUGUUUUGAUUUACUUCAAGAAUGAGUGGCUGGGAAUUUGACUUUGGGUAAUAAGUCAAUAGUGAAGGUCAUGGGUAUUGGAGUGGUGAAAAUCAAAAUAUUUGAUGGGGUUGUGCGCUCUUUGGGUAGUGUGGCCUAUGUCCCAAAGAUGCGUAAGAGUCUAAUAUCAUUGAGUCUGUUAGACUCCAAAGGGUAUGGAUAUUCUGCUUGUGAUGGAGUAGUAAAAGUCACACAAGGCGACAUGGUCCUGAUGAGGGAGAAUUUGCAUAAUGGCUUGUAUCGUCUAGAAUGUGAGACCUCGAAAGGAUGGGAACAGUGCACAGGGGAUGGUAGCUACCAAAGUGAGAUUUCAUUUGCCGAGGAGGUGAUGAAAGGUUCCUAUGGUGUAGACGAUGGUGAAAUGACGAAAAAAAACUUGCCAGUAGUGAAUUGGAAGGGUCGUCGAGGUCCUUUUCCGAAGUCAAUUAGUGCCAUUGACUUGACGGCUACACAGGUGCAUUGGCCGUUUUGUGGAAUCAAGUGUUGGACCAUGCUUGAUUCGGUAUGUGUAGUCGUGGUAAUUAUAAAGGCCAAUGAUUUAGAAAGUCUUGUGCUUGGAGAGUUGUUCAAGGUGUUGGAAAGUAGGUGGAGUUAGGAAGUUGCAAUUAGGUGCGACUAAUGGAAGAGGUUUAAGGAGUUUGAAUUCAAGUCAAAGGUGGAGAUUUGUUGAGUUUUAGGUUGACUAGAAUUCUAGAUCUUAUUUGAUUAGGAUUUUUAUUUGUAUACAAUAUUAAGUAGUUGUAUGGUUUUAAACUUCUUAUUCCGCAUCGAAUCCUAAUCACAUUCUAUUUUGAACUUUUAUACUAUAAAAGUGAAUUUCUAAGCUUUAGAAUUGUAAAUAGUGCUUUGAGAGCUCUAGAGAGGGAACAUCUUGUAACUCUAUCUUUUGCUCUAGGUGGAGCUAGAGUAGUUUGAGUGAAUGUUCUUGGGAGGUUAUUGAGAAAGAGUGUGCAAGGGAUCUUGGGUUGUUUUGGGGAACCAUAAAGGUCAAUUUAUUGUACUUUAAAUUCUCAAUAAUAGAAGAAUAGUUUCACUCCGUGGACGUAGGCAAGAGGCCGAACCACGUAAAUUCUUGUAUUUUUCUGUUUGCUUAUUUUCUCUGGAUUUUAUCUUUGUUGAUUCUUGGGCAAUUUUCACAACAAUACAUGACUGCUCCCGAAUUUCAUCUACCAAAAGAAAACUUAUUCAAGUAAUUUUCCAAUAGAUUAAACUAUUAUUGUUGCAGGGGUAAGAUAGAUACAUGACUACAUAGUAACUGGAAAACGGAAUCCACUUAUCUUGCCCUUUGGACUAGUGGGGAACAUAGGAAUACAACAAAGAAAAUUCUUUUCCUGUCUCAUUAACAUUAAAUAGGGAAAGAAUACAUGUACAACUGACUCAACAUAAAUAGUCCUAAUCAACGAAUCAAAGAUGUUGCUAUUUUGUAUUAUCGUGUGAAGGAAACAACUUCGGAGUUGGACCAAUGAAAUCCUAUAUGAUAUAUAGUUAUGUAUAACAUGGAUACAUGGCUAACUCCGAGCAACUAUACAGGUCCACAUUAAUUGUUCCAAGUAUCAACAAGCCACAAAUCGCAAAAGUGGGUAAAACCUUUCCAGGAUACUUGUCAAAAAGAUUGUCGUAUUGGCUUGCCUAGCUAGUGGUAGGGGAAACCUUUUGCAGAUGGACUAGAUAUAGUUGAAAAAUGCGAAAUUGGAAUUGAAAAUGGUAAGCAAAUAAAAGGGACAGUGUUGCAGGGAGGGAAUGCUUGGAGGAAGGGAUGGUAGAUGGGAGUGGGAUCAUGUGAGAUUGGACACAAACAAGCCAUUCACUUUUUUUUUCCCCCUCUAUCAGCAGUUCAGAACCACACGAGCACAGCUAACCUCUCAUUUUGCUUCCUAGUCACCACUCUUUUCCAUCUACUCUCUCAGAUCUUGAAAACUGAAUGGUGCUUACGCAAUCAACCCCCUGGCUUUGCUCUCCCCUUUCUCUUUCUCUGUCUCUCUCUCUCUCUUCUUAAAUUCACUAAGAAGGCAAGGGGCAAUGGGGAAGGUUGUUAACAGAAAAAUGCACAUGCACCGUUCUCCCCACAAAAUGUAUGUGUCACCCGUGAGUCAAAGCUCCUCACGUGUCAAAGGUAACCAAAUUGCCCAGAAAAGGACAAGACCAACACGCUUGAAAGUUGAAAUUAACCCUCGUUUUUUUUUUGUUAUCUUAUUUCUAUAAAUCAGGACCGGCCAUUUUGCUCAAAACACAUCAUAUCAGGCUCCAUGGGUGUUCAACUCUCUACAAGGGAGUUGCAGGUUCAUGCUUCUAUUUCUUUUGUUUCUUUCAUUUUCCUUCCGUCUGAUUGCUCCAGAGCCUUUUUUUUUUUCCUCUAGCUUUUCUUCCCUUGAUUUAGAGCUCAGUUUUAAUUGUUUCCAUAUAUUGCUUCCAGCAGUAUUAAAUCAAGGUGAAAGUUCACAGAUGCCCCAUGUGGCCGAAAAGAUGGAGCGAAUGGGUUUUUUCUUGAAUCACAACGGGUGAGUAGUUUCCAUGCUAUGCUUGUCAAGUGAGCAGUCUUUUGCGGGUUGACCUCUCUUUCGUUGUCUGUUCGACCUUGAGCACAUCAUUAUUAGGGCUUAACAAAGCAUAAAGUUCAUUGAAACAGCAUAAUCAAACUAAACCGAUUCAUGUUUCCUUCAAAACAGUAAUAUAUAUCAACGUCAACUCUCUAUAAAGUUUUUAAUCCAAAUCCAUCCUCGUGUUACCCUUUUGAUCUUCUUCAUCACAUUCCUUUGGAAAACUACCUCCCCACUUACUCUUUUCAAGAUCUUAUCUUGAAAUACUAGUAGUUAGCGAGGAUCCCAUAUAGAUCAUAAGAAGCUUUGUGCGCAUGCCCAUAUUGGUGCACAAAUAUCUAGUUAAUUUUAUUUUUGAGUUGGCAUGGUAGGUGUGGAUAACCUAGUAAAUUCCAUUAGCUACUACAGCAGCUUCGCUUAUGACUAACAGGUGCAGUGACCGUUAGCGACAAAAGGAAAUAACACAAUGUAUGAUACGGGGUUGGGACGUAUAUAGAUCAUGAGUUUAAGUUAUUCAACUUUCAACAGCAGGACUUGCACCUUCAAGGUCUUAGCUAGCUAGUUUCUUGUAAUUACCAUCUCAACCAGGUUUUUCUUCAAAUUUUAGUUUUCCAUGCUGUAAAUUAACAUGUUUUAGACUUUCGCCAUCAAGCGAAUGAAUACGUGUCUUUCUUGUACCCAGUGCCUUUAAAAGAUCUGCCUGACAUAUAGACAUACUAGCCCAUGACAAAAAUUUAUUUCCUUAAAUUUCAACGAAUUCAGUACAGGCCAAGCUUAUGAUGCAUGCACGAAAUGGAAUUUUAGAUUUGAAAAAUUAAUAGUUUUAUGAAUCCUUGAAGAUGGUUGUUCAGAUAUAGAGAGUAAUGGUGAAUUUGUUGCAUGAUUUGGUUAAGCUUUAAGCAGAUUCUGAUCUAAUAAAAUUGUACCAAACUCGUAUAUUUUUCGUAGAUGAACCUCUCUAUUCAAAGAUUGAGGUAUGUCGUGCCUUAGUUUACUCUCUCAAAAUUUCAAAUGUAUGCUUGAUGAAUCUUUGAAGUAUUUAGUCAGAGAUUCUACUAAAAAUUCUUUACUAUUUUUUUGGGGGGGUUUUAUUCUUUUUUGGUUGUGGAGAAUAAAGAAAUUAAAGAACAAACAGGAAAAUUCAAGAUGGAUGCAGGUUUGACUACGUAGUAAAUUUCUUGCAGUUGGUAAAUGUGGAUGUGGGGUCUGGUUUGAGGGGUAGCUUAUUUUCAAACAAAGGUGAAAAAAAUAUCUCUUCCACUAAAAGCCCCGGCCAAGUACAAUCGAGACACAAUAAAGUAAUCUAAUAUAUAUCUAGAGUGCUACUCCUGCACCGAUCUUUUCUUGGUUGACAUCUAAACCAUUCGGUGAGUCCACGAGCAAAUAAAUUAUUCUUGUUGCACUGUCAUAUCUUGUUUCAGAAUUCAGAAGGUGAUGCUUUAGACAAGAAACAGCACGCCAUUCGUUUUCUCCUAAUUUCUUGGAUCUUCUGUAAAGAAGUUUUUUUUAUUAUUAUUAUUAUACAAUUUUCUUAAUUGUCUAGAAUAGUUAGUGUAUACUGCAUGUAUUAGAUGUUACGAGUACGCACGCAUCGACUAGCUUCCUCGUAGAUAGUGUUUGUCUUGAGCUAGAAACCCAAAAGGGAUCCUAACUAAGCAAUCUCAGAAUGGUUUGAUCGAUUUUUUUUUUCCCACUCGUAUAGGAUCUCCGACAUGAUUAACCUUUUGAAGCUAUCAAGCUAAUCUUAUGGGUGAUACCAUGGAUCUUGGAGGCUGAAUGCCAUUUUUCUCGCAUGCUUUUUGCUUUAAAUAUACGGAUGGGAGAGAUGGCGAUCAGAGAUACAUUUGAUAAUUACUAGUAAAAGUUGAGACCAUAGAAAUCUUAAAUUUAGCCAGGAUUGAAGCAGACCCUACAGAAGAACCUGAAAACUCCUUUAGGUUGACACUACGUUGUUGGUUGCUACUUGUUUCUCAGAUCAAUCCAGGCCAAAAACGUGGGUCUUGCUUUUGAUGCUAAGACCAAGAGUACUAAACAAACUUGCAAGGCUGUAGAGGAAACUCUAACUAGACAGCUUUGAAACACUUUCUAUUUGAGCAAAUGUCUGCACUGAGCUUCUUCCUGCCAAAAAGUCCUUAUCUUCCAUCCGAACGUUGUCCUUUUUCCAAUUUUCCUUUAAACCUGUUGACGUGUAUUGUAGUUUCCUUAUUUCUAUCUCAUCAUGUGUUAUCAACAUUGAGAGGUGGCAAAACAUUAUAGAAGAAAAUGUAGUACUUGUAAUGUGUAAAGUUCAAGGUCGAACUGAUAGCGAAUAUGAGGUAUGAAGCAAGAGACUAUUGAUUUGACAAAGGCCUUGCAUGGAAUCCAACACCUCAAACAGAGAAAAGCCAGCAAAGAAGGUUUGCCUGCGGCCACGACAUUCUCUAACUGUGGCCCCUUUGUAAUAAGCCUAAAUUCUUCAACCAAAUGGUAAAACCCAGAUGCAUGUCCCCGGCCAGGUGCGAUCUCUCUCUCUCUCUCAUCUCCAAAUUUGAUCUGCAAUUGUUUACAACCACAAACGAAAAUGCAUGUCAAACUUCGUCUUGUGGAUUACUUCUAUUUCUGGAAAAAUUCUACUCCGAUAUAUGAUUGUUCUAAUCUUAAAUAUUUACUACUAUUUUUUACUCUUUGUGGUCCAAGCCCAAGAAGCACCAAGUUCUUUUUAAACAAACUGUCCCUGGAUAGUGGAUAAUAUAUUAAUAUGGAUAGUUAUUUCCUCUUUAUAAAAUUUUGACCCAACUGCAUUAAAUAGCUGUCACGACCUCAGAGAAGGGAAAAAGAGAAAAUGGGAAAGAGUGCCACUGGAUAUGGUAAAUUUGGUGGGGGCAGCGUUCAAAGUACAGAAAAGUAUAAUACGGAUCUGUGAUAACUUUUUAAGAGUUAACUCUUCUUUUCUUUGCUUUUUCUUUUCACCAAUAUGUUGGAGUUAGCUGGAUAUGAGCGUGCUAACAACAUUGAUUUUUAACUUUGUUUUUGUUUUUGAUAAAGUAAUAAAAAAAUUCCAAAAUUAUAUUUCUUUUUACAAUUAAUUCCUUACAUUUUAUCGUACUCAAACUACUUUUCUUUUAUUUGUACCCAAUUAAUUUUUUUUUUUAAUUUUACUUAAUUAAGCUCUUAUCUCAUAAGAAAAAUAUAAUAAAUAUUAUUCUUAAUAACAAUUGUUACUUAUUAUAUAUAUAUAUAUAUAAUUUAAUGUGAUAUUUUGAUUAAACACAAUAAAAAUUGAUGACCUGAAAUUUCUUGUUAUAUGACAUAUCAUGUUAGCAACUGUAACAAGAGUUGAUGACAUGGUGUGCCAUAUUGGUAACUUUGUUAUGUCUAAAUCAACAGGUCAUUGUUAUUGGAAUUGAGCAUAACAUCUGUAAUAUUUUCAUUACUACAUAAAAACUCAAUUGAGUAAAAUAAAAGAACAAUGUCUCAAUUGAGUGUAAUAAAAAAAUAAAAUUUUAAUUGGAUAUGAUAAAAAUAUUAAGACUCAAUCGCAAAAACAUAUAGUUCAAAAGGGUUUUUAUUAUUAUUUAACUUUAUUCCGUAGGAAUCAUGCUACAUUUUAUGUAAUUUUAGGUAAUUAGGGAGUACUGUAAUAUUUAUUCUUUACAUAAGUUAUUUUUAAAGAAAAAAAUCAAGAAAUUGAAUCUCAUUGUAGAUACAUAUACUUAUACUAAAUUAAAUACUAAGUGUGAAUCAAUAUGUUUUAGUUCCACUUUAAGUAGUGAAAGCAAAUUAUGUUUGACCUUAUUUUUUUUCAAUUUAUCUAUCUCUUAAAAGUAGAAGUCAGGUCAAAUAAGAUUUUGAAAAACUCUUAAAAAAAUAAGUAGCUUUUUUUAAAAAAAAUUUAUCUUUUAUUUUUUUGAAAACAUGUCAACUUUUCAAUAAAUAUCCUCUCUCUUCCUUUGCAAAUCACUAUUUUUCAACACAAAUCAUGAUAUCCUUCUUCUCUACCUCUCUCUUUAUAAAGAUUAUUAGAAAAAAAAAAACAGAAGAUCCAACAAUAAAUAGCAAAUUUUGGGAUUUUUUUGUUCUUACAAAAAUUAAGAGAAAAAAAGAUAAAAAAUUUAAAACUGCAUUCAGCUACUAUUUAAAGGUUUUCUUUUUUCUUUACCAAAAAAGAUUUUAACGUCAAAUAAAUCAUUUUCUUUCUUCUCUUCUUUAUUGGGAAACUAAAGCAUUAUGAUCCGAUUACUUACUAGAUCAACAAAAAUAUAAUAUUAUUAUUACUAUAUAAACUUUGAGAGUUCUUCUGUUUCUUUAUUGAUUUUUUUUUAUUUUAACAUUUAAAAUUAUAUAUAAGCUCAAAGUAAACUUAUUCCCCUUUGAUUUAUUAGGUGAUUGAAGAUGACAAUACCCUUUAUGGUAAUUUUAACUAAAAUUAGAGCUUAUAUAAUUUAUUUUACCAAACUACUUACUAAACAACUUUACUUAAUUUUAAAAGUUAUUAUUUUUCAUAAAAAAUUCAUAAUAACUUUUAAGCUAAAAAAAACUAAAUCAAACAUGCUUUAAAAAUAUAUAGAAGAUAUUAGCUAGUUAAUUAAGUCAGGAGCCAACUCUCUGUUAAUUCCUUUUGCAGCAACUUUAUGAAGUAUUUGUUACUUGUAGCCAUUGCAUAAUAAAAAUGAAGUACAUUAGUCUUCAACAUAUUAAACGAUGGAGUAAGACGGCAUGCAGCUAGGGAUUAAUUAAUUCCCAUAUGUGCCAGUUCAUAAGCAGAUGUUACUCUCCUGAUGCCAAAAAUAUAAAAGUAAAACAUUAUAUCUAUGCUUAAAUUCUGACAAUCGAAAGGUCUGAAAUAAUAUAAAAUUGAUCAGUAAAUUAAUCACUCAAUUUUUUUUCAAACUGAAGUUUGUCAAUUUAUUCAAAUAAUGAUGAUGAUGAAAGUCCGUAGUACAUUUAUACUUUUCCUUUAGCAAUUUCAUUUUUUUUCUAGUAUAAUUCUCUUAGCAAAACUGAGAAAGCCUAUAAUUGAAUUAAGCAGCAUGGCAUACAUUUUUCCCAAUCUUAAAGCUAAUUAACUUAAAUAUCGAUGCAUGUAUAUCAAUAUUUCCAGCCGCAUAUAGGAUUUUUUUUUAAAAAAAAAAAGGUUGAAAUUUGAAUUUGAUUCCCUACUAUUUUAAUUUGACAGUUUAAGUCCGUUUAUUUUAAUUUUAAUGAAUUUAAAUUUACACUUUUAUUACAAGUCAAUUGAUAACAAUAUUAAAAUUUUAAAAUUAAUUUGGGUUUCAUGAUUUUGGUGAUGACACGGCAUGAUGAGACUUUUUUUCUACGAAUGUGUGUCAUGUGACAAAAAAUUCAGGUUUCUUUUUUAGUAAAAGAAAUUUAGGUUGGUAUACCAUAUAAUCAUCAAAAUGUCAUGUGAUCAAAAUCAAUGACAGAAUUUUAAUAUUGUUAUGGAUUAAUUUUAAAUUGAUUUUUAAUAAAAUUAUAAAAAUUAAAUUAAUUAAAAUUGGGGUUAAAAGAUUUAAAGUACCAAAUUAAAAUAAUACAAGGAUUGAAGUCAAAUUUUAACAAAAAAAAUCAAAUUUACCUCUCUUUUUCUUUUAUAUAUAUAUAUAUAUAUUAAAUGUUGUGCUUAAACUAGUAAAUAUAAAAGACGUAAAGCUUAAAAAAUCUCUUGUACUAUAUUCAUUUAUUCAACUAAGCUCUUCAUCUUUUAUUGCAAUCAAACAACUCUUUAAAUUUAUAUUUUUUAAAUCAAACAAGUCAUUUUAUAUAAUGAAAAUGUAACUGCAUGUUGUCAUAUCCAAAACUAAUUAUCUUUUUUGCUCAGGUGGCAUAUGACUUGACUAGUUGGUAUGGCUCAAACCAAAAACACCAGUUGUCGAUUGAUAUCGAAAUCAUAAAAAAAAAAAACCCAUUUUUGUAUUCCUCACCUUCUGCUCUUUCCUUUAUUCAGAGUACUUUUUUAAAAAUCUCUUUCUUUUUUUCCAAAUUGAAAAAAAAAACGAAAAUCUAUAAUCUUAAUUCUUUAUUUUUUUUAGAUUUACAGGAAAAAGGAGAAGUUUUGAAAAAUUACUUUGAUUAAAAGAAAGAGGAGAGGAAUUAGAAAAUGAUUUUUUUUGGUGAUUCUGGUUUCUAAUGAUCGUCGCUUUUGGGUUCUGGUUCUACCACAUGACACAAAACACCAAGUGGUACUGGAUCUAACAAUGGUGAAUUUUCUGUUAGAGUAAAGGGUUAAUUUGGUCAAAAAUAAAAAUUUAAAGGUUUAUUUAAAUGAAAUAAUAAGUGAUAGGUUUGGUUGAAUAAACGGGUAUAAUACAUGGAUUUUUUAAGAUUUAAGCCAAUAUAAAAUUGAAAAUAAGUUACUCAAAUAUCAUAACACACCAACAAUUUAUAUAAAAUUAAAAAGCUCCCCCUCACAUGCUUUAAAAAAAAUGUAAAAAAUCAAACUCUAGCUAUAUAGAUGUUCCAAAAGGGGAAAACAAACUGUUGCAAUUCUCACUUCAGUCCACAAAUAUAAGAGGUUUGGUGUAGGACAAAAAUUUAUCCAACGAGGCGUUGCAGUAUGAUUUCUCCAUUAAGAAAAGAAGCAGCCAUGAAAAGAAGAAGAAGCAGACAAGGAAGCAAGAAAGUAAUUCAGCUCUUCAUUUGUGCUUUGGUUUUUUAUUGUUCCACUUGGUAUUGGUAAACUUGGAUUUUCUGUGUCUAAGCUGCUACAUUUAUUUGCGUUGGUGGUGGUUAAAGCCUCAAGGGGGAAGGUUGCAGCUGCACCCGUUAGUCAAACCUGAAUCACGUGUCAAUUUUGUAGCAGAUACAAUUUAUGGUAGUUUAAUCUUUUCUUUUUUCCUUCCUUAAUUUCUCUCCAACACAUAAUUUUACAAAUAUCAAUUCUUUUACACUGACAGUACAGCCCCGCCCCGCCAAUUACAUUAAAAAAGGAAAUAUCAGUCAAAUCUUUUACCCUUCAUUUUUCUAUAUAAUAUGGUUCCAACCCUUUCCCCAUAACAAAGCAAAACUUGAGUUUGAAAGUUUAGAACUUGGUCUCUUAAUUUGUUCUCUGGGGCUGAGGGUAAAGGCACUUACUCUUCUUCUAUCACAUAGGUAUAUACUAUUUACCAACAAGUAUUGUUAACUUAUUCUCCUUCUUUAUCUUAUUUACUAAAAACUAACUUUGAUUGCUUUCAACGUAUUGGUUCUAUGAUGGCAGAUCAAACUUAAAUCCCAGAAGAUAAGGAUCGGAUAAGUUGAUGGUUGUGGAUGGAUCGGGUGAGUGAAUUCCAUGCUAUGCUUGUCAACUGAUCAGUCUUUUGCGGAUUAGCCUUUGUUUCGUUGUCUGUUCGACCUGAACAUAUAUAUAGUUAGGACAUAUCGAUAAAACCCUAAUUGAAAUUAAUAGGCAUAUACCAUAAUAUUGAAGUGAAGUGGAAUAUCACUAAAAUUCUCAUAACUUCUUCAAUAACUAUCUUAAUCUAGAUAAAAGGCCGUUAGCUGGCUGUUUUUGCUUCGAUUCUUGAUAUCAUGAUUUAUUUAGGCAUAAAAUCAUGGUGAUUUUCGUAUCUGCUUCAAUUAGCUGCAACGUUAAAGGGCUAUAUGUUGAUUUCUUCUGUAACUUUUCAUUACUGCCAGCCUUUUCCACUAACUUGGUAGUUUCCAUGGAAAUUAAGUAGCAGCUACAGGCGAUUUAUUUUGGUCUAAAAUAGGAAUUUCUCAGAUUUAUUUUGAACUGAUGGAAAUUGUGUGUUUGCUUUCGUUUGUAGGAAUCAGAAUAUAUAUAUAGCAAUAGUAGUAAUAACAUCGCUGACAUGUAAGGAUUGAACUUAUAAACGUGGCACAUAUCGAGCCAGAAAUUGAGAUUUAUUGCUAACAUAAAAAUUGAUUGCAUAUAUAUCAUACGUCAUUAAUUAGUCUUCUAUGAAAUUACAGGCUUUACCUUGAGAAAAUCCUUAGGUCAAAAACUUAAAGAAAAGCUACAUUAUUAAGGAUAGAAAGUAACAUAUAGGUUAUAUAUUCUGAGGUAGAUGCACAAUAUAUACAUUUAUAUAUUUAUAUAGAUGGUAGUCUAGAGUUUCUUUUACAACGUACUACUUUGUUCACGCAUAGGUUUUUGUGGGGGUAAUUUUUUUUUUAUUUCAAUGAUUUUUAAUUUUUGAAAAUAUAUUUAUUUUUUUAGAUAUCUUAAUAUAUGUUAAUAAAAAUAUUUUCUUUUUUUUGUUAAUAAUGAUAAUUCUAAUAAUGAAGUAAAAUUAAACUUGAGAAAGUUAAAUAUAUUGAAAGUAAUUACUUAAAAACUACAUAAUUUAUAUCAUCAACAUGUAUUAUAAGUGUAUGAUGUGUUUCAUUUUUGCAAUAUACUAAUAUUCAUAUUAUCAAAAAGUAUGUUAAUAUUCAUGUUAUUAUAUCGAGUCUAUGAUAACAACGUACUGGUAACAAUAAAAUCAAUAUUUCAAAUAUAAUAUUAAAAAUAAAAUUAUUUCAUUAAAAACCUUUGAUUCAAUUAUUAAUAACAAAAUCAAACUUUAUAUCAUACUUUGUUCAUAUUAUUUAAAUGAUUAUAUAUAAAAUAUAUCAUUAUUUAUAACAUAUUAUAGAGAACGAGUGUAAAUUUUAAAAUCAUUCAUAAAACCCAGAACUCACAACUAUAAUCCAUACCAAUACACAUUAAACCCAAUUACAUGAUAUAAAUGCCACAUGUCAAUUAAUUAAUAAAGCCAAGUGCAAAAUUUAACCAUGCUUAAACCCAAUUAAUUGAGACACAUGUAAACCAAUUAGGUGAUUAAAUUUGUUAAGUGUCAAAUUACACCUAAACAAACUUUGGCAUCUAAACCCACAGAGGAGGUAAUUAAUUUCUAGACUAGAUUAUAGAAGAUAUAGACGUCUAUUAGAUUGAGAAAGUGCGUACUGUCGUUACUUCAAUUUGAUUUUUGUUUUUUAUUUUAGAGAAAACAAAGAAGAAAAAACUUGCUUAAUAAUUUCUUCUCUGUUGGAUCGUCGGUUGCAAGGUGUAUGAAUCUGUUUGGACAAUUGAGAAUUGACUCGUCUUCUUCACCUACUGGUUUCACUUCUAUUUUUUUGUCGUUUUUCAAAAUUUUAAGCAACACGUUCCACGAAUAUUGACUUUGUGACGGUGAUAGUACAAUUUAUGGACGCUGCCCAGGUUAUUUGUCAAUGGUGCAGUGUUGUAGAACAUGGCUAGCCCUAGAAAGCAAAAGUAACAUUCACUCAUGUCAAGGUUAAAGACUAAAAAAUAUUCCAAAGUCCACGUUUCCUGAAAACUUGAAACCACAAUCAACCACAUGUAUAUUUAAAUCAUAGCAAACUAGACUGACCAUCAUGCCAUGAUGCAUAUACCCCACAUUUCCAGGAUUCCUGGGCUCUUCUGAUAGAUUCCAUCUCUUCUAAUUAAAUUAAUUCAAUGCAUAUUCGAAAACAUAAUGUUUAUUUGGUCGACAUCCCCAAAUAAGUUUCGAUUAUACUAUAACCUAUGUUUAUAGUUGAGCAGCUACAUCACAUGGAGUUAAUGUAAUAGCCAGGAAAGGUCUUUUCAUGGCCACCAUUUUGUCUUAUGCUAAACAACUGAAAUGGGGGACUGUCACCCAGCUUCGUUUACACGCAAUUACAGGGGGUUGCAUUAAGUUGCAAGUGUCUUUAUAUGAUAGAAUAGUAUAAUACUAUAAAAGAAGUUUAGUGACUUUUUACGUCAUUGGCAUGUACAAGUCCACCUUAUAGUCAAUGCUCCAUGGCUUCAUUUUGUAUGUUACUUUUUCAUUUUUACGAAAUAUUUUUUAAAAAAAUUAAAAUUUAAUUUAAAUGUAUGAAAUUGAUAUUUCAUAAAUUUUGAUAUUAAAACUGAAAAAUAAUUAAAAAAUAUAGAAAAACCUUUGUUAUUUAAAAAUAGGAUAUAAUUUUUGAACAUAAUAAAAAUUAAAAUAAGGACAAAAAAUGAGACGAGAGGAUUUAUGUAUGGACAAUUAAUUAAUUUACUAUAAAACAAGAUAUAUGACAUCAUUGAAGUUAAUGUAACUGAAUUUAUUAAGAGCUGAAAAAUUGUUGAAUUCAUGUUAUUUGACCCUUGAUCUUGUAUUGUUAGAGGACGAUUUCAGUGUAAUUAGGUGUUAUUGGAUGGAAACUUAUGAGGGUCAUCUUGGAGAAUUCAAUAGAAAAAUAAAAUAAAAGGAUAUGCUAUUUGUAGGGCUAUUGAAAUUAAAGUAGUAAAUUAAGCGCUAGUAAGAUAAAUGUUGAGGUCGAAACUCGCAACGAAUGUGAGGUACAAGCAGGAGACUGUGCAUUUGACAGGGCAUUGGUAUGGAAUUUAACAUCCCAAGACAAGGAGCGGUAAUUUUAAAACAUCUCCACAAGUGCAAAAGAUUGAACCAUUAUUCCCAGGUAUUCUGUGCUUUAAACACAGUCAACUCUUUUGACUUCACUUGCACUUUUCCAUGGUAGCCUCAAGUAUAGCUUGCAUUUAAUUAGUAAAAGUAAUAACGUCAUUUAAUAGCUUUAAAACAUCAGUAAGCUGCGAUGGAGGCUUCAUUGUUUUUGGCUAAAGUCUCGGGCUUUACGUUUUGUAGUAGGCUUUGUGAAUAUUGUGAGUUGUAAGUUCAGGAAUUUUUGUAGUGGGCAAACUGUUGCUGCCAGUAGUAUAGAGGAUAGAUUUGAUGCAAAUAACGCUGCCAAUUGCUUUUUGAGCGGCUAGCAUCUUUUGUAACUGUACAUUUUUCGGUUACCCUAGGUUGGAAGUGGCGUCACUAGAAGUUUUUUACAACUAAAUGUUCAAGACUUGGGAUGACAUAAUAGCUGUGGGUUCAUAAUAAAAUCUGUUUUGCAAAAUAAAAAUAAAAAUUUCAGCCCCUUUCUCCGUCUUUACCUUUUCUAGUCAUUCAUCUUUGUUGGAGUUUCAACAAUAAAACUAAGAAAAAUGAAUAAUAGAGGUUUUUCAGAGAAGAUGAAUAAUCGUGAAGGAGCUGUAAUAGAGCACCAAAAUUCAAGAAAAGGAAAAACUCAAUAAAUAUUCAUUACUCUUUAGUAUAUAUACUUUCCAUUACAAACUGUAAAACUAAUAAAGCUUCAAAUACGGUAUUAGAAAAUGAAAUCGAGGUGUGAAGAGAAUAAAAUAAUUCACUAAGCACCUGAUGCAUUGAGAACAAGGCAUAAACUUAUGUGCCCACCAACAACUAAUUUGGAAGACAUAGAUACGUGGCUUUCUAGCUUAACACGACAAACAAAACGACCCACAUUUGCAUAUAGAAAGAGUAAAGACAUAGCUUACGACACAAGCUGUUGCGUUUAGCUUUACAAGGCCUUUAAAACAACACUACAAUAAAAUGUUUUGUAACAACAAAUGAAAAAACUUCAAACGACACAAAAACUUGUACAUCACUAAACAGAAAUUAGUAAAGUUGAAACGUCUUCAUUUUAUCAUCAUAAGUCUUCUUCUUUGUUGUAAAAUUUCUGUCAGUUCCCACCUUACUUAUUUGCGGCAAGUAUCUUCAACCAGAUUAGGAUCAACCUUUCAACACUCCCCCUUGAUUUGGAAUCUAGUGGAUACCCAAACUAGAUAUUAGAAACUCGAACCUAUCUUUGCUUAAUCUUUUAGUGAGAAUAUCAACUAAUUGCUCAUCUGUGUGAUAGUACUGUAGCUGAAUUUCAUUCUCCUUCACUACCUCUUUUAAUACACAGUACUUAACCCUGAUAUGUUUGGUUUGACCAUGAUGCACAAGGUUUCUUGCCAUUGCUAUUGAGCCUGGUUAUCAACAUUUAGAAUAGUACCUUUAUCUUAUAUAAAUCCUAAGUUAAAUAAAAUCUUUUUUAACAACAGAAUAUGGUUUGCAACAAAAGUAGUAGCUAUGUAUUCAGUUUCUACUGAUGAUUAGGCAACAACAUCCUACUUUUUUGAAUUUCAGGAGAAUAUUCCACUUCCAAAUGAAAAACAGAAUCCUCCAAUGCUUUUUGAACUGUCCAAAUACUCUGCCUAGUCAUUAUCAUUAUACCCUUGAAGCUCACCACUUUUUGACUUACAGUACCUAAGGCCACAGUUUUAGGGUGCCUUUGAUAUAACUUAGGACUCUCUUAGCAAUUUUGAAAUGCAUUUCAGAAGGUUAUUGCAUAAAUCUGGACAGUAAGCUAGUUGCAAACAUUAUAUCGGGUCUAGUAGUUGAUACAUAUAAAAGAGACCCUAUCAUGCUUUUGUAAACUAGACUAUUUGCCUCAAUAGCCCCAUCAUUCUUGCUCAGGUUGUCACCAAUUGAUAAUAAAGUGUACACAAGCUUAAAUAAUUCCAUUUUGAAUCUCCUCAAAAUAUCUUUGGCAUAUUUAUACUGAUGCACAAAGAUCUUAUUAGAAUUUUGUAUGUACUCCAUACCCAAGAAAUAAGUCAUUUGUCUUAAAUCAGUCAUUUCAAAGUCUUUCUUCAUUUGGUUAUUGAAUUCUCCCAAAAAUUCAUUCUUUGGACCUAUUAUCAGCAAAUCAUCUAUAUAUAGUGCAACUAUAAGAAUAGCAUAUCCAUUUGACUCCCUCACAUACAGUGUAGGCUUAGUAAUGCUUCUAUUAAAGCUUUGUUUUCUUAGAUGUUCAUCCAUUCUCUCAUAUUAGGCUCUAAAGUCCUGUUUAAGUCCAUACAUAGCUUUAAUCAGUUUGCAUACCUUUCCUUCUAAGUCUUUCUCCGUAUAUCCUUCAAGUUGCUUAAUGUAAAUGUCUUUUGUCAAGUAGCCAUUAAAAAAAGCUGACUUGAUAUCAAGGUGAUGUAUCAUCUAGCCUUUUCUUGCAAAUAGUGUAGCAAGUAAUUUGAUGGUAUCAUGCCUUGCAAAUGAUGCGAAAGUUUCAAAAUAAUCAAUUCCAUAUGUUUGAGCAUAGCCUUUCACAACUAAUUUGGCUUUGUGCUUGUUGACUGAGCUAUCUAGAUUCAACUUUGUUCUAUAAAUCCAUUUGACUCCAACGAUAUUUUGUUCAUGUGGUCUAUCAACUAGAAUCCAAGUUCCAUUCUUUUUUAUCAUGUUCAUCUUAGCAUCUAUUGUAGCUCUCCAAUUUGCAUCAAUGUUGGCUUUAGUGAAGCUUGAAGGAUUAGUCACAACAACAUUGCACCUAUUGUAAAUGUCUUCAAGUGUUCUUGUCCCUUUUGCUACCAAGCUAUCAUAUUCAAUAUCAACUGAAUCAUUGUCUUCAAGCUGAAAUUGGCCAUCAUUAGCAAAAAUCAUAUUUCUGAACAAUUAAUAGUUUUUUUUUCCAAUUCCAUUUUUGCUCUUCAUCAAAAGUAACAUAUCUAUUAAUGAACAGCUUCUUAGCAUUGAUGUCAUAUAAUCUACAACCUUUAGAUGACUUACCAUAACCUAAAUGAAUAGCUAAAAUUGACUUAAAGUCAAGUUUAAUUUUUUUUUUCGUCUAGUAUUUUAAUAUAGCAGACACAACCAAAGGUCUUCAAAUGAGUUACAGAAGGUUUGUAACCAAACCACAUUUCAUAAAGUGUUUUGAGACUUAAGGUUUUAUUAUAUACCAUGUUUAAUAGGUAAUUUGCUGUAUUAAUAAUCUCUACCCCAAAUACCCUUAGUAUCUCUUUUUGGAACAUUAAGCACAUGGUUAUCUCAAACAAGGUGUUUUUUUUAUUUCUGAAACUCCAUUUUGUUGAGGAUUGUAGGUCAUUGUGAGUUGAUGUGUAACACCAAGCUUCAUUAAGUAAUUUUCAAACUCAGUAGAAGAAAACUUUGUGCUAUUGUCAUUUCUUAAAAACCUAAUUCUAAGAUUAGAUUGAUUUUCUACUAAUGCUUUAAGCUUAACAUAUGAGUUUAACACUUCAUAUUUCUGUUUUAAGAAAUAUAUCUGGUAGAAUUUAGUAAAGUUAUCGAUGAACAAAAUGUAGAACAAACUAUUGCUCAAUGAAGGAGUUUUCAUUGGAUUAUGUAUGUCAGUGUGCACCAACUCCAAUUUCUGCUUAGCCUUCCAAGUUCUCACUUUAAGAAAUGGUUUCCUACAUUACUUUCCAUACUGACAUGUUUCACAAAGCUUGUCUAGUUUCACUAUAGCGAAGAGGCCUUCAACCAAGUCAACAAAGGCCAUUUUCAUCAAUGAACCAUAGUUCACAUGCCCCAGUCUCCUAUGCCAAACAUCUGACACAUCUUCUUCACUUGCAAAGCCCUAUGUUCUAUUUCCAUCAAAUUCAAAAGGCAACAUUUAUUUUUUGUAAUGACCCUUCCCUAGUCGCUACCAACGUCUAAGACUUUUGAGGAAAUUUUCGCUAAGUCUCAAACAAGCCUCAUUUAAGACCUCCACUAGAUUCAUUAAAUACAUAUAAUCACGAGCGUAAGCGAAUAUUAAUAAUUAAAUUACUAUCUACUCCAUUCAAAAUAAUAACAAUUCACGUUUAUAAGUUAACAACAAUUUUCAACAUCUCACAAAUUUUAUUCCAACACAACCCUAAACAGCGGAGUGACUCGGAGUGGGGUUAGGAGAUGCCUUUACCUACUCUGCGGUGGUCCGUAUGCACCGAUGGUUACAUGUUAGACUGAUUUCUAUAUGCAAAAAGAAAAAAUAAGAGGGGUGUGAGUCUCAUAGACUCAGUGAUCAUCAUCGACCCCGUGAGCAGGCGAAGAGGGGAAACAAAUAUAAAGGUGGAAUGUUUAUAAACUCAGGAGUAAACGUGGAAAACACAUUCCAUAAAACUGAGAGAUUUUGUUUUUUUAUACCUUUCAAGUCUUAAAAAUAAUAAAUCACAAGUAAACAUAUAUGAAAACGGUUGUAUUUUAGGUACUAAAAAAUUCUUUCAACUUCGAUAUCUGGUCAACUGUAAAUCCAAUAGCAAGUGUCGAAUGAAGAGUCUCAAACAAAAUGCGAAAUAACUUAUCAACAAUGAAUAUGUAAAUUUCACUUGCCAUUUAAUAGUAAAUUUCAAGUAAUAAUGCCAUGCAUUGUGUAAUAAAAAAAAUUCAUAAGUGAGCAUCAUCAUCGAGUAGGUUUAGUAUAGCCCUUAGGCUUACUCUCUCAGACAUCAUCACCUACUCGUGGAAAUUUUCCACUUCACCAUAUAUAAAUCGGGGCUUCAACUCCCCCUUUUUAUUUACUCGUGGGAAUUAUCCACGUCACCAAAUAUAAGUGGGGGCUUUAAGUCCCCCUAUACCUACUCGUGGAAACUACCCACGCCACCCAAUAUAAAUCGGGGCUUCAGGUCCCCCUUUAUUACAAUCAAAUAUCAAUAAUCAACAAUUACCACUUUAUGCACAAAGACCACACUUAACCUGGUGUGGUAACAUGCCUUACCCAAAUAUCUCAAUCACGUUAAAAUGAAAAUCAUUGCAAUUUAAUGCAUUUGCAAAACAAGAUAGAUCAAAAGCAAUAUAAUCAUAAAUUGAAUGUUAUGCAUAAUUUAUUUCAAAGCAUGGCAUACCCAUCAAAUCAGCAUGAUAAGUGAAAUCAAUAAUAAAUUUUUUUUAUCAAAUCCCAUGAAUCAAAUAAUGACCAUUGGCCCAAACAUUACACAAGCUUGCAAGGUAUGAUUUUGAAGCGAAAGCCAUUGAAAGGUUUGUUUUCCCAUAAUUAAAACCUUAUAGAUAUAAACUUAUGUAUAAUAUACAAAAAACGAAUUUAAAACCCUUGAUUGCAAUCACAAACAACCUAGGACUUUCUACCAACUUAUCCUUUCCACAAUUUCGUCAACCAUCAAAUAUAACAUAUAUAACAUAUUUAUCGGGAUAUAGUUUUUGAAAUUUAACACUCACUCACCUCACAAUAGCGGGACACUACUUCGCUAUUGGUUCAUACGUGUAUCUAACUAUUCUUUCUUCCUUUCCCAUUUAUUUCUUUCUCUUUCCUGCUUCUUCUUUUUUUUUAAUUCUCUUUCUCUUUUUCUUUUUUUUUUUCUUUUUUUCUUCCUCUGGCACCGUCGCUGCUCCUUCUCUCUUUCUUCUUCUUUUUUUUCUUCUUCUUUUUUUUCUUCUUCUUUCCCUCUCCUUCUUUUCCUCGUCGUCGUGCUCCCUCUCCAUUUCUUAUUCUCUUUCUAUUUCUUUUUCUUCUCCUAGAGACGCAGCUCCCCCUCUUUCCUUUCUCUCCCCCGGGUCCCUCACUCUAUUCCUUCUCUUUCCUCUUGUCUUUCUCUCUUGUCUUUUCUCCCUUUUUGGCAGCUUGACUUUUCUUCUUCUCUCUCUUUUCUUCCUUCUUUUUUUGGCCGGCCCCCCCUUUCCUUCUUCUUUUUUUUUUCUUUCUUUUCUCUUCUCUUUUGUCUUUUUCCUUCCCUUUUUUUUUCUAUUCACACGCCGACCCCCACUUACUUCUUCUUCUUCUUCUUCUUCUUCUUCUUCUUCUUCUUCUUUUUUAUGAGUGGGGCGUUACAUUUUUCAUCUUGACUGUCAUCAACUCUAAACCAAUUGGAUCAUAAAUGGUGCACUACUUAUCUUUAAUAUAAUUAAGCAUAGUGCUUGUCUUCUAAUUGACCUACAUUACGCAAGUUUUUAUUAGCCUCAAUAACAUAAUGAACAUUAGUAAUGAAUUUCAUACCUAAAGUGGUAUUCACAGUUACUGCUCCAAUUCCAAAGAUUUUUAAAAACACACCAUUCCCAAUUUUCACCCUAGCUUUGAAACUUCUAUCAAGGUCAGGAAAUAGACUUUCAUUACCAGUGAGGUGAUUAGAGCACCAACCACCAAUCAACCAAGUAUUCUUUUCUGUAGCACUAUCACCCAUUUUAGCCAUGAAUAGCAACUCUUUUAAUCCACUAGCUUCCUCAGCCACUACAGCCAUGCUUUCAGCUUCAUUCUUCUUUGCCUUACAUAUCUUUUCCCCAUGUCUUAACUAGUUGUAAGCCCUGCAUUUCAAAUUUGGCAUAUUCCAAUAGUACUUAGAAAUGUAUUUUUCUUUUUACAAUGUGGGCAAGAAGUGCAUUUAUUAUAUUGUUUUCCCUACUUCCCAUCACCAGCUUUGUUGCCUUUAUUGUCAAGUUUCUUAGAGUCAUUUCUUUUGAUUCUUAAACCUUUAGUCUUAGCAGUUAAAGCAUUUUCUACAGAAUCUUCACUUUUAAUAGCUCUCUUUUGCUUUUGAACCAACAAGGCAUUGAUCAACUCCAUCACAGAAAUUCUGGUUUAGUCUUUAGAGUCUUCUAAAAUGGAGAUUUUUUAUUUAAACCUCUUUGGUAGACUUAUCAAGAACUUGUUUACAACCUUUCUUUCUAUUACUUCUUUUCCCAAUAACCUUAGUUAAUUAACAACCCUCAAAACGCUAUGAAUAUGCUUGAAUCUCUUCAUAAUCCUUAAUCUUCAGUAGUUCAAACUGUUUUGACAAAUUGAGAAUUUGAAUUUGUUUAGAGCAAUCAUUGCAUUGAAAUUCGUUUCUCAAAGUAUCCUAAACUUGCUUAGGAUCAUCAAAAUUUAUAAUUCUACCUAAUAUAGUGUCAAACACAACAAAAUGCAAACAUGAGAUAACCUUGUACCUCUAUGCUAACUUUUCACUGUGCUGUUUAGUUUGAGCCGGUUUGGGGUUAGUAUACCUCUAAACUAGUGGAUCUCUUUCUACGUUGACCACCUCCCACAAGUUAAAAGCCUUUAAGCAAGCUCUCAUCUUCAUGGCCCAGAUGGGGUAGCUUGAACUAGUGGACAUUAGAGGAGCUAAGGCACUAUAUCCAGCAAAAGCCAUAGAUGCACACCUAUUGAAGAAAUCAAACUGAAAUACUCAAGGUUGAAGAGCUCAAGGUCCCUUAAGAUGCAUAUAGCUCUGAUACCGUGUUGGAGUUUCAACAAUAAACCUAGAAAGAAGAAUAAUGGAGGUUUUUUAGAGAAAAUGAAUAAUCGUGAAAGAGUUGCAACAGAGCAACUAAAUUCUGGGAAAGAAAAAACUCAAUAAUUUUUCAUUACUCUUUGAUAUAUAUAUUUUCCAUUAAAAAGUGUAAAACUAACAAAGCUUCAAAUACAGUCUUGGAAAACAAAAUCUAGGUGAAAAGAUAAUAAAAUAGUUAGUUGAGCACUUGAUGCAUUAAGAACAAGGCAUAAGUUUUCAUGCCCAGCAACAGCUAAUUUAGAAGACAUAGAUACGUGGCUUUCUAGCUUAACAAGAUAAACAAAACGAUGUACAUUCUUACAUACAGAAAAAGUAGAUUAAAGACAUAGCUAAAAGACACAAGUUGUUGUGUUUAGCUUUACAAAGACUCUAAAAUGAUACAACACCAAAGUGUUUCGUAACAACAAAUGAAAAAACUUGAAACGACACAAAAACCUGUACAUCAUUAAACAGAAAUUAGUAAAGUUGAAACAUCCUCGUUUUAUCAUCAUAAGUCUUCUUCUUUGUUCUCAAAUUUCUAUUAGUUCCUGCCUUACUUAUUUGCAACAAGUAUUUUCAACCAGAUCAGGAUCAAUCUUUCAACACUCUCACCUCUUUUCUCCUCCUUUCUCAACCUAAUGUUGUUGGCUUCUCCUUUAUUCCUCCCAAUGACUAUAUAUUUGGACAUUCGUGAUUAAAGGUUUGGAUUUAAAAACUAAGAGAAAAGGUGAAUAUAUAUCUCAAAUCCUUAUGUCUUGAAAGAAACAAUAUGGUGGUGGUGUUUAGUCCCAGAAAAUCAUCUCAAAAUUUAUGUUGAAUUGCACUCAUUGAUUAGAUCGUUGUGUCACAUAAAAAUUUAGUGAUUUUACAAAAAUAAUGAUCUUAAACCAUAAAAAAUGAUUAGAUUAUUAUUAUGAGAGGUGAUCUGAUUUUCAUUCAAAAAGAUGAGAAACUUUUUCUUUCAUCGAAGUAUAGUAAUUUGUAAAUCAAUUAUAGGUAAUUUUUUAAGUUUUAACAUGUGAAUAAAAAAAAAAACUUGCUUUCUUUCCAAAAUAAAAAUAAUUUUUACUCUUUCAAAAAUUCUUUACAAUACUAUAUAUUUUUAUCCGCACUUUUUUCUUUAGUUAGGUAUAUAAUCUCUAUUUUGACAGCAAAUUCAUUAUUAUUUUGAUAAAUUAAAUUCAUUCUCAUUCAAAGGUUUUUCAUCAAAUUUAAAAGUUGAAAGUUAGUUUAUUAAAGAUAAAUAUAGUUUUUAUAUUUAUUUAUUAAUUUUAUUAAUUAUAACUUAUUUAGAUAUAAAAUAUUAAUAUUAUUUCACAAAUUCUUAUGUUAUGAGAAUAUUAAAAUUAGUAAUUUAGUAAAUUUUAAAACAUCGUUAUUUUUUUAAACUUGUUCACAAUUGGACAAGACUUUCUCAGGCCAGCCAGUGAUAGUAUAAUAUUAAUAAACAAUUAUUUUUAUUUAAUUUUAACCCUAGAAUAUAUAUAAAAAAUUAAAACAUUAAUAUGAAAAUAUUUUUAAAUAUUUAAAGAAUAAAAUAAAACUUAAAUGGGUUAGAUGAGCUAGUGCCUAGGUUUGGUAUUUAAUACAAAAUGAUAUUUGAAUUCUAUGUCAUAUAAUAUAUGGUGAUUGCAUUAUCAUACCUUGAAAAGGACACGAAAUGUUACCUAAAAAAGAAAAGAGGUGAGGAAGAAGAGAUUUUCAAUUAAAACAGAGGAUCCUCAAACAAACAAAUGCCACCGCCCAUUUUAACUUUAAGUAAAUUGGGCUUGCCACUCAGUCAAGCUUAUGUCCACCGCCCAACCUGCCCCAGCCCAUCGUGGCCCUCCACCAAAGAAAAUGCUACAACUUCAACUCUCACCGACUCAGUUCACUUUGACUUAAAUGCUCAACUCUCAACAGUCAACAGUGAACUCUAAAUCGAAUCUGAAGUGACGGUGCUCAUCCGCCGAAAGAGACAUUACGGGAGACAGAUGGCGUUCUCUAACUGGAACACUGUGGGAAGUCUGGUUACUCCGGCUGUGGAGAAAGAAGACUUUUUACCCAGCAAAAGAUCAGUCAUGGUUGCUACCAAGAUAAAGACAGCUUUUGUUCCUCUUCAGGUAUGUUGCUAAAAAAAGUUUGCUUUGGAAUUCCUCUACUUUUCAGCGUCUAGCUAAAUGUAGAGGAACAGAGUUAAAUUAAAAAAAAUUUUGAAAAGCUUUAGUUUAAACUGAAGAUCUUUCUGAAUCAAUGUCCAGCUUCUAGGCAGAUGGUCUAUGCACCUCCCCUACUAACAACUCUCACACACACUUAUUUUCCCUUUUUUAAACUUAUUAUUUAAUCAAGUUAUAAGAAGGACAAAGAUGUGAUGUGAUCAUUGAUUUGUUUGGGCUAGAAUUCACAUAUGCAUAGUUGCAUUUGUCUGUUUUUCAAUUUUGUUAUGAACCCAAGUUUGUGAAUCAGUAGUAUAGCCAUUUUUUUCUUUUUUAUGGGUUAUUUGGUGCAUUGGAUACCCAUCAAUUCCUUUGCGUUUCUUUUGAUUUGGUAGUUUUAGUUUGUGAUUUUACUGCUUUAUCUUAACUAACAUAUCUUAACUAGGGCUCCGUUUGCUUAUAGCUUUUACUAUUUGCUUUAUCUUUUUCAAAUUUUACCAGAAACAAAAAAAAAAUGGUGGAAAGAGAUAUCAUAAUUGAUUAAAAAUAAUCAAAUGACCAAAAUGCAACACCAAUUCUAGCAUAAUUAUUCUAUAUUGAAGCAAAAUUCAUGCAUUUUGUUCUUCAAAAGCUAAUUACUAAUUUGAUUUAAUUUUUAAAAAAUAUAAUUUGCUUUUGCAUCCAUAUUUUUUUCUUUUGCUUUCUCCUUACAGCAGUAAAAAACAAAUAGCAAAAGCAAUAGCUAAUUAUACCUAGAUGUGCAAUCAUCUGCUUUGCUGUUCUAAACUUGAGAUCUACCUCUCUACGACUUUGAUCUGCUUGACAAAGACAUAAAAUUUUAUUCAUUAUCAUUUGGAUCAUUUGUUUCACUUGUGGCUAAGUGAUUCUCAAGUCGUGUACUUCUCAUUGUGCGUGCUAAUUUUCUUAUGGUUGUCUGAAAAUGGGGUUAAAAGUUGUGAGGGACUUAAUAAAAAACCAUCAGGUGUUGUCUUCGCUUUUUGCCCCCAAUUCCCCUAUGUGUGCAAGGGUGCCUUACUUUUCUCUUUGCUAGUUAAGUGGACUAAUUUAUAUAAGGAUAGAUUCCAUUAUUAUUAAGAAGCACUUAAGUUUAUGGCAAUUAUAAGUGGUUUUGAACAUCUUAUUGGGUGGUAGAAUAAUAUCUUGAUGGAUUAUUAUAGUUAUUAUUCUUUGUACAUUUGCCCAUAUAUCUGAAACUAUAUCUGCAUUUGUGAGAAAAUCAUUUUAGUGUUUUUUAAAUAUUAGUUAUUCUUUACUCGCUCAUUUCCAUAAUUUCCUGGAAUCUUGAUAUUGUUAGUUAAGCUACAAAUCCUACUGUCAUGGCACAUUGUAUGUUAUAUGUAGCUUAAAGAUUGUUGUCUCUAGUAACCAAGAUGGCUAGCGUUAAAGAUGCAUUAUAUGGCAUACCAUAUUGUGGAUUAAUGAAAUUAGCCAAAUUUCUUCAAAUAGAAUGAUUAUCAGUAAUUAAUAUGUGUCAAUUACAUUUUAAAGUUGAUAGCUGCUUUGUUUAAGUUUUUGAUGCACAAAAGAUGGUCUGACCCGCAUAUAUCACAUUGAAGGUCAACCUAUAAGAUGUGAGAAACUCCUGUAUAGAUUGGCAUUUUCAGUGUUCUGAUUUCUUGUUUGAAUCUGUAUUCACUGACUUCCAGUUCGUUUGAUCUCCUUAUUCUUUAUUAUUCCUUUUUUUGUACAUUUCUUUUAAUUUUUCUGCUGAAGAAAUUGGUUGGGUUUAUGCCUGUGAACAUGACAAGGGAGAGAUAUCAAUAUGCUUUCUCUAAAUCAAAUGGUCAUCUUGAUAACUGGUGGGUCAUAAGGAAUGUGUAUUUUCCCAUGUUAAGAUUUUUGCUGCAAAAUCUGGCUGUUAAUUGCACUCUUGCUUCUUUUCUUCUAUAAUUUUUCUUUUCAGGAACAUAUAAACUCUCUUUUUUGAGAAGAGAGAGGACAAAGGGAUCUCAUAUACAUAAAUAAAAAACUUUAGAAUUCAUUCAGUUUACAGAGUGCAGUACAUAGACUUUUUGGUUUUGAUUCCAGGUGUUUGUCUCACAAUGCAUAAACAUAAUAUGGCCUGUUGGUCAUUUCGAUAAUUGAUGGUAGUAUCCCUGAAUUAGCCAAUUAUAAAUAUAUGAUGAAAAAUAUUUAAUUUGAAAAUUUGUUAGGUUUUUAUAACUAUUGAGAACUGCAGAAGAGAAUACAGAUACAAAACCUUACAUUGCUUUAUUUGGACAAAAGAACUGAGUUUAUUGAUAAGUUUCAGCAGAUGAAGGCAUGUUUUAGAACUAUUAAAGUUGGUGCAGAUUGCUGACUUGAGAAUUCUGUUUGGAUUUUGGAGAACAAGAAUGAAUCUUGUGAAAUCAUUGUCUUCUACCUUAUUUGGAUACAAUCACUAAAAGAUGACUUAGAGCGUUGCAUUUAGCAUAAGAGGAAAAAGAAAGGACCUACUUCUAGACACUACUUUGGCAUACCUCUGAACACAUUCCUUUGUCUCUUUUGCAGGUGAAGUGCGAGAAAAGACAUAAAUCAUUGACAACAAAAUGCUUUGCUGUUUCACGUAGAGAUAUGAUGCAAUGUCUAACUGCUGAAGUUCUUGGUCUUGCCCUUCUUCCAAAACCUGCCAUAGCUCGUGUUAGUAGACUCGAGAUGAGGAAAAAGAUAAUGGAGAAGCUUGAGGAGCUUAGGGAGAAGGCUGGGCUAUCUAAGCCAAAAACUGAGAAUGAGAUGAAGUCUCCAACAAAACCGUCACCAAAGGAUAAGAAGUCUCCAACUUUGCCACUGCCACCUCCAGAAAGCGCAGUUCAACUGUUGGUGGAAGUAACCCUCAGCAACAUCCCUCCUUCAAAUAAUGCUUUGUGAUAUUCUCAGUAACAGGUUCGAUCAUGGUGUCAAUUUACCUUCAGUUGCUCUGAAUGUCAAAAUGUCAGUUAAUACAGUGAAAGUAUGGGUCAUCAUGAAGAGUAGCCCUGGUUUCCGCGAAAGCCUGAUUAAAUAAAGACUUGAAUUUUCUGUGUCAAAAAAAGAAAAGACUACAAUUUCCUGGAAAAUAAAUGUAUGUAUCUGUCAAAAGUCCGGCAGUACUACGCCAGAAUUUCGUUUCUGAUGAAAAAUUAGUGCCAGAGUAAUCUUAAAGCUCGGAUUUCAGUCCUAUUUGAACCCAAAUCAUACGUGUAGCUGCAAUUGUGCAUUAACUCUACGAACAUAAAAACUUUAGAAUGGUAUUUGUAUAUAUAUGAUUUCUUUUUUGUCAACUCACCUAACGGAGUCGGUGGUACUUAACUAAUAAAACCAAUGGCGACUUCAUUAUUAGUACAAAUAUAUCAACUAAAUAAAAACAAAUUGCAUUCGAAUCAAGUGUCAAGACAUGCAUACCUUUCGGGUACUAAUUCCUCUUGUAAUUAGCUUAUUUCUAUUACAUGACACAUCUAAACCUCACACUUUUAAUUACGGUCAACUAAGUACUAUUACUGACACUAGACAAAUUGAAAUGUCUAAUUGAUUGCAAGAAUUGCGGAAUUGGGUAAGUGGAAUAGGGUUCAUCGAGUUUGUUAGUUCUUGGGUGUGAGUGUGAGCUAUUGGGUUAGUAUGUUUUCUUUAACGGCAAACGUGGUAAAGCUAUAUAGAGUGUUACAUUUCUUAUCUAUUCCCACUUAAAAUAAAAAUGUAGGAGAAUGCAUUGAGAUCAUGAAAGGAAUUAGUGCAAAGAGAGUAGCAUGUGGAAAUCGUCUUACAUAUAAAUUACAAAAAAUGAGACAAAGGGCAAGCAAAUCAAUUGAUCUUUUUGUCCAUGUUUUUGACAAGCUGCCUCAUUUGAAACCUCCAGAACAAGAAAUAAGCCAAACCCAACCCUACCAAAACAAAAACCCAAACAUGUUCCUCGCCGCUCUCCUUCUCGGACCUCACCUCCACUAUUUCAAACCUUUCCCUGCCUUCCCCGUUCCCCAUUAUGCCCUCCAUCACAUGCCCAUAUAACACGUACACCCUAUCCUCCUCUCCCAUCACCACCGAGGUAGCAGAGCCUUCCGCAUCAAGGGCAGUUUUGUCAUACACCACGCCUUCUGCCCAACUAUCAGCACUCUUCAGAAACCACAACUUUUGCGUAGAAACAACUAAUACGACGCCGUCCCUCCUUAUCGCUAUCCCAUCUGGCAUUACCAAAUCCUCGUUCAGCAGGACUACCCUCGCCGUCCCAUCGUCAGCAUCAACCUUAAACAUCUUGCCCGUAUUGGAUUGCACCACCAAUAAAUAACCCUUGCUGACGUAAGCGAUUCCAUUCAGCCCGCAAUCGUUAAACGGUUCGUUUUGAUCCAUGACAGAUGCGUAACGGCUAAAAACCGGAGAUCUUGAAAAAAUCGACGCCUCUCCGCUUUCGUUGACUUUCCAGAUGAAGUUUCCGACCGAAUUGGUGACGUAAGCGUUGCCUUUGAAGUCCACAGCGACGUCGUUGGCGACGUCCCUCCCGCGACCGAUGGAGGCGAUGUUGGAAUCGGGGUCGGAGGGGAGGAGGGAGAGGAAGAGACGUUGGCGGGUGCGGAGGUCGUAGGCGACGAGGGCGUUAAAAGGAGGGAGAGGAGGAGCGGAGUGGAGGCAAGCGAGGAGGCGUUUUUUGGUGGAAUCUACGGUGAGGCCUAAGACAGUGACGUUUUCUGGGAGGGUUGGAUCGGAGAUUACGGUUUCAAUAACGCCUGCAUCGGAAACGGAAUGGAUGGAGCGGUGGCUUAGGGAGCCCACGAUGAAGUGCUGGGCUGAUGGGUCCCAGGCCAUGCCUUCUGGGUAGAGGUUGCGCCAUCGGAAAUUGAUGACGUGGGGCUUUGUGGCUAGGGCUGGGGCUAUUAAAAGGAUGAUGAUUAGAAAAACAAAGCUGGGUUUGAUUGGAGCCAUGAUGGGUGGAUUUUUGAGUGGAGCUAACAGGGGAGAGAGUGUUUUUAGUUAGAUAAAGGAAUUUGAAUUUCUAAGUGAAUCGAUCAAUUUAACCUUUUUUAGUGGGCUUUUUUUUAUUGUUUUAUUGAUUUCUUGUCAAAAGGGUCUCAUAAUUCGGAUUUUCUUGUCAAAAGGGUUUUCUGUUUUUUAAUGUUACUAUUGAUUUCAACAAAAGAUGUUUCAGGCUUUUUCACUUUUCACGACGAAUUUCUGGGUAAAGGCUAAAGCAAAUAGAUUUUAGAAAUACAACUUGAUUUUCUUUAAUUCCGAUUAAUUUCCCAAUGAAUUUCUUUUCAAAGGAACACUAUGAAGCCUUGGCUUUAACUAUAGUUGUGGUUUAGUGAAGAAUUAUUUCAGUUGUACUCGUAUUCCAUUUAAUUCAACAAGAAAAGGAAACAGUCAAUGUUGCACCAUUGUAUUAGUUUUCUCAGUAAACUCCAACAGAGUCGAGGUUCUUUCUAUGAGUUGUCAUUGCUAUAAUUUCAGUCCUCAAUUUCUCAUGACAUGAGUUUCUAUUCUUUUCUCAUCAGAAGUGUAAAAUAUGAUUCUGUGUAUAUAUAAUUUUGAAUUACAUCAAGAAGGAGAAUUCAUGUUCAUUCAAUAAAUCUCAUCUUUCAUAAUCAUUUGUGACAAAAAAAGAAUCCAUGAUGACUAAUUUUCGGAUGUAGUUAUACAUAACUACAGAAGCAAUAACAAUGUUCCUUUGAAAUGAAAAUUGAUAUGGUACCAUCCUCUUCAACAUAGGAAAACUAGCUUUUAAAACUCCAAAGAUGGUUCAAGCACAUUUCUCAAGUUGGCUGAAUAUCUCUUCUUUUGUGUUAGAAGGAGUGUCACGACAUGGGGGUUCAAGUUAUACGAGUUGCCGAAUCAACUUCGAAAGCUGUCAGGUGCCGGGUUGCCGGACCAGUUGCACAUCUUGGUACACAAACAAACAUCUCAUACAGUCUUGGCAAGCCAGUAGACAGCUCAGGCAGCCUUGGCAACCAGCAGACAGCUCAGGCCAGCAACUUAGUCAGUCCAGACAGUGAGCAAGCCAGCAGCACAGACUGCUUAGGCAGUCCAGAUAGCUCAAUAGCACGAGGUUGAACUAAAGUUUGGCAUGUGACAGGAACACCAUUACGAAAAUUAGGCAAUGAAUUUAUUAAUAUACUAUAAAUUAUGAGAAAGAAAUACUAAGCAGGUGGAAAAUUCAUAUGAAUAGAAACGGUAUACAAACCAGGCCCGUGACUUGUGUGGUCUGAAGACAGUCACUUUCUACCAUAUAAUUCUAGCCCAAAGGAAUUCAACAAAGAAAGCACUCAAAGACAAAACACUAAAAGCACAAGUUAAAUUCACGAAGCACUAUGCUUGCCUAACAUAUGCGUUCAGAGCCUUGACCCUGUCUUCUUUCUAUUCAUUCACCAUCUUUCCAUCUGUUGCUUCCCCAAAAAGGAAAAGCCAUCCAUCCAAGAGGAUCAUCUCAAAAUCACAAGACCUGAUCCGACUGAAUCAUCAUGCAUAACAUUAAUCCCCAGAAUCAAUGACACAAAAUACUCAAACCCAUGCAGCUUAUCAACAGAAUUGAUAGCGGGGUGGAGGAUUGGAAACAGUCAACAUGAAAAUUCAAUCACGAAUCACGAAUAGGUUUACAACAAACUAAAGAAGACAAUAUCGCAUAAAACCAGCCUUUUACCUCUUGGACGUUUGAUAGGAAGGAUGAUAAUGUUAAGACAUUAUUAUAAAUUUUGAAUUAUUUGGGUUCGGGUUGAUUUGGGUUUAGAUUCAUUUGGGUUCGAGUUAAAUGGGUUCGGCUUGUUAGGCGAGUUGGAGUUUUAAGUCAGCUUUGGCUAGCAAAAGAAGAGAAGGGCCGGCAAAAAGGCUUUCCACGUGUCACAUCACAAAUCUUCCCUGAAAGAUCUCUAACUGCCGUAUCACCACCGCCUUCAUGCCACGUCAUCCUGAGCAAAAAAUAUCUCCUUUCUUCGCAUAUACACGUUCCACUCCUUUGUUAGCGUAGAGAAAGAGCUUAGAUUGUUCGCGAACGUUCCCGACGCCCAUCAUGCAUCAAACACUCAUCCUAAUCAAUGAAACAACACCCUUUAACUCAGAUAUUUUCUUCUUCUUCUUCUAAUCUACGUUCCAUUUCUUUAUAUAAACCCCUGCCUCUGCCCUUUGUUUUUCAACCCCCCUAUGUGCUUGCUUAACAGCAACAACAAUAUUGCGACAUUGACAGAGCUUGGGUUUUCACAACUGCUUCUCAGAUAUCGGGUCUUUUUUAUGUCUGUUUGGAAAUAAAAACUGGGUCGACGAUGGAGGCUGAACAUGGCUUACCAUCUUAUUAUAACGUUCUAGGGGUCAAGCUGGAUGCUUCUACCCUAGAUAUCAAGCGUGCUUAUCGAAAGCUUGCAAUGGUAACUUCUUUUUCUGCCAGGAACCUAAUAUAGGUUUUGGUUUUGGGGCAAUUUUUGGCUUUUGGUGUUGAAUUGACAGCAACUUUUAAUGUUAGAAGCAGUUUGAAGAGUACUAAGUUAUGUUUUUUAAUUUUUGUUGUGUAUAUGGUGGUGCAGCAAUGGCAUCCAGAUAGGUGGACAAGAACACCUUCUCUAUUGGGUGAAGCUAAGCGUAAAUUCCAGCAGAUUCAAGAAGCCUAUUCAGGUAACUAAGUUGACCGAGAACUUUAAUUUUAUCACGCAGUUUUAGCUAGGUUAAUUGCAGUUUGUUAUAACUUCAAAUGUUUUUUUUCUUUCUUCUGGCAGUUUUAUCAGACCAGAGGAAGAGAACUCUGUACGAUGCUGGGUUAUAUGAUCCUGAAGAUGAAGAGGACGAGGUGGCUUUUUUUUUUCUUUUUUCAAAAAAAAUUUGGUAUUUCUUGAUUAAAGGCUUUUGCCUUUCAAUAUUUUGCUAACAAUUGAAUGAACAAUGUUUUGUGUGCAGGGCUUUUCUGAUUUUGCAGCGGAAAUGAUCUCUCUAAUGGCGCAGACGAGGAAAGAGGUAAUGAAUUUGUCCUAACUUUCAGCUUGAGUUGAAUAAAAUAUUGGCAUAAUAGUACUCUUCUGAGCAACAUUUAAAAUUAAAGCUAGAUACUCUAUUUCAUUCGAAAAGACAAAAGAAAAUGUUGCUAUCAUGUUGUUAUAGUGCAUUUUCUCAUUGCCUACAAAAUUAAAAUUUGUUCUCUCAGUGGUGGUGAGGGAAAGAGCAGAAAAUUUAGCUGUAGAACUUUACAAAAACUUUAUCUGUAUUAAUUUGAUCGAAAAGAUGAAAAAGCAUUAAAGAUUAGGAUAGAUAAAUAUGAAUCUUCUGUAGAUUUAAAAUUUCAACUACACUUUUGCAUGAUAGAGAGUCAUUAAAAUGAUGAUCAGUUGUAUGAUGAUUGUCCCCCUCAUCAUCAAAUUCUUGUUGGCCUCUUAUAUGAAUGAUAACUCAUCUUUUAGGCUUGAUAUGAUGUAUCAAGCGCCUAGAAUGCGCCUGUUUCAACAUGUAAGUGUAACCAUGAGGGCAGCUGGUGGUGCUAAAAGAGUGCGCCUUCCAAAGAUAGCUCCUUAAUAUCUGAAAGGAAAAUUGGUAGCUCUAUCGAGUGUGGAGCUUUUAAUUGAGUCCCAAGUACUUUUUAAUAAGAUUUCUUGGUUUGCUAAACUGGCUAUUAAUGCAUGGAGGGGAUUGUCCAUAUAUAAAUGUAUUUUUUGUGUUGAAAUUGUUAACAUUCGUUUCUACUAUUACUUGUGCUGAUCAGGAUGAAGACUGCAGCCUUGAGGAGCUACAAAAGAUGUUCUGGGAAAUGGCACAAGAAUUUCAGUCACCUUCAUGGUUUUGUGGAUCAGUUCAAAAUUCUGGGAGCCCGAAGAGGACAAAAUGGGAUUCAACUCGGAUGGGUGAUAGACAUUCACAUGUAGGUGUAUCAGGGCUCAAGAUGUAUGAAACCAGAAGUUAUUGAAGUUUCUGCUUUAAUUAACGACAGAAAUCAUUUGGACAAGGGAAUGAUACUCAUUCUAGUACUUCAUUGAUCCUCAUCUCAAAGCAGACGAUACCUGAAUCCCAUGAGCUUCUCAAAUCUUUGGGAACAAGCCUAGAAUGAUUGGGUAUGGUUACACUUGUUGGAUUUUGUAGUUGGGGUUUGGACUUUAACUUUUGUCAUGGCAUGGUGCUUUGUGAGCGGCUGGUCAGAGUGCUUCCGGAAUAUCUACACUCCCGGAUGGUAAUGUACACACACUUCCUUGGUGUUCACUGUAUGUAUAAUGUAGUUGAGCUAUCGUGAAUGGACCGUUUUCUCCAAAAUUGACUUCUUGUAUCUGUUUGAUCAGGAUUGCUAGUUUCUGACUGUGUUAUUGUAGUGAAAAAUAUGCUUCUCUCGACUGAUUAAGGCAGUUAUAUAAGCCUAGGAAUAAUUUGACAAUCAUUGAUAACAUUUGGAAUGCUGAUAUAAGCAGGAAAUCUAGAAAUAGCUAGCUGAGCAAAGGCGGCAACAAGGUCUUGGUGCUAUGUGCAAAUAGUUACUAUCUAAUUGUUUGAUUGCCAAAACAUCCUAUUGUAUUAUUGAGGCAUCCUGCUUCUUCUGUUUUCUUAAGCACAGGGCAUUAGAAGAGGGGGCCACUCAAUGAUCAAUCUUUCGGAGGAAUGAAAAAAUUGAGAAUGAAAUAUGUGGUGGAGAGCAUUACUAAGGUUUUUGUUUCAUUCUCGGAAGUGGGAAACACAUGUCCACUAAAAUGGGGAAUCUGCUCCACUUUGAUCAUUUAAACCAAUAAUAUAGCUGUAUAUGUUCUUUCAUAAGAAAACGAAGGAAAGGAGUUCUAUCAUGAAAAAGGGAAAACUAGAGUAGGACCCCGCAAGCCCACUGAAGAGGUAAACAUCACUGACCACAUCUGCAAACUCGCCUGAAUGCAAGCAGCCCAUUUAUCUAAUCAAAUUGGGCUUAUCACUGCAAUUUUGUCUGAUUUGUAGACGAUAGAAUCCAAAUCUUUUUCUCAGAUUAGUGAUGGCAGUUUUGAAGGCACUUAAUUAACACUACUGAAUCAUUGAAACCAUGAGGAGCAGAGGAUUUUAAAUGCUAUAUUAUGUACAUAGGAAGGUUCCAAACCAAAAGCAAAGCUUUGGAGUUAAAAUUAAUUUAUGUGAUUAGGGAAGUUGACCAAAAGAUGUGCCUUGAAAAAGGAUGGAAGAUGCUUUAAGAAAAUGGGAAGGUGGCCUUUCUCUCUACCAAUCUCUUCUCAUUCACUCAUCUUCCAUUGUUUUUUCCAACUUUUGGCCCCUCCUUUUGCUUCCCUUUCUUCAAGGUUAAGUCUUCUCACUAGAUUAAUCUACAAAUUCUACGUUGGUUAGGCUGCCAAUUAAUUAUGACGUUCAUGUAGAAAAUUACAAUCAUCCACAAAAAUUUCCAUCUCCAUUUACCAACUGAUAAAUCUUUUUAAAAGCUGUACCUAUCUGAACGCCAAAAAACUUGUAUAGUAACAAUUGAGUUUGUUUCUAUUAACUGCUGGUUAGUUGUUGCAGUAUAUAUGUCAAAUCACCUAUCCUUUUGUCCCGUUUGGCCUCUGUUUUUGUUUGUUUGAUCGGUAAAUUGUCCCAUUAGGCCAUUACUACACUAAAAAUGUCCCAAACGUACGUCUUUUAUUUUUCCGUAGGAAAACAACAAAAACAAAAAUAAAAAUAGAAAACCCUUCAAAUAAAAUUAUAAAGUGGGAAAGAUAAAUUGUAAAAUUUAGAAGAAGAAAUGGAGUUUGAUUUGUCACAAAGAAGUAGCUGGAAGAAAGUGGUAAAGAGGAAAACAGGAAUCCUGUUAAGAUAACAUGAUAAAAGGCAAUGGAGCAUGAGUUGAUGACCAGGAAGUGACUUCGCCUCCCAGCUUGACUUGGGGUUCCGAAAAUGGCUGGUCUGUGCUGUGAGCGGCCACCGUCCCCAUGAUCACCUGCAUUUUUUUCCUGAUAAAUUGACUUGUUUUCUGGGGAUAGUGACAACUGUUUGUUUUUGUUUUUAUAUAUAUUUUAUAGCCAAUUUCUCUUAAACGAGUAGUAUAUUUACAACUUAUAAAGCAAAUAAUAUAAGUACAAUACGUUUGUGGGGCAAAGCUAUUGCAAUUUUAUUACGAUUAUAUUCCAUCCAUAGCCAUCUCUCACCCACCAUACCCGUUGUCCAUUGAUUGUGACAUCCAUGCAUAUAUUCCUCUUGGCAAAGAAUCAAACACUUGAUUUUCUGUAUUUGAUAUAAUUAAAGAUCAAAUCAUACAUAAAACUCAAAUCCCACAAAAUUCAUAUGUAAUCCAAUCUCCAAAUCAGAGGGCUCUUGACCUCUUUCAACGCCAGCUUCAACUCCAUUUUCCGUUUUCCCUUAGGAGAAAAUGAAACAUUUCUUCCUCAAUUAGCAUUUCUUUUCUUCAAAGAAACCCUCAACCUCAAAUCACCCUUGCCAUGACUUUCAUGCAAAUUUAUUAAUAUUAUUUUGCACGCUAGCUUGGACUUGAACAUGAAUAUAUAUAUAUAUAUAUAUGUACACUAUCUCUAAAUAUUUAUUGAUCAGAUAGUGACAAAAAUAUAUAUAUAUAUUUAUCAAACUUCAAUUAUUAGAUAGUUCUUUCUAAUUAUGCACCAAUCAUGUGCACAAACAUGGUGGAGCAUUCCGAAAUAGACUUAUUGAUCUUGAAUAAUAAAUGUUGAGGGUCUGAUCUGCAAAGUUUAAUUGUCUCCAACUGUUUAGGCGGUACACACAAUUCUCUCUUUACAUCUUUUGGGUAUACCGUUCCAUCAUCUUUGUGCUAUACAUGGUGAAAAACAGAAUUUACACUGAAUUUUAAAGAAGAAAAGAAAAACUGAGAAGUAUGCAAAAUAUAAGAAAUGUUAAUAUUGAUUUCAAGUUCUCAAUCACCCUGAUAACUCUACUUUUUAGAUUCAAGCGCCUAGAAUUGAGAGAACAAACUUAUGCAAGUGAAAUUCUCUUGUGAGCAAAAAUCCUUUUCAUCAACUCAAAUCAAUCAUUUAUGUCCUUGGAAAAAGAACAAUAAAUUUAUGAAAUGCAUAAGAGUUAUCAGAAUUUAGAACUUGGAAGAAACCCAUUUCUAACAAAUUAAAAAUAGUUGGAAAAGUGUGUAUGGUGGGGCCCCGAAGUUUUGGACCAUCCCAUCAUUCCCACAUGCGAUGGGAUUUCCUUGUUGCACAAGGCAGCCAGACUUUCCUAGUAGAAAAAAAAAACCGUAGAAGAGCCCAUAAGAAGACUUCUCAUUCACUCCAUUUUGCCCUCUAAUUUCUAGCUUAGUGUCCCAAUUUCACCAAAAACCAUUUCACUUUUCAGCCUUUCUAAGUCUUCAUGCACCGAAUAACGUAAAAACACCGCUCCUUACCAAGGUACAAACUCCUCUCUUCCAUCUCUCACAGAUUUCCUCCCAAAAUCUCUCCUCUCCUCUGUCUACGAAAUCAGUAUUCCUCAUCUCAGCGGACAAAAGACUUCCAGCAAUCGGAUUCACGGCCAUGUCGAUAAAAACGAACCGUUUCAAUCCUCAAAUUACAGCACUAACCAUAUUCUUUGUAGUCGCCACUGUUGCAUAUCCCAUCAGCAGCUUGGAAUCAAGGAAGCUUGACGAGAGCAUUGCGCCAGGAGAUCCAGGCGUCAAGUGUAACCCAUCAUGUAUACCAAGUCCUCCACCACCGUCGCCUCCUCCGCCAUCGCCUCCGCCGCCAUGUCCACCACCACCGGAGCUGCCGCCACCUACACCAAAAAAGCCGCCAACCAAGUACUGUCCACCGCCACCUAGUCCGCCAUCCUUUAUAUACAUAACUGGUCCACCAGGGAGCCUAUACCCUGUUGACCAAGAUUUUGGUGGUGCAAGCCGGAAUUUGGAAGUGGGGUUAUUGGGUUUGGUUUGUGGAUUCUUGAUCCUUGUUGCUUUUUGAAUGGGAUACGGAUUUGGAAAUGGAGGGUCCUAGGAUCUUGUGCGAUAAUUGGAUAUAGUAAGUACAAAGUUACUUUUUCUUCUUUUAAUUUUAGGACAAGAAAAUUUGUUUUUGUCCAAAGAAAAACUUGUUAGGACCUACUAGUUUUUGUACUUGCUGUAUCUCCAUAUUGUUCAUCAAUAAUAGCAAUUUUAAUGAUUUUCCCUUAUGAUUUUCGAUUGUUAUAUCAUUUUCUUCUUGAAACAAAAUGGAUCAAAUUAAGCUCGAAAGAAUAAGGUCUGUUGUAGUUCUGGUAAUGGAUCCCUGAUUCCAGAAUGAGCAGAGCUUUAACAUUGAAAACGACGAGUUACUUUAUGUGGGAAUCGUGGAUGAAGGGUCCAAGCAGAGCAGAAGCAACGCCACAGCUAGCGUCUCCACCGCCGUUAUUCAUUAAUUGGUGACGCUCUCAUGUUCGACUUUAAUUAAACACGUGGCUUACUCAUGUAACAUGUUUCGUGGAUUCCUACUCCUGCUUGACCUUUCAUGUUGCAACUCACCCCAUCAAUAGGCACUCUUGUUACCUAACUUUUGUGGCUAUAAUUCUUCUUAAGAGGAUAAUAGUUGUAGUUUCUUUUAUUAGAGGUCUGUGUUAUUCUUAAUGAUAAUGAAAUUUUCGAUUGGAAUAAAAUAAAAUAGAGAGUAUAUCAGUUGAAACUUGGUUGACGUUGGGAAGGCAAAGUCAAUUUAAUGGAAUAACUUGUGAAUGAGAAAUAAGUGAGCGCACUUGUGACAACCAGACAAAAUCGAUGACCCCAAUCAUAUUUUGAGAAAAUUGGAUAAAAAUGAGACACAAUUAGAGGAGGGAUUUAUCAAUUACCAAUAGGCAUAUCUUUUUAUGAUGAAAAGAGCAUUUUAAGAUAUUUAAUUUAUUCAGUCUAUGUAAUAGAAAGUAAUUGAUGUGUUUACUUGAUUUUAUGCAUAAAACAAUAACCAAAGUAACAACUUUUCAACAGUAUCUGUAAAAAGCUAGAGAAAAUGUCCUUAAAAAACAAAAAACUAGUAUGCCUUUCUCCAAAAAUAUAACAUGUUCUUUAGGGUUUCGUAAAAGUUAAAAAUGAUUGCUUACCAGGACCAAGACACAUGUUGCAAAAUGUAAAGCCAAGUGGAUGUGAAACAAAAGAGAAGAUUCUAACCUUCUGAUCUUGAUUUGAUGUGCGAUCAUAAUGUGUCAGAGUUAGAGUCGUUGUGAGUGGAUGAGAUCAACUUCGGUUUCACCAAAUGCUGGGUCCCACAUCAGUACCAUAACGUUUGGUUCCUGGACACAUCACCAUGCUCAUGGUAAGGCCAAGGGGGCUGCCCGAUGAGGACAGGAGGAGUUAGAAAUCAGGCAGACUUUUCAAUUAUCCAGAUUGGACGCCACUCUACGUGGCAUGUUAACGUACAAUUUUUUAAUUGGAGCAGCAUUUAACUGUUAGGGCCAAUGAACUUUCACAUAUAUAAUAUAAAAGUCAAUCUUCAUUUCUGGAGGCAAAGUUAUUUUGAUAAGAAUGUAAUCAUCAACUUGAUUGCUUAAAUUCAAAGAAUAGUAAGGAGUGAAAUUUGGUACCAAACCAAACUAAAGAUUCUUAAGAUGAUAAUUUAAAAAAGAAAAAUAAAAUAAAACAUGUUUAACUAUGGGUAUGGACAGUUACAUGACCCUUUUAAGGGGGAAAUCUCACACAUUUUAAUAUCUAAGAAGGUAGGGUUCCAGUUUCAUUGUAACCCUUUCAGAAAAUGUGGCAUACCAUUAAUGAUAGCAAUAAUUCGAAAAAAAUUAUACCUACUUCCUAAUUUCAAUAAUGAAAAACUUUAAUGAAAUUUUUCACAGUGAAAAACGUUAUAUGAAGUUCUUUAAGUUAAAUUUAUGAAAUUUUUAAUUAAAACAUUUCAAUGCAUAAAAAUUAAAGUUGUAAGUAGAUAUUCAUAGAUUGAUAAAAUUCAACUUCUACAAUAUGGAAAAAAAAAAUAAAAAAGCUAUGUAUUUAAUAGUUAAUCUUGUAAUUUAUAAAGCUAAUGAAUCCACACACAACGCUCAUGACCCGUCUCGGGCCUCCUCGUCUCUCUAUCGACAAGUUGAGGUUCGCACAAUGCCGACGUUGUGAAGGAAUGCAAGCAUUCAAAAAAAAAAAUAGUUCACACCUAUCUUAAUUAUGUACAUAUUUUGCAAAAGUCUCAAAAUAAAAAAAAUUCACUAAUAAAUUGCAAUUUUUGUUUGUCAAUUUCGAAUUCCAUCAUGUGUGAGUUUGAUCCAAUUUUAUAUCGGUUUAUCAUUUAUUUAUUUUAUUAAUUUUUUUUGUAUUGAAUGUAAUAAAUAUUCAAUAUGUUGAAAAUUAUUUGAUGGCAAUGUAGUUUCGACUUGUGAAUGUAAUUAACUCUUAUAAAAAAAAAGCUUCUAAUAAUAGACUGACAUCAUAGCAUCAUCUUAUCUUAUCUUUUGUUUUGUUAAUUUUUUCUUUUUCCUUUUCUGUUCUUUAUAGUUAAAAUGUAGGAAGACAGUAAGAAAGCUUUAUUUGUUUAAUCAACCAAUCAAACCAUGCAUGUGGCAACCUUGUUGAAUCAAAGUAUGCAAUUGUUUAUAGUGGCCGGCAUAGAUUUCUUUGUCAAUGUCAACUAGGUCAUAAAACAUAUGAAAUAAUCAGCUGCUGUGUAAGCAUUGAAAGGGAUAUGGUAAGAAACCAAGGUGCUAUUUGGGUCAAUAAUAUUUGUUUUGGUGACAGAUAUGGCCAAGUUUGGGAUAAAUACCCUCUUGUAUUUGAUAGAAUCAAGUGACAUUUCCAUUACAUCAGAUUGAAUUGAUUAAUGCUUUUGGAAAUUCAAAAUGAAAUAAAAGAGCUUGAGACUUAAACUAUGUAUUUAGUUAGGAAAGUAAAGGGAGUUGUCACGCCUAACUUUUGCGUACAACUAUCAUUAUUAUCCCUAUGAAAGGUAAGCUUUCCUAUUCAUUGAAAAAGUGGCUAAAGAAUUCCACUGCCCAAUUACUCGCCGCAGGCCACCUUGGAGUGGGACGUUGGGUUGGGUAAUAUUUUAAGAUGCUAAACAUGAUUUUUUUAAAAAAAAUCAUCAAAUACAGAUGAGACAUAAAAUGUGGUAGAAAUUAUUUACAGUAGGGAAAGGGUGGUCUGUGAUGCACCCAAAAAAAUUUGGUACCUAAAAAUAAAAUUAUUUGUUAAUUUUUACUAUUAAAUUUUGACUAUUUUUAAACUAAAUUAAAAGCUCAAAGUUAAAAAGUGUGACUAAUAAAUUUGAUCCACCACUUUAAAUAAAGUGAUAAAUUUGGCCCUUAUCACUCUAAUCUUUGAUAUAGCACUUGCAAAAUUUUCAAUCAUGCAUUUAGCUUUUCUCAAUUAUUUUUUAUUCAUUUUUUAAGGUCACUUUAUAGAAUAAUUUAUAUGUAAAAAGUACAUAUAUUAAAAUGUUAUGUGACCUAAAAAAGUAUUUAAACUUUGAGCAAAUGCAACCUCCUUUAUGUAUUCAAUAAAAACUGUUUUAAAAAAGUUAGUAUAUUAUUUAUAAUUAAGGUCUUCCACAGUCAAUCCUCAACAUAUUUUUCAUCUAUUUAAAAAAAAUGAAGGGAAAUAAAUGGUCAAAUAAUUUAUCAAACUAAGAAUCUUUAGUGUUGAAAUCAUUAAUAUAUAUGUAUAUUUUCAUCUAAAUGUUCCCAGUUGUUUAAGUUUGACCAGUACAAAAAAGUUUGCUUAAAUUUUCCUUGAUUUUAUGUGUUACUAUUCUAUACAUAUUUUUAAACUUCAUAUACUGAUUUAGAAAAUUAUCACAUAUUUUUUUCAUUUAUUGUAUUAAUAUAUUAUUUUUUUAAAAAAUAUAUUUAAUAUAGUAUGGGAUAAUUCUGUAAUUCUGAAGUUUUUAAAUUUUAUAUGAUGAAUGUGAUAAUUUUUUGUAAUAUAUAUAAAGAAUUUGGAGGAAAGAAAUUUAAGUAUCUAUAUGUGUAAUGUUUUAUUAUGGGUGUGGAAUCUUUGUUAGGUACAACAACUAGCACACGUCAAAACAAGUGCUUAAAGAGCAGUAGAAAUCAAAUAGCUCAAGUCCCUUAAUUAGUCCACCGACACAACGAAAUUUAGGAUAAAAAUCAAUUAAUUACACAUUUUGUGUUCAAGUUAUAUUAACGUGUGUUAAUUGAUAUCUAAUGAAGAAACUUACACAAUUUUCGUAAGUUAUAUGUUAAAUAAAAAUGCUACUUCAUAUUUUGUGAAAGUUUGAUGUGGGUGCCAUUUGGAUUCAAUGCAAUUUUUAUUUUUUUAAUCCUAAAAAACGAUUUUAAAUUCACGUCUCUUCCUUUGCUUUUAUAUUACAACACCAAGUUUUGGGUUCUUUUGUGACCCAGAGAAUUAAUUGGUGCAAAUAUAUUUAAGUCUAAAAAAUAGAAUUUUAUUUAAGUUUUUUAGUCGAAUUCAGGAAGCUUUCCGUUAAAAACAAUUUAAAUAAAAAGUAAAUUUGACAAUCAAUAGAGUUCAAUGAAAAAAAAUUAAUAUUGUGUAAAAAAAUUAUUAAAACAUUAACUAUAUGCAAAAUUUGAUCAAUACUUAUUGAAUAAUGGAAACUUGAUUCCAAAUUUUUAAUGAAAAUACUUAUCUUAAAAAAAUUAUUAAAACUUAUUCAAAACUUUUCAAUUUUGUACACUUGAUCUAUAUGGCAAGACUUGAAAAUUUAUUUGUUUGAAUUUUCGAUUUUUAUUUUUAUUUAAAGGUUUUCAAUAAAUAAUUUCGUGAACUUAACUUCCAAGUCUAAAAAAGAGUAUCAAAAUUUAUAGCCAAUGAGAAGAAGAAAUGCAAUGAGUUUAGACGUCAAUUUCACUCUAACUCCACGCUUUCCAGCUGUGCUUUUUGUAGUACUGGGAUUUCUCUCUUGCGUGAGGGUUCAGUUAAACAGAGGACUGAAUCCAGACUUCCAAAGUCAAGCACAAUAGGUCAUCGAGUUGGAUGGAUGCUUAAAUUUCCAACCUUUUCCUUGCCCGUUUGUCUCUUUCAAUGAUUUGUUCCCUUCACAAUCUUGAAUUUUCAAAAGCAGCAGAUUCGUUAGGUUCAUUGGACUCCAUGUCUACUAAACCCAUCUCUUAAACUGAAAUUUUAUUAAUUGAUUAAAACCCCAGGAUAGCUGCGAUUAAUUAAGUCAAAAUUUGUAAGAUUCCCAAGGCUGAAAAUCAUUAUUAAUUGUAAUUUUUUUAUUAUUGUCAUCAUCUGUAUAAUUUUUUCCUGCAAUUAUCUUCCUUCUUCUAACUACCGAAAUCACCAAUAGCCAGGGCCUCAUUAUGGGGAAAAGUUCAACUUGGGUAGGUAUGAGAUAAUUUUCACGCAUCACUAGCUGUCGUGGAUAUAGAACCGAGUAGUACCCUUCAUUAAUUUACUCCAAGGGGAAAGAAAUAUAUUAUACAAUUUCUUUUGCCCAUGCAUAAAUGAUUUAUAGAGUAAAUUAUAUCUAAGUCAUGAACUUUGGACUCGAUUAUAAAUUAUAUGAAAGAAUAUUUAUUGGAGACCACGUCCUGCAAAUUUUUGACACAAACUAAUAUUAUGGGUCUUAAAAUAAUUUAGAGACGAUGAUUGUUUGCAAUAAAAUUUCUUGAUUGAAGAAAUGCAUGGGGAUACAUGUUAUGUGAGGGGGUUUGAUUAGAGCUUGAAACUUGAAAGCAUUAUUUGGGAAUAUGACUCGUAAAAACAGAGCAUGAUUUCCCAUGUUAUCAGCUAACUCUCUGUUUCUGGGCAUCUUGGUGAUGUGUAGGCCAGCCACAAUCGCCAUCAAAAGCUGAAACUGUUUUUUGAGCUCUUCAAAAAAUUCAGUAUGCUUUCGGAUAUUCAGACAGAUGACACGAAUUCCAAGAAAUGCAUGCAAGGAGGCUGCCUUAAAACCCAAAUUAAAAGAAUAAAAAAAUAAAUAGAAUUUUUAUAAAACCCUACUCUGCUUUAAGAAGACAUUCCACUUCAAUAGCUUUGGAAAUUUUGAUUUCCCGGGAAUUGGAAUAUUCAGCUUUUUCUCAGUUCUAAAAUCAAUUUAAUUCUUCAAACCCUUUCUAAGAACCCAACCUCUCUGCUGACUCUUUGACCUCAUUUCCCUUGAUAUUUGCUGAAACAACCCGAAUUCAGGUUAAGCAGAAAAUUAAGUAGACAUACUUCAAAUGGAAACUGAAACAAAAGAAGAGGAAAAUCUUUUCCAAAUUGAAUCCUGAACGCCAUGCUGUCGUUAUUGUUGUCAAAACCAGGCCUCUGUUUUACUUAUGAUGAACUAUUCUCUGGCUCUAAGACUAGAAACUUCCCUCCCUCAAAAAAAGUCAAAUAAGAAAACAAAAAUCAAUAGGGUUCCCCAUGUGCAACUUUCAACAACUCUUUCUAACAAUAACUCAUAGUAAAGCCUUCAUUGCCAAGUUUCAAAAUGCAUGGGGUCCCAAAUGUGACUCUUUUUCUUUCUUUUUUUUUUUCAUUUUUAUUUUCCUUUUCAACAGCUAAAUGGAUUUUUGAGCAAUUAAAAUGAGACCCCCUUUCAUCAACUUUACAUAAGAGACAGUAGGUGGCUAGGACUUGGUUUUCAAUCCUUUAAUUCCCUUUGGGCUCUUUAUUUCCAACUUUGAGACUUGACAAUAAACCUUCAGAAAAGUCCUUCAACAAGGGUCAUUCCAUACAUAUCUCUCUCCUAUCCACUUUUCUCUUCUUCACUAAACUCUAUCCUCUGUUUUUCCUCUCUUUUCCUUUCUAUAUCAUGGCCAAUUCACUUAACCAAGCUAUCACUACCCUCUUCUUCUUCUCCUCCAUAAUUCUCAGCUUCUUUGUUCAAGCCAAGCAAGACAACCCUUGUCCAUAUCCAUGUUACCCUCCACCAACAGGCACCGGCGGUGGCACCCAAAUCGGCGGCACUGUCCCUCAAACACCUCCGGCUAGUUAUUCACCACCUCCUCCACAAGGGACGUCCUACCCUACACCAACAGGGACUUUACCAUACUACCCUCCACCACCUUAUGGUAAUUCUUUAUACGGUCAGCCCCCUCCUGACCCCAUCUUGCCUUAUUUCCCUUACUACUACAGAAAACCUCCUCACAAAACAGAUGAUGAGUCAUCAGCAACAAGUAAUCCUGGAAAAUCAUUGCUCACGAUUGCAACCACAAAUUUUAUUGUAUUUGUUUUCCUAGUUGUUUCUAGUUUAGGGUACUAGCUGAAAAUUUUUUGUGUAAAGUAUUUGUCUUUAAGCCAUGUUUUCAAUGAGAUGAGGGUUUGAAUGUAGGGACUUUUUAGUGUUUAAUGAGAGAAGAAAAAGAGGUUGGGAUGCGUUCUUAGUUGCUGAAAAAAGGUGUAGAAUUGGUGAUGUGGUGAAAGACAAGGGGAAUCGAAGAGGUGGUGGCCCCAGGCCAUUACUCUUUUGUUUGCUAAUGAAGAGAUGACCAGUAUGUUUAUUUUUGUUUCAUCUUCUAAUUUCCCUGUUUUGUGUUAAUUGUUCUGAUUAGAAUUUCUGCCAACCAUUCGACUGCAUCACCUAAUUUGGAUGAGUUCAAAAUGGACGGUACUGGGAGUUUUAAACAAUACGUCAAGGGGAACUUUCCUGACUGAAAGAAUUCUUUGCUAGAACUCAAAACAAAAAACAAAAAAAGAAAAAAAAGGUCCAUUUUAUCCUGGCCUAAUUUUACUCUUAUUUUUCCCUGUUGGCACUAUAACUAGAUUUCUCUUUAUAUAAGCAAUUUGCAGAGGUCUAUAUUGGUUCUGGGUACAACCCCUUCCAACGAGAAUGAUGUCCUUUAAUAACAGAAAUAUUAUCCUUGCCAACAUUGUUUGCCUAAGGAACCAUUCUCUAUUUCAGAGAAGAUGUCCUGACAAAGAAACAAAUUGAUAGGUAUCUGUCAAUAUCAUUGAUGAUUUGGUUUGAUUAGGUUGAGGGUCGUUGAUAUUUGAUAGCCAUUCUUGCCCAAAGGAAAGGGUUGGGGGGGGGGGGGGAGGGAAGGACGGGUUCAAAAUCAAAUUGCUGCAAUAUUGCCCUUUUUUUUUAAUAAUUUUCCUUCAAGUAAGUCAUAUCGGAAGUUUCCGAGUUUUAGACUAUUCAAAAAGUAGAUACCCUCCCUUUAUGAUGUCACCAACCAAUUACUAUUCGGAUAAAACGAGAAGGAAAAAGAUUUGUGAUUCUAGUACAUGUAAAUUAUACAUCCAGGGUCUCUUUACUGUAGAUCCCAUAAAACAAGUCUGUCUGUCGUGGGGCUCAAGUUUAGAUCCUUUUAUUUUUCGAGAAGAGUGCAUCUAUCGUUAAACUUUUCCAAUGGCGAGAAAGCCCUUGACAAAUUGAUUUUUUAUGCAUGUGUAUAGUUGUCACUGAGGUUGGUGGGGGGUGCAAAAGACUUUCAAGUUUCAAACCGAACCCAUCAUUAUUAAUUCACUAAUCCAGCUAAAUGUUGCAUUACACGCAGCAUAAUUUAAGUUGUUUGGAGUAACCAAAAUAACUACAAUGUAGGGAUACUCUAAUAUCAACAACCUACUUUUGGUCUUGCCAUUUCUCUGCUGCCUGGUACAUUUUAAAUUCAAUGUGCAUUGAUUAGAAUCGAGGAUACCUGUACUGGCUGCCUAGGCUUAAUGAGAAAGGAGAAUGGGUGAAGACGGAACACCAUGACAGAUCAUUUCAGGAAGCCACAACUGCCAAACGGCCCAUCCCAGAACCACUGCCAAUUCCAGCACUUUUCAUGUUCUUCCUCACCAUCUCACCACUAUUUCUCUGGGCUCCCGCUUUUGGCCUGCCACCAAUCUUAUGAUCUUUUACAACCUUACUACUACUCUCUGAUAUUCGAUGCUUUGGCAAAUUGCUGCCCUCUUUCUCUCGCUCUUUCUUCAAAAGAACCACAUUUUGUCGUGUCACGGAUUCAGAAGAGCUGUGGCCAUCAGUUGGUGGAGUUGAAGAUAUGGUGCCAGCUUGUGAUGAUUCAACUGUAGGAGAAUUCAACUCUACUACAGGUCCACUAGCAGAAAGGACUUGUUUAUUUGCUUCCUUGGAGAGUGAUGACGGUCUUGGAGUUACUCCUAUCCCUGAACUUGCUGACUUCUGUCGUACUUUAGCUGAUUUCAUGGUAGAUGAUGCAGGCUGAGAUAGAAAUAGAAGAAAGCCAGUGUUAAAUCUAGUAACAAAUGGAAUAAAAAUACAAAAUGUAGGAGUCGGAUUACCAUAGGACAAUUAAUCACAAGAAAAGGUAGCAAUAUAUACAGGUCCAAUCUAAAGAUAUAUAAGUGCAACUUCCUAUGAAAGAAGAAAAAGCAAAUUAUCAAUCUUAUAUCAUAUACUGAAGGUGACAGUCAAAAUAAAUGAUCAGCUUGAAAGGACAACCCAAAUAAAUGUUAAACCAUAUAGAAUGUAUUUCAGUGUUUCCAUCUUGAUAAGAAAGUUAGAGAUUAAAAUCAUUUAAAUUAUGAUACUCAAAAUAUGUAUCACCUAUGUUCUGUUACUCUCAGAGCAAUCCAAAGCUCUCAUAGCAUUAAAUAACACUCCAAUUUCCAUGGCAAGAAGGAAACUUGGGAAGAUCAAAUUGACGCACCCUCUGUUCUUGUGAGAGAUUAAGGACAAGGAUUAAGGUACAAGUGCCCACUCAACCUUGUGCUUCUCCAGUCAACUACCAAAGUGUAUCUCUUUUUCCCUUCUUUGAUUGUUUACUGUAGAUAAUCUACUUCAUUUCAGAUUCUCACAUACCAUAAAAGAAAGGUCUAAGGACAAGGAAGUUUCCUUAAACCAGUAUGAAACAUUCAGUAGAAACGUGAAGAAUAGGUUUGCAAAGAAGAUGCAAAAACCUCUAAUAAUUGUGAAAAGAACAAGCUUUAAAUAUUGCCCUAUCUCCUAAAGCUAUUGCUUCAGAUAACUAAUUAGAUUAUCCCACAUGCAAUGUCAAAAAUAUCAAGGUUCUCAAGAUAUUACAUAAGAAAUGAACAAGAGUAACCUAAAGCUAUUAUGCUAGAGUAUGAUUACAUAGGAGUCAACAUAAGUGUUCCAAGUUACACAUGCACUCAUGCGUAUGUGCUUUUCUGUGUAAAUAACCACAUCUGAAGACAUAUGACAGGUGCAUUGAGCUUCUAAUGUACCUUGUUUCCAGUAGAUCCGGGUGUUGCGGCAACAUGAUAGAAAGAAGGCAUGGGUUUUGCUUUGAAAUUAAGGCUUUUCCGCAAUUGCUUAAUCUCAGCCUCUGUCUUUUCCUGCAAUAACAGCAAAUGAAGCAUUCAAUUUAUUUGCAAAUUUUAGCAACCCAUUAGUCCAGAAAUGUUAGAGCGGCCCAUCUUUUCAAAUACUAAUAAGGAAGCACAUAGAGAAAAACCAAUUCAUCUUCACUUAAAAUAGUAAAUUCUAAACAUCAUAUGCUUCCCAUACCUGUGUUCUUGCUUGAAUCUGAUUCAUCUCAGCCUCUUUGGCAUGCAUUUUCUCUUCUAAUUUCAUGUAGAACUGAAACCAUUGUAUGACAAAAAGAACAGAGGAAAACAUUACUGUAUACCUUAAUCUAAAGAAUGAAAAAAAAUUUCAGAAUGACAGCAAGCUUGCUUGCCUCUUUUCUCCUUUCUGCCCGUUCAUCACUUUUGAAUUGGAAUACUCCAGCACUAGACUUUACAUCUGCCUUAGAUGAAUUGACAGUCUGCUUCAGCCUAUGUUAAAGUUACACUACAUUAAGGUUUAAAAGUCAACAUUUUGAUGCCAUAAAGCAAUCCCCAUAAUGUUGCUACACACCUAUUUGGUGUCUGCCAAGCAAUAGGUUCAAUCUUCUUUGAUGAAGAAGGUUGAGCUUCAAUUACUUUCUUUGUCAUUGGUCCAUUUAUACUGCCACAAGAAUGAAAUAAGCGUUUGAAAUAUCCCCUCAAAUGAAACAUACAUAUUCUUGAAAUGCAAGAGAUAAUACAUACCUUUUACUCUCAGCGCUUAAUUUUGCAUUGGAUCUUUCAGAAUCCUGGGCAAGAAAGACCAAUGAAAAGGAAAUUCAAAUUGCAACAAGUCAAAAUAAAAAUGCUUAAUAGAGAAUGGAUACUAGGGUAAAAUACAGAUGUUGCCUUUUUCAAGAUUUUUUUUUUCUAACUUCAGGUCAAAGUCAAAAUUCUCACCUCUUUUUUGGGAGAUCUGUGCAUUGAACGCCGAGUUGGAGUGGCAGUUUGUAAUGGCAGCUUUUCUGCUUUCAUUCUCCCUGAAAUUUCUUUUUCCCUUCUCACCUGAAUCUUUGCAGCUACUUUUGAAUCACGAGAAAUGUUUUUCUGGGAAUGAUCAGGACUCACUGGAGACCUCAACCUUGUUUUGGAAGCUUUACUUUCAAUAGCAGUCUUCGACUAGAAUGAAAAAAUUAAUGAGUAGAAGCCACAAGGAGGUAAACAAGACAAAAUUGAGUCUACUUACGAGAGCAUGCAUAAGAGAUAAAGAGAAAUAUACACAUCAAAUUAGAAAACCAUGUGAAAGACUCUUCCCAUAUAAACAUAAACCUGAAUCAACAUGACAGUUGUUUUUCAGAAUUUCAAGAACCAAUAUAAAUAUAAACCCAUACCUUUGGAGGAUGAUUCUGCCCAUUUUCUAAAUUAGUAGUAUCAACUUCCCAAGUGGUUCCAGUGUUAGGGGAUGCAUCCCUGGGCUUAAAUGAUUUAUCAAUAUUACCUGCAUCAUCAUCAUGGUUUUCUUUUACUUCUUCCUCUGGUUUAUCAUUGCUUAUAAGUGGCUUAUCACAUCCAACUUCACUUUGAUGGGUUUCCUCAGCCUUAACAUCUCCAGGGACAGUGUCCACCAAAACAUGAGUUUCAUGAGCAGAUAAAACACCAGAAUAUUCUCUUCCACAUUCCAUCAACGCACCCUCACCAAGGUAUUUUGAACCUUCAGGACUCUUGUCAAAGUGAGCAGAAUGGCUACCUUCAUAUGCAUGAUCAAACCAGUUCCCUUUGUUUUCAUGAUCAAAUGGGCUCCCUUCAUUUUUGCAACAAAAAUCUUCCUCAUAAUCUGCAUCAUUUAAGCCAUUCUCAUCAAAAUGAUGGCAGUGGUUACCUUUACUUAUAUGAUCAGAUUCAUCUCCAUAACCCUUGUUCUCUGCAGCAUCAUCCUUGCCAGUAUGAUAUUCAUCUCCACAACCCUUUUUCUCUGCAGCAUCAUCCUUGCCAGUUUGAUAUUCAUCUCCACAACCCUUAUUCCCUGCAGCAUCAUCCUUGCCAGUUUGAUAUUCUCUGUAACCCUCGUUCUCCACAAAAUCACUUUCACAGGUUUGAUCUUCUCCCCCAUUUUGGCCCUCAGAUGAACCCUGAAGAAGAAGUGCCUUCUUUCUGAAGUGAGCUUCAAAAUAAGCUUUCUUCUCAAUAACUGAACCUGGUUUUGAGCAUUUCUCAACCUCUUCAAGAUAUCUAUUGUGUGAGAAGGAGGACCUUCUUUCCCAAGCUAGGGGUUCGUUUUCAAAUCUUCCAAAUGAUACAGAACCAGAAUGCAAAGAUUCUGCCUGCCCAGUUCAAAAAAAUUAGAAGUUAAAAUAAAUGAAAUAGGUGGACAAAUUAUUUGCUACAAUGAAGUAAAUUGUAUUUUCUGAGACAAUUUACUAUCAGAAACACAUAAAAGAAGUUGGCAAUUAUAAGGUUUUUCUUUUUGGUCCAAUUUCAUCAGCAAAAAUGCUUCUGGAGGCACUUGGGAUACUGCGAGCCAUUAUAGUUAGUGACAAUCUUCCAUAGACUUUCAAUGUUUCAGAAUAAUAUAGUAGAACUUUCUAAUUAACAAAUCUGUUGCCAUAGCCAAUUUGAAAUCUAAAAAAGAACAAGAACAUAUAUAAUACUACAAUUUUAUCUAUUAGUGUCAACAUAAGGAUAAGAUGCAGUUCUUUGUCUAAAGCAGGCAUUCAUCUUCUGCACAUCCUGGCCCUAAUUUUUCGGUUCAGCUCCUCUAGAUUACUUUUCCAAGACACCAUCAUUAGGUUUAUGUGUGUGGCGUCCAAAUUAAUUUCUGGGACCCACAAUUGUGAACCUUGAUUAUGAGUUGUAAUCCCCCAUAAGGAUAAUACCUCUGGUGCAAAAGCAGAUAAUUAUGCUAUAUAGAAAGCAUUGACAGCAACUUACCAGUGUACAUGAUAACUUUCUAAUUGUAUCACUGUUACCAUAAAUUUAGUCUUUCCGCCCCCCCACCCCAACCUCCCCCACAAGGAAAAAAAAACUAGAAAAUUAUUAACGGAAGCAGAUAAUGAAAGGAUCCAGAGAACAUAGGAAGAGGUUAAGUAAAUCUUUUGGCCUUCUCUAUAUGAUGACAUAAGGAACAAUGAUCAUUAUCGACCGAUAACAAAUCAACCGGUUGAUUAUCAGAAACUGAAAUAUCGAUAAUAAGUAAACAGAUUGACGAAGCUUAAACUUCAAUCAUCCAAGGGGGAAAACAGAUAAAGAGUUUAAAAAAUGAGAGAGAGAGAGAGAUCAUUGUCAAAAAUUAAGACCAAAAUAUAGAAAAGAUGCACGUUCACUUUGCAAAUCAAGUGAACCAACCAGUAUUUUCUUUUUUGGCUCUUUGUUUUAGUCCAAAAUAAAACAAAUUAAAAAAAAAACUUCAUCCAUCAGCUUAUCAUUUCAUUAGUUAAAGCCAAGAUUCAAGAAUGAAUGAGACAAUUUAUCAUUUCUUAACGUCAAACGAUCUCACAUAUUCAGUAAGCACUACAAUAACUACACAAUUGACAAAAAAAUAAUUCCAGCUUAUAAAUCCAAACACUUUAAAAGAAGAAAAAAAAAAGAUUUGCCUGAAAACUAAUGCUGAAAGGCUCUUCAAUCUCUCCCGCCAUUUGCAACCAAAAUCAAGCUCCAAGCAUCAGUUACCUCAAAAAUCAACACUCAGCAGCCGACAUCCUUAACUCAUCAACGGAUCAAAUCAACCAAAUGCAAAACACAUUUCUUGAAAACGUCAACAGUAAUAAACGAAUCUUAACUAAACGUGCUUUGCGAGUAACACACUAAGAAUGAAAUACCAAAACCAGAGCUCCAAGAUUUUCUUUUCUCUUCUUUUCUUUUGCUUUUCUUUCUGAUCUUUCUGCCCUAUCCCUUUUUUUUCUUUUUUAAUUGCUUUUGUGAGUUUGUUGUGUUCAGUGUUAAGUGUAAAAAGUUUGCGAGGAACUUAAAAAGUUUAGACGAUCAAAACAUAUUCAUUAUAAUAAAACAUUUUAAAAAAAAAUUAUAUAUUAUCAUGCGGGGUUGGUUGUCUUUUUUGUCUUGUACUCAUCAGAUCACCUCAUUAAGAAUCAAACGGCUCUGAUUUCAGAUCAGAGGGAGAGGAUUCUGAUAUGAAUCGUGGUCAGUUUAAAACGGCAGCGUAACAGGGAUUGAACUAGUAGGGAUGUCCCACGUGUCACUUCAUUAAUCUGUUGACUUUCCCAGCAUUGUUUCCACUAUACAAUUUUCUGUAAGUGGAUCUAAUUGUAGGACCCGUUUGAAAACUUCCCAAAUGAGAAAUGUUAAAAAGAUGUAUUUAAAGACAAAAAGAAUCUGUUUUGACGUUUUACCAAACAGCUACCAAAUAAAUAUAAACUAUUUCUGCCUAAAUAGCAGCACCCAAACUAUAAUGUAAUCUUAAUUAACUAUUAAUUAAUGAAAGAAAUUGGAGGCUCUUGAUAUUGAAUGUGACAUUAGUAUUAAUAGUCGUUGCAAGCAAAUAUUUACUAUCUUUUGUAGGGCCAAGGGCUUGACUACAUUAAUAUGCAGUCCUAUUUCUUGUCCCUAUAUAUUAUUUUAUUUAUUUAUUAUAAUUUUAAUAUUAUACAUAAUAUUUCACUCAAUAUUAUGUACAUAUAUUUCUUGUUUUAAAAAAAUAGGUCCGAUUCUUCUAUUGUCGCAAAUAAAAAAUUGUUUUAACCAUGCUAAAAAGAAUUGCUAAAUUUUAACUUACUAUAUAUGAAUAUGAUAUGUACCUAACAAUAUUAAUUCCAGUUUAUUACAUAUUUGCAUCCGAAAUUUUUUAAAAAAAUGUACAAAUUAAUAUUUGAAGAAAAAAGUACAAACAAUAUACAUAAUUAAUAAAUAAAUUAAUUAAUUAAUAAAAAAAUUUAAAUGAAAACAUAAAAAUAAAUAACUAUAUGGUUCAAUGAAUAAACAACCAUGUAAUUACAUAAUCAAAUAAAAUAGUAAGUAAAUAUAAAUAAAUAUGUAACUAGAUGAUCAAAUAAAUUAGGAAAUAAAUAAAAAUAAUAUAUUCAUAAUUAAUUAAAGAAAAAAAAUUAAUACAUUCAUAAUCAAGUAUAUAAAUAACAUUUUAAUUUUUUUUAAAUAAGAUAAUUUGUUACUUAUAAAUAUGUGAAAUAUAUUAUUGACUAAUAUAUCAUUUUAUUUCAAUAUAUAGGAAAACAGUAAUCAUUUCAUUGAAUUUUUAUUUUAUUAUUUUUUUCAUUAAUUUAUUUAAUAUACAAUUAUUAGUUAACACUAAUUUCAUUACCAACACUAUUUUCGAUCUCACUGUUACAGCAUCACUAUAGUGUGGAACAAAGCUCAAAUCUUUGUUUAAGUAUCUUAUUUAAAUUUUAGCUUUUUCAUAAUAGCUCAAGGCUUUUGCUUUCUCAUGUUUUAGAAAGAAAUAAAUAAAUAAAACGAGAAUGGAAACUGUUGAGCACUUUUUAAAUUCAUGAUUGGAUAAUUAACAAGAGCCAAAGAAUGCAUAUGAUGUGGAUCUGAUCUUCAAGGUGGGGCCCUAAAACUUUUGCAGAGCUGAUGGUAAAGGUUUUUGUAUUGCUGCAAUGAUUGGGGCCGUUAGAUUAGGGAGGGAGGAUCAUGAUUAGACUCAAGUGGGGCUCAAUAAGCCAUUAAUAGGUACAAACGCGAAAUCAGGCCUUGCACGUGUAGGGGCCGUCCAUGUCAUUUGCAAUGCCGACCUACAUCGAUGGUACCGGGUCGCCUGAGUUCCGGUACAGAUGUCAUCAUCUCCUUCAUGUUUGACGAUUCUACACCCUACACGUCACACACCGGAUCCACAUGAUUAUGGCCAUGGAGGGAGCAGAUAUUGGUCAAAAUAAUGCCUCUUUUUUUUUUGUUUUUUGAUAAGUGAAAACAAAUGCCUUUAAAACUCUGCUAUUGCAGACAAGAGAAAAAAUUAUCUUUUGUUGUGUAGCUUAAAUUCAUUUGUUAAAAAAAAAAAACAGUCAAACUCAAAAUGCUACCAAAUUAAUAUCAACUAGACUAGUAGUAUAUAUAUUUGUAUCUUUUUCUUCGUGCAUACAUGUGAUUACUCCAAAACUAAAGAAAGCAUUUAGAACGAAAAUGAAAAAAGGCAAAUAAAUCUGAAAUAGACCCCACACCCAUGUGAAAUCAGAACCAUGGUCAAUGGACCCAUGCAUCUAACCAUCUAACUUGCAAGAACAUUGGGUGAGAGAUCCACAUCAAAUAGGGAAGUCCGUGGCUAGCUAGCUGGUUGAUUUAUACUUUAUAUCAUUGAUUUUUUUUGUAGAAAAUUGGAUCGAAGAGGACUAGAUUUAUUCUUGAUAGGCUUAAUUGGAUGAGAGAUAUAUAAACAUGUUAAAGAGUGUCACAUUUGAACAGCGGCCAUGCAUUUCAUGCAUUGAUUUAGGAAGCAUGAAAUUGGGGGAAGCAGGCUAGGCAGGCAUGCAUGUGGAUAACUCUGACAAUGCAUAAUUCAUGUGACUCCAUGUGUUUUGGUCUAUCUAUGCAUACCUUCUCAAACUUAAUCAAACACAUGAGAACGAUAGAGAGAGAGAGGGUAUGUCGGAAAUGUAGAUGCAUGUAAUCGUAACUGAAGUUGGGGUGUUAAUUUUGUGGCUAUUCCUUUUGUAGUCAAAUAGGGCUUUGCACGUGGAAAAGUAACCUUUGUGUGCUUUCAGAUGUAUGAUACUAGUACUACUGUAUGAUUACCAUCGUUUGUAAGUUCAUUUGUUUUUUCGGUCGAGUUUAUUUCGCAAGCCGACAAUUGCAUCAAUAUUUAUAUUUUCAUGAUCAUUGAUCAUGAUUCAAGACCUACUAAUUAUAUAUGGAGUUUGCUAUUUGUUAGCUCCUCUUGUGGGGUUGUAAUCCGAUUUGAUUAAUUAAGACUUCAAUAAUAUAUAAAACGUAUCGAUAGAUUUUCGUGGGAAUUUAAAAAUAAAAGCAAUAAUAUAUCAAUACAUCCACACAUGUAUCGAUAUAAUAUGACCGUUGAAGUCUAGAAUAAAAAGAAAUAUAACUAUUUUCACAUUUAAUGCAUCUCUAACUACCUCUGAAGCUUCAACAACUAUAAAUACAAGCUCCCACCACAUUUAUCAAGGUUGGAAGACUUUGAAACACAAUUUCGAGAGAAGAAUUCAACUCAAAUUAUUCAAUACUCUUUGUUCUCCUUUUUUGGCAUUUAAAUCUUCUAUUGUACCAUUUAUUGAGUUUUUAUUACUUAUUUUCUUUCUCACCAAACAUUGUACUUAAUUUACUACUCAGCCUUUAAGAGGCAUCCCAAUUGCACUUAUCUUUUUUUUUUUUGUAUUCCCUUGAGUGGUUAUACCUUAACCGAUUGAAAAAUGUAGUAUUUGUUGUAACGUGCGGGUCCGACAACUCGAUCGCUAGACAUAGGGAAACACUUAGGAGUCUCCACCAAUCUUUUUUUCUAGGUGUGAUUGGCCACCUAUUGACUUGAUUCUAAUGGACGAGGUCUUAAAUUGAUUUUAAGUCUGUCGAGAGAAUUUUAAACUAAUCUACGAUUCUGAAGAUUGGGUUCGAGAGUACAGUUAUGCCCGGAGAAGGAUUAACACCCUCGUGACGUCCGUUCUGUGAACAGUACCAUUUGAUUUUAGAUUAUCUUAUUGGAGCCUUAAUUCUUAAAUUUAUUAUGUUUUCUUAGUUAUUAUUCAUUUAUUUUAUCCUCUAUUUUAUUAAAAUAUUUUAUUUGACUUUACGGGUAUGAUGUGAACAUGAUGCAUUCGUGAAAUGCAUGGUAUAAAAUUCAAAUAAUGUCGAAAAAAUAACCUUUUAUUGAGGAUGUUUUCCGGAUCUGCCCCUAUCAUACUGGUGGGAUCCGGGGAUAUUUUUUCACCUAGAGAAUUAUCUGGGAAACUUACCUUCACAAAUUUGAUGAAUAAAUCUCAUCUUCGGGGUUAUCGUACACGUUUUAGAAAAAAUUAUAUUUUCGUGAAUGUAAACUUAUUACGAGCAAAAGCUUUUUUAUUAAAGAUAUUCCUCGAGCCCUCCCAUCGUACUGGUGAGACUCAGGGAUAUUCUUUCACAUAGGAAACUUUUCGAAGAAAGCUCGCAUUCGCAAGAUUUUUCAAAAAAUCCCAUCAUCGAGACUUAUACUCGUAUGCAUAAAUAUUUAUAUGCCAUGACAUGUACGAUGCAAUAAUGAUGCAUGCUAUGCUUAUGAAGUUCAUUAUUUUAUAUCCAAAUCUUUCUAUAUUUUUUGUUAUUUCUUUAAGGUUUUCCUCUUUAUUGUUUUCUUUAUAAAUGUGUAUAUUAUGAAUUAUAUAUGCUUCUAUAUUAUUUAGGUGUAUACCUGUUAUCCAAUGUUUCCUCUUUUUAUUAUUUAUCCUACUCCCUUUUUAUAACACCUAUAAAUUUAUUGUGUAUAUUUUAUAUAACCUAAUAUAUUCAUUAUUAUGAAUUUCCACCUUUGAAUAUUUCACUUAUAUAUUUAUUUAAUUAUUGUUAUGAGUAUUAUUUUACAAUUUUGUAUUUAUCUUUUGACAACUUAAAUAAGCAUAUGCCAUUUAUUCUUUUAUGUUUAUUAUAUUUGUAUUUAUAUUUUGAUUAAUUUAUCAUAUAAUAAUUUUUUGUUUAUUUAAAAUUAAAAAUCUCAGAAUCUUAAAAUUGAGACCCUCCCAUCGUACUAGUAGAGUCUUAAUUUGGAUCCCGAGUCUAGAGAAAAUUCAUCCGAAAUUGCAACUCCUCGCAUUCCGAAUGAACAUCCCAUCAUCUGUAUUAUUUCUAUAUCAUUCCUAUAGUUAAUAUUACAGUAUUUUAAAAUUCAAUUUUCUAAGGUUGAUUCUCAUACCUAUCUUAUUAUAGUUAUUUGUCUAACUCUACUAUUUUUUAAUACUUAACAUAAAAUUUUUCUUGGUAUGUUCAUUCACUAAAAAUAUUUUAUAAUCUAAUGUAUAUACAUAUUUUACAUGCUCUUUUAUAUAUUUUUACUCAAGAAUACCCCAUCAAUAGCCCAAUAAUUUCUAAUUUUUACUUAAUUUAAUCUAUAUAUAUUUUAACCUAUCAUCUAUUUCAUUCAUUCAUAUUUUUAUAUUUUAUUUAUCUCUCUAGCUCCAUCACUAUAAACAUAUUUCAUUUAGCAAUUUAUUUUCUGUUUUGCAUAUAUGCUUCACUUACCUAAGUUUAAAUACCUUUAAUAAAUAUUCUCCUACAUUUAAAUUCUUUUCUUACUUAAAUAUAUAUUUUUAUUUGUAUAUUUAUAUAUUUAUAUAUAUAUUUGUAUUCCUCUAUUUGUAUUAUUUUCUUAUACCUAAAAAUAAUAUCUAAGAAUUUUUAGAUCAUUAUGCUAAAAUAAUCUAAAACUAAUCCUACAUGAUUAAACAAUAAUCCUAAGGACAAUAAAGAUGAAUCAGCCCAAACCACAAAAGAUCCAAGGAAAAUGAUACAUGGUUUACCUUUCUGGGCUAGGCUGACCUAAACAAAUGGCCCACUUCAACCAAUCGGCUACUCCACAGCCGGUAAAUCUUUUACCCAAAGUGCACCGUUUUGGUGCACAAGCCACAGCCUUUCCACUUCAUAAAACUACGCCGUUUCGAUUACAGCCCCUUUUUCUCCAAAACGACGCCGUUUCACUCUAAUCCUACAUAUAAAAUCAUUCUUUUCUCUCUUCUCUUCGCAUUUUCCCUCUUCUAUUUCUCUCUCUAACUGCCGAUUCCCUUACUUCUCUCUAAACUUUUCCUCUCUUUUCUUUCACUCCCCCCUCGCAAACGAUCGGCAAAUCAUGUCCUUUUGCCGAACCACCAAAGAUUGCCCCCCAAACCACCUCUAAAUCUCCCCAAAAGCCGCAACUUUUUUCUCACCCUCUCCCCAGCGAACUGUAAGUCCUUCCUCUUUGCCGACCCACUGAAGAUCGCAUCCUAAACAAACUCUAAAUCUUCCCAAACUGCUACAACUUUACCUUACCCUUUCGUCGGUGAUCUGCAAAUGGCCCCCCCAAAAACCUCUAAAUCUCUCCAAAAGUCGAGACCUUUCCCCUCUCUUUGUUUUUAUAUAUCUAUAUGUAUUGUGUUUUCUGGCUCCUAGAUAUUUUUUAAGGUAUUUUUCUUGCUUUUUUUUUUUUUGCAGGAGGGUUUUCUUAUCUGCCCCCGAAUGCUGGGGAUGCAGCCACCUAGGCGGCCAACGCCUGAUGCGAAAAAAUCGCAUCUGGUGUGAUCAAUCCUUCCCUGGCUGAGUUUGUUUUUUCUGUGUACGAAUUCAAUUUUGCUAGCUAACUUUUCUAUUUAUUUAUUUAUUUGUUCUUCCUGUUUCUGGAACACUCCGUAUUUCAUUAGAUACUUAAUCUUUGAUUACUAUUUAAUCUGGUUUAAUUUGUUUGAUCUAUUUUCAGCCAAAUCAAAGUUGGGCUUGUUUCUAUUUAACAGACUUGGUAUAUUGCCAGCCCAGCCAAGCCUAGAGCUGUCUUUAGUGGUGAAGUUAAAAGGGAGAGGACAUAGGCAAUGAGGUCAUACUUGUAUAAAAUUUUUGUGUUGUUCAAUCUCUUCAAUCUUUUUAAUUUCUUUCAAAUUGAUUUUGUGUUAAUUCAUCUCUCUUUGCAAAAUUUUAUUGUCUUAAUUUAAUUCAAAGAAGAUCUUAGUCAAGAAAAUUUUAAAAUCUUUAUAUUGAAAGGGUUUUUUCAAAUCUCUUGGAAUUUAUAUUAAAAGGGUUUUUUCAGAAGAUUUGAAUUCACUCUUCUUGGAAUUGUUCACAUUGAGUUUAUUGCACUAACAAAACUAUUCAAAAAAGUUUUUUUAAAAAAUUCUCAAAUAAACUUUGCACCAAAUUAACAUAUAAUCAAGCAUACUUGAAAUCAAUAUCAAUUAAACAUAAAGUUUUCAUCAAACAACCUCAAGGAGGUUUUAUAAUACCAGUGUUAGGAAAUCAUGUAAUCAAAUUGACAUAAACGCAAUUGAAAAUUUUCCCUAAUGCAAAAUCAUUCUUUGUUUCGCUUAUUAGAUAACUCUAACUACAAGUAAGAACAUGAUACACCUUCAAACCUUGGGUAUUGAAAUUCACAAGGUUUAGAGCUUUAUUGCUAAAGCCAUGAAGCACUAAUAGUAAAAUUUUCGCAAAGUACAAGUUAUCCAAGUGUUUAGUCUUAAUUGACGAUUGACACGAAUAAUAGGUGAAAAAAUCUCUAAGGAGAGGGUGAAGUCUAGCACUAUAUCUAGUGCUCUUAAGAUUGCCAUAUAGGUUAUGUUGUAUUUUGUGUGGCCUAAGCUCUCAUAAAUAUAGGCAAUUUCAUUUAUCUUUACUAUAGUAGGAUGUGCAUAACUUUUAAACUACUUAUAAAAUCAUCCCAUUUUUAUUAAAUCCUUUGAAUUAAAUUUUUUAUAUUCUAAACUUUUUUGAAAUCAAGUCCAACUUAAUUUAUGAUCACAUUGUCACUCUUAAUGUGUGACUUUUUAGAUUCUUAAUAUAUUGACAAUAAAUAUAAAUGAUAAUCGUAAGUCGAAUAGAAUUAGAUAAAUCAAAUUCCUUUCCAUUUAUCAUUUAUUUUAAAUUAAUUUUAUCAUAUUUACAAAUCAAGAUUGGCAUGUAACAAUGUUUCAUAACCAUUCAAAUGUUAAAAAAAAAAAAAAUCAAUGUAGUUUGACUUACCUUUUAGCGCACUUUCUUACCAUGUAAUUCAAUCAUUUCAGCAACUAAUACACCGAUAGAACUAAUAUCCCAAAUGUUAAAAUAAUGAGUUAAUUAUUGAACCAUGUUGAUCAUUCAUCUAUAUAUGUCUUAACCAUGUUAGCUCUAGCUAUCAUUAAGUCUUUUAAUGAAAUUUGAAAACACCUUUUGGAAUCCUAGUUCUAGCUUAACCAAGAAUUUCUUGAGUUAAAACAUGUUAAAAAGCAAUGUGAUAUUCCCUUAGAAUCACUUAAGACAAUGAAUUCUUUUGUUGAUCAUUCAUCUAUUUAUGCUAUACUCAAUAUUUAUCUCAUUGUACAUCAUUGACUAGGACUACAUAAGACAAUAUUAAAGUAUAACACUCCAAACACAUGAUAACUUAAUGACCUCAAGUCUAAAGAUUAAUUACACAAUUGUCACUUGAAAAUUUGUGUUUCACAGACACUUGAAUGAGAUAUCAAAUAAAAUCCAUAAUAAGUCAUAUUUAGUGAACUUGUCCAUCAACAAGCACCUACAUGUUCUCUUAACUUUAUCUAUGUUCCAUCUCAAUAAAGUAUCGAUUAGGAACAAUUUAAAAUAACGCAUUGCAAUAAGAAUCUUAUAAUUAUAACAUUUUAUAAUUCUUUUUGCAAAGCAUGCAUGUUUAUAUCUUAGGCUUUAUGUUUAUAAGUAAAUAACAACAAUUACGUAUAAACUUAUAGAUAAAGAGAUCAUUAAUUAAUUAUAAUGUUUUUUGCAUUCGAGUAUGUGGUUCAUUAGUUAAUACAAGAUUCUCUUGUCUAAAGAGUAAGGGUUGAAUCCUCCUUUCCUUUAUUAAAAAAAAUUGUAAUGUUGCCUUUCAAAAAAAAAUUAAUUGCAAUGUAAAACAUAAUAAUAGUGUAUAUUUGUAUCGAAUUGAUUGCCUAUAUGGUAUACGACAAUUCUAAAAUAACAACCAAAUUUUGUUGUCUUUGAUUCACCACUUAAUUGUGUUAACUUAUUUGCAGUUUCUUGAUUUUUUUUAAAUCUUAUUUUUGUAAUUUUUUCUCUUCUCAAAAAAAUUAAAAAAAAACCAAAAUUAUUUCAACUAUAAUACAUUCCUCAGCCAAAGUGUGAUGACUUAAAGCAAUUGAAGGACAUUUUGAUCAUAAAAAUUUAGUAAUUAGCAAUCUUGGAGUUAAACGGACAUGAAAAUGAUUAAUAGUUAUUAUUAGACACUUUCUUUUGUUAUUGUUAGUAUUUAAUAUUAUUUAUUGGUUGUUAGAUUUUACUAGGGAAUUUGAUGAACUUCACCUAAGAAACCUCAUCUUUCAUACUUUGAUUAAAUAAUUCAAAAUAAAAAUCUUGAGUUUUGUUCCCAUUAAAAAAAAUUUAAUAUAUAUAUAAUCUUUGACUGACAUAUCUUGAUGUAUGGAUAGAUGAAUGGAAACAAUAUGAUUUACGCUUUGCAUAAACCAUGCUUUGCAAACAAAAUGUAGUAGUAAUAGGUAUAAGAAUGUUACAUGGCAACUAUAGUCAAAAUACCCACAAAGUCUCGUAUUCAUGCAUUUUGUUCAAUGUAGUCCAUAUACUCAAAAUCGAAAUAAUUUAGUUUCUUGAUUUUGAAAAUUGAUUCAAUUUAGUUCCUCUCUCUAACAACAUUUAAUUUUACAGUUAAAAGAGAUAAUGUCAGCACUGACAUGGCAUGCCAUAUGGCAUCAAUGUGAUGAUAUGAUAGUGUCGUGUGGCACUAAUAUGAUAACAUGGCACUGACACGUUGACGUGUCAAUGCCACGUGGCAUUCAAAAAAAUUUUAAAAAAAUGUGUGUCACGUCAUAGGGACAAAAUUGAACAAAAAUAUAUAGUAUAAGGACUAAAUUGAGCAAAAUUGAGAUGUUGAGAAACUAAAUUGAAAACAAUAUUUGAAAAUACAAAUCUUUAAUUAGAUGUUAGAUAUACUUAGUAAUAAGUCAAAUAUUUAAGUGUAAAAGAUUUAUGUGUUAAAAAAUAUAUAAAUAUUUUCUGCUUGAUUAUAUGAUUUUAAAAUUUGUAAAUUAAUUUAUCUUUUUUUGUAAAAAUUAAGUUUAAAUUCUCCUUUUAUAAAAAAAUUUUAUACCUAAAGUCAAAUUUAGAUGAAUAACUUGCAUUAUGUUGAAAUAAAAUAAUAUAAAAAGAUUAAAUAAAUUUUUUUCUUCUAUUUAUAAUAGUAUAAAAUUUUGAAAUUUAUUUGAGUUAAUUUUUAACUUGAGUUGAACUUAAAUCAAUAAAAUAGGUUGAUUUAGUUACAGCUUGUUGGAAUUAUUCAAUCUUUACCCAAUUUACUUUUUAUUUAAAUUUAUUCAAAGUUUCUUAUAAAACGAUUUUAUUUAAGUUCAAAUAUCACAAUCAAUUUUUGCUAAAUUUAAAUUUAAAUUAUUAAUUUGGAUCUACAUAAAAUUUGUAAACACAAAAUAAAAUAGUACAAAUAUUUACAGUUAUAUUUAACUCCAUCAACUAUAAAUGCAGUUUUUAAUCUAAAAAAUUGCAACUUAAAAAAUAUAACUUGAAAUAUCAAAUGGGUGAUUUUGGUUAUUUGCACUAAACCUUUCAUAAUCUCGAUUGCGAUAGAGAUAUGAAACAAUCAAGGUUGUGUGAUCUAGAAAAAGAAUUGAGAGAAAUAAUCUAAAGAAAGGUUAAAAAAAAAUUCUGAUUAUGUUUGAGAGGGAAUCUGAAAGAGAUGGAAAAGAAUUAAAAGUUAUGUGAUUUAAGAGAGAAUUGAAAGACGCUUAUGUAAAGUGUAAUCCAAAGUAAAAUUUCAAGAGACUGGCACACAUUAAUCCGAUAAAUUGGUCUUUAACUGUUUUGGAUUUUUAUUUGGUUGUUGUUGUUUUGUGGUCUUAUUGUUGUUUGUAGUCUUGGUAAUUUUACAUUAGUAUCGAUCAAUACCAUGUCACUUUAACGGAGGAAGUUUUACAGUGUUAACAAUUGAAUUAGCAUUAAGAAAUUUUGAAAUAUAAGAACUCGAUUAUGAAUUAUAAUAAAAAGACUAAAUUCAAAUAUUUUAGUAGAGUAUAAGAAUUGAAUCUAAUAUUUUUAUAAAGUACAAUGACUAAAUUUAUCAUUUGAUCAUUUAAAAUCCUCAAAAAUUUCACUUCAACACUGAUCAAUCAAUGUUAGCACUAAUCAACGUCAUGUCGAUGACUUUAACAAAGGAAGCUUGAUAAUGUUAACCAUUAGAUUGACAUUAAUAAAUUUUGAAAGCACAAUAACUCGAUUUUUACGAAUUACAAUAAAUAGACUAAAUUUAGCAUUUUAAUAAAGUAUACGAAUUAAAUUCAUAUUUUGACUUUUAUACAAUAAAGUUGGACGAAGGGGAUUUUUUUUUUGAAAGGCAUUGGUAUUCAUUAAAAUAAAAAUGGUGUAAAAAAAGCUUUAAUCCCAAUCCUAUGGACUCUAUAAGACAAAAAAGAAAAAAAACAAAAGGGAUUUGAAUAUUGAAUUGUCGAUUUUUAUUUUUUUCAAGGGUAUGAUUGGUAUAUAAUCUCUUCAUUUAAAGAGUAACAUUCGAAUUUCUUUCCCUCAAUUCAAAAAUAAAAAAAUAAAAACAAAUACCUAAAAGAUUAGAUUCCAAAAUACACAUCCUACUCAAUGCAAUGUAACAAUAGCACCUUUAAGCGGCUCACAACUAUAAUUCAAUAUCCCUCAAACAAAACAAUCUCAGUGAAAAGAAAGAAAAAGAACACAAACACAUAAACACAGCCUAGUAGAAGAUAACACAGAUUCGUAUUUAUAUGUAUUAACAUUUAUAUCAAAGCAUUUAAUAAAAACGGAUUAGUAAAACUAUCGGAUAAUUUAUUUUGAAAAAAUAUUGAACAUAAUUAAAUAAUAUAAAAUUCAAUUUGAACUGAAGAACAUUGGUUCCCUUUGAAAGAAAAAAUUCCUGACUUGGUCCUUGGGUUUAUACCUCUUAAUAUUUAUAUGCAUAUGUGGAAUUAGUAUUUAUUUCGUUAAUGAAAAAAGAGCAUAGCCACGCUUUCUUAGUCCAAGUUUUGCUUCGGUCUCAUCCAUUAUUUGCCCCACCACAACUCUGGUAUUGACCAUUUGUUUUUUCAUGGAUACCUUAACUUUAAAUUGGGCCUCAUUUUUUGACAAUUUUUCAUUGGGCCUUUUUGAAUUCUCUCUAUUCUACUGGAACCUGCCAAACGUUGGUAUGCACUUGGACUGGCCUUAUUUUUCCCGUUCAAGCCUUAAAUUGUGUUCCAACCCAUGCACAAUUAAUUUUAUUUUUGUGGUGAAUACAUUUUUUUUUUAAUUUUCAGAUUAUAAUAUUAUGUCAACUUCCAAAUAAUACUCACAAUCAUUUUUUCUCCAAGUCUUUACAGUUUCAAAUUAUUAAUAAAGUACAUGGUAAGUAGUUUUGUUUGUUAAAUUUUAUGUAUAAUUAAUUUAUAUUAAUUUAAAAUCUAUCAGAAUAGAAAUUUAGAAUAUAAAAACUUACUUGAUUCUCGAUAUAUAAUUUAAUAGAAAAAAUAAUACUAAACAGAUUAACUAUUGAGAUUUAGUGCAGUAAGAUUUUUCUCAUCCUUAAUCUAUUAAAUUGGAUAAGAAUCUUAAUGUUUUUGUGCAAAACAAUAAAAAAGAUCUAGCCUUACUUUUAAAUAGUGAAUCUUUAAUCUUAUCUAUUAUAAGCGUUAAGGUUUCUUACAUAGCCUUACCCUCUUAAGUCCACAUAUAAUAUUUGAGUCUAUUACUUUUUUAAAUCAUAUUAUGGAUUAUAAACUAAAUUAACUUAGUCUGAUUUUGAUAAAAUAUAAAAAUAAAUAAUAGUGUAAAUUCACACUUUGAAUUGACAAAAAAAAAAUCUAACAUUAAUUUCAAUAUCGAUGAUGAUUUGAUAUGGACGCCUUAUAUUUUAAUUUAGUUUCAUAAAACUUUAUAUUUGAAAAAAUUGUUGUAGUUAUGGAUAAAGGGAUCAAACAAGAACUUGAGGAAUAACGGAUGAGUAUUUUUGAGGCUUGUAAGAAGGAAUUUUUGUGGGAAUGGGGAGAAGGGAUUGCAAUAGCCCCUUAGACCAAUCCAGGGACCAAUAGUGUACCUAUUUUUGCAGCCUCAUAGUUGGGAUUUUGGGCUUUUGUCAUAUUAGAGGCUAAUAUAUUGUUUUUGAUGGUCAGUAGUUCAUAAACUACUUUAUGCAAACUUUCCUAUUAUUUUUAACAUAUGACCAUACAGUUUUGAAUGAAUGGUGUCAAUGGGUGGGAGCAAAAGAGUGGCAAGCAAAUAGCACAAUCUUUUCUCGUGUUCCUCCCCACUUUCCACAUGAUUUUGUGUUGGGCUAAUUAUGCAAAAGAACUUACCAAGGCCCAAGCACAUGGAUACACUGACAAUUGCUGGCGUACAUCUCUAAUCCAUUCUAAAAAGGGUAAAGGGUCAACGUUUUAAGAACCAAGAAAUGGUCCAGCUAUCAGUUACAAGCCCAAAAAAGACCCAUAUUCGGCAUCAUCAGUUCAUCACAACUCACCGAUACCUUUGUGUUGGGACCAAGUUGAGCAAAAUUCUUUGAGAGAAAGGCUCUUUUCAGGAAAAAGGGGUGAAAUGAAUUUUAAAAUGCAACAGGGAGAGAAAGAAAAAGGGUGGCUCAAACAGAAAGAAAGAAAGGAAAAAAAGGGACGUGGGUUAAUUGAGAAGACGCAUCCUAAAGUUUUGAAUUUGAUAUUGAAAAUGUGAAAUGUCAUGGCUUGGGUUGUAAAAGCAAUCUUCACCUUUGGCACGGUCUCUCUCAAAAGUCUAAUCCCCCCAUCACCCAAAUGGUCCCCUGCGCUUUGUCUCUGGUCCAUCUCUCCCGACUCAUGUCCGUGGUUCACCCGACAUCGACGAUGACCCGCCCUAUCUCUCCCUCUCAAAUGUCUUGAUUAGUUUUUGCUGGCAUGCAUUUAUUCCCCUUCGAGCCACGGAUUAAUUAAUUGCCCCCUGCUGGUCCAAGCCCCCACUUGCUCAACAAAUUUAAUUCAUCAAUGACAAACACACAAAGUUAAAAGUUCACAACACCAACUACUACUACAGCAAGAAGUUGCUAUAUAGUAGUAUAUCUUAUCUUAUAUUCUUAUCCCAUACCUGAUCUGGGUAUUUCCAUAAUCAUACCAAAUAUUUCACCUGAAUAAAUUUUAGGGGAAUUAUUAAAGGGAGGGGCUGUCUUUUUUGGGGUUUUUUUUUUCUUUUUUGCUUGCUUGAAAUUAAAUUUUGAGCCACUAGAAUCGUUACGUGGCCGAUGGCCCCAAUGUAUGCUGGAGAAUGAAGCCACGCACACGAGGACAGCACCAUAAGUUUCAUGCCCACCUAAUAAUGCAAUUAUUUUGAUUUUUUAGUUAUAUACCUAUUUAAUUUUAUAAUUAUAUGAUAAUGUUUACUUGGCUUGGGGGCUGUCCAUUUCAUUGUAUUCACGUGCAUGUGCUGUGUAAACAUAUGAAAAAAAAAAUUCUAGUACAAUAUUUGAUGACUUGAAGCUUAAAAAAAGUCUAAACUAUAAUGAUAAUAGUUUUAGUUUGUCAAAGUUUGCUUAGACUAGUCUAAUCUAAUCUAAUAACCUAAUAAUCCAUAACAUCAUCAUUAUAAAUUUAAUCACAUGUCUGAUCAGCUUUGGAGAUUUUUAUCUUCACAUGGAAAUAUUUGCAUGAUCUAUCCUAAAAUGAAGAGAUUAAGACUUUUGAUCUCAUGAUGUAGCAGAUUAUGCAGCUAGCUAGACAAACUAAAGCUGGAUUAAAAUUUAGGCCACGAGUAUGAUUUUUCCUUUUCCUCUUCUUUUUUUAAAAGAGUAAGGGAUGCAUGUGAAAAGGAAUGCCUGGGAAGAUCUAAAACUUGAUACUGCUGCCUAUUGUUUUUAUAGAUUCUUUAAGUAAGAUAUACAAACAAUAGAUACUCAAUUACCUAAAUUUAAAAAAAAAAAAAAUGCAAGUUGUAAUUUGCUCAUUGCAUUGAUGAUUAAAUGAUGUCAUUUUCCUCUAUGUAUAUAACUCUUAAAUAUUGAGCAACAGUUGGAGACAAGGGUCAAGAUCAGAUUGCUAAUUCCAAGUUAAAGAUUGUUGAAUUGUUGAAUUUCUUUAAAGCAAGUUUAGUUAUACCACAAAAGAGAUUAAAGUAAGCUCACCAAAUCAUUUUAUAUCAAGAGAAAAGCAAAAAAAAAAAAAAAAGAUUAGAAAUCUUUUCUUUGUUGUCGGUUAUGACAACUUAAUUUUACUUAAUUUCAGGGCUAAAUUAACACUGUUUCGUUCUUUGUUUCUUUUAUUUGUAUUUUUAAGAUAACAUUGUCUAUAACCAAAGUCAGCAAGUUAAGGGAAAUACCCAUACGAUCUAAUUAGGCAAAGACAUGACAAUAUUUCUUCAUAAAAUAUAGACAUACAGCAUUUAAAUAAGAUGGAAAAACUUGAUCCCAACAUAACAAAUUAAUUCUCCUUAAACAUGCAUAUUAUUUGGUAAAAGAUUUUCCUGCAAUUCUAAUCAUAGAAUCAAGUAUCAGGAUACACUUAUCUUUUCAUUGGUCAAUGCAUUAAUAAAGUAAGAUUGUGAUAGCCUUUUAGCUGUAACAUACCCCUAAAUUGAGUCACUCUCAGUCACUUUGUUCUGUUUUUUUGAGAGGAGGGUAAUGGAGCGUGAGAUGCUUGUAGUUUUUGCUCAAAGAUCACAUGGGAAAGCGAAGGCAACUUGCCAACUUUACAAGAAAGCGAAAAAAGAAGGAAAAGCCUUGCCAUCUUUCAUCAAGUACAGGUGUAGAAAUCCUAUCUUCUCUUUCCCUUCUACCCCUUUUUAUUGGCUAUCAAGUACAGGAAUUUGUGCUUUUAACAUAUAGUAAUGUUAAUUAUUAAAAUUUCAUUAAGUAGUAACCUAUUUUAACAUGCAUAACAAAAUUUUGCCAUUCAAUUUCCAAGCAAUAUGGGGACAAACUGAUCUCCCACCCCUUCAAACUCUAUCAUCCACGCAAAAUUCUUGCUAGGUAAGAGACUCUGGGGAAAGGCACAAGCCCAAGAAAGAAGAUGGGUCCAUAUCUUUGUAUUUUCAAAGCAGAAAAGAAGUGCAGAGACUUAGAGUUUGUUGCCAAACUUCAUCCUCAAACCACCUGUCCCUACCUUAGUUGGAAUUCCUAUCCUCUGCAACCUUCCUUUCAUUCAAUUCCUCCCGCACCUCUUCCACUUGCAAUAAUUCACUCUUUUGGUUCUUUCUUUCCCAUUUUUUAUUUGGCUUCAAUCACUGUUGCACCCCUAACACCACAUGAUUGCAGCAUGGGCAUACACAUGGAAAUUGGACCCACCGACGACUUUUUAGCCACGUGUUCAUGCAGAGUACUAUGAUCGAUGAUGGAUGAUGGUUUUUAACCAUGCAUGUGCCUAGCUGUCCAUGUCAUGGUGGAUUUCGGUCCAUGCGCCUCUGUUUGUCCGUACUGUAUUGGUUGACCCUCGCGUCACAUGGUCCGUCCGAUCAUUAUCGUGUGGUCCUUGUCCUUUUCUGUUUGGAUGCUCUUUUGACAUUUCAGCCAUUGCUGUAUUUAUGAAAGUAUAGAACCCCUAGCCAAUAGCCAUAGUUUUUGUAUUCUUAUUCUAUGCUUUUCCCAUUUGGCAUUUAACAGAUUCGGAACGAAAACACAGGGGAAAUACCAAAUUUAGUGUGUCAAAAUAUGAGGGUCCUCUGUUUUUAUUGAAUUUUACCAAGUUGAGAAAUGGGAAUACCAACAAAUAAAUGAGAAUGACAACAGUGAUGGGGACUGUGAGAGGGACGCAACAAAUUAUACAGUCCAAAACAGGCAUAUCUAGAGAUCAUAUGCCUAAGGUUGGAACAACAUCAAGGAGUUUGGCUAUUGGAAGCAAACAGGGAGAUGGAGACAUCAAUACUUUGAAUGAUAUGAAAGAAAAUGGAAAAGUUAUACCCUCUUUUUACGUACAAAAGAAAAUGGCUCGGAAACCUAAUGUGCUUCUCCAAAUCUUUGUCUGAGAGACAUGGAUAGUUGUACAAGUUGCCCCAUUAUUCUGAUCGACUUGUUUGUGUUAGCCUUGUUUGUUUUUGAAAAUAGAUGAUCCUCUCAAUGUUAAUACUAUAUCAAUUCAUACUAUUACUUUACCAACGAUUUGGGGUUUGAUUAAUAAAUACAUACAAUUUGGUCAGUUUUUGGUCCUAGCUAGCUUUUGUUGCUGUGCUGCAACGUUUGGACAAGCUGAUUAUUAUAUAUAUCAUAAUUUUUCUAUUAUGAUAAACUAAGUACCAAUUAUAUUCUUAAAAAAAUUAUAUAUAUAUAUAUAGUAACUAUAUAUAUAUAUAUAUAAAAGAAAUUUGAUGGAGAAUAAUAAUUGUUGUUAUGUAUGAUGAUAUAUCAAAAUUGGAACGAGACAUUAACAUUCUGUUUGAAUAGAGACAAAAUGCAUGCAAGAUAUUAAAGAAAACGAUGGAGAAAGGGUUGUUUUACUUUUGGGGUUGAAAGAAUAUGCUAUUCAUAAAUGAAGGGAAAACGAAAGAAAAAGCCUAAUAAUCAAUUGAAAUAGAUUGGCAAUUUCCAACUUCAAUUCUUCUCUCUCCAUUUUUUUUCUUUCUUUUGCUUUCUCUCAUGGCCACAAAAACAAGGCGGUAGAACUGAUCAAAUCACCACCAAGAUCAAAGAAAACGCCAUUCAUAUGAUGCGGGCCUGGCAUCCUUGAAGAUCAGUUUGAUUAUUGAUGGGCUAAGAGCCUAUAUCUCUCUACUGCUAGUUGACCAGAUUGGACCACAGGCCUAAUUCCAAAACCCAACCAUUUGGAAUUAGGAGGGUGACCACUUGCUGAUAACUAAUGGUCUAUUCUCCAUUGUUAACGUUUCUAAUUGUACCAUUAAUUGUAUAUUCUCAUGAUCAUGCAUCUUUUCAUUUUUGAGAAUAUCAUUCCUGAAAUUAGUGUGAUAGCAACAAUCUUUUCAGGUCACUGUAUUCAUCUAACAAAUGCUCAAGGUUAAAACAUCAUUUUCCACUCAAACUAUAUUUAUUUAAUACACAUAAGGUGACAUUUGCCAUGCAAUUAUUAUACCAAAUUCAUGGUACUAAUAAAGAUAUAUGAGUUAGCUUGAAAAUUAUAUCAAAUUAUCUUAUUAUACAAAUAUAAUUUAAUAAAAAACAACUCACCAAAUAGCGAGAUGCUUGGGUGAUCAAAUUGCCAAUAUCCUUGUCUACUUGUUCUAAUCCAAUGUAUAGAUCUUAAUUCACCACAUUCUUUUUUCUCCUUAAGGUGUGGUCCAAAGGUGAGGAUAGGGAUGGAUUUUGGGCGCAGUUAAAUAGAGCAGAAAAUGAGGUUGAAGGAGGAAGCGCACACGUGGGAGUCUGAGCCUUUUUUUGUUGCAAUCUGCUAACAAAACCAUGUGAGUCCGUACUAACCACGGUGAUUCAGUGUCUCCACGCACACAGACCCAUCGUUAUCUGGCGGGGCAUGUUGGUCUCGAUGAAAUUAAUACUGCCAAUAGACUUCUCAUUUCCCUGAUAAAUUGCUCUGCAAAGCCUAGCAUUAAAUGCCAAAGAUAGAUAGAUUUGAUUGAGAAAGAAAGAAGGAAGGAAGCUUACUUCAAUAAGAUGGACUUUAUGGGAUUGCUGAUCAAGUGAAUCGUUUGAGGAGUGAUUACGGUGGAGAGGUUGAGGUUUCGAAGCAAAUUAAGGGGUGUGGACUGGAGGUGCGUAUGUUCCCUUCCAGUACUACAGGCUGCAGCCAAAUUGAAACCUUGGGCCUCUCACUUGCUUUCUACUCACUAAAUGGCGUGUCGUUUGAUUGAAGAGAAUGUUGUGAAAGGUGCCAUCUCUUGUUGGUUGGAUCAAUUUCUUUAUGAUUUUCACAUUUCUUUUCUUCACUUGCAAGAGGGAAACUCAAAGUUUUUGUUUUAUUUGAGGAAAGGAGAUAACGUGAAUCUCACUCUUCUUUUUUAUUUAAAAAAAAAGAGAGUACAUGUAUCUGUUACUGUUUAAUUAAAUACUUGAUUGAAGCGAAAUUAAAAAUUUAAAAUAUUUUGAUAUAUAAUUCAAAUUUCUAAUUCUAAUAUAUUAAUUUCAUGAUUUUGAUUAGUUAGAUUUUGAAUUACAUGUAUAAAUAGAAAUUACAAUCAUAUAUACAAAGAAUCAACAAACUUAACAUAUAUUUGAAUUUAACUUACUAAGAUUUAAAUAUUUAAAGCACCCUUCUUAACGUCGAGGAGUCUUUAUUUUUUUCAAGUAUAAUUAUCUAAGUAUUUUUGACAUAAACAGAAACUAUAUUAAUGAAAUAUAACUACGAACUAUUAAAAUGUGAGAGCAGUCUCUUUUGUAUGCAUUUAAGGGAGAAGUCAACAUUUUCACCAAUCACUGAAACAUUUUUUUUUGACUUCAUUGAAAUAUAUAAAAAUAAUAUAUUCUCAUCAUUAAUUAUUUUCAAUUUGUUUUUUCUAAUCUCUAAAUUCCAUUAGGAAACUUAAAAAGGUUUAAAUUACCAAUACCUAGAGUUGGCAUUUCCAUCAGAUUAAUAAAAAAGUUGAGAUGGACACCCAAAGAGAGUGUGGAGGUCCCAGUCACCUUAAACACAAGCAUCUUUCAUAUCAUCUCAAUCCCAAUUGGAUCAUGAAAAUGAUUUCUAGUUGAAAUUGAAUCAAUUUCGAUGUUAAUUUUUGCAUAAAUCAACGUGGCAGCAGCCAGUAUUCCCCCAACACCCCCCAAAGAAAGAAGUUGAAAUGUUUGACCAAAGCCACCACACCCUAACUAGAAUGACGACUUAGCUAAAAGCAUAGCUUGAGGGUUGAGGGGUUGAUGGCGCAUCGAAAGCUAAAAGCAAAAGCUAAGCCUAGCUAGCUGCUUUUGACUUGAGCUUUCCCUCCUUUUCUUCUCUCCUUUCACCUUGAACAAAAAACACAAAAGGUCUCUAAGCAAAAAGGUUAAAAACCCUCCACCUAAAGGACCCCUCACUCUCAUUAUCUUUCUUCCAUAAUUUCGCCUUUUUCCUUUUUCUUUGCGUGAAAGUUCAUUAGAGGAACGUCUUUGUCUAAGUCAAAAAUCCAUCAUCAGUCUUUGUAAUUAGCAAUUAAAGGUGAGUGAGCAAUGAUCAAUGAAGUCCUUGGCAAACCAAAAUGAAAGACGACAAACGCAAAUAAUUGCCGGUUCUACGGACAAUCCGAAACCCAACACGAGGAACAAAAGAAAUACUAAUAGAAAAAUACAAAAAUAAAAAGAAAAAGGAAAACCCUUUCUUCUUCAUUUCAUUAAUCAUAUCCCUUGUCGCUUUGCAAUAUUAUAGACAUUAACUUUGAAAUUAAACUUUACAAAGCAUAAGGGAGAUGAAGAGAAUUAAUAAGAUUAUCAAGUUACCGCCUGUUUUUUUCCCCCUCGUUUUCCUCUUCAAUGUCUCCCUUGUGCUGCAGUGGCCUUCUUUUCUUUUUUCUUCUCAAAACUCUAGGAAAUUGGAUAAACAUGGCUUUUAAUGGGGGCAUGAUCCUUAUAUCAGGGUACCUUCACUAAGUCAAAUAUCUUAGCUAAGCUAGCUCCAAAAAUUUUGGAACCUUUGGCAAAUUCUUUUGUACUAACUUCUUCUUUACCGGAAAAUCCUCAUGUUAUAAUUAACAACAUAAUCAGGCUGUGAUCGGUACUCCCAAAACGUAUGACACGCAAUCACCACACGAAAACUCCCCUCGUAUUCUGCCUUGCUAUGGGAAAAAAAACCAAAUGAUCUUCAUAAUCCUAGAAGGACGUAGUACACAAGCGUUAUCGGUAAUGCUAUCAACAUCCCAAAGAUGACCCUGCAAAUAUUUACAAAUUCAGGCAUCAGCUACAGUUUUGAUUACAAAAUGGAAUUGAAUUGAAUUCUAGCGAUUAAUUCAGGUUUCACUUACGCUGUGCUAAGAAUUGCUGGGUGAACAUUGUAUUCUUUGGCAAACACAAAUGGUACAAUUCCCUGUGGCAGAGCAGCCUAUGUAGACAGCAAAAUUAGACAACACUUGAUUAGCAAAUACUUGUAACAUUCAAAGAAUACAUACACCAACCUGCAUAUAUAGUUAUUGAGGAAGAUAAUUAAAUUUUACCUGAACAAUGGCAACACGGAGUAGCGUGCCACGCAACCCUACUGCAAUUGAAGCUGCAGCCAUGACAGCCGGACCGGUCAAGAACCUAACGGCCAUGGCAAAGGCGGCCACAGAAUUCCCACAAGCGAUGAUCUUGGGUUGCAGAGCCAUAAACAGACCUUUCACCAUAUAACAACCAAAAUUAGGACUCCACCUAGAAAACGGUAAGUGGCAUUUAAACCCUAAUCUUUCAAUUCAACUACCUUCACUAACAUGGGGCCAAAAUGGCAUCUAUUACAACCAAUGCCCACCGACCCUGGACCGCUAGCCAACGUCGCAAGUCGACCCCACAUGUCGGGAGGUCAAUCCCAUUUUCAGUCCAAAGAUUAACCUCCAAUUUCUUGCGAUAACAAAAAAAUUAAAAAAUAAUAAAACAAAAAGGUGCAUGGCUGUGAGCUGUGCAACCAUGCCAUUGCUUAGACAGCGUAUACAUCACUACCAAACUAUAUGCCCUACCACACCUUGGUGUGGUCUAGCAAUUGUCACAGUUCCUGUAAUACAUGAUGUUUUUUUUUUCAUCUUCUAAUAAUUCCAGUCACCUUAAUUAGUACAUAAUUGCCUGAAUCCGGCCAAAAUAUCAGAAAUAGUUCAACUAGGUCAGUAAGGGUGUAUGCCUGUUACCUUAUAGAAUUGGUUUCGAAUGAUUACUAGAUUUAUUUAGGUCAAGUGCACUUCAAGCCCUUGGACUUAUUCACAUUACUGUUUUUUUUUUUGUAAAAAAAGGAAAGAGAAGAAAAGAGAAAGUAAUACUAAUAAUAUUACUUGAAGAUAAAGCAAAUAGCCCGAAAUGCUCACCUAAGCUAAACAUGGCCAUUCCUAGUCCAGCAUCCGACAGGAUGGAGAUAGACUUCUCUAUUAUUUUCGGCAUACGCACAUGCCACCUGCAAUGAAAACCCCAAACCAGUAAAUUUACUUACGACAUCUAAAUGCCAAAAAAGGGGGGGUUUGUCCAACCAAGUUUGAGCCUUGAUUAAUUAAUUACUGCUGACCUGAAAGCAAUUAGAGACCAAACAAGUCCAAUGAGGCUGGAGUAUGUGUUGGGGUUUCGAAUAAGCUUGCGCCAGACCAUUAUCAAGAUCAGGCGGGUCAUCACACUAGCCGGAGGCAUUUGUUUGCCAACGCCGGACUCCGUUGCUUCGGCAGCUUUAGGGUGCAGCUCAGCCGUCGAACUUGACCCCAACUUAUUGAGUCCAGCGGGCCCUUCUUUCUCUCUUUCCUCCUCCCCAUCUCUCCCAGCAAAGCUAAAGUUCUCUCCAUUAAAGUCACCACUGGCCGGCGCAGCUUCACACCAAAAGCAACAAUUCUAUUAUAUACUCCGUAGUAUUAAACAAUUUUGAGAAAUUCAAAACAUUUUACUAAGUAUCAACUUAAGUAAUUGUUAACUGAUUAGAUGAAUUUAUUAAUUAGAUUAUUAUACCUUUGUUUUCCCCGUUUUGAGGGUGAUCAGCAACCAACAUCCUGAUCUCUUUAGCUCCCUGAUCAGAUCGUCCAGAUUGCUCGGAUGCCCCAAAAUCUGUCCCACCAAAGACGUGAAGUCCACCGCCUUCUGAUACCGGCGAAGCACUGGAACUCCACACAAACAUGUGCAAUUCCUUUGCAUCGUGAUUCACUUUAUUAUUCUCCUUCUGCUGCUGCUGCUGCUGUUGCUGUGGUUGAACUUGUUGUUGUUGCUGCUGCUGCGGCUGGUUAGUUUUAGUGUUCUUUGUUACGGAUGAGAAUUCAGGAUUUGGAGCAGGGUAAGAUGUCGGAACUGUCUGUGCUGGAUAAAAUCCAAAUCUUGGAGACAUGACCGUACAAUUUUCCUCAAAAUUUGAUGGUCUUGGAGUUGGUCCUCUGGAGGAUUGAACAGAGUACAAAUCGGAUGGACCGAAAUUAGACUGCCUUCCAGGAAAACCUUGAAUUCCCAUCAUGGAAUAAAAGUCUGAGUUGUUAAAAUUCGAACCUCUUGGAGUCGGAUUCCGAGAAGAGCUCAAGCUGUAUAUCUCAGCUCCAGUAAGGUUCGAAGGCCUCGGAGUCAAUGCAGGAAGCGAGCAAGGCCCCAAGGACCUCCUGGAAGCAUUGGAUUUCCUCACAGUAACGUGAAGCUUUCCGUCUUCGCCAAUUUCAGCGUCGGUUUCAAGAAAAUCACGGCCAUCAAGUGACACCACAUCGGAAUCAACUUUGAAGGAAACUAUGGAAGCUGCAGUUUCCGGGAACUGCUCCAUGAUGAGUAUUUUGGCACCGCGGUACUCGAAAAGGAAAAGAAGAAGAGUGUACCAAAUAAUACACUGGAGAACCACGACCUGAACCAUUAGCAUUCCUGAGUAAGGACCGUACAUAGCGAUUAAUAGAGGAAUGCCCAUGACUAGAGUGUUGGGUAGAGUGGAUAGAGAGAAAAUGGUGAUCAUCCAUUCCAGGCUUCCGUUUCUAGUGAAAUUAGUCCACAACCCAAGAACAAAUAGCAUGAUGAUUUUCUGAAGGGUGUCGGCCGCGAUGAACCUGAAGUUCAUGGCGUAAGGGUCGUUGGUGGAAAUGAAAUGGAAAGACAAGAGGGGAACGGCAAAUAUGGCGACAAAGCGGUUGAUACCAGAGCACUGGUCAGGGGAGAAAAUUUUCCACCAACGGACAGAGCCGUAAGCUAAGAUCAUAGCCACGUACAGUGGGAUCACCGCUGUUAAAACGCUGUAAAGAUCCUUCCAGGUGAUCAUCUUUUUCUUUUUCUGGAAAGAGAUCUUAGUUUUAUGUAAAGCUGGAAAGAGUGUUAAGGGUGGGAAGAUCUAGUUCUGGAGUUUAAGCUUGUGUCGGAAGCAGAAGAAAGAGCAUUGAAAGGGAGAUGUUUUAGAGAGGGCAAAAUGGGGAGAGUAAAUAACCGUUAUUUAACUAACUUAAAAGAGGAUAAAAUCUCUGUGUUUCUAUGACAAGUGCUGCUGCUGCUGCUGCUGCUGCUGAUAUACUAGUUGAUAUACUGCAAUUUUUUGAUAAAUAUGUAUGGCUGAUGAAAGUGAGGAUAUUGGGAAAGAGAGAGAGAGAAAAUGAGAGCACAGAGAAAAAAAGAGUAUAAUUUACAAGAGAUGUAACUUUAGAGGAAUAUAUAUAUAUAGGGCCUAGGGGGAGAGAGACAGAGAGACAGAGAGAGAGAGAGAGAGAGGAGGGAAGAAGAAGANGAGAGACAGAGAGACAGAGAGAGAGAGAGAGAGAGAGGGGAAGAGAAAGAGAAUUAUAUAAGGGAGCCUUCAAAGGAGAGAGUAGCAGCGGAGGGGAGGGAAGGUCAAGGUGGGUGAUUGACAUUGUUGUUGUGUUGAAAUGAAAGAAGGGGUAGGGGACCAUUAGGGGAUUGGGAGAGUUUGAACGGUGAAGCCAGGGUUUCGGCCUUUAGCCUCUGGGGUUAACAAGUAACCAACUUAUGUGGUUAAGUUAACUACAGAGUAUGGUUACAAAUAAGUACAGGUGGCUGUCUCUCCAUGACGUGGACAGCCUCUCUCUCUCUCCCUCUUUUCAGUUCCCUCCUGUCCCUCCUUUUUACCAUCUAACUCUAAAUCCUCGUUUUCAAUCCGCAAAACCAUCCAUUUCCCUGUAUAUUUACAAACACAGUAACUUUAUACGACUAGCUUUACCAUUUAUGAGAAAGUUUGCAGAAACUCUCUCUUUAAAGUGUAAAACCUAAUUACUAAGCCCCAGCAGUUAAUAUAUCGUGUAAAUGAUAACUGAUAAGUUAAGGGUGUUUAAUGAUCCCUAGUAGUUGUCUUAUUUUUGUAUUGAUUGGUUUUUAUCUUUUUAAUUGUAUCACGGUAUUUAAGAUUGACACAAUUAACUUACCAACAAGAAAUAAAUAUAAUGCAUGUAUCAUCUAUUACCUUGGAUUACUAUUUAUGAAUAAUAAAAAUAUUAUUAUCAUUUAAACUUAUUAAUUAUUCCCAAUUUCCUCCGUACAUGUUUUGGGGGGAGAAAUCAUCAUGUCGUUUACAUAGUUACAUGUUAAGUUCUGUGUAUCGACAUGGAAACCUGUUUCUAACAGCCAUCAUGUUUAUUUUUUGGACUUGAGUUUGGUGUGGCUAAGAGCUGAGAGUUGGAAAUUUAAGCAUCUCGGGUUUCGAUUUUGACCCACGCCUUUUGAAAAGUCUCUGUAUAUACCUGCCAGCCCUAUCUGUCAAACCUUGGAAUCCUUGAGAAGUUGUGAGGAUUUUAUACUUCUUCUUCUCCUCCUUCUCCUCCUUGUGACUUAUAACAAACUUUGGCUCAUUAGGCAUAUAUUAUGUCCUCAAUAUUCAACUAUCAAAGGGAAUUGCUUCCAGAUAAUCAGGGAGGAUUUGAUUUGAAAUAUAUAUAGAUAUAUAUAAUAUUUGUUGAGAAAAAAAAUAAUUAAAACUCACACCGAUUAAUGUUUAUCUGUCAAAUAUUUUUUUUGAAAGGCUUUAUCUGUUCAAAUAUAUAUAUAUAGAUGAUUAAUUUUUUUGAAAGAAUAUUAUAUAUAGAUUAUUAAUUUAGCCUCCUAUUUGGUUUCUGUCCUAAGAUUACUUCAAAUAUACUUAAUAUAUAUAUUUUUAAUUAAGUAAUUUUAUUUUCUUAAGAGAAGUAGGCCAUAAAAAAUUAUAUUUUCUUAAUUUUUUUUUUUCAAAAAUGCUUGUCCUAUAAUGUUCUUCUCACAUAUGUCCAUUUCUAUGCUUGAUUAGUUAAGAUAUUAAGCAAUAAAUUUAGAACUCGAAGUGAUUAAAAGAGUAUAUAGCAGCAGAAAAAAGUGCUUAUUAAAUGAAAAUUAAAUGGAGCGGUUAUGUACUUACAUGCAGCAGUCCAAGCAACAUACUUCUCUCACGGUCGUUUCCAGAUAACUUUGUAAAGUAAUAAUGGUAUAUAUCUUAUUCUUCAGAUUCAGAAAAAAAAAAAAAGGUGUGGUUUUGAGCUGUAGCUGGUCCAAUCAAGGACCAAAAAUGGGAUGGAAUAGGUUGAGUGCAUGAAGGGAAAAAUAAUUGAAUGUUACAUAUCUCUUACUCUAUAAAAUCAUCAUAAAAAAAUUAUUAGAAAAUUAUUUUUCAUGUAUCUAUCACUUGUAUAAAUUGUGAGUAUUCAUUGCAUAAUCAACAUUUCAUGAUUGUAUGAUUAGAACAGAGAAGAGUCACGAGUGAAUCCUUGGUUGUUGUCUCUAUCUUUGACUGGCACUACUAAAUACAUGUAGUUAGUCCAUGCUAAUCUCAAUCUUACUUAUAUAUUUACUCAAUUUUCUUUUUUUUUUUGAAGCGAACUUUAUUAAAUUCUAAUUAAAUGAGAGAAAUUAAUUCCCAACAUAUCGUUCAUGUAAAGAAUUCUUAUCUCUACAGGGGGCAUUGUAAAAUCUAUACUCCUCAUCUAAGUUCUAUUAAUUCCUAAACAUUUUUAAAGGGAAAUGAUUAAAUGGGUGCAUCCAAAUGAAAGAUUUAUCUCUUCUUUCAAGCACCAAAAACUAUCACCAUUUGUAUGGAUUAAUAUACUAUUAGCUUGAGCUACUAUCAGCCUCAAUGCUUGAAUAAUCCUUUAAUUAAAGCACCUUAUGAGCUUAAUUAAAGAUUGAAAACCGAGUUAACAUCAUGUGUAAAAACAUAAUCACUAGCCUACCAUGUUGUACAUGUUGGGCAUUAUUGAUUAAUUCUGUGGGCUUAUCUUUAAUUAAUUUCUUGGAAAACAAUUAUGACUUCCAAUAAUCUAAUCUAUUAAUUACGUUAAUUAUUAUAUAAGGACAAUAAUGACAAAUAUGCUUGCCGUUUGGUCCAAACUCUAAAUAGAAAGAUGGUUUCAUUUGUCCUAACUCCAUUUUGGGUUUGGCCUCAGUCACUAAAUAACCCCUUUUAGUUUCUUCCCUAAAUCUAGUGUCUCAGGGUGAAAAUGAAACAAAAAUGAAUUAAAAAAAGAGAGUAAUGCACUACUCUAUUAUGUAUGAUAAGCUUGGCUAGCCAAAUAAUUGGCCUUAAAGCGAGCAUUAUUUUGUCUCCUUUCUACUUUCUUUGUCCCAUUUAUUCUUCUUCUCAAUAUUCAAAAAAAUAAAAUAAAAUAAAAAUGUCAAUUGUAGUUUGUCGAGCAGGGAAAAAUGUUAAAGGAUAAGAAAUGAAACAGUAGCAGUUUGUAGUUUUGGCAGAAUAUUUAUUCAUGAGGAAAUUAUGAGAAAUGACCUUCAUAGUAAGGUGACUUAAAAAAUGACCGUCUCUAUAAUUUUAACUAUUUUUAACCAAUUUUUGGCACGACUUGAUAAGAAUACUCUUUAAUCCAAUUAAUCCAAAUGAAGGCGCGUCUCAAUUUCUUUCUUUCUGCUCUCCCGCCAUUCAGCUUAAAAUUUCAAAAUUAAAUCUCUAUUUAGAUUUAGCUAUCCCUCGGUCCAGCUCUCCAACGCCAUCGAGGUCUAUAUCGGCAGCCAACUUUCUCAUGAUCCCAAAGUGCAGAGAUGACAUCAAGGUAUUUGUUAUGGGUUCUUACGUUUAUUUAGGGUUAUUCAUAGAAGGAAAAAGUUGAUGGGUAAAUUAUAUGAGUUUGGAAACUUAAAUCUUGAUUGGGGUAGCGAAAUCAAUCAGUUUAUAGGCGAUGCGUGAAUAUUUGUUAGGUAUUGAGUCACUAGAUAUUAGGGUGUGUGACUGGAUAUUAGGAAUCAUUACUUGUUUAUUUGGCAUUAGGUGCCUGAAUAUUUGUUUAGCAGUGUGUGAGUUCUUUAUAAGCAUUACGUGACUGAAUAUAUGUUGAGUGUUGCGUGACAGGUAAUACGUGAUUGAAUAUUACCAGACUAAAUAUUUGUUGAGCAUUACGUGAGUUCUUUAUAGGCCUUACGUGGCUGAAUAUUUGUUAGCGUUGCGUGACAAGGGUUACAUGACUGAAUAUUACGUGACUGAAUAUUUGUUGAGCAUUGCGUGACUUAUUUGUAGGCAUUGGGUGACUUUAGCUACCUAAUGCUGAAGGUGAUUCUCUAUUGAUUAUCUUCAAUAGCCUAAUAAGCUCUAAUGUAAUUCUUGAAGUUUAUAUAUAAUUUCAUACUUGUAUAGUAGCAAUAGUAUUAGAUUUUGGUUGGUCUACCAUGAUGCCUAAAUUAAAAAAAAAAAAGAAGAAGAGAAAAGAGGAAAUGAUAACGAAUUUCUUGGAAAAGAGAAAAAAGGUAACAUUAAAAUCCUUUUUGAUUAGUGAAAAAGAGAGAAAACCUUUAAGCUACUUUUUAUUAAGAAUUUCUUAGAAAAUGAUGUUUGGUUUAACUUUUGCUUUUAAGAAGUAGAUAAGAUGAAAAGGCAGGCCGAACAGGUACUUAAUAACCAAUUCAGCGCCCCUUCAUUGCACUGAUAUGGCUGUAGAAAACGAAGAGUCAGCUUUCAUGCCUAUAAAUAAAGAGAACCAUUAACCAUUUGAAUCAAAUUCAAUUAUCUUAAUCAAUCUCAAAUAAUUGAAAAAUGACCUCUAGAGAUCCAAUAGUCGAGAAGGGGAAAGAGGCAACCUCCGAAGAGGAGGAGGUGCCUUUGAGUUUGAGGGACUAGUUGCACAUAUUCUUGAGUGUGAGGGACCAGUUGCACAUAUUUCAGCAGGAUAUGCAAGUCCUCAUUGACAACCCGACGCAAAGGACUUUUGACCUUGAGGCUGCCAUCCUGAGCAACGAAAAGAUUCUCGUUGAGAUAGAGUUCAACGUAGAUGAACUUAUGAAGAAAUGAACUACGGUUCAUUUUUUUUGUAUCAUCUCCUUGUAUUUUUGAGGGGGUCUUUUUAAUAAAAUUUGAAUAAAAUUUAUAGUAAUUUUUAUUUUCAUUAAGCACAUAUUAUGUUGAGUUAUUUUCUUCAUUUAAGUUAUAUUAUGCUGAAUAACUUUGUGAGUGGAUGUUAGGCAUUAGGUGACCUAUUAUUAGGUAUUGGGAAAGUGGGUUAUACUUGGUGCGUGAAUUGUGCAAUGCAUAUCUUCUGUUGAGACAUUGCGUGAGUGGUUUGUAUAUAUAUGGAAUAGAGUACCUAUGGUGACGUGUUGUUAUGUAUUGCGUGACGUUGGGCCAGUACGUGACUGUUUAAGUUGGUAUAACGUGAGUGGAUAUUAGGCAUUGAUUGACUUAUUAUUAGGUAUUGCGAGACUGAUGGUGCGUGACUUGUGCAAUUCACCUCUUGUUUAGAGGCUUAUUAUUCAUUGAGUGACUUAUUCUUAGGUGUUGUGAGCCUGACGGUGCGUGACUGACUUGUGCAAUUCUCGUGUUAUUUUGAGGCUUUUGUUCAGCAGUUUUUUAGGCAAUGCGUGACUUGUUUUUAUAUAUUGUGUUACCUGUUAUAGCGAGAGUGGUGGCACGUGACUUGUGCAAUUCAUGUAUUGUUUUGAGGCUUUUGUUCAGUAAUUUUUUAGGCAAUGCGUGACUGGUUUUUAUAUAUUGCGUUACCUAUUGUAGCGAGAGUGGUGGUGCGUGACUUGUGCAAUUCGUGUGUUGUUUUGAAGUUUUUGUUCAAUAGUUUUUUAAGCUUGCGUGAUUGGUUUUUAUAUAUUGUGUUACCUGUUGUAGCGAGAGUGGUGGUGCGUGACUUGUGCAAUUCGUGUGUUGUUUUGAAGUUUUUGUUCAAUAGUUUUUUAAGCUUGCGUGAUUGGUUUUUAUAUAUUGUGUUACCUGUUGUAGCGAGAGUGGUGGCGCGUGACUUGUGCAAUUCAUGUGUUGUUUUGAGGCUUUUGUUCAGUAGUUUUUUAGGCUUGCGUGACUGGUUUUUAUAUAUUGCGUUACCUGUUGUAGCGUGAGUGGUGCUGCGUGACUUGUGCAAUUUGUGUGUUCUUUAGAGGCUUUUGUUUAGUAGUUUUUUAGGCUUACGUGACUGAUUUUUAUAUAUUGCAUGACCUGUUGUUAUGUAUUGCGAGAUUGGUGGCACGUGACUUGUACAAUUCAUGUGUUGUUUUGAGGCUUUUGUUCAGUAGUUUUUUAGGAUUGCGUUACUGGUUUUUAUAUAUUACGUGACUUGUUAUUAUAUAUUGUGAGAGCGGUGGCACGUGACUUGUGCAAUUCGCCUCUUGUUUAGGGGCGUUUGUUCACUAGUUAUUAGGCAUUGCAUUAAUGUGUAUUAGACAUUGCGACACUUAAUUUCUGUAAAAUUUCUGCGGCCAGCCAAAUGUGACUUGGGCAUUGCAUAAGUGGUUUCUAUGCAUUGAGGGGCUAUUUUUGAUAAAUUGACUGAUCGUGACACUUAUUUUUUGUUAAAUUUUAGCGGUCUGCCAAAUGUGAAGCUUAUGAUUACAUACGGUGGUCAUUGGGUCGAUGACACUUACAAGGGUGGUGAGACACGAGUGAGGGGUGUUGGGAGUGAUUUGUCAUUUUUGGGACUAGUGAAGCUGGUUGAAGAGGUUGUUUUGGUCAACUCACAUAAUAAUGAAAUCGAACUACAUGCAUCGCUCAGCCAUGCCGUAGAGGUUUCGCGCGUAGUUAUCAAGGAUGAUGAAGAUGUAGCGAGUAUUCUGCGAGAUGAGAGGGCAAUUGUUUUGUUUGUGACAGUUAAGGCAGGAGAUGUAAACUAUAUUCCACAUGACCACGGUAUCCAAUAUAGUAAUCACCAAUAAUAAAAUGUUAACUAUUCUUACAUACCACACCAUGCAUUUCCUAACAAACAAUCAUGGCAAUCACGUUUGAUGUAUCCUUAUGAGUUUUAGCAGCCCGGCGCACACAUGAGGUGUCUACAAAUGAUGUCUGCACAAUUUUGAUCAAAAUGUGCAUUGAACGAAGUACUCAGUACUUUGCAACAAACACAACUGUCACUCGAAAAUGCAUUGGGUCCAUUGUCAUUAGCAAACGGCAUUGUGAUGAUUGUGAGUGAUGAUGAUGCAUCUGAUCAGAUUGAAGAUGAUGUUGAAGAGGACGACACGGCAGAUUGAAACAAUGAGUUACGUUAUGACUGUGAAGAUGAUUACUUUUGCGGCAUGAAGAUCGUUCAGAGGACGACAGGGUUGAGCAGACCGACAUUCUUGAUUGUAAUCAUGCAGAUGGUGGUAUAGGUCAUACCACAACUGUUGUGUUAGAAGAGGUUGAGUUGGACGACCAUGGCAGAACCGUUGAAUUAGAAGAUGUUAAGGGUGCAGACCCUAUUUACGAGAACGCCAUCGCACUUGAUAACGACAUUCGUUCGCUUGAUGACAGUGAUCAAGAGAGGGUAAAUAUAAAGGUAUCUCGUCAAUGGAUUAUUCUCGGGCUAGAUAUGAUAUCCUUCCAAAUAGUUGGGAGUGAGGAAUCCAGAUCAAUGGAUGACCACUUAUAUUGCGAAAAAGUGUUUGUAUCGAAGGCUGAAUUGAAACGAGCUUUGAGCAUGUUGGCACUAAAAGAGCAUUUUGAGUUUAGAGUUAAAAAUUCAUGUCACGCUUGUUUUGAGGUUGGUUGUAAGGAUAAGGCAUGUAAGUUUGCUUUGAGUGCAACGAAGUUGCCUGAGGGAGAAUAUUGGCAACUUUAGACGUUACAGAAGGUACACACGUGUGCUGUUGAUGGUUUGUAAUGUGGGUACCGAACUGCUAACGCUAGGGUAAUUGGUGAGCUUAUCUCCAGCAAGGUGCAAGAAAAUUGUGUAACCUCAUUGAGACCAAAAGAAAUAAUGGAAAAGAUGAAUCACAAGUAAGGAUUACAAUGCCUAUAUGGUAAGGACUGGUAAGCGAAGGAGUACGUCGAGAGUCUUGUGUUCGGUCCGUCGAAAGAGUCAAUCCAACUCCUCCCCUCCUAUUUCCAUAUGUUGGAACGUGAAAAUCCUGAUACUGUCACAUGUGUCGUUACUGAUGGGGAACAAUGAUUCAAAUAUUGUUUCUAAGUGUUCGAGUCAUAUAUUCGGGGGUUCAGUGUUGUAAUGCAGCCUGUAGUCGCUAUCGAUGCCACACAUCUGAAAGGCAGAUUUAAGGGUAUUCUGUUUGUGGCGGUAUGCAAAGAUGCGAAUGAGCAGAUAUAUCCACUUGCAUUUGGCAUUGGCCAUUUCGAAGACGAAGAGUCUUGGUUGUAGUUUCUUAACCAAUUGCAUCGUGCGAUUGGUUGUCCUGAAAAUGCAAUGUUCAUUUCUGAUCAACAUCUUGGCAUUAAGAAUGCAAUUGAGAAAGUGUACAAGGACGCUCAUCACGGUCUAUGCAAUUACCACUUAGGGAAAAACGUUAAAAAUAGGUUCAAGUGCGAAGAUGUUGUAGCGAUUUUCACCAUGGCUGCCAACUGCUAUAAGGUCACCGAUUUUGACAGACAUAUGAAUAAGCUGAAACAGCUUUGCAAACCUGCUUAUGACAGCUUUAUGAGAUUAGGUCCUAAGAGAUGGGCAGGUGCACGGUCAUCAGUAAGGUGAUACAAGUUAAUGACAUCCAACACUGCGGAGUGUAUUAACUCUUGCUUGAGGCAUGCAAGAAAAAUGUCAAUAACGGUGUUGAUCGAGUGCAUCAAAGGCAUGUUUCAACGUUGGUUCCAUGACCGGCACCAUGAGGCAUUGAAUUUGACCACCCCCUUUAGCCCUUGGGCUACCGAUCUAUUGAACAGACGGUUCAAUGAAGCAUGUCACUUUUUCAUACAAAGCAAUCGAUCAGGUGGAGUUUCAAGCUAUAGGCGGGAGUAAGGACAGAGUGGUGAACCUCUCCACCAAUGAGUGUUCAUGCGGUGAGUUCUAAUCCGAUCUACUCCCCUACACGCAUGCCAUGGCAGCAAUAAGGUAUGAGCAAUCAUGUUCUGUUAUAUUCUGCAUGAUGAAUUGAAUUUUUACAUUGUUCGUCAAUUGUGAUUUCAUUGCCUUGGCAGUAAGUGCAAACGUGCAGCCAUUAAAUUUUGCUCGAACUAUUACAAGACUCGAUCUUAGGCGGAGGGAUAUGCAAUUCCCAUUUGCCCGGUUGGGCAACCUAAUGAGUGGGACAUCCUCGAUGACGUUCAACAAAUUAUCGUUUUGCCACUAAGUUGGCGAGGUCAAGCGGGAAGACUUAGGAGGAAAAGGAUUCCAUCAGUUGGGGAAGGCAGCGGACGACGUAGAUGUUCACAAUGCAAGAUCUAUGGUCAUAAUAGACAAAAUUAUCGGACUCCGUUUACAGCUCCACUGACAAAUGGGGAAACAUCAUUUGCUUAGCCGAUAGCUCAACGACGUCGACCCAAGGCAUGUGCAAUUUGCAAACAACCCGGGCACACACGAAACCGCUGUCUAAUGCGGACUACAAACUCUGAUAACAUUUUAGGUGUCGUACUUGAAGAUAAUGGCCCUUCAGACGUCAGUUGUUAGGGAUUGUUUUGAAGUGGCCAUUGAUAUUUGCAUUGAAUAAUACUAUUUCAACUUGAGUUUGACAGAGUUUGAAUGAAAAGUAAGAUACACAAGAUGUCCAUAUGGAAGAGAAAGAUCUUAUGCUAGUUAUGGAGGUUUGAAAAAGUGUACCAAAACAUGAGAAUUGAAGUUACUUUGAGAAAGUUAUGGAUGUUUUAAGGGAUGGCUUCCAUGCAACAUGAAAAACGUUUAUUGAGGAAGAAGGAUGGGAAAAAAAAGAAAAAGCUUUUGGAAGUGAGGAGAAAAUGCUGAAAAAAAUUAGAUAUUUAUCCUGUAGUUGACUACAGUUCUCAUUAUUUACGAAACUACCAUUGCAUAGUUGGAUCAUCAAAUUCCAAUUAUAGUACUUAGCCCAUUUGUUGUAUCAUCAAAUUCAUUGUACUCCUUAAUAAUUUAUAUUUCUUCGUAAACCAUUAAAUAAAGCACAAAAUAUUUAAUUUAAUAAUAUUUACGUGAUUGAUUAGGCAUCCUGCUUCAUAUUUUUGCCAAGAAAAUGAUAUAUAAUAAUAGUAAUAGUUGUUCUUAAUGUCGACCAUUGUAAUCAAAAAACAUAAAGGGCAUAAGAUAGCUUCCAACCGUUUCUUUCAUAUUCUAGUCUUCCCAGUAUCUAUCGAUAGUUGCCGUUUCAUCUUUCAACCAUUCCAAACUUAGUUUAAAGGUGAAGGAAAGUUGAACCACUAAAGAUGAAUGGUCCUGCACUGUCUUAAGUAAUGGCCGCAUUUUCGAGCAGACCCAAUGUCCAUGACAAUAGUGACCAAAGUAUGGGUGAUGAUGAAUACUCUAGCCUACGAUCAAGGAAGAAAUGGAAACUAGAUCUUCAAUUGCCUACCGCAUCAAUUGGUUUUUCAAUUGAACCAGGUAAUGAUCUGUGCUCUCCUUUACGGUUUAGAGACAUAUCACAUGGUAGUAGGUAUUGGAUAGUAGAGAAUGUCAUGAUAUCGUGCGGGAAAGUGGUAGAUUGGGAAAGCUUAAAGGAAAACAUAUACCUUGAGGGUGACAUAUCUUCAUUUUUCGAUAUUUGUAAACUUAGGGGUCUAAGUACCUUUCCAUAUUUUGAUUAUAGCCUGACUCUUGUUAAGGAAUUUUACUCAAGCAUUCGUUGGAGUGAAAAUGAAUUUGAAAAUCCUAGAGAUUUUGACCCAUUUGUUUUGAACGUGUUUUUAGGAGGAAUAGAGUUUACAGUGACUCCCUUUGAUAUUGGGAAGCUCCUAAAAACGGAGUAUAGACAUGAACAAUGCAGACCUCCACCAUCAUAUGACCUGUCUUGCAUGUGGGCUCAAGUGACAGGUAGAAGAGAACCAUACACCACAGAGUCAUGUUCUGCUCGUCAUUUGAAUUCUGCACCAGAUAGGCUGGUACAUAAUUUUCUGGCGUUCACAUUACAGGGAAGGAUCAGUCGUUUAAGAUAUGUUAGCGCUGAGGAUCUGUGGAUGAUGGAAAUAAUUGGAAGCGAGUUUGGCGUGAAUAUUGCAGAAUAUAUGAUCAUGAGAAUGAGAUAAGUUACCAUGAGGGAAGAGACGACCUUUCCAUACGGGAACAUCAUAUCAACUCUAGUUAAGAGGAAAUGGAUAUGAAGCAAUAUGUAUCUAGUUGAUUGGACCAGUCGCAGGCCUCGUAAUCUCUCGUUUCGAUAGCUCGUGAAAAGGGGAUAUGACUUGAGUCUUGAUGAGCCAUUGAACUCUGUCGAAGGAAACCCAGUUCAUCCUGCCCAUGAUACUCCAUCCAGACAACCGUCUAGAGUUCCUGUUUGCAAUGAUGUGAUGUAUAAUAUGCUUCUAAGGAUUGAUGAGAAACUCAGUAAUCAAACUACUACAAUGCAGGCAUUGGAAUUGAGGAUAUAAAAUGUUGAGAAUCUUCUAAUGCAAAGAAUAGAUACAGCUGUUCUGGUAGUAGAAGCGAGACAGAAUUGACUGUCCUCAUAUGAGUUUCUUUUACAUUAACCUCAAAGAAAAAGGAAGUCAGCUGUCAUUGGUCUGGCUGAGUCAACCAUACGAGAUGAACAUUCAUAUUUGAGAGUUGUGGGUUAACUAGAUUAUGGAUACUGUAGUUUGUAUUUCAUAAUUCACUUGUGGUAUUUUGUUUUCUUUCACUCGAUAUUUUGUUAUGAUGGUACUUGGGGUUGAGUUAUGGUUUGUUAUUGUCGAUGAUAAUUGGCUUACCCUUAUUCGAAGAACAUGACACAAAAUAGGUGAGUCACGCGUGCAAGAUCAACUAGUCACGCGAUCCCAUAUCAUCUAGUCACGCGAUUCAAUAAGAAUUUGUAACACCACUCCAUAUAUACUACUCACGCGACUCCAUAUCAACUAGUAACGUAAUUCCAUAAUAUCCAGUCAUGCGAUUCCAUUUUUCUACUCAAGCAAUUUUAGAAUAAAUACUCACGCCAUUCCAUAAUAAUUAGUAACACGACUCCAUAUAUAUUACUCAUGCGAGUCAAUAUCAACUAGUAACGUGAUUCUACAAAAAAGUCAUCUCACGCGCUUCCAUAUUAACUAAUAACGCGAUCGAUAUUUACUACUAAUGGGAGUCAAUAUCAAAUACUCAUGCGAUUCUAAAUCUUAACUAGUAAUGCGAUCCAUAUUUACUACUAACGGGAGUCAAUAUCAAAUAUUCACGCGAUUCUAAAUCUUAACGGUUCACGUGAUCCAUAGUUACUACUAACGAGAGUCAAUAUCAAAUAUUUAGUGAUUCUAAAUCUUAACGGUUCACGCGAUCCAUAUUUACUACUCACACGAUUCUAAGUGGAUUAAUAACGCGAUUCCAUAUUAACAAUUGACGUGAUUCAAAAUUUAGUACUCGCGUGACUUCAUAACAAAUACUCUCGCAAAUCAAUAUCAAUUGGUGAUGUGAUUCCAUCCACACCAUUCACGCCAUUCAAUAGCAACUUCUUACAACCCUAUGUCACGCAAUGCAAUUCAACAUGUCAUAUAGGCUAUAAAGUAAAGAAGCAAAGAGGGGUUAGCAUAUGCAAACGAAUGAUGUUUGGCCUGGCUUUAGCUAUUAAGAGGUAGAUAAGAUGAAAGGGCAAGCCGAAUAGGUACUUAAUAACCAAUUCAGCUCUCAUUCAUUGCACUGAUAUGGCUGUAAAAAACAAAGAGUCAGCAUUCAUGCCUAUAAAUAAAAGGAACCAUUAACCAUUUGAAUCAAAUUCAAUUAUCUUAAUCAAUCUCAGAUAAUUGAAAAAUGACCUCUAGAGAUCCAAAAGUCGAGAAGGGGAAAGAGGUAGCCUCCGAAGAGGAGGAGGUGCUUUUGAGUUUGAGGGACUAGUUGCACAUAUUCCAGCAGAAAAGCAAAUCUAAAACACAAGAUGUGUCUCUGAAAGUGGAUGGAACUUGUAUGAAAGAGCAAACUGAAUUGUCUGGUUGAGAAUGAAAAGUAAGAUACACAAGAUGUCCAUAUGGAAGAGAAAGCCUUUAAGUCCAAUAGUGGGGCCGUUGAAACUAGUUGGAGAACAAUAGAGGUCCAAAACAACUGAACAUAGGACUUGAAGGUUUUCUCUUCCAUAUAAACAUCUUGUGUAUCUUCUUUUCAUUCCCUAACCAGACAGUUCAGUUUGCUAUUUCAUACAAGUUCCAUCCACUUUCAAAGCAGCUAUCUAUAUAUUCAUAAGCUAUUGAUACUCAAGUAGGUCUAGAACAACUAAACGUUUAUUGAAACAGAAGGAUGGGAAGAAGACGAAGAAAAAUUGCUAAAAGUGAGGAGAAAGUGCUGGAAAAAAUUAGAUAUUUAUCUUAUAGUUGACUACAGUUCUCUUAAUGUACAAAAAUGUCAUUGCAUAGUUGGAUCAUAAAAUUCCAAUUAGAGUACUUAGCCCAUUUGUUUAUCCUAUAUUCAUUUAACCUAUAUUUCAUCCUCGUUAAACCUCGCUUUUGACGGCACGAGCUGACAAAGUACCCCGUCCGAUGGCAUAUAAUGGGAAACAAUGAUGUUAGUGGACUCAUCUGUUUAUCAUGCAAGCUAAAAUUCAGUGCUUCUUUUUUAUCGUACGAUGAGUCCACUAACAUCAUAGUCCAUUUCAAUAAGUUAAGGUGCACUACCACCCAAUGGCCGUUGAAAAAGCACGGUACGAGAAUUGCUCAACCUCAUGCCAUGGCAAACCCCACGAAGGUCUCUAACCCUUUGCAUACUCAAGCAGAUCGUCUGACGUAACCUCCUCACUCGACUUAAAUGUCUUCUCGGUGGGGGAAGGUUGCAUUUCUUCACUCAAUUGUAGCAAAAUAAGCUGUCAAUUACGUUAUGCACAAUAGUUAGAUGCAAUUAAGUAACCCUAAACCCUAUACAUUUGAAUAAUUACAACUUAGUAAAAUAUAAUAUACUUACAUAGAAUGUGGUGUCAACGAUCAAUAUUCUCUACUUAUAGUGUUGUGGAUGGUGCUCGCGCGCCUACUUACACAACACACUGAUGCAUGCAUCAAUUUGUUGGGUGUCCAUCAAUUCUGUCGGCAUCUUUAAUCAUCGAAAAAAAUCAAGGCCCUCCUACCUUUCGAUGCCCAGAAUGUUAACCCUGCAAAUUUAAAAUAGUGUUAUAUUAAAAUUAUAGUAUUACGGAUUGUUUAAUAAAUAUCCUAAAACCGUUAACCCUAAUAUGGUCUACUGUUUUCAUUUUACCUAGCUUGGUUGUUUUUCAAGAAGGACUUAUAUCUGUCCUUCAAAUCGUCCUUCGCUUUGCGCUAGACUAAUAGCGGGUUAACGUACGAGCUUCGAAGGUAUUUACUGGCCAAGAUCACACGUGCAUCUUCGGGCUCAGGUGGAGGUGGAGCCUCAGCAGAAGGUCUGAUCUCACCAUGUGGGGGGGGGGGGGGGGGGCGUCUGUUGAAGUUGGGAUAGGAGCAGGAUGCGCAAAAGUUGUAGCUCCACUACUCGUAGGAUGAGGUACCUCUUCGACCUCAAACAGAAGAGGUGGAGCCUCGGGAGAAGGUGUGGGCUGAGAAUGUUGGGCUGCCUCUAUUGGAGAUGGGAUAGGUGCAGGAUGAUGUUUAAUCGGGCUACUAGGAGGUGAGCUUCGAACUUAAACGAUCAAAAAAAUCAAACACAUUAAAAUAGUGUAUACAUCGUACAUGUUAUAACUCACGCGAUGAAUAACCUAAAACCUCAUACCUCAAAACGAUCGAUCAGUCGACCGACAAUCCGAUCCUUCAGCCCUUGCAGUGAGUGUUGGAUAUGCUCAUGUAGUGACUGCGUCUGCGUCUGCAUCUGCAUCGCCCCCUGGAUCUCCAACUGCAUUGACUGUAUCUGCAUCUGCAUAUUUGUCUGCAAUGACUGGAGGUUUUUCUUCCAUUGUGUUAGCAUCUUUUGCAGCUCUCUCUUAAUGCUCGUAGUCAUUUGCGGAUGCAGCGUUCGGUUGCGAUGCUCAACAUGAGGGGCAGCACCUGAAGUAGAAUGAGGGGCAGCAGCAGAAGCAAGAGGAGGUGCAGCAGAAGUAGCAGCAUGAUGACCAGUAGAAGAUGCACCAUGAAGAGCUGUAGGAGGAGAAUGAGGUGCCUCAGUAGCACCGAACUCGGAAUGGACCUCUUCGUCAGUGGUGCGUCUUCGCUUAACGGCUCUUCAUAUUGGACUUUUCCCUUUACGGUCCAUUAUUUUCCUCCUUUGUUGGGGACCAAAUUCUAGGCAACCCUCCAACUUCCAUAAUGGAAUGUAUUGUUGCCCCUCGGAGAUAUUGACCUCAAUGUCCACCCAGUAUGUGGUCAACAUCUCUUCUGUCGUUGGCUCCAACAUCCUUACUGCCCAUAAUUGCACCAAAACAUACAUUGCCAUUGGGUAUAACCCUUGUUACCCUAUGACAAUAAAAAUAAAAAUUAAUAAAAUAAAAAAAUAUGGUUUCUUUACUCACCUUUCCCUAUCUCUCCAAACUUGCAAUAUUGGCGUGGAAGCUUGAAGGCUUCUCGUCACAUUGCCAUUUCAGCAUUCUUGGCCAAACCUGUCCGAACUGUCACUGCCUUUCGAACAAGCUUCUGAUUUCAGGUAUUGCUUCUAACGCCCAAAACUGCACAUCAAUUGUGUAACAUUUUUACUCACCUCAUAAAUUCUUAUGGGAAAAGAAUAAUGAUAAUGAUAAACAUUAGGCUAUGGCAGACUACUUGAAACACCCAUAUGAAUCCGUAGAUGUGGUAGCGCUUCUUCUCUGCUUUGUCCGUAACAAGAGGUUCGAAACCCCUCCGCAAGUAAUCCACGGUCAGACUCCACACAUAUGUGCCCCAUGGAAUGCAUUCCACUCGUCGAUGUUCUCAACCAGCGACAACAACCAUGGAACCACAGAUCGUCUGUAGUCUUGAUCGAAUAAAACAUUGGUCGCUAUCAAGACAAGGGCCAUCUUGCUCGCGUAUCCCUCCUGCUGAAAUUGCCCUCCCUUGAACGUAUCUAAAACCUGUUGGAUCUUUACCUCCUUCCCCGGUCCCCAAUAUCUUAAGUGAAUUCCUCCAAGAAAGGCCUUGUACCGAUUGACAAUGAGGGUCGGUAGGGGACCAAACUUCAAUCCUAUCACCAGACAAAACUCCCUCUUAGAAAAGCGGGACUUCAUUUUUCCUAUUGUGAACCAUAACUCUGCCUCCAUGGUGUCAGGAUCGUUGAUUUUGCGCAAUAUUAGAUUGUGCACUAGACUGGCGCAGAAUAAACUCUUGUUUGCUUCGACAUCCAUCAUGUGCCCAAAGCAUAUUCUCUUAAAGUUUUCCAGCUCGUUCACUUGACACAGCAUCUCAUGUAUGACAUGCAGAUGCGACCACUUACAGUGGAUGCUAAUGCCUGCAUUGAACCCCUACCGGUGCCUUGGCACACAAAGCAAGGACUCCACAUUUUCCUGCUCUGUUCCUAUGCUGGCCAUGUGCAACAUAAAACAGAUAACAUUCCCAUUUUAGUCAUGUCAAUACCAUCAUUGUAGAUUAACAAAAAAACUAGAGGAAUUUUUGAGAAAUAGCCCUCCUCAUAAGCUCACUCAAAAAAUAACCCUAACAAUAUUUUUAACUGUUUUUAGACAUCCCUGAAACAGAGUAAUUAAUCCGAGUGUGGAGCAUGGAUUAUUAAGUAAAUCAACAUAUACACAUUGAAGCAUUACAGUUGACCCAAAAUAAUACAGAAUGAACCCAUGCAGAUAAAUUUCAUGCAGUUAUGACACUCGUGCAAUUUCCUACAACAAUAGUCACGCAAUGCCUAAUCAAUUAGUCACGCAACGAUUUAUAAACAAGUCAUGCAAUUCUAAGAACAACUAAUCGAAUCACGCACACACUAACUGACGCCAUGCCUGAACAAUAUUCUUGCAAUAACAUAAAAACCAGUCACGCAAUGACUUGUCAAUCAGUCACGCUAAGUUAAGCCCUUUUUCAAUCACGCAACCCCAACGUGACCCCAUGCCAAAAUCCACUCACGCAAAAGGUGCCAACCACUUAAGCACGCCCUCACUCACGCAAUAUCUAAACCCUCAACCGAAUUCCUAACACAUACAUAUCAACCAGUCACGCAUGACCGGUCACCUUUUCACCCCAACAACACCAAUAAUACCACCUUCAUGUUUAUAUUCAAAAAUUCCAAACAACAAAAUAUCAAUAUGAACAUGCAAUAUGUAUAGGUUUAUGCUCAAAAACCUUAACCCUAAACAUGAACAAUAACCAUUCUGUCAAAAACCUCCACAUGGUUCAAAAUAAAAUAAAAUAAUUCAUAAAAAAUAUUAUACCUUUCUCAACGUAAUGUCAACUUCCUCACACUGCUCAAUAUGUGAACAACCUUUGUGCGAAUAAUAACCACUCCAAAAGGCUCCUACCAUUGCCAAAAUGCUUGGAAGUUGAACUGUUGAUGAAUGCUUUUGCAGACUUGUUUCUGAGGAUAUGUACGGUCUCUCGAUGAAAACCGAAGAGUUGUGGUCCAUAUAAAAGACAUACUUGACCCGUUAAUAUGUUUCGGGUUGAGGCACGGAGCCUAACGAAUGGGUCGGUUUCAUUAAGGACAAUUUUGUUCAAUUUUUUUUUCUCUUGGCUAACAAUAGUUAAAAUUAUAAGGAAGGUCAUUCUAAAAAACGCCUUAUGCUUGAGGCUCAUUUAUGAAAAGUACUCUAAAUUCAAGCUAUAGCUUAGGAAGGUGGUAAUUAGCAUGGAAGUGGGAGGGGCCUGAGAGAAUUCAGAUGUUUAUUCUUCAAUGCUUACAUAAUCGACUUUUGACAAAUGAAGAAAGGUGUCAUAGAUAUCUUACUAUUAUUUCUUUAUGUUUGCAAUGCGAGGUCGAAGAGGAGACCAUUAUUCAUGUACUUAGGGAUUUCGCUAAAGCUAGUGUGACACAAUUGCGAUUAUUACCACCAGUUGCGUAUCCCAUGUUCUUCAAUCUUUUUGCUGCAAAGUGGUUUUUGGCUAAUUUGGACAAAGCUAACGUGAAUGAUAAUGGCAUUCAAUGGAAUAUUAUAUUUGGGACUACUUGUUGGUUCCUUUGAAAAUAGAGGAACACAUUCGUUUUCGAGAACACAGAAAUUCCUAUUGAACGACGAUUGUCAAUGAUAUAUAGUAUGGUCUCUGCUUUGCAAAAUGUUGAGGUGGCAAACAUUGCAAAUGGGGGAUGCUCAUCUAGUUCUCAAGAAGAAAUUUUGAACGGUUGGAAAGCUCUUUCCAUUAGUUGGAUUUCAUUAAAUUAGGACAGUACCUAUAGUAGUUGACAGAACAAGCAGCAACUGGUGGUGUUUUGAGAGAUUCAGUUGGUCAAUGGAAUGGUGGAUAUGCAACGAGACUUCGUAAAUGUUCGGCUUACAGAGCUGAACUUUGGGGAGUAUACAGAGGGCUUAAAUAUGCAUGGGACCUUGGCUCUCAAAAAAUAGACUUACAAGUUGGUAGUAAGCUAGUUGUUCUAGUACUUUCUUCUCAAAUAGAUCAUCCAUAUGCAAAUUCAAAUUUGAUUCAAGUUAUUCAAAGACAUUGGAAGGUUCAGAUUGGUCAUGCGUUUUGAGAAGGAAAUAUAGUGGCAAACUUUAUGGCUAAUGAGGGAUUCUCUAUUAUUGAAAACUUCUUAAUUUUUUCUAGUCCUCUAGAGAGGGUUAGAAGUUUAUUAUUGAAUGAUGCAAUAGGAGUUUUUUUUCCUAGAUUAAUCAGACAACAAUAAUUUAUUCUUUCUCCAUAAAUAAGAUUUAUAGUAAAAAUUCUAUAACAACAUUCUCUUUGGCUUAAUUUGGCUUCCAAUUGGCAAAACAAUUUUUUUUUUAAUUUUCUCUGUUGCAUGGUAUGGAACAAUUAGCAUUUAGCUAAAAAUAAAAAUUAGUGAUGACACUUGAAACUCCAUCCAUGAUGAAUACAACCUUUUUUCCGGAAUAUAAUUAUUUUAUAUUUAUUUUAUUAUGUUUAUUAAUUGUUUUUUCUUAAAACAACACUAUGGAUUUACAUGAAAAAAAAAGGACUUAGGCUAAAUAAGUAAUUAGCUUCAAUUUGCACCCAAUCUUAAUUAAUGGCUCUUUCACUUUUCCUUUUUAUCUUUAUUUUUCCUUAGCAUCAUCUUAUUCUUCAAGUAUGCAUUGGAGUUUCCUGUUCAGAUACUAUGUAUCUAAUUUCAACAAUCAUGUAGUUGUUUGAUUGGAAAUUAAUUCCUUCCCAUGACAGAGACAUAAGAGGAAAAAAGAGUCAAAGUGAGGUACCAAAGAAAAGUUGCAUGAGGGAAUCAAAUAAAACGAAAAUUCAUCCAUCUGUCUUCCUCUAUGAAAUUCUUAUAUUCUAACUUAAUUAGAUUUCGAACUUUUAAUUAUUCAGCAAAAGGUGUGUGUUGAAAACCCAUUUUUUGAGUCUUAUUCACUUUGACCCAUUAGAAAAUGAUUAGUCAUGGUUACGUGGAAGAAAAGCUUACCUCUGUCUACCACCCACAUUUCAGACUGCUUAUAUUAGCUUCAAAAUUUCCCUGUCUUUGGCUCAUUGAGAAGAUUAUGAACAAAUUUCUGAAAAAUCAAUUUGCUUUAGCGAGACGGCAAUUUGAGUGUGAUAGUUGUCUAUCUAACCGUCCAUGCAUGCAUGCAUGGAAUUAAACAGACAAAUUCCAAGUCUUUAGUUAAGUACGAUUUAGUCAACUAAGGAUUUACAAAGAUUAGCUAGAAGAAUGAAUUUAUGAGCUAAGGACAGAUGAAAGCCAUAUAAUUUCUUUGUGAAAAAGUUUUCUUUCUUUCUUUUUUCCUUUUGGAGGAACAUUUUUUGAUCCUUUUGAUAAUCUUCCUUUCUACAUAAAGUUUGGACUAAAUAAGUGAGGCAGUAUUUAUAUGUAUAUAUAUAAUUAAGCAACGUGAUUGUAUUAAUACUAAUUAAUCAAAUUAAGAUUAAAGCUUGAAAGGGCUAAAGUAAAGAGAAAUCCCAUGAACUAGUGACUGGGAUUAAUCCAUACCAAAGGGGAAUAAAGGGAUAUGGAAGUUCUUGAGUUAUAAACAUCAAUCACAUUCACAUACCUAAAAUAUCAGUCUGCUUUUGCCCCAGCAUGAUUGAAUACAUUAUCACACAAAAGUAGCGACUUUUGGCAGUGAGGCUUACCCACCAUAAAAUUCUUUUUCUUUGUAGAUUUUUUUUUUUUAAAAUCCCCAACCUAUAACCUAUUUAUUAGAACCCAAAAAUAUUAACUAGGUUAAAACUAAAAAAUAGUAGGAUUUUCUGGGGCGAAAAUAGUUACCUUCUAUGCAUUGUGUUGUUCUAAAUCGUAUAGGUUUUCAUAUGUCAAAAAAGGAGAAGAAGAAGAGAAACGUUGUUAUUUGUGGGUUAAAUGCUUAUUUUAGAAUUUAAGGUUUGCCAAAUUUAUAUUUUAUGAUUCAACCUAUUAUUUUGUUGAAAUCUAGAUGUAACCUUUUCAAUUUUAUCCAUUUAACAAAUACUGAUAAUAAAAGUUGAUAAAAUUACCAUUAACAGAAUUAAGCGAUUUCAAGUUUAUAUUUGUUAAGAAUUAUGUUUACCAUUAAUCCUAUUAACUCCCUUGGCCACCUUUUAUCAUCGUUUUAUUUUAUCAUGAAUAAAAUUUCGAAAAUUGCAUCCUAAUUUGAACAAAAUAAUAUAUAAGUUAACUUAUGAGAUAAAAGCUUAAGAAACAUUAACUCUAAAAUGGAGCAUUAGCUAUUUAUGGCAUGCAUCUGUUGUUGUUAAGACUAAAUGGAAAAAACCUUUGAAGAUUUCCUAAAGAUCAAUAAUAGAGAAUCUUCUAAAUUAAAUGAACCUUUCUCUUUCAAAUAAAAAGUGGGUUCCAUCUACAUAUAUAGGGUUGCUAGCAUCUGAAUAAAUCAGAGUUAAAACUGUGCUGCAGAUGGAAUUCAACGUCAACCACCUAUCCAAUAGCUCAGCCGCAAUUCUGAACCAAAAUAUGCAGGAAUUGAGCAGUGGUUGUAAAGCCUGGUUAGAGGCGCAUGAAUGGCAGAAAUGAGUGCCAGGACUCAAGACUGCGCUGGCCAUAUGCCGAUGGAAAGGUUUGAAUCAAAUGCUGGGGGUCCAUGUGUACUUGAUCAGGAAAAAGAAAAAAAAAAGGCGUAAAAGGACCCCAAGAAGCCUAAUAAAAUUUGAAGGGAGAAAAACACUGGUCACACUGACUUUCUAGCAAUGUAAAGUUUCUAUCAUAAUAGCACGUGACAAUCCACAUGCAGAUGCAUUCUUUCCGAGGGUCACCACACACGUGCACAUCUCUCAAACUAAAGCAGCCCUCCCAACCCUAUCUUCUUUCUCCUUUCUCGUUGGGAACUCACCACUUCUCUUGGACUUGGAGUUCGUAUAUUUUUUGUUGGUUUUGAGUAUUUAGCCGUGGCAUGCCGCCCACUUCCUCCAUUUGCUACCCCAAACACAAAACGAUUUAAAGAGUGCAUAGGACAAACAGCAUUUAUAGGCUAUAGCGAUAUUCAUGUGCUAACCAAUACCAACGGUAGGUCCCCUAGCUAGCUAGUCGAUCCAUAGCUAAUCUUCUUGAAAGAGCCUAAAUGUUGUGUGCUGGCCCUUAAUUUGAGACUUAUUUUACUCGGUAAUUUCUUUUAUUUUCUUUAAAGAAAAGAAUUAUUGAUCACUUGGAAUGUUUGAUUUCCAAAUUUCAAGCUAUUUAUAUAGUUCAAUUUCGUGGGAUGAGAGUGCAUGCAUCUUCUUACUUAUAAUUACAUAUUCGGUCGUUUGCUAAUUUUCUUAUUAUGCAUUGAUCAAAAUGUUAGGCUUAGAUCUCCAUAAUAAUCGAUAAUCGAUUUGAAAGUGGAAGAGAAUGAUUGAGAUGUGAGUGGAAAAAGCAAGGGAAAAAGAGAAAGGGGUUAUAUUAAGGGUCCAAUGGUUGAAUGGUUCAAAAGAUGACACUAUCAUUUUGCGUAGAUAGUCAUAGUAGGUAGAAGGUUAAGUUCGGGAACACAACAGUAUAUAGUCUAAAGAUGCGAGGCUGUCGGCCCAUUGGGCUUGUCCCCCACCACGCCCCGUCGCACCCUCGUGCUCGUCCCCAUCUAACCACGCGUGCUGGAGCCCCCAACCCCAUAUCUCCCCCCCCAAUGCGCCUGAAAAAUUAAGCUCGAUGCUCUCCCACACACAUGCCCAGUUCCUUUUCUUUUGUUUCUCGGCGAUAAUGAUAGAAACCUGUACAACUGGCAAGAGUUUGUGAUUGAAAAAGUUCCUUCCAAAAGGCCAUUCUGCACACUGCCAAACUCAACACUGAACCACAUGCCCCAAAUUGGUCACAUGAACCACAUUCUUUACAUUCUUCGUAGUAUGUGAUAAAACUGUCCAAGGGGACUAACUUUGUGUAUAUCUUUAGCUUUAAAUCAAAUGAUUCUUAUUAAAUCUUAUGGUCGAUGUAGCAUUUUAAUAUCACACUCCAUUCAUUUGUCUCCUUAAAGUACCUUUUCUCUUUCGCUACUUUAUUUAUUUAUUUUUAAUUUUCAUCUUUCUUUGGGGAGGACAAGGUACCAAUCUUUAAACCCCACACAAGGUUUUGGUGCUAAAAGGUUCACAAAACCUUAAUCAAGAACAAGAAUCUAGGACCAUAGUUCAACUUGGUGGUGGGGAUGGAUUGGCUGUUAAAGAGGCUUACCAAACAAUGUGGUAGGGUUUGAGACCCUGGACGCGUGAACCAACAUAAGCAACACCUUAGUCAAAAAGUGUGCCCUUGAUGCAAUUAUAUUUGAUGAUGCUUGGUUGAUCUAUUCAUAACACCUAAAAAGGUAACUUAGAUUGGGCUCAGAAGAACAUUACUAAGAUUCUCAAGGAAAAUAUCAACAAACUUUCAUUUUUGUUAUUGAGACAUGACAUGAUUAUUGUCUAAUUAUUACUACAAUUUUCCUUUUUAACUUCUAACUUAACCAGAAAUAUAAUUAUAUAGUUAGUGCUCCUAGUUAUAAUAGACUAGGCAAGGCUUCUUUUUCUCAAGAACUAUGAUGAUAUGAAUGUUUCUUCUCAAUUAUUCUCAGCAUUGACUACUCGUACUGUUCCAAAUCAAUGUGCCAUUUUAGCAACCGAACCAGCCAUUGCAAUGCCAACCAACACUUUCUUUCUCUCUGUCUGAUCCAAUCCUCAACGAAGACCAAUUUCAUCCAACAAAUGCACGUGCAAACUGCAAACACCAUCGGCCCACCCGUCAAGGAACGGAUCCUUCCAUCAUUGGGCCUUGUACAUAUUUUUGUUUGGACCAACGACGAAGUGGCCCAAUUUUGAGGAUUCCCAGAUAAAAUGGUACCAUAAAUUGGAGUUAUGUAGCAGACUGAAAACAAAAGCAAGGAAGCCGCUCCGUCCGAAUACGACAACUCUAACUUAAUUAUACACUUCACAAUUAAAGCAACACAAAGAUUGUUGUCAUGUUUAGGCAACGCUAUGUUUUGGACCAAACCUCAACAUUUUCACAUGCAUCGUUACGUGGACAGUUAAGCCAGCAUUAGCCGUUGGACACGUGAUACGUGGAGUUGACUCCAUUAUAAUGGAUCUCAAUCUCGAGCCAUGAUCAUGCUUAAGAUAAGGUUUAAUCAUCACUAGAAAUAAUUAAAGAUGAAGGAAUGAUGAGAUUAAUAAACUUGAUUAGCACCAAUGAAGAGUUUUGUACAAUUAGUGAGGUUUGGAAGGUUUCGUGGUGGUGGAGCAAUGCUUGAUUAUAAUGAUUGUUUAUUGAGUCCAAAGCCUUCCAUGUGAAAGAACAUUCUUUUUAAGAUAGUGUCACUCGAUCACAACAAAAUCCCCCCCAAUGGCUAAUGCUUUCCAUACUCCCAUAAGCAUUUUGUCAUAAUUAAUCUCUCUUUGUUUCUCCAAAAGGAGGAGCAAUUUCCAAAAGACAGCUAAGGCUUGCAUUGAGCGAUCUCAAUUCCCCUUUGGAGUUUGGACUAACCGCUUGGAUUUAUUGAGAAAAUAAGGGAGCAUAUUUGAUGGGAGUUGGGAACAUGUUGAGUUCAUGCUUCUGACAGAUUCUGGGUUGGGAAGGAAAUUUGGUGACAAGUUCUCUGAGCAAUGUGUCACCGCUGCCGCAGGCGUACCCGUGAGCAACCAUUUGCGGUUGAGUUUGAGGCCCAUGUGAUUUGGUUUAGCACUUGGAAUGGAUCAACUUACCUCACAAAUGUUCGGUUGGGAGGGAGUCCACGUUAAUGCUUAAUCAUAUUCAUCUAUCCUCAAAAGAAAAAGAAAAAACACCAACCCUACUUUUCUUUACCCUUUUUUUUGUUAUUAUUAUUAUGAUAAUAUUUUGGAGAAACAAAAUCCAAAUCUCACUCCUUAAGGGAUGCAUAUACCUAUCGAACCAAUCGAAAACAAGCCCAGAACAAGGAUCAGACUCCAUAUGCCAUGAAAAUCAAGCAGAGCUUUGAUUUUAGGCUACAUGCCCCACAAAAAUAAGAUCUGAGUUGUAGGGGUUAGGUCUUUGUCUCAGACAGGGUCAUAGCGUGUCUCCUUGGGUUUAUGUGAAAGGGGGAGAACCCCUCCUGUUUUCCUAGCUGUUGCCCAAUUGGCUUCUGUUCAUCAAGAUUUGUCCGUUCCAUGUUCAGCAUCCAUCAGCAAUUUUCAAAUUAAGAAAUUUCAAAGACUUGCAGUAAAUUCAACAAGGUCUUUGCACACCUCCCAUGCAACCCCCAUAAGAAAAUCUCUAGCACUAUUCUUUUUUCUGAGACAAAAUCAGGCUUUGGCCCAAUGCUACUUUUAUCCAAGCGUUUGGGUGAAUAUAAAGGCGAAGCUCCAAAGUAGGCCUUGAUUCAAAGGAAGGCUUUGGUCCAACUUAUAAACAGAUCUCUUUACGCACCCAUUUUUAAAACCAAGCCACUCCCUCAUUUCCAUGUGAAACUUCGUUAUUAUAUAAUGUGAAAGUUAAAAACCUUCUCGUAAUACGAAGUUUAUUUUCUACUUAUAUUCUGUUUAAAAUAGUACUUACUCACAUACUUGAAAUAUUUACAUUUGGCGUUGGGACUUGGUUUUGUUCUUUUACAUCCCCCCGAUAUAAAAAGGUUUUACUCAAGGCUUUUAAUUUUGAAUAGGAAAUGACUUCCCCAGAGUGAAACUUCCAUUUUGUUUUUCUUUUGUAUGUUAGGGGAUUGAUUGGAUCUUGAGUUGUGCAAUGAGGUAACCACAUAACUCUUUUCAUCUUAAAACGCUCAACCUCAAAUUUCUUAUUUAAGGUUUGACGGUUGUAUACUUAAAGAGACUUUCUCAAGAAUGUUCCCCUGGUUGUGGACAAAAACAGGAGAGCGAAUGACUACGGCUCGUGAGAAAACAAUUCUUGGUAGGAAUUAAUGGUGUUAUUAGAAUGACUCCAUGAGCGCGGUUAGUUUGGCACUUGUAAUCUCCACACCACUCCAUAUAAGAUGAGGAGUUGUAUGCUGCACAUGGAGACAUGUAAUCUGCAAAUCAGAUCUUAGGGAAUUUAUCACAUUUAUUUGGAACCAAAUGGGCUAGCUGAUCAACUGGCUAAGCUUGGGGUAUAACGUCCUCAAGAUCUACUGUUGAUUUGGAGUAAAUGAAAACUACUGGGGUAGUAGCUGCUGUGAUAGGGACACUAAUUUUGUAGUCCCUUAUGUAUAUGUUUAUGUGGGUUGUUGCUAUGCUAGUUUUAUAGUGUGUUAUGUUCAUUCUGUUGCGUCUCUUUUUUGUACAUGCCAAUGACUACUGAUUGGUUUUCACUUGUUGACGAUGUGGUGGGUCUGGGGUAAUUAAGCAGCUUGUUUUUUACUAGUUUGGUCUAUUGGCAGACCUUGAUGCCCUGUUUAUUGGGUUUUUAGGUUCUAGUUAUCGAAAGACACUUGUUAUAAGGUUCAUUGGUGGUGUGGAACCUAAUAGGGUAGUAAAUGUUAUAGUAAUAAAAUCAUCUUGGCUUUUUUUUUUUUAAAAAAAAAAAAGAGCUAAAGGAUCUCUUGUUGUUUAUUAGGAUAGAUCUCACCAUUUGAGGGAUCGAUGCCCUUUUCAGAAAUUUUUGAAUUUCAGGUGCAAAGAUCGAUCCCAAAGGUAUCUAUUGGCUGUAACAAAGGUGGAAAUUUAGCAUAGCAACGGCUUGUUUCUUAUUCAAUGGUAUACAAGGAUUCCGAUAGGAUUUGCAAGCAUAAACACGCCAUCUUUGGAUCAUUUUUGCAUAAGAAUUAGAGGAGAAACAAGACACAUAUUAUGAGCAAACAUUUUUCACAUUCUUCUAAGUAUUUCAAAGCAUUUGAACCUUCAUUCAUAUUCUAUUAUAAUCAUUUUUGAUAUUAUAUAGCUUAUAUUCACUAAGCAAUAUCUAACUAUUAAAGGAUUUCUUGCUUGUAUAGGUUAUCAAAUACUCAAAAGCUUGAUAGAUAGGGAGGUUAUACUUAGCCUUCAAAAUGUAUUUGUAUUGGUUGAAUUCAAUAGUAGACUGAACUCCUUAGCAAGCUACAGGAGAGGACGUAGGCACAAAGGGAAAAGAUCGAAACCUCUAUAAUUCUUGUUUGCAAUUCUCUUUAUCGUUUACUUUGUAUUUUUUUUUGCAUUAAUUUUUGAUUAAAUUUUUAUCAAAUUGUUAUCAUUUUAAUAUUUGAUAUAUUUCGUUUGAAAGUUUAUUUUUUCAAGGAGAUUUUUAAAAAUACAAUUCAAUCUCCUCUUGGAUUAUUCAUUAUAAGUGAGCUAACAUAUAAAUUUUCAUAUGACAGUUGUGUAAAUGAUCUUUAAAUUUAAGAUCAUUUGGUUGAUUUUUGUGAGGAUUGGCAUAUUUUGAUAUUAUCAUUCACAACAAGAUGGAACUUAAGUAGGACAAAGUAUCGAUUAGUUUUGGUCAUGAGGGAGGCCAUAAUCGACCGAAAUCGACCAAGCCAAGAGAGAAACUGCCUAAAUCUUAAUUUUGAAGAAGGGUGAUUGUUGUCUGCGGUUGGCGGUUGUAGGAAGAAAUGAAGAAGGGUUAAGGAUUUUUAUAGGGUUUCAACUUAUCAGGAGCUUUGAGGGGACUCGGGGAGGUGGUGGAGGCGGUUAGGGUUGUAAUUCCCCUCCCCUCCCCCCUAUUGAAAAUAAUAUGUACAUUAAUUGGUUAUUUGAUCAGUGCUGGGGGAAGGAUUUCCCAUCGAUGAUCGAGCCAAGAAACUGUCGCAAUCAGUAGCCUUAACUAGCUCCUCAACUGGACCAUUUUCGGUUAAAAAUCAUCUACACUUGUCGAUUAGGCAAUUUCAACCGCUCAUUGCUCACCCCUAAAUUCAAGUAUAGUAUGAAACAUAUGGAGGUCAAUAAAUGAUUAAUAGAGGAUUGAUUGCUCUAAGUGAUAUAAAAUGGAAUGUCCCAUUACGUCUUGAUAUGUAAUAAAUCAAGGGAGUCUUUGACCAAGGAAAAUAAGGAUUCGAAAAAAAGAGUUUUUUGAAUCAUAUUAAUAGAAUUGAUUACAAAUAUCAAAAGCUAAAAAUGAUAAAGGUAAUAUAAAUUAAGUAGAUAACAAGCGAUGCUUUAUGUCUUGCUGAGAUAUUAGAUUGAUGAAAGAAUAUUAAUUAAACGGUAAGUUGUACACGGAAGGAUUGAGUCAAACUAUUAUGACUCUUUUUAAUAUUUGGAUAGUUAUAAUGCAUUGCUAGAUACCAAUUGUAACUUAUAAAUAUAAAUUAAUAACCUCAAAAUUAAUGUUGAAAUCAAAAGAGUUUGAUUCAUCUAAUCCUAUAUAUAUUUUUGUUGAAAAACUUAUGAAUUAUCAUUGAUAUAUCUUGACAAAAUCAGAUAGUGGCUAACAAAUAAAAAAGGCCAUUGCCAAUACCUAAAAAAUCCGCAAAACGGAGGGAGCUUAGCGCGACCACCCUUUCUAGAUAAGCAACAGCUCCAAAAUUUGACACUGUACAAAGUCAGAUAUACAACAAUGCUAUAAACUUUGAGAAUCACACAUUCCAACAUCUACUUACAGCAUUCAAACCAUUGUUAAUUCACAGCAAACUUUGAGACCUCUACACCCCAUCUCUUGCUAGUGUGGAGUGCAUCUCAUCCUUUCUUCCUUGAAUGUGAUUCCUGCAACGUGGAUAGUUGGGUCCAAAACCCGUUUGAAGUUCCCUGGAGAUUGAGGUCACAUGUCAUUCAAAUAUCCAAGCUCCUCGAUAUGUUUAUUGUUAACAUGUUAAGAACUUAAUCGGUCAUACACAUAAUUGCAUGGUGAGAAAGUAAAAUGGAGAAAUUAAGUUGGACUUAAUUGCAUGGGAGUUAUGAACUUGAAGGAUUUAAGUGAAAUGCUCAUUAAAUCAUUUAAGUAAAAUGGAGAUGAUGUUGUUUCUCCCCUAGUGUUCUAUGAGGGCCCUAACAUUGGCACAAUCCUCUCCCCUUAUUCGACUCUGCCUCAUGUGGUCCUGUUAUGGUUAAUGCCACUGCUGUUUCUCUCUGAAGUGCUACAUCAACGGAUUUGUUCUGCUCCCAGUUGCCCGCAGCUUUGAUUCUGCCCCAUCAAACGUCUCCACGUCAUUUAGACUUCAUUCUCCUUGUUUUUUUCGUCUCUUGUUUUGCUGUUUUCUGCUGGUCUCUCAUGUAACACUGCUUUCAAGCCAUGACCCCUUGGCUUUUCUCAGAGCUCUUCUGCCAUGAGCGAUAAUUGCUUACUUUCAUAUAUUUAUCUUUUCUUGUCAAUAAAUAUCUAUCUCUUUGACUGAGAAAAAAAAAUCAUUGAGACAAUUUUGCAAUAACUUAAGAGUUAAGUUAACCUUAAAUUGCUCAUAUAAAUACUAUGCUUAAGGGAAACCUAAUAACACAAGAAAAACAAGUGACUAAGGCCAAAAAUUGAAAGGUAAAGGCAGAAAAGAAAAGAGUGAAAAACACAAGUCGGGAGCCCUAGAGGAUAGAAAUCGGCUGUUUAUCUUUUUUUAUAUAAUUGAGGGAACGAGAAUUCGAACACUACUCUUCAAAACAAGAGAAUUAUACAUCAAUUAAUGAAUUAAAUGCUCAAGUGCAGUUACCCAUUUUAUUCAACAAUGAAGUCGAUUUCUCUCUUCAUCCUCCUUGCUUUGAGAUUUCGGGUUUUCCUUUUGGAAGAGUGUAAACUAAUAGUCCCUUGACAUUGGUAGCAUAAGAGGUUCGAUCAGCACAAGCAACUCUUUCCUCCUUGGAGUUUUCCUCACAAGCAAUUCGUGUGACAACUCUUAGAGGCUGAACAAGUGGGCAGCUUGUGGUUUAGAACAAGCAAAAUUUAGUGGGUUGGAGAUUUUGGUUUCUUGAUUUCGACAUCAAGGGUCCAAAAGUAUACCAUUUUUUGCCCCUUAAUUACUGUUUUAUUUUGAACGAACCCAAAGGAUGAUCUUGAUUGAAAAAAAAAGUUUGGAAUUUCCAUCACUUAAACAAUAUGAUGGCAUGGCUUUUCCCAUACGGAACAUACUUUCCAACAGUUAGGUAACUUUGAAGUAUGGAGCCAGUGAUUAUGAAAAGUACUAAAGCCAUCAGGUGUCAUCCACUUUUUCUUUGUUUCCUUGUUAAUUUUGUUUGAUUCUUUUACCGCCAUUCUUUUGUUUUUGGUUGAAGCACAUUAUGAGUAUUUUGGGUAGUGACAAAAGUUGACAUAUGAAAUGAGAUAUUUAAGAGAGCUCAUUCUUAUAUUUUUGAAUGAGUUUUGGGAGUUUGGUUUUAAAAUGCAAUGACAGUGAAGAAUCCUUUGUGGAUUCUAUUUAUAAUUUUCGAUAGAGUUAAAGUGGACUGUAAGAUUAUUGAAAAUAAAUGUAUAAAGGGUUUUGAUUUUGAUUCGAAUUAUCAAAUAUAGUGAUUUACAUGUACUUCUAAUUUUUUUAUAAUAAAGAAUUACUUUACUUGAUAGACAUAGAUAAAUAACCAAACUACAUAAAUAUUUAUGUAUUUUGUCGCUUGAUUUCACUGCAUUGCAUUUUGCUAAGCUAACAUGAGGAAACACGUUCAUUGGAACCUUUGUAUGACUUACCGUAUACCUUCAUUAUUGCUGCUCCUCCGGUAGAUAUUGAUGAGUAUUCGUGCCCUAUUACUGGGAUCUCUACCUAGUCUAUAACUUCUACUUCUAGAUCAAUAUAUAUGUUUGCACUUGGAUACCGGUCUAGGAAGUGCCACCUGCGGUUCAGGUCUUAGACCAUGAACAGACACCUAAGUUGUUAAUACAAUUUUCAUAGGGUGGCGGUUCUGGUCAUGAAGCUCUCAUGCUUUGGUGGAAGGAAGGCAUGAUUCAAAACCAAGUUUUGAGUAGAAUUGACCAACCAAGAUAAUUAGCCGACAAAGUUGAAGGGUUAAAACUGUGGGGAGGUAUCAUGAUCUAAUAUAAGCAUUUGAUAUUAGGGUUAAACCUACCACGCUUUUAGCAUACAUAGACCACGAUGCGAGAGGUGUGUCUACCAAGUUCGCGCACAUUAGUGUGUUUUGUUUCUUCUGGCAAAAUCAUUUGAAAGUGACCUUGGUGAACUUUUUGCCACAAGUCAUUAUGGUGAUGCCAACGAACCCCACCCCUUCUUUCAAACACUUACAACUGAACCUUUUUUGGAUACCCAUUGGUAAUUGCUCAAAUGCUCCUGCCUUAGCAAUCCAGCUCGUGGUUGCUACCUACGUACCGCAAUCAGAAGGUAUUCGCUAACCAGACAUUGUUCACUUGAGCUAGCUAGCAGUUUUUGACUUAAUUAGGAUGCUUAAUUGUAGCUUCAACCUUUGUUGAAUAUUGGCUAAAGGCGGCACAAAUUCAUCUUCAUUCGCAGCUAAUAACAGGAUUUUGACUCGUAUAAUUUCCACAAUUUAAACUACCUUUUUAGCUAUAUAUUGACCUUGGAGCCUUAAAGUCUCAUCAUGUAUGUGUUGGUUUAAUUUUGUAAUAAUAGAUAUGUCUAAUUACAUGUUGAUUUGUUUGGCUAUUUCAUUGAUUUCUUAUAACAAGAUGUAAUAAUUUACUUGUAAGUUGUAACUUAAAAGAAAAACCAAUCUUUUACUUUUUUUUUUUUUAAUUUUCAUAACUUAAACCAAUUUAAUUUCUCUUUUCUUAGAUCUUCCUCCCGUUCUUUUUCUUUGCUUUUUCAGGACAAACAACCACAAGAAAAAAUUGCGGAUUUCCAACAACUUUUGCGGUUGGAAAGAAAAAAGAGAUAUAUAGUAUAGGGGCAGGCAAUAAUAAUUAAAGAUUGAUCGAUAAAAUAAAGACAAAGCAAAAGCAAAGUAAAAUCCCUAUAUAGAUUAGAUACCAACAUAUUGUAUCUAUCCCUUACAUUUUUUUUGUGUAGACUAAUAUGAACAUUCCCUAAAAUCAUUUCCUUUUAAAAACUCUUAAAGUGGGUCAUUAAGCCUGACUAACAAGCCGCCGAAGAUGGCCUUGAUUGGAGGGCCGAUGUCCCAACUUUAGACGACAAUGUGGUGGCAGUGGCGGUGGCGGCGGUCAUUUUGGUGGGGCCCUUGUCAAGGGCAGUGGUGGUGACUCGCUCGCACCGAGGGCACAUUGUAAGGGUUGAUGCUGGGAGAGGCUCACAGCUGUGAGGCGAAAUCACGGUUGGUGGCCCUACUUUCAUGGCCCUUAGCUCCUCCACCUCUCUUUGCAGCCUCCUGUUCUGUUCAGUCAGUGAUCCAAACCAUCUUUUCAGGUACUCACACUCCAUCUCUGUCUGCUUCAACUUGCUCCUAUACCAUGUUAUUGUUUAUUUGAUCAACAUAAAAUAUAUACAUAUAAUAUCCGAAUCUAAGUUGUAUCAAAACUAAACUAAACUCUUAUCUGGCUCUUUGUUUUAUGAUACGGUUUUUUCCUUUAGCUAUGCACGAUGUACAAAUGAGAAACUCAUACCACAGAAUUUUAAAACUUUCCCAAUCCGGUACGAUAUGCCUUUGCACAAAAGAAUUGGUACUAAUUUCAGCACGAUCAGGGAAGCCUUGCUAUAACUUUUUCUUUUUGUUCUUAUUCCCUUUUUCAAGUCAUUGUUUGAUUCCAAGGGGAUGACUCAAAGAAAUUUCAUGCUUACAGAAACAUGAUAAACACUGACGUGCAAGGUCUUUACACUUUCAUGUGGCGUGACCAACCUCGCUUAAGAACUUGAGAACAGAUAUUGCAUUUAAGUAUCAAAUUCAUAAAGCUCUUUCUUAAAUAAGUGAAAUCUUUCUGUAAUUAUCUUUUCCUCCCUCGUCCCUUUCCUUUCCCUAAACUGGUUAAUGAAGAGUAAUAAAUUCAAACUUGGAUUUUAUUCAUAUCUAAACAUGAGUGCAUUUAUUAUCAUAUUAAAUGCUAACCAUUACAUACUAGCUAGCCAAUGAUCUAUAACCCAAAGAAACAGCAAUUUCUAUUACAGUCAUAAUGCUUUAAUCUGUUCUCACUGCUCAUGCAUUGAUAAAAAAGAAAACAAGAACAUGAUUACAAUUGUAAAAAAUUAGUUUAGGUGUGUCCUUCCCCUUUAUUGAUUUCAUUCAAUAAUGUAAUACACGAAUGUAAUAAUUCAUAAAUGCAUGGCUAAGUCCAAAGAAUGAUGGGUCAAAGCAGCACUUUAUUAUAGAGGGUGAUGAUCUGACUAGCACACGAGGCCAGAAACAGACAUGCAAUCUCAAUUGCUGCUAUCAUUGUUAUAUUGAUGUUGUUAGACAAACCAUCAUUAUUUUGAUCCUCCAACCUCAGCUCAUGAAAUAGAACCACAUCAUUAAUUCUUCAUAAAUCUGUUCAGCUACUUGUCGGUCAUGUGUCCGUUUUCUGCAACCUGUUAUAGGUUUUGUUUAUUGUUCGUGACUGUUUUUCUGUCUAUGAAAUAUUAAGAAAAGGAUUUAAUAAAGUGUUCUAUCUCUCCAUAUAUCCUUCCUUGAUAUUCAUCUAAAAUCCGCGCUAAGUUUAAUAAUGAGAAAAUUAUUUCGAGAGUCUGAGAGGAAAAUUAUAAACUCUCUCUUUAAUUGACAUUAAUGCACAUAGUAUUAUAUCAUAUGGCACUGCAACUUGAUGUGGCAGCAUAUAUAUCAAAUCCUAUGAAGUAUUCUCUGAAUGAUAAGUUCUACAAGAAAAGCAUGCCCGUAAAGCUAACAAAUGGCAAGAUAUUUUUCCUAUAUUAUUAGGUCCUGCAUACACGACCAAAAAGAAUAGGUAGGAAAAAAAGGAAAAAAACGAAGUAGUUUCCCUCUAGCCUGUUAUUCCUUGUUCUUAAGGUGCCUCAAGGCCCUGAACAACUGGUUUGAUAGAAUUUUACAGUGCAAAACGUGGUAUUUGACUUGCUUUUACUCUAAAAUAUAAAUUAUGAAUGAUAGUGAUAUAUCAACGUCCGAAGGCAACCGUUUUGUCCGGGAAAUGACUAGAGAAGCCCAUAAAAAUGAAUCAAGUUAUGGUAGCAUCAUAAAAUAUUAUAUCCAUGUAACUAAAACAUAGAAAGUAAUUUGUUUUUUAAAAAAAUCUAUUGUUUCACUUUCUACUUUACAUUAUUAGUGUACGAAAAAUAUACGGGUAGAAUCUGAUUCAGAUUAUACACUUUGUGAUAUUCUGUCAACGUUUCGAUAUUACUCUAAGCUACUUUUAAUCCCAACAACCAACAAAAUAAUAAGGACCCAGAAAAAUGAAAAGAAAAAAUCUAUGGAGAAAACUGGGAAUUCUUUUAAAUGAAUAUAUAUAUAUAUAUAUAUAUAUAUAUAUAUAUAUAUAUGUAUAUGUAUAGAUAGGGUAGGGUAGAGUAAGUAGUACCUGGCCCUACGGUUCUGGAACCAAACUUCAACCUGCCUUGGCCUCAGCUUCAGCUGCAUAGCCAAUGCUUCUUUCUGCUUCUGCAAGCACAAAACUCCAAAAGGCAUUAAAUAAAGAGAUCAUCUGAUAAAUUUAUUGGCUAUUUUAUGUCCAAAAAAAAAAUGUUGGUGUUUGGUGUUAGUUAAUUGCAUAGGUAGUAGUGGAUGGGGGUUUUGAAUUACAUACAGGGUUUAGGGUAUGGUUUUGUCUGAAACUUUCUUCAAGAAGGCGAGACUGUUCUUUUGUAAGACGAAGUUUUUUGCGAGGAGGGGCUCCAUUGCAGCUUUCUUCUUCAUCCUCCAUGCUUGCUGUGAUCCAUUCAUCUUCUGCUCCUCCCGAUGGUACUUGGUUUAUAUCUAAAUCUCUCACCGUACAACCCCCUUGAUCACCUUCGGUGUAGUAUUUUCAUUCACAAAAACAGAAACAAAGAAAAAUAUAUCAAAUUUGAAUCGAAAUCAAUCAAUAUUCGUCAAACAUGAGGAUGAUCAUAUGAAAAGGAAAACGAAAAGCAAAAAAAAGAAGACCCUUUUGGAAACCAUGCAUGGAAUCGGGGUAUAGAAGAUCAAAGGCUGAAACUUCUAAAACAUGGGAUUUCAAAAAGAAAAAAAAAAAGGUUUGAUAUAUAUCUUAUUUAAAUUAAGAAGCAAUAAAGAAGAAAAAGGGUAGGACAAAAAAAAGUGAAGAGAAAGAGAAGGAAAGGGAUGUUUCUGUUGCUUACCAGAAGAAGGAAGAGAAGGGGAAGAAGAGAAGCCGGGAACAGAUAUUGUCAACUCCAAGUUAGAAGAGCCGGUGGGUAAAACCGCCAUGUAAGUUGCAGAAGCAGAAAGAAGAGAAAGAUAACGAUUGAUUUUAAGGAGAGAAAAGGUAAAGUUUUACAAAAGAUAAAUAAAAAAAGAGAGGAAACAAAAGGAGACAAAUGAGAGACACGGAGGAAUAUGAUAUGAAAUGAAACGAAGGAAGGAAGGAGAAAAAAGAGGUGUGGGGGUGUGAUGGAUUUUAAGGUCAAAGUAAUUAAUAGAUAUAAUAAAUAAAUAAAUAAUUUUUAAUUAGGAAAAAACAGAAGCAAGGAAGCAAAAUAAGAAUUGAAGAUCUUGAGAGGAAGUGCUAAAUAGCUAGGGUUUUUGACUGUGGUCAUCAAGUCAAAGGGUCUGACCCAUCUGAUCUGGGACACGUGUCAGAAGAUUGAAAAAUCUUGGUGGUGUAGGAGAAUAACCGGCAGGUUUUCUGUUUAUAAGUGGUGAGUCUGAUUGUCGGUUCAAAGGUCAGCUGAUGAAAUGAUUGGGAGCUUGGGCUCGGGGAGGCUUUGGGCAGCGCAGGGCAGGCAACCAUCCCAUUCCCAUACAUACCUACAGCUACUGUAUUAAUAGCGCCCUUUUUCAUUUUUCUCCUUUCUUUAAUGCGUGACCCUUGACCUUGAGGCUUCGGCUUCAAGUUCAAGGGCAGGGGGGGUUUUUACAUCCUACAGCUCAAUCACAUUGCUUGUGAUGGUGCUUGGGGCAUCUGGGUCGUUCACUUUUCUGACUUUUGGUGGAGAAAUAAUGUGAAUGGUGUCAGAGUGGUGGGGUUGCAUGGGGAAAAUGUUGGGUUAGGAUAUACUAGGUAUUACCAUUAUUAUGAGAGAGUUAAAAGCACAGAAAAAGCGUCCAUGAAUAGUUAUUGCGUGGGGAUGCUGAGGAAUUUAAUGCUGUUUUACCUGUUGACGGGUACACAGGAAUUGUAACGCCCCCCAUCUCACAUUAAUGCAAAGGGAUGGAAGUCAUAAUUCAGGGAUGUGGAGUUUGGACAAUGGACAUUUAAUGGAGGAAGAAGGCUAUGCCUGUCUUCAACCUUUUUUCUUUAUGUUUUUGGGAUCCCACUCUUCUUUUAUUUAACCUUUUGGACCAUAUUUAAGGCUACAACAAUAUCUCGUCGUUUAUUUCUCUCCACCUUACAAUUUAUUUGCCAAAGUUUGAUGCAUAACAAUAAUAAUAAACAAGGAAAAUUUAACGUAUCCCUUUUUUUUUCUUUUUUCUAAAAAAUAUACUAAUUUAUUAUUAACUUUAUUCUAAUUCAAACAUAUGUUCUAAUGAUAGCGUCGCAUUAAACCUAUAACAAUUUCACGGUAAGAGACUUCAAUUAGUAUUUUGAUGCUCCUAUUCAACGUAUUUAUAAAAUUUAAUGACGACUUGCAUGUGUAAAGUCUGAAUAGGUGUUUCCCACCAUUUUAAUUAAAACAAGUAAAGGAGGUUUUGUUAGCGAUAAAAAUUAAUCUUAUGGUUUGACUUACGAAUAUUGAAAGGAAAUUUUGGUCCACAAGAAAUGGGGAUGAACCUUGAUGUGGCCAAAUUUGACCCGAACUCCCACCGCCAAUCACAAGUCAAGAUUGAGUCCAUUGCACAUUCCAGGGGUUGGUUUUCGGUUGGGACCUUGACUGCCACGUUUGUAUGCAUAUCGCCAAGCGGCAGUUUCCUUCAGUUUUCACCCCCAUUUCCAUUGCUAUUAGUUAUAAUCCCACACAAAGGAAAACCUUUGUUUAAAUCAAGGGUCAAAGAAAGGCAACAAGGACACCCCCCCUUCUGACUCAAACCCCUACACUGUUUUUCUUUUCUUCUAAUUAUACUAUAAAUUCUUCGAUAAUUAAUGUCACAUAAUGUUUAAAUAUUUUAAUUUAUAGAUUCCAAUACGAGGUCAAGUGGUAAGAAUAUGGGGUUGGAGAAUUAUUUAUAUGUCAAUAAAUCAGGCAUUUAAUAAUUUGGGCAGGAACAUUUAUUUCCAAUUAAACUAAUUACUCAUCAUGACUUUUUGAACAUCCCUACUUAGAACAACUUGAUGCAAAAUCUCCUGAAAAACUCCAUAAGAUUAAUGCAAAAUAACAACUUUAUAAAUAUAUAUUUAUAUAUUUAUAUAUGUCAGUGCUUUCCGGGUGAUUUACAGAGCCAUGCUGACUCUUUCUUUCCAACUGCCACUGAUUUACACAGCUCAAAACUUUUGAAAAAUAUCACAUAUGCAGGCAUAGUUAUUCCUAACCACCCCUUGUUUCCCCUAUCAGAAAACUGUACAAAAAUCCUGAUUUUGCAUUGAUAGCUUUUGCAGAAUCUGGUAACCUGUUUUUUUUUUUUUUUUUAUAAUUGAGGGAGGGGAUUCAAAUUUUACUUUUUAAGUAGGGGAUAAUACAUCAACCAAUGAGUCAAAUACUCGGAUACAGAUGGUAACCUAUAUUAUUUGUAUUUCUUUUCUGAUAUACAAAACAAAAAUUGGAAGAAAUUAGAUAUUUUAAUUUAAAAUUUUUUUUUUUGGAUGAAAGGUGUGAUCAGCACUAUAUAUUGCACUAAACUGUAUAUACUUAUUUUCUUGUACACAGCCAACAAAAAGCUUCAGUUUCUCAUUUGUUAUCCAAUGUAAGAAUAAAAUUUCAUGGAAUGGUUAAGUAUUUAGCCGAAGAUUUAUGUCUCAUUUAGUUAAUAUUUUUUAUUUAAAAAAUUUAUUAUAAAGCAAAAGCAAAAGGUAAAAUGCAAGAUCAUAAAUUAGAAGUUUAUGAGUUAGGUUUGGGCUUAGCCUCAAUCAAAUUUAAACUUGGCCCAAUGCAGGUAUUUACAUAAUAUUUUAUUAUAUUAAAAUAUUUUAAAUGAUUUUAUAUUAACCAUUUAAUACAUUUAAUAUAUUUUAAGUCAAAAUUAAAUAAAAAUAUAUAUUAUUCAUCAAUAAAUAAUCUUUGAAUCGAUCUAAUCAAGUUAGGACCUUAAAUAAUAUAUAUUUAUGUCUCAACUUAAUCUAAGUUGUACUACACUUAGAUGAGCAGCUUAGUUCUUGGACACCUUUUAAUUAUAAUCUUAUAACAAUUAUCAUAUGAUUAAGUCAUAUAAGAGUAGAUCAUAUAUAUGUUUUGUUACAUAAAAAAACAUAACUUUUUAAAAAUAAUAAUGUUUGUUUUUGUAUAAUUCCGAAUCAAAACUAGCAGCCAAAUUAAGGAGGUAAAAGGUUAAAAGAUGUGCAUCGUAGAAGCUUUUUCCCACUUUUUGGGCCAUAGCUAAGGUAGUAUUGAAUCCCUUAUGACAUGCAAACUCAUAAAUAAUGCACCCACCACGAAUGUGAUGGAAAGCAUAGUGCCAUUGAUGAAGUUCCAAUGAUGCAGGCAAACAUUUGGCUUGACAACAACACCACCACCCAGCCCCUUGCCUGGGUUUACAUACCCCUGGCCUCUCUGUAUAUAUCUCAUGCCUAAGUUAACUAUCUUUCCUUUUCUUUUCUGUUUUUUGAAUAAAGGAAACUCCGAUUAUAUGUAUAAUGGACUUGUUUAGAGUAUUCACUAAGUUGAGUCUAAUUAACCCUAAGAUAUGGUCUAAGGUCUAUUUUUGGUCAAAAUGAGGGAAUUGUAGCUGAAUACCUCGUAACAGUUGGUUAUGCCCCAAUAAUUGGUUUGAAUUCUGAAGAAACAGAGUCUGCACUUUUUCAUUGGAAUAUUAACUUAUACCAGCACGAUUUAUGUGGUGGAAAACCUUUUGUUGAAUGUCAUGUCCUUGCAUGCCCUCUUAAAAAGACUAGUGUAGGCAGGUAAAUGUUUGAUGAGUACAAUGCCGACACUUUGGUCACUAAAGUAAAAAAAAAAAAAAAGUCAAUCCAUUCUUUCAUUAUGCUUUGAACUUGUCUCGUACAUGAAACAAAAUCCACAGUGAAUUUAAUGUAUGCAAAGCUUUUGUUUCUACUGAAUGAACAAUGAUUAUCAUUAUUAUAUAUAUUUUAAUAAUUGAUCAAAAUAUUGGACCAAUUAGAAAAAGAAAAAAAACAUCUAGCCUUCUUUUUUCUAUAUUUGCCCUCUUGAAAAAUUGAAAGGUGAAAUCUUAUUUUGAAUUACUUUAUAACCUCUGAUCAGCAUCUUUUUCCCAAUUAAAAGUUGGUACAAAAAAAUUGAACACUUAUAGUGGGAAUAAUUGUAACUAUUUGACAAAUUACCAAUAUAAGAAUGAUAGUGGGUAGAGGGAGUUGUGGGCUUGAGGUUUGAACCCCUUAGCAUUAACAUCGUACCAAUUAAUAAACUUUGAUUGAUUAAACACAAAAACAGGAGAUGAGCAAAGGACAUCCCUAUCAAUCACGGGUGAUGCUUGGUUCAAUUGACGGAGGGGGAUAGGCAUUCAUUCCAUCAAAACAUAAAUAAACAGAAAAAAAGCACUUGAUAUUUGUAUUCACCAUAUGGAAGUGGGGGAGUGUGACAAUGACAAUCAUAGCAUAUAGUACUAUGCAUACUAGCUAGCUAAUCGAUUAUUUUAUAAAGCAAAUGAUGCAUUGAUUUUGAACCUGGUUUGCUUUUCUGUAAAGUGUUGUUUAAUACUCCCAGGCAAAAAGCAAAGGGCAAACACAGCAAGCCCACCCUUUUUUUUGGGUUUUUCUACCCAGUGUGCCGUAAAAUGUCAUGCACGCCCGGACUCAACUUUUCCACGGGGAGGGGGCAUGGGGAGGGAUGGGAAUGGGAUGCUACUGAUAAGGAGAAAGGAGAUCCUUGGAGCGGAAGAGUUGAGCAAAUGUAUGGCAAAAGCGUGGGCUGUGGGAGUCGAGGGUCCAGGCUGGGGCCCACGACGGAUGAUGAUUAGGUUUAGGGACAACACAUGGAACAUGGGAACCUAGUGGGUCCCAGCCUUGAUGAUUGGGUAGGGAACCAAGUGUGGGCUCCACUUGUCUGCUUGUCCUCACCCUCCCGGGGAUCCCUCAUUGGCUCGUCAUCCACAUCCCAUGUUUUGUAAUCUCAGUGGAUAACAUGUGGGACCCCUCUUCACUGCCUCCCGGCCGAAUAACUGUUUCAAUGGCCACAUGUGUGAGGAUUAUCAUUGCGGUGAAAACCAGUACAAACAAGAAAGCAAUUUACGUUACUUUUUAAUUUAUUUUUAGAGUCAGGGACCCCGAAACUUCUGAAAUUAAUUAUGCUUUGAUUGAGAGGCAUUAUUGCUAUAGUCAAAGGGGUUUGUCGUUUGUGUACCACAACCAAGAUGAAGUGAGGGGAGGGCACACUGUGAUGUAACACAAGCCGUGUUAUAACAACAUAUGAAUGAAUGGAUGAAUUAUAUAGGAUAUUGUUCCAACAAACAAUCCACACAUGCAUGUUUUCAGCUCAAAGACAACCAAAAAUAAUCUGAAUUCAUGUUUGGUACAUGUCAUCCUAAUAUCUUAUCACCCUUUUUAUUCAUAUUAUUAGGGUUUUGGGUUUACAGGUUUUGGGUCAAGCUGAAAGGCAACUCAUUUCCUUUAUAUGAUUGUGAUUAGUGGUAAGAAUGUAGACUAGAUUUCCUCUUUUGAUACUGAAAUACAUUUCAUGAUUUUUUUAAAUUUUUUUGACAUUAAAAAUUAUAGAAAUAUAAUAUUAUAAAAAAUUAAUAAAUUAAUUUUCACGAAAACCAACUAAGAACUAACAACUCGAAAACAAUAAUACAAUUCUAGAAUAGAACAAUAUCAUUUGACACUUUCUAAAAACAAUGUAUAUAGUAUGGGAUGUGAAUAACAAAAGACUAGUUCCUUUUCUUUGACUUGUUCCAUGUGAAUCCAAGGUGCUUCUUCUUCUUUUCUGUUUUAUUUUUUAAAUACAGUGAAACAGAGCCAACGAUGUUGUAAUGUAUUCACAAAGUUUAAAGUUUUAAGGUUGAGCUUCAGAUAUACAGUAAUGGGGACUGGAAAGGAAGGAAAAAGUAUAAAAUAAAAUAAACAAGAAUAGAAAAGUCAAAGGAAAGGAAGAAAAUUCUUCCUUGUAUUAGUGUAAUUAAACAAAGAAAAGUUAUAAACACAUAUAGUAAAAAAAAUGUAAAUUUCCUUGGCCUGGUAGGAAAGCGAAGAGAGAAGAAUAUAAAAUAAAAUCAUGAGCCGUACUACUGUUGGAAGAAAUAAACAACUUACACAAUUUGACCGUGUCACCUGAAUUUUCUCUUCUAAAUUGAUUGUUUACAGGUGCAGGUGACAAAAUGACUCUUAACUACCUAUAAACAUUUCCUAUAACUUUUUCCCCUUGUACCAAGCAGUACUAGUUUAAUUUUCCCAUCUUUACCAUUCUCACACCAUGCUACUUUUCAGCCACAAACAAGUCAAGCUGUCUCAGAUAGCACGAAACAACAAAAUAUUUGGUAGAAUUGACAAUCAAAUUAGUCAAAACUAACCCAACAAUCCGUUUGAAUACUCGAAAGCAAAAGAAUCAACCCUGCUGCAAUUUUAAAGAAUGCCCGAAUCCAACUCUUACUCAAAGUGGCUAGAUGCUGUGACAUGCCAGUAGUAUGAACUUGUAGAAUUGUAUUUCAUCCUUUUUCUUUUAAAUGGAAAAAUUCAACUUCAUUUAUUCACAGCAGAAUAUACAACAUUGAAAACUAUACAGCUUUAACUAAACGAUUGUGGAUUUACAGCACAUCGAACGAGCAUACAGCCAAAAUAGCAAGUAAUCCCCCUAAACAGAAUGCUAUAAGAGGAAGGUCUAAGUUCCAUGCAAAGACUGCAGCCUAUGUUCAACAUAAAUUAUGAUAACUUGAAUUUACCAUGCCAUAGCUCAAUCACCCAGAAGACAAAGUGGCUGUCGCAUGCUAAGUUCUGCUUUGAGUGCUGGAAAACGAUCUAAGUCAUGAGAAUCACUCAAGAUUUUCUGCAUAUAGAGAAACCAGUGUGUGUUAUAGAUGCACAAAAAGUGCACCAGAAUUAACAGUAGAACUCAUUCUGAGGGGCAAAUCAAUGCAAUAUGGUAAAGCUUAAAGCCUAACAUCGGAAUUCCAGAACAAAGACACGGCAUUGUCAAUAGUCGAGAAACAGCUCGAUAGCACUAUUAUCAAGAGACUAUGGUUACUUGCAUAGUUUUAGAUUUUAUUAAUAGUGAUUAUACUGCUAGGAGUGCAUGUUUGAAUAAUUAUUUCAUGCAAACAGUGAAGGACGUAAAGCAAACACCUAUAUAUGAGACAUCCCUCCAUAGAAAUGCAGAAAUCCUAGGACAUGCAGUGAUCAAUUGUUUAAAGAAAACUAGCAUCUUAAUCAACAACAAGGAUACACAUAUUCCCUGCAAUGGAUAACUAUUAACAAGGAAAACUAUAUGCUAUAGGAAGACAUGCAUAACUCAAAAGAAAUUAAACAAAAACAAAAAGCAUUUAAAUAACAAAGAGGGAUGACAUUUACCAAUGCAGCAACAUGUGCCUCUUGCAAAAUAUUGCCAUCCAUUUCCAAUCUGGCAAUAGGAAACUCAGGAAGGUGUCCAGACUGUUUUUUGCCAAGUAAAUCACCAGGUCCACGUAGAAGAAGAUCCACACUUGCUAAGUGGAAGCCAUCUGAUGACUUCUCAAGCACGUUCAGGCGAUUUAGGCUACCAGCAGUAGAUGCUACAAAUAUACAUUUAGACUUUCUUGUCCCACGACCAACUCGUCCUCUAAGUUGGUGUAACUGAGCUAUUCCAAAUCUCUCCGCAUUCAUAACAACCAUCAUAGAUGCAUCUGGAACAUCAACACCAAUCUCAAUUACUUGAGUGGAAAGCAGUAUAUCUGUUUCUCCAGACCUAAACCUUCUCAAGGCUUCUUCUUUUUCAUCACCCUUCAUUCUUCCAUGUAACAACCCACAGUUAUAAUCCUGAAACCGAUCUGAUAUGGUCUCAAGAUCUGCAGAAGCAGCCCGAAGCUGAGGCAAUUGCUCAGAUUGUUCAAUGACUGGAUAUACAAGAUACACUCUUCCUCCUGCUUCCAACUCCUCUAGCAUCAUCUGUUAGGAAAAAAAAAAGUUCAAAAUAAAUUAUUGGAAUCUUCACCAGUUGAAAUAAAAAGCCAAACUGAAAUUCAUGCACAACUUAACAAUCUGCAUUUUGUUGAAGGAAUAUUAUAUAUAUUUCUUGGUCUUGGCCCUGUCUCUUUUUAUUGCUCUGAGAACUAUAAUAAAUAAUUUCGUAAUUAUACACAAAUCAAGCAUUCAUUAUAAUAAUGCAAGGCAGGCUCAUAAGGAUUUUCUACAAAAUAUAAUAAUAACCCACGCGAAUAAGAGAGAAUUUUUAUUCUACUGUUCUAGUUUUUCUCUCUUCAAUUGACUUCUCCAAUAUGAAAUGCGUUGUUAGCAUUCCCAAGCAGUAACUACUACAGCGGUAGUUUUUUUGACUCCAAAAGCACAAAUAAAACAUGCUUGUGAAGGCAACCAAAAUGAUGCCAAACACAUUAUACAACUAAGAGUAUACUGUAUCACAUUUCAGUUACCCAGAAAUCAUCAUUCUUUUUCCCUUUAAGUAAGACAGAAGCAGACACAUGAAGAGUUUCAACAGAUUUUUUUUUUGGCCAAAAGUAUAUCAAUAGAUUCAAACAAGGAAAUGCUUUACUGCAUAAAUAUUCUCAAAGCCCUUGUCAGUUCCUUCAAUGACAUGUGUUUCAACAGGUAUUCUUCCAGGAGGUAAGUCUGUAAUCUGUCAUUACAGGAAUGAGAGAAUAAUCAUUAGCAAGAAAUGAGCAAUAUAACUGUAAAUAAGUCCCUCAAGUGCACUAUUAAGUUGUCCAAAUUAUCCUAAGGGUCUGAUUCUGUAACCCACCUCAAUCUAUCAUUUAAAUUUUUCUUCUAAUUUUCAGGGAUUUUUUGUUGAAUAUUAGAUGCUGUAAACUUAGACACUCCUUUCUUUCCUAGUCACCUUGUAUACUUCCAUGUAUCAUGCUUCUAUUCUUUUUUUUUUCUUUUUAUUGUAUAAAUUUUUGCAUCACUAAAAGAUAUAUUCAAGAACAAAUUGAGCAGAAUCAUGACAAAGUUUUCAAUAAAGAAAUUAACAGAAUUUGAGAAUGUAUUCUAGAUUCUGACAGGUUGUUCAAUACAAAGCAUUUGAAGGAUUUCAUCUAAUUUAAAUGCAACUACAGAGAAUUCAAGCAACUGGAAGUAUAGCAAAUUGUACAUACAUGUGUCAAGGACAUAUCCCCAUACAAAGCCAGAGCAAGGGUCCUUGGGAUAGGAGUAGCUGACAUGGCAAGAACAUGAGGAGCCAUAUGUGUGUCAUGUUUAGAGGAAACAUCCAAGUCAGCCACUUGCAUUCUCGAGCUUGUAGAAGUAUAAUAUAGCUGUACGGUUAAGUUUUUCCAUUAACUCAUGAUAUAACAACAUUUGCACAUAACAAAAAGAGUAAUUCCUGCUAAGCUAUAAAGAUGGAAUAAUCAUGUCUAGCAAAGCCAAAUAAGACAAAUGACACCUUCACAAACAUUCAGGGUUAAUCAACAUAUUUCAUUAAUCAGACUCCGGGAUAAAAACUUCCCUUUUCCUGCAUUGUGUUUGGGGCAGGGGCACCUAGCAGUGUUUCUUUCUGAUGACCAGCAUUCUGGUAUCAAAUGGUAGUUAACUUGUAGAUAACAAUCAUAAUUCAGGAGUCAAGCAGUGUUUCUUUCGUGAUUGCCAGCAUUCUAAUGUCAAUUGGUAUUUAACUUGUAGAUAACAAUCAAAAUUCAGGACUUCAAGAAGUUGAUUGAUAUGUAAAUGUAUUGACAAACAUGUUGUAUGUUAAGGUUAAAAGUGACAGCUGAAUAAGAUGUCAAUUUGUUAGUUGACAAUAAUAUCAAUCCAACAUAAAUAUAGCUACACUUUCCAUGUAUCAAACAUUUCAUGAAAAUUGAGCCAAAAAACAAAUCAUGAGAAUGUUGACAAUGCAAUGAAACACAAGAUUUUAGGUGAACAAGGUACCUCACCACUAACAAAGCAAAAGGGGUUAAUAUAUUCCAAAUGUAAUUCAAUGAUUAGAAGAUAAAACUUAUAUAACUGUUGUGAUAUAUUUUUAUCUCUUCAAAAUGAUACUACAACUCCACAGACUAAAAAACACAAACACCCACACAAAAUUUGGGUAAGAAGACAAUAAAAAAAAACAUGAAGCAAAAAUUGAAACUUGAUUGCACAGAGCUCUUUUGUCAAACUUUGUAAUCAUUAAGAGGGCAUAAUCAACUUUUCAGCUUUGUGAUAGUGAGAAGUCAACGUAUAUUUUACAAGACCCAGGAUCACACAGGGACAACAUACAAUGUGAUCACUUCUGUUAGAGGAGAAGAUGGAAAACACCAACAUAAAUAUAGCUACACUUUCCAUGUAUCAAACAUUUCAUGAAAAUUGAGCCAAAAAACAAAUCAUGAGAAUGUUGACAAUGCAAUGAAACACAAGAUUUUAGGUGAACAAGGUACCUCACCACCAACAAAGCAAAAGGGGUUAAUAUAUUCCAAAUGUAAUUCAAUGAUUAGAAGAUAAAACUUAUAUAACUGUUGUGAUAUAUUUUUAUCUCUUCAAAAUGAUACUACAACUCCACAGACUCAAAAACACAAACACCCACACAAAAUUUGGGUAAGAAGACAAUAAAAGAAAACAUGAAGCAAAAAUUGAAACUUGAUUGCACAGAGCUCUUUUGUCAAAAUUUGUAAUCAUUAAAAGGGCAUAAUCAACUUUUCAGCUUUGUGAUAGUGAGAAGUCAACGUAUAUUUUACAAGACCCAGGAUCACACAGGGACAACAUACAAUGUGAUCACUUCUGUUAGAGGAGAAGAUGGAAAACAAGAAAAGAAUCACGUCCAAACUAUUAUUAUCCACCAUUUUAUUGAUGACUAAAACACAAUCUCAAGAUAUCACAUUCAAUAAGAAUUCAUCAUCAGCACAUAUAGCUCCUUAGAUAAUUGCAUAUUAUGUAUGAUUUUCUAGCCCAAUAAAAGUGGACAACCUUACUGUUAAACUUUCCUCUCUGGAUAACACCAAAACGAUGCUGCUCAUCCACCACAGCAAUACGUAAAGAAGAAAACUCCACUUUUUCGGCUAUUAAACUAUGGGUUCCAAUGACAAGAGAGAUAUUCCCAGUUUGGAGAUCCUGUAGCCUAAAAGGUUAAUGAAAUUCAAGAUGGUUACACACAAUGUAAAGGCAGCAGAUGAUGAUACAUGCCUUAUGAAUCAGACGUGAUUGCUUCAGUGGGGUUGAUCCUGUUAGUAAAGCAACAGAAGGUUUACACUCAACCUCCUCCAUAAUCUCUAGCAGAUUGAUGAAGUGCUCAUAAUGCUGGAUUGCAAGCAACUCAGUAGGAACCAUGAAAGCUGCCUAUAAAUCAGAUAAAGUCAACUCAAAUCAAUAAUUAUAUGCUAUUAAAACCAGUCAAGAAUAGCACACCAGGGAACACUAAUAAUAACACAAACAAGAUUACCUCAUACACUACCAUAAUUAGUGAAGUUACCAACACCAUAUAUAUGCUUAGCAGCAUGUAUUGAUCAAUUUUCAAAAGUUUUAUAAAAGAGGUUUGAGCGUGGAAGUAGCUUAAAUUUACCAACCUGAUAACCAGAGGCAAUAACCUCCAUGCAUGCCAAAAAAGCUACCACAGUUUUCCCACAUCCAACAUCUCCCUAGAAAGAGCAUCCACAUAUAUCAAGGAAGUUUAUCAGUUUCUAAGAAUAACAGUUACAUAUACAACAAAGAUCAGAUAAAAAUCUAAUCUCAACUCUCUUUAUAUAGAUUGUGUUCCUCUUCCUUUCAGGUAAAAAAUUGUUCUUUGUCUAUUCAAGAUGAAGCUAUUCCUUAUAAGGUAAAGUCACCACUACAAAUAUAUAUCUUGCUCUUAAAUACAAAAACAAGCACAUAUAAAAGUUCAGGGUUUCUAUGAAGAUUAUAUGUUGCCAUUGGAUUUAGUAUUUUUAUAUUUAUUGUGUCAAGGAUCAUUAGUAAAAAUAUUUCAGGCAUGAGCAAGUUGUUGAGAUUGAAUUUUCCAAUGUAGUUAGUGCCCCAUUAUCUCAUUCUGGGUGGUACAGAUUGUCAUACCGUCAACAAAUUCAAGGUUCUAGAAAAAAUCCAGGUUCUCAUAAUGUGACACCUCAAAAUCUGAAUCCAUAUCUACAUCUCAUAGUAAACUAAAUCCCAUUUGCACACAAUAGUAACUUGUUGAAUAUAUAUUUAUUAUUCAUAUUUAUAUCAGCCCUAGAUAUCCUUCCUCUACUGCUUCCUGUUGUUUCAAUUAAAAUUGACAUUCUUAGUUCUUAGCUCUUAUUUGCUAUAGCUAUUGUCUCUUUUAGAAAUUUUAUCAAAUACACAUAAACAUAAUGGGACAACCAGAAUAUCAAGGAAUAAAAAUGAAAUAUCUCCAGCAGGUAGAAGAACCCAAAACCUAAACCACUAGAGGCUAGCCUUAAGCAUUGUCCUAAACUAAAAUUUUGGGCGGAAAAUAAUCAGGAAAGACACAAGCAAGUUCAAACUAAUCUUUUUAUUUUUAUCAGGAACUAGUCAAACCAGUAAGCUUUUCUACAUUCCAUUAGAUUUGCAAAACCUCGCAGAAAGUAUCAAGAAGUCUGCAACCUAAAGCAAAAAGGAGAUUUACCAAUCCUUUCCUCUUCAAUAAUCAUAGAAUGAUAAGUGAAGCAGAUGAAAUGCAAGAUCAAAGAGAUUUUAAAAUUACCAAGAAUUUGCUAGUAAUUGUGGCAGAGUAUCAUAGUCUUAGAAGGGAGGUGCACAUAUAUCAUUUUGUUUUGGAGGGCUGAUUUGGAAAUUCAAAUUAUUGGAUGUAUUUCUUUAAAGGGAGUUAGGGUAGAAGGUGAGGGGGGAGGCACAUGCAAACCAAACAGCACAUUAUAAUUGUUGACUCAUAAACAGCUCAUCUAUACUUUUGCAGUGAGAGCAAAUUCGCAAUCAAGAUUACAAAUAUUAGCUUCAGGAACAACAGCUUUAAAUAUAAUUUCAAAAGAAAUAUGCAAGCCUCAAUACAACUAGAAACAGAUUGUAGACAGUUGAAUAAUGAAAGAACAGUAGCAUUCAUGCAAAAUCCAGAACCUGUAAGAGUCGAUUCAUGGGGACUGGCCUCUUUAGAUCCCAUAUAAUUUCUGAAAUAGCACUAAGUUGACCAGAGGUAAGGGAAUAUGGAAGAGCUUUCAAAAAUUUCUUGGUCAGACUAGACCAUUCUUCCAUGUAAGCAGCAUUCACUUCAGGUUUUCUGUACUUGUCCAGCAAUCCAUCUUUUUCAAUUUUUGUGCCAAGACCUUCAAGCAUUUGAAAUAAGCGUCCUAACUGCAGAUAGGAUUAUUUUUCUGUUGAGUAUUUGUGCAACUCAUGCAAAAUAUUAAAGACCAAGGCAUUACAAGCAAGAAAACAGUAUGAUAUUCAGAUAUGAUACCAGGAAUGAAGACAUCAUAAAUUUCUAAUUUAUCUACUUAAUCACAAAUAGCCAAUAACCCUUCCAACAAAUUAUCCAUCAAUGACACAAUUGCAUUCUCAUCUAAAACAAUGUUCAUUAACAAGAAUCUCAGACAGGACAUUCUACUAAUGCAAAGAUAUCACAACUGUAUUUUCAAGGUGCACAAAGCACACCUAAUAACAAUGUCAUAAAAAAGGGAUAUCUCUUUUUGCCCAUGCGGGCCCCAUAUAGGGUUUGAUUAAAGUAAACUAUGAAGACAUAAAAUAAAGAUAAACUAUUACAUAUAAAAGCACAGAAUCGCAGCUUUUAUCUUAGUUGAAUCACUUGAUAAACUUGGAAAGAAAUACAAGAUAAUCAACCAAAACUGCAGCCAAAAAAGAAACAAAAGAAAGCAUGUCUAAACACAAUGGCAGCAUCACACAGUGCUACAGUUGAAGAGCACACUCAUGGUCAAUGAAAUCUGUAAAUCAUGCAACGCUGAGUAGCCAAUGUAUGCCUAAGCUCACUCAUUUGCAAGUAAUCUUUCCCUGAGUUCAACCCAGCCUGAUAUCACCUGACUCAAGUAUAGCCCAUUAUAAGGAAUAAGCUUCAGACAGAGUUGUAUUACAUAUCAGCAUUCAAGUGCCAAAAACCACAUCUCCAACAUUUCAUGUAAAGAAACAUUUUCCUUACUUUACGUAUGACGAUACAAGUAGAUGCCGUGAUAGUGCAGAUUCACCACUAAAAAUAAGAAAUAAGACAACAUUUCAAGAAUUCAAAAUAUCUUGAAAUUCAGAGAAGUCCUCAAAAUCAAACUUGGGAAGAGACAAUGAAGAAAAUGAGCUAUCCAAACUCCUAGUUUAAAAUCUGAUGUGUAACAGCCAGGAGGUUGAGGUUUAUAGCUGUUUUGUAAUCCAAAUGCUUGAGGAAAAUAGGAAUGUUAGAUAAAGAAAGAAGAUCCUAAGCUUCACCCGAAGGGUUCCUCAAGAAUCACACCUAAGGUUGAUUACAUCACAACAAUCAAAAAGCAAUAGUGCUGGCAAUAGACAAUAAAAAAAGGAAAUGAUCACAGCGCGGGAAGGUGGUUGCAGCUAUGGACAAGAGACAAGAGAAAAAGGAAAUGAAACAAAAAGAACAAAAGGAAGAAAAUGGUCUGACAACUGAGGGAUGAGGGCAAAAUGGUUCAAAAAAUUUUGCUUAGGAUUCUCAAGUUGUGCAAUCUCUAAAAGACACCUGUUUUGAGGGGAAUUGAAUUCCCACAAGACUUGGUGGUCUGGCCCACUCAACAAUCAUUGAUGACCCCUUCAGUUAGCAUGUGAGUAGUUCUGGACUUUGAGAUAUUUCAUGGUUCCCAUAUAAUUCUCAGGAAUAAUAUCUGAAUCCCCCAAAUCCAACACACCCUUAAGUAUUAAGGCAAUCAUCUUAUAAAAUGGAGUACAUGGAAAGGAAUUUCAACAACGACAGAAGAAUUGGCCAAUAAAACAAACAGACAAAGCCAGAAGGGGUAAUAGAGUAGUAGUGAGAACUGAAGAUAAAUGUGGUAGUAAGUAUCGGAGAUCAAACAUUGGCUCACCCUUUCAAAGGAUGGCACAACUAAUGAAAAUGGCAAGCAUAAAAAUAUAUGUAGGAGGUAUGAAUUGGCGAAGUGCAUCUGGAGUCUAGUAUGACUGCAAAGUACCACUUAAGAAAAAAGCUUUAAGGACAUCUAACACUAGCAAUAUUUUAUGGCACUAUAUAUUAGGCAGUUAAAUAUCAACAUGUACAAAAAAAGAAACGUAGCCGAGAUUAGGCUGCUACAACAGAUGUGUGAGUAUACAAGAAAAUGACUGCUAAGGCAGAAGGUGCAUCGUAGAGUCAGUUGAGAAUAAAAUGAGGAAGAAAUGCAUAAAUUAGACUACAUGUGAGAUAAAGGCUUAUGUACGGUCCUGUAAGCAAUGCUCCCUGGUGGAGGAUGUGUAUGUCAAAGCAGAAAGGGAAAGACUAAAGAAGAUGGGUGAAAAUUAUUUGAAGGAAAAAUGAUAAAAAAACAAUGUUUUUUCAUGAUCUCACAAAAAAUAUGAUACGAAAUAGGGCACAGUGAACUUAGUAUGAUUCAACUAGACAGCCCACAAAGUGGAAAAAGGCUUGAUUCUUUGUUAUUAUUAACAUAAUACCACAAAAGUACUAUAACAAUCAUGUACACAUCUCCUAAUAACAAUACAUGUCUACCAAUACAAUACAAAAAGAAGUAAUUAACGACAACUAAAAACCUAAACAAAAGAUCCACACUAAGUUUCCACGAAAAAUUAUAUUAAUUGCCCCUCAACAUGCUUUCUACCACAAGACAAUUUUAAAAGAAUAGCUACUUUAAACUGCCAAGACUCUGUCAAAAGUCAAGCCCAACUUUAUAGCAGAAAUCUACAAAACAAUUUAGCUUCCUAUUCUUAAAAUGUAAAGUGAAUCAAUAGAAGGGCCAAACUGACAUGAGGUGAUAGCAAGAAGUGCCUCAGCAGUUCCAUUUUCCAAUACAGCACUAAGAUACCACAAUGCUGGUACGGUGGUAUUUUGUGGAAUGUGGAGGUUUUUAACUAUGAUGGAAGUAAAUCUAAUUAAUUGAAAGAGAUGUCAUCCAAUAGAAACAGAUGCUAAAGAAAAAAAAAAUCAUAAUGGUAGCAAUAAAUUAAUAAAUAGUAUAAUACUAACAUCUAGCAAGUACUAAAUCACAAAUGAAGAUUACCUGUAGAUAGAAAAACUCAUCAAAUAUGAGCCUUUUGCGAGCUAAAUCAGCCUCCUCUAAAUUCUUUGGCUGGUGAAUCCCACUGUAUGCCUACAAUGUUAGCAACACAUACUUAGCUUGCCAUAGAAAAAGAAACAACCAAUGAGAACAAACCACAGAAAUACUGCUAAACAAUGGAACAUCAAAAGGUAAGAGAUCGCCUGACCAUUUAUCUUUCCCUUCCCUUGAAAGAAAUUUUGUUAAUUUUGUACUAAUACCAAAAUCCUCUUUUUUAUUAUUUUUUUCUAUUCUAACUCCUCAAAAACUAUAUAAACCACUCUUUUUUAUUAUUUUUUCUUUUUUAAAUCCUAAAACUAUCAAAUUAUCUAGAGUGUAAAUGGUUUCAAGUGGCUUUCAAUCUCUAGUUUAAUGAUGACUUGAAACUCAUAUUUUAUACUUUAGAUUUAAUCUCAUAAAAAUCGAUACUUGAAACCAUUUGGACUAUUAAAUACUUUAUAUGUUCUUUUUAUAUAUUGCUAAAGGCAAUACUUUAUAGAGAUUCAUAAAUACACACACAACCUACAACAAAUAUACACAUAUCUAUAGACACAAACCUUGAUACAUACAUACACGUGUCUAUAACAUGCUAUGUUGUAUAGUGCUGAAAAAGCUAAAAUCAUAUAUGAAACAACUGAUACCACUGCAUAUGAACCAUAUUUAGAAACACUGAAACCCCGUCCACUACAAUACUAACAACCUUGCUUGACAAAGCUGAAACCAUGACAAACUCAUUCAAUUUCACUCCUAUUUAAAAAUUCUUUUUACCUUUAGUAGUUUCAGUACCUGCACAAGUCACAAGUCCUCAGUGUAAUUCAUCAAAAGAUUUGCUUUGGGCCUUGUACUUGGGGUUUUUGAAAUUUGGGUAAAGUUUCAUAGACAUGCUAGGGUUGUGGCUGGUUUCUAUAGCAUAUCUUCUUAAAUGGUUUGAUUCAUGUUUGCUUUUUCUUGGGAAUUUAUUUGCAAUUAACUUAGGUGUUGUUAGAUAGACCAUUAAAUUUUAUUUUUCUUUUGAUAGACCAUUGUGAUGAUUUUCAUUUCUUUGAAAAUUCUUAAUUUUAAUGACUUAAUCUUUCAAUGCAUUUGGUUACCCAUUUUAAAACCAAAGAAUAGAAUAUUUUCAGUGGAAAAAGUUCUUGAAAGGUUACUUAAUACAUUCAACGGUAUUUUAAUUUUUUUAAUCAUUUGACCAUAUAAGUUUCAUAUUCUUUCCUUCUUAACUUUAUAUACUCUCUUUUCUUUUAACUUUUAUUAGAUGUGGAAUCUUGUAUUAAAUCAUCUCUCUUUUUGUAAAAUAAGCAUAAAAAAUUCCAUUUAGUAUUUGAUUGUCAGCAACAUACUAAACAGUUUUAGAGUAUAAAUUCAGUGCUUAAAAAUUUCAAGACUGAAUACUUAGCACUUAAUUUUUUAGCAUUUAUUCAUCAAACAGCAUCAUAGUUCCAAAGUUUUAUAAAUCUUUUUGAAAAAUAAAAAUUAACCAAGUUACAUACAUCUCUACAACUUAAUCAAUUUGUAGUCACUCUUUAGAAUGACAAUCUCUUUUCUUUUUUAUUAAUAAAUGAUUUAAGAUGUUUCGUACUUCUUGGACCAAAUUAUUUUUGACACAAUCUGUGACGAUUAAUGGAACCUUAAAUAAAUUAUUCCAAAAAACUGCAGAUAAUUCAGCAAAUCAUUGAAUUUGUAGCAGAUACCGUAAUCCGCACACAAGCUCCCACUUGAACACAAAUUUUGUUUUACAAGCCAGGCUUGCCAAGUGCCAACCAAACCUAUAAGUAUGACCAGUGUCCCCCAAGACUGGUCGACAUCAAUAGAAAGAUUAUUUUGGGUCAAAGCCAUUGAACCAAUAGUCAGUCAUGAUGGUCAUUUAUCCCAUUCAGGUAAAGAUUUUAACUUGAAAACAUUGUGCGUUAAAAUUUUUUAUAAAUAUAGCUUCAAAUUUCAGUAAUCAGGAUAUCAAUAGCUUUUGCUGUCAAGCCGGUCCUGUUAUUAAAGCAUAUUUAUUACUUAUCAGAGUCACAGAAUAUAUGAUUUCCAGGGAUAGAGGACAUAAGCAAAACAUAAAAUUCAUAAAAUAAUUCCAAAUGAGAAUAUUGCGGUGAAUGUUUGAUAUUUGGAGUAAGGGUCUGAUUAACAGGUGCCUAUAGGAAUUUAUAAGAUCAGUUAAAUUUUUAUUUUAGAAAAUAGUUUUUCACUUAAUGCACUUUACUCACCAAAUUCAAAAGAAUCAAUACAUUAAUUAAAAAAAAUACUUUCUAUGAGUAUCCCCUUAACCAGUGCUUAUUGGCAUGGAUAACAUUUCCCUCUAGUAAGAUAAAAAAAAAAAAGAAAUAAAGCCAACUGAGAAAACGUGAACACCAACAUUUAUUGAGGAACACAUAAAAAAUGGCAAAUUAGAUGGUUACAGGUUAAAUUACAAGAUAGGCUUACAGGUGCAUGUGUAAUGGUUGAAAGAACAAAGAGGGGUAGAUGUCAUCUAGAAAGAUUUGACAUCUAACCAUUUCUGAAGGAGUACGGAUUAAGAUAAAGGAGAGGAAGGAAAAAACUAAUGUAACUGUCCAAACUAGUUUGACAAUAGGCUUAGUUGAAUUUUGAGGAAACAGUCGAGGUGAGUAGGGCUGAGCUAAGUUUUAUGGGAAAUCAAGUAAAAACUCUUGCCUCUGGGCUUCAAAUAAUGCCCAUCUUGGGAAAAAGUUCAAUAUUAAUAAUCUGAUACGUUAGCCAAAGUUGUUCCAGUAUUUUGAGAAGUAAGAUUACAAUGCAACCACCAACAGAUGCUUUGUAUUGCACCAGACCAAACUUGUGGGAAGCAAUAGUUUCAUUAAAUAAAAAAACAUGAAGCGUCAUGAGUGAAGAAAAAGUCACUUACAUCAUGGAGACAUAAAAGUCCAAAUUCUUGGAUGAUUUCUUCAGGUAUUGGAUCAAUAUUGACCGGCAAGGCUUGUAAAGCCCUAAAAGAUUUAAAGGAAUAGCUCUAUUAUAAGUUAAGAGGACUAUUCAAAAAAAUAAUAAUAACAAUAAGUUAAGGGGCAAAACUAAAGUUAAGACAAACGAUUGCAGAUUAGUUAAGUAAAUUAAAGCAAAUGCGAUGAGUAAAAAUCAAAUUUUACUGCAUAAUAGAAUUUAUAAUUAUGCCAUGAAGGAAAGCAUCUCAUAGGAUUCUCAUCAUUGACACAUUGUACAUUGAAAAUCUUAUUAAAUAAUUAGAGUCUAAACAGUUGGCUUUUGUCCAAAAACAAGAACCAUUGUACCCGCUGUACAUCUUUCUUCCUGAUCAGUAGCAUUUUAUGGUGAACAUACUUUAAUUAUGUUGUCUAUUUGUACUUGAGUUGUUAAACAUAAAGGAAGUGAGACGCUUGAUAUGGGAAACAACUACAACCAAACAGCAGCAAUCCAGUUAAUGAGCUGAAAGAUCUAUCUAGAAUAAGCUCAAGUCACAUGAUUGUCAUGAUGGUAGCAGUUUAGACCAUAAGCUAUAAUGUCUUCAGAAAAUGUAUUAGUUAACGUGGACUACAAACCUAAAUCACUUACAGUCCUGCUGCAUUCAUCAAAGAGGCACAUGAGGACUUAAAGUUUUAGUGCCCUCACCACCAACCCUCAUUUCUACCUCAAUGAGGCAUCAGUCAACCGGUACAACAACAUAACUCCCAGGACAAAGUAACACAGAUGAGUUAAUGCUACACUGCACCAUUCUGGUCAAGAUGUUAGGACAUUAAAAGCAAUCAUGAUUCAACUAAAUUAUGAUGCAAUUGUUGACUCAAAGAUUAACAAAACAAAAAUUUCUCCCAAUAAUCUUUUUGGCCAUGAUCAAAGGCAUUAGAGGAGAGUGCACUGGAUAUGCUCCAGGGUUAGGCAUUCUCCAAUUGCAUUGAGGCACAAGAUUGCUUGAUUAAGCCUCUAACAAAAAGCACAAAGACUGAAUACAAUUCUUCCUUUUCCUGUGUUUUGAAACAGUGAGAGCACCUCUGAUUUGUUUUAGAAUAAAAAAAAAAAAAAGAAAAGUGAAGCACAGUGCUAGAGUUAUAUUAUAAAAAGAAAAAGAAUAAAGCAGUGGAGGCUGAUUAAAAAAUUUUAAAAAUUAACUCAAUGAUUUUGAAUUGUUAGUCAUGGUGUUUUUCAAUUCACAAUGUUUAACUAAUUACAUCAAUUUUUUAAAUAAAAGAUACAACCUAAGAGCCAUAUUCCCAAAUGCUUCAAGGCAUACAUCUCAUCUAAGCAAAAGUAAAACACCUUGUCCCACUCUUUCCCCUCUGAAACAUUGAACUGAAUCAAAGGAUCCACCCAAGAUGAAACACAUAUACGUGCACAUCUAUCAAAAACCCACCAGAAAAGCAAACUUUCCAAUAACUAGGUAUUCAAGUAUAAACUGGCUCCAAAAACAAUUUUGUUUCCAUACUCAGUCAGGUAGAUAAUAUUCAUAGCAGCAAUAAACACUAUUACAAUAGUUCAACUCAAAUUACCACAGAAUAGAAAUUUUUCAACACAGAAACAGAACCUUUAUGGAUUGAGACAGCUUUACAGUUCAUAGACAUACCUAGAUAUUAAGAAAAUUGUUAAUUAAUUAAUUAUACGUACAUACAUACAUAUAUAUGUAUACAUAUAUAUAUAUACAUAACAUAAAAACAUAUAAAGUGGAAAAGAAUUAGUGUUAGAAAAUAAAAUCAUGCAGACAUAAGCACUCGAGCACUGAUCUAAUAACUCUUUGUUGAAAUCCACUGAUAGAAUAAUGAAAAAAAACAUUAAGAGGGACAAACCUUGCAAUGAUGUCUCUGAGAAAAUUAGGCUUUAAGCCACCUUUUGAAGGAUAGAUAGGAUAAGGCCUCCCUUUUGUGAGAACGGAUGAAUCAUUUUCAUCUUUUAGCACGUCAAUACUGUAUUCCCUCAUUUCAUAGUGAUCUUUAGUACCCAUAGCCCUCACCUAGAUUGAAAACAAACUAUUUGAAAACAAUUUUUGGAUGAAACAUUCUGUAAGAAGUACAAAGCAAUAGUUAAGGAUGAACGAAAACAUCUUAGAAAUGGCAUUCGUAGAAGUUUUCGUUCUUUUUAUAUAGAUGAAAAAUCUAUAUGAAUCAGUGUCUAUUUUACUAUGCUGAUAAGAAAGCCAGUCAAUACAAUAGAGACUCCUUCAAAUCAUGAAAAUUACAAGUGAAACCUGAAACAAUAAGCUCAGUAAUCCAGAAUCCCCCUAAGUAAAUGUUUUAUGUUCACACUCCUGUUACAGCAUUUGCUUCGCAACACCCCACCAAAAUGAUCAAAAACAUGUUUGCCAAAAGAGUUAAGGUAACUGAAGCAAACAAUUAAUUAACAAAAAACAAAUCCAUCAGUACUGAUGGCCAUAUAGAUGACAAUAAAGCAGUUUCAGAAGCCAGAAUUUAGCCUAUAUAUGUCAACCUUUAUGCAUGCUAUUACUCUUUGAAAGAAACAACGUGUUGGCAAGGAUAUUAGCCAAAACAUUUUGAAGGGUAUGAAAGAAAAAGAAACUCACCUUACCACUAACACAUACAAAUUCUCCCAAUUUAUGCUUUCCUUCAAGACUUCUAAGAAAAGGUUGAGAAGCAAAACGAGCACCGCGGAAAAACUUCUUCAAAUGCAAAUAAAUAGUCUUCUCCUCAGUGUCUCUAUCAUCAUCAUAUAUGUGCCCCAAAGUUGGUUCAUUAUUUGCAACUUCACAACCCACAACCACCUCAAGAAAUGAAAAAGAAUAACUGGCUCGAAUUCCCCUGCAGGAAAAAUGAUAAACAUGAACAACCUAGAAGCAUCAGCAUAUCAUUCACAAUUGAGUAUUUCAAUAUUUAUUUGCUAUAAAUGUUAAUCUGUGUUCUACUAAGAAAUUUACAAGCUAUGGUACAUGAUUUUUCCCAAUCUCAUGGUUUAUAUUUAUCAUUUGCUAAACUAAAUUGUACAAACAUAUUUUUAGAACUUUCAAAAGAUAAGGCCAAUUUCAUUUCAAUAUGCAUUUUUGUAUGUACGACAAUUUUUAAUAUGUAUUUAUGUAUGCAUGAGAACAUUUUCAGGUUUUUGGGAUAAAUAAAGACUACAAGGUCAGGUUUAGUUAAAUGCUGUGAUGUUAUAUGCCAAGUGGGCUUCUCAUCAAAUAAUAUGCAAGCAUAUCUUGUCAUCAGUAAACAACUUCACUUCAAUGCUUGAUCCAAACAAUUGCAUUCUGAAACAUCAUAAUUCCAAAUACUUUAUAUGUUCUGGUUUUGAUUUACCAAGUAGACGAAUAUUAGAACCAUAGAAGAGUUGGCACCCUAGGUAUAUCGAGGCACUUCAAUUGAGGCUUGAACCUCAUCUCAUCCUUAAUGUAAGGUUAGCAUCAAGAGCAGCUAUAGAAAUAGUAAUGAAGAUACCUAGUAGACCAAACAUAGGCCUAACAAUUAGUGCCCCAGUCAAGAAAAUGAUUAGAAUUUCGUGAGCAAGUCGUUAGUCACCUUGAAGACAAAAUUUUGCCAACAAAAAUCAAGUACUGCCCAUCAUUGAUCUCAAUUUGCGCAUUCUGUAAAUCUGCAUAAGUCCGAGGAAAAUGAUGUAACAGUUUCCGCAACUGCAUGGCAGGAGGGUAAAGAAAAUGUAAAUAAGGUGAACCAAGCUUGUAUAAACACAAGAACCUCCAUCAACUGUGGUUUUAACAUAAUUUCAAGAGAACCUACAGUGUAAAAGCCACAUUCUUCUAGCUGGUGAGAGUGCCUUUUACUUAAACCAGGAAUGCAACUGAUGGAUCUAUCAAGAAAUAAAACAAAAGUUGCAGUAUCUGACUGUGGUUCAAUCCCCACUUUGCUAGAGGAUUCCUCCUCAGUAAGACGAUCUGACUUUCCUUCAAAUUCUGAAGUCAUGGACCAAGAAGAUUGAUGCAAAUUGCCAGUACUUUUUUCCACAGUAACUAGAUGACCUGUCUUAUCUUCAGAUUCCAAAGUUGUGGACCAAGAAGACUGAUGCAAAUUGUCUGUACUUUCUUCUACUACUAUAGAAGAACCAGCCUCUGAAAGGGGUUGAUAUAGAGAGGGCCAUGUUUCACACAGACCAUUUGGAUUAACCCACUUUUCAUCCAUAGAGUUAGAGAAAAAUCUUUGAGCAGCUAACAGGCCCCUGAUUCGUGAGCUACUAGUUGUCUCAUCAUACAGUUCUACUGGAGGGGAACUACCCAAAGUGAUGGAAGGAAAUCUUUUACAUGCCAAGGAAAGUUCAAAAUCAUCUGUGGCAUCUUUGAGAUUUCCAUCAGGUUGCUCAUCAGGUCUUUCAUUCUCAAUUAAAUCAUGAAGACCAUUAUAACCCAUCAAAACUGAUACCUGUAAGCAAUGAAAUUUGGAAGUUUUGAAUGGAAAAACUCCAGAUGUAUACAAGGGCAGAGCAGAGGAUCAUUUCAAAGUCCAUAAGCAAACACCAUCAGAUUCGUUUACAAAACUUUCAAAUGCCUCAUUACAAACUGAAAAGAAACAUUUUAAAUACAUUACUGCAAGCUGCCAAGAAAUUCUUGAGUGCAAAAACAUAACUUAUCCCAGGGAAUGACUCAGAAGAUAUAUCAUAAAUUAGUAUAUCAGCAUCAAGUAACAGACAUAAAAUUCAAGUUCAUAAUAUUAACCAUAAUCUUAAGAUAUUGCAAAAGCCAAAACUGAACUUUCUGUGCAGCAAAUUCCAGCAAACUGCAUUCUUGCUUGCGGCCCCUAUCUUGCCAUCUGAUCUGAACAUAAACUCCCAUUUCCAUCUAUGAUACAGGAGCCCAUUAGCCUAACACCCUAUUUUCAUACGUUUUUGUAAUUUUUAUUUGUUUAUUUUCAUUUCCUGAUUUUUUAUUGUUCAUGAUUUGUUUAAGAGUCAUGUAGCACAAACUUAAUGAACUUGGAUGGCUAUUAACUUAGAUUGCGAGGAUAUCAAGGGCUGAGAUUAUUGGGCUGCCAUAUAAAUAAUCUUGUAAUGCCUUGUUAACAGUGUUUUGCCAUAUAUUAAGAUUUAUUCAGUUGAUAAAAAGCCAGACUUUUAGAUUUGAUAUCUUUGGCUGUUCUUCUCUUAUGUACUCCUUCUAGUGUGAUUACUUCUAGCACAACAUCAAUCUAGGAACCCAACUCCCUUUUCUAUACAAAAUCAACCUGUAAACCCUUAAUUUCCAAGCCUUGACCAACUGCAAGAACCAAAGAAGUAGAUUUUACCCAAACCUGAUUUCCAUUAAAGACACCCUGUGAUAGGUCAGAAGAACCUAGCUGCAGACAGCUGCUUGUAAGCAACAACCUAAAAAACUUGCCCAGAGAAACGGCAAACUAGUACAAAGAACAAGCUGAGAUUGGAAAUAUAUGAAUGGAUUUUUAUCCAAAACUGAAAAACGAUAAUUUCUUACACAUUUUGAGAUUGCAGAAACAAUCGAUAAAUCAGAACAGCCCCAUUUGGCAGAACAAGGAAUAGGUGACCCAGCCUGUGGGCUGUUUUCAUAAUUUCAAACAGAUCGUUGAAUACUACACAGUCUACACUUUCCAUCUGUUGUGGUUUAAGAAAAAAGCACUUUCAACUUGGUGGCUUCAACUUUCUGACUUGGCACUUUAUUUUGCAGCAUUUAACAUCAGGGAGUUAAGCUCUUAAUUUGUAAAUAAAUUUACAUUAACACCCACUCUCCAACUAUAACAUGUAUUCUCCAUUUUAUAAAUUUGUUCAUUCUUAAUUUAACCGCACAAGUUUUCAACAAACUUGAUAUCAACCAUUAAUAUGGAAAAAUGUGAGAUAUAGAAGUAUUAAAUUUUGAUUCUCAACACAUUCGCUUAUAUCAAAUAUUAUUAUUGUACGAUUCAAGCCCUCACUGGCCUUUUGAACUACCAAAAAGAAAGAAAUAAAGAAAAUGUAAUAUUAGUCAGGAUUAAAUACUAUAAUAUAUAAUAAAAUAAAUAAUUUCUCAUGAAGAAAUGGCAGGGAAAAAAACAGAGAAAGAAAAAAGACUUUAGAGAUCUGCUUCUGCAUGGUAAGGAGUAAUAUAAAGUACUGCAUGUUACAAUGAUAUAAGCAUUAAUAGUCUAAGAGUCCUCUUAACUCAAUCAUCAGGGCAUCAGUAUGGAUUUGAAGAAGAAAAUAGAGAGAGCAUAAGAGAGGAGAGAGGGAGAAAUUAUGAAAGAGAAAAGGUGGAAAAUUUUUAUAGAGUGGCAUUGUCAUUAUUUUAUUUUAAAUUAACAGCAUAGACUCCUACUAUUGGACAGUGCAAACCACAAGAUAUCACAUGAUAAAACUACCACAAGGUUUAAAGUUAUUUUAUCUCAAACCACAAGGAUUGAAAUUCUAAUUAGCCGUGUAUGAAAAUAUGAGAUCUUACCAAGGAGCUAAUUAGAAUGUUCUUUUAGGGUAUAUAAAUUUGAAUGUUGAGAGUUAUGGAUAACAAAAUCUAGUCACCCACCCAAUUAAUCUGCAACAAACAGUACAUUGGAAUAACAUUUUAACAUAUUAAACUCCUAUAACUUCUUGUUAACUUUGAUAGUUAUUAUAUAGUAUGUGAUUAAAUGGAGACUCAAUAAAGAUAACUCCUGUCCAGGUUCAAAGAGUGUAGAUGCUACAGAGAUGAAACACAAGAUAUAACCCCUUAUAGAUGAAUGCAUAAUUUCUUAUGAGUGAAAGCUUUAAACAUCCAAGCAGUCCAACAAAGAACCAGAAGUUUUAUAAUCCUUGGAAUCACUCACUCAAAGGCUUCAUAGCUUCUUUAUCCAGUCUUUAUGCAAUAAUCUAUUACCUCUUCCUGAGGAACAUCUCCAAUUCACUAGCAACUCAUUAACAUUUUAGAAAUCACAGUUGAUAGAUUUCCCAAAGUUAUAAUUACCCUGCUGAAAAAUAUCACUUGUAAACCCAAUAAAUUCACUAGAUACACUGUGUAAAUUAAUAAAGUCAAGUAUGGCAAGCCAGGAAUCUGCCUAGUUUAAUAAUCAAUAUGAUAUUUGGAUUUUUACAAAAGCAGACACAUAUUGUGAAGAUUCCAUCAGGCCUAGGAAAAAAGCUGAACUGGCAAACUGAUAAUAGAUUGUAUUUGAUUUUGUAGCAUCUCAGCAUAAUGAAGCGACAUUACAUAUAUGCCCAUUCAACAGCAAAACAUGUACAAGUCAAGUUACUUGGCUACGGAAUGUUCGUUUCGCACCCCUCCAUUAUUUAUUUUUAACCAAUAUUAUCCACUGCAUAAGAUCCACAAUUCAUGUUAGGGUAUUAUACAAUAUGGUUGGUAACAAUGAAUGUAUUGGAAAGUAUUGGUCAAAAAAUAACGAGGGUUAAUCUCAACCCAUAAAAUGCAGCUUGCUUUCAACAAGUAAAAUAAAAUAUGAACAAAAAAAUGACCACAAAACAAAAAAUAUAUAUAUAUAUAUAUAUAUAUAUUCUACACAAUGCAACAGAUGUAAAACAUAAUGUAAGCAUAGAAACUGAAGGAAACAUUUAUUUCAAACAGAGAUACAAAGAAAACUCUUUGAGAAUUACAAGCAACAUCCAAUAGCGAAAACUUGUACAUAGGCAUCUACCUUAUUUAGCAGCUUUGAGCGAUCUACGAUACUGGCUGUAUCAUAAUUAUGUACUUCCUCCAAUAACUUUUCUGGAAACUUGUGCUUGGAUCGAGAACAAAUUUUUGAAACUUUAUCGAGGAGAAAAUUAUUAAACCUGAAAUAAAUUUGAAGGCAACUCAAAGUAACACACUCCUCAAUCAUCAUGCUUUAAGCAACCAGAAAGCUGAAUGUAGUGCAUUACCUCAUUUUUCUUCCUAAAGCAUUCCUAUAUCCUCUCUCUGCUUCAAAAACUAUAGCACUUCUCAACCCUUGCCCACUAAAACACUGAAAGAAAAGGAAGAAAUUUCUUUAAAAAAAUUUACAUGUGACAAAAAUUCAGUAUCAACUGCCUCAUUUGAUGCAUAAGAUGCUAAAAAGGCAUAAAUAAAAAUUCUAUAAUGGAAUAAAUAAAACUUGCAAAGUUCUCAGAAGCAUAUCUAAGGACCAGGCAACAUGCUUGGUUGGAUAAAUAAAACAACUACGAAAUAAGUUAAGGCAAAUAAAGGGGUCUGAGCAACAUGCAUGCAAGUACCUUGACAUUGGCAGAAAAUGGCGGAAGAGAAGAAUCAAUUUAUGUCAAUGAAAAGUGCUAUGAGUUAGUGAGAGAGAGAAACAAAAUUUCUAAUUUGGCCCAUCAGAAGCAUAUCUGGUUCUUAAUAGGAGGAAAAUUAAUGAACAAUGGUAUCGAUGACCACAAGAAUGUUUAAAAUAUACUCAAAUUUCCAUAACAUAAAUUUGAUUUAAAAACUUUCGAGAAAAGAAAUGCAAGCAAAUAUAGACACAGUAGAUAGAAAGACAAGAAAAAAAGCUCUCUACUUUGCCAAGACAUUGUACAGAGAGGAGAAAACAAUUUAAAAGAAAAGCAAAAAAAGGAGUGGGAGGGAGCAAAAGAGAGAGAGAGAGAGAGAGAACCUUAACCAAUGAGCAAAAUAUAAAGGUGUUGAACAAACAGUUUCUUUAAUAAGACAAAGAAAGAGAGCUCGAUAAAACUUUCCAGAUGUAUAAUUUAUUUAAAACAAAAAAAUCUUAAAUAAUAGUAAUAAUAAACAUAUUCCACAAUCAGCCAAGUGAAAAUUCAAAUUGAGGAGAAACCAUGUCUUUAACUCACUUUAUCAAACAAACACGUAAUAUUUGUGUCUAAAAUCAAGGGAAGAAGAAAAAAACUUCAUAUAUGCAGUGAAACUUUAAUCAUAAGUUAUAGAAGUUAUUUAACAUAAGAAACGAAUGGGGCUAAUCAGAAAGCCUAACUUAAAGAUCCUAGAGAAUGGAUAGUUGUUAUGCAUGAUUUGAAAUAAAAAAAAGAGCACAAACCUUCUUAAAACUAAUAACCAUCGGGAGCCUAGUUUCCAUAAUUCGCUCAAACCCUUACAAAUUUGGAAUUGGAUCGCAGGAUCCUAAUCCUGGAUAAUUUGCGAUCCAAUUUAGUAGUUUCUGUAUUAUUAUUUUAUAGCUUAAAGCUGAACUAGCAGAGGCAGCUACAAUAACAACAAAAUUACUAACAAACACAUAUGUAUUUAUCGCUUUUUUAUUUUUCAAGAAACACUACUAGAUAUUGUUAUUAGUUUUGACAAAUUUUAAUUUUAAUUUUUAAAUUAAUUUAAUUAUCUCAUUAAAAAUAUUUCUAAUUAAAUUAAUAAAUAAACAAGAAGACUACCCCUAUUGUACUGCAUUCCAUAUAGAUAAUAGAUUACAUUUUGGUUCCCAUUCCACGAACCAUCUAUGUUCCAGGUAACUUUAGAUCAAGAGAUUACAUAAAUAAGGUCAUUGAUGCAAAUGUGUUGGAUCUCCCAUAAAAUUUGGGAACGUGGAUGAGAAAAAAUCAAAUUUCAUGCUCUUCAAAAUUCAUAUUGAGAUUUUGAUAAGAACAAAAUAAAAGUACCGAACACAAUUAUUUCAGCAAACCAGGCAAGCAAAGAAGCUUAGAAAAUUUGAAAAGAUCAUUGUCUGUAAAAAGCCAACGCAGAGUCAUCAUCACAAGAACCUUUACUAAUGUCCUCUCCAAAAAAGCCAAUAAUGAGAAUUUGAAAGCAUGCAAUAAGCUGGCAGGUAAGAAUUCCUGAUGCUUGUUAUCUAAUUCAUAAUUCUAAUAAUGUGUCUGCCAUCAGAGCAACCACAUAGUUUAAGAUUGUCUCCUUUCCGUAAGCCAGCAACUAAAAGAAAGGGAUGCUUGUGUUGCAUCUCUGAAACAUUAUCUUUCAUGAUCCAGAUUGCAAAUGCACUGCUGAUUGGGAUCAUGCAAUCUAAAACAUUAUUCAACAGGGAGUGGGGAAAAUUAGCCAACUCAGGUCCUUCCUUUCCCACUCAGUACUUGGUGGAUGGUUUUGUCUCCAAAACGAUGUGGGGAGAAAAGGAGAAAGAAAGGACAGUAGAGAGUAGAAACUAGAAUAAACCAUGCACUAGCAGUAACUGCUCAGUAUUUUAAUAAUCGCAUCAUCUUUUAUUAUCCAACACUAAUAACAGAUAUAGAUACGGGAAUGGCUUGAUAAAGCAGUCUCCCUCAUCUUCUAGGGCCUCAUUGGCAUCCCAUUUGCAGACACUAUACCGUGAAGCAAUUGUUGAUGGUCACCUUGAAACCACUCCAUUUAUGUUACUCCUUCUAAGUUCAAAACAUUAUCUCACAUUGAAACUAGAUCUAUAAAUGCAACUCGACCAUUUAAAUAUACAGUGUGAAUAAAUAAAACUGAAUAGUCCAAUAUUUCUCUAUUCUAUAAUGGCCAGUCUCACUAAACCCUUCAAAUUUGCAUCCUAUAUUUAAGAUUGUUAGGAUCUAUAGACCUGGAAGAAUUUAAGAUUUUCAUAUUAAGAGAAUAUGGUUGAAUCUGAAUCAGAUAUUUCACUUUCAAAGCAAAAGAUUUCAGGAUUUAAACUCAGCAGUUACCUUUCAACCUAUGAGUUUAACCAGGUAUUACAACUAAUGAAAUGGAUUUGCCCAACAUUGCUGUCUUUGGCAGUGUUUCCACUAGUCAUUUAUCCUACUUGGUUUUUCACCUGUAUUUAUAUUUUUACUUUACAGUAGCCUCUCAAAUUUUUCAUACACACAAAGACACAUGCAUUACCGUUCAUCGUUCUACUCUAAGUCUCACAACUUCAUGGCAGAACCUUAGCAGAACCUAAAACAAUAACAAUCUAAAUUGACAUAUAAAUGCAUGUUCUAAUUAUUCGUUUAAAAAAAUGAGAUUGGUGGCACUGUAAAGACAACUAAAUUUACUAAACAUAAAUUUGAUUCAUACCAUGCCACAUGAAUGCACGAUUGAGACCGUCAGUGCCAUGUGAAACAAACUUACUGCACCAAAAGAACAUGCCUAGCCCACCAAAGCAUGUAUAAUCCUGCAACACAGCAUAUGAGAUAGAAUCUAGAGAAUCAAAUCAACUGCCGCAGCCCAUACAAAAUGAAAACAUAAACAAUGGGAUUUAGAAGACUUGGGUUUCAUUCAAAUCAAAGAAAAAUACAAGUUCUCGCUCUCCUGCUUCAAUUCUGGAAGGAAUUUGAAGCUGUGACAAUUGAACCAACGAAGUUUAUGCAAGGGGAGUUUGUUUGCAUGCAGUUUCUCGGCAACCAAACAUGGAAAAUGUAAGAAAUGCACGCAAAGCAAAUUGAAAGAUAAAAUAUGGAUGGAGAUUAUGAAAUUACGAUGUAACUGGAUUUUGCAACAAGAUUUCUUGUGUAUGUGGAUGUCAAUGCUUCCAAUGGCUAAGAGUAUAUAAUAAGUUCUCAACGAAAUUUGCUCAGGAAAGGCGAAAAAAGGAAUAUAUCAAGAAAAUUGGAAAAAGAAUAUACCAAGAGACUUGAGAAUAUAUAUAAGAAAGACUCAAACAAAGCUUCCGUGUCUGAAUAUCAUUUUUAUGCUCGGUUGGAAACUGCUACUGCUUGACGGAUAGAGAUGUUCUGUUCCUUCUGCUACUACUCUCCGUCUUACCCUUUUCUUUCUAACUCCAAACAACAAUAACGAAAUUAAAAAAAAAAAAAAAAUCAACCAUGAAAACAGUAACAUAUAUCACCACGUGAGCAUCACGUGACCGAUUGCCCUCGUUUGCUCAAUAAAUAGACCGAGUUUUAUCACUAGGGUUUAUUCAAUUUCAGCCGCGAUGCCAUUGCCAAGCAGUACUCAGGAGAAACUGCAGCAAUAACCUAGGUCAGGCCUUCAAUGUUCAAUCAUAAAGUUUUCAUUGUUUUCCCAUUUCCAAAAGUUCUAAUAGAGAGAAAGGGGCUGAGGCGAAUAGGGGAGAGCAGCAUUUUCAUCAGUGGCUCUUAAAAUACCUGUGGGUUCUCUACAGGCUGCCCUGCCUUUCCAUCGGCCCUGCACAUCAAACUUUUUCAAUGGCAUCAUAGUACGGGUUUUGUGCUUUCUUUUGCUGUUGGGUUUUGGUCGUCAGAAUGGGAUCUUUGGUUUUCUUUACCAAUUUCCCUUCUUUGACCUACCCAUCAGUUUCUUUCACCACAAUCCCGCCUCCAAACGCCAUUACAUCUACAUGAAUACCACUGCUUUAAAACCUCUUUUGAUUCUCCUUUUUCAGAAUUUGAAAACGAAAAAUGGGUUUGAAUUGGUUAUAUAUGAAAAUGGUUAUGGCAAAUUUCAAGGGCUUUUCUAGAUUUGCUUGAUAACAAAUAUCAUAAUUUUAUUUAAAGUUCUAGCUACUGAGAAUUCGUGGCUAGGGCGGCUGUUACUUGCUCUGGAGCUCUAUUUUUAGUUCUGAAUAAAAUGAUCAUGCCCUUGGAUUAAGUAAAUGGUUGAUGCUAAAAAUCGUUAAACUGUUGGUUCAAUAAUAGGUAAUACAUUUGAAUUGGUUCAGUAUAGUAUAAAAUCAGUAUAAGCCUAUAAGGUUACGUAGCUUGAGUCUGCUAGUCACUACAAAGCACAAAAACGAGAACCAGUUUCCGAGGAAUAAAAUUCAGAGUUCCCCCAUGACAUUUGAUUAUGAACCUUUUUGCUCCCAACCAAACUUGCCCUUCUCCAAAGCCCAAUCCUCAAUCAUAGCCUAAAGCACAUAGCAAGCAAGCUCCCCAUUUACUUUCCAAACUUUUCUGUCAGCCAUCAAGAACUUCUCAAUUCCUUCUCAUUUUCAUUGUCUUCACCCAUGCUUCUGUUGACACCACACCAUCCUGUAAUCAUAGAGCCCUUGAUACAACAACACCUUACUCUUCUUCACCAAGGAUUCCAUUAUGUACUUCACGCUCUUCAUCACAUCUUCAUGCAAUGCAGCCCUAAGAACAUCACUGCACUGUCGACAACCAUUGACUAGUUCACUCGUAAUGCUUUCUUUACCUUAGCUUUGUUUCGAAACUCGUCUGGUAAACUUCUGUGGUAGGGCUUUCUCUGUUUAAAGUCAUGCAAAAGUGGCCAAACCUGUCAUUUUUUACAACAGAUUCAACCCCUUGGUUCUAGGCUUCUAGCAUCUGUUGCCUCACUCCAGUUCCCCAUCUUAACCAAUUUAGCUCCCUCCCAUUGUGCUUCCUCUAGUUCUCCUUUCUGCCUCUCAUUAACCAUCACUAAAUAGCAAGCAUUGUCAGCAUAAUUUGCAAAUUGGGUGAUCGGGUCCGUUAACCCAUCACCUAUAACAAGACCUCUCAGGUUCACUCGUUUUGAAACUGGCAGAUGCAGAUUUUUGUUGAAAAUGUAAUAUACCCAAUUGCAGGAACAUAAUAUCCUGCAUAACUCUCACCGGUAACAUAAAUAAGACGAUGCUUAAACGAAGGAUCUAAUGAGAUAAAACUUGUAAUUACAGCAAAAAGAUUCUUAGCAACAUAAUCUUGGUCCUGAGGAUGUUCUCAUGCCGUUGAAGUUAUGCUAAACUCUAAACCCUGUUCCAAUAGGAUUAUCAAGAAAAAGAAACCAAAUAAGCGAUUCUAAGCCUGAAAUAGCUCAACAGACAAGUGCUCCGCAUUUUGCCCGUUAGAAGAAACAAAAUGCCAUGGCCCAAGCUCGAAGAAGUUUCCAAGGUGCAGUCAAAUGAGAAAUCGUGCUUUUGCUAGGGGUGAGCUGGGAUUUCUAGCUUCAUAGGUGUAGAAAAUAGCAGAACUAGCAGUAGGAUUGACUGGGAGGUAACCCGAUUUAGUGGGACGGCUCCUUUGGGAAAGAGAGGAGUUGAAGUACUGUGAUGAAGCAUGGAGAGGAGGAAGAAGAAGAAAGCAUUUGUUGACUCCCUUCCCAUAUUUGUUAAGUGCUCCUUAACUUUUAGUGAUGGUUCGUAAUGUUCUGAUACACAUAAGAGCUAGUUGCUUAAGAGUGUGGCAACACCGGAAGACUCCUUGGCUUCUUUCAUGUACACGUCCUGCCCUGGUAGUGCAACAAAAGAGAAGUUGAGAACUUUAAAAGCAGUGGUGGACACUUCAGAAUUGAGCACCGCUGGAGUUUUUUGUUAGUCUGGGUAAAUUGAAAUCGUCAUUUUCAAUUUGAGUUACUUUUGAUUUCUUUAUCUUCUAAACUGUGCCUAAAUCAUUUCAUUUUUAAUAUUGUCAAACGCUUGUCAUUUAAUUUUAUUUUCCAUUUUUUUCUUUUCCUCUUUCAUCAGCAGUUGAAUCAACAAUUUAAUCAUUCCAUAAAAUAAAAACGAGGUAACAAACAAUUCUCUUUGCUAUAUAGCUCAAAAUGAAACAGUCAUCAUAAUUGAUUAAGUAGCCAGAAAAGGUCAUGGAUGUAUCUAAGACAAAGAACUCCUUCAUUUCAAAUUAAAAUUUCCCAUUUGAUUUUGAGAUAUUCCAAACCGCUUAAAUUUUUAGUUUUGUUAAAUAUUGAACUUUUUAUUGAAUGAAAUUGAUCACGUAGUUUAAGACUGCCAGUCAAUAGAAAGCAGAACAACAGGAACAUGUUUUAGAGCAAUACAAUUCAGAGUGAUCCUCUGAAAUUUGAUGUUGAUGAACCUUUUUUCUGUCCACCAAACUGGCCCUUCUCCAGAACCCAGUUCUCAAUCAUAUCCUGAGAAUUCAAAGCUUGGUCGGCAGGCAAAAGAUGCCCCGCCCCCAAAACCACAACAUGGGUUAAGCUCCCCCACUUUUGCACAUAUCCAGCAAGCUCUCCGUUCACUUUCCAAAGCUCUCUGUCAGCCAUCAAGAAUUUCUCAAGUCCUUCCCAUUUCAUUGUCUUCACCCAUGCCUCUGUUGAUACCACACCAUCUCUUAAAUCAUAGAGCCCUUGAUACAACAGCACCUUGCUGUUCUUCACCAAGAAUUCCACCAUGUACUUCACGCUCUUCAUCACAUCUUCAUGCAAUGCAGCCCCAACGACGUCACUGCACUCCUCGAAAACAAUCGAUUCAUUCACUCGCAAUGCUUUCUUUACCUCAGCUAUGUUGAGAAACCUGGUUGCAAACUGUGUCUGGUAAGGCUUUUUCUUUGUAUAGUCAUACAAAGUGGCCAAACCUGUCAUGUUUUGCAGCAUCCUCAAGACCCUGGACCUAGCAUUUGUUGCCUCACUCCAGUUUCCUAUCUUAACCAACUCAACGGCCUCCCUUUGUGCUUCCUCUAGUUCUCCCUUUUGCCUCUGGUUGAUUAAACCAGAAUAGUAAGCACUGUCAGCAUGAGUGGCAACCUGGGUGAUCGGAUCUGUUAACCCAUCACCUAUAGCAACACCUCUCAAGUUCACUCUUUGUGACACUGGCAAUUGGGGAUUUUUAUUCAAAAUGUAAUACCCAAUUGCAGGAACAUACUUUCCUGCAUAACUCUCACCAGUAAUAUAAAUAGGACGAUACUUAAACAAAGGAUCUAAUGAGGUAAAACUUGUGAUAGCGGCAAAAAGAUGCUUGGCAACAGAAUUUUGGUCUCUAGGAAUCUCCUGGGGCGUUGAAGCUAUACUAAACCCUGUUCCAAUAGGACUAUCAAGAAAAAGAAGACCAAAUAAGCGGUUCCAAGAACCUGGAUUGCGCUUGAGAGACAAGUGGUCAACGUUUUGGUUGUGAGAAGAAACGACCCACCAUGGUCCAAGCUCAAACAAGUUGCCGAUCAUGGAGGAGCAGCCCGGGCCACCUUGGAGCCAAAUGAGAAGUGGGGUGUGGGAGAGAGGGGAAGUGGGGCUUUGAGCUUCAUAGAAGGAGUAGAAAAUAGCAGAACCGGUGGCAGGAUUGACCGGUAGGUAGCCUGAUUUGGUGGGGAGGGCUUCUUUGGGGAACAGAGGAGUGGAAGAACUGCGAUAAGGCAAGGAGCAAAGAAAGAGGAGCUUGAGGAGGAAGAAGCAAGCGUUUGCUGCUGUUGACUUGAUCCUUGCCAUAAUCGUCACGUGGUUGUAAAUUGGAGCCUCUGCUUCUAAUAUUGUGAUGCAUACUAUAGCAGAAUCUUUUUCCUUUUUUGUGCUUAAAUAAUAAAAAAAAAAACCUCAGAACUAUUUAUGUCUGUUUGCAACCACGUAAUUCCCCUUACUUUAAUAAAGGCUUCGUAGGCUAUGUGUGAAUAGGUUGGACUACCCUAUUGGCUUGUCUUGGAUUAGUGACUGUAUACAUAUGAAUUUGAGAAUAUGCCUAUGUACCGUGUAUGAAAUUCUGGUAUUUGACAUGCUUAAGGGUUAAUAAAUGACUAUGCAUAUGCAUAGGAAAAUAAGCAAGUGGAAUUGUGUCAACUAUGUAUAGACACUAAGGUAUGAUUGGUAAUGUGAAUUUCUUGAAGUUUGGUAAGGAUUUAUCAUUUUAAAUUGAAAUCAACAUUAUGAGAAUAAAAGUUCAUUUGUUAACAACAAAAUAACUUGUUGAAAGAAAACUUUUUACGUAUAAAAGAUUUUAUAGAAAAAUUUAAUAUUUUUUAUUAUUUAAAUAAAUUAUUAAAAAUAUUUUUUUGUUAUUUGAGUUCUCUUAUGAAAAAUAUUUUUUACUAUUCAUUUUGAAAAAAAAAUAAUACAUUAUCAAUUAAAUUAAACUCAACAAAUAUUAUUCAAAUAUAAUAAAAAAAAAGAAAGGUUACUUAAAUUACAUACAUGUUAAAAAAAAACUUAUUUUUGAGGGAUUAAGUAUAGUUAACUAAUCUCUAAGCUUCAAACUAAUUCAAACUAAUAUGAUAACUUGAAUUUUGGAAUCUAAAAAUCAAAGAUCUGCUCUAUGGGUAGGUAGUACUGCCUUUGAUAGCAUCAGUUGGAACUUUCUUGAUCAUGUGAUGGGAUUCAUAGGGUUUGGAGUUAAAUGGAGGCGCUGGAUUAAGGACUGUAUUUCCAUAGUUAAAAUUUCUAUUCUUGUCAAUGGUUCACCAUCGAGACAAUUCAAUAUGGAAAGGGGCCUCCGGCAAGGAUGUCCUUUCUCUCCUCUCUUGUUCAACAUUGCAGGUGAAGCCCUCAGUGCCAUGCUAUGUAAAGCUGAGAGUAUCGGGAUUUGCAAAGGAGUCAUGAUUGGGAGAAAUGGCUUGUCUCUUACACAUCUACAAUAUGCAGACGACACAAUCUUGUUCUGUGAUGCGGACCUUGAAAGCUUAUUAACUCUGAAGAGGAUCCUUAAAUGUUAUUAAAGUGUUUCUGGCCUUAAAGUCAACUUCACAAAAAGUCAUCUUAUCGGGAUUGGGAUUAAUCUGAUGUUGGUGGGAAGAUGGGCUGAGAAGAUCAUGUGCAAGGUAGGAUAUCUACCCACCACCUAUCUCGGGCUCCCCUUAGGUGCCAAGCAUAACUCAACUAGAUUUUGGGAUCUAGUCUUGGAAAAAGUGAGGAGAAAGCUUGCUAGUUGGAAGACUAAAAUGCUUUCAUUUGGAGGCAGGAUCACUUUACUCAAAUCUAUCUUGACUAGCAUGCCCGUGUUCUGUAUGUCCCUAUUUCAAGUUCCUCACAAGGUAAAGAAUGAGCUUAAAAAACUACAACGCAAAUUCUUGUGGGGAGGGGAUGAUCAAAAAAGAAAAAUCCAUCUUGUCAAAUGGGAUAAGGUUUGUAACUACAAGGAUUGUGGGGGUAUUGGUAUUACAGAUAUUGAGAUUAAAAAUCGUGCUAUGCUUAACAAAUGGAUUUGGAGGUAUGGAAUGGAGAUUGACAGUCUUUGGAGAACGGUGAUAGUCGACAAAGGCAGCAGCAACCCUUCUAUUCUUUUGCCAAACACGAGUGUAAACAAGAGAGUUUCCACCUUAUUGAGGCACAUUAUUAGUCUCAUUUCCCCUUUUAACAAGUUUUACUUGUAGGUUGUUCCUAACUUUGGUUUUGCAGUGGGUAAAGGUGAUAAUAUGCUCUUUUGGAGUGACGAAUGGAUCGACGGGAUCAUUCUGAGUCAAGCUUUCCCGAGAAUUUUUGCAGUGACUGUUAAUAGGUAGUUAAUUUCGGACAAUGGGAGGAUGACUCUUAGGUUUGAAGAUGCAAAGAUGGCUUUUCGAUUGGGAAAAUGAGUAAUGGGAGCUUUUAAGAUUUGUUCUAAAGGAAUUUCAGUUGAGUAAAGUGUUAAAGGAUGAAUUAAUCUGGAAAUAUGAGGUCGAUGGUGUGUAUACUGUCAAAUCAUUUUGUAAACAAAUCAUGGCUCCCAAAGAUAAAAUUGAGAAGAUAUGGAAGUAUGUCUGGACGAGACUGGCGCCUUUUAGAGUGGAAGCGUUUUGUCUGGUUAUUGAUGCAUGGUAAGAUUAUUGUCAAAGAUGAGCUGGAAAAAAAGAUAUGUUACAAAAUAACCCCCUGCUUUGUGUUCUAUGUAAUCUCUAUAGAGAAACUUGUUGUCACUUGUUUAUUGAAUGCAAAGAAUCAUGGAAAGUUUGGGUUGGUUGCUGGAAGCUGUGCGGUUGUGAAUGGGUUAUUCCCAUCGACAUCAGAACCUUUUUUGAAGUGUGGAAUAAUUGUAACUGGGCCAAUAUUGAUGUUAGAAUUUGGAAAAUGGUGUUUUUUGCUAUUAUUUGGUCUAUUUGGAAAUGCAGAAAUGAAGUCAUCUUCAGUGGCAAGGAAUGGAAUGUUGACCAAUGUCUUGACUUAGUUAAAGUGAGAGUUGUUUCUUGGUCUAAUGCCAAAUGGCCAGCUGAUUACUCUUCAGUUCUGGACACUUACAAGGAACCGUUAGCUUGCGGUCAACCUAGGAAGAAUAGGAAGAAUAUUAAAAACAUCUUGUGGACUGCCCCUGAUGAGAGAACACUGAAGUUUAAUGUUGACGAAGCAACUCAAGGAUGCCCCGGACCUGCUGGUAUAGGUGGCUUGUUACGAAACUGUAAAAGGGAGGUCAAAAUUAUUUUUUCCAAACACAUAAGUGAAGCCGACUCUAACCUUGCCGAAUAUAGAGCUGUCAGGGAAGCUUUUGCCAUCUUUGUUGCUUCUAAAUGGAAGGAGGAUUACAGCCUGCUAAUUGAAAGCGACUCAUGUAAUGCGGUUAAAUGGAUAAAAGCCCUUGCUUCAGCACUUUAGAGACUUAAGAAGUGGGCUUUACAGAUUGAGAGAUUUAAAGAGAUUAUUGGCAACUGGAGUAUUGAGCAUACUAAAAGAGAUGCCAAUCAAAAAGCAGACAAGCUUGCAAAGAAUGGGGUCCAUCUUUCACAUGAUAUCCUCUGUGUUUUUUAGUAAAAAACUCUUUUCCCUUUUACUUCCAGUGCCUGUUUUCAUCCCCUAGAUGUUGGUUCUGCUAGCUUCUACGACUUCUUCCUGAAGUGCUGAUUUUUCUGAAUGGUUGCGUAUUGCUGGCUCCUGUCCCUACAACAAGUGGACUACAACCCCUUUAUGCCCAUUGUGUACCUUUAGGCUGGUGGAUAAUUGGAGGUGCUUUGGACUGAUGGGUCUCACAAGGCUGAAAGAGUGGAGCUCUGUGUUGUCAACCAAUGACCAAAAGAGAUGAUUAAAGUGUAAAGGGGAGUUUCUAUACUUUUGUUUUUACCUUUGCAGAUUUUGUUUAUGAACAGCUUGAUUGUUUUGAUGUUUUGUUAUGAGAUAUGUCUGUUUGUUUGUGGUUGUGUUAACCUCCUUUUGUUUGAUGGGGGAUGUUUAUGCUACCUUUGUGGGGAUGGCAGGGGUGGUGUCGAUGUUGUAGAUCAGUUUUUUAUUCCUCUGUAGCCUUUCCUGUUGGAUUGGAGGUUGGGCUUCCUCCUUGAUGAUUUAUAGCUACGCUUUUUUUGUUGAAUGAACUAUCAGCUUUUCAAAAAAAAAAUUUAAAGUAUUCAUGGUUGGCUUUGAAUUUUUAUACCAAACUUUUGAAACCGACAACAAAUCUUGAGAGGAAAAGGUUAUUGAAAGAAAAAAAAGUUUUCUUUUGAGAAAAAAAAAGGAAAAAAAGGAAAAAAAUAGGAAGAUAAAGAAAAAAAAGAGGAAAAGAAAGAGAGUGGGAGGUGCAAGUCACUAAUGGCCGCUACAAUAGGAGAGAGAGAAAGCGUUUUACUAACUAAAAAGAGAAAGAAAGAAGGAAAGAAAGCAAAGGUUGUUGGUCAAGAAAACUUUCGAUGCUACUAGCAAUGGUGGAAGGAGGAAUGAGAAUUAACAGAUCAAGUGAGAGAGAAAAUGGAUUGGGAUAGGGAGGGUCAUGACACAGGGAAGGGAAAGGAAAUGGAACGUCGAUACAAAGAGGGAGCUUAUGUUUUGAAAAUUGUCUUAUGCCAUUUCAAAACGUGAGACAAUUUACAGGAUAAAUGGGUCUUUUUCCCAUUGACCCGUAAAAUGUUUUCAAUUUUGAUUUUGUUUUCAAUCUUUCAAACAACCUUUGCUCCUGAAAAAGUUUUUCGGAAAACAUUUUACUGCAAAACAAACGGAGCUUAAGCUAUGUUUGUUGACUUUUGGAAGUUGAACGAGGUAAAAAUGAGUUUGGAAGCUUAGGAAGAUAAAGUAAGCCUAAGUGAGUAAAUGUUUAAGUGUUUGGAACCAUGAAAUUUCUAGAAAAUGGAGCAUGUCUUGAGACCAACCAAGAGGGUCUCGAUACAUAAGGCAUGGCAUUCUGGGAAAUUGACCAUGGGACAUGAUGUCUCAAGACCCUAAGAAGAGGUCUCGAUACAUGGAGCUUAUGCUUCUAGAAAUAGGCAAAUUGCAUGCAAGUUUCGAGAUCAAGGGGAAGGAGUCUCGAUACAUGGCUACAUGUGUUCUAAUUAAGGGUGUUCUAACCUUAAAGUUUUGUAACUUUAACAAUAGGCAUCAAGACCUACAGUGAGAUUUGAAAAAAAAAUUUAUAAAGCUUUGGGUAAUUUGCCCAUUUAAGAAGUUAGAGGAAAUAAGCUUUGUAUUUCUGCUAAUGUACUCCCAAGCUCUCCACUUAUGCUUGGACCUCAUUUGAAGCAUUUAGAAGCUUAGAAAUCCGUAAUUAAGGUAAGAACAAGCUUCCUAGUUGCUUAAACUAUGCUUUGAUUGGUUGUAAGUGGAAUUAUGUUUAUACUUUAACUCAGCAGCAUUCCCCUUGAGUUAAUGGAAUCCUGAAGUUAAAGUUGGUUCAAUUUGACUAUCAAGAUAAGAAUCUAACUACCUUGAACACUAGAACCCUUGGUUUAAGAAGUUGGAAGCUAUUAGUUGGAUUUGGAAUCUGAUCUAAGUUUUAAAUGUUGGCAAUAAUUUGAAGUUAAUAAUUUAACUUUUGUAUUCUGUUUAGGGGAAAAUUCAAGCUCAAGAUUUGUUAGUGAGCAAGCAAAGCUCAAUUUGCUUAGCUAGUGGAGAUCACUUGUUACAGUGAGUAGGGCAUUGUUUUAAAAUUUGUUUUUUGCAUAUAAACUAAGUAUGUGAAAAGUAUUCUUCCUAGCACCUUAGGUUAGAAGUAAUAUGCCUAGCCUUAAUAUUGUUAUGACGAUUGAUCUUGACUCUGUUAGAGAACAAAUUCUAUUUUGUACGAAAGCUACAUGUAUAUAAGUGUGUGUGCGUGUGUGUAUAGAAAUAUCUUGAAAAUGGAAACAAGCAUCUUAAAAAAAAUGUUUAACCAUCAAGUGGUUUUCAAAAGCAUCCUGCUAUGAUUUUAUGAAAGCCACACAGUGGCAAUUGGGCUUACUUUUCUUUGAAACCGAGGCUAUGGUCUGUCGGUCUUAAUAUUCUGUUUUGAACUAGCCGAAAUAGCUUGUUGUUCUAUACUAGGAAUAUUGGAUGAACAUUAUUGCUUUUGCCUCUAGAUAACCCAUUGAGAAUUAUUACUUUGUAUUAAGAUAGAUGUUGAGCUAUUUGCCUAAUAAUUAUGCAUUCAGAGAUGCUAAACUUCUGAAAUGAAUACUUGCACAUAAGAUAAUAGUUUAUUGUGAUUAAUGAUCUGAUUCCUUCUGAUGGAUAAGAUUCUGGGUGAUAUUAUAGCCAUGUUAAAGGGAGUUCCUACCCCAUAAUCUUGUUUACCAUCCAUGGCUUCGGCAUCGAACAUGUCUUGUUGCUCGAGAGGCUUCUUGUUAUGUAACCAUUCAAUUUUGCCUCGUAGUCUUGUUUUACCAUCAAUGGCUUUGGUGCCAGAUGUGUUUUGUUACUCAAGAGGAUCCCUUUUAUAUAACCAUUCAAUUUUGCCCCGUAGUCUUGUUUUAUCGUGGGUGGCUUUGGCAUCAAACAUGUCUCGUUACUUGAAAUGAUCCCUCUUAUAUAACCAUUCGUUUUUACCCUGUAGUCUUGUUUUACCAUCUAGUGGCUUCGACACCAAACGUGUCUCAUUACUCAAGAGGACCACAUUAAUUGAUCUUGUUAAUUGCCCAUGAGCAUUUGAUACUCGUAGUAAGUAUACACUAGUUUUUGAGUUGUAUGCCCAAGAGAGGCUUCUUGUUGAUAAUGGCUCAAUGAUUUCAGAAAAAAAAAAAGGUAAAUGACCUCAUUUGGUAAGUGUCGGUUCUGGACCCAACUUGGAAAAUUUUAGCUAAUGGUGGGCCUCCUGGUCAACCAUUAUUUGGUAUUUGUAUUGGAUUACGUAUAGGGAUACCAAUGAGUAUCCUAUUACAGGACACCUAUAGAUACCCAACUUAGAAAUAUAGAGUUAGGUAUCUUAUAAUCAAGUUUGGGAUGUGUUUACAUAGUAAUUUCACUACUCAUAUUAGAUUGGGUACUAUCCUUUGGGUACUUGAUACCCAAACCCGAUUAUGUUUAUAUUUGGGUUCUUCGAGUACCCAAACUCAACCUGAACUCGAUACCCAUUUAUAAAUAUUUUUAUUAUUAUUUAUAUAAUAUAUAAUAAAUAAUUAAAUUAAUAUUUAAAACUUUACAAACAAUUCAUUUUGUUAGAAAUUAACAGACAUAUGGGAAGUAUCGUUAGUCAAAUUAUUAAUGUGAUAUCAUUAAUAUAUUUAAAUUAAAAUGUUAUUAGAUUAUUAUUUAUGUUUAAAUAAUAUGAAUAUCGUAUCAUAUUACAAAAGAAUAUAAUUAUUGUUAUAUAUAUACUUUUGAUAUAAACAUAUUUAAUUUCUAUUUUGUGUUAAUGUUACAAAAAUUAUAACGUAUAAAAUUAUUAAUUAUAAUAUAUAUACCUUUAUUUAUAUAAACUUAUAAUACACACACACACCUAAAGAAAAGUUAUGAGAUUAGAAUAAAUUUGAAACUUAGCAAUUUUUUUUAAUUCCAUGUAAUUAAGGACAAAUUUUUAUAAUUUUUUAAAUUAAUUCAUGAAACUAUGAUUAUUAAUUAAUGUGUAAUGUCAUUUAAUAUAUAUACUAUCUAUAUUGUAUUAAUUUAUAAGGAAUAUAAUUACAAUUANNNNNNNNNNNNNNNNNNNNNNNNNNNNNNNNNNNNNNNNNNNNNNNNNNNNNNNNNNNNNNNNNNNNNNNNNNNNNNNNNNNNNNNNNNNNNNNNNNNNNNNNNNNNNNNNNNNNNNNNNNNNNNNNNNNNNNNNNNNNNNNNNNNNNNNNNNNNNNNNNNNNNNNNNNNNNNNNNNNNNNNNNNNNNNUAAUUAAGGACAACCCUAUAUAGUUUAUUAAAUUAAUUCAUGAAAUUAUGAUUAUUAAUUAACUUGUAAUGUCUUUUAAUAUACAUAUUUUAUAUAUUGUGUUAAUUUAUAAAAAAUAUAAUUACUAUUAUAUAUAUACACUUUAAAUAUAAACCUGUUUAUUUUCUGUUAUGUGUUAACAUUACAAAAAUUACAACUCAUAAAAUUAUUAAUUAUAAUAUAUAUAUCUUUGUUUAUAUAAACUUAUAUAAUACACACACACACUUAGAGUGAAAUUGUGAAAUUAGAAUAGUUUUAGAAACUAACUAUUUUUUUAAUUAUAUGUAAUUAAAGAUAAACCCAUGUAGUUAAUUAAACUUAUAAUGUUGUUGCCUUGUUGUUAUAAACUUGUAAUGUUUAAGUUGUUGUUUCAAUAAUUAUUUUUAGUUAUUUACGUUGAUAUUUGAGAUAUUUGUUUUUGAUUAUUUAAAUGUAAAUUUUAUUUUUUGUGUGCUUUUAUAAAUUUAAUUAUUAGUGAAUUAUAUAGGAUAUGGAUGAGAAAUAUUAUUGUAUAUGAAUACAGAUACAGAUUUGGGUUCGAGGUAAUUAGGUACCUAUGAAGAGUAUUUUAAUAAUUUUUUUACAUAAUCAGGUUUUUAAACAAAUUUGUAUAAUUAUCGGAUAGUGGAUAUAUAUUAACGUUCGAGUUAAAGUAGUAAAUUUUAAAACUAUUUGUGUAGUUGUAAAGUUUGGGUAUCUCAUUUAUUAAUUAGAUUCAAGUUUAGGUAUCUCAUAAUUAGCGGGUAUCCUAUUUGUUGACAUCUCUACUUAUAUAUGUCACAUUUAUUGUAAAUUUGGUGUAUCUCACGCAUAUAUGUACAAUUUGCUUAUUUCAGAACCGUUGUUUUUAAAAAUUAAAAAAAAAAAACUCUUCUAUUUUACGCUUGUUUCCUUCCACUCUCACUCACCAAGUCUGCGAGACUCACCCCAAUUAAUUGUUGCCUUGUGUAGAUAAAUAGCUUUAUGGGGGGUUUUCUUGAGGGAAGUGAGUGGCUAGCGCUCGUCUAGUAGAUCAACUUGUUUGGGCAUCUAGUAGGAACCUUGACCUGAUGAGUCCAUUCCACUGGUUUGGUAUUAGUGUAAGUUGUUUUUGGUUUAUUGGCAUCUAUGUUGCCACUAUGAUGUACAAACUUUAGAUUUGUUUUGCAUGGGCUUGAACCCAGUUUGCUGGCUGUAAUAUGGCUCUAGUAAAUAGUACAUGGAUGUACUCUUGAUGGAUUAAAUGUUAAGGGCAGUUUGUUAAAACAUAUUUGAACCUAUGCUAUAAAAUGAUUUAGUUAUGUUGUAAAUCUCUACAAAUGAUUACACUUGUUUAUUGGUUUGUCCAAUUUGUUGGAGGCUUUUUUUUUUUUGAAAGGUAAUUUGUUGGAGGCUUGCUUGGGACUCAUGCGUUGGCCACGAUUUUAGAUUUGGGUCAUGACAACUCAUAUAGUUUUAUUAUAUUCAAUUAAAUCUUUUUUUUCUUAUAUGUAUCCAAUUGAUUUAUUUUACCUAAUGAAAUUCUUAUCGCGUCUUGUAAUGAAAGCAUAAUUAAAGUUAUUUUCAAUGUUAAUUGUUAAUUGUUAGAAAUGUAAAAUCUAACAUGAUGUAAUAAUUAAAAAAAUAUUAUAUGAAAUUUCUUGUAACAUGACGUACCACAUCAGUUGUUUAAAUAAGAAUUGAUGAUGUAGUGUGCCAUAUUAACGAUUUUUGUUUUAUCUAAUCAAUAUUUCAUGUCAAAUUUCACAUAUACAUAAAAUGAUAAUUAUUAUUGAAAAAAACAUUCAUUAUACUUUCGGAACGAGAUAAGACUUAAGUUGAAUACAAUAAAAACUUAAUUGAAUAUAAGUAAAAGAAAACAAAAACUUAAUUGAGUAUGAUAAAAUAUAAUGAUUAAAUUAUAAAAAUGCAUAUAAUUCAAGAGCAUUUUUAUUAUUUAAACCUUUCAUUUUUUUUGCUUCAAAACUUGAAUUCCGGUCAUAUUUAGUUUGGUAACUAAUUUUCUUAAAAACAUGCUAUUCAUAAAAAUUGUACCUGUAACUUUAGGUUUUUUUUUAUAAUAUAUAAAAUUAAAAUAAAUAUAUUUGAUAAAAUUAUUUUUACUUGAAGGAAAUUGAGCUGAAAUUCUAGUUUUAUCUAAAGGUCGUUGUUAAUUGUGGCAAGUGGCAACGAAAGAAUCUUUAGUUGGUAUAGACAAACACGUAGGCUUAGUUUUACCUUGUCAUUUUAAUCACUGGUUUUUAUACAAAAUUUGUUUAUAACACCGUUGCUCUCAAAGUAUCGGAUACGGGAGAAUUUUAUUUUCAUGUGUUAUUUUGAUAUAAAUAUUUUAUUUUAUUUUUUUUAAUUUAAAAAAACACUCUUUCAAAACUUUUAAUAAAUUAGUUUUCAAAUUUAAAUUUUUAUAUAAAUAUUAUAUAUUUUUAUUAAAUUUUAAUUUAAUUAAAGUUACCAAGGUCAAAGUAAAAAAAAAGACCCUAAGAAGUCAAACUAAAAAUAAUAGAACAGAGUUAUAAAGGAAGAGGAAAAAUCUUCGUUUACUAACGCAACAGCCACAGCCGAGCUGAGGGUCCUUUCCACCUCUUCUUCAAAGAACGCACGCCACAUGUUCGAUAAAAUGUCUCAACAAUAAAAUAGGUUCCAUCUUAGAUAUACUUGAAAAUUUCAGAAACGACCAUGAUGCUCUACAAUCUUUAUGACGGCUUUAAGGAAAUUCUCAAGAUUCAAAAGUUCCGUAGAGUUGUUUCCUACACUGGAUUCUAUUGCUUUGUUGCUGUUUUGAGCUACGCUUAUACAAGCAACACGUACGUUCAAUUCUUAGUUUGGAUGCAUUUUCAUCAUCUUUAUCCGUUUUCUUUUAAUGGGUUUUCCUUGUUUUUGGUGUUUAUUUUGCAGAACUAGAGCUGGGUAUUCAAGGGCUGAUCAAUUCUAUGCUUCUUAUCCUGCUGGAACUGAGCUUUUAACUGACACUGCUAAGGUAACCCUCUUCUUUUUUUGUUGCAUUCCCAGUAUUUAAAUUUUAUAUAUUUGAUUAGUAUUUGCUUACUGUUUGGUUUGGAUAGUUAUAUAAAGCAGCAUUAGGCAAUUGCUUUGAGUCCGAAGAGUGGGGUCCGAUUGAGUUCUGUAUCAUCGCUAAACACUUCGAGCGUCAAGGAAAAUCACCAUAUGCCUAUCAUGCGGUAAGUUACAUUUUGUGCAUGUGCUCGCACUCUUUCACUAAUCCACUUAAGAUUUUCAUUGCUGGUAUGCAAGAUAAGGUUAUGUUUUCUGGUGUUACUUGAAAGUUGAGACCUUAAUUAAAUUGUGAUAAUUUUUGUGUGCAUGGUUCAUGCACAAUUUGGUUGUUACUUUAGAAAUUCAAGACUGCUGACUCUAUGGAAAUUUAAAGAUAUUGCAGCAAAUUGUGUCAAUUAUUUUUCAAUAUAAAUUGUGCCAUGCUUCCCAAGUUCUUGCUGGUCCUACUUUAGAAAAUGAUAUAUUGCCCUGAAAUGCCUUGUAAAACAAUCUGCCAUUACUUUUUUGAUCCUAUGGAGGUUCAAGCAGACCCAACUAAUUGACUUCUUAAAAAAAAAAAUUUGUGUGAUAAUAAAAGCAUGUUGUAAUUACAAUUCAAUGGUAGUAAAAAAGGUCAAAAGUUGAGUUUUGGGGUGCUUGAUUACAAUUCUAUCCAUAGACAGCAGUGUCAAUUGGGUUGAACAGAGGAAUAUUUCUUUUUUGUAAUUUCAGAUCGACAUGAUACUUCUCAUCUCCUUCUUCUGUCCCUUUUAAAUUUCACAAUAUCUAUUGUGUUUAUUCAUAAGAGGAGUUGCUCAACUUCAAGGCACCAAGGCACUUUGUCUUGGGACAGGUCAAUUGUCACCUUUGGGAGUGAAAGAACUUGGCUGUGAUAACAGGGAAAUGAUCAUGAAUAAGAUAUUGGAUUUUCAACUCAUCCAAGUUCUGCCUUACUGAAUGGGGAAGAAACACCACAUUGAUGACAAUGGGUUGCUGUAUUGAUUUCAGAUUGCAACCAAGGGGUUCAGUUUAUAUUUUCCGUUUCAGCUGGCCUAAGGUUUAUUUAUAUUGUACCUCUCAAAACUCUUUCCCUUGUUUUUGAGACACGGUGGUUUCUUUUCUCAAUCUCUCUUUCAAAUAGAUAUUAAGUUGCGUUUACAUUCGUUUGUUGAAAGGAUAGACAUCAGUGAUUGCUAUGCUGUUGUUUAGGCCUUAAAUCCACUCACAUAUCUCCCUUGGUCGUACACUAAUAUAUUGCCUCCAACUCUUUCCUCCUAUGUUUUAUUUUGUUUAUGACCUAAAACAUUCUAGAGAGAAAGAUCCUCAGCUAUUACUGAAAAAAUUGGGCUGCUGGGAACAGUGGCAAGUUGAGAACUCUUACACAGCCUCAGAACCAUCAGCUUAAAAUCUACCAAUGCAUCAUCCUUGGACUUUUUUGUUUGUGAAGCAAAACCUGCACGCUUAAAUCCACAUAAGGUCGCCCUUCUCUUGUGCUUUUUGAAUUGCUCCAGUGCCUCCCAAAAUUUUCCGUACAAGUUUGCUGGUUUCUUUAUGUUCAUGCAAUACAUCAAAAGUACUUUAAAUUGUUUUGACUUUAUAUAAAUUGGAAGAUGUUGGAUGCUAAAUUCUGAGCUUCUGUUGCUCACUAAGUCAUAUCUUGUUAUCUGGUUGCAGCAAUACAUGGCACACCUCCUUUCUGAUGGUCAACUUGAUGGAAGUGGCUAGAACCUAGAAGCGGUAAAAUUCACUGCUAGACGAAUGGAAACGCAUGUGCAAUACACGUGAAAUGGACUCAUGGUGGUCCUUAUACCAAUGAGGAGAACAGAAAUUAUCUUGUCUGUGAUGCCUAGUGGUUUCCUGUUCAACAUAAGAACUUGUGCUGACACCUUAAAUUAAGUGCCAUUGCACUUAAUCUUGGUUCCUUGGGAUUUUGGUUGGCUUUGUUUAGACUUUAGAGGCUAUAAUUUGCAGCAUUUGGGAAUUUGGCUUUCCAGGUUUUGCCGUCAAUGCCUAUAACAGCAGCCUAUAUUCUAACGCUAUCUGCAAUUUGCAGCAUUUAUUGAGGAUUACUUCAAACAACAAACAUAAUAAUAACAAGGUUUCGGUGGAAACGUGUUCAAUGAUUUCCUUGCAGUGAACUUUAUAAAGGAAUCAUGUGGGCUAAGGGCCUCGUGACCAUGGAGUAUGAUAAUGGGUUUGUUAUAUCUGGUAAGAGAUUGAUCAAAUAUAAGAACAUUAAAGAUUUAUCCAAUGUUCACCUUAUUAUUUGUUCAAAACCGGACCCAUAAAGUCAAAGCAAAAUACUUUACUUUUCCAAAACUCUCUACCAUUUAAAAAAUCAAUAUUUACUUUGAAUGGAGAAGAAUAUUAUAAAGCACUAAAUAUUAAUAUUAUUAAAAAAUAAAAUUUUAAUAUUUAUAAUUAUUACCUUCAAAAUUUGUUAAAAUUAGAGAUAUUCACCUACAAAUGAGCAUGUAAAAUUGUAAUAUUGAAAAAGCAUUUUUCAUUCUGAAAAAGUAAUUGUUCUUUUAAAAUUUCUAAAAUAAUAAAUUGAACAUUUAAUUUGAAAUGAAAGCUUUAAAUACAUUUAGUUAAAAUUAUAAAAAAAUAAUAAAUAAAAAUUAUACACUGUCAAUACAUCAUAUAUAAAUUCUUAAUUAUUUUAUAAGGUACAAGCUAUUAUAAACUAAUAAUUUGUGAUAGCAGUUGAUUUUGUUGUUAUUUUCACAGGACCCAAUCUACAGAUAAUUUCUCACCUUAUCAAACAUCACAUCAAUGAAUGAAGUUUAUAAAUGGAUGCAAAAAAACCAAAUAUAUAAUCACUAGAAGCUCAAGAUACAUGAGUGGGCUCUUUAAUGCAUAUCCAUAUCUGCCACCAAUUGAGGUAGAAAUGAUAUUGGAUUCACAGAUACAACAAAAUGCUAAAAAUGUUACUGUAAUUGAAUAUGCUUCAUUUUGAAUCAUGUGAAAAUGUCACUGAAUCCUAGUUAACUAUUGAAUAUUGACAGCAAAUAAGCUUUUAUCUUUACAGUAAUGGCCCAAUUCAUGACCACAAGAAUUGCCUCCCUAAAGUUGCUGCCAUUGAGAUGAGUAAAUAAUUUGUUAAACUUAAAAAGGCAAACAGGUAAGUAACUUCCUCUGAAGAGUCAUAAAUAACAGCUACAUGCUACAUCAGCAGGGUCACCACAUACUAGUUCAUUAAAGAGCCAAUAAUAAUUCAAGAGCUCGAGCAACUUUCCACAAUUUUAUGGCCUAAAAGACAGAUUAUGAACCUUCGAAAGAGAGUUGUUGACCUAGCAAAAGAAAACAAAGCACCUGCAGAUUAUCUUUGUCAAGCGCACAUUAUCAAGCACGUUAAGCCCCCACUUUCUGUACUUCAUUGUGCACCUGAAAAAGGGUUAGAGACAUAAGAGAGGAUACUAAACCCCUUUGUGAAGUGAAACAUUGAUAAACAGCCAUCCAAUAUAUAGUUCGGGAAUACAUACCUCACGAGGUUUUCGAAUGACACCAACACACCUUGAAGCACUGAUGCUAUCACUUCUCAACAGGCGACGAGCACUGCGUGUAGGUUUGGCAGACGCUUUAUGAAUCCCUGAAACAUUUGGGUUUGCACAUUCCAAUUCCCCAGAUCCUUGCAACUUUGCAGGGCUUUGAAGUGUUGCACGGUUAGCAGAAGCCACUGUACGCUUUUUUGAUUGAUCAUCAGUAUCUUCAUUGCAAACUCGCUCUCUGAGAAACAAAAGGUCAUAGCCAGUAUAAUAAAAGCAUGCAUUUAUACCAAGAAAUUGCAAAUAAGAAAAUAUUCCAGUAAUUCACCUAGGCAAAGACGUAUAUUUCCUUUGGAGCAGAAUGCCUCUUUCAUUUUUGCCGUAUUCCUCAAGACAGGCAAAUUGUCGCCUGAACUGAUCAACUCCGCUGGGUUGACAUAAAACACUUAAUUGAAUUAAUAUUCAAUGCAUUUAAAAUAAAGAGGGACACAAACAGUAAGUAAAGAUGCAAAGUUCAGGUAAUAUAAUCAUAUAACUAGAAGAUGAUAAAUCCUAUUAAAAUUUAGAUGAAUGGCCAGAAGAUUGUUGUGUUAAAUCAACGUUAAAGUUGUAUUAUAAUUCCUCUCUUGUGCCUAAGGUUUGCUCAACACUAAAGAUGCUUGCUGAAACGCAAGAAGGUUUCAGAAUAUUCUUUGAUGCAACAUGCUUAAAGUGGAAUCAAUCCCCACUAUUGUAAUUCGCAUAAUAAUUUACUAGGACUGAACUAACAAUGCCAUCUCACAAGUUGGAGGUGUAUAUGCCAGAAUAAGCUUUCCUAUGUUGGGAGAACAAUGUAGAGAUUUAACCUGAACUUAUGACAAAUAUUGCAGUAACAAGAACACAGACUGAUACUUUGAACAAUGAAAAAUGCAAAUUAGUGUUAAUAAUAACAUCAUUUCAUGGUGGAUGACAGUGUUCUCAUCAUGACCAUCUUUCAACAUAGGUGGCACUCCCUGUAAGUUCGUGCUAUCUUUUAUAGAAAAAAAGAUUUUUAGCAUCACUGUCAGCUCUGCAUCUAAAUUAACAAAUGAACUCUUUGAUGGAAAUAAUCAAAGAUAAUAAUUCAUCACUUUCUAUUUCAAACAGCUGAGACCUGGAUUCUUACUGUCAAUCAUCACAAUUACAAGGGUUCGAUCUUUAUGAUUUAUGUUUUCGGUAACUGUUCUAAACCAUCAUCAGAAAAAAUAGAUAGAUGCCUGACCUUGGAUACAUGAAGCUAAUUUGAUCUUUGCCUUGAAGGUACUCCUGCAACAUCUGUGGAUGGUACUCUAAUAUCUGUUUGCGUUUUAAAAAAUAAGAAGCAACACAGUAAACAAUAGUGAAAGAGAGCAUCAAAUUGACAAUAACAUCACUCAGGCAAGAACUAGUCUCUGAGUACAUGCAUACCUCUCUGUAAAUUAGCUCUCUGACGUCAUCUUCUGUCAAUUUCCUUCUUUCAAAUUCAAACUCAAAUUUUGAAAUGGGUUUCAGGGAUGGUUCAUUGUCCAAAUUUGCCAAUCCAUGGAAAUAUGGAUCAGCUAAUGCCUGCAUAAAGAAAAAUCAGUGAAGUUGGUAAAUCAUAGAGUAUGAAGUAAAGAGAUCCAAAUCUUAAACUAUCAGAACCCAUAUAGUUUACCUCUUCAGCAGAUGGACGAUCAUUAGGAUCAAAUGCAAUCAGACGCUUAAGCAAAUUUAGGGCCAUUGGAUCAGCAUUUGGAAAUUUUUCUGAGAAAGGAAUUGGUUUCUUUUUUCUCAUGCUAUUCAAAUAUUUUCUAGCCUUUUCAUUCCGAAUCUGCAGAUAUUAUAAGAGUCAAGAUGGUUGGAAAACAAGGUCUUGGCGACAUUUAGAAUAAAGCUACGAAGUAACUUAAAGAGGUUCCUAACAAGCGCUGAUGAAAAUUUUCUCUAAUCACAAAGGAGAUAGCAGACCCUUGCAAUUGUUUCAGCAGAGGGAGUGCCAAGCAAAUCAGUGACAAGAUCCAAUUGAUCCACCACAUUCUUCCCAGGAAACAAUGGCUUUCCCUUAAGCAACUCAGCAAAUAUACAUCCGAUGCUCCAAAUAUCAACAGCAGGGGUGUACUGCAGAAAACACAGGUUUUGAAUCAAUUAAUAAAGUACUUAAAGGACUUCAGCUCAAAAUUGUUCACCUGAAUAGAAUAUAAAGUAAAAUUCUAAAAGCAGUGUAUGUGUGUAUGAGAGAACAAAAAAGAAAACAGAGGAUUAGAAUUCAAAGAUAUGCUGAAUCAACAAACUCUUGCAAAGAAAGCAAACUGCAACAUCCACAUUCAUCAACCCAAAAAACUUAGAUACGCAAGAAAGCUUCUUCUCACCCAAGCACUAGCUAUUCUACCCCCUCAAGCAACCACAGCCACAAUUACACAACAACAUGAACUCAAAUAUAUAUUUGCCUGUAGCAUAAAAUCCCUAAACUAAACUAAAAUAAGACAGUUUAAAAAAAAACAAUAGAACUGACUAGCAAUUUUUAAGUGAAGAUCAUUAAUUGCAGUAAGAGAAAAAAUGAUAUUAUUACCUUGGAGAAAAAAGAACCGCACAAUUCAGGAGCCCGAUACCAUCGAGUCGCCACAUAAUCCUUGAAAUGUAAAUGUGAUGAUCAAAUGCGAAGGAUAGCUAACUUGGUAUAAACAAUGCCAAUGAAUAGCAGACAAGUCGUAUGGCAAGAAGGAAUCACUUACAGUCCAAAAAAUAGCAGAAGGAACAUCAGUAAAUGAUACCCGAGCGAGUCCAAAGUCACAAAGCUUCAGUUUGCAGUCCGCAUUAGCAAGUAUAUUUUUUGGCUUUAUAUCUCUAUGGAAAACAUGUGCUGAAACAUUGAAAGGAAAAGGUAAAAAAGUGCACAAAUUGGAGAAAACUCUACAGCAAUUGAUAUGUAAAAGAAAGCAACCUGUGUGAAUGUAUUUUAAACCUCGAAGAAGCUGGUACAAGAAAAAUUGAUGAUGUUCAGGGGUUAGAUCAUCAUUUAACUUUAUAACACGGUGAAGAUCAGAUUCCAUCAACUCAAAAACAACAAAUAUAUCUUUAAAUUCUCUUCUACAUGGGGGAAGCAUUAUGUGUUUUAUUUGAACUAUAUCUGGGUGUCGCAGCAGCCGUAGGAGUUUGAUCUCUCUAAGAAUGCGUGUAGCAUCAGAGGUGUGCUCAAAGAUAUUGGUCAUCUUCUUAAUAGCUACCUUCUCUCCAGUGUGAGUAUCUAUUGCAGAUGCAACCACACCAUAACUCCCUUUGCCAACUACUUCCUUUAUUUCAUAUUGACUUGCCUCACCAUAUUCAGUGAAAAAAUCUUUGUCAAACAUUUUCUGAUUAAAUAAAAUAACCAUUAGAUUCCCUCUGAAACAAAAUCAAUACACAAAACUUACACUACAAGUGUGCUCACAGCGUACUUGAAGUAAUACAAUGAAAGUGCGAAACCCUUAACAUUGAAUAGAUCUCAACCUUCUAAACAUUAGUUAUUCAGGGUUGCAUUUGGGAACUUGAUGAAAGGUGGAUUUGAAUUUCAAAUAUAGCAUAAGUUGUGCGGUAAUACCCAUGAAUGUAUAAGAUUUAUGAUUAUGCUCAAAUCCAUGGAUUUUGUUAGAUUUCUAUUACGUAGUGAAUUUGUACUACCGAGACUGGAAAAGUGAAUUUCAAAUAUAUCCCAUUACACUCUUUAAAAUGUUUAGGUGUAUGGAAGUUUUACUAAUAUUUUUAUACAGCAACUACACUCAUCUUCAUAAUUUAUGGAGAAAAUCAAAUCCAAAUUCACUACCCGAAAAUCUUGUUUCCAAACAAAGAACUAAAAUUUUAACAUCAAUAUUAUUCAAAGAUACGUGUUCAUGCAGACCUCUAGCAACACCAGCUAGUAAAUUAGAUGCAAACUUUAGCAUAUAGACAAGAUAAGGACAAAAACAUACACAUCAAAAACGAUUUUUUCCUAUCUAGUUAUAAAAUUUAGAAAUGUAAGAAUAAACUCUAUGAUUGGUAAAUGUUUUGAGACUUUAAAAAUCCCCAAGCAGACAUAUUACUUGUUAAAAAUCAAGAAAAGAAAAUCGACCCAAUAAGCUUGUAGGUAUUACCUUUAUUAUUCAAGUCCUUUUCAUCCUAAAGGCUAAAACAUCAAAAUUUCCAUUCUAUAAGCAAAACUUCAAAACAAUAUCACCCAUCAAGCAGAUAUUUAAACUCCACCAAACAGGGAAAAAAAAAACCCUAAAACUCAUUAAAAUAUAUAUAUAAAAAUAUUAAGGAGCAAGAAGAAAGAUUACUCUUUUUUUUUUUUGUCGGCGAACGACUCCAAGCCAGAAGCUGAAAAAGCUUGAAGAUUGGAGACACGAGCUUUAAAUAAUCACGGAGAGGAAGAUAUCAACUGCUCAAAUAGCACCUCCAACACCUCAUACGUAGAAAUACACCACGUAAGCGUAUAUUUAUACGUAUGUGCGCACAUAUCCCGAAUCAAGCGGAAGCUGACCAAACUUGAACAGGUCAAAACUCAACUGCUGUCAGAAACCCAUCGUUACUAUUUAUAUCAAGAUAUAUUAACAAAUGGAAAAAAUGGGAAAGGAAAAACAAUUACUAGUAGUAUUUAAAAAAAAAAAAAGAGAGAGACAUUACCUAAAAGGGUUUUUUGGGUCUGCUCGAAAUUCAAACCUUAUCUUAUCCCCACAUUUGCGGAAGCUAUAAAGAAAGAGGGAGAGAGGGGAUUGGAGGUAGGUGAGGUGAUGACGUCGUUUCAAUCAUACUGGAAUAAGAUCGCAAUUAAUAUUAAAUUGAUCAGAAGGAGAAAGCAAAGAGGAGGAUUUGGGUUUUGACGAGGCUGCGUACCACGCAAAACGCUGCUCUCUGCCUUUGUUAGGCUCCCUUCCUCCCAUAGCCAUUCGCCUAUUCGCGGCCCAUAACUCCAGUUUAACCGUGGCCAAUCGCCAGUGUGACAUGUCAUCGGACGAACGAGGUCGUGCCACGUAAGCCUUAUAUUCGUGUGUUCAGUGUUUAUUGCAUUGCAACGUGGAAGGUGUGGACCGGAAUCUGUUUGUUGUCGGUGUUAAGCGACAACAUGAUCUCGUGGGCACCAAUUUUUUUACGCGUGAUCACCAAAUUUUGACGUAAUCAUUAUUCGAUUUAAUCUUCUACACAUUUUUUUUUAUUUUUAAGAAAAGAAGGCACUUUAUUGAUUAAUCAUGCGUGGGGAACCAGCUCCCAAUUUGUCAUUUAACAAAAGAUGUGCUACAUCUGCAGGUGGGGCAUCAUAUGUAGCGAAAACAGAAACUAAAUCAAAGCCUAAUUUGGCCAUGAAAUCAGCGAUUUUGUUCCCUUCCCUGUAAAUAUGACUUAUGCUAACCUCCUAUUGUCUACUCAGCAAGUCUUUGAUUGCUCUUAUCACAUCUGAAUUGGAGCAAGGAUGCAUAGACUGAGUAUUAAGGGCGUGAACUACUGUCUUGUUGUCUACCUGCAGGUUAAUUCUUCGGUAACCGUGUUCCCAAGCCAGCUUGAGUCCUUGAAAAACUCCCCAUAACUCCGCACGGUAUGCUGUGCUUGUGCCUGAGUUACAUGCAUAUCCCAUUAUCCAUGAACCAUCUAAGAGUCGCAGUACUCCUCCAGCUGAAGCAACCCCCCUUCUACUCCUGUAUGCCCCAUCUGAGUUCAAUGCUAUCCAAUCCACUGGUGGGGAGACCCAGCCUACUAAUAUUCCUUCUUGCCGAGCUGGUCUCCCAUUUUGUAAUGGACAGGUUAACCGGUUAUUCCACGUUGCCACCGCCAUGCUUUUGAUAGUACUCAGCUGUCCUCCAAUGGAUAUUUCACGACCUUCGAAAAUGAAUGGGUUUGUCCACUUCCGAACAUACCAACAAGUUGUGCCGAAUACGAUGUUCCAGGGGACUUCAAAGAUGGAGGAAUUUUUUUGGCUAAGAUUAACGUAGAGCCAUUCUGGAAAUGUUGCUUGAAAGAAUUGGUGUGUAUGAUUUUGAGGCAGCAGACGCUUCCAAAGACCCGCUGCAGUUGGACAAUCUCUAAGCAAAUGAAGGCUGGUUUCGUCAAAAACAUGACAUUGCGGACAUGAAGUGUUAUGAAAUUAAAAAUUUUAUAAUCAUGAUUAUAUCAGUCUAUAACAUCAUUGUUAUAACAUAAUUGUUGAAAUUAUUCGCAAAUUAAAUGAAGUUAUAAAUUAAUAUAUAUAUAAAUAAAUAGAUUUUUUUUCUCUUCAAAUGAAAGUUGAGUUUUCAAUACCUUGAAUUGUCAUGGAUUUUAAAAAUAUUAAUGUAAUUGUCAUAUAUAUCAAGUCAAUUUUUUGCAUUGAAAAUACAGACUCUAAUAAUUUAAAUCAAUGUGAUAAAUUCAGAUCAAAAUGAUUUCCUCUCUAUGAGUAAAAAAAUUCUUACAAAAAAGCAACUGUCAAUAAAAAAUUAUAUAGGUCUUAAAGAUUAUAAAUAAAAAAUUUUUCUUUACUUAAUAUAUAUUUUGAUUGAAUGUGUAGACCUAUGACAGUAUUAUUCCUUGAAAUUAUUCCUUUUUUGAAAAAAAUCAUUUUCAUAUUAAAAAAUCCACUUUUCACUAAAAAAUUUCUCUCAAAAUUUUUUAUUUCUCAAAUUGAUAAAAUAAACAUAUUGCUCACCCUUUUGGUACGGAUUCUCGGUUCUUCCGUGAAAAUAACGCAAGUACUAUAUUAUAUCAGGGUUGACUUUAGGACAUGGAAGUAAUAAUUUAACGUUUACACGCAUACUAAUUUAAUUUUAUUAAUAAAAUUAGUAGCGAAGGAAUAAAAAUCAACUCUUGCUACUUGUUUUUAAAAGGGAUAGAGUCAAAUUUAAAUUCUUGUUAUUUUUAAUAAUUUUCAUUUUCAAUUGUAUCAAAACAAAAUUUGAACUGUCAAUAAAUACAUAUAUAUAUAUAUAGAUGACAUAAUAUAUCAAAUAAAAGAAGUUAAUAAAUCAACAAACCAUAACAAAUAAAACUCAAUAAGUAUUUACUUGUGUAUAUAAUUAUCUGGAGAAGAAGAAAAAAAUUCAAAACUUGAAAACAUUCACAAAAUACAAGGAUAGAGGUCAUACCAAACAAUUCUGCAGCCCAAUUAGGUCUGAAACAUUUUUCAGUAAACAACGAGAUGAAGGAAUCUUGGCUAAUCUAGAUACUGAUAAACAUGUGCUGCAAUCUCUCACCAAACGCUGCUAUUUGGACGACAAUUACCCAAUCCAAUGAAUCAAAAUGGAAGGAGUGAAGUUUGACUCCUACUUUUAUGUUGAAGAAACAGAAACACAAGUGUUGAGGAUAAAUAAGAUGCAUAACAGUAAAGAACUAUUGAUACUUUAGUUAACAAUAGAUUCCAUCAAUAAAUUCAAACCUUUGGUUAUAUUAAGAAGACCAAAGAUAUGGGGACAAGGAAAACAAACUUUUCCCUUUAAGUUUGAAUGGUUGACAAUAUUAAGACAGUAGAGAAUGACGCAAGUGAAGAGCCAGUGCCAAUAAAAGUGCACCAGUGCAUGGGAUCCUUGAACAGAGACCUGUAGCAUUAUAUAACAUCAGUUUUAAAGAAACCUCAGGUAAUAAUUUCUGCAAACACUAUUCUAAAUUUCUUCUUGCAAUUCCCUGAUGGCUGGGAAUUUUGGCUUCUCACUAUCAUCAAUGUCGCAGCUGAGCUUAUCAACCCCAAAACAGUAAGCAGUUAAGCUAGCUGAACAUAUAAGUGCAUGCUUUAGAGAUAAGACCACUACAGGGGAAAGGAAAACACAAAUUUUGGAUGUCCUAAAACUGUGAAGCAAGAUAAUGAGAAAUCUUGUAAUCUGUUGCAGAUACCAAAGACACUUAAAUGUGAAAUAAUACAGCAUGGAAAUUAUCUGCUCCACUAAGAAUCAGUAUAUGAUCAAACAUAUCAAUGCUGUCAAAAAAAAUGUAGAUACACUCAGGUAAACUGCAAGCAAGCAUAGAGCUCUAAAACAAAAUAAAUAAAGGCUCACCUUGAGACUAUAAAAGAUUUAGCCAGCAAGACAGCAUCAAUUCCCUCUCACUAGGAAGGCUAAUACGGAUGUGCCCCUUUCUUUACUGUUAAUUUUAAGUUUUCAGCAGCCCCCUGAUAGCUUGCGUUCAAUGAGAGAUUCAACCUCCAAUUGCUAUUUCUUUUCAAGCUAUUCUGAAUUUGAUGGAAAUAUAUUGGAAAUUUCUGGUUCUUUUAGCUGGGAUUUGCUCACAUUUCUCCGAACAUAAACCUUUAUCUGCCUCUUUUGGUGUUCCCUUCCAUGCUGCUCUAGAUCCAAGGGUGCAUUCAUGGAAUCUUUCACUUCGAUUGAUAGGGAUACAGCUGCCUCCUCACCACCAAAUUUUGCUUCCUUGGUCUUGCUUUCUAAUUCUAGAAGCUUUUCUGGUUUCUGUAACUCCUCUUCUUGCUUUUUCUCAAGCUCUUCUAUAUUUUUGGACAUACCAAGGUAAGUUUUUACUUUCAGCUGAGAAUUUUGUACCUCUCUCCUAGUAUAAAUCUUAGUUGGCUUCUGCUUGCUUUGAGUAAACCCCUCAGAUGUAGUUACUGGAAGUUCUGAAGGCCUUUGAGGAGAAAGCUUAAGUUUCUUAACAAGGAUCUGCCCUGACUCCCUGGAUUCACAAGAUGCUGAUAUUGAGUCUGUGUGCAACUUAUGUGCCUUCUGGUAAAUAUGUGUCCUCAAUUGUGACUGCUGUUGUGCUUGCAGAUCACAGACAAUAAACAAAUCCCUUUCUCCUUGAUGAAGCUUCCUUCGCUGCUGCCCUUCAUGCUCUAAAGCUUCCAUCUUUUCCUCUUCCAAUGGAUGCAUGGAACAUUUCCCAAGUGGAGUCUUCAACUUUUCUCCAUCUUCUCCAUCACAAAGGAAUACCAUCUUGCUUGUGAUGUCAACUUGCUGGUCCUGUGGGAGGCCUUGUUCACUACUCAUCUUACCUCGUUGUGGUUGCUCUUGUUCACCAAUCAUUACAACAUUAGAUUUCAUUACUCCAUCAGCACCCUUUGUUUGAUGUAGUUGCUCAACAUAUUUCUUCUCUUCUUUCAUCAUAUGCUGGGGAAUAUCAUCCUUUAAUACCUUUUCACUCCAUUUAAGCAUUAAGUCUCAAUCAGCUGUUUGUCAAAUCUUGUUGCACUUCAGUCACAAAUAUAUUUAACACUUGUGCCAACAGAAAAAUGUAUGAGCUAGUGUAGCUAUCUUUGUUUACAACUACGAAGUUAUAAAACCAGAGACAAAUAUAAAAUGCUCAAUUUGUAUGAAUAAGAAGUGCUUAUUUGUUCAAAGUUGCAAUAUGUGAUAUGAGUAAUCAUUUUGUUAGGUUGCAGUUUUAGGGAGUGUAUUUCAGGCACCAGCUGGAGUCUCAGUAGACCAUGAAAGUCAGAACUACAAAAUUAUCAUUCAUUUAUUUUCAUCAUGAAUUCUCUGGAAAAUAUUACGAUAGUUGCAAUUUUAGAACUUAACUAACAAAACAAGGAAACUUUUUCAAAUAAUGUUGAAUCAACUCAUCCUAACAGAAGCAUCUUCUUCUACCCAUAAUUAGGAUUACAUUAAGGGAGAGAUAGAGAGGGAGAGAUGCUUGUUGCCUGCCAAAAUAGAAGAAUAGAAACAUUAUACCCCUUGAGCCAGGGUAUUUGGAUUAUGUACUGCAGUUAUAUGUGUUCGAGAAGAACUGGCUCUUCCAUGUAUGAUCAAUAAAUAGAAUUUGUUACAAGGAGUACCAAACUAUCUUUUCAAUAUUUCCUGUUGCUUCUGCCAUAAAUUCCAUAAAGAUUCUAGCUCACUGCAUCAUUCCCGCAGAAGAACUGAAUUUAUUACCUAAGCAGAAUCACAUAUAAAAAGUUUCAGGUCCAUGCAGCCAACAAAAGAGCACUGGCUUGUCCUUGAAAGUUGAUUAAUAUAGUGCUUGACAUAUUGAAGGAGGAUUUUGAUACGAUGUUUAAAGACAAACACUACUACAUGGCACCAGAAGUUGUGUGCUUUUAAAAAGGAAAAUAGGCUUUUGGUAUCAUGGUUAAGACCAGAAUAAACCAAGGUUUUUAAUAAAGGGUUCUUAUAAGGGCACAAGUUAAAGUCACUAAUUUUAAAAAGAUUCUUACACUUAAUGUAGGUGGCUACCUUUAUAAGGUGAUUGCCAGAGCAUUAAUUGUAUAAUCAUUGCUGAAAUGGUGUUCUUGAAAGCCUUAAUGAACAAUAGACUUCAUAAUUAAGUAGACACUACGUUCAGGAGGAACCUAGUAAAAUGAGCAAGGAUUGUAGGAAAGAGUUACAGCAAAUCAGCAAAUAUCACUUCUGUUCAAAUGCAGACAAGUAAAUCAGACUUCUUGAAAAAUUACACAUCAUUUGUGGGGAUAUUAAAUGGUGGAAUAUUCUUCAUUAGAAUCCACAAAGGAUGUGUAAAAAAACAAGUUGACGCAUUUAACAUAUGAUUAUGUGUCAGAAUUUAAAUGGAAGUGAUUUACUGACAUGAAGUAACCAUUAAAUACAAUCCUUUCUCGCACUAAGGAAUCGCAACAUUACCAUUGAGCAGAAUUCUUAGAGAAGUAUUAUAAGCCUAAUUACAGCAAUUCAAGUUACUGAAAACCUGAUUCAACCUUUAGUCACCCAACUAAGCCCAACGACAAUAGUCAUAUUUAUGUGUGCUGUUUAAAUUCUUUUUACUGCUACCACAACUAGGAGGAAAAAAGCUAUUGCGAAUUGCAAUAAUAUAAACAGUUAAGAAAAACCACCUUAAUCUGUUGUUCAGUCAUCUCUGGUUGCUUCCUCUCUUCUGCCCUUUGUUCUUGAGCCACCUCAGCUGGCAUUGCUUUUGCUUCAUUGACAUCUUCAGCCACUUCAAUUUGUCCAUUGAAGUUUUGACUUUCUUCUUGAACCUCUUCAAUCAAUCCUUGUCUGCCUUCCUUUUGUUCUUCAAAUCCCAGAAUUCUCUGUUCACAUGCUUUAAUUUGCCCAUUUCCUUCAACACUCUGUCUCUUGCCUUCACAUUGAUCCUCAGAUUCUUCAGCUUGAUAACAGUUUACCCCACUCCAGCCAUCAAUAACUUCAACUUCUCUCCCCUUGACUUGGACAAAGGUUUGAUCUUCCUUCCCAUCUCUAUUUGUAAUGUUCAAUAUAUGACUCAUUUUCUCUUCCUCAUGCCCCAAAUCACCAUCAUUCACUUGGAGUAUAAACCGCCCAUCAUUAACACAUAAAAUAUCUCCAUUCCUACAAACCUUCUCCAAAUGAUGACUCAAAAAACUAGCAUGCCCCCAUGGCAAACCCUCAUACUCCUUCUCUAUAAACCUCAAUAUUGCCUCCUCACUUGACCCACCUUCAUUAUUUAAUUUCAAAAUUGCUUGUUGUAUCAUCUAAACCAACCAACACAAAAAAAGGCAAAAGUGAGAAGAUAAAUAAGCAAUAAGAAUCUAAAAAUGACAAUGUUCAGUUUCUCCCAUUGCUAAGCUGCAAUCAAGAUUUUCAUUUUACUUUAGAAAGAAAUGGCAGCAUAUCCGUACAUUUCUUGCCAAAUGCAAUUGCUUUGUUAGCAUUUUUUGGCUACAGGCUAGACCCGACAAUUUUAGAUAUGAUCUACUAACACAACAGGAACAGGAAUUUAAGCGGAUAUGAGUAAUGUAUAAUUACAUUCGUAUCAUAAUUGUGUAACUUGUUUACAGUACAAAAAUAUUCAUGUCUUACGCAGAUUGACACAUCUUAUCCGUAUAUGACACCUUCACACACGUUUAAUUAAUCGUAUUUAGACAUUAACUCUCAUUACUCAACAUAUCUAACUUAUACAUACUUAUUUAUUGAAUUAUAAAUAUUUAUAAAAAAAACAUAAAAUACUUUAUUAUUCAUGUUUAAAUAGAUUGGUCAUGUCUAAAUCAGCUAACUUUAUUGUGUCUGAGUAGAGUAAUAGUAUCUAAACAUGUUAACCAUAUCAUAUCAUGCAACAUGUUGUGUUAGUUUAAAGGACUUUAAUUCUGAGUAAUUAAUCAUGCCAUAGUCAUACCCACCCAUUUGCAGCACAAAACAGCUCCAAAACAAGCAUUUCGGAACUCGUUUUCUUGCUUCUUUUGUCGCUUCCAAAACGUAACGGUUUGUUAUUAAUUUUCCUACUUACUUUUUAUUUCCGCAGGCAAAAAUACAUUUCAAUACAAAUAAACCAAUAAGAAUGAAAGAUGCAAUCGAACGAAAAACGUGAUUUUCCCUUUGUACAUAGCAUCUAUAUCCAUUUUGAAUCAAUUUAAUUUUGUUUUAUGAGUAAAUAACAACUAUUGAAGAAGAAAAGAAUAAAUAGCAAAAAUGGAACUAAAAAGAAAUAAAAGAGGUGAAAUUGAUAGUUAAUUACCAAAGAGUAAGGAGGGUGAAUGGGAGUGUGGAAAGUUGGAAAGAAUUGCUGCAAGCGGAGUUGGAUGAGGUCGGGGCUAAUGGGCAUUGAGGGGUUUGAAGCAGCAAGUUGUGCGAGAAUUGCGUCUUUAAGCUUGCUGCUUAUUUCCGCUUUAUUUCUAUUACUAAGCAUUCCCUCAGCUGCUGGGCUUAUGGGAUUAUCAACAACAGCAUCUGAUUCCGCCAUUUCCAGCGGUUUUUGCUUUCCCAAAGACUACACUCUUGGCCGAGAGACAAAAGAUAGGAGCGCCGUGAACUUUCAGGCCUUAGUGUGAGACUCAACAACUGCAUGCGUACCAUAAGAAACCAACCUUGUUUAAAAUUAUUACGUCAUUAAACUUAAAUUAAUUAAACAAAUAUCUCUCUAUUAGGUCAUUAAUUAAAUUGUUUUAAGAUUUGAAUGCUUAUAAUCUCUCUUCCUUUUUCUCUAUUAUCCUCUUUUUUAUUUUUAUAUAUAUAAUAUGUNNNNNNNNNNNNNNNNNNNNNNNNNNNNNUUUAUAUAUAUAAUAUAUAUUAUAUAUAUAUAUAUAUAUAUAAUAUGCAUAAAAAAAACCAACAUAUUGGGUAAGGUUAAAUAAAAAAUUUGAUAUAAUUAACAUUAAUUUUUAAAUCAAACUAAUUUUCUUUUUUCUUUUUGGUUAUUUCCUCCAACUGACUCAAUUGGUUUUGAUUUUAAAAAGAGAUAAGGUACAAAUUUAUUAUUUUAUUUAAGAUAACAAAUAAAAUAAAAUUCAUCAUGUUACCCUAAUUUUGUUUCACUUUUUGAGAAAUGUAUCAUGCAUGGGUAUUUUCUAAAAUAUCUUUUGUAAAUAACAUGUUGAAAGCCACUGGAGGAAAUUUCCACGCUAUGCUACACGAGAAGAAACGAAAGAGAUGAAGCAUAAGAUGGCUCAACUUGCAAAACUCCAAUCAAAAACCAAGAGCAUGACUUUUUUUAUUAUUAUUACAAAGAAACAACCAUCUAAAUUUGAAGUUCUAACUUCCAUAUCCAUUUACAGAGAGCAAAGAUGGAUGAAGAGAGUCCAAAUAUAAUCACUACCAACAAAAAGGAAAAAAAGCCCAUAGAGAGAAACCUACAAAAACACACCAUAGCAUAUCACCAUUUUGUCGAUUUACAUUUUGCGGCUUUGCUAUUGUCACUAAAGUAAGGCCUGAAGGUCUUCAUAACUUCUUCAUAUGUCGGCCUUUUAUAGUCCACUGCCUGCAACCCAUUUUGUUUAAACAUCUUAGUAAGCCUUAUACUCACUGGUAAAACUUAUAUGAUAGUAAUUCAUAAUGCUGCUACUGCACAAUACCUGCUCCACAACUUCUUCAGGGGUUGCCCAUUUCCACUCAGCAAAUUCUGGGUCUGCCUCUCCAUUUGCUAAGUUGAUCUCACUCUCAUCUUUUGUUAAUCUCAUAAGAAACCUGUCAAUUGUCCCUAUCUAUUGUGAGACCAUAAGUCAUAUGAAAACAAGACAAACUCUUAUUAUUUCUUCCUAUGCAUUUCAUGGCCUUAGGUAAAAAUGACUACAGCCAUCAAAUUGGGAACAGCAUAAUAAUGAAAUUAAAUAAUUAAAUUAAAGAAGCAAACAGCUGUUUCUAAUUUUAAAGCACAGGCUUCAUGCACACGUUUUCACAAGGAGAGGGAGAAAGAAAAUCGCCAGAGAUUUGUAGAUUGUGCUGAUCAUAGUUUAAAUACCACAUUAAUCACAAACAAGCAUUUCAUGCCUCUCAACUGCUUUGAUAACUCAUGCAGUCGGUCUCUCUUCCUUUCAGGAGAAAGAUGCAAGCAUAGCACACACACACACAAGCAUCAAAACUAUCUGACAAAGUAAUGAAACAUACUUCAAAAAUAUUAACCAAAAUGUUUCCAAAUUUAGAGGGCAUAUGCAUAUGCUAGCCACUAACUCCAUAUGAGGACAAAAAGCAUAACUAAAGCUGCUUUUCUUAGCUGAUACUGAUUAACUGCUCCUUGCAAUUCCAUACAAAAAUCCAAUAUAAGAGAAUUUAAUCAUAAACUAGUCCUUAGUUCAAUUAUAGAGGUUCUUCCGACUCUUAUAUAUUAAUUGAAGCCACUCAUCCCUGAUAGAAAAUAAUUAGUGUUUUGAAGCUUGGCUCACUCGCUCUCUUUCAGAGUUACCAAAUUUACUAGAAAGAAAAAGAACAAAAGUUAUAUCAUAUCUCACACUCAUUCCAUUAGCGCACACACAAACGGACAACAGAAUCCAUAAGCAUUUCUUAUAUUAGCAGCUCUAGCAGGAAUGAAAUUCAAAACAUUUUACUUCAAUAUAUUUUAUAUGUACCCAUAUCCCACACAUAUGAUAUCACUCCCAUCAGAUGAAAUAGAACAGAAUGUUGCUUCAAAUAGGAUAUUGAGACAUGAGAGUACCCAUCAAAACAACAUUAUUUCUCUAAGGUUCUAAAGGAAGCAUGCGAGCUAAUUCAAGAAACGGUCAACCAUUACCAGAUAACCCAUGCAAGUAUCCACAUAAUUCAUCAUAUAGUUUCUGUUUUUCAGUUGUAUGGCACUGUAGGCAUGCCCUAAAUGCACUGAAUGCACUGAGAAUUUUGUGGCCAAUAGCCUAAACUAUAAAACUACAUUGGAUGUGGGUGGUUGGACAAAGGAAGACAGGAAAAGGAAGAAAGGAGGAACAAACCACUUCUGUGCCUGCCCAUGCCAUUCACCUCCCCAGAGUCGAUUCACUUUGGCCUUUACAGCAGGAGGAAAAUCAUAUGUCAACCAAUUAGGAACCUGCCAAACCAGGAGUGUUGAUUAGAUGUACAGCAGCAAUUGGGAAAAGAAAGAAGGAAGUAGCAGAGAAUGGAGGAUAUAGUAUAAACUAAAGUCUUGCUUGGAAUAUUACAAAUACUGCUUUGAAUUUUUAGUAGGAAAUUUUAUAUCUAGUACCUUUAUUGCAGUGAUUGUACAAUUUGAAAUAACCAUGUGUCAGGUUCUCUUAUUUCUGUAGACCAUACAUGAAGAGAGAAAAUGUUGUUCUAUCCUCCUUUUCUUUAGCUUGAUCCAAACUUCUUUGAUUUUUGAAACAUGACCAAGACUUUAAAUAUACCAUGCAAAACUAUGGAUGAAUAAGCAGUGACUUUGGAAAUAAUAAUUCAACUCAAUGGUCAAACCUCUGAAGUUUAAAAUGACAAAUUAACAAAGACCAGAAUGACACGCAUGAUGUGCUUCUGCCAAUAGCCGUGUAUAAAAAGUCCUGCAUAAAAAACUGUAGCAUAACAACACCAUCUUUUUAACAAACCUCAGCAAUAAAUUCAGCAGACGCUACUCCAGUUUCUUCUCGCAAUUCCCUAAUUGCUGCAGAUUUUGGCUCCUCACCAUCUUCAAUACCCCCCUGAGUUUGUAAAAUACCAAACUUUAUAAUCAAUUAAGCUAGCCAAAAUAUACAUGCACUUUUUAGAAAUAAGGUCAUCACAGGUUAAACCAAAAUCAAGUUUUUGAAUGUCACAAAGAAGAAAAAGAAAAAAAUGCGCAGUAAGAUAAGGAAGGAAUCGUUUAUUCUGUUACCAUGAAAGAUCUUGAAAGACAUUCAACUUGGAAGAAAAUAAACACAACUGACUGGCAAAGCAUUUCUUUUAAAGAGUCAUAUGCACACUCACAAAGAACUGUAAAUACACUUUCGUAAAACACAUAGAAGCAUACAGUUAUGAAACAGAGAAUGAUGAAAAAAGGGCUCCACUUGGAAGGCAAAAAAGUUGAAGUCAGCCAUACAGUAAUAGUGUUCACCCAUUAGGGUCUAGGAAGAGUAAUAUUAUGGAAAUAAAUUGUGUAAUUACUCAGAACAGCCAACAAGAAAAAAAAAAAGAAAAAGAAAAGUGCUCUAGUUUUAACUAAGAAUUGAAGUUUUCAGCAAGCAAUGAGUCCAACAAAAAAUAGAACAUCUAACAGGGUAGUACCUGAGGCAUCUGCCAGGCUCCUGGAACAUUCAAUCUGGAAGCUACAAAAACCUGCAAGCAGCAAAAUGAAGAAUUUUCAGCUUUCUCUACCCAUAUAUUCUGCAGGAACAAACCUCAAACAACCAUUAAAAAACACAAAUUUCCAUAACAAAAUGUAAAUUUAACUUGAAUUAAUUUAAGCUCAGGCUCCCAAGUCCAAGGCCCAGAUGCAUUUUUUUUCAUAUUCUACACAGUUUGAUAAACAAACAGUACAUCUCUAUCAAUUAUCUCCAAAUAAUUUAUCUCAAAAAAGAAAAAAUCCAGAAAAUCCACACACAGACAUCCAAAUUUGACUUUCGUUAAUUAGAUAACUUGAUUUCAACUCCUCUUUUUAUUAUUAUUUUAAUUUUUCUGACUGUCUGAUCUUUUCAGGCCAUUAGCCAGCUCAAUCCCCUCUGCUUUCAGAAGCUCAGAUAAAAAAAAAAAAAACCAACCAAACAAACAAAAAAACAGAAAACCAAAAAAAAAAAGUAAAAGGGGUACCUGAUUAUCAGAGUUGAUUAGACAGACACCAACGUUGGGGCGAUAACCAGAGGGCAGUCCCUCCAUUCUUAAUUCCUACUCUACUUCUAAUUAGUUUUCUUUUCAGAGAGUAAAUGCAGUAUUCAGUCUGAGGAAUUCAGGGAGAGAUCAGAGACGGAAGAAGCUGAAGAAAAAAGAAGUGGGUUUUUUUCUUUAUAUUUUAUGAUUUUGGAAGGAGGGGUGUUUAUGGGAAUGAGUGACGCUGACCUUCAGAAAAUGGUGAAAUUGGGUGACUCUGUUUUAUAGAGGGGGAAGAGUCCAUGGACUGCUGACUCUUAUCCUGCGCACCCCCCUGUUCCCAGGUUGCUUUUUGGCCCUUUAUCAAUUCUUUUUAGAUUCUGCUAGCAAUGUUAUCAUGUCACCCUCCAUUUCGUUCCAUCAUGAACUCCACUUAUAGCAUUGAGACACGUGUGCCAGUCAAAAUUCAUUUAAGUUCAUAAUUGGGAUUUUUAAUAAAAUCACGUCUUGAAAUUGAUACUAAUUCAGUGCAUUAAAUCUUGCUCAUUGCUAAUUAACAUUGAAUGCAAUGAAUUGCCUUCAAACUUUUACUACUUUGCAUUCAAUAACAUUAGUAAUUAGUGUACCAAAACCUAAAAAUGAGCCAACUUGUGUGCCACGCCUAAUAAAUUUAUUUAAUUUACAAUUGUAGUUCAACUCCCAUUUUGAUAAUAGUCCUGCAUUUUAGUAGGCAAAAGAGAUGAACCGACCAUAGUUAUUGCAAAAGAAAAAGGAACGGUGUAUUCUUAUGUCCUUAGAGAGCCCAUCACAAUCACCACACAAAGGGAGGUGAUUAUAGCAGGGUAGGAAUGGACGAUGAUGAGAGUGAGGGGCAGUGGGGGUCUCGAGAGAAGUAAAUGAGAACGAGCACAUAGAAUAAGAAGCCGAGGAGAGAGAGAGGCGGAGGGGUGAGCAGUGAAAGAGCAAACACGCGGAGGGGAAAGAACGAUUGCUAAGCAGCACUGCACUAAAUGACAAAAAGUUAAACAAAAAGUAGUGGGCGAGAGAAAGGCGUUGACUUUGCGUGGAGUGAGAGAGAGAUAAUUUUGAUAAUAAAAGCAUCUUUUUCUCCUUUUUCUUUUUUUAUUUUUCUUUUUUAUGAUGAUGCACAUUGAUCAUCAUCCACCCUCAGGAGAAACAAAAUCCUUUUAAUAUUUGUCAUCAUGAGAUCCCCCUACUCGCCAAUCUCUGGAGCGUCCUGUCCACGCUCUAUUGCUCGAUUUCCCAACCCAAGUUUAAUCUCACCCUUACCGAACGUGGAUUCUGUUCAAUUUUGUAUUAAUUUAUUGUCUUUUUUAUUUUUAUUUAAGAAAAUAAAUGUGUUGUUGGAUAUAAAAAAUAAAUAAAAUUUUUGAAUGAUGAAAGAUAUGAUAUUAAUUUAUUUAGGCUAAAAUUAUGUUAUAGUUAGUAUUAUAUUUUAAUUAUUUUUCCAUUUUAAAUCAACCAGUACUUGUUGUCCUACAUGUGAAUUCUUUUUUUUAUUUCUUUUUUAAUAAUAAUUAUAUUUAAAUAAAAACAUUAACUAUAAAGUUUGAAGUGUAAAUAAUAUAUAUUUUGUAAUAUUAAUUUGUAGAUUGUUCAAUAUUUAUUAGAAUUAGGACAAACAUUUUUAAUGAAAGUAAUUCAAUGUAAUUAAAAUUCUUUAUUUUCAAUUUAGAUAAAUUUUAUUAAUAUUUAUAAUAAAAAUAUUUAAAAUAGUAAUUUAGAAACAAGAUUAGACUUUAUCUCAUUGCUAAUUGUGCUUACUUUUUAAUUUGAAUUUUAAUUAUUGUUUGAUACUACUAUGUACAAUUGUUAAUACUAUUUAUACAAUAACUAAGAAUUAUUUAAAUUGAAAAGUGAUAAUUUAAUUAUUUAAUAAGUAAAAAAUUGUUUAAUUAUAAAUCAAUUGAAUUUUAAUCAUAAUUGUAAUUACUAUUGUUACGUAUCACUUCAUAAGAAAAAAAAAAUGAAGAAUGAUUUAAUCUAAGCUUGUCGAUGUUCACACAUACAUUCAAAAUAUUAAAAUUGUCAAAGUCAUAAAGUUUAAAUGUAUAAAUUCUAUGUGACGAAUGUCAAAGAUUCUUUUUAAUGCACAAGGUCUAAAUUUUGUACCAUUCUUUCGUUGUACAAGAUUCCCAUGUGUUAGUACAUUAUGCGUUGGAAUACGAUACCAUAAAAUUCUAACUUUAGAUUUAACUUUUUCAAAAUAAAUUAAAUUACCUUUUUAUGUUCAAACUUAAAUAUAAUUUAGUUGUAAGUAGCAAAAGUUACAAUCAAUUGGACAAAUUUGUUUUAUAUAUAUAUGGUAUGAAUUUCUUUUUCGUCCAAAUUAGAAAUUCUUCUUACAACUUAUGAGAUUUUCAUUUUUAAAUAUAAGACAAAUUAACAUGAGAAAUUAAAAUAAAUUAAGCAAAGCCAUCACUUAUAUAUAUACAAAUACAUAUAUAUAUAUCAUAAAUCUCAAUAAUUAUAUGAUUAUAUAUACCAAUAAAUGAUAUAAUUUGAGUUUUUAUUCCCUCACCGCAAAACUUUUGAAAUUCCAAAUAAGUUUUGAAUGUUUAUAACUUGAUAUUCAUAGGUCGUCUUCUCACUAAUCACGUUUCAAUAUGGUAAUCAUGACAUUCCAAAAGCAAUUUAAUAACUUAUUAUUUUUUGUCCCAUUUUAUUUAUAUCUCUUUCAUUGUAAAAAAUAUAUAAAAAUUGAUAUUCCAUGUUUUUUUAAUAUUAAGUGAAUAUAUAUAAUUUUAAAAAUAAAAUAUUAAUGUAAAAAACGUGAAAUCAUUUUUUAAUUUCAUUAAAAUCAAAUAAAAAAAAUAGAGGGAAUUAUCCAUUAAGCUAAUGAAGCCCUUUAUUUUUUUUCAAAGGCUAAGUUAAUGGAGCUUUAGUUAUCUUCAACAUGUGGAGUUAUAGUAUAUGAUUUGACAUUUGACAAGGGCUAAUAAAUAUUUUAUGAUAAUUUAGGAUGCAGUUAACAGUUGCUUUGUAGUUGGUCUUUUUAAGAAACAAAUUUUUAUUUAAUGUCCUUUAUUUUUCAUGAAAAAUACUUGGUUUCUGAUUCAAUGCAAUUACAUAGUAAAAGUUGUACCUAGCUCUUGAGUAUAAGUAAAAAAGGGCAACAGGGAAAUAGCGAGUUUGAGGUAGCUAUAGGGAUUCGGAAUAUGUUAGAAAAAGUCAAUCGUUACAAAGAUGUUUGGAUUGAUUGAGUUGCCAACUGUCCUCCUUUUUCAGCUUUCUCAUCACAAUUUUCUCUUAUUUUCCUUUUUACUAUUUGUUUUGUACAAGUCCAUGUUAAAGCAUAAUUGUGUACAUGAUCUCCCAUCAUUUCUCUCUUCUCUACUUUGAUUUGAUUACCAAAAUGAAAUAUAAAGAUCCAGAGAAAACGUUGUUUCAGCACCUACAUACCCUUUACCCUCUUUUAAUUUAAUUAUUUAUGUCCAAUGCUUUGUCUCAUAUUUAAUUUAUGAUAAUUAAGAAGUUUAAUUAUUGAAUUUGAGCAAUUGUAAGGAUGAUGAUAAUGAAAAUAUCAAAAGUCAACUUUUGAUUCAAAUCAAGAUCUAAAUACUUAAAAUCAAGUUUCAAAUCAUGAUUAACUUGCUGGAAUUGAAUGUUAAAAUUAAUCAAAAUAAUUUUGACAAUUAUAACAUACAUGUCGAUUUGAAUUAAGGUUUUAAGGAAAAUUUUAUUUUUUUAUAUUGGCAACAACUAAACAUCAUUCAAUCCAAAGCAAAUGCAAGGUGGCUUUGAUACCAAUGCUAGAUUUCGACCAUGCUCAGAGAAAAGAACAAAAUUCAAAAAUUAACAAUUAAAAUUAAAUAGUGUAAUAAAAAUAAACAUAGAAAAUCGAAACCUCCAUUUCAAACAAAUUAGAUGUUCGUAAUUUCUCUCUCAUGCCAUCCAUAACACUACCUAUCUAGCUUUUUCAUGCCCUUUAAACCAUUCAAAAUCAGAACAAUGUUUUUUGUUAACUCAUCUUCCCUUCUAAAAAUCUUAAUAAUAAAAAAAUUUAAAUAAGAGAAAGCAAAAGAAUGAUUCAAGAUUUUCCAUUCAGCUUGAAAUAAACAAAAGCUUUCAAUUUUUUUUAAUUUUGGUGCAAAAUUGAAAUAAAGAGAAAAUGAAAAAAGAGAUGGAAAAAGAAAGUGAAAAAGAACUGCAGGGAAGAAAACGGUUUUCAAGUUUUGGUUGCAGAGGGAAGAAAAUAAAUGGUUCAAGAUUUUCCAUUCAUCUUGAAAUAAACAAAAGGUUUCAAUAUUGUAAACACAAAUUUCUCGUCGAAAAUUCUUGACUUGAAAAUUACGAGACAAAUACAAAUAUUUCAUGAUAUGAGUUAUAAUCUCUGAAAAUUUAUCUGAUUAAUUUCUUCACUUUGUCUUCAAAAGUCACGAAUUCGGACUUAGUUUUGAUCACGAACUUCACUUGAUCUUUGCUUCUAGGGUCUUGGCAACUUGAUCUUAAUCGCAAACACUUGAUAUCUUGAUCAAGAAUUUCGCUUGAUCUUCGCUUCAGAUGUCUUAACGACUUAAUCUUAAUCACGAACACUUGACAUCUUUGCUUUAAGGGCUUUGACGACUUGAUCUUGAUGAAGUAUCUUGACGACUUAAUCUUAAUCACGAACACUUGAUAUCUUCACUUCAAGGAUCUUCACGACUUAAUCUUUAUCACGAACUUUGCUACCACUUGAUCUUGACUUCAAAAAUCUUUUACUCUUCUCAAUCUCCGAAAUGCUCUCAAUCUUCGAAUGCCUCCUAAACUUCGAAUGCUUCCAAAUGAAUCAAAAUAGCUUGGAGGAGUCCCCUAUUUAUAAUGUUAGGUGGGAGACUUUGAUGAAAAUGUAGUCUCUUUGAAUUAUCUAUAAAUUAUUUUAAUUUAUUUAAAGAUAAAUUAUAAUGACUUAUUGAAAGUCUUUUGAUUGGUCGGAUUUUGAAUUCUUGAAUUUUGAUUGGUCAAAGUUAAGUGUUAUCUCUAAAUUAUCUUAAUUUAUUUAGAGAUAAAUUAAACAAUCCAAUUUGAUUUUAAUCUCUAAAUUAAAAUAAUUAUUAGAGAUAAAUUAAAUGACUAAUAAUUAAAUUUGAUUGGUCAUAAAUAUGAAUAUUAUCUCUAAAUUACCUUGAUUUAUUUAGAAACUGGAUGAUCAAUAACUAAAUUUUGAUUGGUUCAAUUUAAAUAUUAUCUUCAAAGUAUCUCUUUUCUAAUGUUUGAUUAGUUCUCUUUUUUUUUUUUCUUCCUCUCUCUCUAUUGUCUUGGCUAUUUUUGUUUGUGACAUUGAGGUAUUUUUGCCAUUUGUUUCAUUGUUAUGUUCAUUAUUUGUUUUGUGAUUGCUUCUGUAUUAUGGGUUUUUACUAUUUGUGUAGGCUUUUUUUAUAAAUAAAUAAUAUUUGAUUUGCUUUGUCUACAAAAAUCAAUACGCUAAUAUCGUUGAUUGUGAAAUUAGUUGUUUUUCAAAGAUUUGUUGCAUUUUUGUUUUGAUUGUUUGAACUGUCACAAGUUUCAUUUAGUCUUUUCAGCAAUAGCCCUUGCCUUCAAAUGGCAACUGAAUUAUACUUUCCCUUCUUUUUCUUAUAACAUGCUUAUGAUAUGUUAGAAUAUAGAUUCUAAAUGGCAAACUUUUCAAUACAGCUUGCUGUCAUACAAAACAUAUACUCACUAAAUUUGAAUUUCAAUCUUAUGUUAACAAAUCUUCCAUAUCUGUAAACGCAAGACUUGACAAACAAAAUUUAAUUAUACAUGUAUUAUACUUUGAUUUUUGCAUAAUCACUUUUGUUCUUACAUUGGUCUUUGAUUUCAUUAGUAAUUGAACAUUUUUUUUCUAUCCUCUAUAUGUAUCCAACUGUUACAUAAAUUUUUCUCUUCUUCUUAACAUAAUAGCGAAAUUGAUCUUGCACAAUUUCUUCCAUGUAGAAAAUCUUCCAAGGCAACCCAUCAAUCAAAAACAGCUCUACUCAUGAAUACUUGCCUAAUCCUUAAUACCAAUGAAUGCUACAAAUUGAUUGAUAAAUUUCAUACAUAUUGUUAGUAUAAGCUCUGCAAGCCAAUAGGUUUUGUGCUUGUAAAAUAUUAUAUUAAUUAGUUAUAUUUCAUGUUAAAUACAAUAUGGAUAUUUUAUGUAAUGUAUGAGUUAUUUCUUUAUCCAUGAAUUUAUUUAUAAAGAGUUAUGAGAGAUUUAUGUAGAUAAAGUCCUUGGAACAUAAUGACUUUUUAAAGAUAUUAUAAAGGUUAUAAUUAUGAGAUUCUUAUGCGUCGAAGCCUUGUUCUUAAAUAUGUUCCUGAUCAUUGUAUUGUUAAGAAUAAGGACAUCGGCAAAGCUCAAGGACUUGUACAUACUAAGUCUCUUUAUUUUGGAAGUAAGUAACUAAUCUCAUAGGUUGAAGUAUGCGAGAUACUUGGGGAUAGUAUGUGGGUGCUUGUUAAGGACCAAGUUCUCUAAAUAUGACCCGCUAUAAAAGUUUCAUUUGAUAUUUCACUCAAGUGUGUAUGAAAAGAGUCUCACAUGUCAAUAGUGUAAGUAAUCCUUAGACUUGUGAUACCAUGUCAUAUUGUAUGCGAAUUGUCAUAUUUUGAUUUCAUUCCUACGGGUUUAGAGAGGAUCAGAUGCCUAAACAAUGUGCUUUUAGAUAUGAUAUAAAGCAUGUGAAGAUGAAUGAGUAGUGCAUAGAGGAUUCAUCACCCUAAAUGAUUUGAAGGGGACAUAUCUCACUUGCUCUUAGCUUAUAUUGACAAAGUCCUUGGCAGAGGUGAUCUUAAUAGGUCAAUAUGAAACUUUAGGACUAAUAUGGGAUGUCAUAAGUAAACACCGUGUGAUGCUUUAUGACAUAUCCGAUAUAUUUGAUGAAAAGAUCAAAUUACAAUGAAAUACCGUACACUAAAAGGCUAGUCAAACUAUAGUGACUCUCCUAACAUUUGGGUGGUCAUGAUGUAUUGUUAGACACUACUUUAAUGGGUCACACACAAUAAGGUGAUAAUGUGAAAUUACAAUGGGAUUUGUACUCAAUUAGAAAUUUGAAAUUUCCAAUAUGGACUUAAUUAAAUGGUUUAAUUGAGUACAACGGUUAAAUUGUAGUUAACCAAAAGUUGGCUCAGCAAUUUAACCUAACUAUAAAAUACUUGAAUGUGGAUGCUGCACCAUAUGAGAAGAAUUAGCGAUGAGAAACACUUGACAGAAAAUGAAAAAGCCUCCAUAAGCCUAAGAAACUUUAUUUUAAGAGGAUUCCAAAAAUCGUUUUUCUUUGUCAUCUUUUCUACCAAAACCGAUUCUUUGAAAGGUAAGAUUUAUGAAAUCUUGGCCAUUAGUAUCGGUUCACGGUAUAUACAUAAUCCCUACCUUAAAGAAGGCUUUCAUCUAUCACUUGUGUGAAUCACUGUUAUAGGCUGGACACAUGGACAGCUUUGGUUUGCGACAAUUGAGCUUUGGUAUGCAAUCAAGAAAAAGGGGAAAUGACUUGUGAUUUAUUGAAAUCACUACGAAAGGUAUGAUUUUGAUCAUUUGCUUGUAUGUAUGAAUUUUAAUCCGAUCAAGUGCCAAAACAAGUGAUUGAACUAUUAACUUAAAUUAAUAAAAAUUGAAAGAAUCCAAUAAAAUUGGAGUAAUUCCAUCAUUUUUUGAAAUGGACUUUAUGGGUCAAAAUACUUUGGAGCUUUUUAUGUACAUACAUUUUGUUUAAUUUAGUCACCGUAUUCCAAUUUGAAGCAAUUUAUUCCUUAAUUGUUAAAUAAGAUGAUGUUAGGGUUAACGUGGAGCUGACGUGGUACAUUUUCACUGAUGUGGUGAGUAGAUGACAUGCUAACGUCAUGUUAAGAGUGAUGUGACAGUAUUAAGCUAGCAUGUUAGAGUGAUGUGGCAUGUUAAGAGGUUACCAUGUGGCAUGUCAUGAUGCUGCCACGUGGCAUGUCACGAUGCUGCCACAUCAUGUCAGUCUCUUUUUCUCCAAAAUAUGACUUGUUUUUGCUAGGAAUCCAAGAUCUGUAGCAAGUAUACCAAGGUACUUGUUCAAUUUUUUACCCACGUAAAUGUACGUAUCGCAAAGAAAAUAUAGUAAUAGGUAGAGUGUUGAUCCCAGAGAGAAUUGAAUUACUUUUUCCUGUUAACUACUAAAAUUGUAACACCUUAAUCUUAUCCAAAUAAUUAAAUUUAAAAUUAUUAAAAAGAAAAAUUAAACUAACAAACUGAAACUAAAAUUAAAUAGUAAAUUUGUUUUAUAAAACUCACUUAACUAUUAGACCUAAGAUUAUGAUGUCCCUCAAUACUUCAUCUAAUUAUUGUCUUUCUCUCUCUUAACUUAGUUUAAUGGAUUAAGUUGCUAAUCUAAAAUCCUAAAUUAUUUACAAGUCUCUGUCGAGUUUCUCAUAAAAAUACAUUUUCCAAUUAAUUUACUAUAUGUCUAUGCAAAUUAAAUCAAAGAAAAAUUCAUUAAGUUCAUGCUCUAAUUUUUGCUACGUAUGGCUUAUAAGUAUAUAUCUACCCUAUAUGCAAAUUAGAUCACCUAAUCAACUAAGUGUAUUCAAUCAUACGCUAUUUUAUUUAAGGUCUAUCUAAAUCUCCUUCGUCAAGGUUUAACCUAGGUUUCCAAUUCAAUCUAAUUGGUGAUCAGACAAUUAGAAGCAUUAAGAAAAAAAAUAAAAUAAACAACUUAAAUCCAUCAAACAUAAGUAAAAGAGAGAUAAAUAAUUCAAACUACAUAUUGAGUUCAAUUAUAAUCUUAGAUUAAUGAAUUAGUUACUUAUUAAGUCACGCAUCAUCAUUGAAUAAAGCGUAAAUAUUAAAAACAAAAUCAAGAGAAUAAGAGAAUAACAAAAAGAUAGAAAAAAUCAAUGAUUGUAUUCUUGAUUUCCAAAUCUCCUUCGAUCCUUCGAAUUCUUCUUAGCUUUAAUAACUUUGUGGCUUGACUCUCAGAUGUUAAUAUAGUAUUUUUGUUCUUUUUUAUCUCUUUUAAAAGUCCUCAAAAGGUUAUUUUUAUAGGACUUUGAAGUUAGGUUAAGUUGGGUGAAGAAAGGAGUCAAUUCCAAUUAAGAUUUUCUUAUCAGACUAUGUAGGUCAUAGUCUUACCCAAUUAAUUAACAAAAAUCGUAAUUGCUUUAAGACUAAUAUAGUAUGUCAAAUUCAACAAGAUUUUUGAUUUCCUUCCAAGCUGAACUAAGCAAAGUGGUAAACAUAAAAGUUGUAGAGUUUUCUUUUAUCUUUCCAAUGGUUUAAGAAUCAUCUCAUUUAGAGUUCUAUAGAGAGAGUUAUAGCUAAAAUACCGAAAUAUGUGCAGUGUAAGUCUACAUCUUGAAAUUGCUCUCAUUUUUUCAUUAAAAUUCUUCUUUCAUCAAACACUUACAAAAGUACAAAUAAAUCAGUAACAAUUUAUUUUAAUUACAUUAACACUAAAUUAAGUAUAAAAUUAACUAAGAUUAGAUUGACUCACCUAAAAUAUCUAAUUUAAAAUAAUUAAAUAAAACUUAUUAAUUUUUAUGUAUUACUACAAGAAUUACGCUAAAUUAUUAUCUAAAUUAAGUACAAAUAACUCUAUAUUUGAGAGUUAUCAGUUCUUAUCAUCACACUUAAGCUGUUGCUUUUAAUAAUUUUUUUACUUUUGUUUUUUUUUCUCUCUUUUUCUUUCUCAUUUUUUUUCUUAAAACUACAUCAUUUUGAAGCACUCUUACACCCUCAAAAACUCUAGUUAUAAAACCCUAGCUAUAUGAAAGAGAGAAAAAAAGGAGGUAGAGAGAGAAUGGAAAGAAAAAAUGAGAAAAAGAUACUUUUAUAGUUGAGAUUUUUGAGAGUGUAAAAAAACUCCAAAAUAAUAUAGUUUUUUUUAAAAAAAGAUAAUAAAUUAUUAAAAGUAAAGAUUUGAACAUGAUGAUAAGUACACAUUAUAUUUUGAAAAAGAAGAGAAUGACGUGAUAGCAUCCUAACAUAACAUGUUAGCAUGUCAUCUACUCACGUUGUUAUAUUAACGAAAAUGUAUCACUUCAAUACCACAUCAGUGUUGAUGUUAUCUUAUUUAUCGGUUAACUUAAAUAUUCGAAGAAUUAAAUUAAACAAGAUAUAUAAAUACAAAAAUCUCCCAAAUAUUUUGACUAAAGUUGGAGCGAGCUUGAGCUAAGCUCGAGCAUUGAGUUUAUUGAUGGAGGUGGAGGCUGCCAAUCUGUCAAGUCGGCUCGACUGAAUUACAUCCAAUUAAUGGAGGUGGGUCGUGAUGAUAGUGGCUUUUGAUGACAAGAAGGAAAAAAUUGACGACUAGAAUUGAAUUACUUUCGACCUUUAGCCAUUCAGGCGGCUGGUGGCAUGAAUUUUCAACAAACCUAGGAUUUUUACCUACUCAUUUACCACUUUACCUUUAAAGUUUGAAGCAUCUCGUGAAUUGGGUUGAAUAUCACUUGGUCUUUGCUUUUGUAUGCCCACGCUUCUUAAGGUGCAAUAUUUGUCAACAAAGAAUACAAGUGCAAUUGAAUAAGACUAGAAAAUAAAGUCUAAACCCUGUGAUGUUUGAUAAUCUUAAAAUAAAUGCUGCCCCUUUUCUUUUAAAAAGAAAGUCAAAAGUGUUGACUUUUAAUUUAACUAUAGGAAAUUGUAGUUUCAAAUGAAAUGAAAUGAAGCUAAUGCGUAUAUAUGAUCUGAGUUAGGACUUAGUCCCUUUAUGUAAAGUAAACAUUACAGUAAUGGUAUCAAUGUUGCAUGGCGUCAUCGUUACUUGGCAAAACGAAUGCCUAGACAGAAGAUUCAUUCUUUGUAUUGUUCGCAAGAAUCCCUUGUGGAUGUUGGAAGCCUGUUUUGAGACUGAGUUUUAUUGAGUUUGUAUGUUUGCAUGUUGCUUCUUAUUAAUGGAACUGCUUUUGUAAUUGGCCAAAAAAAAAAUUAUAAUAUAUACUAAUAAUUGCUCAUUUCUCAAAAUAAAUUCAUCCUAAUAAAAAUAUUUUGUCAAUGAACUUUAUUUUUUAAUCAAGCUAAUAAGUAUUUAUAGGCACUGAAAAAGUUAGUUAAAAUAAUAACUAUUUUUUUUAAAAAAUCAUUUUUAUUUAAUAUACUAUUUUUACUAAAUUUAAGAACAGAUAAUAACGUAGUAAUUAUACGCUUUUUCUUACCAAUAUUAUCUUCUAACUUUUUACUAAAUUUAAGAAGAGAUAAUUUAUUUUCUCAAAUAGCAUAAACAAAAUAUUUUUUUACUUAAUUUGAGUAAUAAAGUAGUGUUUUGCAAUUAGUUGAUAAUCUGUUCUCUAAAAUGAAAUUUGUGUUCAAGUUGAAUUGAUUUGAUAGAUACAGUUACAGAGUGCUCAAAGUCGUAUUAACCACCCACUCUCUCCAACUGUCUUUCCACUUCACUGUGAGUUGAGUUACAAGUAUGGUAAAGUUUAUCUCAUUUACUUCAAUUUUUAUGUAAAGUACAUUUUAGUGUGAGUUGAAGUUACGAGUAUGGUAAAGUUUUAUCUCAUUUACUUCAAUUUUCAACCGGAUUUGAAAAUAGUUAUCGUUUUCACCUAAAAAUGCAUAAUUAAAAAAUAAUCAUUCAUUCUAUUUUUUUUUGGCCGGAUAAUUAUUCAGUUUAUUGACAAACAUCUAAAGACUGGUAAUAAUGAAAAAAAAAUCCGCAAUAAGAGAAAAAGAGGAGGGGAAAGGAAAAUAGCGGGAGCAAAUAGUGGCGAACAAAGAAAAGCGUACGUAGAAAGAAACAUAAAAGGGAAAAGAAGAGAGCAACCCACAAUUUUCAUUUUUCAAUAAUUUUUUUUAUUGUUCUCUCUCUUCUUUAAUAAGAUUUUGAUUGAUAAUUGAUUCCUCCAAGCGAAGUAAAGAACAAAAGUGGAAAGCCGGUGUUGGGGGAAGAGAAAAUCCUGUCAUUUUUGAUUAUUUUUGAGCAAAAAUUGAAACAGAAAUGGACGAUGAAGUAGUACAAAGAGUAUUCCAAGAAGGAGGAAGAGACUAUUUCCAACAACAACCUUCAACUUCAACUUCUUCUUCUUCUAUUCUCCAAUCUCUCCCUCUCCAUGUGGUCAGUCUCCCCUCUUUUUUUUUAAAAAAAUUUUUGAGAGUAAAAAAUGGUUUUAUUUGUUGUGAUUAUCUGGAUUCUGGGUUAUUGGGUCCUUUUUAUUUCUUUAAUGAAAUUUGGGUUAUGAAGAAUUUCUUUUAUUAAUGGACAUUUCUUUUUUGUUUAUUUUUGCUUCUCAGACGAAUUGGGCUAUGCUUGCAUGAUUUGCAUUUGUCUAAAUUUGCCCCCAUUUUACUUUUUUAUUUGAAGUUGCCCAUUUUUUCAUUGCAUUUGUUAUGAUCAUGGUUUAUUAGGUUCUGAAAACAAUUCUGAAACUUGGGUAAGCAAGAAAUUCGGAAACAAAUGCUUUUUAAUUUUUUUUGCUACAUAUAUUCUUGAAUCAUGAUGAAUAUUUGCAUUCUUGGUGAUUUAUCAUUUAUUAUUUGUUAUAUUUUUUUCUUAACUGUUUUUCUGUUUUAUAUGUGAGUUGAAUUUGUUAUUGUUCACAGUUCUCUCAUUUUACUUGAUUACUUGAUGUCAUUUUGAGCUGUUGGUAUGUCAAACUAGCAUUGCAGUUUUUGAUGCUGCCAUUUGGUCAUUGAUAUUUGCCCAAGUUUGCUGAUUGAUAUAAUUGAUGGUUGUUUCUGUUAUUAAAAGUGACUAUUAUCUCUAAAUGAUAUGUUAAGCUAAUAACUGGGCUGGUCUUCCCUGAAUUCAACUCCUGACUUAAUUGUGGGACUCUCUAAAUAUACUGAAUAAAUACUAUCCAAAAUUUAUGGUAAUUAGGGUUGAAUAAGUGGCUUAAGCAAGAAAUGGUCUCGUCCAAAUUGCGUCAAACUCUCCCUUUGUUUCUUUUCUUAACCUCUAAUAGUUCUUCAAAUUUCAUAUUGCAAGUUUUAAAAGUUGUCAGCUUCCUUCUUUUUCUUUUUCUUCAUUUCUAUUGUUGGUGCCAAAUUUGUAGUUUGAUAACUUGCUUAAUGAAUUUGGGUCAGCAUAUGCAGUUGUUUUAUUGGUUGCUUAUGUUUUCCAUUCUGCUGCUUGAUUUCCCAGUUUACCAAUUUUUUCUGUUUCAAUUUCAAACUAUAUGGUCUAGCUAGUAAUGUUUGGCCUGUUUUUAAUUUCUAUGUUGCACUCUGUUGAUCCUUUGAGUUUAUAAGCUAAUGACUGUUCCAAGUUUUACAUUGAGCCUGAUGAUUGUUUGGGUUGAAAUGAUACAGUCAUUUGAUCAUGGAUAUUAUUUGCUUGUAAAAUCGAUACAAGAACUCAGAGAGAAAAAGGAGGGUAUUGUCACAGUUGGCAUUGGUGGUCCCUGUGGGUCAGGAAAAACAAGGUAUAUAUGCUAUUAAGAUUUUUGUUUUGUCUUCCGAUGUCUCUCCCUCUGUACUAUCUAUCUAUCUAUCUAUUUGUGUUUCAAAAGAAAUUUUGUGGGAAUUAGGAUAAAUCGUGCUGCAUGCUUUCUUUGUUUUAUCAUUCUAAAAUUUUUGGAUUUAUUUGGUGACCCCAAAAGCUUAGCAGAGAAGGUAGCAUCUGUUAUUGGCUGCACUGUUAUACCGAUGGAGAACUACCGUGACGGGUUUGAUGAAGGGAAUGAUUUGGACUCGAUAGAUUUUGAUUCAUUAGUUCGAAAUCUAGAGGUUUGUAUCUGGCACUCAUUUCUUUAUUAUGGCUCAAUCUUUAUUUAUUAGGUUAGAUUGAACCAUCUCAGAAAUUGUACAGUUCCUUCAAUAUUGUUUUGGUGUUUUAAGAUGUGGUAGAAAAAAAAAAGGGUGGUUUGGAAAGUGUUCUAUAAUCUAUGAUGUAUACAUAUCAAAGUAGGGCUUUGGCAAAACUUUUAGACACUGACAUGAAUUCCUAAAUUAUCAUUUUAUAAUCAUUAUUCAUCGAUUCUAUUGGUAAAAACCGUUUUAUUUGAUUAUAUGUUUCCUAAUAUUAGUCAAUUUGUGUUUCCUCAUUUUAACAACAUUGAAUGACUUAUACAUUGUACCAUAUUUGAGUGGUGUCCAAGUGUUAUUGAAAAUUAACUUUGAUUGGUCUUAGGAUUGUUUUCUAAAAGCAGUAAGCCAGUUUAUUUUUGUUUCGUAACCCAAAUUCUAAUAUAUUAUUUAUGAAUUAAAAAUAAAAUUUCAUUAGUUUUUUCUCAACGUCUAUAUCUUUAGAUUUGUGGUUUUUAAUAUUGAUGUCGGCUAGUUUCUGGUAAAUGCAAUUUUCAGUGAAAAUAGUCUGUGUUUGUGAACUUGUUCAAGUUAACAUGUAACCAAAUUGUUGUUUGAGUGACACAUUCAUUUAAUUAUUGCUUAUGGAAAUUGUUUCUACAUCUCAAUGUGUUUGGGGUUGUUCUAACAUGUAUACAUCAUAAAUGAGCCCUUUGCUUUUUGGUUGAGUGCAGGAUUUGACAAAAGGUAAAGAUACUAUGAUACCAGUGUUUGAUUUUCAACAGAAGAAACGUGUUGGUCCCAAAGCUAUAAAGAGUACUUCAUCCAGUGUGGUAAGCAAGUACAAACUAGGAUAUGUUUUUAAUUAUGGCUGCUUUUUGGAGUUAAUAUGCUUAUACAUUUUUAGGUAAUAGUUGAUGGUACUUAUGCUCUGCAUGCAAAAUUGCGCUCUCUGCUUGAUAUCCGGGUUGCAGUGGUAAUAUCUUUUUCCCUAAGAGCUAGGUUUGAGUAAGGCUUGGUGGAGUUAUCAGCUUUUCAUCAGAUAUUGACAUAGUGCUUCUGAAUAUGUUGUGGUGUAUCAGGUUGGUGGUGUUCAUUUUAGUCUUCUUUCUAAAGUUCGAUAUGAUAUAGGAGAUUCUUGCUCACUGGAUUACCUUAUUGAUAGCAUAUUCCCUUUGUUUAGAAAGCACAUUGAGCCAGACCUUCAUCAUGCGCAGGUUUUUUGGUUUCUGUUUUUUUUUUCCUUUUUUAUGUUCUCACUUAUUGAAAUUUAACUGCCAGUUCCUCAUUAAUUGGGUUUAUUAUGCAGAUUAGAAUUAAUAACAGCUUUGUAUCAUCAUUUAGAGAAGCAAUCUACAAGCUGAAAUGCAGAAGUGAGGCAUGUGAUUACUUCUUAUCUUAUUGUCACAUAAAAUUCUAGGCAUAUUUUCAUACAUAGAAAAUGCAUAGAGAGCUUGUGGGUCUGUUUAGAGCCAACAAAGAUAGUGUAUUAUAUGGUUCAUUGUCAUAAAUACUAUCAAAUUAUUUUGAUAAUAUAUGUUUUUGUUAUUAUUUUGCGUACUUGACUUUGGACUUAUUUGAUCAUUUAAUCUCAAAUGUAGCCAAAAUUGCUCUCUCUCUCUCUGCUAUUUGUGUUCACUUGGUGAGGACAAUGAUGAUGCAUCUAGGUAUAGUUACUUGGACUUAAUAUUGGGUCACGUUUGUAGGAGAACGUAUUGUUUGUCAACUCAUACUAUACUAAAUGACAUUCCACUAGUGGAAAUAAUUUGGCAGGCAUAAUAGUUUACACUGUAACUAUCAAAUAUCGAAAGUUUUUUUAGUGCCCACUGUUUCCAAGUUGGAACAAUGUCCCAUUAGAAGACCAAUUGAACCUAAUGUUUUACUUUCAAAAUUAUGAUCUCUUUCCAAGAUCCAGAAAAGGGCAUCUUAUGUUAAAAGUGUAUGUUUUAGUUCAAAUAAAGGUUGAUAGAGUGUCUAAAGUUCUCUCUCUCUCUCUCUCUAUAUAUAUAUAUAUAUAUAUAUACGCCAUGCAGUCGUUNUCUCUCUCUCUCUCUCUAUAUAUAUAUAUAUAUAUAUAUAGCCAUGCAGCUUGGGUAUCUUCUCUUUGUGAAGUUUUGUACUUUGAAUGGUAACAAGUGCAGUUUAAGUGGUGAAUAUCUGAGCCUGCUAAAGUUUUCUUGAUCUUGGAAUACAGCUUUAAAAUUGAGUUGCAUAUGGCAAUAAGCUUUUGUAGCCAUUGUGAUAUAACUAUUGGUUUGACAAAUUGUCAUAAAAACAUGAGACAAUGUGAAAGGACUGAAGCAAAAGGUGUAACUGGCUUGCUUUAUUAAGUUGAUGACGGACACACACACUGAAAGAAAUUUGGAAGAGUGGACACAAAAAUGUAGAAAACUCUUAAAUAUGUUGCGCCCCACCACCCCCCUUUAAAAAAAAAAGAAAAAGAAAAUGAUUAAUUAAGUACCUGGGCCUGCCUUGAGUGAAGAUCCUGUUGUUUUUUGAACCACUAGAUAUUCCUUGUCUUUUAUGCGUAAAUUUUGCAGUUAAUUAUUUGUGUAUUAUCAAUCAGCUAUACCUUCAAAAUCUCAUUGAACAUUGUAAUGUUGAAGCAGUCACCUGAAGGACAUUCUACCUUUUUCCUUAAAGAAAAUGAAGCACAAACUGAUAAGUAAGUGGUUCUGACUAUUACUACAUAUAUCUAUGUGCAGAGUGUUAGUUACAUCUGUCUCUCAGAGCUUUUUCCUUUUAAUUUUUUGGAACUGAAAUGAAAAUCUUCAUCUUGGUUUCAGUUUUAUUGAGAUGUACCUUAGGCCCCCAUCAGCUAGUGAGGAAGCACGGAUAAAUGAUUGGAUUAAAGUGCGGCAAUCUGGUAUUAGAUAUUAUCUUUCACUUGGGGACCAGAGAAUUGUGGACAAAAAUUUCAUCAUCAGACCAAAAGCUGAAUUUGAGGUUAGUCUUUUUGUCCUUGUUAACUAUUCUAGUGCGGCCAUUGUUGUCAAGCUGAAAUUAAUACUCUGUGAUUGUGUCAUAGGGGUUUUCAUUCUCAGUUUUACCUGUGUGCUGUCAAAAUGUUUUUACAUACAACUAUUUAUGAGCUUUUUAGGAAAUAAACUGUGUGAUUCUUUUUUUAAUAGAUGAUGAAGGUUGGACUCCUGUCAUAUUUGUAUAAUGUGAUAGUACCUCAUUCAGAUGUAACAUGCUUGAGACUAAUCCAGAAUUCAACAUGUUGAAAAAUGCACUUUAAGUGUUUAUUGGCUUCUGGAAAAGUUAAAACCACAAUUUUUUAUCGAACUGUAGUUAUCCUGUGCCUUUUAUCCCCAGUUCCCCACUUUGGUAUCUCUAUUUCAACAAAGUCUGGCCAUUUAUGUCAUGUGUAGUAAAAUUGUUUCUAAAUAUUAGAAAUAACUUAAGAUGGUUUUCUUUACCUGUUUUGUCACCUAAUCUUGAACAGGUUGGACGGAUGACACUAGGUGGAUUGCUGGCUUUGGGAUACAAUGUUGUAGUUAGUUAUAAAAGGGCAUCAACAGCAGUUAGUGUUGGCAGUCUUUCCCUGUCAUUUGAAACAAUUGAUACUCUUGGAGAAACGUUCUUGGUGCUGAGGGGCACUGAUAGGAAAGUAUGCACUUUUCUUCCUGAAAGAAAGAUCUAAGAUUUUCUUGAAUGUCUUAUAUUUUCUUCAAAGUUUGAUGCUAAUUCAGGACUAGGCAUUUGUCCAGGUUUACCAUUAGAAAAUAUUAAUAUAUAUUGCAGUGAUUGGCAGAAACUCAAGUAUAAGAUGCCUGGCUUGAUGUAUGUUGCAUAUCUGUCGGUUAUUCAUAGAUUAUGACUAACACUCACAUGUGUGCAUGUUUUCAUGUCAUUGAUAUUUGCUUUUAGGAAAAGUUCUGCAAAAAAUAAUCAUGGAGAUAAUUGUGAAGAUAAAGAGGAGAGAAAAUAGGAGAAUUUUUAGGUGAAAUUUCAUAUAAAAAAUUGAUAUUUAAGAGAAUGGGAAGACAGGGAGAGAAAAUAGGAGGAUGGUAGCUUUUAAUGAUUAAGUUUGAAGUUGAGAGAAAGUAGGGAGAGUGGGGAGGAGAUGUCCGAGUUGAAUGAGAAUGUCAACUCAGAAAAAAAAAUUAAAAGAGACACUGAGAUGGUGAAGGACCAACUCAGGCUUUCCCGUUAUAUGUUAGGAAUUAGGAUAGGUUCUUCCUAGAAAGGAUACUAAACAAGAGCUUGAUGAUUUGCUUGAUAAACAAGUUGAUUCAUAUCAGAAGCGUAAAGAGACAGGGACCUGUUAGAUUGCAUUGCUAAAUAAUAUGUGUCUCAGAACAUUGAGUAAUGUGAUUUUUGCAUUUAAUUUAGGGAAGUCACUGACAAAUGUUAGAUAAUCAUACAAUUAUCUUUCGACAAUGAAUAUGUUUAACUUGGAGCUAUUCAGAUUAUUUUGUAUCCAUUAGGCAAGCUUAAUGAGUGGAAUUAUCACUUAUCACCUAGUGGCUUUUCAUUGAGAGCUGAGUUUAAAAUAAACUAAGAUAGGUGAAAGGAAAGGAUUGUUAUAGGACCUGCUGCGACCGGUUAAAAGGUUGUUGCUCUGGUUUGGUUCUGCAUUUAGUGAGAGCAAUCAGAUGCAAUUGCUUAAGUAUCAUAAAGAAAAUUUAAAAUGGGAACCAGUGUUGACAUGUGCCUGGGCUGCCUUGUACGUACUUUUUUCUUUUUUUUCUGCUGCAGCUGUUCUUGUCUUCUACUAUAUGUUAUUGCCAUUGUCCUUGCUUCCCCAAAAGUUUUCUUUCUGUUUUCAUCCUUUAUUUUAAUUCGUUUUCAUCUUGUGUGUUGAAUCUCCUGUGUAAUUAAUCAAGAAAACAAGAUCAAUAAGAAAACUGGAAGAAAUUUAGAUGGUCUCAAAAUUUCUUGCUUGCACUCUUUUAAAUGGACUUAUUUGGAUGAUGCAUAUUGUGGAAUAUAGGUUGCUUGAACUUGGGACACUGAUAUUUCUUGAAAUAAAAAUGACAACAUUUGAUUAAACAUCAAACAAUCUUUCCACUUGUAAGCUGGGGUAGAGUUUAGAAGGUUCCUGCUAAGCUGGGGGUACUUGCAUGUAUACCUUGGGUUCAUUAUUCUGUUAUCUCAUCUCUCAAGACAAGGAUGUUGAAUGCUUUUUCACAUGCCGAAAUAUGAUCAGUGAAUCCAUCUAUAAUUUACUUACAUGUUUCUUUUUUUGUUUGAACUAAAAUUUUGCUUUCUGCUUUGCCACUAGUUUAUUUUUGUACUACUGUACAUUACUUCUAAUGAGGGUCUCAUUCUUUGCUGUAUGCCCUUAUUCAUGUUCUUCAACUCUGUUUCUUUGAUUUCAAUUCUUUUAGCUUCAGUUCUGAUACAAACUAGAUUUCUCUUCUGUUUUAUUGUAAACAUUUUGAUGUUAUCGAAGCCAAAUAUAUAACUCUUGUUUUUUCCUUGCACAUUUUCAAUCUUUUAUCCAUCAUUUUUGGUUCUUUGUGGUAAGAAUUUGGAUUAGUGAGUCUAAGAUUAAACUCUUGUCUUCACCAUUCCAUGGAAAAACAGUUGAUGAAAAACUUAUGUUCAUGUUGGUUGCUAUACUGUUGCAUAGACAGUUGGAGCAGAAGCGUUGCGGAUGGGUAUCACUGGACCAUGGCUUACUAAAUCAUAUCUGGAAAUGAUACUCGAAAGAAAAGGUUGUCCACUUGACAUGAUUUCUGUCUAAGCAACUAUUGUUGUUUUUCUUAUUGCUUAAGUUAAUUCCACUUUCAGGUGUACCACGCCUCAAUACUCCUCCACUUGUUUCUACUUCGUCUGUGCCUAGUAAUCAAGAAAAAGUGAUUGCAGCACCAAAGCCUAUCCGUACCACUCCAAACCUUGUAACUCGACUUGAGGAUUUAUCUCAGCCUUGGACUCGGUCUCCGACAAAAUCUCAAAUGGAACCUGUAUUAGCAACAUGGCAUUUUAUCUCAUCAGAUCCUUCACAUGGUGAUGCCAUUAUAGGUAUGUCUCCUCUAUUUGGACACUUAUAAACUUUUCAAGCACUUCUUUUCUCAACUAUAUCAUGGAGGUUGUAAUUAAUUUCAUGCAUAGACUUUCUCAUGAAGCAGCAACAGAUUCUUCUGCUUUCAGGGAUACAAUGAAACUUGCCCCAAUGCCUGAUUCAUAUGACUUGGAUCGGGGCUUGCUUCUUGCUGUUCAAGCAAUACAGGUAAUGAAAGGAAGAACUCUUAUACUGAGAAGGCCUGUAAUGGUAAAUAGUUUAUCAGAAUAUUCAGUCAUGUCCAAAGCUGAUGCUUUUUCUCUCUUUUUCCAGGCUUUGUUGGAGAAUAAAGGUGUUCCCGUUGUAGUUGGAAUUGGUAAUAUCAAAAGCAUACAACUCUCUCUUUCUUGCUUGGUUGGUCUGUUAUUCGUUUGCCAUGUCUCUCAAGUUUAACUACGUGGAAAUGUGGACUUCUAUUCAAGUUUGUUAAUAAUCAUUUUGAGUGCUUGAAACUAGCCCUAAUAGGAUAUUCUUUUAUGCAUAAAUUUAAUGUCUGGCUGCUAUUGACUUGUGAAAGUGUGUGGUCUAUUUGUUGCUGGUCAAACAGUUUGGUUAGCUUUUUUUUGGAGUACUGCAUUACAAUAAAUUCUUUAAUUGUUAUUAGCUUUAAAUAAAACAUGGAAAGCAAUAUUAAUAUGCCUUUACCAUGAUUGUGAAAUUCUACUUGCCUCUGUCACAUGUUGAGAACGCUGCUCUAUUGGUCUAGGAAACAAUUUUGAAGUCCAAUUUUUUUUUUCCUAUUUCUGUGUUCAAGUGGCUAAGUCAAAUGUGUUAAUCAGAGUUUGAAGCUUCUAAUCCACCCUCCUUCCUCUUUCUUGGUUUACCUGGUGGAUUAUGAAGUUACAUAAAUGACUCUUAGGUCAUUGUCUUAUAAAACAAGAAAGAAAUAACUUCAUGUAAUUUUUCAUAAUUUAUUAUCGAAUUUGUUACUAUUUCACCCUUCUGAUUGCGAAACUCAUAUGCUGUUGAUGUUGCACCUGCUUUUGCAGGUGGUCCUAGUGGAUCUGGAAAGACUAGUUUGGCACAUAAAAUGGCAAAUAUUGUUGGUUGUGAAGUAGUUUCCCUUGAAAGAUACUUUAAGUCUGAGCAAGUUAAGGAUUUCAAAUAUGAUGACUUCAACUCUCUUGAUUUGCCUUUGCUUUCAAAGGUAAGUGUCAAUUUUAUCUAUAAAGUUGGUUUAUGUGCAUUUAAAAAAGAAAAGAAAAGAAAAGAAAAGAAAAGGUGUUUUAUGUGUUAAUCUCUGAUGAUAGGAUUGGGGCUGAAUGAGGCAUUUUAACUUUAGUUGAAACAUAGUGCUGGUAAAGAAUGCACCUCGAAAACUAAGCAGAAACUAAAGGUUUGUAAGGGUUAUGAUUAAGUGGUCAACUUAAUUCCUCUACCAACCGCACUUUAUUUUCAUACAAUAGUAGUGCAGGAAACAUGGUGAACAAAUUCCCUGAAUGCUGCAAAUUCCAUGUUUUCAUUUUUUCAAAUGUCAAUUAUUUGAAUAUUGUUCUUUCAUAUGUUUCUUGAACAAUUUUAACCAACUCUCAUAGUUCUCUAAAAUUUUAUCAAGUUCUCUGAAAUUUUAUUGGAUUCUCUAAGGACUGUUUUGAGCCUCACCACCUGAGGAAUAUGAUGGCUAAUCAUUGUAAGUUUUGAAAAAUAUUUUAUAGAGCUUAAGGGUCAUUUGUUAACACCAAUUUUCUGUUUUGACAAUAUUAAUUUGCUCGGUAAAUAAUGGAUAUGUAUUGCUUAAUUUUAGGACAAUAAAAAAAUGUUUUAUAUAGAAAAUAAUAUUUGUAAAUAUAUACUUUUACCAUAUGGAAAAAUAUAGUAAAUCGUAAGAAUAAUAAAGUAAUAAUGUAAUUAAAUAAGACUUACAUUUACAUAUUAAAAUAGUAAUUAAAAAUUUAUUUUGAGGAAUACUUCAGUUAUAUUGCUUUAUUUACUAUAGUAGAUUGUGGAUUUUGUAGUACAAACAACAGAUAACAAUAUAAAAGUCUAUGUUAUAUGUUUUAUAAAAUAUAUUAGUUUCAAUAUUGAUAGGUUUUUAUUUGAUAUUUCAGAUUAAAUUGAAUAAUUUAAUGGUUAUAAUUGUAGAAAUUAUAUAAUUUUAUAUGACACCCUAUAUUUCUAUUUAGAAAAUUGAUUUAUUAUAUUUAUGUCAUCUAUAUUUUAAUUCUACUAUAUAUAUUCCUUGUAGUAUAUUUAUAAAUUGUAAUUGUAAGUUUUUACAACUUUGAAAUAUUCAUUGUACUUUUAUUGUAUAAAUAGUGUUAUAUUAAUAUAAUUCCUUUUAUAAGUAUCAACAGGAGAGGAAACAUUGUUUACAAAAUCACUGGAAGCAAUAAUUUCUUGUUUAUAACAUUUGUGAAAACUUUGUGUUUACUUUUGCCUUUUUGAAAACAAAAACCAGGAAAGUGUUUUUAUUGCAUCUUAAAAAUAGAAGAAAAACCAAAAUAAAAGAAAAGAAAUGAACUCAUUCAUUAAGGGUAGCUUGAUUGUAUUUAAUUUUGGUACUAUAUGUUAUAUAUAAAAGAAAUGCAGAUUAUAUAUUUUCAUACCUUGUAGUUUAUGUUUGAUGUUGAUUGGAAAUUUAAUCCUAUCAAUAAUGCCUUGCUGUUUCAAUUUUUUCUUUUGCAGAAUAUUGGUGACAUAAGGAAUGGCCGAAGGACAAAAAUACCUUUAUUCGACUUGGAGACUGGUUCUCGUAAUGGGUUGAAAGAGCUUGAAGUGUCUGAUGAUUGUGGUGUGGUCUGUUACAUAUUCAUUUCAUUGCUGUUAAAGCUUGCUUUUUUUAAGUUAUUUAUUAUAUUUUUCUUCACUGAAAUGCAACAAGGUAAAUUAAAGAGUUAAAGACAAAAGGUUUAGAAAAUGAAAGAUGGAUUGGAUUGCUAAGGUGAACUAUUGGUUCUUUCUAGAUUUAACUGACCUGAUAGUUGUUUUAAAGAAGGAUUUUUUUUUCCAAUCAUAAAUGUCACCUGAUAUAUCUGCAAUGAAAUCCUUGCUCAGUGGUGCUAGUUCAUUUGGAUUAAAUACUUGUAACAUUUUAGAAUUUAAUUUGUUUAUUCUGACCAGAUAAUUUUUGAGGGGGUUUAUGCUUUGCAUCCUGAAAUCAGAAAAUCCCUUGAUUUGUGGAUUGCUGUUGUAAGUUGAUUCUCUAAAUUAUCUUUGGGUCUUGAUUUUCUUGUAUUAUAUAUGUAUUAUCUUGUUUUCUUUGAGAAAUAUAGGCUUUUAUUUUGGUUCUUUUCUGUAAAACCAGGUUGGAGGUGUUCAUUCACACCUGAUUUCUCGAGUUCAAAGAGACAAAAGUAGAGUGGGCUGUUUUAUGUCCCAAAAUGAGAUCAUGAUGACAGUGUUCCCAAUAUUUCAGCAGCAUAUUGAACCGCAUCUUGUUCACGCACAUGUCAGUAGUCUUUGAAUAUCUCAAACUUUUAGGACACGGAUGUGCUUAUAAGUAUCAGAAUACUUUUGAUACUCUUUCUGUUUAGAUUUUGUGUAGGCACACGUGUUGAUACCUAUUGUACUUUUUGUGUGUGUUUAACCUAUGCACGACAGUAGAUUUCCUAUUUAGGUUAGGUAUGGUUCUUUGAGAUAUUCUGACCAUUAUUCAGCAGUAACUCUGAUCACAAGGCUAACUUUGUGUUUCAAUGCUUUCUUAUAUUAUUGCAGCUGAAAAUUAGAAAUGAUUUUGAUCCUGUUCUUUCUCCUGAGAGUUCACUAUUCGUUUUGAAGAGUAAUAAGCAAGUAAGUAUCAUAAUGUUUCUACCCUAGAACUUACCUGCCAUGUCUUGAUUAUGACAAACCAUUCUUAUUUGUUGUUGGUAUCAGGUGGCCUAUCAAGAUAUUUUAAAAAUCCUUGACUCUGCAAAGUUCUGUAGUUCUGUUCAGAAUUUCAUUGAUAUAUAUUUAAGGCUUCCUGGAACUCCUACAAAUGGGCAGUUAACAGAAAGUGACUGCAUACGUGUCAGAAUAUGUGAGGGCAGAUUUGCGCUACUGAUACGAGAGGUUAGUAGAGAAAUUUAUGUAAAAUAUCUUAUAUCCAUGCAAUACUGUUGCUUUUUCUGAAACUGUAGUAAAUAGCUGUUAUUUUGAUUUCUUGUCAAUUAUGUCUGUUAGCCAAUAAGGGAAGGGAAUUUCAUCAUUCAGCCCAAAGUGGAUUUUGACAUUAGCAUUAGUACAGUUGCUGGCCUUCUUAACCUUGGGUAAGUGACAUAUUUAAUGUUGAUAUAUUGUUCACUAGAGUUUUGCUAUUGUGGAAUGUCAUUUUGUUGUAGGUAUUUAAUUAAAAAUGGUCAUUUUUUUUUUCAAAAAAAAAAAAGGGUCACUAGUUAAUCUCUUGUGUGAUGUUAAAGCCUCACAUUGUCAAUUGCAAAUGUAUACAUUCGAGGUUUGAGCAGCCAUUUUCCAGGAUGAAUCCAAAAGCCUUCAAGUUUUCUUUCUUUUUUCCUUUUUUAUUUUCUCCUUUUUUUCGUCCAGAAGAACAGGAGUGGGAAAAAGGGCGAAGGGAUUGAGAGGUACUGUUGAAAAAAAACUUUUUCUGUUAAGAAUUGUUAUAAACUGCAGGACAUCAAUGUAGUUAAUUAAUUUAAAUAAUUGCUUUGUGAAUGUUUUAAGGGAGGGAAAGUUAAGAUGAUAUUCUUAUCUGAGUUUCAUAAAACUCAAAACCUGGUUUUAACAUGUCCUUUCAUGGGCGAUUACUUCUUAAAAAGCACAUAAAAAUAUGCAACUCGAGGGACCUUUGCCAUUAGCUCUGCCUUGUUUGUUAUGGGGCUCAAACAUAUAUGUCAGCUGUGCUGAUAUAGUUGGUAGUCUUGAUUUUUGAGAGCCUACAUAUUUGAAGAAUUAGUCUAUCGGCCAUAUUCUGCUGUUUUAAAUUUUUUCCCUUCAUGCGUUACUCAGUGAUAAGUUAAUGUUCAACUGAUUGGUAUCAGUUUUAUAUUCCGUUCAUGAGUUUUAUAUUCCUUUUCAUGGUGUCAGGUAUCAAGCUGUAGCCUACAUUGAAGCAUCUGCACUCAUCUACCAAGAUGGCAAGGUAACAUUAGUUUGGGUCUUAAUACUUGUUUUUGUUUUGAGGCUACUGGCUUUUGGGUGUUUGCUUCUGAAAAGUGAUUUUAUGAAGAUUGGUAGUGGGAAUGAACUACAGGAGUUGAGGAUGGCAAUUAGUGGUAUAUUUUGGUCAUUAGAUUUUGAGAGGGGGGUUGCUGGAAGGAUCUAGAUUUGGGGUGGUUCUGUUAGGUUUUCUUUGUUCUGAGAUAGACUAGGGUUCUCCCAUUGGAUCUUUGGUGCAGAAGAGGCUUGGAAUGUUAAGCUCUUGUCUUUAAGGUUGGCUUUGGGGUAGGCAAAGAUUUAUGAUGCUACAUCAUACUGUAGCAAGAAGUUUAAAGCAGAAUUGCACUACAGUUCAGUGACAGGACAGUUUAGGUGCUUCUUAAAUUGAAGUGACGUUAUUCUGAGCUUUGACUUCUACUUGUGUUAAAUUGAUCAAGAGAUAUUUCUAAAUUAGGUGCUUCAUUUCUGGAUUAGACAAGGAAGUAGUGGAUCAUUUGGUAAAACUUACUGCAAAAGCCUGUUGCUGUGGUGUUAAUUUUGCUACUUGUUACGUACUUUAUGCUGGGUAAUAACGUGAUUUGAUAUUUGUUUCCAAGUUAAGGAUGUGGCAGUUAAGGUUCCAUUAGAUACUAAUCUCAGUAUGUCUUUCUUGUGAGUAGAUCUUAUUGGUUCACUUGGAAAGAGUGAAGGAUUUAACGGCUAUACUAUUAUUCAAUUGGUAACCAAACUGUUAUUAACUGUUUUGGAUAAAGACUGCUGUUCAACUUGAGUCAAUCACCUAAACAUAUACUCUUGGGGAGGGGGGGGGGGGGGGGGGGGGUUGCACUGUAAUAUAUUGGAAUGUGAAAACUUUUGGAAUUGAUGCAUUGUCGAUCUUCUGCUUGGCUAUUAACGAUUGAUUUUGGUGCUGUCUGUUAGAUUCUCAUUGAGGUAGAUCAUCUACAAGAUGUCUCUAGCCCUUACCUACAGAUCAAAGGGGUCAAUAAAGAGGCUGUGGCAGCUGCUGGUUCAGCAUUGAAACUGGAUGGGUCAUACACGACAAAGGUUUGGCCUUCGAUUGUGUGCUUAUGAUAGUGUGAGAUAAUUCAGUGUCAUUGCCACUUUUGUCUGUUAAUUUAAAUUUAUGUGACUUCUAUUCAUCUUGUAGAGUUACCUCCAAAUAAUUUUGGAAAGACUACCACUGGUGGAAAGAAGUUACAGUGGAAUUCACACUCAUCAAGCUGCAAGGUUGCAGGAACUUGUGGACUAUAUACAAUCCCAGGUGUUCACUGUUAAAUAAAAUUAGGCAAUAAACCUUUGAACAUAUUGAUAUGCUAGGUCGCUUUUAAUGUAAGAUGUUUAAUAUAAUGUCUAUGUUGGAUGAAAAUCAGAUUAUAAUCAUGGUGCUAGUGUCUGCAUAUUUAUGGUGAUUAAGAGUCUGCAUCUUAAAAAAAUUUCACCUUUUUAUGAAAUAGAAUUGGGAGGAUGAAAUGCAAAAAUCAAACUAGACAUGCCAAUUUUAUAUUCUUGAUAAUUUAGAGUCCACAUUUUAAUGAAGUUCUUAGUUUUUGUGCUAUAGAAUUGGAUGUAAUCAAGGUUUAGAACACAGUUUUUAACACUUAAUAAUGUUUUGGUGGACCAAACAGGGUGGCAGUACACCAUCAGAAUCUUCACAGAGUAGAGAGGCUUCUCCAAUGGAAGGCAUAAUAGAAGACAUGCAGUCCAGGAUUAGAAGGCUUGAACGGUGGCAUACCAUUAAUACGGUACUUUCCCUACUGUUUCCUUUUAAUCUUAGCUGGUUUGAUUUCUUCCUUCUUUUGGAAAAUUUAGUAUUUUUUUAGAAGGUGGAAUUGGAUUACUCUGGAAUAGUAAUAGAGUUUUUAGAUAAGCAGAUGGAACUCCCAUUCCAAUCCAUGCAAAUAUCACAUCUCAAAUGUUGUUUUUACUUUUUAACUUGAACGAUGUCAUUACUUGUUUUGGGCACCUUAGUUUAUGUACUUGUUUUGUGGCAGGUGCUAUGGACGUUUCUGAUGUCUGCCCUUGUUGGGUAUUCCCUUUACCAAAGAAAGCGCCAAUGACAUGGCCUUUUACUGGUCAUGACUGACAUUUGGGGGCUUGUUUUUUCAUUAUCUUGAAAUUGCCAAUGACAUGACAUGGCUUCCUGCAGAUUUUCUCCCCCUUUUUGCUACAGCGCCAAGUGCUAGAAACUGACUAACCAAAACUUCAUACAAAAGUCAAAUGCGUGUCUAGCAAUCAACUCAUAGGUUUACUACACAAAUUACACUUGAAAGUCUAUUGUUCUAGUUCCCCCAUUUUGAUUUUGUAAAUACUUGCGUUUGGAGGAAAUCAGAAGAUACGGAGAAGAGUUGAAGCUUCCUUUCUCUUUCUCCCAUAUUUAUUUUCACUUGGGAUUAUUGCAAUUUCCUUAUCCAUUUCUGUCAUACGCUUAAGUGAUAUAUUAAAAUGAUCCACAACUUUGUUGUAAAUCUUUCCCUAGCAUGGCAAAUUGCAGUGUAUGGCGGGUGCAUAAAUGAUCUUAAUAUUCUUGUCCGUAAGAUCGUGCUACCGAGUUCUUGUCAUGUGAAUGAUGACUGGAAAAUGAGAAUGCAGAAAUUUACAUAGCAGGUUAAGGUCAAAUGAGAACUUAUACUAGAAACAAAUGAUUAAAUGGAAACGAAAAUAUGCGCUGGUUUCCAAUUUGUAUGCACAAAAUGCCUAUAAAUGCAAAUUCAAAGUGAGUAUCAUGCGCUACGGGUUACUCAUUAGGCAGGGCCAGGGGUUGCGUGCGACCCAGCCACCAUCCGAAUCACAACUCCAUAUCAUAUCACAUUAAUAAGAAUCUAUUUAAGUUACUCUACCAAUUUCAAAAGUUUAAGACACAAGUAGUCUCACAUUUUAGAUUCCAAAAUUUAGUAGCCUGCUUUAUGGUAUGAUUCCUUUCUCCUUCAUAAAAUACACAGCAAUAGCGAGUAGUAGUACAAUAAAUAUGAUCAUCCAGCUCAUUCCACCUGUAAUAUUAAAGAGAAAAAAAAAAAAGUUAAGACCUUUUAUGUACCAAAUGAAUAUCCAAAGUCUAGAUUAUAAAAUAACAAAUUUGGCCAAAGCCAUCAUGCCGCAUUUAAGCUUGGAGUUUGGAAUUCUCUUUGGCUGUUAUUUACAUGUAUUAUAUAAUGGUUAUUCCCCUGCUAUGCCUAAGACAGACUAACAUUAUGUUUUAUUUAUCUUGUCAUCCAUGACCAACCAUAGUUCAAUCCUAUAUCAAGUGAGAUUUAUUUAUCAUACAAAAGAAUAACUAGUUAUACAAAGAACAGUAGGUUUAGCCCCACCAAGUGUCCUUGGUGCGGCUCGAACCCCACACCUGACAAGCAGGACACAUGAGUGCACAGGCUGCAGUGAACCAGCCAUUUUCAAUCCAACAAGGUUCAUAUGCACCUUUUUAGAUAACAAAACAGAAAAUUCUGAAAGGCACAUACCAGUUUUUGUCUUGUCCUUGAUUAGUGUCACCCUAGCACUUGAGUCCAGUGAUGCAGAGAUCAAAGCCCUGUAUUCAAAAUUGCAUUCCUUAAUAUCAUACAUCAUACUUAUUCUUAUAAGGGGUACUGCAGCAUAAACAAUUUGCAGAAAUCAAGAUACAAUGCAGAUAUAUUGUCAUAAAACCUUGAAUCAUGGGAGAAUGUCAAUGCUGUAACCAAACCAAGGUGAGCUUUUUUCACCAUCAUUUGAGCUCGCAUAUUGGAAGAAUUUAUGAUAAAAAGGUCUCCUCCAACCGUUCCACUGCAUGUCAACCAGGUGAAGAAAGAUUACUCAUUUUCUAAAUGCAAAGGCUUGUGGAGUUUCAAGACUUCAAUAGAUCUAUUUACUGACAAAAGGGAUCUAGCAAAUGCAUUGAAACUCCAUCUAAUAAUCCAAGAGGCAAGAAACAAUCUACCAUAAAGUAAAAAAAUUAGAAGGGGAAACAGGCAGGAUAAUCAUAUGAUACAGUCAGCAACAGAGAGGUCUUUGGAGGAAUGAAAUUUAUUGUAGCCCUAACUCUCUUGAGAAUUCAGAUAUAAUCAUUUGAUACAGUCAGUGUCAGAGAGGUCUUAGGAGAAAAGCUCACAAUGGGUCUUAAUUACACCUAUACUAAAGUUUUAAGUAUUUUUAAGUGAAGGUAAUAAAUUGAAGCGAACAAAGUAAUAAUUCUUACACUGCAAGGAACUUCCCAUCAGCUGAGACAUUGAAUGCAGAGAUAGCUUCCCGGACUACUCGAUUUGAGCGCAUUCUCUUCCACGUGGUUGUGUUCCAUGUUAAAACACUCCCACCAUGGUCUGUCAAAAUGAAGUUAUGAUGGUAAAUUUACAAGCUAAAUCAGGGUUUCUCUUUUAGUACAUAGAAAAGUUCAGGAUCCAAUGCUAAAUAUAAAAUAUUUACCUGUGACUGCAGCAAUAUACAGAACUGGAUCCUUAUCAUUAAUUUGAGAAAAUCUGCAGAAGGCAAAAACCUCAUCCUGGAGUGUACAUAAGCAAAAUAAAUCAGCUCAAACCCAAUACAUAGAAGAAUGGUCAACUCAAAUCACCAGAAAAACCUGACAAUUCCCUUAUUGUUUCAUAUCUGCCAGACAAAUGGCAAAUAAGACUGACUAAUUCAAUAAAUUAAUUGAUGGCCACAAAUUUAGUUAACACUUUGUUAUUUGUUUGACGACAUCAUAUAAAAAGAGAGAGAGAGAGAGAGAGAGAGAGAGGGAGGGAGGUAACACAUAAAGCUAAUAAUCUGGAUUCUGGACAACUCUCCUCAAUGGUAUAGCUUGAAAAGCUAGCGUUAAAAGCACCAAAAGUUGUAAAACCUAUAGAAAAGGCUCUGUUAAAAAAUUUUGAUUCACUCACUCACAUUUCCCUUUGCCAGAGAAGCUACAACUUUUGAUGACUCUACAUCCCAAAUCCUACAAAGGCCACUUCCCAAUGAGACGAGAAAUUUUCCAUCACAGCUGCAAUACAAACAAUAAAGAUGUCAGCAAAAAUGAUUACUAAGGAGAUAAAGUUUCCUCCUGUUUGACAACCUCCUCCCUUGAAAGUAUAAGAAUAAGCAGGGGAGAAAAAGUUUGCAGGUUCAGGAAUAGAUAUUAUUGUUAAUCCCAGUGCCACAGACCUAAAAUCCAAGUCCUUAACAGAAGAAUGAGCUUGGGCUUCAUUGAGAAUUAUUUCCAUGCUAGGCCACUUGAAAACCCUUAAACUGCCAUCCUGUACUGCAACAAAAUCAGAGCAUCAUAUGGCAUAUUGCUGCUGAAAUGAAAAAGGUAUAAUGCAUGAGGCACAAAAUGGAGAAAUUGAACAAGUGAAACAUAACAUACAGAAAUGGAAAAGUUGGCUCUUCAAUCCAAAGAUGAGCUUCAAUGGAAGAUCCUAUAACUUGCUACUAUCUGCCUUUUGAAAUUUGAAAACCCCUAUGCAGAAACUAUUACUUCCACGGUGGCACCCAACAAAGACAAGAGUAGAAUCUACGGUAUUAAAGGGUACAAAAUAAAGGUCAUAACAUUGUACAUUGUUGAACAAUGGGUGCCUUUUAAUAUCUUUGGCUUUUUUUUUUCUUUUUUCUCCCUCUCUAUGUCAAGAAAAUCACAUUGGUAUUCCAUCAUGAUAAUAUAUCUCUGAAAUCCAAGUCGAACCAAAAAGACAACCACACUGCAUAAAGUGAUCUAUCAUGUGAAAAACAACCAGCAUAUACUUCUUAAAUUUACAGGAACAUGUACAGCUUGACUUGAGCAUCACUUUCAGAUAAUUUGAGCACAUAGUGAGACAAUAGUUUUUCCCACUGGUGUUGUAAUGAAUCAUGCAACAGACUUUUUCCACAAAUGGAAAAAAUGAAAGGGAUGCUCUACCUCACCACCAACAGCCAGUAUGGAACCCUCACUGUUAAAUCUCAGUGCUAAUUGUUGUCCAACAUCUUCUAACUGGGUCAGAACUUUCUCUGACACCUUGACACCCAGGUUUUGUACUUCAUUAUCCUGUGGUUCUUCCCACUCAAACAACCUGAAGAAGAAAAACAAUGGAAUAUGGUACUCCUUAAACUAGAAACAAUGACAAAACUAAUUGUGCAACAUAAUACUAAUCUGGAUGUAUAUUAGAAUUGAGUGAGUCAAAAAGGAGCACAGGAGGGAAACAGAAUCAGAACCAAGGUGCUGCCGCACAAAUUAUACAGGAUACCUGACCAUUAAAACAUGAUCCUUGGUGCACAUGUGGUUACAUCUUUGAAAAUUAUAUUUCACAAUAAACAGCUGCACAAGCUCCUUGACUAUAUGCUAGCAUAACUUCAGGUACACCUUUAUAUUAUGGUACAACUUCUAUGCUAUUACUCUUCCCUUCAGUGUCUAGAGUUUCACACUAAAGCCAGGGCAUUUUUAUUACCUCCAAGAGAGGUCGUAUCUAAUUCAUAGAAAAAUGUAUUGAGGAGUUGCACACUCUUUAUAUAAAUAGAGUGGUUGAAAUUAUGAUGAACAAAUUCGUAUCAAGAAAAGAAAAUUUGAUGAAGAAAUUGAUUUGAAACACUUUCUUUUGGGCAUAUAGAAAGGAACAAACUGUAUCACGCAUUUUGUCUGGCUGAUUUAGAACCAGAAAAUUUUCAUUCUCUUCUACCAAACACUCCAUUUUCCAAAAAGCUUUGUAGCAGUGAUGGCUUUGAGAUGAUUCAGACAAAAGCAUCAUAGAGAAAGAACAGCAUCUUUUGUCAAUAGAGAGAAUCAUUGGUUAUACACUCAUGCUUGCCUCUAUCAAUCUAAUUAGUAAACAACAGCAGGCAGCUUAGAAAUCCACCAAGGAAUAUUCAAAUUCACAUUUCACCUAUCAAAUUACGUUGCCUGUGCUAAAUUAUGUCAAUAUCAAUGCUUUAAGCCAUUAAAAUUUUCCAAUUUCAGAUUCGAAAAGCAAAUGAUAGAAACAAAAAAAAAAGUAACUAAAGAGACAAAAAAGAAAAAACCUGCAACUCUGUUGCAAUGCACAGAUAAUGCCAUCUCCACGCGGAUGAACAGUCAUUCGGUAAGGCAAAUCAGAAUCAGUUCCCAGCUUAAACACCUUUAAUGAUAACAAGAAAAUACAAUAAAUUAUCAUAUCAUAUUCCAUGUGAAUUUUAUUUUAUUUUUGAAAAAAGCAGUUGCUUACAGCACUUACAAUCACAAAUUUGAGAACAUUUCCUUAAUUCAAAAUCGCUGAUCUAAAAGAUUUAGAUUUCAUACUUUUAAGAAUCGUCAACAUAGAAUCUAUAAAAUUAAAAAAAUUUUAAAUUGAAAUUCUUGAAAUCUACAUACAGGCUGUUCAGAUAGAGAAUUAGAGGCGAAAUCGACAUGCGAGACGACGAUUGCAUUGGGGAUGCCGCUACGGCCUUCACCACCACCGCCAGAAAAUACGACGUAGUUUUGGGAGGUGCUAAUCUCAUCAUCUUUGGAUUGAGUUGGUUCUUUGUCUUCAUUUUCUUCAUUUUUUUCUUGUGACGCGAGCUUGGAUCUGAUGUGGUCGUAAGGAACCCAGCCGGCUCCGUAAAACGGCACGCCGUAUUUUUGGAGAUCGGAGGAGGUGUCUGAGCUGUUGCUAUUUGUCAUGAUUCUGAAAUUUGUGCUUCUGGUCUGGUGACUGAGCCGAAACAGGCAGCGAGUCACGCUUAUGCCUUGCGUAUGUGCUGCUCGCUCUCGGUCAUAUAGGGUAUAUAUAACUCUGUCGUGUUUACAAAUUUUUACUUAGGCUUACGAUGUCAAGCCAGUGAUUGGGUGCCACGUUGAGAGAAAAAACAAAGCUUUGGAUAGUAUUCAUUUUGUUCUCAAAACUUUAUUAAAAAAUGCAAUUCAACUCUCCAAAAGUAUUAUAUUUAUUACGCGUGAUGGUAAAGGACGUUUUGUUCGUGAAAUAAGAAAAAAAUAAUUAUUUUAUGAAAAUAAAAUAAUUAUUAUUUAAUUUAAUAUGAUAAAAAGGAUAAAGUAAAAAUUAUUAUUAUUAUUUAUUGUAAUGUUUGAUUCAUAAAAAUAACUUUAGAGUAAAAAAAAAUGAGAUUUUAAAAAAUAAAAAUAUUUAUUAUUAUUAAAAUAAUAUAUUAUAUUAUUUUCAUCAAAAUAAUAUAAUGUAUAUAUUAAUAAAAAGGAAAAAAAUUCUUGAGGUUUGUAGAGAUUUAUCUAAAUAAUAUUUUUUUAAAUAAUAUUAAUAUACAAUAUUUGAUAAAAAAAAACUCAAAAGUUUUUACCCAUCAAACAUAAUGUUAUGCACCUUUUAAUAAUUUUGAUCAGCUCAAUAAAAAGAUUUGCAAGCCCAAAACAUUAAACAAAGAACAAAAAAAAAAGUAACAACAAAUUAAGCCCAAAACAUCAUAUGAACAAACAAAAUAAGAUACUUGAGUUGAGCAUAUUCAGUUUAACUCAUUUUCUUUUCCAUUAGAUAAGUACCUAAUCACAGGCAGAGCGGAAGACGGUAGAAAAAAACAAUGCCAUGGGAAGAAGAGGGAGAGGAAGAAAAAGAGAAAAAAAUGAUUUUAUAUGAACAAAAUUGUAAUUUUUUAAAUUUAUAAAGAAUAAUUUCAUCUUAAUAAUUCUUAAAGUUAUUCCAUGUCAUACAAAAAAGCAAAUAGUAAUUUCGAGAAAAUAGAUAAAACUUGAUCAAACAAAAAAGCCAACGGUAAUUGGGAGUAGUAGAGCGGGCGCACCAAACGAGUUGUAAGUGUAUUAUUAUUCUCAUUCUUCUAAUUACCGCUUUUACUAUUAUCCCCUUGCACUCCUGCUGACCUCGGGCCAAACAUGGUGUUAUUCGAUACCCGCCUUUUGCUCUUGUUCAUUACAGCAUUUUUAUUUUUGACAUUUCACUUAUCUGCCAAAAUAUCUGGGACCUGUAAAUUUAGGAUUUUCACCAUUUUUAAUAUUCUUUCUAUUUUUAAUCUGUAUUUCUCUUCCCCAUCGAAAGAAGCCGGGACCUCAAAUCAAUUAAAUUUAGAGGUGUUUUUCUAUAUUCCCGUCUUCUUCUGCAAUUCUCUCAUCCCUGAUUUUAGGUAAAAUCCCGUAAUGUUUUUAUCUGUUAUUACGUGUAUAUGCAUGUAUAUUAUAGUUGUUGUUUUAUGAUGUCAAGUUUCUAAUUGUGAAAAUUUGCGUUUUAUCUUCAAAAGAGAUGAUUUUAUAUUUUUAAUUUGGUUACGAAUCUUGAAUGCCUAGUCCAUAGGAUUAAAAUUCUGUUCUCCUUAUUAUGAAAUCUUGCUAAAGAGUGAGAAUGAAUUUUCAUUAAUUUUUGUGUAGUUCUUUUGUGUGUCCAUAAUUUGUUUUUUUUUUUUUGAAUUAACAAAUCACUUCUUUCAGAGUAUAGAAUUUUCGCGUUUCAUUUUCAUUUACUUUCUCGGUACAUACGAGAAGGUCCAAUGGAGAAGGGUUUCGAACCAUAUAUCUUAACUUCUUUGAUAAAUUCUGUCAGAUCAAAUCUUGAUUCAUUUUGAUUACUGUGACUAGAAAUCCAUUCAAAGUUAAUUUUCUUUUCUUUGAUUAUUUAAAAAGAAAAAAGAAACCCAAAGUUCAGUUUUUUUUGUUUUUCUUUUGCCUAAAAGUCUUUAACUUGAUAUUUUGUAAUCUGAACCAUGGUUGAUCUUCAUUUUUGAUACUUUUGGCAAUUCGUAUGUUAAUUUUUUUUUUUUUUUUGACUUACUAGAUGGAGGAUGAUCAAAGGGAAGAGUAUUCUAGGGAUCGGAUUAGUGAGUUACCUGAUGAAAUUCUAUUUACAAUUCUUUCCUUUUUGACCCUUAAGGAGGUAGCAAGCAUAUGCUUUCUUUCCAAGAGGUUAAAAAGCUUGUGGCCAAACAUUGUUACUUUGAACUUUGAUGCUUCAUAUGCAUUAUGUGAACUUCGGAGGAAUGGCAGUUUGAGGAAAAAGAAGAGGUCUUGGUACAUAAGCUGGGUGAACCACAUCUUGGAGUUGCAUAAAGGUUCUACUUUAAAUGAAUUUAGAGUUUGUUUUGACUUGGAUUGGACUUGUAGGCAUGAUAUUGAUAGUUGGUUUCAUUUUGCAAUAUCAAAGAGGGUUCGGAAGCUUGAGUUGGACUUCGAAGAAGUGGCAGAAAAAACUUGGCCACCAGGUUUAAGAUCCUAUUCUUUAACAAAAAGUUGUUAUGACUACAUUAGAACUCCUCACGGUUUAUCCUGUAUUACGUUGUUGACUUCUUUAUGUUUGAGAUUUGUAAAAGUAAGUGGUGAGGUUCUGGAGCACUUCCUUUCACAUUGUCCUCUUCUUGAGAAGUUAGUUGUGGAGUGGUCAAAAAAUUUAGUGAGACUUAAAGUUGCUAGUAAUUCAUCAGCUUUGCGGUUGAGAUACUUGGAAAUACACUCUUGCCUUGCUUUGGAAAAUCUUGAGAUUUCUGCACCAAAUUUAUGGUCCUUUAGGUAUUAUGGACAAAAGAUGGCAUUGCACAUUGAAAAUGCUCCGCAUCUUGCUGAUGUGCUUAUAGGUGGGAACUUAGAUGAUCAACCAGCUUUUGCUUUUUACCCUCUUUCAAGCUAUCUUUGUCAGCUAGAGACUCUUACGUUAGAGAUGAGUGCUGUAAGUGUUUGCUACAUUUUUUAUGUUCUUAGGUUCCAAAUUUUUUGCUAUUGGGUUUCUCAUUGUAAUUUGUUUUGCAGUAUAAUAUGAUGUUUCCAAAUUUCCCCCAAUUGACAAAUCUUAGACACUUAGUAGUAAGUGUGUAUGGUGGAUAUGAUGACAAUCUUCUUGUCUUGACUUCUUUGAUUGAUGCAUCUCCUUCCUUGAACAAACUCUCAUUGGAGGUAAUGUUAAUUAUGUAUAUUCUUCUUGAUUAAGAAUGUUGCUGAUUUCUUCAUAUUUGUUAUUGACUGUAUGGAUGACAGAAAUUUUCAUCAGCCUUUGCAUGCAUAGCACAGUCUUUUAUAAGAGGCUGGUUAUGUUAUUUUAGUAUCACAUCAUUUGUUCUAUUUAUUGACAGUUUGGUUUUCAUUUUCCAUGAAACUGGUGAAAAUUCUGGAUGUAUGAACUAAUUGUUCUUCUUUUCCUUUCUUUGUUGUUUUUAUCAGUUAUCUUUUUAAUUUUUGGCACUACUUGUUGUCCCUCUUGUUUUCUCAUGGUUAUCUUAUUGUGUUAUCUUUAACAUUUUGCAGUUAAAAAUUUGGAGAUCCUCUACAUACAAUCAUGCUCAUAGUGCUAGUAAUGCUACGGGAAAACCCAUCCUGAGUCUUAAAGUGGUGGAGGUGGUAGGAUUUAGAGGUUUUAAAAUUGAUGUGGAUUUUGUUACAUACUUACUUGAGCAUGGCAAAAUGAUUGAGAAGAUUACAAUUAAUUGUUGCCAUCCAAGUUGGAUUGGGCAAAUAUGGGAGUGCGAGUCAAUUAAAGAAAGAGAGAAGGCAAGAAUGCAUGCUUUACAACUGAAAUCAAAAGCACCUGCAAUAACAGAAUUUGUAGUCGUGUAAAGUCAAGUCUAAUGAUAUUUUUCAUUUAGAUCCUUAAGCAUGAACCAUCUGUUGAAUGUUUAAGUCCUGUACAAGUUACUAGUUUUGUGGAAUGUAGUGCUGUGGCAUUUUUCCAUUUGAUUUGUGGUUUUCUUUAGAGCUCAAGCAGUUAAGAAUCAACAUAUCAGUCAUUUUCCGAGAAGCUCCAAUUGGUAAACUCCCCACUGCAAACAUUUUGUUACCACAAAUAAGAUAACAAGGUCUUUAAUCAAGGUUUCUUUCUUUCCCGUGGUUUCUUGGGUGACUUUUCUUUCUCUUCUGUUUCUCCUUUCACAACGAGGGGAAAAAGUCAAGGAGCUUGGGGCUCAAUUUAGGGAUGGAAUGGGUACUUUGUUAUCUAAUAUUCUGCAUUACUUAACUCUAUUAAGUAAGAUUAGGUUAACCUAUAAUCAGGUUCCUCUCAUUUUGAAAGGAUUAGAUUUGGAGGAGAAAACAAAGUACAAAUGGAUCCAUUUUCCUUCUAUCCUCUUACCAAACAUAGUACUAACGUUUUAUUGGAGAGUAUGGCCAAAUGCAAGGACAUUGCAAGCACUACUAGUAAGUUUUAAUGUCUUUGCAAGCACAAACCAGUGUAUCUGAAGCAGGAGAGCAGCUAUGGACUAUGGUAAGCAGAGGAAGAUAGUCAACAAGGAGAAUGUGGAAAAUCAGAUUUGGCUUGAUUUUUAAUAUUAUCAAAUACUUCGAUAUUCCCACUGUAAAACCCGGAACCGAUAGCUAUAUAUGUCAGGUAACAUUCUUCAUACUACAUGAUUUGAUGAUUGGCCUUUUAUUGUUGAUGAAAGCGUAGUGACAGCCUCCCCUACUGUCAAGAAUAAGCUGUCUGGUCCCAUGAAAUCACCAGCUUCGUCCGAUUUUUGCAAUUUUUCCAUCACCUCACCCAGAGGAUUCACCAGCACAAGCUGUGAUGUCAAUGAGAGCAUUAGAAUUUUGAAUAUAUAAAGACAUACAUGCAGCAAAAGAACUAGUGAUGAAAAUGUUUGUUCAGAUUGGAGACUUAAUUACCUCAACGCCCUUCUUUUCCAUUGCUUUCUUCAGUUCUUUAAUGAGUGAUACACCACUCGUGUCUAUGGCACUCACCGCUGGACAAAACACGGACAAAAAGCAUGUUGGUUACAGAGUAUGUUGAAUAGUAGGGAACAAUAUGGAACCAAUAAGCAGAUUGAGACAAGACUUACCUGACAUCUCUAAAAUCACAAAUCGAAGGCUUGACUGCUUUUUAAGAUCUUCUUCUGCUUCAUAAUCUUCAACCCAUCUCAAAAUCCUUUGGAAGGGAAGCCCAAUCAUAAAGCGAAAGAGGUACACAGAAUAAACAAUCUGAAGACAGUAAGGCAUUCUCUACAAACGAAGUCUGUGAAGUGAUAACCAACCUCUCAUUCAGAUAUGUUGAAUUAGCAAAGUUGAUUGGAGCUUCGACGCUUAGAAUGAGGAAACCAGGGAUCUUCAUGGAUUCCUUGUAAUGGUGAAGAUUACGGUAAAUAUCUGUCCCAGGAAUGUUCCCUAGCAUCACUGUCUUUGGCCUAGUAAUUUGCAGGAGGAUCUUGAAAAUGGAGAUUCCAACCUGGCCAUUAUUCAUACUCCCAUAACUUUAGCUUAAUCACGACUAAAGAAAUUCAUUCAGGCAUGACUUAUGGAAUUGCAUAUAGACCAUCUGAAGGUGUGAGAAGAGAACUUACUGCAAUGGCAAGACCAUCUUGGACAGAGAUAAAGAUAACACCAAAGAACGCACAUAACAUCACAAUGAAAUCAAAUUUGUCAAUCUUCCAAAUUUGAUAGGCUGCUGGAAUGUCUAUAAGGCCAACUACUGCUGACACAAUGAUAGCUCCCAGCACGACGUUUGGUGUGUACUGGAAUAAAGGCAUGAGGAAGAGGAGGGUCACCAUAACCGUAAUUGACAUUACUAUGUUAGAGACCGCAGUUUUGGCUCCUGCAUUGUGAUUAACAGCUGAUCGGGAGAAAGCACCUGAUAGGAAAAUUAUGUAGAGGUUAAUUAGCUGCUUAAGAAGAAGCUUUUUGUAAGAUUAAUAGCCUGCUGGAGUAGGUGUCUACCUGUUGUGACAUAGCAGGAAGUGGAGGAGCCAACCAUGUUCAUCAGCCCAAUUGCCAUCAUUUCCUUGUUGCCAUCCACUUUGUAAUUCUUAAGAGCAGCAAAAGUCCUUCCUACUGCAAUGCCUUCCUGUUUAAUACCAGGUUGAAUUAAAGCAAUGGCUAAACAGAUUUCUGUUCUUUCCGAAAUAUUCUUACAAGUAAUUUAUCUUUCAUUUUAAGUAUAGAUGCAGGCAUGGUGUUGUCUUGUUUUAAAAAAUACUGAACUUGAUUAUAUGAAGUUUUAUGCAAAAAAAAAAAAAAAAAGCAUACCAUUUUGAUUAGAGGUUUUGGAACGAUCUUUAAUCUGUUUUCAAAAUAUGAACUGGUUCAUUUUGGCUAAGAAGUCCAUGCUCUUAUUCUACCCCCUUUAGCUUUUCCUUCAAUAAAUUUCACUAAAUUUUCAUCAUCUGCAGGUUGAACCAGUAUCUUAUCUUUUACUUCACUGUGAAAGUUGCCAGGCCGCCAAGGGGUGUUCAUUUCACUCGAAGAAGUCGGUCCUUUUAACUUUACCUCCUUUGUUAACUUGUUCAACAAUCUGACAAGCCAGCUAUUGGCUCAUCAAUGUAUAUUACCGUAAGGAUGUAUCGUGGUCUGCGAAAUUUUCUUCAGCUCCGACUUCAAAAUAAAUUUGCCGUGGCCAACCGGCCAUUUAAUUAUUGUAUGCAUGUUUCCACUGUACGUCAAGCUUUAAACGGUUUGUCUUCGAUCUGCCAAUUGGCUUGAAAUCUGUUUAGGUUUAAUAAAGCUGUGCCUACUUACUGAUAUGCAAAGCUUAAAGCAUCAGUUUAACAACUUGUUGUGCAACUCCAUACAAAUCAAGGUAUAAGCACGGGCGAAACCCUCUCCUGAUAGCGUUUGAUACGAAGGUAACAUGGAAAUUUUGUAAAGAACUUCUCCAUUUAGUUUAAUUGUGAUUGGCGGACUCAUUUGUUUUUUCUUUUCAAUGAGGUGUCAAGUUAAUUAUUGAAAAGAUUCGGAUAAAAAGGAAUUAAGACAACUUACAGUGAGGGAAAUAAUUCCAGUAACAAGGCCAGCUUUAAUUGACAGUCCAAGGUGGCUUCCAUGAAAUUGCAGCAUAUUCCAUGAAGGAGGAUUUAAUCCUUGUUGCAAUUUUCCAAUCUAAGUGAGUGGAGCACACCAAUUAACUGUAAGAAACAAAAAAGGGGAGCAAUAUAUACUAGGAGUUACUAAGUGAGGGACCCAGGAUACUUACUAUACUGAUGCCAUGAUGCUCAGCUUUGAAUGCAAAAACCACGAGUGUAGAGAGGAUCACAGAAACAAGAGGAGCCCCAGCUGAGAUCCAAAACAGAUUUGGUCUUCUCAUGCUCUGCAUGGCACACACCCCAAGUUUGAUAGUCAAUGCAAUAACCAAACUGUUGUCAGAGAGUAUUCUAUUAGACUUUCAUGUGGGACCAACUAUCUGAUGUGGCUUGCAUUGCAUCUGAGUCAACUCUGCAGGGUAUCAAGGAUUUAACCUAUGAUUGGAUCGUUAUCAUAUGAGCCUGUGGCUCAAAUUAAGAACCAAGGCCCUUUUGUGUGCAAAAGUCACCCGCUUAGAGUCUGUUUGGAUGUGCGGGACAGUGCUAUCACGACAAGUCUAAUGCUGUUUAGGGGGUCAGUGUAGUCGGGAGGGAUCCCACCGUACUGCCCCGCACAUCCAAACCAGCUAUUAAUCUUAUGAGGGCUAAAGGACUAAAGGGCUAAUAGAGCCCAUACAUGUUAUGCUGAUAUGUCCAAGCUGAAAGUUUAAGCCUCCCAGACAAGGUUUUUUUCAAAUCUCGGCUUCUUUUCCUCAAGUUGCAAAUGGUCAAUAAUCCAUUUAAUAUCGCUCUCAGGACUCAGGAUUGGCAGGGUGUCCACAUAGAAGAACUAAAAAGAAAAAAAAAACGUAAUAUAGUAAUCAUUUGGAGAAACUAUGACCACCCAGACCAUGGAAAUACAUGACACAUGUUAUCCAUGCAGGCCAGAAAGGAGUCAAAUCAUCAACAUUAGGCUUUCUGGUUGGUAAAAUAUAGCACCGGGGACCAGAUGUAAGAAAAUAGUGAAUGUAGAUGAUUGAAACCGUCCACAAUGAAAUUAACGGGGGGUUUGUUUUUGAGUGAGUGAUAGGUUCGAUUGUUAGGCGGUUAAGAGCGUCCUUUUGAGCGAUAAAGAUAGCAGAUUCCAUAUGGGACUUGAAGACAAAGAGAGGAGGAGUAAUAAGACGUACAACAUGUCUUGCCACUAGCAGGAACACUAGAAAGCAGAACCCCAUCAGUAUUGUUUGCCAUGACCACUGCAUGAGAAGCAAGAAAAAAGAAACACCACACAUAAAUUUAUGAUAAGAACAAAUAUGAGCAGAGGUUAUGGCAAGCCACACAUGAAUGAGUUGGCUGCUAACUGCUAAGAGAUAAGAAGUUUUAGUAAGAGUUAUCAAGUUACCGAAAAAAGCAGAGGUUAUGGCAAGCAGUAGUUGGCUACAGGCAAUUACCAUGUAAGUGACAUUUACAUAUACAGAAAAGAUUAGUUCAGACUACAGAGUAAAAUACAAUACCUCCUUUGUAUUGUGGAAAACGGAGCUCAAAACAGGUACCAAACCCAUUUGUUUAGUAAAAUGAGUGAUUCCAAGAAGGCUUUUCAGCUGCUGCAAAGAAACAAUGAUAGCAGCCCCAGCCAUGAACCCGAUAAGAGUAGCCUUUGAGAGAAAAUCAAUGAUAAAUCCAAGCCUGCUCACAUUUCACCAGAAAUCAUCAGAAAGGUUAUUUAAUUUUUUUUUUAAAAAAAGCAAAGAUGUGUUUAAAACGAAAGGACAAGUUCACCUUAAAAAUCCCAAAGAAGCUUGGAAAAAACCAGCAAAGAAAGUUGUAGUAAAGGCUAGUUGCAGAAACAAGACAGGAUCAUUGGCAGGGGAUACUUCUUGCCGAAGCAUGGAUCCAAGUAUAAGUGAAGCUAUGGAAACAGGCCCUACUGCAAGGUCCCUGGAGCUUCCAAGUACAGCAUAUACAAGAGGAGGCACAAAGCUGGAAUCUAGACCAACAAGGAAUAAACAAGCUUUACCAAAUGAAAAUCCAAUCAAACAGGAAAUUUCAAAGUUGCAAAUAAGCUUACUAAAAGAGCAGAGUCACUCACAGAGACCAACAAUUGGUUGUAGACUAGCAAGCUUAGCAUAACUGAUACCCUGAGGUAAAAAAUUUGAGAUCAAAUGAAUGGAUAACCAUUCUAAUUACCAUCAGAUAAAGAGGAAAAAAAACAAGAUUUUUUUUGGAGUGACCUGUGGGAUGGCUAAGCUGGCAAUGGUAAGUCCGGCAACAAUAUCCGAUUUGAAGAGUUUGAAGCUAUAAUUCGGACCCCAUUGGAGAAUAGGGAAGAUGUAUUGAGCUGCAAGAAUCCAUUUCUUCCUCGUUGGCUGUCCUUUGAAUUGGCGCAAAGGGUCAUCAGGGAAGAAAGUUUCUUUGAGCCUUGAUUUAAGCUUGUGAAUGGUGCUCUUAUGGGGUGGUGGGACAACUUGAUGAACCUCCAUGGUUAUUUCUAGGCAGGUUUGAGGGUGCUGCAUGGUGGUAGCAUUAAGCUCCAUGGUGGUGGAAAAAUAAACUGAAUUUGGUGUAGCUUGUUUUGGUUGAGGAAUGCUCUAAUUUAUGAGCGUCCCUUCCCCCAUCAAAUCAACUUCUCCAGAGAGACCGCUAACAAACAAACUAGUACUUGUCUAAUAGAGAACAACAGUGCCUAAAGAGGAAGAGUGAUAGAGAGAGGCGAGCCUUAUCAAUAUGGCAUUGUUGGUGAGCCCACCUACCUCUUUUCUUCUGCGUCUUGCACAAAAAUGCGCACAUGAAUCUACAUGCAGCCAGUGGUGGGAGAGACACAGUCUAAUAUCUCUCCUUAUAAAAAAGGAAUAACAAUUUUAGCAAUUUUGCUCAAACUAUCAACAAAAUUUUAGGGAUAAAAUGACAUGAAGAAUAUUAAAUAGUAUGAAAGUGCUUGUAAUUAAAAAUUAAAAUUACAUGAAGAAUAUUAAAUAUUUGUUCAUUUUCAGCACCAAAAAAGGAGCACCAUUAUCUAUCUUGAGUACCCAUCUAGAGAAACAAAAACAAAAAAGGAAUGCCAUUUCAAUGAAGUAGAGCUUGUAAGCUGUAAAGUAGAUUUAUAGAGAAAAGGUCAAUUGCAUUUUGAUUAAUGGGUUAAUUAAUUAUAAGGUCUAACAUUUAAAAAGUUUUUUUGUUUGAAUUGCACAUUAGAUUUUUUGAACUACAAUAAUUAAAAUAGUGACAUAUAUAUAUAUAUAUGUAUAUAUAUGACCGAAAUAAGGAGAGACGUAAGCAAUAAUGCAUUUUGCACUAUUAAUUGCUCCCUCUGUCUCAUAGUCUUUGUCCAUCUUAUUUUGGAAUGUUUCAAUUAAAUUGUCAUAUUUUCGUAAGUACCUAUAUUCUAAAAUUAUUUUUUAUACUAAAAACCAUGAACACCAAUUUUACAGAAUAAAAUUUUUAAAUUUUAACAUGAAAUAUAAUAAAUUAAUCAAACUUUUUGAAAAUAUAUAAUUUGGGUAAAAGUUCAAUAGAGGCAAUAAAAAAGAGACCGGACAUAAGUAGUUUGUUUUUUUGCCCUCCACGUCUAGUUGUAAUAUUUAAUAGGACAAUGGGCAUGGAAUAAAUUCAUGAGCGAAGCGUGGGAGGAGGUGGCUAUUUACGAAAGUAUUAAUCAAGUACGUCAAGUAAAUUAAGCAUGCAAAUAGUUUGUGUGCAAAAGUGAUGAGGCAACUAAUAUAUUUUCAGCUGCCAGUUGGAUUAAGCUAAUUAGUUACAUAAAGGGGUGUGCCAAUGUCAUGCAUAUAUUGCAUGUUUCGAAUGCAGAAUAUGGAAUAUAUGUUCUGAGCUAUACAUGCACCUGAUCUCUCCAUUUCCACUUCUUAAUUUCUGAUAUAUUUGUAUAUAGAGAGAGCUAGGGAUGGUGGCCAUGGCGGCCUGCAGUCACUUUCCAGAACUGCUUGUUUAUGAAUCUGAUGGGUAGAGUAUGGCUACAAUUGCAGUCUUAUUAGCUCUUGAGGAAAAGGAGUAUAUGGAAAUUUUGCACAGCAUUAUAUAACUAGCUGGUGAAGCAAAAACCUAUAUCUAGUUUUGGUGCCUUUUUUAUUCUUCCUGCUUACAUAUUGCCUAAUAUUUGUUCAGGAUUUUAUAGGAGGAAUGAUUAAAAGUUAAUCAUAUAAAAUUAUGAAUUAAAUCACUACCACCCCACCACCUUCGAACUGCUCCUGCACUUAGUCAAGAUAAAUCUUUCUUUCUUGGACCCCACAGAUACAGUGUUAGAUGACUUGCAUGGUCAAAUGUUAAUCAGUGCCGUGCCCUCUCAGUGAUGACUUACAAACAAUUAGAGAUUACUUGUUCACGGUUGUGCAGAGGGCGGUUGAAUCAAAUUAACCUUAUACCACACCGGACUUUUUGAACUCCAAUAAUUCAUCAUCAAUUGUGCUAAAGCACUUUCUAGAGUAUUUUAUCACCAUGUUGGAUAAUUUAUUUCAAUCGAAAAUCUAGACAAAAAGCUUACUCAAUAAUCGGCUUUGUGAAAUUGUAUUAUUCCAAUCUAAUACCAACCUCUCAAAAAACCUUGCGGAAUCUUGAUUCCUUAAACAUAUUUUUAAUAUCAUUCACACACAAAUUCCAUUCGUAAAUCAUUAGCAUCAAACGUGUGUAAGUAGGUCUAAUCAAUGCAUUGAAAAAUUGUAGUGGUUGAGAAUAUGACUAAAAGGCAAAACCGGUCCCCAAAGAACUGUGUCUUUUUCAAGACUCUAAUGAUAGCCUUUUAAAUGGCCUAAUUCGUAUCAUCUAAGUGGGCAUUUGCUCUUCUAAUUUUGAAGAAUCUUUAAAGCUAUAUAUAUAUACCUUUUUAAUUUUUCCCUCAUCAAGAUUCUCCAAAGGAAAAAAAAAAAAAAAAACAAAGGGUUGCAAUUUUCCAUUUCCUUUUCAUUUUCCUUUGCAUUUAGAAUUUAUGAAUGGAAGAAUACGUGUAGAGAAAGAGAUUGGUCCAAGAAUGAAAGGUAGAUAAUCAUUUGGUAAAGGAGAAAAGGAAUGUUUUGACAUAAAGACAAGAAGCCAUAUCGUCAAAGGUAGGAAGAAAAGAUAAAAAGAGAGUGUGAAGGGAGUGAUGAUUAAUUUUUGGAGGUUCUUAUCUUCAUUACUCGAGAUCAAACACAUCAAACUUUAUUUAAUUGGUCCACCGCCCUCUAAUCUUGAGUGGCAACCGCGAAAUUUUGGUUGCAGUCGGUUGCUUUUUGUUGCCUUGUGUAUGAUUGCGGCCAAGCAUUCUAUGAAUGGGGUUGGUCACAAGGUUACAGUAUGUGAAAGAAGCUAGUUGCUCGUCUUCUGCUUCAUUCCACCACUUAAACUAACCCCCCACGUGACAGUUUGGUGUUUUCCUUUUCAUUUUAUAUGUUGUUUUCCCCCAAAUUUAUAAGGGAACGCAGGGAAUCUGGUAAAAGCUAAUUCAAUGUGAAAAUGCUCUCCAGCUUUGAAACCCCAUAGUCGUAUAAAUUUGAUGGAUAGUCCGAAUUAAUCAGACAAGACAUACACACAUAAAAAGUAUGUUUAAAAUUGAGUUAGAUUGCAAUCACUAUCAUUGUCCGUCAAAUUCAAGUACUUUGAAUCCCGUAAGACUUAACUACGUAGGGAUCAAGAAAACAAAAGGAAUUAGUCAAUGUGAAAUGUUGUGGAGGUUAAGAUUCUUUGCCUUUAACACCAUACCAACCAACAGUCAUGAUUGGUAUUACUAUAUAGUUUAUGAUAAUUAGAGAAAUCAUAAAGUAUUUGAUUACUUAAAAAUAAAUAAGAAAUUUAUGAAUACGUUAAAUUAUUUUCUCAGUAUACUCUUUUUUGAAGUAAUCAUACUUUUUGACUAUCGAAAUAAAAUAGUAUAUAUUUUACAUACCGAAAUUGAUAAGUGCAAAAAGGUUUGGAUGGUUUAACAUGAAUUCAAUCCUCAUCUGUCGACGGGCUUCUAACAUGCGAAAUCAAUCAAAUUGAUUAAACAGCAGCUUGAUUGAAAAGCUGAUGAUGUUGUAAGUAGGUUGUGUUCAACUUUGUGAUCGCUUCUCUUCUUUCUGCAGGGGAAGGAAGCAUAGAUUCUAAAGUUAUGCGGUAAUCAUAUUUAUCUACUUUCUCUGAGAAAAUAAUUAUUUCCAAUUGGGCAAAAGGGAAUGGGUGAACCGUUUUUGAUAGGCUUCAUCUUCCCAGAAGGUAAAAAGGGAAUUAAAAAAAAAAAACCAAAAGAAAGAUUCCCAACCAAACAAAAAGGUCUAAAAAUAAUAAGAAAAAAGAACGUUGGUGUUAGGCUUGAUCUUUCAAGAAGGUAAAAAGGAAAUAGGCGUGGGCGGCAGGAUUCGAACCUGCGCGGGCAGAGCCCACAUGAUUUCUAGUCAUGCCCGAUAACCACUCCGGCACGCCCACCCUGCGGUAACUUCCUCGUAAUUUAAAAGUUCUGACUUCAUUAAUCAUUUUUUCCCUCUCUUCCUAUAAAGGAAAAAGAAGGUACCAGAGAGCUGAUUGAUCCCAUACCAUUAAUAUAUAGAGUAAAUAAAUGAAUUGUUUGUAUAUAAGAAAUUGAUUACCUCAAUUGGAACUGUAUAAAGUAGUGAAGUCAAAUUGAAAUUAUUGUAAAUUACUAGGACUGUUGUUGGUCAAGGAAAUGUAUAAAACUUGUCCAUAUAUCAGCUUUUUUUUUCGAAAGCUCAAUUCUGAAACUUCGGCUUUUAGCUGCUAGAAGGUCAAUCUCAACGUUUAUGGAAGCUGGAAACUGAUUAGCCCUGCUUGUAUUUUGGGGUACAGAAGCUGCCCAAAACAAGCACUGAGAGCAGUUAUUGCCAUGAUGGGUUAGGAGGAGGGACUAGAAUUCAAGGCAUUGGGUGAAAAAGCGCACGAAUGCCAAUUCAUUAUCGCUCUCCACUCCAGCAUCCACGGCUAUUACCUAAAAGUUGAAACAGGACCAGAGACCACCUUCAAGAGGUCCUUCGUAUCUCAGACUGGACCCACUUUACAUAACUCAUCAUGAACAAAGAAGCAAAAAAGCACUAAAGCGACUUUCCAUUUGGGACUAGGAGAUUUCCCCUCAAAACCCUCAAGAGUCUAAAGGGCUUUGUUAAAAAGCAAAGGUUACUUACAAAACGCCGUUAUAUUUAGACAAGAAAGAAAACUCCUACUUGAAACAUACCCGUCCCAAACUCAAACUUAUGGGCAUGAUUUAGGCUUGAUAUCCUAAAGGAUUUGAGCUCAGGAAUUAGAAAAACAGAUGAAUACGUAAUUGAACAACUUGUGCAGCAGCAUCCAAAAGCAAAAACAGUUACAAAUAUCUUAGAUUUAUGGUGGGUAAAGCUGUUACAAAGAUAGAUUUGUAAAUGCUAUCAAUAUUACGGCAUGUGCGCGCUGAAGGAAGCAAUCGGUAAGACAGGACAGGCAGGAAAUGCUGUUACGAAACAAUACAUGUUAUUAACUGUCCCCCAUAAAACAUUUGGUCGAUUGCUUGAUAAAAGAUAAAUUACUAGUACUACAAGAGAUGUAACAUUGCUUGUUGAUAAUAUUAGUUACAGUAAGACCUUAAGUUGGAUGUUGGGUUAAUUGCAGUAUGAUUACCAAGGAGACCCACUGAUCAAUAUCACCGUCUCUUAUUUGACACGAGAAGCUUUUUUAUUUUUCAAUAGGAUAAAUAGGGAAUAUAGGAAAGAUGUAUAGAUGAUAUGCCUUGUGUAUGAGGAUAACUUUGUUUCUUUUUCAUUGCGAUAACUUAAAAUGCUAGGAGUUAAGCCCAAAGCUGAGUUUCUGUUAUAGAGAAUAACGCAGCAUUUGGAGACAGUUGAGUUAGUUAAGUGCAAUUAAAUUAACACUGAUAUCAAACUGUUGAUGUGAUCAUAAAGGUGUUUGAUGCUAUAAACACAUCUUUAUCAGCCAUGUGAAUGAGACAGUGACACCGAUUCUGACUCACUGUUCCAUGCUUUAUCACUCUGAUUGAAUCUGCAGCCACUUUCAGCAAACUCCUGGCUUGAAUUGCUUGCAACACCUAAAGCUGACUGGUUACUUUGCUGCAUGAUUUAACAUUCAAAGCCUAUGGUUCUCACUGUUUCUUUUAAAGAAAAGAUAUAUAUGUGUGUUAGAAAUGUUGGGUCCUGGAUGUAACUUCCCCUGAAGGACUAAUUCUUGAAAGAGAAUUUUGUAAAAGCUAGCAACAAAAGUAAACGCUACAAAAGGUAGGCGCCACCCCACUUUUAAAAGGUUUCUUUUCUAGAUAACACUAACAGGGUUCUGCAAGAACAGUUUUGUGAUGAUCCUGAAGGCUGAAGGAAAAUGCAGUUUUUCCGUUUUAUUGGAAACAUUUUGAACCACAGACAGGCAUUAGCCCAUCCACAAUUUGGAUGGCGAAGGCAAAGCUGGUGCUGGUGAUGGAAUAUUGUUGACACGUAAAUGUGGCCCUAGCAAUGUCAACCAUACUUCAAAAGGUAAUUGGAGUUGGAUUGUAACACGACCCCUUUUUCUUCUAUAAAACAAACAACUGGUGGGAGAGAUCAUGUUCAACAUGGCUUUGCUUUGGGUUCCAACAAGUUGGUUCCAUCACACAUGGUCUGGAAUUUUCUCUUUAUAUCAAAGAAAACUGCAUGCAUGAUAAUGUCGGCCUGGUUAAGGUGAACCUCUCAGUGCCUGUCCACUUUAUUUUUGGUAAUCUACAUGCAUUGGAUAUGUUCAACGCAUAUUUCUUUUCUUUUGAGGAAAUUAGCAAAAGGAAAAUCAAAAUUUACUUAUAAAAGAAGUCAAGUGCCUGUAAAUCAGGGACGAGAAGGAAUUGUAUUGAAAUUAUAUUACAAAAAUCAGUAUAGAUUUAGUAUGAUGGGAAAAGUUGGUUCCUUCGGGUGAGAUACACACUUUUUAAUUCAAAAUUAUAUAGGUUAUUAGACUUGACACCCUCGUUUUAUGAGGAAAAAGAAAUAUAUAUACUUGGGAUUACCUUCAAAAAUCUUUUCACCAGGAUAAUAUUGCUAAGCCUAAAAUUCUUAUAAAUGGCAUGAAUAUUAAAUAAUAAAUUCAUGAAUAUGUAUUUCUUACAAGUAUCUGAAUGUUUUGAGUGUCCAACACUUCGAUAUUUUUGUAAUGAUAAAGAGUAGAAAAAAGAAAUAAUUUCCGCAACAGCACAAUGAACAUGGCAGUCCUGAUGUGAUAGAGGUAUGGGUUGGACAUCUAAUUUAGCCAAUAAUUCUACCACUUUCCUGCCCAUAUCACCCAGUAUAAAUAUAUUAAAUCACGAUAUAGAUCCCUCCCUUAGCCGGUCGGAAUUGAUGAUUUAGAUGCUCAUCCUCAGUGUGUCUACAUACAUUAUAUCUUAAAGCAUCAAAAAAUAGGUAUAAAAGAUAUUGAUAAUGGACGUGGUGGACUAUUGUUCCAGAUAGAAAGGCAUACAUUAACUGUACCCAGAGAACCAAAAGACAGGUGCAAUAUGUCUAAACGUUGAAGUUUAUGGUGCAUACUUAUGAUUUCUUUAGCUGAUAUCGCAUCUGAAAAAGCAUCACCUGUUUAUUUAUUUUUGUAUGGUAAUUAAAAUUUAAAUACAAUUUAAGAAAUAAGAAUUUAUUCUCAAUUUUCUGACAACACAUCAUCUUGAUUUGCUGCAACUCCAGAGUAUUGGUAAGAGGCCACAUCCACUCACCAUUCUUAUACACAAAAAGCCACUGUAGCAUCUUCAGGAAUAGGAAUGAGUUGUGAAGUUCCUUCUGCCAAACUUAGUUAGGAAAGCGCCAGAAGAGAGGCAAUCAUCAAACUAGAAGAAAAUAUUUUUACUAUGUCCAACCUUAUGCUUAAUAAAAGCUCUGGCAGUACCCCUCAGUGCCAAAGCUUCCUCGAAACCCAACUGCAAUGUUGAGGACAGCUAAUUUGCAAUAAAACUUCUGGUUUUUAAGAGAUAGGCUGUGAUCCUAGCAACCCAAGGGGAGCCAGCUAGAGUAAAUAAAGCCCCAAUUUGCUCCAAAACAUAGGGCAACAUUCCAUAUGAAAAUAUGUUUAGGUGUAGGCCACUUUUUUUUGGAUAAUAGAUUGCUUGCUGUCCAACUAACUUUAGCUCCCCUUGCAUCUACUUCUUGACCCUUCCAUAAGAGAUAAGAACAUAGUUGAACAACUCUUUUUCUAACUUUCUUAGGAAGAAGGAACAUGCCGCAAUAGUAAUAUGAAGGUUAAACACAAGAGACUAAAUCAACUGUAGCCUUCCAUUAUAGGAUAGUCUCUGAGCUGCCCAGCAAUUGAUCCUAACACGGUGAUUAUUUAAAUCAAAGGCUGGCAAUCCUUGUCACUUAGCUAUCUAAAAGAAAGGGGCACACCCAAAUAUCUUGCAAUUGUUGAAUUUCCAACAGCUCACUACUAGACAUGUUUGUAUGAAAGAGCUCACUCUUAGCAGGUUCAGUUAAAGGCCAACUAAUAACUGAUAGAAAGAUUGCAAAACAUUAAAGACUUGUACCAUUGAAUGCUUACAUCAUUUCAUAAAAUCAUCAUAUCAUCAACAAAAAUAAAGAUGAUUAAGCUUGAUUCUACUACAGCAUGGAUAAUAAGCAAUGAGGCCUUGUUCUAGCGGAAUUUAACAUACAAGAAAGAACUCCCAUAACAAGAACAAACAAAUAAGGUAAGAGGGGAUGACCUUGCGUCGUUUCAAGGGGGUCGAAGGAAUGACGCAAGGUCAUCCCCACGAAGUAGCCCACCAAGCCACCAUUAAAAAGAGACAUUGGAAGUCUUGUAGUGGUGAUUGAUAAGGGCUUUGAGAUCAAGGCCUAAUUGAAACCUCGAGUCCAGUCUCCUAACUGUAAACGUGGGCUUUAGUUGUUUAAAUUGGAUAUGAGAUUGGGCUCAACUCAAAUUGCUCCGGACUACAUAUCAUAACAAGAAGAAAAACACGAUGCGGUCCAUUCCCCUCGAUUUCUUAAACCCUGAGAGAAGUGGACUCCUAAAACCCUAACGCCUAGAAGGUUCUAUCAUCCUCCAGAUCUUGAACCCCAAGCCAAUAAGCGAUCCCUCCUCCUCGUCUCAUUUCUCCUAUAAUACUAGCAAUCCCAUCUUCAUUUCACUUACACCAGUGAAAGAAGAGAGUACACCCAAAUUAAGCUUCAAAUGGCGAAGCGUUUGAUUCCAACCUUUAACAGAGUUCUGGUUGAGAAAAUCCUUCCUCCUUCCAAAACCACCGCUGGCAUUCUCCUCCCUGAGAAAUCCACCAAGGUAAUUUUUUCACUUCAAAUUUUCUUACUCUAUUUUUGCUUUUCAUUUUUUUGUGAUUAAACGGUUUUGGUUGAUUUGAUUAUUAAAAAUAACAAAACAGCUGAACUCCGGGAGAGUGGUGGCCGUGGGCCCAGGAACAAGAGACAGGGAAGGGAAAACGAUCCCAGUGCCUUUUAAAGAAGGUGACACUGUUCUUUUGCCUGAGUUUGGGGGUUCUCAAGUCAAGCUUGGCGAGAAAGAGUAUGCUCACAAAACUCUGUUUUUGGUUUUUUUUUUUCCUUGUUGAAAUUUUUGGUUGGUUUGAUAAAAUGAACUGUUUUUGGGUUUUGUUUUUUGUUUGCAGGUUUCACUUGUAUAGAGAUGAGGAUAUUUUAGGCACUCUCCAUGAAUAAUUGGUUCAAUGAUUUAAGUUUAUGAGCUUUGUCAGUGUUGGAGGGGGUUAGCUUUGGGUCUGGGGGUUUUAAUUGAAUUGGAUGGAACUGAUUAAUCAUUAGAAUUGGAAUUUGCUAAUGGAAACACUAUCCUUUUCUGCUCCACUGUAUUCUUGCUUGAUUGAUAAUACGUCGUUUUCUUAAUUGAAUUAUAAGAUGGUUACUGUGGUGCUACCUUGUUUUUGAUGAAGACUUGGUAGUCAUCGGCUUGCUCUCUGGUGGAUGUUAACUUGAUUUGGAUGUUGAUUAAGGAAGUGAUUUACCAAUUGUUAGUAUUAUUGUUAUUCUGCUGUGUGUAGUUGCUGUCAAUUUAAGUAGAGCAGCCAAUUGGAUGGAAUUGGGGAUGAUUUGUCCAAUCAUGUGCCGAAUUUAAUUUAGGACCAUAAUUCUUCAAAUGAACAGUGCAAUGACAAAGAUGCAAACGGCCAUACUUUUCAUAUCAAACAAUUGAUGGCAACUCUCACUCUAAAAUCCUUUGUUUUUGUUUAGUUUUGGAAAUCAUUCAAAUGAAGUUUCAACUUGUCCAUGAUAGCAAAAUGAGGGAAAUUCUUACUAGGUUUUUAUAUAUGCUUUUAUGUCCUAAGACACAACAAAUUAAACGAAUGUAAUAAUGUAUGUAUAUAUACUAUUAAUGUUCCUAAUUGAGUUUUGUUGUUAUGGAUCUAGUUAAAUCCAAGGAAGGGAAGCUUUUUUAUGUGGGAAGCCAAGGAUGGGUGACAUGCUUUGAGGGAAGUCCAUGCUCUUAAAAUCAUAUCUUUGGGCUGCUUCUUUUCUCAGUAUCCCCGUGGAAGUUGGGCGCUCCACUAAAUUAUUAUAUUAAACAGAUGAUAUAAAAAAUAAAUUAAAAUUUCGACACGAUUUCAGUCUCACAUGAUUUGCCAACGAGUGCCAUGAUUAGAUAAUGAAAUGCACUACACCACAUGGUAUUAUGAGAGACAACUGCUUUGGCUCUUUCCUUUUUUAUUUUAUUUUCUGAUGGCGAGAUGCAAGUGCAGAGGAUAUCAUCAACUUUCGGUUCUAACUCUUCUUCCUUUAAGAGAUGAGUACCGAACCAAGAGUUCUAAAACAUGUGAUUCUUUUCAUCUUUUUGAUAUGCAUAUAUAAUUUAUGGAAAAAGAAGUUGUUUGAAAGGAAAAAUCAUAUUGAUUAGAAUUUAGAAUUUUAAAUUUUAAAUUCAAAGUUUCGUAUCUAAAUAUUAAGAUAUGUAGGUAGAUGAGAUUUAUAAUGUUUAUUAUAUAUAUCAUAAAAUCAAAUUUAAAAGUUUUUUUAAAAAAUUAAAAUAUUUUCUGAAAAACAAAAUACAUAAAAUUUUAUUUACUCGAUACUCGUGGAAAUAUUUAUAUUAUAAAAGUAGGCGGCGAGCACAAGUUGCAACGAGUCGCCAACUCGUGGCUGGGCAAUAAUAAGGUGUUACGACCCAACUCAAUGGCGUCGCCAAACACGCCCCCAAUCCUGGGCACGAAAGCGCCAACCGGUACACGCCGGGUUUAUUCUCUGUGGCCAGCGCACGUGGCCCCACAUUUUCCCAUUGGCAAAUAUGAAGAGAAGAGAAUCACUAACCUACAAAGCGACUGCGACCUCCUAUUUCAUCAUCUUUAUCCUACAAAAAUUAUAUAGGAUAAUAUACCGUCUUAUUUGCUCUUAUUAUGACGCCACCAUCACUUUUUUGGAUAAGAAUGAUAAUUAUAGUUGAUAUUAAUUUUCUUUGGGAUUUUUCAUGAGGUGAUUGCGCCUUCUCUUAGUUUUCCAAGGCCACUCUUUUAAUGACAUGAUCAAAAUUUGUCUACCAAAACUAAUCAAAUCUCUUCAGACGAAAAUUUUUAUCAUUGAUUAUUUGUAUGAUCGUUCUCAUGAAUUGAAAUAUUACUCGCAUAUACUAAAGAUUAUUGAGUUUGAAGUAAGGUGAUAACUUGAAAAAUUUAGUAGAGAUAAGUUCACUCCAAUUACUAGUCUGGUUGAUAUAAUGAAACAAAAAUAUCAAGAUGAUCCUAAACCAUAUUUACCUUAGCAUUUGUAAUACUAAUUUUUCCCAUAUAUAAUAAAAAAAUAAAAGAGCAAUCCAAGGAUGCGUGAAUCACCAUAUUGACCAAAAAGACCAAUUAAUUCAAAAGGUCAAUAAAAAGAAAGAAUAGAACAAUCCAUCAUAAAUAAAAUGAAGAAAAACAUACGCGUGAUAUUUAUAAGUUGAACCAACAAGACAAAUACUUUCCCUUCCAAACACACCUCCUAAUCCCUCCUCUCUUUCCCUCCUUCUCUCCCAAACAGCACGUGCACGUGCACGUGCUCUCUCCUCUUUCUCUCCCCUCUGUUUCAAUCACUACGAACAAAAAACAUCUCCUUUCUCUCUCCCCCAUUCGCAGGAGAGAAAAGAGAACAAAAAAGGAAAAACACUUGCGGAGCUUUCAUCUUCCUCUAUGACGUAGCCAACAAGAAAAAAAAAAAAAGAAAGAAACUCAACGGAAUAAAAAAACCCCGAAGAAAUAUUUGUUUGUUUUUUUUUCAAAUGCACGCGAAAAAUAGGAUUCCUAGUAGCGGCCACAGCACCCCAUCACCUCCGGCAUCACCAUUACGGUCACCGAGGUACCGCCACGGAAGGAAGUCGGGUCGGUUUGGUCCGUUCCAACCUGGGCGGACCAUAGCCCAUCGACUUGCAUGGUUACUUCUCUCUGUUCUUCUUCGUCGACAAGGGAUUUUCCUCUUUGCUCCUCUCAUUUACAUCUCUGGGAUGCUUCUGUACAUGGGCACCGUUUCGUUUGAUGUGGUUCCCAUUGUUAAGCAUCGACCCGCACCCGGCUCUGUUUACCGGAGUCCCCAGGUUUAUGAAAAGCUUAAAAUCGAUAUGUGUGGCGAUAAUUCCUCCGCUGAUGCGGUGAGUUACUGGUUUUUGAUUUGUUCCUUUUUAGUCAAUUUAGAUGGGUUCUUGGAUUUUAUGAAUGCGGGUCGGACUUUUUAUGGUUGUCUGUUUUGGGUCGGAUUUGUUUGUUGAAUCAUUCCAAAUUUUGAGUUUAAUUUUCAUAUUUUUCUUCUGGGUUUGGAUCUUGGUAGAAUUUUGAGGAAUUUGGACAAUGUAGUUAGUUGUUUUCUUUGCUGAUGAUUUUAUGUUAUGUUAUUUGUUUGAAUUAGACUCAAGUAAAUUUGAAUAAUUCUCCAAAUUCUUGAAAUUUUAAAAUAAAGUAACGAUUUUUAUCUUUUAUCUAAAUUUGAAGAACGAAGAAAAAUAGAAUGCUGAAUCAAGGAAUCACUUUUAGCAUUAUUCUUUUUUUUUUAAUUUUCACUAUUGUUUCCUGAGGAAGUAGACCCUUGUGUCUUGUUGUACAUGCUUCAUUUCCAGCUGUAUCAAUCUUUGGGGUUGUAUCUGGAUCUGAAUAACAUGGGAAAUUGCAUCGUCUAGCCAGCUGUCUUUAUUUUUUUUUCAAAGAUAUCUUGAUAAAGAUAAUUGUACUGGGUUCCGUUGGUAGUACAGUUAAUUGAGAUCAGAAGCUUACUUUGAAUGAUUAAAUCUUAAGGCUGUACAUUACUGGUGAUUUAUUGAUGAGUUUCUUCCUCCACACUAACUUGAUAAUUUGAUAAUAGGGUCUUGUACAGUAUAGGUAUAAGAUUAACAUAAUCACUUUGUUACAAGAAUUCUAGGAUGGUAAGCAGUUGCCAUGGUAUCAUUUCAUAAUAUGUUUAGUUGAUUAGGUGCCUUAUAUGCUCUUUUUCUUUUCCAGCUUCUCUCAUUGUGAUUGUUAAGAGCAAUAUGAAUUAUAAUAAAAUCUGAUUAUAUUAUGUGAAUUUAUUUUAUCCAAUGGUUAACUCCUCUGAUGCUGAUUUAUGAUUUGUGAUUAUAUCCACCCUAAACUUUAAUGAAUUUCUUGUAGAUUUCGACUAUUUGGAGAAAUUCCUAUAAAGGAGGAGAGUGGAGACCAUGUGUAAACAAGUCUUUUGAAGGUAGGAAUUUAUUCCCUUUAUUUUAUUUUAAGCAGUUCAUGAUAAUGCUUCUAUUACUUCAUUGAUAUUAGCAUUACUUUUGGCAAAUGAGAACAAGUUUGCUUCUUUUUAUUUUGUAUGUACUCUGUUUGUUGUUGAUGGUAACUUUUUGCAAGCAUCAAUAGUUGACUAUAAAAAAAUUGGAAGAUUAUUCAUUUUCUAAGUGAUGACUUGGGCGUGUAAAUAAUAAGGGAAACCAAUAUGUGCGCACAACUGAGUAUUAAUUGCUGGUAGGCUGCCAGGCAUAGGUCUCGAAUCUAACCACAAAGGAAUUGGAAUCAGACACUUGCAUCUUUUGUUGUUACAUCUGAAGGGAGUUAAAAUCAUUUGCACAGCUUCCUGGCCCUUCCCCAUUCAUACAAAUCAUAAAUAUUCAACUCUAUAUUUCUAGAUUACAUGUAGACAUCGUUUGUUUAAAAAUUCACACUACUCAGUAAGUUGAUUGACUAGGUUGUCAGGCUGGUGAGGUCAAUGAUCUUGGGGUGAUAAGCAUUGCAAUUGGGUUUUUAUUCUAAUGACAGUUUAAAGAGUAUGUCUUUUAUUGUCACAUGCAAUUUGGUUAAGUUUUGCCAUAACAUUUUGCCAUUAUGUCUAGGAGAAUUUAUAGCAUUAGAAGCUAACUAUCCUUCUGUUAAAGCUGCGUUAAAAGCAUGUUCCAUACCAACACCUGUGUCAUGUUUGGUUGAUAUGAUUUCUUUCGCUUAAACUGUUGAGCCUGAGUAACAGGGUUUGAGAGUGCUAUUUCAAGGAAUAGAGUGAGAGAGGGAGGGAGGAGAGAAGAUGUGGAAGUCUGGCUAUGGGAGAGAGCAACUCAUUAAAAUUUUUCCAGAAUCCUAAUACGAGUGAGGGCCUCAGGAGCCCCACUAACAUGUUAGUGUAAAGUUCACACAUUUAGAGUUGUAGGUGUCAUUUCUGGCGCUUUGCACAUUUGAAGUAUUUGCCAUGCUUGUCUUCUCUACGUGCAUGUGUACAUGCAUGCUUCAUGUUUAUAUGCACUGAGUAUGGUUUUUGGAUGUUGACUAUUUCCUUCAAAAUUUUCUAAUUCAGCUGUUUUUCUUUUGACUACUAUAGACUUACCUGAAUCGAAUGGUUACAUAUAUGUUGAGGCAAAUGGAGGCUUAAAUCAGCAGAGGACAUCGGUUGGUUUUAUUCAUUAUUAGUUUCUAUUACAUAUUUAUGAUUUACCUUGUUUUUAUAAUAGCUUGCCUAUUUUAUGAUCUCGUUAAUUAUAUUUUCUCUACAUGGCUGUUUUGGAUACUUUGUAGAUAUGCAAUGCAGUUGCUGUGGCAGGCUAUCUUAAUGCAACACUUCUAAUCCCUAAUUUCCAUUAUCAUAGCAUAUGGCGGGAUCCCAGGUUUGUGAUCAUAUGUUGUGUCAUGUUGGUUGUGUACCAUUAAGGUUAAGUGAUAAAAGUCCUAGUAAUCAGUUCUCUGACAAAUAAAUAUUUAUUGGGAAGCUUAAUCUCAUAAAUAUCAUAUGACCUGAUUCUGGUAUGGAGUGGUACGUUACCUACUUCUAAUUUGUGCCCUGAUAUCUUGAUUUUAUCUACUUAUACAAAUUUUCUGUAUUGGCAGCAUUAGGCUGUGAAGCCUCUUUUAUUAAAAUAUUACUGAAAUUAGCUGUAUGAGGGAAAGGAAAUUUUCAAGGGAAGUGUUAAAAUGAAAAAAGAAAAGAAAAGAAUAUGCAUUUAAAGAAUUUAAAACCAAACGUAGCCCUGAUUUCAAAUUUUUAGGUCCAUUUACCUCAUUUUUGUAGUUUUACACAUCAUUUCUUUCUUUUAUGCAUUACACCUCUUUGUUCCUUAUAAGCAUGGGUAAAUUCAACCUAUAACCCAUGGCUUCAGCUUUUCCCACAUAGGAGUCAUUUGGUAUAGUGGAAGUGGGGCACUUUCCUUGUAUUUUAAUAGGGUGUAAGGACAUUCCGAUGCUUGGUGUAAAAAAUACCCAUGGGAAUGUCCUUCCAAUGACCAAUGGGAAUGUGAUUCCCAUUGCUCAUGGAGGGAGUGUAACUUUCCCAUUGCUAUGGGAAACCUAGCUCAAUCCUUAAACGUUCUAAACCAUUAUGGUGGCAUGUAUGGCUAAAAAUUAGAGCAAAGUGGAUUUUCCACAUAUUCUGCAAUGAACCUUUUUUUAACUUUUGCUAUACCUCUAAAAUUUCCCCUCCUUAAUUCUUUAUUUUAAAUCCUUUGGCUUUGUUUGGUUCAUGAGAAAUUAAAGAAAAAACUCAAGAAAACAAAACAAGCAGAUGAAAAAGGAAAAUCUUUGUUUUCUUUGGUGAUACAAGGAAAAUCGUUCGAGGUCAGUAUAGUUGUCGUGAAUGUCUUUAGUGCUGCCCAUGUUGCCUAAGAAGUUCACAUAAUUAAAAGCAAUUGCUACUAACUUUUAAUAAAUAAAAGCAAAAAAUCAUUACCCAAAGAAGUUCAAUGAUAAAAAAAAAUUAGAAAACUCUUUAGAUAACAAUUUUUAUUAUUCUUGUAAUAUUCUAGGCAUUAUUACAAAAAAUAAUUAUUUUUAAUAGUUAUAGGCAUUAUUAUAAAAAAUAAAAAUUUAGUAACUUCACAUAUUUUAAUAUUUAAGUAAUUAGUAUUCAAAUAUUAUGUUAUUUUUAUCAUGUUAUUAUUUAUUAUUUUAAGAGAUAAAGUUUGAAAACUUAAAAAUUUACAUUAAAAAGAAUGUAAGUUUAUUCAACUUUAUUUUUCCAUACACAAGGGUAAUUCUGUAAAUUAAUACUACAUUUCCAGUAAAGUGCUUCCAAACCAAACAAUGCAAUGUGAUCUUCUUAGGAUUUUAAUCAACAAUUUCACGAUGCAAUGCUAUCUUCCUAACAAGAACAUUCAGAGCAAUCAUUCUCAGUAAAAUACCAACUGCCACCAUAGCACCUUGUGAUAUUUUUCUCAAUUAGCACCAUGUGAUUAAGUUCUAUUCUUAGAGAUUGAUGCAUUGUUAAUAUCAUGAAGUAAAAUUAUCAAAAUACCCUCAAUUCAAAAAGUAUCUUGUUUGUUCACUUUUAAGGGUAUUUUCAUAAUAUUACUAGAUAAUAUUAAUGGCAUAACCUCUUAUGGGAAUGGAACUUGACCACAAGGUGCUAUUUAAGAAAAAAAAAAAAAAAUCAGAGGGUGCUAUGUGGGAAAAGUUGAAACCACAAGGGCUGUAGGUAAAAUUUACCUUGUAAACAUUAUGUGAUAUCAUGUUUUGCAAGUCAUUUUGUUAUUAUAUUGACUGAAGUUUUUACUUUUCCAGCAAAUUCAAAGACAUCUAUGAUGAAGAUUCUUUCAUCAAUGCCUUGAAGAAUGAUGUACGGGUUGUUAAUAAGAUUCCUGAGUAUAUAAUGGAACGAUUUGACCAUAAUCUGACCAAUGUUUACAACUUCAGAAUUAAAGCUUGGUCAUCCAUUCAAUAUUAUAGGGAUGUAGUUCUACCCAAGCUCCUUGAAGAAAGGUGAGUUUGAACAUUGUCAGUUGCAUAAUUGUUUCGUUUUAAGUUUAGCUUGUUUACUUGAGUGACAUAUGGUGACUCUAUGCAUAAUUGAAUCACUUAGGAUCAUAAAGUGCACUGUUUAUUUUUUUUUGUUGUUUGGUUUUGUUGAGAUCUUCACUGUUUGUUGUUGUCUUAAUUUAAGGUAAUUGGUUUCUGAUUGAAUGACUCAGGAUUAUAAGGAUUUCUCCUUUUGCAAACCGCUUAUCAUUUGAUGCUCCUCCAGCUGUCCAAAGACUCAGAUGCCUGGCAAAUUAUGAAGCUUUACGGUUUUCAAGUCCAAUACUAAGUCUUGGAGAAACUUUGGUCACAAGAAUGAAAGAGCUCAGUGCAAACAGUGGCGGCAAGUAUGUUUCUGUACAUCUUCGCUUUGAGGAGGUUAGUAUUUUUUAAAUAGAAAUGUAUUAUGAUGAUAUCUUUUAAUAUAAAAAAAUUACUGUUAUGACGGUUAGUGGUGGUAAAAUUUCCCUGGUAGAAACUAAUAGCAUUAUUAUCAGUUCCAUUUGUGUAAGAAGUGUAUAAUAUACUCUUUCAUGUGCAGGACAUGGUUGCUUUCUCUUGUUGUGUAUUUGAUGGUGGGCAGCAAGAAAAAGAAGACAUGAAAAAAGCAAGGGAAAGAGGCUGGAAAGGAAAAUUUACAAAACCUGGCCGAGUUAUACGCCCUGGAGCAAUCAGGAUUAAUGGGAAAUGCCCACUCACUCCUUUAGAGGUGUGUUUGCACUUUUGUUGGUUAAUAAAUUUGCUUUCAUUGAAAAUUGAACUUGAGCAAUCUCUGCCUGGUGAUAAUUUUACUAUUGUUAGAUUGGGAUGAUACAUGGUAGAUUAGGGUUGGUAAAGAACAGCUUCAGGAAUGGGUUUAUAGGUUUUCUUGAUUAGUUCAUUGAUAAGUUAAGGUCUUAUUUGCUGAUGGUAGUCAGAGGCUCUCAAAUUGCUCUAAUACAUAAUGAAAUUUCUCUGUUCAUAUUUUAAAUGUGUUGUUAUUUGGCGUCGAAUGUUUUUAAAAUAUUAAUAAAAAGGGUAUUAAUAAAAUGGAAAAGGAUAAAAUAGAAAUGGAAUAAAAAUAAUAAAUAUAUGGCAUAAAAAUGAUUAAUAUCAAAAUUUAUUAGAAGUCACCAUUGCAUUAUUUAAAUGUCAUAGCAUGAAUAUUUUAUAUUUCUACUCUAAGCCAAGAACAUUCCCAAUUUUUUAUUAACUAAUUUAAAAUAGAAUGAAAACUAGAAUUUUCAAAUCAGGCAUUUAAGGGUCUAGCAUGUGUCCCUGACAAAAACAUUUAUUAUGUCGUAAUUAUGGAACUUUUUUGUUUUUCUGGUUCAGUGGUUAUUUGUUCUUUUCUUCCUUUACCUGUUCAUAAUAUAUAAUAUCCUAGUACUUUGUUGUCCAGUGUCAAGCAUUGUGGACUAGUAUUAUGCUGAACUGAUGUAAUUGUCAAAUGCAUGAUGUGGUGGCUUGGUAUAGCUUUCCACAUUUAAGAGUGAAUUUGCGUAAUAGCUUCUUUAUGUACUAAAGAUCAUGAAGUGGAUGAAUUUGCUCCUUUAUUGAAUUGUGGUGCUGCUUGAAGUUGUGGAAUCUUAAAAAAUAUAACUUAUUGUUGCUCUUGUACUGGCUUAUAGAAUUUCCUUGGCUAUUUGACAGUUUCAUAUGUCUGUUACCUGACCUUGAUCAAAAGUUGGUAUUUUUUUCUUUUAUAUAAUUGGGGUACGGGGGAUUCGAACCCUGCUCUUUAGGCAGGGGGAUAAUGCACCAACCAAUGAGCCAAAUGCUCCGGUGCAAGUUGGUAUUUAAAUGAUAGAUUAAAACAAAAAUUCACACAACAUAGGUGAGUUUGCAACUGCUAUAGCUAUGGUGUUCGUUGUUAAUUUAAGUAUUCUCAAGGUAGUUCAUAUAUAUGUACACAAGAUAUACACCAUUUGUAUCAAUGAUAAUUCAUUUAAUAUUUUCUUGCACCUGUUAGGUUGGAUUGAUGCUUAGGGGAAUGGGAUUUGAUAACAAUACAUAUAUAUUUUUGGCAUCUGGAAAAAUAUACAAUGCUGAGAAAACAAUGGCUCCGUUAUUGGAAAUGUUUCCAAACUUGCAAACAAAAGAGAUGCUGGCAUCAGAGGAAGAACUUGCUCCAUAUAAGGUUGGAAGCAUAUACAAGAUUUCACAACUCUGUUAUUUCUUGUAGUCCUUCGAUAAUAUUGUUCGAGAUUUUUUGAUUUUGUGUCAUGUUUUUGACUUGAUUACUGGUUUCAGAACUUUUCUUCCAGGAUGGCUGCCAUAGACUAUACUGUUUGCCUUCAUAGUGAGGUAUUUGUCACAACUCAAGGUGGAAAUUUUCCUCAUUUUCUGAUGGGCCACAGGAGAUACUUGUAUGGAGGACACUCCAAGACAAUUCGACCAGACAAGCGAAAGUUAGCAUUGCUGUUUGAUAAUCCUAAUAUCGGGUAUGGAUUUAUCUUAUGCUAAACCUAAACUAUACUUUAGGUUGCCUGUUUUUCCUUGAAGGAUAAAAAAUGAUUGAUUUAACAGAAGCGAAAAAAGAAAAAGGAGGACCAAAAUGAUUGACAUUAGGUGAUUUCUAUCAGGAUUCAGGCUAACAAGGGAUUGGUUCCUCCCCUUGUUUAUUGGCUGUAGUAGGUAGAAAGACACAUUGGUGGUGAUAAACAUGAAGAAAUACAUCUUGAAACAGCUAAACUAAACACUUUACUUCAGAUUUUAUAUUUUAGUUUUCUUCUUUUGUGAAGUACAUACUUUAUGGGGUGGUUUGCAAUUUUUCAUUUUGGAAGUGUCCUUGGGGAAAAUCUAGGGAGAGUUGCUAUGUUCUACAAUGAAACACAUAUCUUUGUGUGUUGUUUUAGAAUGCUCUUGUUUGUGAUAAUUGGAAAGAAGAACUGCUGGAUUCAAUUUACCUUCCUUUUUAUUCCAGAUGGAAAAGUUUCAAGCGUCAAAUGCUGAAUAUGCGGUCUCAUAGUGACUCGAAGGGAUUUGAACUGAAAAGGCCAAAUGAUUCAAUAUAUACCUUCCCAUGCCCCGAUUGCAUGUGUCGUACAAACAAAUCAGAAGAUUCAAGAUCAUCAUCAGCUACGUGAUCUGCUUGGAGAGGGAUUUUGAUGGGUGUUUCUUGUUCCUGUAAUGUAGGGAGCAAAUCUUGCUGCUGACCCCUGUUUUAUUUGUGUGUCUAAUUCUUUCAUUUUUUUUAUCCUCCUCAAUUUUGGGAGCUUUGAGGAUUAUUUCAGAGGUCACAUUGAUCUAUUGAUCUAAUUAUUUCACCGGGAUUGAGUUGAUGAGGAGUUGCAUCUCUUUGUAUAUGACGCCAGAGAACACGGAAUUUGACAAUUUUGCCAUUGGAGGGAUUACCCCAACAUUAACGGGAGAUUGUUUCACGAUUGCUGCAGCUGCUGCUGUACCUAACAAGCUGUGGAUAUAACACGUCGGAUUCUUUUGCACCCUGGUUUUAUGAUUUUUGUAAAUUAGUUGCAGUUGGAAUUGUAAGGCAGGAAGAAAGUUGGUGUACAUUUCGCAGAAAUCAGGGUAUUGAUUUUUACUGUACAAUUUUUGUUCACGCUCUUUACGUUUUCCAAUUUCAGGAAUUUCUUUGUUAGCAACUCUUGCUGGAUUGUAUAUUCCUUUUAAUCAUUUUAGUUUUGGGCAUGCAUGCUAGUUACACAGACAUUGUCCUAUCUCUGCGUUUCUCUGUUUGUUUUGCAUUAUGCAUAUCAUUGCAGAAACAAGGAGCAUUUCUCCUUCGCAGCAACAAAACUUUGGGACGUGACAGCUCUUCGACUUGAUAAAAUUCAAGACGGUAGUCGGAGAGCGCGGCCCCGAACUACGGGGAUUGGUACUGUUCUUUGUUCAUGGCUGUUUCGGAAUGGGUUUUGCUUAGUCUUGUUUGCCAAUGAUGCGGCAUCUAAUCACCCACUUGCCUGUUUAAGUUUUCUUCUCAGCGACCAAACACAUGACAUGACAUAUUGGGUAUCCUCCAUAGGUGGCAACUCACGAGGACCAUGAAGGACGGAUAACCCAAAGCAAACCCCAACCAGAACUCAUUUCACAUUGGGGACGUAAACAGACGGGGAUGCUCAUAAAAGUUAAGAAUAAUCUUUAAAAAUGUUUUUAAAUUAUUUUAAAAAAUUUAAAUUUUUUUAUUACAUUUAAUUAAUUUUUUUAUUUUUAUUUUAAAAUAAAUAAAAUGUUCUAAUUAAUAGUUAAUUAAUUUUUAUUAAUUAAAAUAUUUAUUAUAUUUUAUAUUUAUAUGAUAAUAAUAUAAGUGAAGAAAAAAAAAUAUUAUAUGAUUAUGUUAUCAUGAUAAAUUAAUAUAUCAUAUUAUUAUUAAUUUUAAUAUAUUAAUAUGUCAUAUCACCAUCAGUUAUAAUGUAUUAAUAAAUCUUAUUAGCACUAGAUGUAAAACGAUAAAUGAUAUUUUAGUUAAUCAAUUAUUGGUUAUAAAAAUUUAUUUGAUUUAAAAUAAAAAUAUAAAAAUUUAUUUAAUUUAAAAUAAAAAUAUAAAGGUAAAUUUAAUAAAAAUAUAAAAAUUUAUUUAAAUAUUAUAGUUAAAUAUUAUAAUUUUGAUAUAUAUUUAAAUAAUUUACCAACCUCCUCCUUUUUUUGACACUUAGAAAUCGACCCAAUCUGCUUUCUAAGUUGAGCAAGUAUAUAAGAAGAAAAUAAAACAUUUUUCACCAGUGACCAAGAUUGAUUUCUUGGACUGACUCUUAAAUUUUAUUUAUUAGACAUAAAUAUUCCAAAAAAAAAAAAAACAGGCAUUUUAGAAUCCUUUCUGUCUCAGUAGCAUAGCCAAAAGCAACCGCCAUGGGAAUCGUCGGAAAUCUCUCUCCAGAGCAGCUCCACUCUUUCAACUCUCAAGGUCACCGCCACCGCCGCUUUAACCAUAACUAUUUUCUUCUACAAAAGCAAUAGAGCUGGUUCUUUUUUACUCCGUUCUUCUAGCAGAUCAAGUUCAAAACUGUCUUUUUUUUUUUUUUGCAGGUUUUUUUGUGAUGGAAUCAUUUGCGAGCCCUGAAGAAAUUGGAGCUAUGAGAAAGAGAAUGGACGAAUUGCUUCAAGACUUCGACCCCUCCACCACCGCUUCUAUUUUCUCCACCAAAAAUCAGGUUCUUUUUUCUUUCCUAGCAUAAUUGUAAAUAAUUUGCCUUUAUUUGAUUGUAAAGCUUAGAUUUUGAUAAUUUCUCAAUUUGUUUAUUUUGCAGCUAAAGUUGACCAGUGAAUACUUCUACGAAAGUGCUGAAAAGAUUUCCUUUUUCUUUGAAGGUAUAUUUAUAAUUAUUUGUGCUUUCUGCUUUUCUUCACUUUUUCAUUGUUUCUUCGAUUACUUUUUUCUUUGCCCUUAAUUUUCUUUGAGAAAAUAUCGAGAAUUGGGCCUUUUGUGUAUAUGAACUUCUUGUUACGAUUGAAAUUGAAAGGUUUGAAUGUUAAUGAACUGUUUACUAAAGUUGUUGAAUAAGUUAAAUUUAUCUACCUUUUUACAUUUUAAAGCUUGAUUUUUUUUCCUUGCUUUUAUAUGUUGGCUAUUGUAUAAAAAAAACUAGCAUUUUGCUAAAAAUGUUUAUUAAUGCGGAUUACGCAGGAGAGUCAACUAUUUUCUUUUUGUAUUUAACUUUUCUGUUUGCUUUUGAUCACUUAGGUGCCUUCUAGAGGAUGGUGUUAGUUUUCUUUGCUAAUGUAGGUACUUUCUUUCUGUUUUUUCUUUUGGCAGAAAAAGCAUUUGAUGAUGAUGGAAACUUAAAGCAAUCCAAGGAACUUUCUAUUAAUAAAGUUGGGCAUGGUAUGCAAUUUCAAAGGCAUUGCAUGGUUUAUUGUUUUCUUAUUAUUUCAACAUGCUCUUGUAAAUAGGUUAGAAAUAGGUUUGUGAAUACUAUGAUAAAAAUUUCUAAGUUUACAAUUUACCGAAGCUAAUCCUUCAAUGAAUUUGUUGGUGCAGCAUUACAUGAGAUUGACCCAGUGUUCAAAGAAAUCUCUUGCUCACAAAAAGUUUCUAGUUUGCUAUUCUCCUUAGGUUACAAGAGGCCAGUGAUCAUUCAGUCAAUGUAUAUUUUUAAGGUAUUAAACUUUUUUUUUUGCCCCUUAUAUUGUAGGCUUUGUUUCUCUAGUACAGCAUCCUUUGCUACAAAUUCUGAGAAUUUCCAGUCCAAGUUUUUGAGAGAUUCUGAUUUCAGUAACUUGAACAUGUUACAGUAGAAGGAAAUGGUGCAUUUUGUAAUAUGUGCUAAGGUUGAUACUCUUUUUUUUUUUUCUUGGGGGGGAGCGGGGGGUUGGUUGUGGUGUUGUGAGAGUGAUUGUGUAAGAUUUGCAAUGUUAUUGCUUGGUGUUUGGGUUAUAUCUUUUUUUUAAGCCUGUGGACAUUUUGCAUUAAUGUUUCCUUGUAAAGGAAAUUUCAUUUGGCUUGUAAUAUUAGCUCAUAUCUCACCAUACAACUAACUGGCCCUUUCAAGGUGUGGAAGAUUGUACAUACAAAGCAUUAAGAGUGAGAUGAAUGCUGAUUGAAUUGCACCUUUUUAUAACCCUGGAGUUUCUUGAUUUUUUCUCUAGUGUCUCUUGAUUUGUUUCUAGUUACAUGCUAUGUUCAUGCUUAAGUAUUCAGGUUUUUCGUUUCUCCUGCUACCCUGAGUGUGUACCCUACUAGACCUUGCUAUUGCUGCACUUUUGGUAACAUUUAGGAUGGUAUGAAAAUUUUCUAUUUCAUGUGAAUGAUUUAUUUAUCUGAAAUUUAGAGUAAUGAGGUUCUGGGAUUAUAAUAGUUAGUCUGAAUUAUUAACAGUUGGUCUGAAUUAUACCCUACUUCAUAGGAUGUGAUGGCAAAUUGUUUCAAUACUUCUGUUUUUUCUCUAAAAAGGGAGCAAACACUUUGUUUCUCCUCCAAAACAGAAACACACACAUUAUGAAUCCUGUUCACAAAUGAAGAUUUGAACCCAAUGUAAUUUGUAGUGGAGUUCAAAUCCUUUGUCCUGCCUUUAGAAGGACUUGCUUUCUUUCUUUCUAUCUUUUUGAUAAUUUGUGCGGUAUGGGAGAUGUAUUCCCCCUCACAUUGCCUUAGACAAGAGAAGAGGGAAAGAGGAAAUUAGAAAGAAGCUGAUUUGGAUUUUGUUGAAUAUUUAACUUCUCUUCGUUCUGCUAAAAUGUGAGUCAUUUUGACAGCAACCAGGUAUAGGAGGUGAAGUAACUCCACACCAGGAUAACUCUUUUCUUUAUACUGAACCUAAAAGUUGCACCGGGCUGUGGCUUGCUCUAGAAGAUGCAACAAUUGUAAACGGCUGCCUUUGGGCCAUUCCUGAAUCUCAAAAAAGUAGCUUUUGUACUUUUUUCCCAUCUGUGAACUUUUAAAAUAGAUAGAUGAUGGCUUAAUUUGAUGUUGCUCUGUUUUUAUCCAGAUGGCCUUGUUAGAAGGUUCAUUAGGGGUGAAGAUGGAGUGUACUUUGAUCAGCCUUCCCCUUCCUAUGACCAGAAGGAUUUUGUGCCUAUUGAAGUGAAAGCUGGGUCUUUGGUUGUAAUUCAUGGUGAUCUUAUUCAUCAAAGGUUAGUUUAAAGAAUUUUAUUCAGAGCUCAUUUAGUUCAAUGGUCUGAUAACCAACUAUUUAUUUGUUUCAUUUCUUAUGCUGGUACUGUAGUUUUGAAAAUCAAUCUCCAAAAUCAAGGCAUGCAUACAGCUUGCAUGUGGUAGAUACUGAUGGCUGCAAGUGGGCAGAAGAUAAUUGGUAAGUACAUGAGCAUUUACGUGUAUCUUCUCCUUAAUGAUGAGAUGGUACAUCUUUUUGUGCUACACAAUUUCCUUCUUUUAUUCUUCAUAGGACAACAUAUUAGUACUAUAUUAUCUUGAACUUGUUGAUAAUGGACUUUUUUUUUUUUGUUUAUGAAUCCCAUUUUAUAUGUAUGAUGUGUGGUCAACAGGCAAUUCUAAUGUCUCAUUGUUACCUGAAUUCUUCUGCUACCAUCAGCAACAAUAUUUCCCUUGUCAUAUUGACAUGCUAUGGGAACCUAUAAAGACCUUUUGCUUGGUAUUUAUAUAGAGUUUAUAACCUCACAUGGAAUCAAUAUUUCGAUUUACAAAUGGAAAUUGAAUUAGUCACCUCCUGUUGGUGGAGAAUCUAUGAUUUUCCUUUCCAAAAAAGUCUAUAAAAAUACACUUGUUACCAUCUGACAUGCAUGGGGGAGAUGCAGAAAGGAUUCAUUAAUGUUUUGGUCUAAUGGUUAAGAAACCCGUAAUUUCUAGUAAUCGUUGAAAUUUUGCACUAUUUUUGUUAUAUUGGCAAUAAUUGUGAUGCCAUUGAUGCAUAAUGAUGGAAAUGCCCUUAAUUUAUUCUUUAACAUAGUUAAGUGAAGAUCUAAUCGGUAAUCUUCAGUUAUUGAAAGGAGAUAGGCAUGAGUUGAUCUGUUACUGUUGCAGUAGAAAUCUGCUGUAGAUAUCAACGGGUAGAUUGUUUCUCUGAUUGACUUAAUUCCUGGGCUUUGAGCCCUCUAUCUGGCUUUGGUCUAUAUAGAGAUCAUUUUUGAAUUUGAUAUUUCCUCCUUUGCAGGAUCAAAAGAAAAGUGGAGCCAGAGCCCCUCUACGCAUCUUGAUCAGACUCGAGAGUUUUUAUCUCUGGUUGUUGCGUGGGGCGUUAAUGCAUGUCUCUAAGCAAAAUUGUUUAUACUAAGUUCCAGUUUGUGUAUUAUAAGAUCGUGCUCGCCACACACUUGCUACUGAAAAACCAAAAUGGCCGGGCCCUUUUAAUGUUCCUUCAGCUACAUUUCGAUGUUUAUUGACAUCUCGACAAAAUAAUAAUACACUUCACAAAAAUUAAAUAGCCAGAAGCCUAGCUUGAAUGCUUUUUGGUGUUUGGUUUUGCAUGAUGCUAUAGGCCUUAUGUAUUCUUUAUUAGAUGAAAGGCUUUUUCUUGCUGUGAAGAGUUGAUUGGCCAUUUACAAAUCAUUUCCAGCAAACGAUCUUAUCGUGUUACCAAGUUAAAAUAAAACAUCAAUGGCAUUUCACAUGUAUCAAAAGAUAGAAUUCACUUAUGGGAUGUGUGAUCUUCUGCAUAGAAAAUUUACUAAGACUUUUUCCUGCCAUAUGACGCGUGGAUAUGGAUGAGAUACCCGGCAACCAAGAUUUGUGGGAAUAAUCAUUUCUUCUGUUAGUCGACUCUUGUUCCCUGUUGUGUGGUUGGGAAGGUGAAAGGGAAGGAAAGGAGCCAUGAAGAAUGCAAAAGGGAGGGAAGUGAAAUUGAAAGCGUGGUGUGCAGGUGCAAUAUGACAGAAACUUGAUUUCAGUGUUAUGGAAAAGUAAUAUAACUGCACGUGAACAUGGCAUAAUUUCUUUUGAAUGUUAGACGCAACAAGACUAAUAAUUGUGAAGAGUGUAUGGACUUUACGAUAACAAAGAACACAGGCUAUGGUUUGAGCUAUUGGCUUGAAUUUUUGAAACAUUGGAGGGAGGUGUGUUUCUUUAUUGAAGGAUGGGGCUACAGUGUCGCAUGUCGUACAGCAAAGAGAUUUGAAGGAACCAACUGUUACUACGUUAUUUGUGGUUUCAGCUGUGAGACCAUAUUUGUCUUUAUUGAGGCAGAGCAGGAUACAGGGUAAAAGGAAAGCAAGGACAAUCCCCAGCCUCUCUAUUUUUGGCCAAAGGCAAUUAAUGCUGGCUGCUUCCAGACUAGGAGUUGGAUUUUCACUAGAUCACGGUCGGUUUUCUUGGCAAUACGCGCUUUCUUUGUAUUUUGUUCAUUUCUUCAUCACUUUUAAUUCCAACACUGUUUCUCGCCCUUUCUCUCUCUGCUGCCUGCUUUUUCAUUAUGCACCAGACAUUCAGUGAUGAAAGCCCUGCAAAAGUUUCAGUGACAACUGAGAGGCAUCUUCCUCAUCUCUCUCUCUCUUCCCCUCAUUGUGAAAGUUCUGGUAAUAUUGCAUGGCUUUGGUUUUUAUGCAUUAUAUUUAUUAUCACAGGCAAAUGUUUUACAUUUUUCAUGCGCUAAUUAUAAAUGCUUUUUUUAUGGUGGAUGUCUGGCUUUUUUGAAGAGGUGAAAGGACAAGAUUCAAACAGGUGGCGUCAACCCUGGGUGAAAGGGGUUUAAGGCUUUUAGCUGUUUUUGACCUUUUAUGGGUAAAAGAACAGUAAUGAGCUAUAAUUACAGAUGUUGCACAUGUACAACCACUGCCAAGUUAGAUUAUGCAAGAAACUUAGACCAUAGGGUUAAUUAAAUCCUCUACAACUCUACCACACUGCCAUAUGUAUGAAAGACUAAAUAUUUGUGGAAAGCGUAUAGUUAAUAAGCAUUGUUCUAAUAUAUAUGUGUAUGCAUUAAGGUAACAUUGCCAGAAUAUAUAUAGUUGAGAAGAGAACAUAAUUACCGUCUAGUAACAUCCAAUGGAUAUAACAUUGCACACAUGAGAAGAACAUUUACUUAUUCAAUCUUAUAGAUCAUUCUGUCGUUCAGUGAAAAUUAUCAAUGUUGUUGAGCAACCAUUGACAAUCGAGCAAUGUCCUUUUCUUCUGAUUAAAGUUAACAACUGGUGGGAAUAUUCAAGAGCUUAAUGUUGAAAAGCUGACAAGAAUUUCCUUCGAAUUUAAUUAACGUACUAAGUUUUUUCCUUUGAAUUUGAUACAUGAAUGCAAGUCUUCUUCCAACCCCGAGUUCCCUAGCUAUGACAUUUCUGUACCCUUUGUUUAUCUGGUUCUUGUUGUUUGACAGGGAUUCAGGAAACACUCAUGGAAGAGUAUUCUUUUGAGUUUGGCAGCUAGAAAUCCAAUCAUGCUUUAUGGACAUAGGCCUAAAUGCCCCAGAUUUCCCUGAAAUCAUGUGAAUUCCUCGACGUUUAAACCAUAUGAAUUAUUAACCAAAGUACAAAACGUCAUUGAAAGAUGUUUCUUUUUAUUUAUUCUUUUUAAUCCUGAAACGAAUGAUUAAAUAUAUGCAUUUUUCUGUUUGUACCAUGCAUUGCAUUUUCGAUAAAUGGAGUACUGGGUUUCUCAUUUACCAUUUCGUUGAAUCCAAGCAGGAUUUGCUGGAUGUUUUGGCACAAUGUAUAUAUUCGCACUUGGAACCUUUGAUGUGCUUUUGAUCUUCUUCAUUUUAUUAAUUAGUUCCAAUGCAUUUUGUCUCCAGAGGAAAGGAGAUAAUCAUAUUGCACUACUGUACCGUUAUCCAGUAGUACAAAUUUACUUCCCUAGGAAUAUAUGGAAUUGAACAUGCAUGAGAAAAACAAAAUUUUACUGACAUAUACCUGAAAACCCCAGAUAUGUCCAGUCCAAAUUUUAGGUCACUUCAACAUCAAACUCUUUCACGACCUUCUCCUGUUCUAUGUCUCCCUUGCCUUCCCUUCUGUCUUUCCUUUUGUACCGUUCAAUGAGUUGUAGGAAAUGGGCAAAACAAAGAAAAUUCUGCAAUUGCAUCGUUUAAAGAAAAUGAAGGAGCUCUACCUUGGUUUAGCCAACAUGGUCCAAAUGCGGUUUAAGGCAACCCAAAAUAACUACAUGUCCUUAUCUUACAGUUGCUCCAUGCGUGACAGACACAGAUGAAACAGUCCUAGUUUCCUACAAAAAAACAAACUAAUACAGCUUAUCUAUCUUUACUUAAAUAGCAAACUAGUAUCUAAUUGCAGCAUUAAUUUGUAGCCACAUGCUAAAGCUACCUUCUUCUUCAGUUCUUCAGAGGAAGAAACUCAAAAUACUGGUUUGGGGUGAAGGUUGUAUUUAAGGCUGUGAUGGGCACUUGGGUGGUGUCUUUCUUGCUGAUAUUAAUGCCGUUGCGAUCGUUGCUUCCAAGGGGAAACAGCUCAAGGGUCUUAUCUUCUCUGUUUUCAUCUUCAAGAGUGGUAAUAUUUUCUUGGUGGGGUUUGAGUGAGCAUAAAUUUUGAGUGUUGGAAGCCCUCGCAGUGGCCAAUGAAGUUGCGGUCAUGCUGUUUAUGAGGUAAAUUGGUGAACAGGACAAUUCCAUAGCUUGCCACGUUGAAACUCUCCCAGCUGUACUCUUUGUCUGUUGCAAUUCCUUCUCCUGAAUUUGCAUCCACUUAUUUGGUCCACUCUCUGCUGCUGCUACUCCAUGCGUUAAAAUGAGCUCCUACGAAAAUAGACAAGAGUUAUAAUUAGUUUGAGGUAAAAUAGAAAUGAAUUAAAGCUGAGCACACAAGCUCACACCAAGUCCGAAAAAAUUCUGAGCCCUUUCAUUACAACAGCCCCAACAGAAAGUAAGGCAAUGCAGCUUUUGCACCUCUUCUUUUCCCAACAUAUUAACAACAGCUUUUUCGUAGCUUGCUCAAUUGUCUUUUUGCUUCUUUUUUUCUUGACUUUCUUUUGAACCUUUGACCUUUUCCAUCUAAUAAUAAUUAGCCCCUAUUAUUAUAUAUGCCUUCUAAUUUUCUUCUGAGUCUUUGGCUCUGCUUAGCUAAUCCCCGUUAAAGAGCAUUAUUCCAUGAACAAAGAAAAAACGCUGAUAUACAGACCUCUGAACGUUUACUGAAGUUUGAAGGAGGACCCUUGUUCUUUGUCUGUUCAAUUUCACAGCCCGUGGUUGCAGACCCUGUUGGCAAUGAAGACAAAACAAAUCAAACAACUUUCUUUUUUGUUUGUCUUGCAUCUAAAACAAUCAAAGAAAAAAAAAAGGAAAAGAAAAUGAAGCUUCUCUCUCAUCACUCUCUUUUAAAACAUGGCUUGGCAGAAGUUGUAACUGUACUCAAAAUAUGAAGGAUUUAAGGAAAAUGGUGUUGGAGGUUGACACUCAAAUUCUAUAUAGCUUACCUGGUUCCUUCUUUUCAAACCUCUCAGUGUCACAUUGUUUUAGUUCUUGUUCAGUCUCCAGUUCGCGGCGGCGUUUUUGACGUUCUCUUGCCUUAUGGUUUUGGAACCAGUAAAAGACAUUCUUCCCUUCAAUCUUACCAAACCUCCGAAGCCGCGUAGCUAUUUGUUGGAUUUGUGCAGCCGAAGGCGUUCGUGUCCCACGUCGAUAGAGUUCCUCCAGGGCCAGUAACUGCUCUGGCGUUGGAUUCCAACGUGAAGUCCCUAAGGGAUGCUCACUCAGUUCUGCCUUUCUUAUAGCUGCUACCGACAAGAAGAAAAUAUCAGUGUUGAAAAGAGAUCAGUUAUUAAACUAAAUGAAGAAAGAUGAGUGAAGAGUAAGGCAGAGUAAAGUGCAAAAAAAAAAAAAACAAAAAGUAGCCAAAUCACCAUGGCAAGGAGAGGGUGCAGAAGAGAUAAUAGUAGUGUUUCUGGGGCAGGCAGGGUUAGGCUUUGGAAUCAAGGGUGAAGGCUUUGCAUUGUUGAAUGAAUGAUGAGACAAGUUGAGGUCAGUAUUAUGGGGAUAUCCCAUGUUGAAGAAGCAACGAAGCAGGCUAUUUGCAAAGAAUAUACGAUGAUAUAUAUACAUACACACACGAUAAGAUUAAAGAGAGGAGUUUAAAACUCAAAGUUGGUAAAGGGUGGGAGAGAAAAAGCAAGCAUUGGGUUUAAAUAGAAAGGCUACUUCCCAAAUAUCAUCUCUUUUGCUUCCCUAGCGCGCGCACAUAGUCGCAUCAGAGAAGAAGAAAAAUGUGAAUAAAAAGUAGAUAUGGUUUCUACUUUCAAAAGGGGCAGCAGCAACAAAGUGAAAAGAUAAAGCAGAGUGAGAGGAAACUGAGGAAGACAAACGGCAUGUUGACUGUGUCUGUGUUGCUAAUAUGCUAUAACAUCUACGCACAAAUAUAUAUGCAUGCCUGAAUAUUUCGUCUUAAUUUGUGUUCUUAUUCAACGAGAUAGAUCAGAUCUCUACCUUCUUUAAUUUCCGCGAACUUGAUAAAAACAAAAAUAGAAAUAUUUUGUCAAUUUUGUUACUUUAUUUGUCACAUUUGAAACAUAUAAAUAUAAUAUACACUAAAAUACAAAAUUCCUUUCUAGUGGGUCUUUGCCAUUUAUAGUCAGUCUUUUUAUCUUUGAAGUACUAGCUAUACAUGAAGGAACAAGAAUAGGAAGAGGAUAAGUACUUCCUAAAAUAAAAAAAGGGUAAUUCCAAUUAACGUUAGAAACUCAAAUCAGACACAUAGGAAUUGAAAUUAAACAUCAACAAAAUAGAUCAACAUGUAUGCAGCGGUUUAAGUUCCAACGAUGAUUAAGUAGCAACCAUAUUAAUAUAUAAAACAUCCAACAUUGGUCAAUUCAAUAUAUAAUCUGUAGAAUAAAGAGCAUAAUAUUUGUACACGUGGUAUCUAUGAAUGAAAUUUUCUUUUAACAUUGGAUAAUUAAUUAAAACAACAUGAAUGUCAGUGGUGGGCUUGACAUGCGAAUUUACAUAAGUGUAAACCGGAUAUUGAUCUUGAAAUAUAGAUUGUAAUAAGUAAAAACCGCUAUUAAUCAAGUUAUAUUGCGAUAAUUUAAAAAUGAAAAACAAUUUAUCAAAUUGAAGUCAUAUAAACCUCAGGUAGAAAGCAAAGGGAGGCUUGAAAUUAUGAAGAGAUGAGGAGGCGUGGGAUGAGAAAGCUUGGCACAGAAAACGACUUCACCAUGGAAAGAUAUAAUUGCGUAUAGUCAAUUAAAAGCUUAGCCCAUCAGUCCUGAUUAAGGUUCCUAUUGCACAACCAUUGCACGCCCAUAUGUAUCUCCAACUUCUCCUUCUUUUUGGCCAAGUGCGUUUGUACAUUUUCACUUCCAUUCUGGUUUUCAAAGUGAAUAAUGUACUUUUGGUCCAUAUUAAUUUUUGAUAUUCAUCUUUCAAUUGGUCCAAAUUUACCGAUGCACUCCUAUUUUCUUUUUCAGAAUAAGUAUAUAUGUAUUGAUACUUACUGAUAAAAAUAAAUAUUUUUUAUAACUAAAAAUUUGACAAAAAUAUUUAUAUUUGUUGAUUAGUAAGAAAUUACCGAAUUUAAUUUUUUUUAAGUACCUUAUUACGAAAAUUUAAAACAGCAUUGAGAAGCUAAACGAAAAUUUGUUUGUUGCAAGUUUAAUGCUUUUGCUAGCACUUGGACGGUUGAUUCAAUGUUUUUCUUUUUUUGGAAAGUGAAGCAAGUUCCUAUUAGGCAAUCAGUGUAUUUUAAACAGCAAAAGUUGUCUAGGGAAAAAGGCAAUAAAUCACCAACUUUAAUGAAGAUUAAGGAAUAUAAAUGGCACCUGUCUGGAAAGGAGAGGUAGAGGCAAACUCCAUCAAAGAAUUUGUGGACCUUCAAAUAAAUAAAUUUUCACUUAUUCAGAACAUUUUAAUGGGUAUAUACUCCAAAAAACUGUGGGGGAGACGAUGAAUAAUCUAAAGGUCAUGUUAUGGUUUGUAUACAAAUCAUUUCACUCAUCUACGUAAGAAUCCCAUUGCCUGGUAGACAUUAUUGAGAGUAGCAUCAGCUAUAGCCGCAGCUUUCUCAGGCCCUUCUGCCAAGACUCUCCAUCCAAAUAAGCUGGAUCAGAAAUAAUGUCCUCAUACGUACCGAGCCCGGAUAGGAUGCAGAUGAUCGACCAAUUCAUCUGUUAGGAGGGUUUUAAAUCAGCCCCGGUUCAUAUCUUGGCAUCCUUGUUCAACUUCCUCUUGUGUCUUGCUUGAAAUUAUCUGAAGAAGAUUGUUGCACUCAGGACGUUCAGGGUUGUCAAAUUCCACGCCUGGGACGAUUUAUCUUGUUUGCUAUCUGUCACGACUCAAACCUGGGACCGUGACCGACACACAAGCCCCGUAGACGAAGUCCACUUGUUCCGAACAAGUCUCAAUUAGAUCGGAUAGACCAAUAAACAAAUAUAAUCAUUUGUAGGAAUUUACAACUCAACUAAUUCAUUUCAUAGCAUAGGUUCAAAUAUGUUUUAACAAACUGCCCUUAGCAUUUAAUCUAUCAAGGGUAUAUUCACAUACUAUUUACAAGAGUCAUAUCUUGACUAGCACAGUAGGUCCAAGCCCGUACAAAACAAACCGGAAGUCUGUACAUUGUAGUGACAUCAUGGAUGCCAUCAAACCAAAAACAACUAACAUCAAUACCAAAUCAACAGAGUGGACUUGUGAGAUUAAGAUUCCUAUCAGAUGCCAAAAGAUGUUUUAUUUUGAAAGACGGAUCUUAGCUACUCAUCAAGAAGCUGAUGCAAAAGACAACGUAAAGGAAACAUUCUUGAAGUGUUAUUAUGCUUGAAGAUCAUUUGCUCCUUAGCUAGAGCUUAAAUUGCCUAAAAAAAAAUAUUAAACAAUGAUAUGACUUGAUCCUUCAUAUUAAGAGGUACUUAAGCAAUUUGGUCUUAUUGUCAAGUUUAGUCAAACAAAAAAAAAGUCUCUUGAAUUGAAGAUGAUCUAAUUCUUUACAAUGAUGAAGCUAUCAUGGUUGAAGAAGAUAAGUUGUUUGAAUUAAAUCAAAAUAGAAUUUGCCAGAAUGCCAAAAAUGAUUUUCUUCAUCUCACCUCUUCAAUUUCGACUCCAUGGUUUGCCAAUCAAAGCAACUUUAAUUAGUCUCAAAUUUUUACUAAGUCUAGCCAACAUGGUUAUACAUCAUGCGUAAAAAUAUGAGAAUCAAAUAAGCAAGAUAAGUUGGUGAAUUAAAUAAAGACAGAAGCUAGUCAGAAUCAAAACAGUUUUGAAAAUUUUCUUUAAUCUAAUCUUGCACUAGGGAAGAUGAAGAAUUUAAGCAAAUGUUGGUGCCAAAGCAAAUUAAAUUUCAAGACUUGUCCAUGUCUCACAUUCAAAUCAUGUGUGAACAAGUCUUAAGGGACAUUUGUAGAAAGAGAAAAAUUGUUAUCCAAUUAUAAAUGCCACAUCUCCAAGAUUAGUAAAUUGAAGAAAAUUUUUAAAGACAAUGCAUGUGCUGCCAUGUGAACUUGAAGACAUUAUUUAAGAUAGUCAUACAAUUAAUUAUAAAAUAAUUAAUUUAUUGAUUAUUUUCUUAAAGACACAUAGUUGAACCAAUUAAAAUUUUUCUAUAUGUCAUGCAUUUAUCUUUUGAGACAAUAUAGAGAUAAUGUAUUAAUUGGAUCAUUAAAAAUUCACCUAUUGGUCACCAAGUUAUCUCUAAAUAAAUCAAGAUAAUUUAGAGAUAAUAUGUAAAUUUGACAAAAUAAAAUUUACUUAUUGGUCAUUCAAUUUAUCUCUAAAUAAAUUAAGAUAAUUUAGAGAAAAAUCCAAACUUGGUCAUCUAAUUUAUCUCUAAAUAAAUUAAGAUAAGUUAAAAAUAAUACUCAAAUUUAGCCAAUCAAAACUCAAAGACUCAAAGUUUGACAAAUUUAAAGGUCAUUUGUGAAUUAUCAUGAUUUGUCUCUAAUUAAAUUAAAAUAAUUUAGAGAUAAUUCAAAAAGACUAAAUCACCAUAAAAGUCUCUUAUCUAGCAUUAUAAAUACAGUGCUCCUUCAAGCCAUUUGAUGAAUCACGGAGAAAGGAAUGAGGAAGAAAGAAAGAGAUUUUGAAGAUCGACAAGUCCAAGGCCCCAGAAGAUUCUGAAGAUUAAAGCCUCUAGAUGGAAGAAAAAAUCAAAGCCUCUAGAAAGAAGAUUAAAGCCUUUCCAAAGUGGAUUCAAGAACAAAUCACAAGACCUUUCUAGAAGGAAGAUUAAAGCCUCUCCAGAGUGGAUUCAAGAACAUAUCGCAAGACCCUUGAGGCAAAGUUCGGAGUUUAAGAACAAGUUGCAAGAUCCUUGAAGCAAAGUUCGAAGUUCAAGAACAAGUCGCAAGACCUUUGAAAUGAAAUCUCCAAAUUGUUAGAUUAAGACAAGACCUUUGAAGAAAAGUUUUCAAAUUGUUUGUUUAUUCAAGAUCAAGUCAUAAGAGCUUUGAAGCGGAGUCUCCAAAUUGUUCGUAAGAACAGGUCACAAGACGCUUGAAGCAAAGUUUGAAGUUUUAGAACAAGUCGCAAGAUUCUUGAAGCAAAGUUCAAAGUUCAAGACCCUUGAAGCCAAGUUCGAAGUUCAAGAACAAGUCGUAAGUUGAAGUGAAGUCUCCAAAUCGUUCAAGAUCAAGUCAAGACCCUUGAAGUGAAAUCUCCAAAUGUUCAUUCAAGAUCAAGUCAUAAGACUCCAAACUGUUCAUUCAAGAUUAAGUCAUAAGACCAAAUCGUUCGUUUAAGAACAAGUUGCAAGUUGGUUGAAGAACAAAUCGCAGGACCCUUAAAGUGAAGUCUCCAAAUCGAUUCAGUCUCCAAAUCGUAAGUUCAAGAAUAAGUUGCAAGACUCUUAAAGCGAAGUCUCCAAAUUGUUCAUUCAAGAUCAAGUCAAGACCCCUAAAUCGAAGUCUCCAAAUUGUUCAUUCAAGAACAAGUUACAAGACCCUUGAAGAAAGUUAGAAGUUUAAGAACAAGUCACAAGAUCCUCGAAGCAAAGUCUUCAAAUCAUUCGUUCAAGAUCAAGUCAUAAGACCAUUGAAACGAAGUCUCCAAAUUGUUCGUUCAAGUUCAAGUCAUAAGAUCCUUGAAACGAAAUAUCCAAAUUUUUCAUUCAAGAUUAAGUUAAGGCCUUUAAAGAAAGGUUUCCAAAUUGUUCGUUCAAGUUAAGGUCAUAAGAUUCUUUAAACGAAAUCUCCAAAUUGUUCGUCAAGUCAAGGCCUUUGAAGAAAGGUUUCAAAUUGUUCAUUCGUUGAAGCGAAGAUUAAAGAAAUUAAUAAAGAGGAUUUUUUUCUGGUAAAAAAAUCCAGCAAUUGUAAAUUCAUGUCUCUAAAUUUUUAAAUAUUUGAUGCAAAAUUUAUGUGUACAUAUAUUAUUAAAGAUACGAAUUUACUCAAAAGUAUGAACUUUCUUCAUCAAACGUAUUUUUCUUCGACACUUAUUGGUCUAACAACUUCAAGGUAGAUUCAAGAUAUUCAAUAAUGAGUUCGCAGAUAAAAAAAAUUAUGAUAUUUAAUGGUUUCGUUAGUCAAGAAUUUAGAUAUUUAUACCUAAAAAAAAAGAAUUUAGUAUUUGUCUAUGAUAUGAUAAAACAUUGUAGUCUUGAUUGUUUAAUAGUAUCAAUGUACACAACAAAAUUUACCAUUCUUUCUCUUUCUCUCUAUCAAAACAAAGUAUAGGUUCAUUGUUUGUUAAAAAAAUGUUUAAAGAUACUGAUGAUGGGGUUUUAAAUUCCUGUUUUUUUAUUUGUUAACUUUAUCUUAGCUUUAUCUUCUUUUUGUAUUAUAUCCUUCUACGUAUUUGAUUACCCUAUUUUUUUUAUUUGUUAACACAUCUUUUCUGCUAUUGUUUUGUAAAUUUUUUUUCCCUUUCGGUUCAUAUCAUUUAGUAAACCUUUUAAGAUCAUUGUUGCUUACUCAAACAUAAUAUAUUUAUUAGAUUAUUAGUAUUUGUUUUGUUGGAAUUAUCUUCUCUAUGUCUAAUAUUACUACAUUGGAAGCAUAUGAAUAAAGUAUCUUUUUGAGUAUAUUGCCUUAAAAAGAGUUACCAAUAUAUUUGAAACUUUUUAUCCCCACGUGACAUUAUAGUUCAUAUGAGAAAUAUAGUAAUUAAUAAGUAAGCGAGUAUAAAAGAAUUGAAAAAGAGAUUAAAAUAUUAUUAUAAAGAAGAAUAAAAAUAUUUAUUUUGCGAAUUUACCAACUUUUAUUACCUCAUGCAUCCCAGAUGUCAAAAUUUCAUUUUAAUGAAAAAAAAAGAAAAGAAAGAAGAAAAAACCAGAAAUGGAGAUACCUCUCAUAAUUGUCCAUGAACAUCCAAAUGGAUAAAGAUUUUUGGCAAGAGUCAAUUACAUCCCUGGUUUUACCUAUCUACUACAUUGGUUGACAUAAUGAAUAUACAUCAUACUACAUCUGAUUUAGGGAAAUAAUUAAUAAUAAUAAAAAAAGAAAAAUAAAAGGACCCAUUUUGGGUCAAGGUUCAAUAAUGCAGCAUGUCAUGCUGAUCGAAGACAAAAAUUCUACAUUCUACCUUAUUUUAUGCCUGAUCGAACAAAGCAAAUUUGUUCUCCCAGCUCUCAGGAUAAAUGAAUAGUAAGGAAUGAAUCAGAGAUAUAGGGAUUGACCUGAGAUAUAUACGCUACUCAAGAAGCUUAUUACACGUGCCAACACCAACAGCUGCGGCAAGAUGCCAUGCAGCAUGCAGGAAAGGAGUACUAGGAAACACAUCAUCUGCAAUGAAAAGAACACCUCCCAGCAUUGAUGACAUCUUGUGCACAUUGUGAACCAUUCUUAGUUCUGGAUCUUUUAAUGCUCUUUUUGCAAAUGCUACCUGGAAUGGAUGAAUGGCAAGGAAAAUGUUUCAGUAUACAAACAGUUUGAGCCUAGAAUGUAAUUUUAUCAAUUAUAUUGUCAAGCUGGCACCAUGAUUGGGGAAUCAAAGAUUCAGACAACAAGAAGUUCACACAUAUAGUGCCUGGAAUUAUUAUCCACAUGAAUGUAGUUUUAACACUGGGUACGCUUCCACUGAAAACCCAAAAUGCUUAAUUCAAAUUUUGACAAUUAACUUCGAAGCUUAAUUUAAUUCCAUCAUGGAAGUAAAUUAUGUGAUGCCAAAGAGCUUAUUUGAUAACAACCAACCAGUUGCAUUUUGAACUCCAAUGCAUCAAGGAAUAACUUAUAUUGCCCUUUCAAAUAUAUAUUUUAUACAUGAAGGAGAAUAAAUAUGGAGAAGUUAGCAAUAAACAUUAGAAAUUUGAUAGCUCUUUUGACCCCAUCUAAUCAAUUGCAAUAUGUUUACAAUGGAAAAAAUAAUAGGAAUCCUAGGUUGCUGUUCAUUUAUUAAAGUCCAAGGAAAUAACCAGUGAGUUACCUCCAUCAUUCCAGUGUGAACAGCUGAAACCAUCAGAGGCUGGACAGGUAGAAGUAAAGCAGAUGCUGCCAUCAGUAACUUUGGGUUCUCAUUUCUAAGGGCUCUUGAUAGACACUGCACAAAGGAUUUUUAGUUUUAAAAUUUUGAACCUAAGUGAGCAAUUUAAAAAUGUAGAACUGUAGAAGAAAAGUUUCAGCAGGUAGCAUUGUGUUCUCAAUCAAGUCUACAGAUAGAGCAUAUGAACAAUGCUUAAACAUAUAUUUGUGUAAAGCAUCAAUAAAGUCAGUAACAUAAACAAGUAUCUAAACAGAAGCAUCUUAUUCAGGUUAUUAGAUACCAACACAACCUGUGUGAGGAUUAUAAAAGUUCGCCAUAUUUUCAAAAUUUAUGCUUGUUGAUAAUUGUAGGAACAACUGACCCAAGCAAAUUAAUAUGACAGCAAAUAAAUUCAUCAGAAAAAUAAUCAAACAUGCACAAGAAAUAAUAUGCAAAAGUAACAAUAAAAAAACACUGGGAUAUAAGUGAUUUGGCACAAAGCCUACAUUCAUGGGCAGAGACAAUGGGAAAUUUCUUACGUCUCUGCCCAUGGAUGCAGGCUUGAGCUGUAUCAAGUAAAUCCCGAUGUUUCCAUUGGUUGUUAUUUUAGCAUAUUAUUCUUGUGCAUGUUUGGUUAAUUUUUUGAUGAAUUUACUUGAUGUAAUAUAGACUUGUUUGGGUUGGUUGUUCCGACAAAUUUGUAUCAGAGCCAAAGGCUCGACUAGGGUGAGGAAAAUAUGGUGAUGACGUAUUUAUGAAAAAAGCAAGAAAGCGGUGCACUAGGACAACCUUUGGUUGAAUGCAGGGCCUAAGGUGCAUGAGCAGCUUGGAAAGAAUGCAAAAAGUGGUGCGUUGUGGACAACCAGAAUGUAGGGAGGCAAAUGGAGGUUGAGUGCUAAUCCAAAAAUGCAUUGAUAAUUAAGAAAAAUAGCACGGUUAGCUUGCACGGGAAGCUGAUCACAACUCACAAGUGAAAGGGAGAGAUUUGUUGAGGUUCACAUGUAAGUGUGAUAUGCCACAUCACUAAAAUGUGAGAUGUUGAGGUGGUAUAUUUACAUUGCCAGAGUAUUAUUUUUAAAAAAGUUAUAAAUCAUUUUGAACUUACCACUGUUGCUGUGGCUAUCAUUGUAUAAUCAGCCCACCUUAAAUACUUCCUCAGCUUUCCUCUAGAAGAAUGAUACAAAGUAGAUGUAACUCCAACUCCAAUGAGUGAAUUAGCAUACAGCUUAGUGUUCAAAUUUUUCCUACAUCCAAGUAAACAAAGAAUUAACAAAACAUGGUUAAUGAUAUCUUGUUUAUUAAGCAAAUUAAAGAGAACGUUACCUUGGGGCCUGGAUCCCAAGAGCAAUAAAAGGAAGUGAUGUUAACACAUUGGCAACUGUCUCUAGAAGAUUCUGGUCCCCUAAGAAAGUUUUAAAAGAUAAGCAUAGACAAAGAAUGUUACAUAACAGAAUGGAGAGCUGAGACACACAAAAAGAAACACAAAACAAGAGAGAGACCACAAGAAAAUGAAGACCGUUAUUACUUAUUACCAUACCUUGCAUACAACAUCUUACAGGCCUUAAACAAGCUGGUCUCUGCUGCCAUACUCUGAAAAACAUGUGUAAGCAGUAUGUUAUGGCGGGUCACAGGCAACAAUAGUAUAUGCACGAGACUAGCCACAAAUAAUUGAUAGAUAGUAUUUAAAAAGAUCAACACUAGCAACCAAUAUUUUGAACAAGAAGUUUUGAUGGAUAAGUUUUUUUUUUAACUUACUGAAUCAGUAGUGGUUGAUUUGCUGUAAUAAAUGAUUUAUCAUGAGUGUGCUGGAAGUCCCCAUGUUGGUUAAUCUCCUCCAAUGCAAAUGGUGAAUGAGAAACUACUUGCACCCCAUGUACAUCCUCUAAGGCUUUACUAGGUUUCAAUGCCCUUUGGGAACACAUAAUCUUCAAAAGUGUGCGCAAAACGGUUUACCUGCCAGCAAGAACUUGCUGGCAACCGUUGGAAGAAGAGUGCAAGGAGCAACUUCUAUGCUUAAUCUAUGUAGAAUGAAAAAGCAGCAAUGUUAGAAUUAAGCAGAAAUAUUGGUGAAAUCACAUUGGCAAUAAAUUAAGCAUAGGAUAAGGCUUCUACCAAACACUAUUUUGGAAAAUUUACAAUGUCCUAUAAAUUAUUGGGAGAUCUAGUUGGAUGGAAAAUAGUUCAUUGAACAUCAAGGGAAGAUUAAUUACACAAAUAUCCUCUAAAACAAAUGACGAAGAUAUUGUAUCCCAGCUCCAGAUACAAUAGCCCUUAAAAAAAAGCAGCACCUAUUUGUCAUAUGGCCUUCAUUCAGAAAUAAAAGCAAACAUUCGAUCAACAACUUCAAUCUAUGAACCUAUUAGAGCAUCAUUAAGAAUUCCACCCAGAAUAGCAAUCAAAACACCAAAGUAACACAACAAAUGAAAUAUUGAUUUGCAUAUUUUGCACUGCGUUUCAUGGUUUGGAAAUCUACUCCUAAGAUAUAUGUCUUUAACCAAUCGAAGCAUGAUUAGCCUCAGUCAUUGCAUAAAUCCAAAUACGAACACCUCACUGGUUGUGCUCUAUCUACCUAUAAAAUUUUAGAAAUCAAAAUACAACUGUGUCUGGUCACAAGAGCUAACUUUUAGGGUAUAUGCGUAAAAAAGGAAAGGAAAGCUUAUGAAUACCGAUUAAGGCUGUCCUGGAAUUGACCAACUAGAACUAAUGACACCUUAGAGGCUAGUUUCACACUUUUAUUGAGUUAAAUGAUUUCAACUGAAACAAGACAACUACCCCAAUUUCUUUUUAAACAGCGAGAAAAGAAUGAUAAUGUCUCCCUAUGGCUAAAAUAUACACCCAAGCAUAUUCUGAUUAAAAAAACACUCAUUACUAGUAGCAGAUUACUCCUACUGAAAUAAGGCUGAGCUCAUAUAAAAGGUCAUGGCAAAGAAAAUAUCUUUAUUUAUUAACCCAAGAUGUUCAAUAUUGACCACACUCCACAGAGCCUGAAGUAAAGCCACUCAGAUACCUAAGCAAAAUUUUUGUCCAACAAAUUCGACAUCAACAGUCCCAUGAAAGGAAGCUCAAGUCUAAAAACCAAAACAAAUCAUUCAAAAAUCUUCUCCUUAAUCCAAGAAUUUUCAAGCAUAAAAGACACAAACUCGAAAAUGGGUUCUGAAAAUACAAGCAAAAAUAGCAACUCCACAUCAAGAAAACGGAAAUUAACAGAACAUUUUGGAGACUAAAGCAAUGACUCCAGCAGACAUAUUUCAAAAAGCUUAAUAACUAGAUGCAUUUUUCAGAAAGAGAGAUGGAUAGAUGUAAAAUAUAGAUAAACAAAUAUAAACCUGGAAAGAUGUGGCGAGCAGAGAAGUGAAGGGAGGAUAUAAUAAUAUUUAUAGAAGAGGCAAGGCAGGAAGGAAGGAAGGAAGAGGAGUUUAGUUUGAUUUUCAGUUAGAAGGGGAGUUGCCUCAAGGCAACAAGAAAAACAGCAUCGGGCAGGGGGAGAUGCGCAUGACUCACGAAUCUUCUUCAUUUGACCGUCCGCAUAUUCCCCUUGCCCAGUCAAUAUACGUCACCUAUACUCGCUUCCCGUGUGCAACUUGUAUGCGCUUGACGUGCGGGUAAAAUUAAAAAAAUCUCUAAAAACAUUUCAAAAAGAACACUUUCAUCUUCUUAUUUUCAAAUAAUAUUUUUUAUUUUUUAAUUAUUAACAUUGUUAGUUAAUAAAAAAAAAAACUAUAAUUAAUAUUAUAUAAAUAUUUUAAAAUAUAAAUACUUUAUUAAAAAAACUGUUAUGUUCUCCUCCAAAACUUAAUAAAAUUUAUUUUGAUAUAAAUAAAAUUUAAUAUUUAACAAAAAAAAAGUAAAAUUUCACAAAAUUUUAAAACGAGAUUUUUAAAUACAGUAAUUUAUUUUAUUUUGAUACUUAAUAAAAUUCAAUAUUUGAUAUAGAAUAAAAAAACUUAAAAUCUUUUAUAUACUUAGUAAGUCAAAAUUUUUUAUGUCAACUUAAACCCUAAUUCCAAAAAACAAUUUUGAGCAAAAUUAUUUCAAUAAAAUUAGUAAUUACAAGUAAAAAGUUAAUUUUUUAACCUGACACCAUCAAAUUUGAAAUAUCCAUCAUUAAAUAAAAAAUUUACUUUUGUAAUAUAUUUUUUUCAAUAAAAAAAAUCUUAAACGGUUGGAAAAAUAAAGAAUUUGAUGACAAUAAGCUUUACCCUAAGAAAAAAGUUUGUGGUUUUAAGGUAAAUACGAUUUUAAAUUUCCAAUCCUUCAAAUAAAAAUGUUUUACGUUUUUUUUUCUGAUUAAAGUUUUUAAAGGGAGAAUGAGCAUUUUUGUUCAAAAGAAAAUAUCCUUAAAUUAUAAAAAUAAUAUAAAAGAUAUUUAUAUCUUAAAAUAUUUAUGUUGUAUUAGGUUUAAUUAUUUUUACCUGUUGACUAAAUGUAUUAACAGUCAAGGAAUCAAAAAUAUCAUUUUAAAAUAGGAGGAACCAAAGUGUUAUCUUGAAGUAUUUUGAGAGAGCUUUUUGGAUUUUACCUCUUGACAUGUCUAAGUAGUUUAUAAAAGAGUUUUUUUUUUAAUAAUUAAAGCAAAAAUAAAGUGUUUAAUUUUAAAUUUUUUAACUUAUGUGAAAGGUUUAUCUGAAUUUUUAAAAGAAAUUUAAAAAUUAAGAAAUUUUAAAAAAUGCUAAUGUACAGUAAUAGUUAUUUGAUGAGAUUAUGGUGAAAAUUUUAUCUCUUUCACCUCAACAAUCAUUCCAAAAAUGAGGGUUUAUCAUCUUUUAUAGUUUUCAAAAUUUGGAAGUAGAUAAGUUACUCAAAUUCUCUAAUUAGGGAUAAAUGUUGAGAAUAACUUUUUUUUAUUAAAUAGUAUCAAGAUUAAGGGUGAAAGAAUAUCUUGCAAUGGGCUUGUGAUAAUUAAAUGGGCUGAGAAAGAAAGUUGGUAGGCCUAAACUGGAGCUUUGAAUAAACGGGGACACCCUAAAAGUCUGAACCCUCCUUGGCCUGGAUAUAUGGCCUAUGAGGCCCACUUUUAACCUACCAUUGGGCCUGAUUUCCUCAGCCUUUGAUUCAUUGCCAACAAUUGAUACUUCCUUUUCUUUUGUCAAUGACAAUAACCUCAGGGGUGAGACAGAGUCAAACAGAUCCCAGGUUCAAGUUCCAUUUUAUUCAGUUUUUUUUUAGUUUUAUUUUGAAUUUUCUCCGACGAUAUGUUGAAUGGUUUAUUUAUUGUUUAGUUAUUAAUUAAUUUAUUAUUUCAGAUUUAUUUGAUUAUGUUUGAAAUAUUUACUUUUACAUAUAAUGACAUUUAUGGUUAUGUGCGAUGCAUAAUGAAUACCCCCUAACUUUUAGUUAUAAUUUCAAGUAGGUUCAUUAGUUUUUAAAAUGAAUACUCUGUCCCAAAAAAUAUCUUUCGCUAGACAUAUACGUCCAGUCGUUAGUCAACUAUUAGUAUUUUCGUUUAUUUGAUGACGUAGCAAUAUUGAAAGACAAUUUUAUCUUUUAUUAAUUUUAAAAAUUACUAUUAUAUAUAUAUAUAUAUAUUUAACAAAAGGAGCACUGAUCAGUGCUCCUUUCUCUGGGGUGCUCCCCUCCCUUGGGGAGCACUUGAUCGGUACUCCCAUCCUUGGGAAGCACCUGUAGUGGGGUGGUCGGUUAGCCACAUUAUUUGAGAGAAAAAAAUGAGAGAAAGAAGAAAAGGUAUUUUAGUUAUUUUAUUAUUUCUGUUAACGAUGUUUAUAUUUUUGAAACGGAGUGUUCACUUCGAGAGCAAAUGGACUUGUUUGGAAUUAUGAUCAAAAGUUAAGGAGGUGAGCGUAUAUUACCCUUAUUUUUAAUAUGUAUUUAAAUAAUAAAUUUGUAUAUAUAAAUAUAAAAGUUUCCAAAACAUAAACUCUAAAAUACAAAUAAUUGAAUUUUUUUCAAUUUAGAAGUAAUUUAAUAUUAUAAGAAUUAAAAAAUUUUAUCAACUACAUUGCAACUGCAUAUAAACAAUGGUUAAAAUACUUGGGAAGUCCUUGAAUUAAGGUAUUUUUUUCAAUUUAGUCCCUCUACUCAAAAUUGUAACAUUUUAGUCUUUUAAUUUUGAAAAUUGCUUCAAUUUAGUCCCUCUAACAUUUGUUGUUUCAAUUUAUCGUUACGAUACUGACGUCAGUGCUGACAUAACACUAACAUAGCACCUAAUGCUUACAUGGUAGUGCCAUGUCAGCGUGUUAGGGUGAUGUGGCACUACCACAUCAUCAAAAAUGAUGUGGCAUUGCCACAUCACACUUUGACUUGACAUGUUAACGUGGCGUCAACAUUUUGGUCCUCAAGAUGCCACAUGGCACAACAAAAGGUUACCAUGUGGCAUAUUAAGAGGUUGACACGUGGCAUUAUUAUUAUUCAAAACAAAACAUGCUCUUGUUGUGACUCGAACUCAUGACCUUUAUCAAGUAUGCUAAAGCCUUUACCACUAUACCCAAAAUUCUACUUGCUUGUUUCUUAUUUCUUCUUUUCUUUUCUUUUUUUGCUUUCUUAUUUUUUCUUUUUUUUUUUCUUAAAACUACAUCGUUUUGGAGUCUUCUUUUUUAGAGAAGAAGGCUUCAAAGGGUUUUUGAAAGUGUAAAAAUACUUCAAAACGAUGUAGUUUUGAGGAAAGAAAGAAAAAAAAAAGAAAGAAAAGAAGAAAUAAAAAACAAGCAAAUAAUAAUUACAAGUUAAGGUUUGGGUAUGGUGGUAAAGGCUUUAACAUACUUACUAGAGGUUUUGAGUUUGAACUAUAGUAAAAACAUGCUUGUUUUGAAUAAUAAUAGUGCCACGUGUCAAUAUCAUGAUGUGCCAUGUGGCACCUUGGGACCAGAUGCUGAUGUGGUAGUGCCACGUCAGCAUUUGAACUUAAAAGAGUUACGUAGCAGUGCCACUUCACCCUGACGUGCUAACGUGGCAUUGCUACGUCAACAUUAGGAGCUACGUCAACGCCACGUCAGCGUUGACGUCAGCAUCGUAACGAUAAAUUUAAACGAAAAUUGUUAGAGAAAUUAAAUUGAAGCAAUUCUUAAAAUUAAAAGACUAAAAUGUUACGAUUUUAAGUAAAUAGACUAAAUUGAAGAAAAUACCCUAGUACAAAGACUUCCUAAGCAUUUUGACUAAAUAAUAACACUCUUGUCAAAAGUGGUGAUAAAUUUAUUAUAUUUAUUAUAUGAAAGAAAUAUAAUAAAAUAAUUUAAAAAAAUUAUUACAAAAAAGAAAAAGAAAACAUAAAAGGUUAUUAUAAAAUAAAUGGAAAAAAGCGUAAUAAGGUAAGAAAGUCAAAAAGUGUGGCUAUUGAAUAAACCAAUUGAAAAGGAAAAAGGCCUAGUGCGGUUUAUCCACUAAACCCUUGGUUUCAAGGACCAUGAAUCCAUGACUUGUCUAGCUCGAUAGGAAUAUCGGACCAACAACAGACAUCAUUGAACCAGCGAUAAUUGGGAGUUUUCGAAUGCACUACACGUCACCAAUGUUGGACAGUAAUUUACUAGGGUUAGAAUUCUUGUGCAAUGUUGUCAACAAAAGUUGUGGCUAAGUUAGUCUAGAAUUUUUGGCUAGUUGUGUUCUAUUAGGCAUAGAACAUUUACCUUAUUUAUACUUUCUUUCAUUGUUAUUUACUUUACUUACACUUCAAGUAGGAUUAGAAUUCUCUUAAGUUUAGAAAAAGUUAUCACUAUAAAUAGUCCAUUUUUAUUUCAUUGUAAGGCAUCAAGUUACCAACCAAGCUAAUUAGAAAGUUAUCAAACAAUUUGCCUAAGUCUUAGCUAUUUUGUUUUCUUUGAAGAAUGAUAUGCUUACUAUUUCUCCCAAUUUCUUUCUUCAAUCGUAAUAAUACAAAAGCGCGAGACAAUUGAAGAAAAGAAUUAGGAGAAACAAUAAGUAUAUUAUUCCUUAGACCUAAACAAAUUGCUUGAUAGCUUUCUAAUUAGCUUAGUUUGCAACUUGGUACCUUACAAUGAAACAUAAAUGGGCUAUAUAUAGAGAUAACCCUUCCUAAACCUAAGAGAAUUCUAAUUCUACUUGAAAUGUAAGUAAAGGAAAAAACACAGAAAGAAAGCAUUGUAGACACCAUUUUGUGUUCGACCUUAUCUUUAUUUCGUUUAUCUCACUAUUAAGUUAUUAUUGGGUUCAAUUUUCUUUUGGGCUUUUUAUUGGGUUAAAGCUAAAAGAAGCCUUACUUUCUUUUAAAUGGGCCUCUUAGUUCGUCAAGCUAAAGGCCCCCAAUUCCAUUCAAAAAUCCAAAAAAAAAAUAACAAUAAAUAAUAAAAAAAGAAAAAAGGAAAAAGUGAAGAAAAUUUUAACCUUGCGGCCAUGCUUGGCAUGGUAGCCUAGCCAACUUAUCAUGGGCCGUAAAACCAUGACAUGCACAACCUACAAGACUAGUAGGGACAGCAGCACAAAUAAAUGUCUCACACCUCCCAAGAUCAGAAGUCGACCUUGGGCCAACAUCGAUUGGAGCCCCACCGACAAUCAAUGGACCAUAGACAUACCAAGCCACCCAGUCUUGCAGGACUAUGGGCCCAACGGCACAGGAAGUUCGCAUGAAGAACCUAGGGUUGAAUAGAGUAUUAUAUAAGGGAAUUUGUGUAAGGUUCUUGUGUAAUUAUUUAUUUUAUUUGCACUAGGACUUUAGAUAGUCAUAGAAUAUUUAUUUACUUUAAUCUUUUGUCACCUAAUUUAGUUGUACUAGACUACUAGAAGUAGAAUUGUUUUAGGAUUAGGGAAAAUCUAUUAUAAAUGGGACCCUUAAGCAUAAGUUCUAGGGCAUCUGAGUCAAUUGCUCAAGUGGUAAUAGGAAUUCAAGCAUUCUAGCAUUCAUAGGUUAUUUGCUUAGAAUAUUAGAUAUUUGUUUUCUCUUGGGAAUAAUAUAAUUACUUUUCCUCAAAUUCUUUUCCUCAAGUUCAAUUAUAUUUGCUUCCGCAUUUUUGUGUAACAUUUUGAGUUACGUUUGCUUAGAUUUUCUAUCCCUAAGCCUUAAAGGCUGUGCGAAUCUUGGCUAAAGUUUAAGGGCUGUGAUAGUUAAUAUUAGAGUAAUGCUUCCUGAAGCUAGAUACAUUUGCGUAACUUUUCAAGAAAAAGUUGGUAUCAGAGUAAUGCUUCCCAAAGUUAGGUACUACAAUCAAAACCCUGUUGUGUUUUGACAUUCCUUAUCAUAGCAAUGCCUUUCAAAGCUAGGUAAGAAUGACAUUACCAUUGUUUUAGGGAAAUUUCAAGCCUAUCGCACAUCCAAAGGGUAGGUUAGGGCUAACAAACAUUAAGGAAUCUACAAUAUUGUGAAGCCCCAAAUUUUUGUUAAGUUAGGUUUUAAGGUAAGUUUCCCUAAACCUUGAAGGCCACAAGGAAAAGAGAAAUUUAUUUUGAAUCAAAGCCACAAAUUUUGGGAAAGAAAGAAGAAGAACAAAGACAGAGGAACCAUCAAUUGGUGACUAGACCACAUCACACUUAAAUACCUUGGUUCAAGGUAAUGUGAGCGCUACAAAUCCUGCACACAUACAUGCCGUGGAGCGUUAAGAGUUUGAGGACUUAUUGCAAGCAUUGGAUAAUUGCGUAUUUGAUAACUCUCUGAUAUAAAGUUAUUUGGAUUUAAUUUUGAUAGUAAUUUAACUUAGUUCUUGUAGUGAUGCAUAGAAAUUAGUAAGUUUUAUUUAAUUAUUUUAAAUUAACUAAUUUAGGUGAGUCAAUCUAAUCUUAGUUAAUUUUAUGCUUAAUUUGGUGUUAAUAUGAUUAAGAUAGGUUAUUAUUGAUUUAUUUGUACUUUUGUAGAUGUUUGAUGAAAGAAGAAUUUUAAUGGAAGUAGAAGAGCAAUUUCAAGGUGUAUACCUUUACUACAUAUGUUUUGAUAUUUUGGCCAUAACUCUCUCUACAGAGUUCUAAAUGAAGUGAUUCUUGAUCAUUGAAAAGUUAAGAGAAAAAGAUACAACUUUCAUGUUUACCACUUUACCCAGUUCAACCUAGAAAGUGGUAAAAAAUCUUAUCGAAUUUAGAGCACUGCAGGUGUCUUAGAACAAUUACGAUAUCUGCUAUUUAAAUGGUCAAGGUCGAGGCUUUGGAGGAAGUAGGCCGCAGCCCGCGUAAUCUGAUGAGGAAAUCCUGAUUGAAAUUGAUUUCUUUCUUCACCCAACUUGGCUUAACUUUAAAGCCCUAUAAAAACAACAUUUCGAAGUACUUUUAGUAGAGAAUGAAACACCAGAUUGAGAGUUGAAAAUCAAGUCGCAAAAUUAUCAACGAAAAGUCUUAUUGGUGCUAAAGAAGAAAUUGAAGAAUUCAAAAAGAUUUGGACAUCAAGAAUUCAACUCUUGGGUUCCUUUUAUUUUUUUGUUGUUAUUUUAUUUUCUUGGUUUUUGUUUUGAUGAUUAACUUUAAUUUGAUGAUGAUGUGUAAAUUGAUGGAAAACUAAUUCAUUUAUCUAAGAUUAUGACUGAACUCAAUAUGUAGUUUGAUUUGUUUAUCUCUCUUUUACUCAUGUUUAAUGAGUUUAAGUUGUUUAUUUUAUUUUGUUCUUAAUGCGUCUAAUUACUUGAUUACUAAUUGGAUUGAAUUGAAAACUUAAGUUAAAUCUUGACGAAGGAUAUUUAGGUAGAUCUUGAAUAGAAUAACGUAUAAUCAAAUGCACUUAGUUGAUUAGGUGAUUUGAUUUACAUAUAGGGUAGACAUAUACCUAUAAGUCAUACAUAGCCUAAAUUAGAGUACGAGUUUAAUGAAUCUUUCUUCAAACAUAUACCCAGUAAUCACAUUUCUAACAAUUACAUUUUCAACAAUAUACCAAACUUAAUCAUAGUUACAGACUUACCUUGCAGAGAACAGUCCCAUAUAUCUAUUCUUGCCCAUGCAAAUAGUUUCAUUCCACUGUCAAAGAAAGGGUAAAAGUUAAAUAGUAAAAGGACACGAUGUUAAAUACUAGAAGGUGAAUCCUCCGUCAUAACUCCCAACUCGGAAGGAACAGUCCGAUAAAAAUGCUGUUCAUAUUCAUCUAUCUAUCAUUCUAUCUAUGUUAAUAUAAUAGCAGUUGACAUAAAAAUGUGAUCCAACUUUGACAGCAUUAAGCAAUCAUCACAGUCGAAUUUUUGGAUGAUGAUGAAGCAAAAAUGAUUUUAGCUGUCAUUCCCCAGUCGCCAUGGCAGCUAUAGGUUGCUGGGGACUAGUCCUUAUCUCGCCGUUUUCUUGAGAAUUGAAUGUGAGUGAUGAUCACACGCUUUUGUAAUAACUGUAUGAAGGGGACACCUAGCUAGCUUAUGGCAUGUCAAAACAGUUACUUAUUCCAUGAGUCUAGGCUGUCCAUUCCUAAGCUAUCCCAUAAAAUUCGAACAAAAAGUAUUGUCUGAGCUUAGACAACAUGGAUAAGAGUAUAUAUUCGUAAUUUUACCAUACCCAAUUCUCAUGCAAAAAUAUUCGUGAUUGUUUAGCACACGUCACUUACUCUUAUUAGCUCUUGUUUAGAAAUUAAAUUUGUGCUCAACAGAUAUUUUUUUAGGUCAAGAAGAGUGGGAUGGCAUAUGAACCUGGCCCUUGGCUCACCUACUCCCUUUAGGGCUUGGGGUUAGUAACUCCCAGCUCCGACAAAUAUCGAGGGGUUUAUGCCAUUAAAAAAAAUUAAAUCAACUGCACCAAAAAAGGAACGAGAUGAUUGAAUCUUAAAAUGAUACCUGCCAAUCUAUCUUACCAAUUAUCUGAUCGUGAUUGCUUUGACAUUAAUGUUAGGUUGUCUUAUAUUAGAUAUGAAUCUACAUAAUUACAUACCCGAAAUUCUUAUACUAGGAUUUUAUGCUUAACUAUGACCAUGCCGUCAUUGCUCAGUGUAGGCAAGUGAAAUUGGAAAAGAAAGCCACUUAAGUUGGGUGACACAGGCAAGUCAAACCAUAUAGCUCAAUAAAGAAAUGGAAGCACAUGAACAGAAAGGGUAUUUCAGUCAUCAUAAGAGAGGAAACUUUGAAAGUAAACAGAAAUCCAUAGAACAUUAAAACUAGUUGCUGUUACAAAAGCAACGGUGGCACUGGUACAACUACAAGAGCGUCGAGUUUUGUUUUACCAAUGCUUUUUGUAUAAAUUCAUCUAACACCUAUUUUGAAUAUAUUCCGCAGACAACGGCUAUUAAUACUGGACAGUCCCACAACACCCUCUCCCAGCAGCAUGAGUGAAUUAAUAUAUAUAUAUAUAUAUAUAGAAAAAAAAAAAGAAAAAAAAAACUAUAAAACUGAUGCCUAAUAGCAAAGAAAAUGCGAGCAGUGGGGGUGGUGGUGAGAGAGUAAAAGGUCCAAAGUCCAAAGAUUCAGAAGGGAAGUAAGAUAUAUAUAAGAAGGUUCCAGGAAUCAAGGGCCAAGAUCAUGUGACCAGACCCAUAAGACAAGGAAGCACCCAAAGUUUAAAAGUUUUUCUCUCAAUUUCUCCAAUUCUCACACAGAACUCGUACUCAAAAGAGAGCUAGCUUAGCAAUUAGCUAACCAGUUUCUGCUACUGCUUUGAGAUUCAGGAAUUAACUCAAAACCCACUCCCAUUUACACUAUAUAGAGCAAGUUAGGAUAUCCCAUUUGGCCUUUUAUGGUCCUUUCUUUCAGAGUCUAAAACUCCAAAGCACUGCUGUUUUUCCAGUUGCGCGCCACCACAAUUGAACUCGGUGCAAUGACAAUUUUUACAGGAGUCAAAACAAGAGGGGGCAGAAGCAGAUGUAGUGUAGCUAGAGCUGCACUUUUCUUCUUGUGGAUCAUCUUUAUUUUUUCUCAGUUUGGUUUGCAUUUCGCUGUUCAUGAAGAAGCCGGCCAUCAGUAUUUCAGGUCUCCACCAAGGAAAGCCCGGUUUUUCGACACUGCUUCCUUUCAUGCUCCAUCAAGCUCUGUGGGGAAUGAAGGUGAUCCGGACACUCUAUAUGGAGAUGAUAAGAGGAUAGUUCAUACAGGUCCUAAUCCUCUUCACAACUAGGGAGCCGGUGGUAGGAUAUUUUUUGGUCUUUUUUUUUGCCCUUUGUACUGUGUAAGUUACAUGUUUUUAAUGCUAGAAUUCAAGAAAGAAAAUGACUGGAAGAACUUUUUUUCUGUUACCAGCUUUUGUUGCUCAUUUUUGUUUCCUUUUGAAUUAUUACUGUGAAUGAGAGCAUUGGCUUUAGCCUUUUCAGUGAUGUUUAAUGAGGUUAUAGGGGAGUGUAGCUUUAGCAAUGGUUAUGAGAAUGAGAAAAGGAAGACAGGGAAAGGCUAGUGUUAAUGCUCUUGUUUCUUUUGUUGUGUUUUCUUCGUCUGUACUGCUCUGUUAAUGCUGAAGAUUCAAUUGUCUUUUGAAUUAAAUUGGUGCAGUUACUUUCGGUCAUCUGCUUUGCCCUUGUUCUGCCAGCCCAUAGCGCAGGUUCCCCCCCUUCCGACUUCACUUGUUUCUCUUCCUUUCUGUCAUGGGAUUGGAGAGCUUCAAUUUGCAAAACCCUCCCCAAAGUUGAACUAACAUAUGCAUGCUCCGCGUAAUGGCUAAUUUUUGCUUUAAUUGGAUCAUUUAAUCUUAAGAGUGCAUAUGAAAACUGGGACAACCGAAACGCAUUUUUUUUCACUCUGCAAACCAAUAUUAAUUCCUCAAAAAGGCUAAGCUAAAAGUUGAAACAUGUUGGAGCUGAGGCAUUCUGACACUGAGAAAUACUACAAUUAGGGGUUUCAGCCUAGGGUGUAGGUUACAGUUUUGAUAAUCCAAACUGUAUCUUAGUUGAUAUAUGGUACUAAUUAAUAAAGUGUGCCAUGUGGGUUUAUUGACAUAUAUAUAAUCUUAAAUUCUGAAUUCUACUAAUUACAAAUCACCCUCGUCAUCUAACUUGUUAAGUAUAUAUAAUUUAUAUGAUUCUGAAUUAUUGAUCAUCAAUUAGCAUAUUCUCCAACAUGAUGCUGAGAGUGCCAGAGGAUCCGACAGCUACUAGGUUGGCCACGUAGCUUGUAAGAGAAACUCAGGUCAGGAGAGAAGUGGGACUCCCUCUAGGGCUUAAUUGUUUGCAGGGGGGAGUGAGACUGAGGGGCUCUUUUUGAUUGAUUAUUCCUAGAAGUCCCGGCCACCUGGCUUAUUGACUUAAAUGCGUCCAUUUUUCUCAAUGAGGAUGCCUGUCUCGCUGGGCCAACACGCUUUCUCAAGACUUAGGACACUGCACCCUUCCAACAUAUAUUAAUUGGUACAAAUUAUAAGGUGUAAUUUAAUAGUAAAUACAAAAAAAACUUUUGCAUUCUAGUCAUUUGAGCGCUCCUCAAUUUUCACGUCCUGGGGAUGGGGUGCACUAAUAGAAUGUCUUUAUUGCCCUUUGUGGUACUCCAAGUCAAUAUAUUAAAAGAAACUCUCUCUCUCUCUCUCUNUAACUACUCUCUCUCUCUCUCUCUCUCUCUCUCUCUCUCUGAACAAAAUAAUUAAAUACUAAAUAUUAGUACUUUGUUUCAAUAUGUCACCUGUGGACAAAGCAGAGUUCAAGCUCUCAAGGGGAGAGACCUAUAAAGAAGCCAUAGAAACUUCCUUGGAAUCAGUUUUGUCAACUAAACCCAUAAAAAAACAAAACAACCUUAUUAUAAGUGGCUGGAUAAAAGAGAGAUCUUUCUUAUAAUGUAUUAGGUUUUGAUAAGUUCAAAAGAUUCUGUGGGAGUAUGCGAAGAAGCAGAUAUGGAGGCAAGCUACUAGUUUCUGCAACGAAAAAGUAGUAUUCCCCAUGAAAUGAAUGUUUGCUUGGGGGCCAUUAUAGAGGGCAUUUAAAUGAGUUAAAGAGGGCUUGAUGAGAGUGCAACUACCUCAUCUUCUCUCUCUUGGUCAACUUCCAUAAAACCCCUUGUUUAUUGCUACCACCCACCCCCCUAGUUCUUCUUGCUAGCUUGCCUUGGUUUUUCCCAUUUCCUAAAAUUCUGGUACCCAAUUAUCUUAUUUGCAUUGCUAUCACCGUUUUUAAUUUUUAUCACCAAUAUAGAAAACCAUGGCUAAUGAAAGGAGGUCCCACAAAAGUUGCACACUUAGCUGGAUGGCUAAAAAAUUUAUCACAAUAUCAACCACCCAAACACCUUGAAUUAAUGUUAAUCAAUGUAGGUCGCAUUCAUGCUGCUCCUUGAUGUUUGCAUGCAGUGGUGGUUGAUUAAUCUUUUUUUUGUCAUGAUUCUUUUCAAAGGGAUAUUUUUAACUCAGCUUUUUCAUGAAAGAUCUAAGUUAUUGACGAGAAUGUUCCCUUUCUGUUGCCAAGUAUUAUACUUUGUCAUCAAAGGUUCGGUAGACAAUGAUCGAUUUGAUGUGGCUGUUUACCAUGUAGCUUCACUCAUCUCCAAACCAACCUGCAGCUUCGCUUAAACUUUUUUUUUUUUAAAAAAAGAUUGCUUUAAUUAUUAGCUUGCUGAAAAGGUGUUAUAAAUUCUCGACAAGUAGACUUGCGAAUCCGAGGAGCUAGCUAAUUUCCAUUUCUUAACUAGAAUUCACAAGAGAUAUAUAAGUUAUUGUAAAUUUAUUAUUAAGGGUUCCUUGUAAGUAUUUAGAGAGUAACAUUUAAUGGGCGUAUGAAUUUCCUGUUCAAAAGCUGAGUUUGAACUUUAAAUCCUCUCUUUUCUAAAUAAAUAAAAAAAAAACGAUUUAAGACUACUUGAAGUUGAAUGUGUCCUAACCCCAUGGAAACCGAGCUGGGCUGUAGGCCCUCAUAGAUCUGCUUUUUCUUAGCUCAAAUAUAAAUAUGUCAAGCGGCAGCUCUGUAUAUUGACCAAUGCACUAUCAAACAAAACAAAUAUUACAGAACAAAAACAUUACUGUAAAGUCCAUGGGGACUAUUUUAAAAUCCGAGGCAUCGGAAUUCAGCUGGUUGACCAAGAACUCUGUAUUUUAUUCAAUGUGUCUCACAGCUUUUUAACGUCAGAAAACAAGCUGGUUUUGCACUUUCGACUGAAGAACCAUAAACAGAUGCACUGGAAGACUUCACAAUGAGAACCAAAACUGGCACAUAUAUGCAUUUUCUUGAAAAAACUUCCUUUGACAGAGUAAGCUUGAAAAAACAAAAACCAAGAAUAUUGAACUGUUGUUAACGGCGAUACAAAAUGGAAACUGGAAAGCGUGUUAAUUUAGUACUCAGUGACAGGACAGAUUUAUAUACCUGUGUGCGUCUCAGAACUUGCUAAGAGUUGUUAAAACUGGAAAGUAGGCAGCUGUUAGGAUCUUCAUGUGUAGUGACUAAACGAUGUAUUUAUAUUUUAUAACCAGAAGUGGUGGCCCUAUUCUCUCAAUAUGUGAAGGUCUUUGGUUUAUUAACUACUCAUAGCUUUUCUCAUUAAACCUUUCAUGGCAACAUUCAGGUUUCCCUGAUAAACCCAAUAUUCAUGCAUGUUUAGAAAAACUAACGCACAAAAAAAUAAGUACUAUAUAGUAAAAUAAUAAGGAUUCCAUGUUUGUAACAGAUUGACAUGCUAGAACAUGUACAUGCUAAUUCCGAUGGGUAAAUCAGUACAGUAAAUUUGAAUCAUUACUAAUUGCAAAUGCAGUAGGUGCUUCCCGCGAUACACUUCUUCCCAUGGCCAUGGAUAAAUAGUACUACUUUGAUAACGCAACUAGGAAUUCGGGAUACUAGUCUAAAGUCAAAACGUGAUAGGGGCUUGUGCAUUCGUAAAAAUCAGUUACUUUGACACCUCGUUGUACCAGCAUAUGCUUCAGAAUUAGCCCUUUAUUGCCCUGCCAGAACAGCUUAGAGAGCCAACUACUCGACUGACAUGCCAGUAUGAUUUCCUCUCCGUGACAGUUUUCCCUCCUGGUGACCGCUAAAAGAAUAAACAGAAACACAAAUUAAGGCAUUGCACAUAAACGGAAAACAUUAUUAAUUCAUUGAUCUGAUUAUUAUAAGCCUCUGCUAUCUGCCAUCUGCCUACUUAUUGCUUGAAGCCUUGAACUCAAAUCCAUAUCCAUGGUGAAGAACCCAAUUUAAUUUGGUCCAACAGUUCUCAGCCCCUAAAAUGGGGAUUAUACAGUCAAGUUUGGGAGUUGGACUUAAGCAACUCCGGGGAAGUUUGAUAAAAAUAAUAAUAAAGAAAAGAGUAAAAAAACAUCCCUACCCGUGAUAAUGGUGUUCUAAUUUGAGAAAUCAAUGUCCUCAUGAAAUUCAAAUUUGGAUUCGUUUAUCUUGUGUCAGAAAGAUGACAGCCAAGACAAUAACUUCAGUGGGCCUAAUUAGCAAUUAUAUUCUCCUAUCGCUUGCAGUGUUUUAAUGUUGAACCAUGCAAUUUUGAGAUCCGAAGCAUGUGUACCAAACCACUCACAAUUGCAGUUAUAUACAAAAGUCCGGAAAGGGAGUAAUAACUAAGAAAAAUCCUCCUAGGUUUGGGCACGAUGCCAAUCUCUUUGAAACUGUAGAGAUGCUGUAAGAAAAUGGGAAUGUAAGCUGGGAAUAGGGGGAGUGGGGUUAAGUAAUUCCUGAGAAGAACAUGGCUGGCUUGGGACUUACGACAGACUUCCUGGUCAACAUUAUUUUCUUACUCCUACUAGAUAUAAUAAGGGUCCACUCCCAGAUAUGGUAAUGAUUUUUCACCUUUCUCCGGCCUGAUCCUUGAGAAUUUGACUUAAAUGGAGGUUUGAUCUAACAAGAGGACCACUUCUGAUACUGAUACUAAUUAAAUGACCUUUGUAUUUGGCUAUAAAUCAAUGUCACGGUAGUAAAAGAUAGAGAAGCUUUUAAUCCAGGGUAAAUUAUUUAUUAUUUUUUGGAUAUAAAUAUGUGUUGUUAUUGAGAUUUAUGUAUGUACAAAGAGAAAAAAAAACACCUAAAGAAUUGGCCUUCAGAAACCCUUAAUUAAAACACCUAAAGAAGUGUCAUGGUCUAACUAUAAAUUUCAAUAGUUAGUUAAUUUUUCAAUUCUUUUUAUUAGAGUUUUAUUCUUGAUUUUCUUAUUCGCAUUUAAUAAUUUGUGUCUAACUUAGUGAUUUUUCUUAAUAAGUGGUGUCAGAGUUGGGUGUUUUAGAACUUAAGGUCCAUGCUGAGUUGUAACUAUAAUACCUUACUAAGUCUGCAAUUAGAUCAUCAAUGACUACAGAUUCAAAUCGAUAUUUAUAUAAUUAUUGUCAAUAUUUAUUUAAUUUUACUUUUUAAAAAAAUGAUACUAGAGUUAUUUGAAACGUUAGAUAUCAAGAGUGAAGUUUAAAAUUGAGCAACAAAUCGUUUUAAUUAGUUUCCACUAAAGUAAUUAAAUACUGCAAUUGUCAUGCUAAUACGCCAAAGAUGAGAUUGCAUGAAGAGGAGAAAUAGUCUAGGGUGACAAAUCGGGAGCGGGAGUAAGUGCAAUUUAUUUAGCUCUUGCAUCUAAAGUUAAAUAUGACGUAUCAAAUGCCAAAUACAUAAAGUUAAAUAUGAAGUAUCCAAUGUCAAACAUAUGAAAAUAUUUAUGAAUGAUUAAGAUAGAAGAUGUUUAAAUUCGAAAUCAAUGAAAAACAGGUUGUAUAUGAGAAUGAAUUACAAUAUUAUAAGUGAAGAAAUGAGAAUGAAAUUCCCUAAUGUAUACAUAAAAUGUCGCAUUUACUCCAACAAAAAAAAAAAAACACUUACAGUUUAAUUCAUAAUAUCGUGAUAUAUAAUUUAUUAAAAUAAUUUUUUAUUGAAAUCGAGGUUUUAUUCUAGAUUACUAAAAAAAUUAAUCUAGAUGGCAAAAAUCUCACAUGGUAAAUUAUUAAAUAAGUUUCAAUGUAUGGGAUCUGGACCCAAGAAAGGAAUAACAUUUUUUUAAUUAUUAACAAGGAAAUCUAUCUCAAAAAAAAAAAAAAAAAACAAGGAAAUCACAAUUCACAAUAUAUACAUAUGGUUUUUUCAGUUUUUUCUAAUUCCCUCUUCUAGCAUUAAUGAGCCGCAUUUUUGCUGUCAGCAAUGGUGGCUGGACUUCCAUCGACCAAGUUAGGUCUAGCCCCAAGAAGGUUGAAUUUUGAGCUUGGAAGGCCGAAUCGGAUCUGGCCCUUAAGAGGUUAGAUCUUGUAGCAGUUUGGUUGGAAAGGCUUAAAAGUUCGACCUGUUAAGGCCAGUGUUGCUCCGCUAUUAUAGGGUAUCAAUAAUGUAUAAGCAUGUGAUAGUCAUGUGCUUUGAGUUAGUUAAAUCAAAGUCAACUAUUUUCCAUUUAUGUUAAUUAAAUUAAGAUUAGUAACUAAUCAUUCUUGUAAUCAAGCUUUUGGUUUUUUCUUUCUUUUAAAUGUAUAUAUACAAACUUGUAAUAAUUCUUGACUAAAUAAUACAACCAAUUCAUUUUAUUUCCAUUUCUUAAUUGCUUACAUGGUAUUAGAGCAAUUUGAUUACGGUUCUUGUUAUGAUUUCCUCAAUUUUUUCUAGCCUUAUUCUUCUUUUGAGAUUGAAAUCACAAUUCAAUCAAUUCUUCUUCAUUAAUGGAAAGCCUAUCAUUGGCAAGAGAGCAGGAAAGUGGGAGGUGGGGACAAGAAUGACCCAUGGGUGGUGGUAAAAUGGAGGAAAUCCUUAUUCACUAUUUUCAUUGGUAAUUUGGAUAAAGAGGUCGAAUGGAGGCCAUUGAAGAACGCUUUUGAUGAAUUUAAGGUGGUCAUGGACGUGUUUAUCCUAAGACAAAAAGGCCGAAAUGACUCCUGCUAUGCUUUCGUAAGAUAUAAAGAAGCAAAGGAAAUGACAAGAACAAUAUGGAUGGGGCAUGGGAGGAGAUUAAAUGGGAGACGAAUUAGGGUGAUGGAAGCUGACAAGUAGAGGACUACAUAUGUUAACAGGAUGGGUUUUAAGGGUGAAAGAAAGAUGAAUGAGCUCAGGGAAGGAGGAGGGAAAACGUAUAAAGAAUCAUUAAUGGUCGACAAAAAAACUGUUAGAGAGGAAAAAAAGAAGAGUACAGAAAGUCUUAAAAAUAGCAGGAAUAUCAUUGAUGGUGUAAAGUAAGAGGGUAAACAAAGUUACCACAUAGGCAAUCAGAGAGGUGGGCAAACAAUUGUUAUUGUUGAGGGAGAGUUGGAAUGGUUAGGUAGAAGUGCAGUGGACUAUUUAAGGAGCUCCAUUAUUUGUGAGUCUAUUGAAUGCUCUCUUUUCAGGGAAAAAAAUCAUAGCACAAGUCCAAUCAAUAGGGGGCUUAUACGUUAUUGUAACCUUUGGUGAAAAAGAAGAAAUGAAAAUGUUGCUUGAUGACUAUAUGGACUUGUUUGAGCCAUGGUUUCAAAGCUUAACUCCUUAUUGCGUUGGUAAGGAAGACCGAAGGUACCUAGUGUGGGUCAAAUUGAAGGAAGUUCCACUCUAUAUUUGACAUGAAGAUGGGUUUAAAGCUAUAGCCGGUACUUGGGGAAAAUAUAUCAAAUUGGACAAGGAUACGAUGGAUAAAUGGACGUUCGAUCAAGCAAUGAUCCUGUUUGAAGUGGAAUCUUUGAAAAAUAUAAUGGCCUUCACAUGUUUAGUGGUGAAUGGGAAAGAUUACUUCGUAAGGGCUUCUAUAGUGGACAUUGUCAGAAGUGAGGCUAGAAUCAGGAUUGACCAUGCAGGAGAAGACACAUCGGAGGAGGAUCUAAGUGAGCAGUGGCUAGAAGAUGGUGAGGUACAAAGGUGGGAACAAGGCUUUAAUCCGAUGGAGGGUGAGGACGUUUCAAACAAGAAUGAAGGGGCAUGGCUGGGUGUUUAGAACGUAGAUGAAUCCAAUGACGGGAUGAACCAAGAGGGGGAAAUGCUAAAAGGUGAAAAACCAGGGGAUAAAGAAAUUGCUCAAAGGUCCGAUGCAAAUGAUGGUAGGGAAGGAAAUUUAAAUUUCAAAUUGAUAAGAAAAGAAAACAGAGGCAAGGCAAGCGUUGAAAAGAAAGAGACAAAGCAUUGUUAUGAAAGCAAAAACAACUGUAAUGAAAGGCUCAAAGAAGUUAGAGUGGGCAGGCAAGAGGGGAGUAAGGUUAGAAUAUGAGAGUGUGGGCCCAAUAAUAAAGGGCUAAUUGUUGAGUUUCAAAUUUUAAAGAAAACAGAAAGGCUUAAAGAUGAAAACCAAGGGGAAAGUGAAAAGAGAGUAUUUAGCCCAAUCCAGAAGAACACAAAGAAUGACAAAAAGAGAAAAGUUGAGUCCAAAUAGAUAAAAGGGUUAGAGGUGAAACCUAAAGAGAAACAUGAAGCCCAUCUUACAAAAGGGGUAAAGGUUGAGUUGGAUGGGAAGAAAAGGGUCAUAAAAACUUCUUCAGAAGAUGGUGUAGAAAAUGAGAGAAAAAUAGAGGGGAAAAAAAGAGAACCAGUAUUUAGGAAGGCGAAGCGUGUAGAAGAAAAGAUUAGUCACAAGGAGCGAGAUUCAAAUAAAAACAAUAAGGUAGUGAGUACUUCGUUUCAUAGAGGUGCUCAAACAAUAGAAUCGAGGAUAAAAUCCAAAAAAAUGGGUCGAUUGAAAGGCAGAAGACUCCAAGCAAAGGUGUACGAGGAAGAGAGUAAUGCUGUGGAAGAAAUAGGUAGAUUAAAGGAUUCUGAACAGGUAAUUUCAGAGCAAUGCAGAGGAUUCAGGAGAAAAAGAAAUGACGAAGGGGAUAGUGGGAAAAUUGGCAUGGUUAUCAAGUUAAUGAAGAGGUUGAGUUAAAGAGCGAACGAGUCUGAUAGGGAGAAUGGAUGAGUUACAAGACAGACGAGGAAGAUUCGAAGAAGACUAAGACUGAGAGAUAUCUUUAUAAGGUAAAAACACAAACAAAUGGUGGUAGAGUGGGGGGAGACAACUUGGAGAGGGAAAUGGGACCAUUGUCGAGACAUAAAAAGUCAAUAAGGAAAGAAAUUUGAGAGAGGCUAGAAAAAAAAUAGUUAUUUUAGGAAGAAGAAGGGGAACCUAGAACAGCGAACAAUGAUGGAGGAUAGAGUAAGGGAAUUUUAGAGAAAGAAGCAGAGCAAACAUGGAAAGUUAACAACAAAAUCUUGAUGGAGUUCGUAAAGAGAAGAAAAGAAGUGAUUGACAUUUUCAUUGAAAUGGGAAAGGAAGACUGCAUGUUGAAGAUGAACUGAUCAGGUUUGUCUUCCCUUUAUUUACAGUGAGGUUGGAUUUUAGAUAUGAUAAUUAUAACAUGGAAUGUAAAGGGAUUGGGGAAGAAUGAGAAAAAAAGGGCAAUGAGAAAAGUGGUGCAGAGGCACAAGCCAUACAUGAUUUUUAUUCAGGAAAGUAAGCUGCAAGAAGUGGAUAAAAAAGUCUUUGAAAGGUUAUGGGGGGAUGAAAAGAUGGUGGGGAAGGCAGUGCCAUCAGUAGGUAGGUUUGGAGGCAUUAUCAACAUUUGGAGGGAGGAUUUAUUUGAAAUCACUGAGUAUGUUGAGAGAAGAUAUUUUAUGAUGCUUGUUGGGAAAGUUAAAAAAUUUGAUAAAGUGUGUGGGUUUGUGAACGUUUACGCCCCCAAUGAAGAGAUUAAAAAGAGGAAUUUCUAGAAAAAAUUGAGGGAGAAGAUUAGGGAAAGAGAAACGGUGUGGUGUUUAGGAGGAGAUUACAACAUGAUUAAGGAAAAGGAUGAAAGAAUCGAUAGGGGAAGUGUGGAUAGAUUAGCUGUUGCGUUUGCGAAUUUUAUUAAUGGCAUGGCCUUGGUGGAUUUACCUUUGAGGGGAGAUAAGUACACCUAGUGUGGAUACAGGGAAGGAUGGGCUUUUGGCCGUUUGGACAGGUUUUUAUUUGAUAUUGAAUGGCUUCAAAUGGAGCAAGAUUUGGUACAAGAAUGCUUACCAAAUUCCUUAUCGAACCAUAAUCCAGUGAUUGUAGAGAAAGGAUAAUGGAAUGGGGGCCUAAACCUUUCAAGUUGUUUAAUGUCUAGCUUGAAGAAAAGAGCUUUCAGGUCCUCGUGGCAACUUAUUAGAAAAAAGAGGGAGAGGCUGAAAAGAGCAGGGGAGGGGUUUGGAGGAAAAUGAGAGAUAUAAAGGCUGUAAUUAAAGGAUGGAAAAAUAAAAAACUAGGAAGUACCCAACAUAAAAUUCAAAUACUGGAGGAUGAAAUCAAAUUUAAGUGUAUGGAGAUCUAAGAAAGAGGGGAAGGGGAGGGGUUGAGAGAUGAGCUAAUUACAAAAAAAAAAGAGCUAUGGGCUUUAUACCGAAAAGAAGAAAGAGAAUGGAUGUAAAAAUUAAGAACUUAGUAGGUGGACGAAGUAGACCAAAACACAAGAUACUUCCAUGCAAUGGCUUCAUCAAGAACGAGAGUAAACAGAAUGGACAAAAUAAAAAGGGUGGAUGGAAUAAAGGAAACACUAGAAGCAAUCAAAGGUGAAGUGGAAAGACAUUUCCAAAAGCUGUAUAGUGAAAAAGAAGUGUUGGAGUUGAUAAAUCUUAACUGCAACUUUGAGAAACUGAAAUUUGAAUCAACUAGCUUCCUUGAGAGGCCGUUUGAGGAAGAAGAGGUGUGGGGUACUUUCCAAAGAUGCGAUGGGAAUAAAGCCCGAGAUCGGAUAGGUAUAACUUAAAUUUCUUCAAGAGUCAAUGAGAAGUGGUGAAAGAUGACAUUAUGGACUUCAUGAAUAAAUUCUACCAAAAUGGACAGUUAGGAUACGAGGUUAAUUUAUCUUUCGUUACUCUAAUUCUGAAGGUUCAAAAUCCAAACACUUUGAGUGAGUAUAGGUUGAUUAGUUUGGUGGGCAGCUUAUAUAAAAUUGUGGCAAAGACAUUAACAAAUCGUCUAAGAAUGGUCAUUAAUGAAGUUAUCAGGAAAAACCAAUUCGCCUUCAUAGAAGGAAGGCAAUUAAUGGACUACUAUUUUAUUGCAAAUAAAAUAGUGAAUUGGUUGAGAAAAGGAGCAGAAGGUGAGGUGAUCUUAAAAGUUGGUUUCGAGAAAGCAUAUUAUAGUGUUAGUUAAAGAUUCUUGGAUCUUGUCAUGAGUAAGAUGGGAUUUGGGGAAAGAUGGAAUAGUUGGAUUAGAGAAUGUAUCACCUUAGCAAAGAUUUCAGUAUUAGGAAUGGAGUUUCGACUACGAAAUUUGAUAUGAGGAGGGUACUUAGGCAAGGUUGCCCUAUAUCCCUUUUUUUUUUUCAAUAUGGUAACGGAAGCCUUUAGUUGCUUAAUAAGAAAGGCAGAAGUAACGAGAAUAUGUUAAGGGGUUAAAAUAGGAAGUAAUGGGUUGACAGUCUCACACUUGCAGUAUGUAGAUGAUAUGAUUUGUUUUGGGACCAAGUUUGGAGAUUUUUCGGUUGAUGAAAAGACUGCUAAGGUGUUUUCAAGGUGUAUUAGGGUUGAAAAUUAAUUUUUAUAAAAGUCAACUAAUUAGAGUAGAGGUUAGCCAGAUAGAGACUGAAGGAUGGGCUAAUUGUAUUUCAUGCUAGGUUGGUAAACUACCCUCCACUUAUUUGGGAGUGCUAUUGGGGGGUAAUUAUAACUCCACUAAACUUUGGAAUUUAGUCAUUGAGAGAGUUAGGACUAAAUUAGCUGGAUGGAAAGUCAAAAUUCUAUCUUUCAAGGGUAGAAUUACUUUAUUGAAAUCAGUUUUGAGCAACUUACCAAACUUCUACAUGUCCCUUUUUUUCAGAUUCCAAGUAUUGUGAAAAACAAGCUUGAAAAAUUGCAACGAGGGUUCUUAUGGGGUUGUACUGAACAGAAAAAAAGGUUCACUAUAUCAAAUGGGAAAAAGCUUGUAAUUAUAGAGAGUGUGAAGGUAUUGGGAUGACGGACAUGGAAGUCAAGAACAGAGCCUUACUCAACAAGUGGAUAUGGAGGUAUGAGUGAGAAAACGGGAGCUUAUGGAUGGAGGUCAUUGCUGAAAAAACCAAAAGUGAUCCUACAAACCUCUUGCCAAACCAGAGCAAAAAUAGAAGAGUGUCUACCAUAUGGAAAAGAAUUAUUAAUCCCUUAUCCCUGGCUUACAAAUUUUUCUUGCAAGUGUCCUCUAACUUUGGUUUUAUAGUGGGGAAUGGUGAAAACAUAAAAUUUUGGAGUGAUGAGUGGAUGGAGGGGGGAAAACUAGCUCAAAGGUUCCCAAGAAUUUUCAGUUUGGCCAUUAACAAGAAAGGAAAGAUUGCGAACUUUGGGAUAUGGGAGCAAAAAAACUGGGUGUGAAAAGUUGAUCGUAGGAGACAGCUAUUCAAUUGGGAGAUAAAGCAAUGGCUGUUUAUGGAAAACCUGCUCAAGGACAUUCAAUUGAGUAAAGUGAUGAAAAAUGAAGUGACUUGGAAGAGAGAGACUAAUGGUGUCUACACCACAAAGUCCUUUUGCAAAUAUACUCUUGCUCCUAGUGAAAAGAUUGAUAAGAUUUGGGAUUAUGUAGGGCAGGUUUGGCUCUUUUCAGAGUUGAGUGUUUUGUUUUUCAAUUAAUUCAUGGGAAACUAGCUGUUAAAGAUGAGUUAGCUAAAAAGGGAGUGGUACAAGAAAACUCCCUGAAGUGCAUACUGUGUAAUAGGGUUAAGGAGACUAGUGAUCAUUUGUUUACUGAGUGUAAAGAAACUUGGAAAGCAUGGAAUAAAUGGUUUAAAGAAUGUGGAUAUGUGUGGGUUUCACCAAAUACAACCAAAUCCUUUUUUGAAAUAUGGAAUGAAAGUGACCAAGGAUCAGUUGACAUGAGGAUUUGGAGGAUGGCAUAUUUCACAGUAGUCUGGACAAUUUGGAAAGAAAGAAACGAGGUGACCUUUAAAGGAAAAGAAUGGAGUGUCACAAAUGUGUGGAAUUGGUGAAGUUCAUGUUGGCGACAUGGGUAAAUGUGAGACGGCCAAGGGAAUAUUUUUCUGUGCUCGAUUCUUACAGAAAACCCCUUGCACACAGUAGUAGGAAAAAAUAAAAGAGUGUAUGAAGAGGUGUUAAAUGGGAAGAACCAAAAGGAGGUGAAUUAAAAUUUAAUGUGAAUGGGCAGCUAAAGGUUACCUCGGGCCAGCAGGUAUAAAAGGUUUUUUGAGAAAUGAGAAAGGGGAAGUCAAAGCAAUGUUCACUAAAUCCAUAGGCAAUGUUGACUUUAAUGUGGCUGAGGUCAUGGUGAUAAGGGAAGCCAUUGUUAUCUUCUUGGCUUCAAAGUGGAAAGAUGAAUACAAGUUGGUGAUAGAAAGUGACUUGAGUAACACGGUUAAAUGGAUGAAAGCACUGAAUGAAGCACCAUGGAGAAUGAAGAAACAAUUUUUACAGAUUGAGAGAUUUUUGGAGAAACUGGGCCCUUGAGAGAUAAGACAUAUCAAAAGAGAGGCUAAUCAGAAAGUAGAUAAUCUUGCAAAAGAAAAAGUCCAUAUGCAACCAGGAUUCCUACGAGUCUUUCAGUAAGGAUCCCCUUCUACAGUUAGCGUCCUCUUUCGAAUGUGCCACUAAAAGGUAUUUCUGAAUUUCAUGAGUCAAGAAGUUAUGUGUUGGGCAUUGAAUGUUGGACGAAGAGUUGAUUUCAGUUGAGAUUUAUGUUGAUGGUUCUUUGGAAAGGGUGAAUGUUGUUCAAAUUGUUGACUAAUAUUGUGUUGGUCUUGUGGUUUUGAGUUUCGUUUUGUUUUGUCCCCAAGGUGUGUGGGUUCAAGUUGAAAGAUUCAAGAUUUUUGUUGCUACAAUCAUAUGUAAAAAAAAGGUUCAAAGCGAUGUGAGGAGCUAUUGUUUUUUUGAACAGGAGUAUUGGGAGUGUAUACCGUUACAGAUUAAGAGCGUAACAACCAAUAAUCUUGUUGUUCGUCCUGGUUGCUAGCCACGGUUCUUGUAAAGGGGAAAACCAAAUUCCUAGCUUUUUAAUGAUAUUAUUCUUAUAAUUUUCAAAAAAAAAAAAUGAAAAACCUAUCAUAAAAAUCAAUCAUUUUAUCCUUAGAGAAUCCACAUUCCCAUUCUUCCUUCACCAUACAAAUCAUCAUGGAUUUGUAGUUGUAAAUAUAAAACUUGCCUCAAGUAUUUACACUUUCUAGAGCUAAUCCUUCUUAUUGGCUCUGUUGAUUUGAACCAAGAUUGGAUUUCUUGAUGGUACAAACCAAGAACCAAAGGCUUCAAAUGAUCUAGAUGUAGCAAGUUGAUUGUGGUUUAAAUGUUGGAAUUAAUCACAUUGCCAAUUGUAACCAUUGUCUUCUACAUGAACUCAAUUUCACAAAUCACUAUAUGCCUUAAGCAUGCCUUUAGGCAAUGGAAGUUUAAGUUCAUAACUUGUUUGCUUAAGUUUAGGUUUUAUCAGUUAUAAUCUGGCUAUUCAUUAUUCACCAAAAAUAUAGAGAAAUGUGGUUUCAUUGCAUUAAUAGUCUAUAUUGAUGAUAUAGUCAUUGCUAGUUCAUUUUCUCAAUUAGCAACUAAGAUGAGAAAGUAGUUGCAGACACAUAUUAAACUUAAAGACCUAAGGGCACUUAAGAAUUUCCUAGACUUAAAGAUUGCAAGAUCAAAUAAGGGCAUUAUUGUCUAUCAAAGAAAAUAUAUUUUGAACUUUUUGAGUGAGUAUAGUUUGUUGGGUGCUAAACCACCUUUUACCCCCAUAAAAUGCAAUAAAAAACUUUCAAAUGGUCACUGAUGAUAAGCAAUUGACAAAGGCCUACAAGUAUAAACAAUUGAUUGGUAAGUUACUCUACAUAACUUUCCCUAGACUAGACAUAACAUAUGCUAUGCAAACACUAUCAUCAUUCAUGCAAAGCUCAUAUGAAGCUUAGGUGGACGCUUCCACACAAGCUAGCUAAGAACUCGAUUAUAUUUGAGUAAACAAAAAUUAUAACUAUAGGUUAGCUUACGAACAGCCAUAGUAAAAUCAUAGGGUAACGAAUGCCAUAUAUGGAACUACUAGUUCCAACUAAAGGAAAAAUGUUAUAUUAAUAUUAAAAAGGGAGUACAAAAGGACCAAGAGUAUAAAUGCACCAUUUUCGGCUUAUAGGGGCAGCCUUAGAUGGUUAGCCACAAACAUACCUUAAUCAAUGUGGUAGUCCAACAAUUCGUCAAUUGCUCACCCCUUAUAAAGAGCUAACGAGCUAAUGAGCUUUUACACUUAUGUCACCACGAACAAUUACAAUGUGUGAAAUGGGGAUACUCCUUCCCUCAAUGGCCUUCUCCCUCAAGACUUAACAAGUUCUUAUAAGUAUGCUGCAAAUUAGCAUUACAUUGUUUAAAAUGGGGACAUUUCCCCUUAAGGCAACUUAAUUUCCUAGUUAGUUCUACGCCGUCAUGGCCUAUACAAAGGUUGGCUCAUGACACUAAGUCUUUAUCGUUUACAAGCUUUUUUUAGAGUGUUAAGAAAUCUUAAGUCAACGUUAGGACAUGGGGUUAUGUUUUUAGCUGCAUUUUCUUUGAAUUUAAAGGCCCAUGCAGAUAGUGUUUAGGUGGGGUGUUGUGCUACAAGGAGAUAAGUGGUAGGUUACGUUGUGUUUCUUGGAGAUUCAAUUAUUAGUUGGAGGUCUAAGAAUAGAAUGUUGUUUCUAGAAGCUCAAUAAAAGUUGAAGUAGAUCUAUGGCUAUAACUUGUUGUGAGGUAAUGUGGUUGAUAUUUUUGCAUCAAGACUUUGGUAUUAAACUUUUAGUAGUUGUGGAUCUUUACUGUGAUAACUAACUAGCUUUGUGCGUAUGCAAAAAUCCAACCUUUCAUGAAAGGACAAGCACAUUCAGAAUUCUGGUUGGGUUAUUCAUCCUAAGUAUGUUUCUACCAAUCUACAGAUAGCUGACUUGUUUACCUAAUCGUUGUUAUCAAGACAAUUUAGUUUGCUGUUAAGCAAGAUGAGCAUAUUGAAUAUACAUGCUCAUAUUGAGAGAGGGAGUAUAAAAAAUGUAUAAGCAUGUGAUAGUCAUAUCCUUUAGAGUUAAUUAGUCAAUUUGGUCAAAGUAAACUAUUUUCCAUUUCUGUUAAUUAAGGUAAGAUUAGCAAUACUCAUUCUUGUAUGGUUUCUUCUUUCUGUCAAAUGUAUAUAUACAAGCUUGUAAUUAUUCUUGAAAUAAUACAACCAAUUUAGUUUAUUUCCAUUCCUUAAUUGCUUACAUGGGGCUUGAUCAUUACAAUAUUUAUAGAUGGAUGCCGUUGACAAGCUCUUUCUUUAUUAAAAUUUUAACUUUUUUUACAUGAUACUUUGUGAAUUUUUUCUAUUUAAUAUUUUGUAAAUAUUUUUUUCUCAAUUAGUAUUUUAUAAAUAAUUUUCAUUCUCACAAGAGUUAAAUUGUUAAUUUUUUUAAUAAAAUUAAAAAUUAAUCUAUUUUUUCAUAAUUUAAAGAUAUUUUUAUAAUUUUAGUGAGCAUAUAAAGUUAGUAAUUUAACCUUUUAUGAGAAAGAAAAAUUCUUCACAAAAUGUUAAUCGAGAAAAAAAAUAUUUAUAAGGUGUUAAAUUAAAAAAUACAAAAAGAUUGUCUUUUCUUAAAUAAAAGAUUUAAGAGUCAAAUGGUAAUUAAAAAAAAAAUUCUUUUUUCAUAAUUAAGAAAAACUAACAUUUCUUUGUAUAUAAAUAAUUAUAAGCAUGGUACCAGACUCCCAUUAUUUUUAUCCAUUGUCCCAAUUUGAAAUUCCCCAUAGAUUAAUGGGGACAAAACCAAAACAUAUGAUACAUUACUGGUACUACUUUUUACAAGCAUGAUAAUGACAAGAACUUAUGUGGAUGGGAUGGAUGUAACAGCCACUGAAAUUUUCACGCAUGAGUAUUGUUCGUGAAUCAUGUGUCAGCCGGUAAGGGUAUAGUGAUAUUUAAAAAGAUUUCAUAAAAUACAGAAAUUAUAAUAAUAAUAAAUAAGUGAAAUUCUGUAAAUACAAGUCUGAAAACCAACAAUAUUGAUUGAAGUUAAGAAAACAUUUUUCACGUUUAUUAGAGGUGUAAUCAAGUUUGCGCUGAGCUGGUAAACAAUAUUGAUUAAUCUCACAAGUCACAAGGAUGUUAGAUUUUUUAGUAAAAUUAAUGUGCGGAAUUACAUUAUUUAUUUUUAUAUUUUAUUAAAAUUAGGUUAAGAUAAUUUGAGAGAUAAUAUUAUAGUUCAUAUUAUGAUCUAAUAAAAUGGGAUUUUAAUGUUAUUAGUAGGCUUAAAAGAGUAAGUCUAUGUAGGAAACCUUAAACCUUAUGAUGAGCAAGACUAGAGACUCACUAUAUAAAAGAAAGGUUAGGUCCGCUCUCUUGUUUACAACGAUAUAAAGAUCUUACCCAUUGGAGAGCUAUAAGAAAAAAGGAAGAUUCUAAUGCACUAACUAUCAACAGUUAAUUUGGUCAGUAUUAUUUUUGCUAUUAAACUAUGGAUCAAAAAUUAGGUAUGCUCUGUGUUCUAAAUUCCUACUAUAUUAAAUCUUGGAUUAGUAUAAAUUUAUUUCUACAUAAAGUUUAUCAAUUGGUAUCAAAGCCACCAUGGUUAGGAUUUAGAACCCUAAGAAAUUAUAUAUUUAUUACAUAAAUCAUGACUACAUGUUAAGGUCUUAUGUGGUACUUGAAAUUUAUGUAAUUAUAUCAUUAAAGUACAUAAUUAUCUUGGUAUAAUGGAAUAAGAUCUUGAGCAUGCUUAAUUGAUUAUAUUAUUAGCCAUAUGGUUGUUUGGUUGAAUUAUAUCUAUACAAUUGAAUGAAAUUGUAUUUGAUAAAUUGGGUUUUUCAAGGAUUGUGAGUUUUAACAAUUUUAAGCCAAGAACAACUUGAUUUUAUGUAAUUUUGUUAAGUUACCUUGGAUUUAUUGUUUCUUGAUGAGUUAAGAUUGUUAAUGAGGCCAUAAAGCUUGAUUAAACUUAUUGAUUUCAUCAAAUUAGGACUGUUAUGGGUCUUUGGAUUUGACAUAAAUUUAUUAUGUUAAGUUAAGAUCUUCAUGAGUUUAUAAAUUUAAUUUUGGGUUAUUAAUUUUAUCAAUCUAUUUAGGGUUUUUGUCUCUCUUAAUACAAGGAUUAAAUAUGUAUAUAGACAGUAACUUGAUUUGGCUUGUAUUUAGAGAAAUUAAAAGUUUAAAGUUUUGGAUUCAAAGUUGAAACUCAAUUCUUCAUUUGAUUAAAUCCCUUAAGUUUUUAUGUGUUUAAGUUCGAUUUUAUCUCUACAAAUCACUUGUUACAAGUUAUAGAGAUGGAUCAUAUAUUACAAAAAACCUGGCCUUUAUCGACAAAAAUUUUUCGUCAGUAAAAUCCAUUGGUAAUUACCCACUGAAUACCAAUGGAGUUAUUUCCUGAGUAUUACCGAUGGAACUCAAUCCAUCGGUAUUUUGUUGACAAUACCAUGGGACAAAAUUAAUGAAGGGUGCACCAAGAUUACCGACCAACAGAUUUCAUUGGUAAUUUCAUUAUUGACGGAAUUUACCAACCAAAGUUACUGAUGGAACAUCUAGUCGAAGAAGAUAUGAAAUUGCCGAUGGAAACUUUGUCGGUAAUGCCAUUGCACUUAGUUAAAAAGUUAGUGACAAAUUUGUCAAUAGAAAUUUCAUCAGUAGGUUUAUUUUUUUUGUUAGUAAUUUCAAAUUAUUUCUCGAUUGAGAUUCCUUUUCCCCCCUCCCCACCUCCUCUUUCUUUUUCACUCUGCACUUUCUCUUCCCUUCUCACCUCUAAGCCCUUCUUUCCCAUUUCUUGUUGACUGGCCAUCAUUCCCUCUUCUUGAAGAGUCCUCGACGCCAGCUACCUUCGACCCACCUCUAUUGACAGCAUCUCUCCUCCGAUCUCUUUCAAUAGCCUAGGCAAGCUUCCAUCAAUUGUUUAAAUUCUGUCAAAUUCCAAGAUCAUGCUAAUAAAUUUUAUAUAAUUUAUGAGAUCUAUGUUUGAUAGUUUUCAAUUUAUUUAUGCUUGAGUUGGAUUACAAUUUAUUUAUUUGUGUUGAGUUGAAACUUGCCUUGCUAUUAACUUCAAACUUUUUCUGUUAAAUCUUAAGCAACUGAAAUAAGGUCUGUGAAUUUCCAAUCCUAAUUAGUUGUCUCUCUUAUGAGCAUGCUAAUUGUAGUUUGAGGUUGUAGUUGAGUUAAUCUACAAGACAAGUUGAUUUUGUUUGUCCCUCAAAACAAAAAUUCAUUAAAAUUAAGGCAUGAACAAUAGUUCUACAAUUUUUGAACUUUUGUGCUCCAACUCCGAGUCACUUGCCUGUUGGCUCUCUGUCUUGAGGUCAUGGGUUACUCUUUUCUUGGGCUUGUUCAUUUAAUUGUUGAUUGAGUUGUCUUAUCAAAAGUAAUGGUUAGAAAGAAAUAGAUUGUAAAAGUUCAUUAGCAGCUUAAUUUCCUUUCUCUUUUCCUUUGUUGGGGUGUUGAUGUUUUAUUAUUAUAUAUUUAUCAUCAUUUUUGUACAUAUAUAUAUUUUUUGGAUAUAGGAAUCAUUUACAUGGACUAUUGCAAAUGCAACAGAGGCCCGCAACAUAUGGGAAAAGAUUUCCAAAGACCGUUUCAAGGAUUUAUUAGGAGAUGAACAUGACAAGGCCAAGAAGGAUGGGGACAACCUCGAAGGUGACAUCUUAUUAGGGAAGAGUAAGUCGCAACCCUAGAUCACUGUAGAGGUAUGGGACCAGUUAGUUGAUAACGUAUGGUCCUCACCUGAGUGGCAGGUAUGUGCAUGCAAGGCCUAACAAAUUUGCUUGAUAGAGAAAGAUGACAGCGUAGCAAAACAUAUAGGCAGUUCCUUACCUUUUGCACUACAACAUAAAAGAAUGGUAUGUGUUUUUAUUAUAAUACUACAAUGAUGUGUUUUUUGUUCUUAUUGUCUUUUCAUGAUUAUAGUUCGAGUCCGUACAGAGACAAGUGACAUUUUAUGAGCUUUUCAAGCACACUCACAAGUGGUAGAAAGGUAUCGGAGAAUUUAUAGAUAACAGGUCCAUGGUUAUCAGUGUAAGUGAUAAUAUAUGUGUGUAUAUUUGAUAUAUAUGUUGCUUACCAAUUAAAUACCAUAACAAUUUUAAUUACUUUUUUAUAGGAAUUAUACAUUGUGACUUUACCAUUGAAGUACAAUGAUGUGAUAACGUCAUAACUGAAGUUUGAUCCUGCAGCAUGGGAAGAGCCAAUUGGAAGGCCGAAGACUACUUGAAUCCACGUUUACAGAUUUAGCACCAGAGUCCCCGCUUUUACUAUUUUAAGUCCGGCAAUGAUGUCUGAGUUCGCUUAUGGUCCUAUGGCUGCAUGACCUCCUUUGCCUUCUAUGCUUGAGCUUGAGGGUUAUUAGUAAUUAGUUAUUAAUGUUGAUCACUUAAUGACAUCGACGGGCAAUACUAAUGACUUGUUGAAGGUCAUUGUUGAGGGGUUACCACCUUUAAAUGCCUUCGCAUCUUCCUUAUCAUAGUAGUCGGCUUUUUCGCCUCCACCAUAGCAGCAACAAGACGAGCAGUAACCCCUUCAAUGAUCAAGUGUUAUAUAUGCUUUUUUGUAUUUCGCACUUUUCAUGGAUGUUUACAUUGAUUUUUUUCAUUUGUAUUGAUUUUGGUUUCUAUUAGAUUUUCAUAUUUUUUUAAUGUCAUAUAUGUUUCCUUUUCAAUAACAGCAUCAUAUAAUAAUUAUAUUACAAACAAGAUAUGUAGAAAAUUGAAUUUUUAGAAAAAAAAUUGAUUUAAUAGUUAUUAUCGAUGAAAUUAUCGACUUAAUUCAUUCAUUACCAACGGAGUUCAUUAGUUAUCGACGGAAUUUAUCCAUUAUCGAUGGAUUUCAUGACAAAAAUACUGACGAAUUACUGGUGGAUUCUAAGGCAUUACCGAUGGAUAUGGCUUUUAAGCUUCAAAAUCGACUUCAUUAGUGUUCUGUUGGCAAUCUAUUGGUAAUGUCGUUGCUAAAAUACUGAUGGAAUUGCAGAUGGAUUUAUUCCAUUGUCGCUUACCAAUGAAAAAUACUGACAGAUUCGCAUUUGUUGACAUUAUUACCGACGAAAAUUGCUGACGAAUUUUUUCAAUUGUCGAUGAAUAUAUCAAUUGACGGAUCUAAACUUUGCCAAUAGAAACAUUGACAAAAUGUUUGAUCAGUACUUUUAUUGACAGAAUAUUCCAUUACUGACGAAUUUACCAUUACCAACGACAGUUAUGCAAAUGGAAUUUGCUAUUAGUAAUUUCAUCGGUAAUGUGACAUACCGACUUAAUUAAAAGUAUUACCAAUGGAAUAUUUUGUUGGUAAUACCCUGUUUUUUGUAGUGAUAAGUUUUGAUUGCAUAAAAAUCAGGUAUAUGGGAUUAAAUAUUGAGGAAAAAAAUCAAAAUGGGUUAUAAAUGGGUAUGAAACUCGAAAAUUUACUCUAAUUAUCUUGAUUUAGGAUGUUUUGAUGACUUCUAAUGCAUGUGUAUUAUUAAACAAAGUCUUAAUCAAGAUUUGGAAGGGUCAAUUUCAUCAAAAAUACUUGCAAAGUUGAGAAUCAGAGAAAACUUGGCGUAAGAAACCCCGUUGGGCUGGAUUUGACCCAACUAAUGGUAGAAAAAGGAGAAAAACCAGUUGGGUAGCAAAGCCUACUCUUAGAUGUGGCGUGUAAGGUGCUUGAGGCCCAUUAACCCCAUGUUUUUCAAAAAUUUUUUUUGGUAGUUCACCUCCACUCGCCCAACUCUGCAUGUUGUGUUGUAUUUAUGAAUUUUUAAUGCAUGUUUAAUAAUUAUUUAUUAUUAUGUGUAUUUAAUUAAUUAUUCUAGAUAUUUUUGGUGAGAUAUUUCUACAAUGCAUAUAAUAGAAAUAUGUUGACUCCUUAUGUUUUUGAUGAUAACAAAGCAUUUUGCAUUCUUUGAUGUCUAACUACAUCAUUUAUGUGUGCAAGAUUAAGAUUGAAUUCCUUAAUGAAAAUGUUGUUUGAAAGCAUGCUAAGAAGCUUACCAUGAUAUAAGAAUGACUAAUUAGUUAAAGGAACAAAGAACAAAGGACUAAGCGAUAAUAGAAAACUAUUAACUGGUUAGCAUGUGGCAUUAAUUAGUUAAGGCAAUUCAUGGCUAUACAUGAGUACAAAAUUGAAGCUUUUUAAUCAGUUAAGGGUAAGGAGUUAACUGGUUAAAGGUUAAAGUUGAAGUUCCAAAAAACGCCAAAAUUCAAAUUCUAAAUAUUGAUGACUAUCCAAGGCGACAAACCAAGAGAUUCAAAGUUGAAAACUUUUUUAAUCAGUUGGAGCUUCUUUCAAUCAGUUAAGGUAAAGAAAGAGAAGUCUUCAUCAAUUAAAGGGAAGUCAAAUUAGUUGAAAGAAGGCUAGUGAGAAUGCUGCUUGAAACUAAAAUGUUUUAAUCAGUUAGAGCUACAGUUAAUUGGUUAACAUAGGAAAGCAGUUUAACAGACAAAAAAGGCUUAAUCGGUUAAAGCUAGUCUUUAACCGGUUAACAAAACACUGCCAACACAUUUGAAUUUAAGCACUAAAAGAGAAAAUAAUAGCUAGAAUUGGGCCAGAACCGCUUCCAACAGGCAGAAUAUAUCUCUAAUGGCCAAAUGUGAUCUUCCAAAUAUUUAAGGCAUCUCCAACGGUAGAAAAUAUAUAAAGAUGUUCCAAAAAGUUUGAAAGAGCCAAAAAGAGCAAAAACCUUCUCUUGUACAGUUGUUUUUCACUCUUACCUUUUGUAAAGUAUUUGAGCUUAAACUUGUACAUCUUAGAUUAGUUAAGUGAUUAAUUGUACUCCAUCUCUUCUUUAUUUUUUGAUUAAUUAGAGUGUGCGAGGCACUUUAAUGGUUGCUGUAAGCAUCUAAAACUUGGGUUAGAAGUUCACCUUAUAAAAACUUAGUGGAAGUUGCUAAUUCCAUUAGUUUAAUGAAGUUGGAUCGAAAAACCUUGAUUGAGAGGUCAAGAUAGUGGAUGUAGGUCAAGAGGAUUGAACUACUAUAAAUAUUUGUGUUGUGUCCACUUUUUUUUACCUGGUGUCUUUUAGCUUCAACAAGUUUUAAACCUUCCAUUUCAAAUUAUUCAGAAAUUUUUAAAGCUUAAGAGCUGAUUUCAAGGUAUCUUUUAAGUGCUAUUCAUCCACUCAGCACUCUAUUGGGACCAACAAAAAAUAAUAUGCAUAUGUUUGAGUUGAAUGGUAACAUGUCAUCUUUUAGAUAUUUAUGUAUUUUAAAUACUCUCAAGAUAAAGUUUUAGAGUACAAUUGAUAACUAAAAUGUAUAAAGUAAUAUUUUUCUAUUUUUCAAUGCAAUAAGUUUGUUUAGUGACAUGGAUAGAGAUAUAAUGACUAAUUAUCUCAAAAGGAUAUGUCACAUAUGAAGGUAUGAUUUUAGAGUAUAAUGCCCCAUACGUAUUAAGUUAAUGAUAAAGUGAAUAAAAUCAUACCAUUAAGUUUAUAUGGGUAAUAUAAAGUAAUAUCCUAUUAUGGGAGAAGUUUCAUUAUGUCACAGCCCAAAUUUUCGGGCCAUGACUGGCGCCAUGGGCCCAAUAGGCAUAGCCCACUAAACCCAAGCAAGCUUAUUUAUGUGACUCCGUUCAUCGAUUUCAUCACUCAUUCUUACAACCGUAUUUCAUAAUUCUUAUCAACAAGUUUUUCAAUACUUUUCCAUCGAAACCAUAUGUUCACAUUUAUGAUUCAAAAUAAUGUCAUUCGUGCCAUCUCGUAGUGGCAACAUAAAUCAACAUAAACGUCUAUUGCUUAAGAUAUAUAUAUCUUAACAAUUUACAUUAAGGUACAUAUGUUCAACGAAAAGGACUCUAGACUUCUAGCGGAGUGACCAUAGUGAAGGUGCAGCUACUGAGAUGCCAUAGUACCUACCAAGAAGACGAGCAUAUGUGUGCGACUCAAACUAGGUUCCAACUGCCUCCAAAUUUGAAAACAUGAAUUUUAAAAACGUGAGUAUAAAACUCAGUGAGUGAACAUAAGAAGGGAACAAGCAAUCAAUAGGAAGAAUUUGGAAAUCAUGAUGCACUUGUUUUGAAAACAAUGCAAUUUGGUUUAAUUUCUUUCUUAAACCCCCUUGUUUUGGACAUUGAUCAAUGGACUCUUAGUAUUGCAAAGACCUAUGCUCAAUCAUGAAGAUAAGGGAGUGAAGGAAAUUAUAUUAGAACCCGAGCAAGGUAGCAACGUGACAGCACGUUUCUUGCUGAAGCAAAAGGCAUUCUUGGUUUGCAUACGGUUCAGUUUUUCAAGCAUAUGAUCCACUACAUGGGUCCAAUUGACAUGCUUGUUAGGUCAUUAGAAAGCUAAGAGGCAGGGCUACGACUUUAGUUUUAACCACUUUGUCCAGUUCUGAUCGAAAGGUGGUCAAAAUUGCUGUCAAAGUGACAAUAUUGCACCACCAUAGAGUUUCUAGCGGCAGCGAGAAUCCAUUUCGCUACAGCCAAAUUCCUUGUUGCAAUGAACACCAAUUUGACAAUACUUAGCAACUUUCAAAGUUCAACAUGCAAGAUUCACAUAUGCAAAACCAUAUACCAUACUCAUCAACUUUGAUUUCAUAAACAUAGAUGUAUAUAUAUAAAUGCAUAGAUAACACCAAUAUCAGCAUAAUCACACUCGGCUCAUGUACAUCCCCCCACAUCGUGCACGUAGCCGGCGCCAUCAUGUGCAUCCCCCCACAUCGUGCACAAUCAGUGCCAUUGUGUACAUCCCCCACAUUGUGCACACGGGCACUAUCAUCUUCCAUCUCCCACACCACCAUCAUCACCGGCAUGUGCAUCCCCCCACAUUGUGCACACACACGAUUAUAGUCAUCAUACACAAUAUCAAUUAUCAUGCACAACAUAUAUAUAUAUCAUCAUAAUAAAAUGGUGCAUGAGUCAAUAACAACCACAUAUCACAACAUAAAACCAUUUAGCAAAAGCUUGUUCUCAAGACACUUGUUUUAAGAUAAAGUUGUAUAAAAUCAUUCAAAUGCUUUGUACAAAAUAGUCACAUUCCCAAAAUGAUUUUGAAAUGCAGUUCACUCACCUGACAAAACUAGUACCAACAAGGUCCCAAUCCAAGUAGUCCCGAAAUACCAUUAAAACCUGGAUGAGCUUGGAGGCAUGAAGAUCAACCAAAAACCUAAUCUUUCCAAGAAAAAUAAUUUGAAGAAAUUAGAGAAUAAAUCUGAAAAUAUAACCAUAAAUUCAAAAAUUCCAAAGGUUAGAAAUAUAUACCUUUCAACCUUGAAAAUGAAGAUUUGAAGCCAAAAAUCCUUGUAUUGUUGAAAGUGAAGUAGAAAUAGAAAAUAUAAGAAACAAGGAGAGAUUUUUCUCUCUCUCUCUCUUAGGGUUUAGAUGUGCUGAAAAUUGGGGUUAGAAAUUGCAAAUUCAGUGCCCAAGAAGUUAGGAGAAGGAAGGAUUAGGAAAAGAAAAGAAAUAAAAAGAAAACAAGGAAAAAUCACAUGAAAAAAUUGAUUUUCAUGGAGGUGGAAUGAAAAAUGGCAUUGGAUAGGUGAGAAAGAAGAAAAAGUGGCUGGAAGCUUGAAGAAUCUGUUGAAAAUUUGAAGAAGUUGCUAGAAACUUGGAUAUUUAUACCGUAUAUUUAUCCAUUUUCUCACAUAAUUACCAAAAUACCCUUAACAAGGUCAUUUUGUCUUCUUCUUAUCCUUUGUGCAAUCUUUUUACUCUUUUGACAAUGAGACAAAAUCCAUAAUAGUCUAGAAAUACUCGAGUUCAUGAACACGUAAAAAUUUAGACCCGAGAUGUAGAAUGACCAUUUUGCCCCUAUCGUGAAAAUUAUUAUUAUUUUUAAUUUUCUCAUUUAUUUACCAUCAUAAACAUCAUUUAUUCAUUCCAUAGGCCUAUUUAGACCUUAAUAGCAUAAAAAAACCCACUCGUAGGAGCCUACCAAGAGAAAUUAUGAAAUUACCCCUGGUCCGCAUUAUCGCAUUUACUUUUAGUUACGUAUUUAUAGAGGUCGAGAUUUUACAGGUUCACUUCUGAAUUGCCCUUUUAACUUAGUAAUCAACCUUAAUUGGCAUAUGUAAACUUUAUUAGCCAUCGUAUCAAAAUACAAGGUACUACAUUCUUCCCCACUUAAAAUGUAUUCGUCUUCGAAUUCAAAUCAACGUAGGGUGAAUAAUCAAAGUUCUAAAGUUCUGUCACAUCACUCUCGUCGGGCAUUCUUAACAUAGAAUCUUGGUUUAUGCAUCAUAUCGACUUCUAAUCUUAUAGAAAACUCGACAAUGUCAUAGUGUAUAGUUAUGUAUACUACUCUUGUUGGAUCAAAAUAAUAUCAUUCUUUAUCUUAUGAAGGGAAGUCAAAUACGCUAUUAACUCUGGUCACACCUCAAUCAAAUCAUCCUUAAAUAAUCAAUCAUGCAUGUUUACUUAACCAUUCGUAACUCCUCUACCUUGCUCCUUUAUCAACCCUUCCAAUAUUCAAGCAUCUAUUCCACCAUUGACUAUGGGUCUAAUUUGUCAAUCAAUCUCUAUUUCAUUUUUCAUUUUUUUUCAUUCUCCCAUACAAAUUCCAUUUAAGCAUUUCACACUACAUAAGGAUCAAAUGCUCUUUAUUCAUUUCAUUUCUGUUUUAAUAUCAAAGAUGAUUCAAAUCUAGUAACCAUUAGUCAUCAUAUUCCCAAAAACAAACUCCAAUACUUUCAUGAUCCAGUGCUCACUAGAUAAAUCUCAACUUAUACCACAAGGCAUUUCAAUAAAUCAUGACUUCCACAUACUCCUUUAUAAUCUUAACCAAUCUCUUUAAUCAAUAACUCAACCUUUCAAGAUUAAGGUUGCUCAAAAUCUUCCCUUUAAAGUUUCUUUCCAACUCUCAUUUUGGUUACUAAUCAUUUCUAUAUUUCCAAUGUCCUAGCUAAUUUGCUCGUCAUCAAUCACCCACAACAUAUCUAACUUGAUAUUUCUCAAAUUUACUCCAAAUGUCAAAUCCAUGGCCUCAUUAGUUUAUCAAUCUGAAGAUGAAAUUAGACAUUAAUCUUUCCUUAAGUACAGUUUAAAAUCAAGCAAUCAUUUACUAAGAUCUUUCUGAAAUUAACUUCAUUUAGCCCUUUUUACCUUAGAAAAUUAAAUCCAUCAUCCUUCAUUAUGAAUCAUGGGCUUUAUGCUAAUCAAGGUAGAUUUCACACUUUUACGUGCACAAAUUCAAGUGCACACCUUCACGCAUACGCUAUAAACUUUUCCCCACAUCUUUAUAUAUCAAAACUAUAUAUAUUGAAGCUGUACCAAAACAGAUACAUCAUUUUCCAUUGCCCCUUAGGAUAUUAAAUUCAUGUCAUGCUUCUCUAUUUGUGUACUUCAUAAUAACCUAACAAUUUCUAGCUCACAGUUAAGCUAGUUUAUAUGCCAAGCCUCUCAGGCUAUAUCAAAACACCAAGUUUGAUCACAAUAUAAUAGAAUUUGAUGAACUUAUACCAAAAGUAUAAACACUUACUUUUAAGUUAACAGCAUCAUAAUCAACUUGUUCACUGCCAAAAUCAACGAUAAAUUAUCUUAAUCAUUGUCUAGCACUAUAACCGUUGAUAGAAUAUCAUCAUUGAAUGAAAUUAUAACUAACUCUGCAUAGGCUUUUAUUCCAAUAUGCAACAUAUAUAUCCAUACAUAUAUAUUUCUAAAAAUUUUAACUUUGAAUAGCCUUAGGCAUAUCAAGCUCAAUAAGCCAUCUGUAAAACCAAAAUAACCAACAAUUAAGUUUAGAAAUCAUUUCUUCUCUUGGUUGGUUAGAUCAUGCUCCUCAUUUGUGGUGAAUACACAAAGCUGAUUCCAGUAUUCCAUUCUCAUACAAGAGUUAACCACUAAUUGGCACUAUCUCCAAACACCACGUGUUUUAUAAGUUGAUUUUCUUUGUCAAAAUUUAUAUUGUAGUAUUCCAUCUCUAGGUCAUGUCUCAUUACCAAAUCUUUAUUUGUAUAUGAGUAUUUGAAUUCUCAAAUCAUCAUCUCUUUUCCCAAGUAGAUCUCUAUGAAUCCAAUUGAGUACUUUUAUUCCCUCACCAAGGGUAAUAUUGAUUAACUAAAGCAUAUCGCCAUUAUUCACUAAGCAUUUAAAGCACAGUUCAAUCUUCACUUACCUUUAUCUGGUAUGCUAUCUUGAUAACUACUCAAAAUGAAUUGAAACAUGUGAGGGAAGCACUUUUUUUACUAUUGUAUGCUCUACCUCCAUAAGCGUAUCAAGACCGUAUUAUUAUCAGGUCUACAUAAUGGCAAGGUAGUCAUUACCUCAAAUCAACAUUCCCAAGUAUUCUUAGACUUGCAGCGUACCUUGGUACUACGUGACAUAUCAGUCACGAACAUCAACAUCACUAUAAAACUAUUAGCUCCUCGAGCUUUAAUGUUUUCUUGUUGUGAAAAAUCUCUCAAAUUUAUCUUACCAAGGUGUUCACAAGGUGGAUACAUGUUUGUAAUUUACUGUUCAAUGCCUAAAGUAGUGAACACAGUCUCAUCAUUAAAGUUCUACCUUUAUCUAUCAAUCAUAGCUCCCUUGCACAUUUACCUAUAUAUUGUUGGGUUACUCAAUAGCCACACAUGGCCAUCCAAAUUUCGACCUCUUAUAGCAAGUCAAGCUAAUAUAUUUUCUUAUGCUUUUUCAUACACUUCCAAAACAAUUAACCACUUUCUUUAAUAGGGUUCCAUUAAGAAUUUAAUCAAUUAAAGGCUUAUCUUCAAAGCCACUCAUAACUUUAAUCAUUCAUUGUAUGCCCGAUAACACUUUAGCUCACUAACCCCACUGGGCAUUAUUUUAAAACUCCCAAGGUAUUUGUGUUCUUAGUUCGGAUCAUACUAUCUAACUUAGUAUAAUUGCAUUAAUUACGGAUUGUUGUAGGGAUAAGAUGACCAAGAUAAAUGAAAUAGAUCAAAUAGAAAGUUUUGAUUUAUUAUAACUCACCUACACUGACAUAAAUAGACCAUGUACCCUUACUAUCUAUAGUCAUAGAUAUUUUGUGACAUUUAUUAAUAUUUUUUCUUGUUCUGGUUAUAUGUUCUUAAUUAAAGAAAAGUUUGAAACUCUUGAUAAGUUUAAGGUCUUUAAGACUAAAGUUGAGAAACAAUUAAGAAAAAUCAUUAAAACUGUCAAGUUAGACAAUGGUGGUGAGUAUUAUGGUAGACAUAACAUAAGUAGACAGCAAAGGUCAGUUUGCCAGUUGUGGAAUAGUGUAUUAGGACACUAUGUCUAGUAGUCCUAAACAAAACAGUGUGGCUAAAAUGCAGAAUCACACCUUUAAGGAUAUGAUGAGGAGUAUGAUUAGUAAGGCUAUUCACUAGAAUUUUUGUAAGAAGAAGCAGUCAAAAUAAAUUUGCAUAUCUUAAAUAAAAUCCCUAUCAAAUCUAUACCUAAAAUCCCUUUAGUUUUGGACUUGAUGGAAAUCUAGUUUUACUCACUUUUGUGUUUAGGGAUGUCCUUCAAAAGUGUGUAUAUCAUUUCACUUAUUGCUAUUUUAUUAGGAACCCAAAUCAUUCUUAGGAUUAUAAAUUUUGUUGCUCAAGAAAGGUGGUAAAGUUGUUAAAGUAAAAAACAACUAAGUUUCUAGAGUUACAUAUGACUAAAUAGUAGUUGUUCUCACAAUAAAGAUAAAGGAAAACAUAUUGAGACUGUCGUUACGUGUGGGUCUGAGAACCCGUCCGCCUAGAAGUGAAAAUUUUAAGAGUCAUCACUUAUCAUGAGCCAACCUUGUAUAGGGCUAUGACAAGGUAGAAUUACAUAAGUGAUUAAGUUUUUUGUACCUAUGAGGGAAAUGUCCCUUUUUUAAACAUUGUAAUUGCAUUUGGUGAUAGUUCUAGAAAUAUUUGUUAAGUCUUUAGGGGGAAGACCUUUUAGGAAGGGAUAUCCCUAUUUCACACAUUGUAGUGGCUGUUGGUGAAAUACUUGUAAAUCUUCGUAAACUCUUUGUAAGGGGUGAGCAGUUGACAGACUGUUGGGCUACUUCACUAGUAAAAAUAUGUUUAUAGCAAAUCAUCUAAGGCCGCCUCUAUGGCUCGACGAUGGCAUGUCUUGGUCCCUUUGUACUCAUUUUCAUAUUAAUAAAAAUUUUUUCUUAAUGUGGCUCUAGUGGUUGUGUAUAUGGCAUUUGGUAUGCGCUACGAUUUUGAAGUUUGUUGGCUUAAUCUAAUUUGUGGGUAUUGUUGAUAUUUAUUCAUAUAUAAACAAGUUAUUGGCUAGCUUGCAUGGAAGCGUCCAUUCAAGCGCUGACGGAUUAUCGCAUACUUUACCGAAGAAGCAUAGUUAGUGAUAGUUGGUAUUAGAGCACUGGAGAGACGUCUAAGUGAAAGAACAAAUAUGGUGACCAUGCAGAGUACACCAGAGGUCCAUCAGAGAAUUGAUGAGUUAGAGGCCGUAGUGGUCGCAAUAAAAGCUUAAAUAGUUUCGCGAGAACGGAUAGAUAAAAUUGAGAUAGUCUAGCAUGAACUGUUUGAAAUGAUAAAUACCUUGAGUGAGGAGACCAAGGAUUGGUUGAGCAUUCUCCAAGGCGAGUUUGGAGAAUUAAAAGCUCAAGUAAACCUCUUGAUUAUUGCUAUAGGUAAUAACAGUACAAACCUAGCAGAUCGAGGGAAAAUGGCUAAAAUGCUAGAGCUUAAGCGAUAUGAAAGGGUUAAAGAUGCAAAAGUGUUAGAGAACUUUCUUUAUGAUAUUGAGUAGUACUUUCGAGUUGUGCGUAUUGAGUUAGAGGAAGACAAGGUGGUGAUGGCUGAAAUGUAUCUUGUAGGGGAUGCCAAAUUAUGGUGACAUUCUAAAUUUAAAUUUAUCAAUGGUGAGUGCCACAUAUAGACGUGGGUAGACUUGAAGUGAGAAUUGAAGAAACAAUUUUUUUCUUGAGAAUGUAGAGUACAUGGCUUGGUGAAAGUUGAGAGAGCUUAAGCAAACCGAGUCAGUACAAUAAUUUGUGCAGAACUUCUAUACCUUAAUGUUAGAUAUUAGGGACAUGAUCGAGAAAGAUAUGUUGUUUUAUUUUCUCGAGGGUCUAAAGCCAUGGGCGUGGAUAGAGUUAUAGUGACAAAAGGUAUAGGACGUGGCUUUAGCAAUGGCGGUUGUUGAAUGACUUAUUGAUUAUUGUGAUAACUUUCAUAAAUGGAAGGACCUUUUAGUAAGAACUAGUAGCUUAAGCUCCAAUAGUGGGGCAAAAUUUUCAAGAGUUAGCAGACCCUCGAGUGGUGGAGGAGAAAGGAGACCACCUGCUCAAGACACACCACAACUAAGAACAACUAAGUCAUGAGGCUUCAAACCUUAGGCCUUAAUAUCUUGUUUUCUCUACAAUGAACCUCAUCGGAUAGUUGAAUGCCCACAUCGAGCAGCUCUUAAUGCGAUAUGUACUACUAAUGUAGAAGCACCUCGAGCCUAAAUCCUAAUUGAGGUAGUCAAAGAAGAGUCAGCAUGUAUAGGUUAUAUUCGGUUCUUCAGUGCACUACAAGUGCAAUUAGAAAAGAUGAAGAAAGAACCUCAACAAGGUCUCAUGUAUGUAGAUGUGUUGGUUAAUGAGAAAAAGACCAAAGCCAUGCUCAACAUAAAGGCCUCCGAUACCUUCAUCACCUUAGGAGAGGUAGAGAAAUAUGGUCUCAAGGUUGAGAAAGACUUCGAACAGAGGAAAACAGUUAAUUCGCUAGCUUCAGCUAUUGUGGGGAACUCUAAAGACGUAAAGGUUAAAAUUGGUUCUUGGGAAGGGAAGGUGAAAAUGACUUUAGCCACCAUAGAUGACUUGAUUUUGUCCUGGGCUUCGAUUUUAUGAUGAAAGCACAAGCCAUCCCAUUCCUUGCUGCGAGUUGUGUAAUGUUCUUCGGGGAACAACUAUGUCUGGUAUCGGCUGUAAUUCUACCUAAGAGUGGGAAGAGGGUUAUAUCAACUAUCCAGUUCAAGCAAGAAAAACUCUCAUAUGUGGCCAUGCCCAUCUACAAAGGUAGAGAUAGUACAUAUCCAAUACCCAGGGGAGUGAAGCUAGUUUUGGAAGAAUUUCAAGAUAUGAAGCCGGAAUAGCUACCUAAAGUUCUACCACCUUGACGAGUUGUUGAUCAUGAGAUAGAAUUACUCUUAAGCAUCAAGCUUCUUGUAAAAAGGCCAUACAAGAUGGCUCUCCUAGAGUUAGCGAAGCUAAACAAGCGAUUAGACGAGCUAAUUCAAGUCGGAUUCAUCCAACCAUUAAAGGCACCUUUUGAGGCCUCCGUACUCUUUUAAAAAAACCAAGAUGGGAGUUUGUGGUUGUGCAUGGAUUACCGGGCUUUGAACAAAGUAACAGUCAAAUUACUAAUGUGUGUGGAUUACUCAUUGUCAUAUCAAUAAAACAUUUUUCUUUAUGUGGCUCUAAUGGUCACGUAUAUGGCAUUCGGUAUGCCCUAUGAUUUCGAUGUGCAUUGCCUUAAUCUAAGUUAUGGCUAAUGUUGAUAUUUGUUUAGAUAGAAAUGAGUUAUUGGUUGGCUUGCAUGGAAGCGUCCACUUAAGUGCAGCAUGGAUUAUCGCAUACUUAAGCUAAGGAGCGUAAUUCAUGACACCACCAAUUAGUUUUUGUCUAGGUGUGAUUGGUCAUCUAUUUGAGUCUAUGUCUUUAAAAUGUUGUCUUUAGCUUAACUUGAGUUGAUUUCAAUGAAAUAGACUCUAGUUAACAAAACAAUGUUCUAGUUUGGGAGUACAGUUACACACAAGGAAGAUAUUAACACCCCCAUAACACCCGUUCAAAGAACAAUACCAAUUAAUCAUGUGUUAUCCUUACUUAGCCUAAAUUCUUGAUUUUAUCCUAUUUCCCUUAAUCAUUGUUUAUUGUUUCAUUUAUUAUAUUUAUUUUCAUUAUUAUCUUUAUUUUUGUUGACACAUGAAUGAAAUCCUUAUAUUGGAAAGCUCUCCUAAACUCUCCUAUCGUACUGGUGGAAUUUAGGAGGUUUUUCCCCAGUUAGAGAAUUCCUCAAGAAACUUAUCUUUUCAAGAUUUUUAAGAAGCUCCCAUCAUCAGGAUUAUCAUUCAAAUAUCAUUUUAGUAUUUUUUUUAUGCAUAUGAUGCAAUCAUGGAGUGGAUGACAUAAAUUUCGACUUCAUUAAAUAACAAAUGAAAACUUUUUAUUGAAAACAUUUCUUGAAUCCUUCCAUCAUACUAGUGAGGCUUAGGAAUAUUUUCUCACCUAGGGAACUCCUCGAGAAAGCUCUCUUUCUCAAGCUUCUCGAAGAAAUCCCAUCAUCAAGGUUUUCCCUCGUCUUUUAAAAAAAAAAACAAAAUGAAUGCAAUUCAUGAAUGAAUAUUGUUGAUACAUAAUGAGCAAAAUAAUUAUUAGUUGUUUAUUUUAUGUAUUUAUUUUAUUUCCAAAAUUCAUUAUUAUCCUUUUACCUUCAACAACUCUACAAUUUUUAACCUAUUUUAAAUAGUCAUUUUUUUAUUUUAGAAAUUUUUAUUUACUUAAAAUACAAGUACUUGAAUUAAGAAAUAUUGGAACAUAAAAUUAAGACUCUCCCAUCAUUCUGGUGGAGUCCUAAUCAAAUUCCUCACAUAGGAAAAUUAAUUCAAAAUUGUGAUUCUUCACAUUCCAAAUAAAAGUUCCAUCAUCGGCUUAAUUCAAAUUAAUCAUAUUUAAUUAUAUAAUUUCAUGCUAACUACACUAAUGAAGCAUUACAAAAUGAAAUAGACUUAAAAUAAAAAAGAGUCUAAGAGACUCACCUUUAGUGGACUAGGUAAGAACCCACUAUUGGGCUUUCACGAGUUUGGGCCCUUAUCCUCUUCUUUUUCCCUUUUUUUUUUCACUGAUCUUUUUCUUUUGGACCAUCUCAUUCUUUUCCUUUUCUUCCCUUUUUUGUUUUUGAAUAUUCUUUCCACUUGGGCUUCACCUUUUAGGCUAUCUCAUUCUUUUCCUCUUAUUUUGGUUUUGUUUCUACUUGGGCUUCACCUUUUGGGCUAUGUCAUUCUUUUCCUUUUUUUUUUGGGUUUUAUUUCUACUUAGGCUUCACCCUUUGGGCAGCCCACUUUCCAUUUUUCUUUCUUUUCUUCAUUCCUUUAUCUUUUCUUUCCUUUUUCUCUCUUCUUUCUAAGAAAAAAAAAAAUCAACCACUCUCACCAUCUCAAAUUUCGACUAGUGUCCACUAUCUAUACCACCACUAAUCGUUGCUCAUCGAUGUCGAAAAAUUCCCCUAAAAAACCUUUCCUUUUCUCCUUGAUCUAAAAAAACGAGGCUAAAAAAAGUCUAGAUCUAUUAUCAACUAUCGUUCCUUUUUCACCCAAACAAAUUAUUUUUCAUUUUCCUCUCCACCUUCUUUUCCUUUUCACUGAUUAAAAUUUCCAAGAUUUUUCAUUUUUUUCUUUGGUUUCUGAUUGUCUGUUUGUGUGGGUUGUUGACUGCUAUAGACUAGGGGUUUUUUUUUUUCCUUUUUUGGGUUUCUUUCAUGGUUUAGAAGCGAGUGAUUGUAUUUUUUUUUUCAAGCCAAAGAAGGUUCUUCCUUCUAUUUUUGAUCUUUUUAGAUUCUUAUAGAAUCUGGUUGUCCAAUCUUUUGGAUAAUAAGGAAGGAGCUAAUCAUGCGUUUUAGGCUAAAGGUGGGUUGGAGAAAGAGCCGAGAAUAGCUUUAGGCAGAGAAGGGAGGUAGUUAUUUGAAGGGCUGCUUUUGAAAUUUUUAUUUUUUUCUUUAUUUUUUUUUGUUUUUUGGAAAAUUUUAAUUUUUUUUUGGGGUUAGGGUUCUUCAGGCUUUGAGAUUUAAAAGCCUAGAGAUCUAAUAAGAAAUUAAACUUAAGGUGUCUUUGGAUUAAAAAAACCCAAACUAGUCAGAUCCAUAUCCAACAUGACCGAAUAUUAAAUAAAUAAAGGCUAAUAAAUGAAACAAAAUAAAAAUAAAAUAAAUAAUUAAAAAAUGAAAAAAGAAUCCCUUAAAUUGGCUCGAACAAAAUAAGGUGUCUAUAAAGAUUUAUAUAUCCCUAUUCCAAUAUAAAAGGAUAAUAUGACACAUACACCAAUUGGGAAACAAGAUAUAAGUUCAACUAGUUCUUGAUAAGGUCCCUUAACACUAAAAUGUUGUAUAAUAGAUGCCACAAAGAAGAUCCAUAAAGGUAAGAAAGUAUGCUCUUUCCUUAGACAUCUAUGAAUUUUAUCUUUAAGAGGGUAAUUAUGAUAUUGACCAUGUGAUACAUCUAGUAGCUUUUCUAUGAGUUGUUUUAGGUCUUAAAUUAGAUCUGUGGUGAGAUGCAAUGUGGGAUAAGAUACAAUUCUAUGUUAUACAUUGGUUUAUGUAAGCUUGUUGAGCUAAGUAAUGGUUGUGAACUCAUUAGUUGUAAACAAGUAUACAAGACCAAGAAAAGAUUUUAAAAGAAAGAUUGAGAGGCUUAAAGUCAAGCUGGUUGCCAAAGAUUUUAAUUAGAAUUAAACUUUUUUUUUGUUGUAUCCCACUAAGAUAUUGUUUAGAGUAUUUAUGGCAUUAAUAGCUCAUUAUUAUUUAGAACUACAUCAUAUAAAUGUUAUGAUUGCCUUUCUAAUUGGGAAUCUUAUUAAAAAGGUCUAUAUAUUGCAACCUAAAGAAUUUAAAGAAAAUGAUAAAGAUCAUCUUGUGUGUAGACCUAAAAGUCUAUAAAUGGGUUUAAACAAGUUUCUCGGUAGUGAUAUCUUAAAUUUGAUGAAGUAAUAACCUCUUUUGAUUUUGUUGAGAACAAGGUAGACUAAGGCAUAAAUUUUAAGAUCAAUGGGGAGCAAGUUUAUUUAUCUUAUUUUGGAUGUUAAUGAUAUCUUACUUGCUAAUUACGUUUAAGGAAUUUGACAUGAAAGAUCUUGGGAAAGUAUCUUAUGUCCUUAGGAUUGAAAUUCAUAAAGAUAUUUCUCAUCACUUGUUAGGGCUUUCUCAACAUGCAUGCAGUGGGUUUUUUUGGGAAGAUAUUUAUCGAAUCUCAUUAGAGAUCAUUAGGAAGUUGUAGAGAAUGUGAUGAGAUAUUGGAAUAGAACUAAGGAUUAUAUAUUAGUUUAUAAAAAGUUUAAGACCUUAAACUUAAGGGUCAUAGAAAUUCUAACUUAACCAACUAUUUAGGUAAUAAGAAGUCCACCUCAAGAUAUAUUUUAUGUUGGCAAGUGGUGUAUAAUCUUAAAAAAGUAUAAAGGAAACACUUGUGACCUCAUUCAUUGUGCAAGCAAAAUUUUUUAGCAUGUUGUGGCGUAGCUACAUAGGCUUUCAAGUUAAGAAAUCUCAUUAAAGAAUUGUUGGUGGUUGACUCUAUUGCUAGACCCAUACAAUUGUUUUGUGAUAACAUUGCAAUGGUUUUAUUACUACUAAUAAUAAAAGUAUCACAAUAGUUAAGCAUAUAGAGAUAAAAUAUUUGACAAUUAAAGAAUUUGUAGAAAAAUGUGACAUUUUAAGAAACUAUAUUUAUACUAAUGAUAUGAUUGUUGAUCCUUUGACUAAAGGACUGCGCCUUAUCAAUAUUAAGAAACAUAUUUUGACAUGGGUUGUGAAGUUUAUUGAUGUACUUGGUUAGUGGGAGGAUUUGAGAUUGUUUUGUGCUUUGUGCAUAAUUGUUUGGAACACAUCCUUGAUGAUGUGUAUGGUUUUUUUUUGAAUAAUGAUUAUUCAAUUAUAUUCAGUCAUAAAGAUUUUAUGUACGUAUAUACAUAUUUGCAUCUAUGAAGACUUAAGAUGUGUCAGUCUUAAGCAUACGUUGGGACAUAAAUUUACAACCUUAAGAGUAUGUCUUUAACACAUUUAGUAUAUCUUGAGAUAAGUAAGGCAGACAUAAAAGUUUACUAAAUAAACCAUAAAGUAUUUCUCUUGUAAGCAUGGGCUGCAUAAAGUGACUAACAAAUGAAUAAACACAUGAAUAUAGAUCAUUAAGAAAGUGUUGUUAUUCAUUGUUAUACUUGUCAUAACGUAUGAGUCUUAAAACUCAACCUUUUGACAUAAAAGAAGUUGCCAUCAAUCUUUUUUGUUUAGGUGUGAUUGACAACUUAAUUGAAUCUUUUUUCUAAUGAGGUCUUAAGCUUGACUUAAGUUCAUUAAAAAAAUAUGUUCCGGUCUACGAAACUGAUUAGGUUCAAAAGUACAAUUAUGUGUAAGGAAGGGAUUAGCGCCCUUACAACACCCAUUAAAAAUGGUACCUAAUUAAUUAUGUAUUUUCUUUUUAGCCUUAAUAAAUUAAUUUAUUUUGAUAUCCUAGUCUAUUUCCUUUAAUUAUUUCUCCAAUUAACUUUUAUAAAGAAAAUGUGCUUUAAUAUUGAAAAUUCUUCGUAAAUUCUCAAACCCUUUCGGUAAAAUUUAGAAAGAUUUUCUCGCCCAAAAUUUUUUAAGAAAGUUAUCCUUUAUAACAUUAUCAAAAUUCCAUCAUCAGAGGACUUCCAUUUAUGUUAUAUUAAACAUUCAUUAUGAAAUUAUAUUUACAAAAUCUAUCGUAUUUAUUUAUUUAUGUUCUUAUUAAUUAUUUAUAAAUAACCCUUUUUGGUAAAAAUAUAUGGGAUUACCCCCAACCCUUAUGGUAAGGUUCCAUAAUUAUUUUUACUUUGAAAAUUUUAAGAAAAAUUGUCCGUUACAACUUUGCUUAAAAAUUCCAUUUACAAGAUUUUUUUUAAAUAAUUACAAAUCGUUGCUAGUUUUUACUUUUAUAAUUUUAUUUUACCAACUAUGGUGAUGAAAAUUUCAUUUUAACCUAAUUAUGGCCUAAAACAAAAUGUUAUUUUUAUUAUUUUAUGUAUUUUUAUUAAUACCAAUAACAAAAUAAAUAACAAGAAAAUAAACAUAAACAAAGUAAGAUGAAAGUUUAAGCCAUACCUAGUUGAUGGAAGAAAAUUUGAAUGGGAUUGUGCCUUGUCCAAUGCAAUCCACAAUCAAGUAAUCCAAAGACCCAAAUGAAACGGGCUUGGACAAUAAACUAACCAUCCCAAAAACCAAAGCAAACCUAAGUAAGUUAGCCCACAGCCAAAACCAAGCCUAAAUAUUUGAGUUUCCUUCCUUCCUUUCUCUCAAACAUUUUUUUUCUUUCACCAAGACAUCAUUGGCCGCCCUUCAUCGAUGCCAAAAUCUCACUGAAAUUCACCCCCAAAACCCCUUCAAGCCGAUUUAUCUUUUAAUCGGACUCGUUUUUUUCUAAAACUUCCCCGAAAUUCCUAGAUCUAAAUCUAAAAAUUUCAAAACCUAAAGAAAACAAGAACACUUUUUUUGCUCAUUUUUCUUUUGUAAUUUUUUUUUCACUUUUUUUCUUCCCUCCUGUUAUUGUGUUUUCUUGGGGUUUUUAUAGGUCUUUCUUAAAUCUUUUUUUAAUACUGGAAAUUCUCGCAAGGCCCACCUACCUUGUAAUCAUUUAAUUAAUAAUGGGAAAAAUUAAGUACAUAGGGGAGGUGGACAUAAUCCGAGCUUCCAGAAUUACAUGAGUUUGAGGAGAAUUAAGAGAAUUUCCUAAAAUGGAGUGUCUCAUUUUACGUGCAUAUUUAUGAGCACAAUCAUAAUAUUGAAACACUUCCAUAUUACAAGAAUCUAAAUAAUCUACUAAGUAAAAAUAGCAAAAAUAAAUUAGGAGUACUACUCCUUUAUAAUUAUUUGAAACGAACAAAAGGUAAAUUUAUUUUAUCUAAUUGAAGAAUACCUUUGAGCUUACCUUCGACUUGUGACACUACAUGCAGGUUUUGGUGCAAAUGCCCUUGAUUUGAGAGAUGAUCUGCAGCCUGGUUUCCUUCUCUAAGAAUGUGCAAAAUCUGAUAAGUAAAAGCAUUCAAGCAUUUACGGAUGGAUGCCAACAAGUAUCUAGUUUGGGAGGACCCUUUAUGUUUCGCAUGUAUCAUUUGUACUACUGCUUUCGCAUCCAUCUUUAUCCAAAUUCUAGACACAUUGUACUCAAUACAUAAAAGCAAACUUCUAUGUUACGCCAUUAACUCUGCUUGUAAUGAAUUAUAAGGUCCAAAAUUUUCAGAAAACCUAAAAAUCAUGGCACCUGUAUGAUUUCGAAGAAGUCCACUACCAGCAGCACUUUGACAAUUAUGUUUGGAACUACCAUCAACAUUUAACUUAAACUCACCUGUUAAUGGUUGAUGCCAAGAGAAUAUUUUUGGCAGAGGUGGGAUGUUUGCUGAACCAUAAAGUCCCACGCUUUAGCAAUCUGUACAUCUCCCCUCCAUUGCCAUUGUUUGAACUACCUCCCUUGGAAUAAUUGGUUAAUAAGUUUCAAAAUUUGCCACACCACUCUGUUCGAGCACAUGCCUAAGUUUUUAUGCUUUGCAUCAUUACGUUCAACCCAUAGAAACCAAAAAAUAAAUAGGGGUAUUAAUGUGCGAAUGUGCCCUUUUUUUGCAUAAUCACUAGAGUACAACCAAGCCCAUAUAAUCUGAGAAGCAUUAUUAAGGUGAGUAAUGUAGAUCUGGAAGAAUUUUGCAAAAAAAUUCCAAACCUGUGUAGCUAUAGGACAUUCCCACAUGACAUGUAAAAGCUAUUCCUCAGAGUUGCAAUAUUGACAUUUGGAGGUGAGUUGGAAUCCUUUAAUUUUCAACCUCAAAUCAACUGGAAUUCAAUUCUGUAAUAAUCUCUAUAGGCAAAAAGUAGUAAGAGGAAUGCAUUUAUGCCAAAUUAAAUUAAAUACAGAGUUUACCGAAUCUCUUUGCCGAAUUAUCUCCCAUGCUGACUUAGUAGUGAAAUCACCAUCUGAAGUGGGGACCCAAUAUGCCACAUUUGUUAUAGAUGUGUUAAGUGGAAUUUUCAGAAUUUCGGCAACCAUUUCCUCUAGGAGCACAGUAUUCAACUUAUCCACAUCCUAUUCAUUAUUGUUAAAGAAAUAAUAAACUUGUGUUAUAGAUGAUGAAAAUGCAGGGAAAUGGUUAAUCAAUGGUUCAUCACCCAUCCAACAAUCAUGCCAAAAGAAUAGCUCACCUUUCCCAAUCUUCCACUGCAUUUGUUGUUCCAUAAUCGGACAGCAAGCUAACAUUCAUUUCCACUUUUGCGAAUCAUGGCGUUUCGACUAAGUGUACCUUAGUAUUCUACCACAACAGUAUUUAUCCCUCAUGAAUUUUGACCAAAUGCUGUUACAAGUCUAGAAUCUCCACCACAGUUUCAUACUAAAGGCCUUAAACACAUAUCCCAAGCCUUGAAUAUCUAACCCACCUUCAAAGGAUGGGAGAGUAAUCUUAUUCCAAGCUGCCCAAUGAAUUUUCUUGGAGCUUGCCGAACCCCCCCAUAAAAAAUUAUUAAAUAAUCGUUCAAUUUUUUCAAUAACACAAAUAGGGGGCUUUAGGACCUGAAGCAAAUAAAUGGGCAAAGAAGAUAAAACACUUCUUAACAAAGUAAUUCUACCACCUAGGGAAAGCAUUUUAUUUUCCCACCCUGCUAUACGUGCCUGUAUCUUUGUCACAAGAUCAUAAAAAAGAAUUACCUUUCUCGGCUCUUUAUAUAUAGGUGCCCCCAAAUAUGUAACCGGGAGAUAUUUGUGAGAGAAUCCAGUAGUCUAAGUAAUGAUUUGUCUUUUGGAAUUAGCCACAACCUUGUGCGUAAUGAAGCAACUUUUUUGAUGAUUUAUUCGUUGUCCAAAAAUUGCCUCAUAUUCCUGUAAAAAUGUUAAAAUUUUCUGCAAUGUAGAUUUCACACCAUUAGUAAAUAUAAUCACAUCAUCCACAAAAGCCAAGUGACUUACUUGUGACUUACUUGCAUUGAACAUCCCGAAAAAUACUGAAUGGAAGGAUAUUGGGCAAACAAGGCAUUUAAGCCUCGAGAUAAAUAUUCCGCUACCAAAAUGAAUAAUAAAGGAGAAAUGGAAUCCCCUUGCCCAAGCCCCUCUCUGAUUUAAAAUACCCUAUAGUGCUGCAAUUUAUCAAUAAAAAAAACUAACAAUUGGAGAUGCAUCGUUUAAUCAUAUCAAUCCACUGAGAGCUAAAACCAAAUUACUGUAGCAUUCAAUAGAGAAAAUUCCAAUCAAGUCGAUCACAAGCCUUCAUCAUAUCAAGUUUAAGAACCACAUUACCUCCACGAGCCUUCUUGUCAAUCCUCCCUAUUAAUUCUUGAGCCAAUAAAAUAUUAUCACUGAUCAAUCUACCCCCAACAAAGCCACUUUAAUUGUCUGAGAUAAUGGAAGGGAGUACUUUUGCAAGCUGGAUAGCCAAAAUCUUAGUAAUAAUUUUGUUCAACGUAUUACAAAGACUUAUUGGCUGAUAUUCACUCCAUUUUGAGGCUUGAUUAUUUUUGGGCAAAAGGACAAUUGUUGUAGAUGUGAUUCCCCGUGGAAGUGCCGCACCUUGAAAAAAAUCCACUACUGCAUCCAAGAGAUCAUUUGCCACAAUAUCCCAGCAUUGUUGGUAGAAAUAUGAAGAAAAGCCAUCAAGGCCUGCCACGCUGUCUUUGUCAAUAUUAAAAAUUGUCUCCUUCAGCUCAGUCAUAGUUGAUACUGAACAUAAAUUAGCAUUGUCAGAUUCGGAAAUGAGGGAAGGAAUUAAGGAAUCAUUAAACCUGGCCAUUUCAUUCGGUUCACUCUUCAUAAGAGAAGAAAAAAAUUCAACAGCAGAGGCCUUCACAAGAUCCGGAUUGUCCGCCCAGCUCCCAUCAGAAUUUUGUAUCUUGAAUAUGUGGCUUUUUAUUCUCUUCUUUUUAACUCUCAUAUAGAAGAAUUUAGUGUUACGCUCCCCUUCCACCAACCAUUUAAUUCCUGAUUUUUACUUCCAUAAUGAUUCCUCUGCACUAAGUUGAAGAUUAAGUUACGCAUAAGCUUUGUUCAUGGAUGCUAGGUUUUCCACUGUCUGCUCCUGUUGGAACCGCAUUUCACAGCCUUCAGCUCUUUUUUCUGCCUGCUUCAAAUUGUGGAAUAUAUCUCUAAAGACUGUUUUAUUCCACCAUUUCAAAUUCUUUUUUAAACAUAGUUGCUUACCCAGAAGGCCACUAUACCCGAACCACUGCUCAGCUGGUUCCAGAUCUUCUCCAUAAAAUUUUUAAAGUCAUGAUGAAGCACCCAUGCGUGCAAAAAUCGAAAGGAAGAAGGCACUUUGGUUUGGGUCCUUGAGCACGAUAUUGGGAGCGGACAAUGAUCCGAACCAUUUUUAUUUAAGUACUGAAUUCUUGUUAUGGUGAAGAAUUUCACCCAUUGAUGGAUAUAAACCAUUCUAUCCAACCGUUGAAACAUAAGGUUUUUUGUCCAUGUGAACAGGUUGCCUUUAAAGCCACCAUCUAUCAAACCACAGUCCAAUAAUGCUGUUGCAAAGUCUUCCAUUGCACCACCAUGUGGCUCAGCCCUAAAUAACCUCUAGUCUCUAUUCAAAAUGACAUUAAAGUCACCACCCACAAUCCAGGGAAGUUGGAUACCCUGGGCUAAGCUUCUUAAGCAAUUCCAAAGCAAAACACGUUCGGACUGAUGCAUUUUGCAUAGACAAAAGAAGCAUAGAAAGGCAGUUCUAGCCACGACACAGAGAGUUUUACAUGUAAACAUUGCACAUGAUCUAGCAUAACUUCACAGUUUACAUCAAAAGAGUGAAAGAACCAAAUUUUAUGAAAACAAUUUGUAAAAACUUUUUCAAACCCCAUUUUUCUUCUAAAAUAAUCAGCCUUUGUCACCUCAACCAUGGGCUCCAGAAUAGCAAGAAAUUUAAUUUUAUGCAUGAGCUGUAGCUUUUUGAUUCUUCGUUGUAUAACAUUACCUGAGAUUCCUCUCACCUUCCAUACAAGUGCACUGAUCAUGGAUAAGGUCUGGCAGGAAAGCACACUGAGAUGGAAUCAUUAUUCGGAUCACCAUCUGUUUCCCCCAUGCAUACUGCAUCCUCCGAGGCUGAGCUGACCGUUCUCCCAAGUGGAACUGCACCUUUAGAAUUUCUCCUGUACCUCACCCGAAGAUGAACAUCCAGCUAACCAUAACGCAUUCCUGUAUGUAAAGGAAUAUUACUCAAAUCUUUAUCACACAGAUACUUACCCAUACCCCGAUCCAAGUUUGACCGGUUUGCCUCUCUGCCUUGCAUGUUUUCACGUAUGCAUGCGGUUGUUGAAACAGCUACUAUAUUUCCACCUGAAUACUCAGUCUCUAACUUAUCAUCCUCCCCUUAUUUACUUCUUCCAAGCUGAUUCAUUUCGUCAUCCACCAGAGACAUAUUUUCCCCACUUUCUUCCAUUAAAUCAUCACUCGGUAAUGUAGGAACCAUCACCAUACGUUGACCGUCUGAUCUAGCAAGAUCAUCACCAUAUAUAGUCGAUUCCAUGACCUCACCACCGGCUUCCUUUUUUUCUUCUGUUUUUGAUCCGCAAUAUUCCGUGCAGUCGCCACUCUUUCCAUAGUUUCACCCUCAAUCCUCUUACUGUCAUCAGCUCUUACAUGAAAAGUUUCUGGGCCUAAUGUCGCAGAAAACAUUGUUUCUCUGUCUUCUGUGACCCCUUUAGACAGAUUCUGAUCCCCAUGCACAUGGUCAGAUUCCUGUAGCACCCUCUCCGGCUCAAUAGUCAUUGUGGUGAGUGUAGCCACCUUGUCAAGUGCAACCGGUUGCUCUUCAUUAUCAUUGAAGACCUUAUUGCCCAUUCCUUGACCAUCUGCCUCCUCAUCAAUCUCAACUUCCUCACCUUUUCACCCUGAAUCUUCACCAAGCGGCUCAUUCAAACAAGUUUUCUUUCCCGCUGAAUCAUUGUUCAUAUACUCUGUUUGCCCCUGUUUUUCAAACCGAUUUUGUACUCCAUCUUCCUCCCCCGAGAUCGUAUUAAAUCUGUUAAAAAUAGGAACAUUGGCAUCCUUGGAACCCUGAUUUGAUCUGAUUUCCUUGCCUUGCAGAUCCUUAACUCCACUUAUACCUACUUUACCCACUACUUGCCAUCGCAGAGACUAUUUCGCUGGUUCUUCUCGGCGCUGAUUUUCUUCUUUUUCCAGAAUUCUUCCAUUACCUCCUUCAAACCCCGCAACCUUCUCCACAUCUUCGGAUCCUGUUGGUGGCGCAAUAGAAGACUUUUCAUUACCCUUAGGCUGCGGUUUACUCGAUCCCGAUUGCCUUGGCUUAUUCCUCAACACAAUACAUUCUGCUUCUUCAUGUCCCACAUGACAGCAAUGUAAAUAGUAGUUCGACAUUGUUGAAAAUUCCAGCCUUUGCGAAUAGCCGCUAGUCACCAUGCCUAUAUUUCUAUUAUGUAUUACGAUCCAAACGUGAUCCACUGGAGGCUUCUUACAAUCAUUCUCGACACAUACACGAGCCACACUCGAUCGAGACCCCUUUUGCUGUGGCCUUAUCUACAAAUAGAGGCUUCUCAACUGUCUUGGCAAUCGAAAGCAGAGUCGAUUUCUCGUACAGGUGUGCCUUCAGAUUCGAAAACGAGAUCCAUACUGGUACUAUAGGGGAUUCCUUUUCCGCUUCAAACUUCAGAGACCAUUUGAAGAUCCGCAUUUUCUGGUUAGCAAUGAACCAAUGCUGUCUUGUCUAGAUGCGGUUAAAAUCUUGGUCAUUUGACAAUUGAAUAAUGACAUGUUUAUAGUCCAACCAUUUGAUCUCAUAGGCACCAGCAAGGUCGAUCCUUUGAAUGCAGUUCUGAUAUCUUGGAGUUUCGACGUACCUGAGAACUUACCCAGCAGACAAAGACUAAAAGGCUGUGCUAAAGUCCUGAUUUCAUCCUCAAAAAACGCAUUAGCAGGCCGAUCCUUAUAUACCAUGGGAUCUCGGUCCAAGGGAAUCAUAGGGGGUUUUUCUCCUUUGGCAAUAGACACAAAGGAUUUUCGUUGAAACCUAGGAGAGGUUGGCGGCUGGCUCUGAAGGUCAAAAGCUUGUGGGCCAUCAUUGUUGAUUGGCUGCACAUGACUUUUGGCUUCAGCAGUGAGAUGCAUGGGUCUCGACUGCAAAGAGGGGAAAGAACCAAUUGGCAACGGAUUUGGCGACUGACCAGCAGCCAUCCCGUGAGGGUUAGGGAGGGAGGGAGGGAGGGGAAUUGUAAAAGGUUGAGAGCGUUUUUUACUUUUUUUUUUAAAUUAAUGUUUAUUUUCUUAAAUCUUGAUUUAAUUGUAAAUCUUUGAUUUUAUUUUUCCUGAUUUGAUUUUAUUUCGUGCAAGGAUUUUUUUGUAUAACAUCUUCUGAUUUGUAGGAUGAUUUUAGGGAUUCCAUUGAUCAUUUCUUUUUUUAAUUAAUCUUUUUUUCUUUUAAUUUCCCCUUCUUUUUUGUUGUUUUUUUUUUGUCAAAUUUUCUGAUUUUGAUUUGCUUUCCUUUUUUAUUUUUUUGAUUUUUGUUUAUGUGUUUUUACCUUACUUUUAUUGUUUGUGGGCUUACCAACCCAAUACCAUUUCCUUAUUGAAUUUUGAUCCAUUUGGAUUAUAAACCCAUCAUUCCUAAGGUCCAAAAAUUAAUCAAAAUAAAAAUGAAAAAUAGACCAAAAAUAAAAUAAAAAGAAAAAAAGAAAAAAAAAAAUAAAUAAAUAAACUAAGUUAAAUCCUGAACAAAUAUGGUGUCUACAAUACUACCACAUUGAGUUCAUGUUGAUAAAAUUGAGUAGUAAUGUGAUUAUAGUUGGUGUUAUAUCUAUGUAGAUGUAGUUAUUGCUAUUUUUCUAUAUCAAAAAAUGUUAUUGGACAGAAUGGUACUUAGAAUAAUCUCAAGAUCAAUUUUUUUUGUAAAAUUGGGCCUAUAAAGUUUUUGGUUGUCUUAGCCUAUGAGCCAAUUUCAAGAAAUUUGCUUUUUAAAAUUUAAAAUUAAAUAAUGUAGUCUAGUGGGAAUAUUGUUAGAUUUUCUAUUAAAUUCAAUGUGUGGACUUACAUUAUUUAUUUUUUUCAUUUUAUCAAAAUAAGGCUAAGAUAAUUUGAUCUUGAAAAAAGGAUAAUAUUAUAGUCCAUACUAUGAUUUAAUAAAGUCGGCUAGACUCGAAUGUUAUUUGUGGGCUUAAAAGUGUAGGCCUAUGUAGGAUGUCACGAGGCCACAUUUUCAACCAAAAAGACAUGUUGAUAUGUGGUGGAAGGCCCAUGUUUAUAUACCUAAGACCUACCCCAUUUCUUAUUAAUGUGAGAUCUAUGACAUUUUAUCCCACCCAAUUGUCCAACGCCCUCGUUGCUCUCGUUACAUUAGCUCUUUACCCAUAGAGGAUAAGGACUCUUACACUAGUUCGAGUCUAUCUCGAUCUUUGUAUAUCUCAUGAGGCCCCACAUCAGUGAAGAUUCAGAUUUGCUCUGAUACCAUUUGUGAUGGGCUCAUAUUUUCAACCCAAAAGACAUGUCUAAUAAGUGGUGAAAGACCCAUGUUUAUAUACCCAAGACUCAUCCCAUCCCUUAUUAAUGUAGGAUCCAUGAUAUAGGAAAUCUUGAAUCCUAUGAUGGGUGGGAUUAAUGAUUCACUAUAUAAAGGAAAGGCUAGGUCUCCUCUCUUGUCUACAAUAACAUAAAGAUCUCAACCAUUGGAGAGUCAUAAGAAAAAAAAGAAAAAGAUACUAGCGCAUUAAGUAUCAACAGUAAAUCUGAUCAAUAUUAUUUUCGCUGUUAAAUUAUGAAUCAGAUAUCAAGUAUACUUUGUGUUCUAAAUUCCUACUAUGUUAGAUUUUAAAUUAGUAUAAAAUUAUUUAUUCAUAAAAUUUAUCAUAAAUACUCUAAUUCGGCUACACUUGCUACUGAAAAGAUUAGAGAUUGAGCUUAACUGCAUGAUAAUACAAAAUAGGUUCAAUUCAAGUAUUCGUCUAGAUGAUUCACAUAACCUCACUUAAUUUACAUCCCAUAAUUCUUAGAGUUGUAAACAAUUUUAUAAAUGGGCAGAGCUAGCCAACUUUUGUUCGGGGGGGCCAAGACAAAGGAAUAAGGGUUAAAAAUUUUAAACAUUAAUAUGUUAGACUUAACCAACAAUUAAAUGAUUGAUAAUAGAAAUAAUUUUAUAUAACAUGUAAAUCAAGAAAAAAAGGACUUAUAAUAGUCUUCUAGGAAAAUUGUACUCGACCAUGCUUCUUGGAUUCAAAUUCAUCAAUUAUUGAUUAUGCAUUGAAAAACAUCCAUUUCUUUAAGAUUGAGUCUUGGAUGUUUUGAUUUACAUUACUCUUAUUCAUGAGUUGAAGCAUUGAGGAGAAUCAUUUAGAUGAUUUGCAUACUGUUUUUAAAGAAUUUGCCAAUUGUUUUUAACUUACUUACACUUAAUCAAACCCAAAAAAAAAAAAAUGAAUGCAGUCAACAUCCAAUAUUCCUAUUUAACUUAUAAUACUAAAUAUAAAACUAUAAUGUAUAAUAUAUAAAUAGUUAAAUAUGAUAUACAAGAUUAAUCAGUUUCUCUUAUAUAAUCAGGAUUGUUUAAAGACUAUAUAUCUAUGAUAAUUUCCUUUCAACUAAAUAGAAGAUGUAAAGCAUAUAAAAAAGAUAUACUCAAGAUAGUUUCCUCUUACAUAAUUUGGAUUAAUAAAAAAAUGAUACAUUGAUAAAAUUUUAAACAACAGUGCAACGUUACAACGUAUAUUUGAGAACUAAAUGAUAAUUUAUUAAUUUUUAAAGAUUAAAAUCAUAGAAAAUAAAAUCCAUGUAAUAAAAAAAAGAACAUAACAAGUAAAAGAUAGAACCUAUAUAUGAUAUAACAAAAAAGAAAGAAAAAUAAUAUAGUUUAUAGUUCGUAGAAAUUUAGAGAAGAAAAUUAAUAGAAACUUAGAACAUAUAAACAAAUAGAAUAGAAAUGAAAAAAAAUAAACAAAUAAAAAUAAAAAUUAGAUAGAAUAGAAAUGAAAAAAAAAACAAAUAUAAAUAAAAAUAAUAAUAUAAAUUGAAAGAAAAAACUUUAAAGUUGAGUUAGGCAUGUGGGAUAUUUUGUUAAUCUUUAUUUGUAUUAAUUAUUAAAAAAAAUUAUUUUGAGGAGGUCAUCAAGAAUAUAUAUAAAAAAUUUUAAAAAUUUUAUAUGAUACAGAAAAAAUUUUAAAAAUUUUGGGGAGCCACAACUUGUCACAGGCAGCAACUUAAGCCUAACCCCAUGCGACUUUAAGCUUUGAAAUAGAGAUUAAAUAACCUAUAAAUCAUGGACCUAUUUCCCAACUCAAAAAACAUGCUUGAUAGGUGGUGGAAGGCUCAUGUUUAUAUAUCCAAGAUCCAUCCUAUCUCUUACUGAUAUGGGAUCUGUGACAUUCUACUUCAUCCAAUUGUGUAAUGCCCUCGUUGCACUGGCUCCUCACACAUUGCCUCUUUCACUUUCUAGAAGGGUUGCUGGUUCAUUGUAUUCCACUCUCAUGCCUUUCUCUGCCUUAACAUGUCAAUUAAUGGUGCAGUGAUAGAAGAGUAGCCUCUAACAAAUCUUUGAUAAUAAUUAGCAAGGCUUAAAAAUGAUUGAAGUUCGUUACCUUAGUGGGAGGUUCCAAAUGAAGUAUGGCCUUCACUUUGUUUGGGUCCAUUCAAAUCCAUCCACCAAUAAUAAUAUGUCCUAAGAAAAGGUAACUCUUGAAGGGUAAAGGUACACUUCUCUUUCUUCAUGAACAAUUCAUUCUCCCUUAAUGCCUUCAUCACUUGUUUAAGAUGUACCAUAUGCUUCUAUAGUGUUUUGCUGUAAAUGACAAUGUCGUCCAAGUAUACAACCACAAACUGAUCGAGAAAAGGUUGUACAUUACCAAAAAACAGGCUUUUUCCAAUGGAAUUUUUUGUUGAAAAAAGGUAAAAUUCCAUUGGAAAUACCUUUUUCAACAGAUUUUCAACAAAAAAAUACGUUGAAAAUUUUGUCGAUAAAAGCCUCAUCGGUAAUGCUUUUCGUUGGAAAUCCGUUGAAAAUUUUCAACGAAAAAUUUCGUUGGAAAAAAUGCAUAAUCUGUUGGGUAUCCCAUUGUGAUUCCGUUGGAAAUUUCCAACGAAAUUCCUUUGGAAAUUUCCAACGAAAUUCCUUUGGAAAUUCUUUUCAAACGGAAUUUCAUUGGAAAAUAAAUUCUGACUGAAAAUUCCAUCGAAAAUGAUUUUUCAACGAAAUUUCAUUGGAAAUUUCCAAAGAAAUUUCGUGUUGGAAAUGGUUUUCCAAUGGAAAAUUCCUGUCACGACCCAAAUUUCGAGCCAUGACUGGCGCAUGGGCCCAAUGGACAUAGUCCACUAAGUCCAAGCAAGCCUAUCAAUUUAUCCUACUCCUCAUUCCAUCAAAUAUUGCUAAGUCACGAAUUAUAACUUUAAAUUAAAAUAGUAAUAGACAUUUCCAACUCGUAUUGGCAUUACUCAUUUAAAAUAUACAUACAUCGUCUAUAGCAUGUUUCUUAAUAAUUUACAUCAAGUUUGUCUAUACAUCUCAAAAAGAAGACUCGAUUUCCAACGGAGGGACUUAGACGAAUGUACAGCUACUGAAUACCGAGAAACCUACCAAAAGAUGUGUACAAGUCUAUAAGGACACCUUAUCCUAGUUAUCGGCUGCCUCGUGAUCUGAAACAUGAAGUUGAAAAUGGUGAGUAUAAACCCAGUGAGUGAACAAGGAAGGGAACAAGCAUACCAUAAGGAAUCUUUAAUGAAAUCAUGAUGCAUUCUUUUUCAAAACAAUGUAAUUUGUUUCGAUUCUUACUAAAAACCCCUCACCAAACCCUUAAUUGAUUGAUCAUUUGAAAGUCAUGAAUCCAUACACAACGAACCAGUUGAAGAAUGAAAGCUUCAAUGAUACGUAAGCAAGUCAAAUAUGACAACGAAUCUUUGGUUAUUAGUGAGAAUGCCUUUCCGCUGUAGCGACGUUGGGAUUUGGUUAUUAGCCGACCGAGGGUUUCUCAACUGGUCGAGGGUUUCUCACUAAACCUCCUCAUUUUAAACUAAACUCAUUUAAUCCUUAAUGUAGGAAGUCCAUGCUCUGAUAUGGUAGUAAAUAAGUGAAAGAUAGGGCAGCAAUUGGACAAGAUAGGAGACCAAAAUAGAAGAUUUUUCACUGCAGCGAGAUUCUUUAUCGCUGCGGUGAAAUUGUAACCCAGAAACAAAAGGUUUCUCACUGCAGCAAAAUUUCGCUGAUGAAACAGAGAGUUUUUUGCUGCAGCGAGAUUUCUUUUUCGUUACAGCGAGAGGUUACGGUGACUAUCUCGCUGUAGCGAAAUACAUUCUCGCUGCAGCGAGAACCAGUUCUGGUGAAGGUUCUCAAACCCGAGAGUUUCUCGCUGCAGCGAGAAUGAAUUUCGCUGCAGUGAAAACAGAGCAACAAGAGAAAAGUUUCUCCUCACUCAACAAAAAAGGCCAUCCUACUAAACCAACAAAAUCAACAUACAGCACAUGAAAAUUCCCAAAGUACAAUGUAUCAAAUUUCUCAUAUAUGUCAAUCAUAUAUCACAUUCAUAAGUUUUCAUUUCAUAAGUCUAGAUAUGCAUAAUUACAUAGAUAAACAUCAUCAUAAACACACCCGGCUCAUGUACAUCCCCCCACAUCGUGCACAAUCAGUGCCAUCGUGUACAUCCCCCCACAUCGUGCACACGGGUACUAUCAUCAUCCAUCUCUCACGCCACCAUCAUCACCGGUAUGUGCAUCCCCCCACAUCGUGCACACACACGGUUACAACCAUUAUACACAAUAUCAUUCAUCAUGCACAACACACACACAUUUAUAUAUCAUCAUACUACAAUAGUGCAUGAAUCUAUAGCAAUCACAUAUCACAAUAUAAAACCAUUUUGCAAAAGCUUGUUCCCAAGGCACUUGUCUUUAUGAAAAACUUGAUAAUUCAUUCAAAUGGGUGGCAAAUACAUUAUAUUUCCCAAAACGAAUUUUGAAGGCAGUCCACUCACCAAUUGAUUGUAGAGCCUUUAGAUGACUCCAAUUCCCCUAAUUGUCCAAAUGAGAUGAUGGGGCUUCCUUAGAACCUAGGAUCACAUUAGCAUAAGCAAUAGGUCAAUUUACACACUAUGAACCCUAAAAGCUAUCUUUUAGCUAGCUUUCAAUUGCCACAUUAAAUGGCCAUCUAUGUUCACUAUCUAAAUCACUAAAAGUAAUGAACAUAAUCAACAAUAAAACAGCUCAUAAAUCCCAAUUACUAGCCAUUUUCUGCAGCUAAAAACCAAGCUUAAUUCAUCACUUACCCUAGGGCUCAUUUGUAGUCAAAUUCUCUUCCAAUUGCUUCCAAAUAAAUGGUAAAAUUUUUUUUCUCUCUCUAAAACAUCCAACUAGUGAGAGAAAGUACAGAAAUGAGAUUUAUCAAGGGUUUUGAAGUGAGAGAAUGAAAUAGCACAAGGGUUUAUGGAAGGGUGCACCAAAAACAUGUAAAUUGGAGCUAGAGAGAAAAAGUUAUGGAAGCUUGAAGAAAACUCCCAUGGAAGAAUUGAAGAAACGUGAGAGAGGAGAAGGGAAGAAGAAGACAGUUGCUGGAAAUUUCAACAAGCUGCUGGAAAUUCAAGAUAUUUAUAGGCCAAAUUUAUCCAUUCUCUUAAAAUUACUAAUUUGCCCCUUCACCAAUUUACAUAUUCUCCUCCAAUCUUUUAUGCAAUCUUUUUGCUCUUUUAACACUGGGACAACGUCCAUAAUGGUCUAAACAUACUCGGGUUCAUAAAAACUUAAAAUUUUAACCCGAGUUAAAAAAUGACCAUUUUGCCCCUAUUAUGAAAAUUAUUGAAACUUCUAGUUUUCUUCGUGUUUUCAUUAGUACCCAUCAUUUAUGCAAUCUUAUACUUAUUUAGACCUUAAAAUAUCAUAAAACUUUCUUCUGGGAGCUUAUUAGAGAAAAUGAUGAAACUACCCCUAGCUCGUAUUAUUACAUCUAUGCUUAGUUACAAGCCUAUAGAGGUUGGGGUCUCACAAUUCCAUUGAAAAUUUGCAACGGAAUUUUUCGUUGGAAAACCAUUCCCAACGGAGAAUUCCGUUUGAAAUUUCCAACAAAGUUUUUGUUGAAAAUGCAUUUCCAGCGGAAUUUUUCGUUGGAAAUGCGUUUCCAACGAAAAUUCUUUUACUAAUUUUCAAUUGCAUAUCAUGUUAGUAAUGCUUUUUCCACAAAAAUUACCAAUUAAAAUUUCGAUAAUAAAUUAUCAAUUGCCAUCCACAAUUGACUUUCAAAUAUAUAAAAAAAAACACACAUUAAAAACCAAGAUUCAAAGUCAAAUUCAUACAAUUAAAAAUUGUCAUAAACACACAAUAUCUAAAAAUGUUAAACACAUAUGAAUAUAAAGUAAAUGUGUUAUUAAACAGCUAUACUAAAAAGUAUCCAAGUGUAGUAGUGAAAAAGAGACAUCACAUCAUGAAAUGUAUUGUUCUUACUUGUCAAGAUUUGAGCUUGAAGGUCCCGCAUUUCCUUGUUUUGAAAGCACAUUACUCAUGAUCAUGGUUUUCAUAUGUGCCAUAAAUUCACUCAUGCUUUCCACCAUUGCAUUCUUAAUUUCUUCACGUAUUUCCCCACAUAUUUCCUCACGUAUCUUACCCAAGUUUUCUGAAAGAUUUUUCACUUUUUCUUCUAAUGCAAUUGUAGGACUGGUAACGUUUGAGUUAAUAGGGCCACACGCAGACUCAGAUGUUGCUACAUUGCUAUGUGUUCUAGUAAGUAAAGCUGUAAUAGGCACCCGAGUACCAAACCCAUACACGUGAGUGCGUGUAGUCUCCAUCCCUCUAAUUUAUCCAGUCCAAGCAUAUGGAUCGAAUUCUGGCUGAGAAGAUGAAUCUUCAUCAUACUUCUGUGAUAAUACAGAAUUAUACAUUUCUACACAAAAAAUUAAAUAAGAUUAUUAUUCAACUAGAUUGUUAACUUUGAAGUAAAAAUUAAUCAAUUUUGUACGUACACUCAUGGACUUAGACUUGUUAUCUAUAAAAUCACCAUGUCCCCCUCAACACUUAUGAGUGCGGUUGAACACUUCCAAGAAGCUAACAUCUUGUUUUAUCUCAAUUGCUUGCAUUUAUUUACAACUAUAUAUACUCAAUCAUAAUUGAUAUAUAUAAACAACAUGUAAGGAAAAACCAAAGUCAAACUACUAAAUAUACAAUUUAAAUUUAGUUUGAAAGAAAACCAUACAAAUAAAAGUGAAGUAAAAUUACUUCAUACCAUCACAUUUGCAUGAACAACAAAUGGAAUUGAAUCGUUAGUGUGCUUUGGAAUGCUUCCUUCUUUUGGCGUUAAACGAUUUUACCUUGCUUUUAUUGAUUUGUUUUGCCAUUCUUCUGUACCCCAUGCUGUAUCGAUAAGGGCAUCCUAGAUUUCAUUUGUGAUCCAUUCCCUUGACAUGCCUUUGCAAUCCCUAAUGUUGUUUGUUCUGGCUUCUGUCAUUGCUUUAUUCCUUUCUUUUGAAAGCAUGUCUCUUAACCGACUGAAAAAAUUUUUAUCCCAUAUUCGUCGAACCAAAACAUCUUGAUUUGCAAACCAAACACAUUUUUCCUACAUCAAAAUAAUAGAGUAAGUAAAAAAAUUGAUACAAAUUAAUUGAAAGCAAAAAGUUAUAAUUUAAUUGAAUAACAAACAUAGUACCUGGAAUUUUUAAAACAUUAACUGUUUUAUAUCAUUAGGGACUUUCCUCCAUGUCGUCCAUGGACCAUGGAAGAGAUUUUUUAUGAUCCUUGUUAUUAUAGUUGUGACCCCUCGCUCGAAAAAAGUACUUGUCGAAUAUAAAAGAAAAUUUUUACAUAUUAAAAUUUAUAACAAAUAUAAUAAUUUCAUUAUAAUACAUGAUAACAUACCUCUCUCCAAUAUGAGUUAUACGCAAUCUGUUAGAUGGAUCUACAGGAGUCUGUAAUCCUCCACCAAGCCCCCUACCCCUUGACCUUGAGGAUGUAUCAUCUACACUUGCACCUAAAUCAAUAGAUUGGGAUCUACGAGAAUCAUGAAUAGAUAUCUCAUUUUCUACUUGCACUGCAGAUGCACCUAACAAAGAAGGUGGCUCAAAGGGCACAUCAUUAUUGACCUACUGCAUUUGUGGUUGAACGGAUAGAUCAGCAAAUGCACUAGCAUUUAUAGGCAAUGACAUACUUCCAAAGGCAUUUGUUGAUCUAGGUCUUGGUUUUAAAUGCUUCCCUUUAACCACUGUUCCUAUAAUAUAUGUUUGUUAAAAUUCAUACACAAUUUUUUUUUCAAAAAAUUGAAACAAAGUAUAAAAAUCAUCAAUUUACAACAAUCACAAGUAAUUCCUAAUCAUUUGUACAAUAAAAGAAGUCAUUAUAUAGUAUUCAUUUCAACAUUUAUAAAUAUAAACUAUAAUAAUUUUUUAACAUGUCAAGAUCUUUUAAUAUUAUAAAAUUAAAAUUAAACAACUAUGUAACAAAAAAUAUAAAACCAAUAUCAUAUAUGUCUACCAUCAUCAAUCACUUUCAGAAUAAGCAGACUCAUGUUCUUCAUUAUUAUCAUUAUCAUCACUAAAAGUUUUGCAAUAGUUGUCUUCAAGUUCAUCUUCAUCUUUAUUUUCAUUGUCAUCUCAUUCCAUGUCAUCUUCUUCAUCUUCAUCUCUUUGCAUGUCAUCUUCUUCAUCCUCAAUAAAGAGAUUAAGCUCUUCAUAAUCACCACUUGCUAAAACUGUAAAGUUAUCUAGUUCUUCCGAUGGAGUACCAUUAAUUGAAAUAGACACAUCUUCUUGGUAUACUUCUUCAUUCAAAUCAAUUUCAUUUUCUCUAUCUCCACUACUACGAAUGUGAAAUCUAUUGCUAAAUUUUGUUUUAAAUACUGCCUACUAAUCAUGUCGAUCUCUUUUGGUUGAUGGAUAACUACUAUAAUAAACUUGGUAAACUUGUGCAGCUAAAACAAAUGGUUCAUUAAUGGCAAGUAUUAAGUUAUAUUUAAUUUCAACAAGACUAUGCAAAAGAUCUACCUUAAUAUCUUUUUCAGUGUCAAACCAAUGACACUUAAAUAACACAACUUUGUUUCUGAUACCAAAAUACUCCAACUUGAUUAUAUCCACUAAAAUACCAUAAAAGUCACACUCAUAAUCAUUGUAAAAACUCGCUUUUAUGCAGACAUCACUAUUCAUUAUCCUACGAUUUUUCUCGUAAUCUAGGGUGUGAAACUUGAAACCAUUUACAAAGUAUCCGUUGUAACACCUUAUCAUACAUCCUGAACCAUGAGAGAUUUCAAGUAUACAUGGGUCAAUUUCAUACUUAUGUUUUGCAACCUGCGAACAUGACAUACAAGAUAAAAAAUUAUUAAUUACGUAAUUAAUGCCUUAAUGUUAUUAGAAGUUCACUUCUAAUUUACAUAAACUUACAUAAUUUUUAAACUAUUUCAUGAAGCUUGCAUCACGUACUUUCUCCAAUUCAUCUUUCGAUAUAUACACAAUAUCUGUCUUCAUUAUUUCAUCAAAUAUCCUAUCAUCAUAUCCCUAAUUUACAGAUUAAGUUCAUUCUUAUGAUCAAUCAUUUGAGUUUAUGCUAUAAUGAUACUUACUUAAUAUAUGAAAGCAUCUCUUCACAAUUCAUUAAAACAUAUAGUUUAGCAGCAUAAAACUUAUCUUCAUAUAAAAAUCGAGAUUUAUCUAAUAGACCAAAAACUCACCCAGAAUGAGUGACAAUUGAAAGACAACCAAGAGAGUCCAUGUCUCCCCCAUCAUCAUUACAUGGCACUCGAUUUAAUCUUAUUCGCACAGUAGGUUCAAAAUACCAUGAGCAAAAUGAGGUGAUUUCCUUGAUAAUAUAAGCUUCACAUAUAGAUCCUUCAAUAAGGGCUCGAUUUUUUACUUUCUUCUUCAAAUGUUGCAAAAACCUAAAAAUCACAAUAUUCAUCAAACUUAACAAGUACCUUAAACUCUUGUAAUAAACUAUUUGAAAACAAAUAACAAACUAUUUGAAAACAAAUAACAAUUAUAGUACCUCUCAAAUGGAUACAUCCAUUGAUAUUGCAGGGGUGCACCAACCUUUGCCUCGUAAGGUAAAUGAAUCGGCAAAUGCUCCAUAAAGUCAAAGAAACUGUGUGGAAAGAUCUUUUCUAGUUUGCAUAUAGUUUCACAUAUUUUUCCUUGCAAAGCUUCCAUAUGAUCUACAGGUAUUUCAGUUACGCGUAAAUCUUUAAAAAAGUGAGAUAUCUCAGUAGUUGCAUCCCAAAUUGAGUGAAACACCAUAUCACGAAAGACAAUUGGGAGCAAUCGUUGCAAAAAAAUAACAAUCAUGACUUUUCAUCCCAUAAAAUUUACAAUUAAUCUCAUUAACACACCGAGAUAUGUUCGACACAAAGCCAUUAGGUAAUCUCAAUUGUUUUACCCAAGCACAAAAAUUUUUUAUUUCUUCCUUAUUUAAGGUGUACGAAGCCUUAGGCUUGUAAAUUUUUCCAUUAUUUUCCACCAAUUCCAAUUCUGGAUGCUUGCAAUACACCUUCAAUCUUGUCGUGCCUUUAAGUUGUCUUUCAUCUUUCCCUUAACAUCCAUAAUUAUGUUGACUAUAUUCUCAAAGACAUUACGUUCAAUAUGCAUCACAUCUAGAUUGUGACAAAUAAGAAGCAUAUGCCAAUAAGGCAGAUCCCAAAAUAUACUCUUUUUCACCUAAUUAUGACUUACACCAUAACCCGAAAUCUUCUGCUCACCACAUUUUGUUUCGAAUGGGAUAUUAGGAAGCGAAUUCAAACGUGACAAUAUUUUCUCACUUGAUAAUGGAGGAAAUGGUAAGUCAUGCUCAACUCUUUUUUUAAUAAAUUUGUCUCUCUACCUCUUAAAAGGAUGAUUAGGUCGUAAGAAUUGCCGAUGACAAUAAAAAAAACAAGGUUUCCUACCAUGAUCUAAUAUGAAAGACUUAGAAUGUUCCAUGCAAUAGGGACAUGAUAAUCGUCCACGAGUACUUCACCCUAACAACAUACUGUAAGAAGAAAAAUCAUUAAUUGUCCAUAAUAAUGCUACCCUCAUAUGAAAAUUUUGUUUCCUAUAUGCAUCAUACGUGACAACACCUUGGGUCCACAAUACUUUCAACUCAUCUAUCAAAGGCCUCAAGAAAACAUCUAUGUUUUGACUUGGAUUUUUCUUCCCCGGAAUGACCAUAUUAAGAAAUAUAUAUUGUUAUUUCAUAUACGUCCAUGGGGGUAAAUUGUACACACAGAGCAUUACUGGUCAAAUAGAAUAAGGUUUCACAGUCGGUCCAAAAGGAUUGAAAGUGUAAGCACAUAACCCUAGUUUGACAUUUUGAGGUUCUAUUGCAAAUAACUCAUGUAUGCGGUUGAAGUGUUGCCAAGCCUCACCAUCAAUAGGGUGUCUGACGACUCCAUCAUCACUUUGGUUUUGCGCAUGGCACGUCAUAUGUUUAGUAGUUUUGCCUGACAUAUAAAGCCUUUGAAGCCUUGGUAUAAGUGGCAAGUAACGCAAAAUUUUGUAAGGUAUUUUCUUCUGCCUUUUCACACUUGAUUUUCUCAGUUUAUACCGAGGAUGCCCACAUAUCAUACAAUGCUCAAAAUUAACAGUUUCCUCAUAAAAUAACAUGUAAUUAUUUUCGCAAGCAUGAAUUUUGGUAUAUCCCAGUCCAAGUUUUAUUACUUUUUUUUUCAUUCUAUAAAAGUCAGUAGGUAAAGUUUCAUCUGAUGGCAACAUAUUCUUUAUUAUCUCCAACAGCCGAUCAAAAUAUGAUUCACUCAAAUUAAACUCUGACUUAACAUUUAAAAGUUUCGACACAGCUGAAAGCGUUGUGUGUUUUGUGCAACUUGACCACAAAGAUUCCUUUGCAUUACUUAACAACGAGUAAAAGCUAGCUGCAUUUGGAUUUGGAUCUUCUUCCACAAACCUUGACUCAUUAUCAUGACUAUAAUUGAAAGCAACUUCCGGACCCAUAGCAUCACUAACCAUUCUAGUAUAUGGAUUUUCUAUUUCCUCUUCAUAUGUAGGUUCUCCAUAUUCCCCAUGUUCCUCAUUACUAGUAUAUGGUUCAACUCUAUCUCUACUUUUUGAUGAUUGUCCAACAUCAUGUUCCCUAUGUAAACUCUAAAUUAUGUAAGCACUAGUAAAACCCUUUUUAAGGAUGUGCUCUGUCACUUUAUCGGAAUUUAGAAACUUGUUGUUACUACAUCGGGAGCAAGGGCAUCUGAUUUUGUUCUCCCACAUAAAUGUAGAGUUAGAACGUGCAAAAUGAAUGAAUUCAUUAACUCCAUUUACAAAUUCGUCUCUAAUGAAUCCAUCAGAAGUUAAGCAACGGUACAUCCAAGAUUGAUCACCCGUCAUUUUGUAAUCUUAAGUGUCGUAGAAUAUAAUAGUCAAGAGUAAUUUCCAUUGUUGUUUAAAAUAAAAUUUGUUAACAACUAUAUUCCAAUAUGAAAAAUUAAGUUAAACAUUUUAAAUAUAAAUUUUAGAAAAUAAUAACAUGUUGGGAUAGUAAAAAUGAUUCCAUACAAGAAUAAAAACAAAAAAAACAGGACGUUAUAUAAGUCUAACUUUAUAAAUGAGUAGAUAAAUUCAUAUUCACAAGCUUUUCUAUGUAUUAAUGAGUACAAAAUCCUAUAAAACCAAGUGACUGAGAAAUGGCCAAAACUCUUUUGCUUUUCCAUUUGGAUAAAAAUUAAGUACUAUGAAUUGGACCCCAAGUCAUGAUUAGUUUUUUAUGAUAAAAAAAAUUAAAUUCCAACAUAGGAAAGGAAUUACUAUUUUUUUAAAGUAAGGACUUUUGAUGUUUUUAUUAUUUAUUCUUAAAAAAAAAUUUAGUUACAAAAGUAAAUAGUAAAUUUUUUAAAAAUUAUAUAUAUAAUUUUUAAUUUUUUAUAUUUUAUUUGAUUUAUAUCUUCUUCAGUAUAAAGCAACUUUCCGUUGGAAGUGACCAAUUAAUGUCAUGACUUGACCAAUUAAUGAAUAUGAAACUUAAAAGUCUCAAGUCUUCUUUACUUAUCAUCGAGACAACACGUUUGGCUCUACUACAUCUCUUCGAUCAUGGCUAAAAGGAGCAUGAAUUGGUUGGAAACGAUAUAAAGUAGUUAAUUUCAUAUGAAACCCAAUUAAGCCUUAAACCGAUUAUGCUAAAGUUAAUUCAAGUGGUUGUGAUCAGUUAGGUUUGGUUACGGAUUUUAGAUUUGACUGUAAUGCUGUUCUUUUCUUAUGUGUGAAAAGUGCAAUAAAGAAGGAAUGACAGUAUUAUUAUUCAAUAUACACCACAAUCAGAAGCAAAAGAAUUAAUAAUAAUAAUAAUAACAAACUCCAGCAAAUUAAGAAGGUAAAUAAGCAAUCAAUUCUUACUAUUUAUGGGAAUCGAAAAUAAUUUUGGGGGGGGGGGUAAAAAGUACCUGUGCUGAGUGACAAUGACAGAGAGUGUUGGAAAAUGUUGACAAUAACAGUAAAAGAUGCAGAGAUGAAAGAACAAAAGCCCAAAAAGUGAUUUAACCCACAAACUUUUCUAGCUUUCUACUAAAAGAGAUUUACAUGAGGAAAGAAAGCAAUAUUCAAGCUUAGACUUAAUAGUUUCAUGGAAAUUGCUAAUUGCUUCACUACAAUCUUGUUAUGUAUAAAAGUUAGCUAGACAAUAAGGAAUCAAGUCAACAAAGUACUCACAGUUUAGGAAAAUGAAAAGAAGAAGAAAAUAGCUUGUGUCACGAUCCAGUACUCCCUUCGAGCCCGUGACAACUGUCGCGAUGUCUCGAUAAACAAUCAUUACCCGGAAUGUCAACCGAAACCUCACAAGGGUCUUGCAUCAAUUUUACAUUCCCCCUAUGAGCAACAGUUACUAAAUAUCAUGUUUUAAGGGAAUAUAAACUAUUUUAAAAUAAAAAAUAAACAAAAAGUAAUUUCUGCCACACAGGGGUAUUUUGGUUAUUUUUUUUCAAAAAUUUUGAAACCUGGUGAAAAUACAGCAUAUGAUCGAAAAAUAUACAUCUCUUAUCUAAAAAUAAUUUUAGUAAUCUAAAUCAUCCAUUUUAAAUGAAAUUAUGACUAAUCAAACUAAAUAAAAAUAUUAAAUAAAAUAUUCUAUUUUCUUAUAAAACAAUAUUUAUAGAAUCCUGCAUAAACAAUUUUUGUAGCGUAAGAGCAAAAUAAAUUAAUAUAUAUAAUAACACACUAAACCAGGUAUACAAAAAUAUUCUACAAUGACAUGUGGGCCCCAAUAUAACCGAAAAUAUACAAGACUGUAGACCUUCGAUUUCUAAGGAUGCAAAUCUAAAAGCAACCCUCGACAAAAUCGACUGUCUACAAACUGUCCUGAGCCUGAAAUGGGUAAAAAGAAGGGGUGACUUUUAUAAACCCAAUGAGUAAACAAAGUUCAUCUACAACAUCUAAAGCCAAGUAAAUGGAGACAGUUAAAUCAUCCCAUGACAAUAUGAUUCAUAACAUUUAAAACUCAUUUCAAUUCAUAUAAAACAAUUACAUUUCAUUGAAAUAACCAACAAGGCUUAUGAUUCUCUUAAAAACUUGGCUUGUGCCAAAACUCAUACUUAGUGACACCUUGGCCCGGGCAUCCAACCGAGUCCGUCAAGGAUGUAAAAUGACAUAUACCCAUAAACCAUGUUUUUACUUUUAAAAUAUAGUCAUUCCUUGACGUUGGCUGAGUUUUAUCCUCAUGUGGUGGUUCGGCGUGAAGUGAACUCCAAACUUACCUUAGGAGAUACCCUUUCGCGCCUUUCGUACUAAGGUAAAAUAUAACGAGAUUUACCGUGCCCCUCUAAUAGACUAGUCCACGAAAACCCACCCACUGCAGUAAGCUAAUCAAAUAACCCACCAAAUCAAUAAAAAUUUCGACAGCAUGACGUGGCUAAUAUGAUAUUACCCAGCCUGUCAAGGUAAAAAAAAACAGUUCGUAUAAUUCACAAACCACAAAUCCAGCCAUUCAUGCCAUCACAUUGUCAUAAGCCAUCAAUUCAAACCAUAUAUCAAACACGAGUAUAUAGUCUCCACCUACUCAAUUUCCAAAAUCAUCAUUGAAUUGCAAAACAAUUUAUAAAUCUCAUUCAUUUAACCAACACUUAACCUAUAAAACAAAAAAAUCUACGGUUUAAGUUCAUUAUUCUUUAAAAUCAUAAAAACGAAUAUAAACUACUUUAGAUAGUUAAGGUGAACAUUUGAUUACUCAAAAUAGCGGGAGUUUAGAGUACUCCUAUUCUUGGUCCUCAGGUACGAUAUCUUUACCCUUAUCAAAGGGCUCACCACCUAUACAUAAUACACGACAUGUAAUUCAAUAUAUUUGUGCCAAACUGUUAUAAAACUAUUUCAGGCUCUAUAUGAAUGCAUGAAAUUGAAUGAGAAUUGUUCGAAUAAUCACUUAAAGACGGUGUUCUACGUGGGUUCAAUUAUGAUUGGACUGAAUUUGUAUUCGACCUAACUCGAACUAUACACUAUUGAAUUAACCAAAACAUCCGAUUCAACUUCAAAUAUAUUCAUUACACUUUCAAUAAUCCAAAUACACCAAAGUACCUCAAUGAGCUUGAUUGUGACUUAAUUCAUCAUAACCGAAUUCAUUCCGAUUCCGAACUAACGUGCUAAUCAGUGUUAACAAAGUCCAAUAAAUCCAUCUAUAUCAUUAAGAAUCAAAUCCAAGUCCAUUCACUAUGAUUUUCUUAUUAUUGUUCAAGUCGUUUACUAAAGGAACUAUACUUUUCGAUAACUGUUUUCGAUAUCCGAUACCAUAAAUCAUCAAUUACAAGCUAAAUAACAUGAAAUACAACAAAAUCCAUCAUCAACAUGUCAUCUAUAAAAUUCAGCCAAAGAAGGUUGUUGAAAGGCAUGUGAUUUUCUUUCUUGUUUUUCAUGCCAAACAUCAUCAAACAACUAAAAACACUAAGAUAUCAUGAAAUCUAGCAAAAUCCAUCAUCAAAAUCUCUCUCCCUAUGUUCGGCAAGCAAGUAUUCCCUCAUGAAAACUUGUGUUUCAUCCAUAGAAAAUGAAAAAAAAAAGUAUGGGAAAGGUAGAUCUUAAGCUGAAAUUGAAAAAUCUUACCUUUGAUUGUUUUGUUCUUUGAAAUUCAACAAAUUUCUCUUGAAUUUUCCUCUCUAGGGUUUGUUUCUAUUCUUUUCUCUUUGUUCUUUGCUUUGGCCGGCCAUGAAGAGUGAAAUGGGAGAGUUUAUGUUGAGUUUAUAAAGGAAAUUAUAAAAAUAUUAAAGCUUGACAUGUGUCACCAUGUGAUUGGUCCAUGGUUAAAACUUAACAAUUAAGCAUUUUCUCACCACCACAUGUAAUCUCUUAAUUAUCCAAAGUAUAAAAUAAUAAUAGGUGAAAUUCAUGGGCUUGACAAGUGUUAUGGUGGUGUAAAAUUUCAAAAAUUUCAAUUAUGUCCUCGUGGACACGUAAAAUGACUGUUUUGCCCUUAUGUUUGAAAAAAUAUCGAAAUUAAAAAUUUUCAUUUCUCAAAUUCAAAUCAUGCUCCAAUUAGUCAAACUUGGUCAAAAAUUUCAUCCAACAUUCCCAUUUUGCCAUCGGGUGACAAAAUGACCAUUUUGCCCCUACGUUAUGAAAAUUCCUAAUUUGACUCCAAAUUAAUCCUCGAACUCCGAAUCACCAUAUUAAGACAUUCUAAGGUUCAAUAACUCUCAAAUACAUUCUAAAAUCUCUAUUCAAACUAGUUCAAGAUUUUAAUCGACUUAAUUGUACCACUAGAUAUUAUACCGACUUUUAACGAUUUUUCGAGGCAUCCCAGUAUGUAGAUAUGCUAUCAAGUACAUGAAUGACAUGACAAGUAUAUAAUAGAGUAGGGCUUGACAGCUUGUUACAGUAGGAUGAUACUUCUUGAAAAGAAAAAGAAAAGAGCUUUUGGGUUAAGCGAUUGUUAGCUAUAUGGGCUUAUUUUAUUGUAGCAUCAACAAAAAUUUUUCUUAUUAAAAACGUUUUUAUAUUUUACCUAAAUCAGAAACUUGAUCCAUUAAUUGCAGUCUUGCUGACUAAUUACAUAGUAAUUAAUCCUAGAAAACUCCCAAUUCAUAUGUAUAUAUCAAUGAAUAUAUAUUAGAAGACAAAAUAUAGGUCAUUGUUUUGCUUUUUUAAAAUAUUGUUAUGAUUAGAAAAGCCAAAUGAGAAUUUGGAUGCUAGUAUGGAUUUUGGAGAAAUUAAAGCUGAAAAAGCAAAGUUGCUCUAAAUUAUGAUGCUUUAAGCUUUCCCCUUGCUCAAUAACAAAGUUGCACUAAACUGAGAAUUAUAUGAUUACCUUUUGGCCCGACAGUGAGUGAUGAGUUGUUGUUAUAAACUGGAGCCCCAAAAUUUGUAGUUCAGAAUGGAGAAUUAAAGGCACUUGAGGGCCGAAAUUGCAUUAAAAAACAGCUCCAAUAAGAAGAAAAAUAAGUAGAUGCAGGCAAACUAAAUGAAGAUUCUACAAUAUAAAUCGUGUUAAUUUUAUCAGAAGAGAAUAUAAGAGUUAGACUCCAAAACUCUGAAAGAGCUGAAACCCAGAACUAGAGGAAAGAAUACACUCCAAACUACGAAAUAUAACGAUAUACUAAACAACUGAACAAAACAAAAUUGAAAAAAAAAAUCAAUUUAUGAUCUGUUACAAACGUGAACAUAUUGCAACAAUAUAACACAUAAAGGAACAAAAUCCAAUUGCUACAUAAGAACAUAAAUUGAUUCGGUUUCCAAGAAACAGGAGGACCUCCACUAUUCUGCUUCUCAGGGUUCUUGCUUGCAUUUUUAGUUUUCUUAAAGCUGUGGACUAGUCCUCAGCUCUUCAUUGCUCUUUUAACUCAAACCAACUAACACACCCAAUACAAUGGAAGUAAAAAUUUAACAAAUUUUAAUUUUAAACAUUUCAGACUUUUUUUAGUUUCUUUAAUCAAAGAUUCAUGGUAGAAGAUCCAUAUUUACCACUCUACUUAGGUAAUAGAUCAAAUUUAUCAUUUAUCAUUUAUUUUUGAAUGGGUGCAAUUCUACCACUAUAUUUUUUUUUAAUUUGAUUCACAACAAGUGAAAAGUUAACAGUAAGAAGAUAUUAUAUGAGAAUAUGAAAAAGCAUUCCAUGGAAUAUUCUAACUGUUGAGCAUUUUUUAAUCAAAUUACAAUGCACAGUGAUAAAUUGAACCUUCAAAGCUGGACAGCAACUUUGAUCCAUCACCCCAAGUAGAGGGGUAAAUUUCGACCUUGAGACAAGAUUCAUUACAUUUUGGCAAACAAAAUUCUCUCAUCUGAUACAUUAAGUGAUUUAAAAGAUUAAAUUUCAUGUUCUUCUUGUAGUACAGUUAAUAAAAUUAUCAAAUUUUAUUCACUGAUAUUAAAAAAAAACUAAUAUAAUAAAUGCAAGAAAGCGAAGGAACAAUAACAAUAAUAAUAACUCUUAGGCAAGAAAGAAGGAAAGAGAUGCUAAAGGAAGCAACAACAUGUGCUAUGAAGUAGCGGAGUUAACUAUUAUAAAGAUUUUGAGCAGAUCAUGCUUAUAGAAAUCUCUGGUUACUAUUCUCGAUUAGCUUUAGAAUGGCUUCUGUUUGAUUCAUCGGCUGAAUAUGUUCACAAGGUGUUUUGUUGUCAAAUUAAGUAACUUUCUUAUAUUUAUUUAAAUGUUAUGGACAAUAAAUAACUGGUUAACGAUUUAACUUUCAAGGUGUUCUGGUGCUUGAAUCGAGAGAAGCAAAAAGCCAGUCAGUACCUACAUCCAGACUCAGAAGCUAAGUUAAUGCAAGUAUGGUUGAUCAAUUUAACCUGAAGUUUUUUUUUUGUUUUGUUUAUGGGCUAUAUCCAACUAUGCCUCCAAAUGAUGAUUGGUAAAGUUAAUGUGGUUGUGCUGGAGCUUCCGGCUGUAUUCUUGGUAUCAAAGUAAAAUCUCAUGCUUAAGCAUGUUUAACGAUGGUGUAAGGCAUGUUUACUCAUCAAGCUUCACCAAGCUAAAACUCUGUGCUCUCUCAUUUGGGUUUCAAUUUUUAGUAUUUGGUCACUGAUCUCUACAAGCUGGAUAUGUUAUAUAAAAUUUCACUAGAUAGCAAACAACUAAUGUUAUGCAUGUAGCAUUAUUGAUGUGGAGAAAUGCCAGUAACUCUAUCUUCUAUAAUUCUACAGGUUGUCAGAUAUCAGUUACCGGACCAAAUUGCAAACAAAUUGAUGGAAAAAAGCAAGCUGAGAAUUUUGGUCUGGUAACAGAUUAUCAGGUGCCAAUAAAUAUCUGAAUGAGUAAUCUUAUCAUUGUUGCCAUGUCUAUUCUAUUAUAGUGGUAGUGAGCAAGAAACACAAAACAGGGGACAAGAACCCCCUAUAAAGCCUGUUACCUGUGAUAUACAAAAGAAGCCAGAGCAAUAAACCCCAGGUUGCAAAUGGGAUCAACCUCCUAAAACAUUACAACGACUCACAAUGGAAACAAAAAGGACAAGAAGUCAAAAGACUCAUCCCACCGUAACCAACUCACAAUAAACUGUACAAAAACAAAUGACCAGUAGCAGCCUUAAGCACUCAAAAUGAGGCAGUUACCAAGCUUCAAGUGCUACAAAAAAUCCCAAAAAAAAUGAAGCAAGAACUCAGCAAAGACUAAAGUCAAGAUUCGCAAUAAAAAGCCUCUGGUCUCGGCACAAGAAGGGGAAGCAAAGUAGAGAGAUUUGGGGAAAGUGAGCGAUGCACGGAGAUUGGCAGCGACAAGCCUCUGCUCUCGGCAUAAGAAGGGGAAGCAAAGUAGAGAGAUUUGCGGAAAGUGAGCGACGCACGGAGAUUGGCAGCAACAAACCUUUGCUCUCAGCACAAGAAGGGGAAGCAAAGUAGAGAGUUUUGGGGAAAGUGAGUGACGCACGGAGAUUGGCAGCCACAAGCCUCUACUCUCGGCACAAGAAGGGGAAGCAAAGUAGAGAAUUUGGGAAAAGUGAGUGAGGUACAUGUUAGGGAUUUGUAUUUGAGUUAUAUGGUUUUUGUUUCUUUUGAAAUUAAGUUGGAGAGUUUUAAAUUCAAUUUGGAUGGGUGGUAGACUUGGUUAAAAUUAAUUCAUUUUUUAUUUGAACACAAGUUCAAGUCUUUCUUGUAACACAAAUUUAAAUAUUUUAAAUUUUAUUAAUAAAUUAAAAUUUUUUAUAUUACUCAAUAUAAAACAUAAUGGUAUAUUAUUAAAUUUAUUAUAUAUAUUAAUGACACAAAUUAUAUGUUAUAGUUUGAUAUAUAUUACAAAAUUUGUAUAAUUACUUAUCAAUAUAAUUUUAUAAAAAGUAUGAUAAUAGCUAAUAAAAUUAAUAACUGUAAUCAUAUAAAUAAAAUUUACUAUAAGCUUACAUAUAAAACAUAUUAAUAUAUAUAUGUAAGAUAUUUUAAUAUCUCANAUGUUAUAUACUAAAUUUAUUGUAUAUAUUAAUGACACAAAUUAUAUGUUAUAGUUUGAUAUAUAUUACAAAAUUUGUACAAUUAAUUAUCAAUAUAAUACCCUAAAAAGUAUGAUAAUACAUAACUAAUAAAAUUAAUAACUGUAAUCAUAUAAAUAAAAUUACUAUAAGCUUACAUAUAAAACAUAUUAAUAUAUAUGUAAGAUGUUUUAAUAUCUCAUAUACAUACAUAUAUAUAUUAACUUAUAAAGUUAUAUCAAUUAAAGAAUAUAACUUGUAGAUUCAUAUUAAUACAAUAGGUUAUAUUUUUUUUGUGAAUAAUGCAUGUUUAUAUAUAUAUAUAUUCUAUAGCCAUGAUUCUAAUUUGUAUACAUAGAUAUAAUAAACUAUAUAUUUUAAAUAUAUUAUAUUAAUAAGUUUAUUAUACAUCUAUCUUCUUAAUUUAUAUAUAUUAACUAAUUAAUAUUAAAACGUACAUAAAGUAUUAAUAUUUUUGUUUAAUUUAUUAUUAUAUCUUAUCAUGUAUUUUUAUAAAAUUAAAAAAAUUAUUUUGUUCUUUUUAUCAAUUUUUUAAUGUUAUAAAAUUAAUGAAUUUUGAAUUAUUAAUUUAUAAUUUAUGAUUCAAUAAAGUUUUCAAAAUGUAAAAAAAUAAGCAAAGGAAAAUAUAUUUAAACUUUUAAAUAUUAUAAACUUCAGUAUGUAUGUAGUUGCUUUUAUUAAUAUCUAUUUUUUAUAAAGGAUUAAUAAAAUUUAUAAAAAGUUUAAAAUAUUUUAAGACAAAAAAUUUAAAAAAUACUAUUACCAAUGGAAUUUUCCAAUGGAAUGUUCCGUUGAAAAAUUUCCGUUGGUAAUAGCUUUUUCCAAUGGAAAAUUCCAUUGGAAACUUUAGCAGGCUUUCAAAUUUUUUGAGUUUUUAAACUUUCAGACGGAUUUCCAAUGAACAAUUUUCCAUUGGAAAAUUCCAAUGGAAAUUCGUUGGAAAUUUCGUCGAAAAAUUUGGUGGGAGAAAAUGUUUUUAGUGCUAAAAAAAUCUCCAACGGAAAUAUUCCAUUGGUAUAUUUCCGUUGGAAAUCCGUCGAAAAUCUGUCAGAAAAAAUAACAACAAUUUCUGAUAGAAAUCCAUUGGAAAUUUUCAUUAGAAUUUCCAACGAAAUUUUUUUCGUUGGAAAAAAUCUGUUUUCUUGUGGUGGUAAUACCUUGCUCAUGAGGGUGCAAAAUGUGUCUGGAGCAUUAAUAAGUUCGAAUGCCAUGACGAGGAACUCAUACAAACCAUAGUGAGUCAUAUAUGCAAUCUUGUGCUUAUCUCCCUUGGCUAUGCGUACUUGGGAGUACCUUGAGCAUAAGUUUAACUUUGCGAACCAUGUCACCUUUCCUAACUAAUCGAACAAGUUCGCAAUCAAUGGUAUGGGAUACUUGUUCUUCACGAUGAGCUUGUUCAAAGCUCUAUAGUCGAUGCAUAAUCUCAAAGAUCCAUUAUGCUUGUGCUAGAACAACACUAGUGUGCCAUAUGGGGAUUUGGAAGGUCUGAUGAAUCCAGCAUCGACCAACUCUCUUAGUUGUUUCCUUAACUCGGCUAACUCUAAAUGGGACAUCCGAUAAAGGGCUCGUGCUAGUGGUUGAGCCCUUGGUACCACCUCAAUGUGAUGAUCAACUUCCAUUUGAGGAGGCAGCCUACUAGGUAUACUUACCAGCUCACAUCCUUGAAGUCGUCCAACACCUCCAACACCUCGAUCGGAGCCUUCAUAAGAGCCUUGAGGGUAUCCUUCAACUUGAGGAUUGAGGCAAAUGUCUCCUCAUUUUGCCAUGCACCUUUGGCUAGUUUCAUUGUUGAUAGUAAUUUAGCAUAUGGGUUAUGUCCAUUUUUUAUUGGUACUACACAUUGUCUUUGAGUGUCCAACACACAAAUGCAAUUUGCCAAAGGCACAAGCAAAGCAUUAAUCUUAUCAAGGAAUCUAAUGCCAAUGACACAAUCAUAAUCAUCCAUUGGGAUUACCUCGAUGGGUUGUUUACCUUUUUGUGCACCCAAUUGUACAUCGAUUAUUGUUGAGCCCAUGGUUGGAACUUCCUUUGAAUUCAUCAUUUUCAUGAAACUAACCCCUUUAUUGGGCUUUAAGCCAAGUUUCUUGGCAGCACCCUGUACCAUAAAUAAGUCUAAAGCCCUUAUGUCAACAAGAGCCUCCACUGUUUUUCCACUCACCACUAUGUCAGCAAACAUGAGUCCCUUUUUUCGAGCGAAUCGUUUAGCCUUGAUUGUGCUUAACACAAUGGAUCCAAGCUUUGUGGCCUCAAUGUCUUGCUCAUCCUCCUCUUGAGCAUCCCACUAACUUGGCCCUUUUCGAACAAUCCCUCACCUAAUGUGGAUUGUCAACUAGAAAGCAUGAUCGUGGCUUUUCUCCCCAUCUUUGGUUGGUCUCCUCCUUCUCUCGAAUGGCUUCUUUCCCUUGCCAUUACCUUUUGACUCAUGACAUUUGAUAUCAAAGUAGACUUGAAUCUUCAUUGAUGUGGGAUCCUAUGAGAGAUACAAGGGUCGAAGUAGACCCAGACUAGUGUAACAGUCCUUGAGAGAUACAAGUGUCGAAGUAGACCCAAACUAGUGUAAGAGUCCUUCUUCUUUAAGGAUAAAGAGCUAGUGCAACGAGAGCAUUGCAUAAUUGGGUGAGGUAAAAUGUCAUAUAUUCUACAUCAGUAAUAGAUGGGAUGGAUCUUAAGUAUAUAAACAUGGGUCUUCCACCACCUAUCGGGCAUGCUUUUUGGAUUGGAAAUGUGAGUCUGUGAUUUAUGGGCUUACUUAAGCUCUAUUUUCAGAAUUUAAAGCCACACAAGAAUGGUUUAAGAUCUGACCCAUGACAUAGCUCAUAACUAAAGGAGGAUCUGCCCUUGACUCUAUAUUUAUUGCUUUUUUUUUUCUUUAAGCUCUACUUAAUGAAGAAAUAAUGGAAAAAACCAAAAAUCAAAACUCAUGUUGGUUCAUUGCACAAGAUAAAUUUUUAGACAGAUGGAGAUGGGGUCAUAUAUCCCCCCGUAGAAAGCAACCUUGAGGGGAGGCCCCCCUUUGCAUCAGGCCUUGAGGCCCCAUUGUCGGUGGGCUGUAGUAUGAUGCAUCAUCCAAGGGGCAAGACUGCAUAUGAACUGAUUUCUUUUAUCUUGAUUCUUGGGUUACUAUUUUUUCAGUCUUACCGACGCUGAGCUCCAAUCCCGUGUAUGUUUUUGUCGUUCAAAAAUUCGAAUCUCUCAUUUUUUUUAUUGGAACUGUAAAAUUAAAAAGCUAAUUAACUUGUGGAAGAAAAGAUUUUUCUUUUGAUGUGGUUUACAUAAUUAAUGGAGGUAGCCCUCACCCUCCAUCACCGAUAAAUGUUAAACGAUUACUUCCAAUCUUCCUAUCAAAUCAAACUGUAACUUUUUAAUUUUUGCAUAUUGAUAUGCUUGAGUGUCUCUCUUCAAUCAAAACCCUUCAGCAUUCAUGUUCUUUAGCUGAUCGAAAAGGCUAUAUUACAAUCUCGUUCAAAAAAACUUGUUAGGAAACAUGGCUCUAACUGGCAAACUCGAAGCUGAUGUAGAGCUCAAGGCCCCUGCAGAUAAGUUCUUCAACAUCAUCAGAAGUGAAACUCAUCAAAUCCCAAAUGCUGCAUCCGAUAAAGUACACAACGUUGAAGUGCAUGAGGGUGAUUGGGAAGCUGAUGGCUCUGUCAAGCUCUGGAAAUAUACUGUUGGUAAGAUAACAUUAAUCCAACUGUUUUCAAAUCCGAAACAGUUUAAUAUAUGUGAUUUUCUAGAUUGAAUUUCAGCCCCUUUUACUUCCCUGUUUUGAAUUUGUUUCGAUUUACGUAUACCAUCAUUUGCUGUUCUUUUAUCUGAGAUUUGGUGGUCUUUCUUCUUUUGAGGCAUGUUUAGUUUUUGAGCACCAUCCCAGCUCAAACUCCAAAGAAAGAAAAAUUUUCUUAUGUCCGAACCAAUUUGCCUCUGCUACCAAGAAAUCUGAAUGGUCAAACUUCUAAGCCAUGCAACUUUCUUAUUUACAGUCUAUAAUAUUUGAAUCUACAGAGGGAAAAGACGAGAUUUUUAAGGAAAAGAUUACGGUGGACGAGGCAAACAAAUCUGUAACUUUAGUUGCCUUGGAAGCACAUGUUAUGGAAGAAUUUAAGAGUUACAAGAUUGUUUUUGGCGUUACACCUAUGAGUGAUCAAAGCAGCGUGGUGAAAAUUACUCUGGACUAUGAGAAACUUAACGAGAAUAUCCCUGAUCCAAAUCAGUACCUGCAGUUUCUGAUGAAUGUCAUCAAAGACAUUGACGCACACCUUCUCAAGGCAUAAAUGAAGUUGAAGGAAAUAUAUCUUUUCUUCUUGUCUGGUGCAUCUGUUAAUUAAUGUUAAAGAAGUUGAUGUCUGUGUGUGUACAAAGUGCUUGUAUUACUGUCCUAUAGGCUUAAUUAUGUUCGUCGUGGGAUUGACUCCAGUUCUCCAUGUUAGUUUGGCUUGGAUUAUAUUUUGUGGCGUUUGUAUUUUAACUGAUUCUUAUGGAUUGUUCCAUGACUGUAAUGGAAGCGCAAAUAUGGUUUAGUCUAACUAUUAACACCAGGGAGGAUUUGCUAACAAUAUUAUAAAGUUUCAAUUCUAAAUUUAGUCCUUGUACAAAAUUACCGGAUGUAGUCUCUCUAUUAUUAUUUGUACAAAUGAGUCUAUAUAUUUUAAAAAUUUAUUAGUUUUGAUUUAAUCUUUAACACCUUCUUCCGUCAAAUAUGUUAAUGUGGCGUUAAUAAUGUUAAUUGAUGCUAACGUAAUUGAUGAUGUAAUAUUGAUUGUGUUGAUUGAUGUUGAUGUGAUAUGGAUAAAAGUAAUUUUUUAUUUUUUCAAAUUUUAUAAAAAUUAAAAAAUAUAAAAAAAUUAUUUUAAUAAAUUUUAAGAAUAAAAAAUAAAUAAAUUUCAAUAAUUUUUGAGAACUUUAAAAAAGCAAAAAUAUUUUUAUUAUUAAAUAUUAAAAAAAACUAGAAAAAUUUUAUUUUGGAUUUUAAAAAUUUAAUUCUGUUUUUUUAUUUUUUGGUUUUCUAAAAAAUUACCCCUUGCCUUUUACAAAAACAAUCAAUUUUGUUUAAAAAAUUAAAAACCUAUUUUUUGUCAAUACCACAUCAACAUCUAUUUCCAUGAUCAUAACCAUGUCCGCAUAAAUCAACAAGGUCAUUAAUAAUAUUAGAUGGAUAAAAUCUAAUAAUUUUGUAUACUAUAGAGAUUAAUUUCAUAAUUCGACCUAUUACGAAAAAGGCAACUAUUGUUUAUAAAAUUGGUUUCAUUCAGUUAAAACUUGAGACAAUAAGGAUCGAUAUAUGUAAAGAACACUUGGAGCAAGUUUUCUUAGCUAGAAUUUGUUGAGAUAGUCUUGAAUUCUAGUUAGAUUAGGAUAUUGAAUCCUAGUUGGAUUAGAAUAAGACUCUUGUACUUGGUCUUGAGGUCAUACAGGGUUAAAGACUAUCAUAAAGCCAAAGAGAGUUUAGCAAGCACCUAAAUGUUGAAAAAGAGAUUUGGGUAACUGGGACACUAGUUGUGAGUUUGAGAUUAGUCUUGGAAUCUCCUAAUUUUUCUUUAUGGAUCAUUCUCUACGUUGUCCAUGAAUGUAGGUUAUCAAAAGACCAAACCACAUAAAUUUCUUAUGUUCUCGUGAAAGUGCUUGAUUUCUUUCUUUCUUUUUUAACUUUGCUGCAAAAGGCCUUUUGCAAAACAUUUUUUUGGUAAUUAUACAAGGGCAAUGCCCUCUCGAAAGCUAGCUUUCUAUGACAACAGAAGUCUUCUAUUAGUUUGGUGCUAAGCUUGUUAUGGCAUUCUAGCUUUUUGCUCAAUAAAAUCCAAUUUUCAAUAAAAUUGUGUAAGAUCUUGGGCAAAUUUUUGGAGAUUAUUUUACUAUUUUCGCAACAAAUCGUAUUGAAGCUUUAAGGUUUUGAGUUAAUUUGAAUCUUUUGACGGCAACAUUAUCCACCAAGUACAAGAUUGAGAAGUUUAAUAAAAGAAAUAAUUUCAACAUGUGACGUGUUAAGAUGCACACAUUGCUUAUGCAAUAAGGAUUAUUGAAGGCAUUACCAUCUUUCCACAAAUUUGUUUGAUGGUGAGAAAGAUGACUUAAUGAGAAAAGCACACAAUGUUAUUCUACUAGUUUUAUCUAAUGAAGUGCUAAGAGAAGUCACAGAUGAAGAAUAAGUUGUUGCAGUGUGGCUUAAACUGGAGAGCAUUUAUAGGACCAAGUCCAUGAUGAAUCAACUUUAUAUGAAGCAAUGAUUGUAUACUCUUAAAAUGCAUGAAUAUGCAUUUGUUAAUAUUCAUAUUGAUAAUUUAAUAUAUUUAUUCUUGAUUUUAAAGAAUAUUGAUGUUAAAUGAGGAUCUAGCCUUAAUUUCUUCCAUCUUUUUUGCCUUCAUGAUAUAAAAACUUUAUGGAUACUAUACUAUAUGCCUGUGACACCCUCAUUUUUCAAAAUUUUAGGGUGCUUUUAAACUCCAAAGAAUUGAACAAGUAAAUAAAUGGCACCUUAAGUGAAAAUCAAGUAGAAAGCCUGAUUGUGAAUAAAGUUAAAGGCAAAGACAAGGGUCUAGACAUAAAAAAGGUAAAUUUAGAUCAAAAUCUAAAUUUAAAGCAUGAGGGAGGAUUUUUAGUAAGAGUUGAUUACCAUCACAACUGCACCAAAUUCAAGAAGCUUGAGAAUGCUGCAAAUGUGGUAAAAGAUGGCUUAGAUACUUAUAAAAAAAGGUGAUUAUGUUGUUGCAAUUACCAUGACAGUUUUGAGGAAGCUAAUAGUGUUCUUGCAAUUACCAAUGGUAACCUAACUAAUGCAUGGAUCAUGGAUUUGGGUUGUCACUUCCACAUAUGUUCCAAGUGUGAUUGGUUUACAAGCUAUCAAUUUAUUAAUUUGCAUAACAUACAAUUACGAGAUGAUUAUUGUUUCCCAAUUGUUGGAAUUGGUACUAUUCGGUUCAAGAUGUUUAUGAUAUUGUAAGGACACUUAAGGUGUGACAUGUCAUUGACAUGAAAAAAGAACUUGAUAUCCUUAAGUUUGUUAGGUAAAAGGGGUUGCACAUUUAUGAAGGGUUUCGACCAUUCUCACUGAUGGAGUGCAUGCAUUAUAAAUAUUUAAACAAAGUAACGUAGCAGAAUUUAAACAAGAAAAACUGAAACCUCCCUUAGAUCACUUGUUUUGGAUUUUCAAUCAAAUGAACAAUACACAAACAUACAUGGAUUGAAUUGUAUACCUUAGUGAGUGAUUGUUGAAAAUCAUAAUUCAUAAAUCCUCCACUUUUGCACACACCAAAGCCUAAUUGUUGCAAACAAAAGCUAUUCAUAUGUCUUGCCUUCAAUGGUGAUCUACACAAAUGACAACUGAAAACCUUCGCAAGGUUGGCACAAUGUAUGUGUCAUGAUGCUAUGCUAGUAGCCAGGAAUUCAUAAAUCUCACCAAAAAAAAAAUGUUUUUCUCAUUGUUAAAACAAAAAGGAAAACACAAUAAGAAAAUUCCCUUUCCUUGUAAGCUUGCCAAUAUGUGGCAAAAAGUAGAGUCCAAGUUUGUUUUUUAAUUACUUUUUCUAGUAAUCGCACUAGGGGUGCUGAUAACUCUAUGAUAUAGAGUUAUUUGGACUUAAUUGUGAUAGUAAUUUAGCUUAAUUCUUGUGGUAAUACAUAAAAGUAGGUUUUAUUUAAAUUAUUUUAUUUUAAGUUUAUUAAAUUAGGUGAGUCAAUAUAAUCUUAGUUAAUUUUAUGCUUAAUUUUGUGUUAAUGUGAUUAUGAUAAGUUGUUGAUUUAUUCAUGCUUUUGUAGGUGUUUAAUGAAGGAACAAUUUUAAUGAAAGGAAAGCAAUUUCAAGGUAUAGACUUCCACUGCACAUGUUUCGGUAUUUCAACCAUAACUAUUCUACAAAGCUUUAAAUGAGAUGAUUCUUGAACCAUUGGAAAGCUUAGGUGGUAAAAAAUCUUGUCAAACUUGAAGCAUUGCAACAGUCCUAGAGCAAUUACAAUUCUACUAAAUAAUUGGUUGAGGCUGCGACUUUGAUAGAGGUAGGCCGCGGCUCACGAAGUUUGAUGAGAAAAUCCUAGUUGGAAUUGAAUUCUUUCUUCACCCAACUUGGCCUAACUUUAAAGCCCUAUAAAACAACUUUUUGGAGGACUUUUGGAGAGAACACAACACCAAUUUAAGAGUUGAGAAUCAAGCCACAAAGUCAUUAAAGCUGAGAAGAAUUUGAGGGAUUUAAAAAGAUUUGGAAGAUCAAGAUUACAGUUCUUGGGUUUUGUUAUCUUUUUGUUAUUCUUUUAUUUUCUUAGUUUGAUUUCAAUGUUUAAACUUAAUUUGAUGAUGAUGUGUGACUUGAUGAGAAACUAAGUUAUUUAUCUAAGAUUAUGAUUGAACUCAAUAUUUAGCCUGAUUUAUUUAUCUCUCUUUUGCUUAUAUUUGACGAAUUUAAGUUGUUUAUUCUAUUUUGUUCUUAAUGCUUCUAAUUGCUUGAUCACCAAUUAGAUUGAAUUGGAAACCUAAGUUAAACCUUGAUGAGGGAGAUUUAGUUAGACCUUGAAUAGAAUAGCACCUGAUUGAAUGCAAUUAGUUGAUUUGGUGGUUUGAUUUGCAUAUAAGGUAGACAUACACCUAUAAGCCAUAUGUAGUAAGGAUUAGAGCACGAACUUAAUGAAUCUUUCUUCAAUUUAAUUUGCAUAGACAUACAGUAAAUUAAUUGGGAGAGAUUUUUUAUAAGAAACUCGAUAGAGAUUUGUAAAUAAUUUAAGAAUCUAAAUUAGCAACUUAAUCUAUUAAACUAAAUUAAGAGAGAGAGACAAUAAUCAGAUGAAGUAUUGAGGCACAUCAUAAUCUUAGGUUUAAAAGUCAAUCAAAUCUAAAAAAGUAAUUUUGCUGAGUAAAUUUAGAUUAGUUUUAGUUUUUAAGUUUGAUUUUAUUUUGUUUGUUAAUUCAAUUUAUAGUGUUUGGAUAAAAUUGGGAUGUGUAAUUUUAGUAAUUAAUAGUAAGAAUUUAUUCAAUUCCCUGUGGGAUCGACACUCUACUCAUCAUUAUAUUAUCUUUACGAUAUAUAUACUUGCGUAGGUUGAAAAUUGAACAAGAUACGACACAAAUAUAAAGUAUUUAUAGUUAGGUUAAAAUGCUGACAAACCUUUUGGUUUAUCGCACCUUAGUCUUCUCACUUAAUUAAAUAGUUUAAUUAAGUCUUUAUUGGAAAUUUCAUUUUUCCAAUUAAGUACAAAUCUCAUUCUCAUUUCACAUUGUCACCUUAUUGUGUGUGACUUAUUAAGUCUCCAAAAUGUUGGCAAUAAAUAUAAAUUAAUUCAAUCAAGAAUUUAUAUUUAUAUUUAUAGAUCAUGAGUGGCAUCUAGCAAUACAACAUAACCACCAAAAUGUUAGGAAAGUCAAGAUGGUUUGACUAACCUUUCAGUGUGCAGCAUUUUAAUGUAAUUUGAUCAUUUCAUCAUAUAUCUCGGAUAGAUAGAAAGUCUGGCUCGGUGUCUACUUUCUAGCUUUAUUCAUAUUAGUUUCACAGCUUCCAUAUUGAUCUAUCAAGAUUGCCUUUGUCGAGGACUUAUUAUCAAUAUAAGCCAAGAACAAGUGAGAUAUGUCCCUUUUAAGUCAUUAUGGGGUGAUAAAUAUUCUUUGAACUAUUCAUUCAUCUUCUACCAUACCCAAAAGCACUCUAUUAGGCAUCUGGUCGCCUUUAGACUUGUAGGGGUGAAAUUAAAUCAUGACAGUUCACAUAUAAGAUAAGUUGGUAUCACAAGUCCAAGGAUUCCUUAUACUCCUGACACAUGAGGGUAUUUUCCAUAGACACUUGAGUGAGAAACCAAAUGGAACUCUCAUAGUGAGUCUUGUUCAGUGAAUUUGUUCUCUAACAAGCACCUGCAUACUAUCUUCAACUAUUUUGCAUACUUCAACCUAUGAGAUCAGUUGCUUACUUUCAAAGUAAGAAGUCUUAGCAUGUACCAGUCUUUACGCAUUGUUAAUACUCUUAUUAUUGUCAAUACAAUAACUAGGAACAUAUUUAGGAGCAAGACUUUGAUGCAUAAGAAUCUUAUAAUUAUAAAUGUUUAUAAUUUCUUUGCAAGGCCACUAAGUUUCCUAGGCUUUAUUUGCAUAAGUCUUCUAUAACUCUUUACAAAUAAACUCAUGGAUAAAGAAAUACCUUAUACAUUAUAUAUAUUGUUGUUGAUUUUGCACACAUAACUAUACAUAUUGAACAAGUAAUAUAGUGAUGAAGUAGAGUAUCGUUCCCACGGAGAUUUGUUCCUAAAUCUUUACUAAGUACUAAAUUUUAUGACAAAUUAAUCUUAUUUAACUAACAAAAAUUUUUAAAAAAUUAAUUAAAACAAGCACUAAGUUAACUAACAAAAAUUAAAAUUAGUGGGAAAGGCAAUAGACUAAAACCUAGGAUUAUGGGUUCAUUUAAACACUUCAUUUGAUACUAGCUUCUCUUAUUAUUUACAUUCAUACGUGGUUUUACUAACCUAGAAUCCAAAGCUAUGUACAAGUCUCCAUCGAGAUGCUUGUACAAAUACCUAACUUAAUUGGGUUACUAUAUGCCUAUAGGAAUCAAUUAAAUAAGGUUCAUUAAGCUAGUGUUCUAAUUUGGCUAUGUAUGACAAUUGGCAUAUGUCUACACGAAUUGUGAAUCAGAUCACCUAUGUUAUGUGAACAUGCACUAUUCAAACCUUAGUCCAAUCUAAAAUCUUAUUGUCAAGUCUUAAUUAGAUUCACAAAUCAGUUAAUUGUUAGCCAGACAAUCAAAAACAUUAAGAGUAGAUUUGAAUAAGCAAAACUAUACCCAUUCAUAGUAAAUAAAAGAGAAACAAAUACUCAAACUACAUGUUGAAAUCCACCACAAUCUUAAAAAAAUAAUUUUGCUCAUAAUAACUAAUAAAAACAACAUCCAAAGAAAUUUAGACAUGAAUCAAAGUCAAAGAAAAUAAAAGAAACACAAAAGUAGAGAAAGAAACUAACUAUUGAGGCUUUAUGAUCUCAAUUCUCUUUCCAAUUCUCUUGUUUUCUUGCUUUAUUCUUGGCUCCUUUUCUUCUGAGUAGUUGCUUACUGUUUCCUCCCUCCCAAAUCCUCUAAAAAAGCCGCUUUAAAUAGGCUCCAAAAGCCUUAGCUUCCAAAAUCUCAUAAAAAAUAGAUUUUUAGUAAGUCGUCGAGCACCACAGCCUUGUCUCUUGUGCACCGCAGCACCUUGCUCUCGGUUGUCACUAUGUUGCUCCUUUCUUAUGUUGUCUCUACUGCACUACUCCAUAUUUUGAUGAGAUUUUCACCUUAUUCUAUGCUGAACUGGGUAAAGUGGUAAACAUAAAACUUGUAGCUUUAUCUCUUAUCUUUCCAAUGGUCUUGGAAUCACAUCAUUGGGACUUCUUAAUGUAAAGAUAUGUGCAAAUUACUGCAUCAUGUUCAGUCUAUGCAAACUACUACAAUUCUCCAACGUCAACAAGGAUUUUGACCAUGCUCUAAUUAGAACUAGGUGAAGUACAUCAAAGUUGAUGCCCUUUCUCUUAACUUUUUAAUGGUUCAAGAAUCAUAUCAAUUGCACUUUUGUAGCUGAAGUUAUCCUCGAGAUAUAGAAAUAUGUACGAAUGAAGCCAUCACCAUACUUGCAUGAAUUUUCAUCGAAUAAGCCUUUUUCCUGAAAGUUCCUACAAAAGUAAUAAGAGAAAUCAACAAUAACUACUCUUAAAGUAAUUUAAAAUAAAAUAACAUAAAUUAAUCUAAAAUAACUUAAAUUAAACUAAUCAACAUGUAAUCUAACUUAACUAUGAAAGUCACCUAAAUUACGUAGAUUCAAACAUAAAAUCUCAAAGAAGUAGCUACUUAAGCCCAGAAUGUGUCAAAAUAACUCUAGAUAGAUAUAGAGUUAUCAUAUAUAUAUAAUAAUCAUAAUGUAUUAUACAUGAAAUAUGACUAAUGAAUGUAGUGUCACACAAGCAUAAAAAAAUGAUUGGCUUACAAGGCUUUCACUAACAAUCUCCUACUAGAACUAAAUCCAAUUGCUCAUGUAUUUAACACUAAAACCCUCCAUAUGGCAAUUAUGUUUCUGUUGAGACAAAACUUUAGUGAGAGGAAUAGCUAAGUUGUACUCUAUGGUUAUUCUUUCUAUAUUAAUAUCACAUAUCCUAAUAAUUUCUAUGAUCAGGUGAUAACAACACAUACAUGUUUAGAUCGUUGAUGAGACCUUGGUUCCUUUACUUGUGCAAUGGCCCUAUUGUUGUCACAGUAAAGUUAUAGGAUCAACAAUGCUAGGAACCACACCAAGUUUAGUUAUGAACUUCUUCAUCCAAACUCCAUCCUUCGGUGCCUUAGCCAGGUAGAUGUAUUCAACUUCGAUUGUAUAAUCUGCAGUCUUCGCUUGCUUGGAACUUUUUCCAGCUGAUUGCAUCGCCAUUUAAGGUAAACAUGAACCGAUUUUGUAAUUUGUUGUCACCCUUAUCGGAUUGGAAAACAACAUCUCCAUAUCCUUUAACUUGGAGUUUAACCUCUCCAAAAACCAAGAAAACAUCUUUAGUUCUUCGUAAGUACUUAAGGAUAUUUUUCACAAUAAUCCAAUAACUUUUUCCUAGUUUGGAUUGGUAUUUGCUUGUGACACUUAGAGUAUACGUUACAUUUGGUCUAGUACACAACAUGGCAUACAUAAUGGAUCUAAUAGCUGAAGCAUAUGGUAUCCUAUCCAUUCUCAUCCUCUUUUUUGUGUCUUCAGACACAUAUCAUUUGAGAGAUGAAUGCCAUGUGACAUAAGUAAGUGCCUCAUCUUGGACUCGAUCAUCCUAAACCUUUAUAGCACCUUCUCUAUAUAAGUGGAUUGAGACAAUCUGAGCAGUCUCUUUAAUUUAUCUCUAUAGAUCUUUAUUCCCAAAAUAUAGGCUGAUUCUCCCAAAUCCUUCAUAGAGAAUUAUUUGAACAGUCAAAUCUUGAUAGUCUACAACAUCGAUAUAUCAUUUUCUAUUAGUAUGUCAUCAACAUAUAGCGCUAAGAACAUAAUUGCUUGUCUAUUUACCUUCUUGUAAACACAUGGAUCAUUAGGAUUCUUGACGAAAUCAUAUUGUUUAAUAGUUUUAUCAAAUUUGAUGCUUUAGUGACACUUGCUUUAGCCUAUAAAUGGACUUUUGGAGUUAGCAUACUUUAUGUUGACUCUCUUUGGAUACAAAACCUUCAAGUUGUGUCAUAUAUACCUCUCUUUGCAAAUUCCCAUUAAGGAAUGCUACCUUUACAUCUAUCUUUCAUAUCUUAUAAUCAUGAUAUGUUGCAAUAGCAAGUAGAAUCUGAAUGAAUUUAAGCAUGGCAACUAGCAAGAAGGGUUUUUCAUAAUCGAUCCUUUCAACUUGAUUGUAAACUUUAGCAACCAACCUGGUCUUGUAUGUUUGGACAUUACCAUCCAUGUUAGUCUUUCUUGCAAAAAACCCACUUGCAUCCUAUGGGUUUUACCCAUUCAGGUACAUUAACCAAAGUCCAUACUUGGUUUACAUGCAUGGCAUCCAUCUUGGAUUUCAUAGCCUCUAGCCAUGUAUCAGAAUCAAUAUUAGAUAUUGCUUCCUCAUAAGUAGUAUGCCCAUUAUCAAUCAACAAGACAUCUUUUUCCAGUAGAAAUCUAUAUUUCUUUGAAGCUUGCCUUUGUCUUGUAGACCUACGGAGUACUUGUGUUUCUUAAGCAUUGGUUUGAGCAUCCAAUGCUUCAACUGUUGGCUUAGGUUUCAUAGGGAUGUCAGUUUGCUGUUUUUGAACUUAUUCAAAAAUUAUUUUACUCCCACCAAUCCCUUUAAGUAAAAACUCUUUCUCCAAGAGUUUCGAGACACAAUUUUUGCUUGGUAGAAUUGUAAAAGUAGUAUCCUAUAGUCUUUUUAAAAUACCCUAUAAACUUACAGUUAUCUGACAUAGCUUAAAGCUUGUCAAAAGAUGCUCAUUUCACAUAAGUCAUACAUCCCCAAAUCCUUGUGUAAGACAAAUUCGGCUUCUUGCCAUACCAUAUCUCAUAUGGUGUCUCAUCAACUGAUUUGGUUAGAACCUUUUUCAAAAAGUAAGUAGCAGUUUCUAGGGCAUAACCCUAAAAGGAUUUUGGAAGGUUCACUCUACUCAUCAUGGAACAAACCAUGUUCAAAAGGGUUUGAUUUCUUCUCUUAGACACUCUGUUUGUUGCGGAGUUUUAGAUGGAGUUCAUUGUGACAGAAUCCCACGUUCUAUCAAAUAAUCUAAAAACUUUUGGCUAAGAUAUUCUCCUUUCUGAUCCGAUCUAAGAGUGAGAAUACUUUUUCUAGUUUGUUUCUCGACCUCAGUCUUGAACUCUUUAAACUUUUCAAAAACUUUAGACUUGUACUUCAUUAGGUACACAUAACCAAAUCUAGAAUGUUCAUAUGUAAAUGGAAUAAGAAAUGAAUAACCUCUUUUUGCUGGUGUGUUUAAGGGUUUACAUAUAUUUGAAAGUAUUAGCCCUAGAGGAACACUUGCUUUUUCACCUUUUCCAGUAAAAGGAGUGUUAGUUAUCUUACCAAGGAGACAACAUUCACAAGUUCUAUAUAAUUCAUAAUCAAAUGGAUCUAGAUAACCUUGUUUAUAUACCUUGGCUAUCCUUGUCUCAUUGAUAUGACUAAGUCUGCAAUGCCAGAUUAGGAUUGAUUUGGAUUAUCUUUUCUUGCUUUCUUGACAUCUAUAUUGAGCAUUAGGCUAUCAAGAUCCAUAACAUAAACUUCUCCAUGUCAUGUUACGGAUCCAUAAAACAUAUCAUGCAGAAUGAUAGUGCAACUAUUGCCCUUCAUUCUAAACUCGAACUCAUCAUUCAAAAUUAGGUAUAAAAUGGAAAUGAUGUUUCUAGUUAAUGUUGGUACACAAUAGCCUUCUUUAAACUUUAUCACUAAACCUAAUGGUAAAAUGAGAUCACAAGUCCCAACAGCAAUCAUUGCAAUUUUUGCACCAUUACCCACUUUUAGGACUACCUCAUUUUUACCUAGUUUUCUACUGUCCCUUAAAGUCUUUAUGUCAAUACAUAAAUGCGAUCCGUAUCCUGAAUCUAUCAUCCAAGAUUUAGGAUUACCAGUAGAAAGGUUAAGCUCAAUCAUAUUCAAAAUCAACUCUCGACUUGUCAAUAUUACAUCCUUCCAUUUAUUGAGAACUUUUCUCAAGGUAAUAUACUAGUCCAAACAUUUUGGGUUGACGGCAUCAAGCCAAGCAAAGUAGCAAUUAUCAUUAUAUUCAUUUUAACAACCUAUAAAUAUAGAAAAAGUAUUUGUAUUAGUCUAUCAUGUUAUUAACCAAUUUAAAAUGAGGUAUGAAAUCUUGUAUUGGUUCUCCCACUAAUUUUUCAUAAUAAUAGUCCUCACUAUUAUGCGAAAAUCCUUACUAGGUAUUUCUAGUGGGUUGGGACUCCUUUCAACUUAUUACAACUUUGAGUGACUCAACGAGCCACAAAAAGCCUAGUUGGGUAGUAACAUGGCUUAUUGAUUGCAUCUCCAUGCAACUUUCAAAUCAGUUAGGCGACAACUAUUUGUUUAAAUGGAUCAUAUGCAUUUCAUUCAACUCUACCUUUAAUAUCAUGUGGUCAAGUGUGACACAUUCGAACAACACAGUAUUAGUUGAGUAAGACCCAUCAAUAGCUCAAACAUACUCAUGUAAAAUUUUAUUCUCAACUGACUUAACAAGCCUUUAAUUAAAAGAACAGCCUGGUUAUCUUGAUAUAUGGUGGAAUGCAACUUGAUCAAGUGAAACAUGUGACUCAAUAUUUUAAUAAGGGAUUUUGUUUGUUACUUUAAUUUGGUAUUUAAGUCUCAUCCAUUUAAAGCAUGCAUAACAUUUAUAAUAUCACAUAAAAUAAAUCUAUCACAUGUAUACUACUAGGAUGAGUAUGGACCUUUAUCUAGUAUAAUUUCCUUGAGCCAUCGAAGGAAAUUAGUUGGUCAAAUCCUAGGUGUUUAUAUACAAAGUUUUUUCCAAGCUUCCUUGUAAUCUCCUCAUUUCUUCAUCGUGCCUCUAUAUCUCCAUUUUCAUAUUACUAAAUAAUCCCUGGCUAAUCCUAAUUUUAUACUUUGAUGUAACUAAUUACAUUUGAAAUAAAGAAACCUCGAUUUACAUUCGAAGGGAGUUAGGUGACGAGACAAUUUUACAACUCAGAGAAAAAGAGAGAAAGGUAGGAUGUGCUAACUUUAUUUAAAAUUUAAUAAAUACCAUGAAAAAUUUAACCAUCUACAAUCACAUUGGGUAUAAGUCCAUAAUCAUCCUCCUACAUUUAAAAUCAUAUUAUGAACAUAUUUUUUUUUUAUAAAAUUAAUGUGCUUUAGUAUCCCAUUACCAAUCUUAAACAUAAUCCAAAUCCUUAGCUUAAUUAACAUUUAUCUUAAUCCAAUUAAGAUAAAUCCUAAUCAUAUUAGGUUUAAUUAAGUUACCAUUAUAUCAAUCAUUAUGAUUUAAUUUGAUUAAUUAGUCAAAUAAUUUGACUAAUUUUCCUAACCAUUUGGAACUUGAUUAAAAUAGGUAAUCUUAACUUUUAAGCAACUACCUUAUAUUGGUUUCCUAAACAAUUUAAAAAACUAUCAUAUCGACUUUCCAAAUAUAUUUAGGAAAUUAGUUGGCUGAAAUCAUUUGGUGAUAAUUGUCAUAUUUAAUCAAAUUAAAGAUGACAAAUUCUAAUCUCUAAAAUCAAGGUAUAUUUUGCAAUCAGGAAAUUGCUAUUGAUCCUUGUGUAAUCAGAAAUCCAUAAUCAUAGGAUUUUCUUUCUACUUUCAAUUAAUCAAAAGUUACCAUACUAAGGCUGAUUGGGUCGGCACAAGCCACUUUUUCCCGCCCCAAAAAUGGCGACUAAUAAUCAUUCUUGGUGCCCAAAGACAUGGGUUGGAAUUUUCCAUAACUCGUGUAACCGUAUUUUCCAUAAAUCAGUAUUUAAAAACUUAAAACAAGUUUUUUUAUUAGAUCAUGAUUAAUAUUCUGGUCAUGCUUGCUAAAUUUAUCUAAAACAAUUUUUAAUAAAUUAACCAUAGAAAUCCAAUUUAACUAGUAUUAAUUGGCAAAACAUUUUUGCUAGAUUGGUAACAACUAAGGCACUUAAAUCCAAUUGAAAAAUAGCAACAAGGAGGCUCUGAUAUCAAUUGAGCAGUUUUGGCAAUGCUCAAUGAUGGAGUUACAUGCAUUAUAAAUAUUUAAAACGAGUAAAGCAGUAGAAUUUAAACAAGAAAAACCAAAACUUCCCUUGGAUCACUUGUUUUGGAUUUUUAAUCGGAUGAAUCAUUCACAAACAUUCAUGGUUGAAUUGUAUACCUUAGUGAGUGAUUGCUAAAAAUCACAAUUCACAAAUCUUCCCCUUUUGUGCACACCAAAGCUCAGCUGUUGCAAACUAAAGCUAUCCAUAUGUCAAGGCUCUAAUGGUGAUCCACACAGAUAGCAAUUGAAAACCUUCACAAAGUUGGGGCAGUGUAUGUGCUGUGAUGCUAUGCUAGUAGCCAAGAUUUCAUAAAUCUCACCUAAAAAAUAUUUUUCUCAUUGUUAAAAUGAAAAGGAAGACAAAAAAGAAAAUUCCCUUUCCUUGUAACCUUGCUAAUAGGUGGUAAAAGGGAGAGUUCAAGUUUGUUUUUUCAUUACUUUUUCUAGCAAUCACACUCAGGGUGCGACAUGAAUAUAAAGUAUUUAUAGUUAGGUUAAAAUGCUGACUAAUGUUUUGGUUUAUUGCAUCGUACUCCUUCCACUUAAUUAAACAAUUUAAUUAAGUCUUUGUUAGAAAUUUCAAAUUUUCAAUUAAGUACAAAUCCUAUUUCCAUUUCACAUUGUCACCUUCUUGUGUGUGACUCAUUAGGUCCCCAACAUGUUGGCAAUAAAUAUAAAUUAAUUCAAUUAAGAAAUUACAUUUAUAUUAAUAGAUCAUGAACGACAUCUAGUAAUACAUCGUGACCACUCAAAUGUUAGGAGAGUUAAGAUGGUUUGACUAACUUUUCAAUGUAUAGUAUCUCAGUGUAAUUUGAUCAUUUUAUCAUAUAUCCUGGAUAGAUAGAAAGCCUAGCUUGAUGUCUACUUUCUAGCUCUAUCCAUAUUAGUCUUACAACUUCCAUAUUAACCUAUUAAUAUCACUUUGGCCAAGGACUUUCAGUCAAUAUAAGCUAUAAACAAGUGAGAUAUGUCCCCUUCAAAUCUCUAUGGAGUGAUGAAUCCUUUCUAGACUACUCAUUCAUCUUUUUGUGCUUCAUGUCAUACUAAAAGCACUUUAUUUAGGCAUCUGGUCACCUUCAGACUCAUAAUGGUGAAAUCAAAGCAUGGCAGUUCACAUACAAGAAGACAUGGUAUCACAAGUCAAAGGAUUACUUAGACUACUAACACAUGAAAGUAUUUUCCAUAGACACUUAAAUGAGAUACCAAAUGGAACUCUGAUAGUGGGUCGUGUACAGUGAACUUGUUCUUUAAUAAGCACUCAUAUACUAUCCUCAAGUAUCUCUUAUACUUCAAUCUUUGAGAUUGGUUGCUUACUUUCAAAGUAAGGAGGCUUAGCAUGUACUAGUCUUUGAGAAUUGUCAAUGCCCUUAUUCUUGACAAUAUAAUGGUCAGGAACAAAUUUAGGAACAAGACUUUGAUGCAGACGAAUCUCAUAAUUAUAACUUUUUAUAAUUUCUUUGUAAAACCAUUAUAUUCCAUGGGCUUUAUCUGCAUAGGUCUCCUAUAACUCUUUACAAAUACACUCAUAGAUAAAGAAAUACCUCAUACAUUACAUAUAUCUACAAAAAGAAUCAUAAUGUAUUAUACAUGAAAUGCAACUAAUGAAUGUAAUGUCAUACAAGCAUAAAAAAAAUGAUAGGCUUGUAGGGCUUACACUAACAAUUUAAUGGCCCAAAUGGUGUCUAGAGGUGCCUUAACUAUCAUGAAAGGAAAAUUGUCCAAGGCUGUUAUCGUGUAAUGGGAAGCACGAUUAUUCAAACUACUUUCAUAGUCUCAUAGAUGAAUGACAUUAUUAAGUAGGCAUGAUUUUUUGUGUGGUUAAAAGAUUAAGAGGCUAGAUUUUUGUGAGCAUUUGUUUAUGGUAAACAAUGUUGAGUGAAAUUUAGCAUUACAACUCAUCAAACCAAGAAUAAAAUGGGCUACAUCCAUUCAAAUUUUUGGAGUCCUUUUCUUGUGGCAUCAAAAUGAGGAUAAUUGUCUUUGUUGGCUUUCAUUUGAUGAUUUUUCACAAAAGGUGUUGAUGUAUUUUAUAAAGGUUAAAAAUGAAGUAUUUACCAUUUUUUUUUAUAAUGGAAGGCAUUGAUUGAGAAGUAAACUUUAAAGAAGAUCAAAUGAAUUUGAAUAGACAAUAGUUUGAAAUUUUGUAUGGGUAAGUUCAACUUAUUCUGCAAGAAUGAGGGAAUUUUUAAACAUCGCAUUGUCUCCUGAACAUCACAACAAAAAUGGUGUUACAAAGCUGAUGAAUAGAAUACUUUUGAAGAAAACAAAAUGUAUACUCUUUGAUCUCGGUCUGGCCAAAGUAUUUUGGAUAAAAGCUUUUAACAUGGCUUGCUACUUGGUAAAUUGGUCUUUAUAAACUAUCAUUGAAUUGAAGAUUCUCGAGGAAAUUUGGUUACGUAAAUCUACUAACGACUUUAUAUUAAGAGUAUUUGGUUACCUUGGUUAUGCUCAUGUGAAUGAUGAUAAGCUUAAGCUGAGGACGAAGAAAUGCACAUACCUAAACUAUCCUUUAAAGAUGAAGGGCGUUCAGUUGUGUUGUAUUGAUCCAAAAUCUCCCUAGUUUAUUGUGAGUUAGAAUGUUACGUUUAAUGAGUUUGUUUUACUUCAUGGGACAAAAUUUACAAUUGCAAUCACAUUAUAUCAAGAAGUUAGCGACUAGGUGGAGCAUGAAAUUAAAGCUCCACGGGUAGUGUAGGAUGGUUGUGAGAUCCCAAAUGGAUCACAAGAAUUACAAGAACUGGUAUCUCAUUGACAGCAACAAAACGUUACUACAUACAGUCCUAAAAGGAAUAUAAGAACACCUCAUAAAUAUGAUGGUUUUGUUGUUUAAGUUGAUGUUGAUUUUGAUUCCUAUGUUUUAUCUAUAGUUAAAGAAGUAGAGACCAAUGACUCUUGCUUUUAUCGUGAGGCAUUAAAUGUACCAAGUCUUCUCAAUGGCCUGCUACCAUGAAUAGGGUUUUCAACAAGUGGGAUACCCUACCUUAAACCCUAUUAAUAAGUAAGGUACCUGAAUCCAAAAACUACUCGGUUAUUUUAAGAAUUUCUUACUGAAUCCAAACCCUAAUACCCUACCCACUACCCGUUAACUAGUUGAACUCGUUUAAAUACCCUAUUGUGCAAAAAAAAUUUAUUAGCCUCUUCAUGGGUACCUAAUUACUUGAACUUGAACCCAUAUUUGCAUAAGAUAAUAAUUAUAUAGCAAAAUUCUCAUCUAUAUAAUUCACUAGUAAUUAAACUUAUAAAAGUAAACAAACAUUACAAUUAAAAUUUAAAUAACAAAUUAUUUUAAAAUAUCUUAAACAACAACUUAAAUAACCAAAAACAAGUAAAUAAACAUCCAUAAUCAAGUUCGGUAUCCAAGGGGUGAUACCUGUACCCUUCCCAAACCCAAAAUAGAUACUAAACUUGCUACCUAUACCUGUUUCAAACUCGAAUAUAAGGUACUUGUACCAUAUAUAAUUGGGUCGGAUAUCCUUUAGGUUCCAAUAAAAGGGUACCUAUUACCAUCCCUAGCAAUGAACAAGAAAAUUGAGUCUCUACAUAGAAAUGAAACAUGGGAGUUUAUGAAAACACCCAAAGGCAAGAAGAUCGUAAGAUGCAAAUGAAUCUUUAAGAAAAAUGAAAGGAUCUUAAGGGUUGAAAGUGUUAUGUUCAAAGCACGAUUGGUGGAAAAAGAUUAUAUACAAAGAGAUUGAAUCGACUACUAUGAGGUAUUCUCUCUUGUUGUGAAGCAUAGCUCAAUCUAAGUGUUAGUUUUUAUAGUGGUCUACUUUGAUGUUGAGUUGGAGCAACUUGAUGUCAAGACUACGUUCUUAUAUGAUAAGCUUGAAGAGCAUAAAGUACAGCAUUCGUGGUUCCAAGUAUGGAAGAUUAUGCAUCUAUUUAAAAGAUCAUUAUAUGACUUGAAAUAGUCUCUUAGGCAAUGUUAUAAAAGGUUUGAUACGUUCAUGGAUGUACAUGGGUACACUAUGAGUGUAUAUGAUUGUCACGACCCGGAACUCCCAUCGAGCCCGUGAUAACUACCGCGACUUCCCCAUAGGCACUCAUUACCCCGAAUGUCGAUCGAAACCCCGCAAGGCUUAGCAUCAGGUUCCGCAUCUCCCCAGUGAGCGACAGUUAUUAAAUCUCACAUUUGAAAAAAAUCAUAAGUCAUUUCCAAAUUAAAACAAUAAAAUAUUACUUUUUGGCUCAUAGGGGCAUUUUCGUCAUUUUUUUUCGAAAAUACCGAAACUCUCCAAAAACAUGGUGUAAAAGCUAAAUAUAUUCAUACAUACUUUAAAUUAAAUAACUGAAGAAUAAAAUUACUUUUACAGUGACAAGUGGGUCCCCAACUGACUAAGAAAAUGUAGGGCUACGAACCCUUACUUUCUAGGAUGCAACUCCGAGAUUAAUUCUCGUCUUAAUCAACUAUCAACAAAUUAUCAUGAGCCUGAAAAAUGGAUAGGAAGAGGGGUGAGAUUAUGAUUACAUAAUCCCAGUGAGUAAACAAUUACCAUCAAAAGCAUCUAAAGCCGAGUGGAUGGAGACAAUAUAAAAACGUUAUAUCUCAAUAAUGUUCAUAACACAAAUUUCGUUUCAAUCUAUACCAAGCAAUUUCUUUUCAUUAAAAUUUCCCAGCUUAUAGAAUUCUUAAACUUGGCCCCUGCCAGAAUCAUUCUCGCUGGUACCCUCGUCAAGGUAUCCCACUGAGACCGCCAAGGCUGUUAAAUGACCCAUACCCAUAAGCAUGUUUUCACAUCUGACACACAGUCGUUCCUUAACAUUGGUUGAGUCUCACUCUCACGUGGUGGCCCGAACGAGAGGGCACUCAAAUCAUACCUCAGGAGAUAUUUCACUCAACAUCUCCCUUCGGAGGUAAGUAUAUAAUUGAGUUACUGUGCCCCUCUCAUAGGCAGUUCAUGGAAACCGCCACCACUACAGUGACCGUUUAAUAUACCACUAGACCCAUAAAAAUUUCAGUAGCAUAAUAUGACGAAAAAAAUGUAAUCCAGUCUACCGAAACCAAUCCAAAACUAUUCAUAUAUUUCAUGCCAACCCUAAAAAUUUAGCCAUCAUGCUACCAUAGUGUCAUAAGCCCCAAUUUCAAUAACAUAUAAAAUCAUAAAUUUCAACACAGUCUCCAUAUACUCAAAUUUCCCAAAACAAUAUUUGAUUUCAAAACCAGUAUAAAUCUCAUUUUUAUUAAAAAAAUAUUUUAAUUGAAAAACAUAAUAUUUUAUAAUUUAAACUCACCAUUCAAUAAAAGCAUCAAACAAGUAUAAUUACUCUAGAUAUUUAAGAGGAUAAAUUAUCCACUCACAGUUCUAGGAGUUGAUAUACUCCUAAUCCCAGUCUUCAAGCACAAUCUCUGUACUUUUACCAGUGUAAUUUGCUCACCACCUUUUGUCACUUGUUUCCUUGAAUUUUCACCAAAUUUCCCUUGAAUUUAUCCACCUAGGUUUUUGUUUUUCUUUUCCCCUUUGUUUUCUUGCUA